This 493921-nucleotide long non-coding RNA is filed under the name Vitis vinifera (wine grape). RNAcentral describes it as "long non-coding RNA (VVIN_LNC006724)". The record is from RNAcentral. Lineage: Eukaryota; Viridiplantae; Streptophyta; Magnoliopsida; Vitales; Vitaceae.
UGCAGUGGAAUGUUAGGGAGCAAGUGCACAGCAAGUUGAAGGUUGUUCUUAGAUGAGAUUUCUGAUGCUGGGAACCUAAUUUUUCUAUCUCACUCUGAUAAGUCUCCUUGUGAACAUUUUCUAUUAUUAUUCUUUUUGUUCCUACCUUUUACAUUUUGAACUAGGUACAGUUGGGAAAUUAGGCAUUCAAAACCAGCUUUAAUGGGAGAAACACUUUAGGAAAAUAAGGAAAAUGUACUAGAAAGAAUAAUGCAUACGUUGAUCAAUGUGAAAUUUAUUUUUGUAUACAAUGUUUCUCUAAUAAUUUUAACAAUGCCUGACCUUAAAUAUAGUAAUUAAUUGCUCUUUUGCAGUUGUAUUCCCUUUUAUUUUAAUUUUUAAAUUUUUUUUUUUUUUUUAAGAACAUCACAAACAACUAUUUUAUUAUAUUAAAAUAGUAGGUACAAAGCAAGAUGAGAAAUCUUCCCAAUUAGUAUAAAACACCCUUAUGCAAUAUUUAUGAAAAUAGGUGUAUAGUGUCCAAAAAGAUCAAUUUAUCUUAUAGGCCAAACUGGUUUGGACAAUGCUCACUAUAGAUCCAUAAGGUAAAAAAAUCUCUUAUAGAAGAAACCGAAUGUCUUCCUCCAUGCUUUGCUAACACUCCCAGCACAAUUGCUUUAGCAAUGAACAGCAAUGAACCUAAUAAAAUGGCCAUAUCAUUUCUGAUCUAAUAUCAAUGAUUUGAAGUUAUGACCCCUCAAACUUCUAGGGUUCUCUUUUUUUUUUCCUUGGUCAUCCGUGAUAUUAGAAUGGUAGAAGCUACUUCUAAUAGGAGAUUGGAGAGGCCUAAAGCUUUUGCUUGCAAUAAACUCUCUAGAAAGGUUAGGAUCUUUGCCUCAAUGGCUAAACUCUGACUUGCAUAUAUAGAGAAUUCUCUUAUUAUUAUACCAAAGUGGUCAUUGAGUAACUCUCUAAUCCCCAACUCCCCUAGUUACCCAAAGAACCCCAUUAACAAUUAGCAUAUAACUUAUGCAGCACAUGCUACACUGAUGGAGCCUUUAGGAACUAUUUUCAUGUUUGUUAGGCUAAUUCAUCCUCAAUAUUAUGUCAAUGCCAACUUUUAGCUUGAGUUUGAAUUGCCUAUAUUAUGGAAAGAAAAUAAGAUAGGAAGAAACAUGAAAUUCUCUUGUUUGAUUUACUAUAAAAAAAUAUGAAGAAAAAUAAAAUAUAGUAGAAAUGACUUAAAACCGUUAUACGUUCAAAUUCUUUAGUUUUUCUAUGAUAGAAAAAUAAAUUUGAAGAAGCAAGUAACUUUAGUUCAAAUUCAUUUUAUUGGGUAAUCAUUGUUUUUAUUACCCAUCUCAAGUUGUUAAGUCUUUCAAGCCUUAAAACUGAUUAGAGGUGAUUGUGAUAUCCUACAUGGGAUAGGGAAAAAAGUUUAUGACAUUAUACAUGUAUACAUUUCUUUUAAUAAUAUAGACACAUUUAAAGUCACGAGGGAUCAAAAUGAACGAUAUCAAUAUAAAAUGAGAACAAUCUAUUACAAUUAUACUUGCAAUAACCUUAAAAAAUUUGGAUACAUAAAACUACAAUCAUGUUUUUGUUGGGAAAAACGGUGUAGUAAAUACUUUUUUGUUGUUAUAUUAUAAAAACCAUAAAUUUCUAAAUUUCCGUUUCCUUUUCAAUUCUUUAUAUGUUUAAAAUUUUCAUCCAAACCAAGAUCCAAGAAAAACUUAAAACAAAGAAAAAAUGAAAAAUUAAUUUAACAUGUAUAAUUUUUUAAUAAGAAUUUAUAAUUCAUAAUUCAAACGAUAUUGUGAAUUGUAGACACUGGAUUAUACUUAGAGAAUCAUUCAAAGAAUGACGGUCAUGUGAAUGACAUAGGAUACCCAUUGCGUGCAUGUGACAUCUACUUCAUUUAGAGUCAGUUUGACAAUUAUUCUAAAAAACGUUUUUAGUGUAAAACAUGUUUUUGAAAAAAAAAAUUAGAUGCUUGACAAAAUUUAUGAAACACUUUUAAGAAUCUAAAAAAUCACGUAUAGUGUUUUAUGAAGAAAAACUUAAUAAAAAGUGAUUAUCCUCAAAAUACUUUCAAAGAAUACUUUCAUUAAAAAUACUUUAAAUAAAAACACUACAAAACAUACCUUUGAUUCAUUAUAAAGUAAUUUUCAUAUUUUAUAUAAUUAGACCCAUGCGAUUUGUCCACUAUUCAUGAUGAAUUUCCCUAUUUUAUAUAAGAACCCAUGAGAUUUGUCCACUGUUCUCUUUUCCAACUCUUCCAACUUCUUAUCUAAUAUUUAAAAUUGAUAAAUAUGAAUCCCUUUACCCUAGAGAAUAGUUCUAAGUGAACAGCUUAGCUUAUUUCAGUUUUCAUCUAAAGCAUAAUAGGUAUUCAUUUUACAUUCUAAUUCAUCUCCAUUCUCAUCCUAUUCUUCUUAGUCGGACAUGCCAAACACAUCCUUAAGCCAAGGAUGAACUUAUCGGUUAUGACUAAUAUAUCGAUAAUUUAAUUUUAUGGAUGUAUUGAGAUACAUGGAGAAAUAUCGGUGGAUAUUUUGAUAUAAAAUAUAAGUAAGAUAAAUAGAUUAAAAUUCAUGAAAAUGUUAAAAGAAACUUUAAAAAUGAUAUAAUAAAUAACAAUAAAGAUUUUAAAGUUGGUAUACUAACGAAAAUGAUAUAUGUAUGAUAUAGUUUAUCAAAUUUGAUAAUAAUAUAUGUGUGUUAAUAAAAAAUUAUUAUUUUGAUAUGUCAAAUAUUAUUCGAGAAUAAUGUUGCAACUUUUGUUUAUAAUACAAGUAAUUUUAAAAUAUAAUUAAUAUUAAAAUUGUGAUCUAUUUAAUUCAAUUAUAUAUAUAUAUAUAAAAUUUCUUUAACAUUUAGUAAAUAUAUUAAUGAUAUAAAAAAAGCUCUGUGAAGAAAAUUGUCAUCAUAAUUUUUAUGCCUUUUGUAUUCAAUUAAAUGAAAACUUUCAUUUAAUUAUCAAAUGAUUAUAAUUAAUUAAUUUAUUAAAAUAUUCUUAUAAUAUUUAUUUUUAUAAUGGCUUUUAAUAUAUAUAUAUAUAUAAUUGGUCGUCUUUUGUCUAGAAUUCGAAUUUACCGUGUUGACCAUGUUUGAUCAAGAAUAUUACUCGAGUUUUGACCACAUUUGAUGAUUGAGAAUGUCAUCGAUGUUUCGUGAUUUUUUAAUCCUUACCUAAAACAUGACAUUUUAUUUCGUUUUUAUUCUCAUCCUAUUCUAAUUUCUAAUCUGACAUACCAAACACAUCUUACGGUCUUCAAAGGUUUUGUCCAAGGUCUAACUCCCAAAGAAUUGGUGUGGUGAUCAUUAUUUUUGUUAGCCAUCAAAAGUCGUUGGAUCUUUCAAGUCCAAGGGAAAAAAAAAUUAAGCAUUUUUUAAAUAAACAUACCAAUUUAAACAUUUUUUUAAUAUAUAUAUUUUGGUAGCUUUCGUAUCAUGAUGUUGACAUCGUUUAAAAUUGGGAAACUUGUGUUUUGGUCCUCUGAUAUAAAAAAUAUAUGCUUUUGGAAACUAAAAUAUAUGAAAUAUGAAAUCCAACUAUUAAUGGGAAAAAUGAUAUCGGAAACGUGCACUAUGUCCUGUUUACUUUUCCUCUUCCCAUAUUGCCCCUAAAUUUCCCCAUGUCAUUAGCAAGUCCUCUCCAUGUUAGCAGAAUAAUCUGAAACUUGAACUAAUUCUCAAAGUUGGAACAUAAAAAAACCCAACCCUAGAACCAAAAGUAUGGAAACUCGUCUACGUUACUGAACAAGGAAGUGUCAAAAUGUGCCUUUUAUUGUGCCUUUGCCUGAGACGACUUAGUAGGCGCUUGCCUUAUGCCCUAAAAAUGAAUAGAAAAGAAUUAAUGGCUUGGAUUGUGUACCAACAACCAAUCUCCAUAAAAGUCAUUUGCCUUGAGUUGGUAAGGGAACUUGCUGCAAUUCAAUCUAGGGUUAUCAUAGAUCAUCUAUUUUAGCUCUCAAUGUUGUUUCAGGUAACAUAUUUGAAUGAUAUUUUAUGAAUUUCAUUUAAUACAAUAUGUGUUCUAAAUGAUGCUUCUUUUUUUAUAAUUAGAGUUAAUCUCUAUUUACUUUUCUUAGAUUUUACCAACUGUAGUUAGAAUUCCUCCAGUUCAUCUUUUAAAGAAAAAACAACAUUCGGUUGAUUAUGGGUGUUGCAAUUUCUAUUGGAUGUGUGAGCAUCAUACUAAUAUGUGAAGUUUUUUACAUAAAAAGGAAAUCUUUAGAUGUUAAUGAGGAUGAAGGCACUUCUUUUGCUCAAUAUUACUAAAUUUAAGCUUCAGAUGUCAAUGAGAAUGUCAAUGGGCUUUUUUCUACAGAUGUCAUGGUAGCAUCUUUAGUUAGUAUUAUUUGCUGCCCAAUUAUAGAAGACCCAAGAAGCUGGAUGGGCUUGAGAUGCAUGGAGUGGUAGUUGAGUGAUUUAUCUUAAUGUUCUUGAUUCAACUUUUUGCCUGUAAUAUAGCAAUGACAUUUCCCUAAGAAUAAAGUCAUCUCCAAAGAAUCUUUGCACAAAUACACAAUGAUCAUAAGUUGUCUUGUUGUAUCCUUGCUUCUCCAUAAUUGACUCAAACUUCUUGUAUCAUUGCCUAGGUGCCUGUUUCAUGCCAUAAAGACUUUUCUUCAAUCUAUAAAAAUAAUCUUCUUGUCCUUUUACUUUGAAUCCCUUUGAAGGCUCCAUGUAUAUCUCUUUCUCCAAGUCACCAUGGAGGAAAGCAAUUUUCAUAUCCAUUUGUUUAAUCUCUAAGUCAAGACUAGCUGCAAGACCAAACACUACACAAAUGGAUGACAUUUUCACAAUUGGAACAAAGAUUUCUUCAAAGUCAAUGCCUUUCUUCUAGCUAAAUCCCUUGACAACUAGUCUAGCCUUGUAUCUUGGGUAUGAAGUGUGUUCUUCUUGCUUCACCCUGUACACCCAUUUGUUUUCCAAGGCUCAUUUUUCCUUUGUGCAGCUUCAUUAACUCAAAAGUGUGAUUAGCAUGCAAGGACUUCAUCUCAUCUUGUAUAGCCUCAAUCCACUCUCUCUUCUACUUACUCUCUAUAGUUUCUUCAAAGCUCUUAGGUUCUUCCCCAUCAAUGAAUAUGACAUACUCUUUUAGGGAGCAUCUUGUGGAAGACUGACGAUUCCUGGUAGACCGUCUAGAUGAGACUAUAGGAGUAGCUUGUGGUACUUGUGGCUAGUCAAUAACUUCAGAAUUUAUAACCUCUAUAGGUUCUAAAUCAUCACUUGCACCAUGUGGUCAUUUUGUGUCUCAACAUCAAGUUGAUUUGCCAUUGGUGUUAAAGAAAUUAUUUCCAAGUCAAUCAACUUGUCACUACUAUCAAAUUUUGCUUUCUCCACUUCAUCAAGGUCUAUUAUUGUCUAGUCUUCCAUAAAUACAAUGUCUCGACUUCUAAUCAACUUAUUCUCAACUGGAUUAUACAAUCUGAACCCAAAUUCAUUUUGGCCAUAACCCACAAAUACACACUAGCGUGUCUUCACAUCAAGCUUGGACCUUUCAUCUUUAGGAAUGUGCAUAAAGGCCUUACAUCCAAAGACUUGCAAAUGAUCAUAGGAAACAUCUUUGCCUAUCCAAACUCUAUCUAGCACAUCAAACAACAAAAGAAUAGAAGGUGAGAAAUUCAACACAUGAACCACUAUAUUUAAAGCCUCACCCUAGAAAGAUUUAGGCAACCUUGCUUGUGAAAGCAAACAUAUCACUCUCUCAACCAAUGUUCUAUACAUCCUUUUAGCCAAACCAUUCAAUUGCGGUAUCUGUUAGCCUAAGGGCUCCUAAUCGGGUUUUGAUGAUAACAAACCAUGGUUAAGUGACUAAUUGGUUUAAUGAUUAAGAAUCUUAGGCAUAAACUCGAAAAUUCAUCAAAUGACCAAAUGGAUACAAGAUCGAGACGCUUGGAAGACUUGUGAUCAUAGGAAACAAAUGUAAGAUGAAUGCAUGAGUGCACUUAGGAUUUUCACACGUUUCAUGCAACUUAGAAAACUCGGUUUAUUCUUUAAAACUUUGAUUUCAUUAAAACCCGAGUUUUUAACUAAUGUACCUUAGGCAAAAUGUUUUAUAAUUGGUUUAAUAAUUCACCUAUUGACCUUGCCUAAGUGUUAGAAAAGAAAGAAAAUAAAAAAAAUAGGUUUUCGAGGCCAAAAAGGCUCAACUGGUCGAGGCUAUGGCCAAUCGGCUCAACCGGUUAAGGAACCGCUCGACUGGUUGUGCUCGUCCGGUUGAGGGAUGCGAAAAACUUUCUCUCUCUCCCAGUGGCCUUCUCUUUCUAGUCGAAGUGAUUCUCUUCCCGAUCGAUGUCCGAUCGAGGAUCGGUCGAGGUUCGGUCGAGGCAACGGUAACCUAUCAAGCAUUAAAUUCUCCAACGGCUAGUGAACCAGUCGACCCCUAGCUCGACCGGACGAGGUUACCUUUUGCUGUUUUUGACUCCUGAGCUUAGAAACCUAUAAAUUGAGAGCUCCACUUCAUUUAUUGAUAAGAGAACACUUGCAUUCAAUAGUCUACCUACUUGUUCUUGAUCAAAAAGUUCUCAUUUCUUUCAUAGUGCAUUAAAUCACCACUUGCAUAUCCUUUAGUGCACUCUUGUGUGUCAUCCUAGCUUUGUCUUAUAUUUAAGCUAUCCUUAAGCUAGGUUGAGGGAUUAUUUCUUGUAAAAAUCUGGGUGUUAAAGCCUUCAAGAGGUUUGAAUCUUGAAGAGAUUGUGUAAGAGCCCAUUGAAGCCGGAAUCCAAGUGUAAGAAGAUUGGAAGCUUGGUUGAAGCUUCAAGUUAGUGGAACCCACACUUAGUUAGGAGAUUGAGGAGAGUGGAUGUAGGCAAGGAAGUGCCGAACCACUAUAAACUCGAGUUUGAAUUCUCUAGCUCUAUCUUUUUAUUUUGCUUAUAUUGUGUUUGAAUUUGUUGUGAUUGAAAAGUUUUUAAAAACCCAAUUCACUCCCCCCCCCCCCUCCCCCCUCUCCCCUCUCCCUUUUGGGUGCUUUUCUUAAUUAAGCAUAGCCUUUGUUUUCUCAAUUGGAAUUAGAGCUAGACCUCUUGUUUUUUAAAGACUUAAUCAUCUAAGAGGAAAUGGCUAUUCCAUCAAGCUCAUCCCAAGCUGAAAAUUUUUCAAAACAUAGAGCUCCAUUCUUUACGGGAACCGACUAUCCCUAUUGGAAAACUAGAAUGACUUGGUAUUUGCAAUCUACAAAUUUAGAUGUAUGGGAUGUCAUUGAAGAUGACCCAACUUUUCCCACUAAAUUAGUUGAUGGAGUUUUGGUUCCAAAACCCGAGUAAGAAUGGAAUGAGCUUGAUAGAAGAAACUUUCAAUUAAAUGUUAAAGCCGUUUUUACUUUGCAAUGUGCUAUGGAGGUUGCUUGAAAUAACUCAUGAAGGAACUAAUCAAGUGAAAGAGUCAAAAAUUAAUUUACUUGUUCAUAAGUAUGAAUUGUUUUUAAUGAAAGAAAAUGAGACUACUAUUGAGAUGAUUACUAGGUUCACUGACAUUGUCAAUGGUCUUGAAACUUUUGGAAAAACCUGCAAGGAAUCCGAGAAGGUGAUGAAGAUAUUGAGGUCUCUCCCAUCAAAGUGGCAUACCAAGGUCACCACAAUUCAAGAAGCAAAAGAUUUGACUAAGCUACCUAUGAAAGAGCUCAUAGGGUCAUUAAUGACAUAUGAGAUCAAUUUGACAAAUAAGCUACAAGAGGGUGAAGAUAAAAAGAAGAAGAUCAUAGCCCUCAAAGCUACAACCAAGGAAGAAGAAGAUGUUGAAGAAGAAAAACCAAGUGAUGAAGAUGAUGAUUUAGCCCUCAUCACAAGAAACCUCAACAAAUACAUGAGAUGUGAAAGGUUUCGAGGAAGGAAGUUCACCUCUAAAAGAGAUCCUCCUAAAAAGGAAUCAUCCCAUGGUGAAAAGGAGAAAUGAGAAGAGAAAAGAGAUUUGAUAUGCUUCAAGUGCAAAAAACCGGGACACAUUAAAUAUGAUUGUCCUCUAUACAAAAGUGAAGCCAAGAGAAGAAUGAAAAAGGCAAUGAUGGCCACUUGGAGUGAAAGUGAAGAAUCCUCCGAAGAAGAAAAGGAGAAGGAAGUGGCAAACAUGUGCUUCAUGGCAAUAGAUGAUCUUGAUGAGGUAAACUCUAAUUUUAUUGAUGAAGAUAUGCAUGAUGUUUUUGAAGAAUUAUAUGAGGAUUUUGAAAAACUUAGUUUGAAAAAUAAUUCUCUUAAAAAGAAGAUUCAAGAACUUGAAGAAGUCAAAGAAAAAAUUUCAAUUAUUGAAAUAUCUAAAACUCAUCUUGAAAAAGAAAAUGAGAUUUUGAGAAGUGAAAAUGAGAUUUUGAAAAAGAAAAAUGAAUGGUUGACCUCAUUUCUUUCAAUUUUCUCUUGUGGACAAAAAUAUUUUGAAAUGAUCUUAGCUAGCCAAAAAUGUGUCUUUGAUAAACAAGGGUUAGGAUUCAAAUCUUCAAAAAAUCAAAAGUAUUUUAAAAACUACUUUGUAAAAGAAUCCACAAGUGCAAGUCCUUCUACCAUUUGCAACUUUUGUGGAAGAGGAUGACACAUUAGUAGUACAUGUCCCCUAAGAAAUGGUUCUUAAAAGAAUUCAAAUGCCAAGCUAAAAAGGUUUGGGUUGAAAAAUCCAAAAUCACUAACCCUCAAGGACCCAAAAAAAUAUGGGUACCUAAAUCAAUUUAAAUUUUGUUUUGUAGGGUUUAAAAAAGGAUAAAUGGUUCUUGGAUAGUGGAUGCUCAAGACACAUGACCGGGGAUGAAUCCAAGUUUGCCUUCCUUACAAAGAGAAAGGGAGGAUACGUUACCUUUGGAGACAAUGCAAAAGGAAGGAUCAUUGGUCAAGGUAACAUUGGUAAUGGCACAUCCUCUCUUAUUGAAAGUGUUUUAUUAGUGGAUGGUUUAAAACAUAAUCUCUUGAGCAUAAGUCAACUUUGUGACAUAGGUUUUAAAGUGAUUUUUGAAGCAUCUCAUUGCAUCAUCAAAGAUAUUCAAAAUGAUAAAACCAUCUUCAUGGGCCAUAGGUGUGACAAUGUUUAUGCUAUAAAUAUUUCAAAAUAUGAUGGCCAUGAUAGAUGCUUUUCAAGCAUGCAUGAUCAAAGUUGGUUGUGACAUAGGAGGUUGGGACAUGCUAACAUGGACUUCAUUUCCCAACUCAACAAAGAUGAACUUGUUAGAGGCCUUCCCAAAAUAAAUUUUCAAAAAUACAAAGCUUGUGAAUCUUGUCAAAUGGGAAAGCAAAUAAAAAACUCUUUUAAAAACAAAAAUUUCAUUUCAACAUCUAGGCCUUUUGAAUUGUUGCAUAUGGAUUUAUUUGGUCCCUCUAGGACACCAAGCCUUGGAGGAAAAUCUUAUGCUUUUGUUAUUGUGGAUGACUUCUCUAGAUACACUUGGGUUUUAUUUUUAAGUCAAAAGAAUGAAGCCUUUUAUGAGUUUUCAAAGUUUUGCAACAAGGUUCAAAAUGAAAAAUGUUUUACAAUUACUUGUAUAAGAAGUGAUCAUAGGAGAGAAUUUGAAAAUAUUGAUUUUGAAGACUAUUGCAAUGAGCAUGGUAUUAACCAUAAUUUUUCGGCUCUUAGAACUCUUCAACAAAAUAGGGUAGUUGAAAGGAAAAAUAGAACUCUUCAAGAGAUGGCUAGAACCAUGCUUAAUGAAAACAAUUUACCAAAAUACUUUUGGGCCGAAGCGGUUAACACUUCUUGUUAUGUUUUAAAUAGAAUUUUAUUAAGGCCUAUUCUUAAGAAAACUCCCUAUGAGCUUUGGAAAAACAAAAAACCCAACAUUAGCUAUUUCAAAGUCUUUAGGUGCAAAUGCUUUAUAUUAAACACCAAAGACAAUCUUGGAAAAUUUGAUGCAAAAUCGGAUGUUGGAAUUUUUCUUGGUUACUCAACUUCAAAUAAAGCCUUUAGAGUUUUUAACAAAAGAACCAUGGUUGUUGAGGGGUCCAUCCAUGUUAUUUUUUUAUGAAUCUAACAAUUCUCUCCAAAAAAAGAGAGAGCUUUGAUGAUGAUUUAGGCUUGGAGACCUCCAUGGGAAAAUUACAAAUUGAAGAUAGAAGGCAACAAGAAGGAAUUGUUGAGGAUCCCAAGAAAGAAGAAUCACCUUUAGCACUACCCCAUCCUCAACAAGUGCAAGGUGAAUCAAGCCAAGACCUUCCUAAAGAUUGGAAGUUUGUCAUUAACCACCCACAAGAUCAAAUUAUAGCUAAUCCAUCUAGUGGGGUAAGAACUAGAUCAUCUCUUAGAAAUAUUUGCAAUAAUCUUGCUUUUAUCUCUCAAAUUGAAUAUAAAAAUAUAAAAGAUGCUCUAGUUGAUGAAAAUUGGAUGAUUGCUAUGCAAGAAGAGUUAAACCAAUUUGAAAGAAGUGAAGUAUGGGAAUUAGUGUCAAGACCUCAAAAUCAAAGUGUUAUUGGAACUAGAUGGGUCUUUAGAAAUAAAAUGGAUGAAAUGGCAUAAUUAUAAGGAAUAAAACAAGAUUGGUAGCCCAAGGUUUUAAUAAAGAAGAAGGGAUAGAUUAUGAAGAAACCUUUGCUCCCGUAGCUAGAUUGGAAGCCAUUAGGAUGCUACUUGCCUUUGCAUGUUUUAAAGACUUUGUUUUAUAUCAAAUGGAUGUGAAAAGUGUUUUCUUAAAUGGCUUUAUAAAUGAAGAGGUAUAUGUUGAACAACCACCCGGCUUUCAAAGUUUUAACUUUCCUAAUCAUGUCUUUAAACUUAAAAAGAUACUUUAUGGUUUGAAACAAGCACCUAGAGCAUGGUAUGAAAGAUUGAGUAAAUUUCUUAUGAAAAAGGAUUUUAAAAUGGAAAAAAUUGAUACAACUCUUUUCAUAAAAACCAAAUAAAAUGACAUGCUCUUAGUGCAAAUAUACGUUGAUGAUAUCAUUUUUGGAGCUACUAAUGUCUCUCUUUGUGAAGAAUUUUCUAAAUGCAUGCAUAGUGAGUUCGAAAUGAGCAUGAUGGGAGAACUUAACUUCUUCCUUAGACUUCAUAUCAAGCAACUAAAGGAAGGAACCUUCAUCAAUCAAGCAAAGUAUAUAAGAGAUCUCCUCAAAAGGUUCAAUAUGGAGGAAGCCAAAACAAUGAAGACUCCAAUGAGUUCAUCCAUCAAGCUUGACAUGGAUGAGAAAGGUAAGUCCCUCAACUCAACUAUGUAUAGAGGCAUGAUAGGUUCUUUGCUAUAUUUGACUGCUAGUAGACCCGACAUCAUGUAUAGUGUAUGCUUAUGUGCUAGAUUUCAAUCUUGUCCUAAAGAAUCCCACUUAAGUGUUGUAAAACGAAUCCUUAGAUACUUGAAACGGACAAUGGACAUAGGUUUGUGGUAUCCUAAGAGUGAUAACUUUGAAUUAAUUGGAUUCUCGGAUACCGACUUUGCCGGUUGUAAAGUUGAAAGGAAAAGCACUAGUGACACUUGUCAUUUCCUAGGACACUCACUUGUUUCAUGGUAUAGUAAGAAAUGAAUUUUGGUAGCUUUAUCAACGGCGGAAGCCGAAUACAUAGCAGCCGGUUUAUGUUGUGCACAAAUUCUUUGGAUGAAACAAACACUUAGUGAUUUCAAUUUGAUUUUUGAGCAUGUUCCUAUUAAAUGUGAUAACACUAGUGCCAUAAACAUUUCAAAAAAUUCAGUGCAACACUCUAGGACUAAGAAUAUAGAGAUAAGACACCAUUUUCUUAGAGACCAUACACAAAAGGGUGACAUUACACUUGAAUUUGUAAGCACAAAAGAUCAACUUACUGAUAUUUUUACAAAACCUCUAAGUGAAAAACAAUUUGUUGAUAUUAGAAGACAACUAGGGGUGAUUUCUUUAUGAUCAAAUGAUUGCUUGAUGAAUUCUUGAUUGAAUAUACCUUAUGAUUACGUGAAUUUCAUAUCAUAUAGAAAUAAUCUUAGGAAAAAGGUCAAAUUUUGACCAAAAAUCAAAAUUCCCUUGGCAUUGGACAUAAAAAAUUGGGGAUUUCAAUUGAAAAGGGUAGGGGGAGGAUCACAAGACAAGAAAAUACCAAAAAAUUGGAGCAUUGACCGUUGACCAUUGACCAAGCGGUUCGUCGAGGUUGGGAAUUUAAAAAGGCCCCCUGCGCUUCAUUUUUCACAUGUUAUCCUCCAUACCUUGAAGACUCUUCACAUCCAUGCUUCUAGAAGUCAAUUUUGGCAAGAUCUUGGACUGUUUGCAGGCUUUGGAGUGGAUUUUGAGACGUUUUGAGGCUAGGGUUUUGAUUUGAAACCCAGAGUUUCAGUUUUUGGGGGUGAUUUCUCUCUAUACCACGAACCUCAGGCUUGGUUCAACUUCUUCUCCGUGCGCCUAGGGCUUUAGGUUGGUGUUUUCUCUCUCUUGUUUGAUUUCCUUCUCCUUUUGGACUUCUCCUUCUCCCUAUUCCAUUCGUUGGAUGGCUCCUAGGCGAGAGACGGGCACCUCUAGGGCUCAAGGCAAGCGCCCUACUGAGCCAUCUCAGCCUGAGCAGACGGAGGCUCACCGAAAGGCGAGGUAUGAUACGACCCUCUUCAGUUCCGUUGAAGAUCUUAAUUAAGCAUAGCCUUUGUUUUCUCAGUAUCUUUGGAGGAGUCUUUUGAUGGCGGAUACCUUGCUAUUUGUGGUACUCAUCAAAUGACCUUGAAUAUUCUCCUCUAUUAUCAGUUCAGAUACAUUUAAGUUUUCUUCUAGUUUAUCUCUCAAUUGAAGCCUGAAAUUACUUGAACACACCCGAUACCUUAUCUUUAUGCUCAAUGUGUAUGCACAAAUCUUCUUUGAAUGAUCAUCAAUAAAAGUCACGAAGUAUAGUGAACCACCAAGGGUUUUUACCUUCAUUGGACCAUAUAAACUAGAAUGGACUAAGUCAAGCAAAUUCUCAUUUCUUGAAGAAGAAGGGCGUGUCUUGAACGCAACUCUAUUUUGCUUUCCUACCAAGCAAUGAGCACACUUUUGUAGACAUGUGUUUGUCAUCCCAAACAAGUGAUUUUUUCGGAAUAGUACCAUCAUUCAUUUCUCACCCAUGUGACCGAGUCUCUAGUACCACAACUCAAUUGUAUCCACAUUUUCAAUAGCAUGAAUGACAUCUUUAGAAAGUCCAACUUGCAUUAUGUACAAAUUAUGAUUCCUUUUACAUCUUGUUAUGACCAAAGAACCCUUAGUAAGCUUCCAUUGACCAUUACCAAGACCACUAUAGUAGCCACCAUCAUCAAGCUUGCUAGUAGAGGUAAGGUUCAACCAAAUGUCUGGAACAUGCUUUACACCUUUGAAAAGCAGUUUCAUACCAUUACGGGUUUCUAAUAAAAAAUUACCUAUGUCAAUAACCUUAGCCACACCAUUGUUGCCCAUCCUUACAACUCCAAAGUCAGAUGUGUAAAAAUCCCUACAAAAUGUAACAUGAAUAGUAGCACCACUAUCAAUUACCCAACUAGUCUCAUCAAAUGCUGAAUUGAUCAUAUCAUCAUCAUACAUUAGUAAAAAGUCUUCUAUAGUGGUGGCAACUCAAUCUUCAUCACUGCUCUUAUUGCCUUUUUCUUUCCUGUUGUUCUUCUUAUUUUCUUUCUUCAACUUUCUACAAUGUUUCUUGAUAUUCCCCUUCUUACCACAAUGGUAACACUCAACAUUAGCAAAUUUGCCUUUGGACUUAUUUCUACUACUUUCCCUGUUUUUCGGAAUCCUACUCUUGUUUCCCCCUCAUGGCUCAGUAACUAUCAUAUCUGACUAUGAGGAGGAACGAUGUGACUUUUUUCUCAUCUUUUCAUUUAGAACAUUGCUCUUAGCAAUUUCCAUUGUAAUCUCACCAUCUAGAGUUGAAUUAGACAAUGACAUUUUAAAUGUCUCCCAAUAAUCUGACAAAGUGCCCAAAAGCCAUAAACCCUAUACCUCUUCAUCAAAUUUUACCCCCAUUACAUCCAACUAAUUUAUCAAACCUUGGAAUGAAUUCAAGUUAUUGGUCAUAGGAGUAUCCUCACGAUAUCUCAAAAGAAUAAAAUAUUUCAUCAAAUACAUUUUGUUGUUUCUGGUCUUUUGAGCAUACAACUUUUCAAGUUUGAUCCACAAUGUACAUGCAUUCUUCUCACCACUAACAUGGUUUAACACACUGUCAUCUACCCAUUGUCGAAUAUACCAACACACCUGCCUAUAAAGUAAUGUACAUUCCUCAUCAGUUUUGCCAGUGGGUUUUCCUUGGACAAACAUAGGGUGAUGGUAACCCUUCUCAUAUAAUAAAUCCUCCAUUUUAUCCUUUCACAAGGCAUAAUUUGAGCCAUUUAAGCUUACCAUUCUGUUUGCACUAACAUCCAUUCUUCAACACAACACAGGCAGCCAAAGCUCUAAUACCACUUUGUUGGGAGAAAGUUGAACACAGUAUCACAAUUAAAAUCAACCAUGCAUGCACUGGAAUUUUAAUGUGGAAAACAUCUUCAAUGUGAGAAGUAAAAACCACAGGACCAGAGUCCACUCAGAAAGGGUUCACUAUCAACCUAAGUGAGAGUACACAAUUUGUCCCAACAUUAAUUGGGGACUAUCAAUAGCAACAACCAUCAAGAAAAAUCUUAGCUUCACAAGCAUAAACACCAAAUAUUAAAAGAAUAAUAGAAAAAGAUCACAAAUUUGGUGUUCUGUCCGAAUAUACUAAUCUGUCCUGAAAACUCCAAUCAACGAUCCAAUCGUUAAAAUUUAAUUACCAUAAGUUUUGAACCUCCUAUUAAAAUUUCACUUCAAUCAGACCAAAGAUCAAAGAAAUACCACUCUUUGAUGAAGACUGCAUAGAACCGAGAUUUUCUCCUCUCAUUUUCUGUCCUGUUUUAUUUGAAUGAUUAUAUAUUAUAGUCAACUACUCUGAUCGACGAGCGAACCGACCAGAAUUAAGAGACAUAAGAGACGAAGAUACUAUACAAAUUUCAACACGAUCCAACGGUGUAAAAUAGAGAUCAAGAAGAUUGAUUAAAAUUGCUCUAAAAUGAUUCUAUUUAUGACCAACUCUGUUUAGGCGGCUAUAGAGUGAAAUAGAAAAGUUCAACUAGAAUAAGGAGUUGCUUGUGAUAAACCAACUGACCAAGUUUCAGUUUAAACAAGCCUUAGACCAUCAAGAUCUAUUACUUGGAUGAAAAUAGCUCUUUCACCUCUUCAAUUUCUUAUUAUUUUUUUUUCUCUCUCAAAAUCAUCAGUUGCACUCUUCUCACUGUAUAUUUCAAGAAGUGAAUCUUUUUUGGGGUUUUCAAAAAAACCUUACACCGAAAGACAAAAAUGCCCAUAUAAUAUGGGAUUUGUUGGGUUUGACAUAUAUGGGUCAUCCUCCACAUGAGAGGGAAACCCAACCCAACAAUAGUUUAGUACCUCCUAAUUGGAAGGAUGACUUGUUUUUGUCAUCACGAUGAGUUUUCCAUGGUGAGUGCACUAAUGUAUAUGGUUACACAUUGGACAGGACCUAUGAUGAGUCAUGAUAUUGGCUAUCAAGUAGUCAUCAUCUUAUAAAGCUACUAUAUUGUAUGAGCUCUCAACCUUGAGAAGAUAUUAAGCUAGUAGUAAAAUUUUUAAUGACUUUAACAUAUAGGUAAGAUCCUAAAGUGGUAAUAUAUUCCCUAUGGAUUGAGAUAUUAUUGAUAGAGGUUGGUGAUAACAUGUAUACUCAAGAUAGACACCAUGAUAUCUCCUAGGUUUUAGAUAAUAUAUCCAUUUGAGUGAUCCUAAGGACAUGUGAUUAGGAAAUCCGUGGUCAUAGUAAUUCUUUAAUUGGAAUUUGACAUAUGCUUCUUAUGAAAUAAAGUAUGUCGAUUUAUCACAUAAGAAGAGGAUUAGAGACUCAAGGACUCUAAAGGAAAUUUUAUAAGGUAGAUAACAUUCACUUUAUUAGACUACGAUCAAUAGCUUAUGAGAAGUUUGCAUAUAGUAGACAAUGGAUCAUAGACUAGAGGUUUGUAUCUCAUAGUUAUAAUAUCAUACGAUAAUGGAGUAUAGUUAACUCUAUGUAGUAGGAUAUUAAGUCAAUUUUAGAAUUGAAAUAUGAGGUAGCCAGUAUUUUCUUAUGAGUCUUAGUGGUCCUCACUUAAAAUCAUAUUCCAUGGUGGCAUGAUUUUUUUAAGAGAUUAUGAGUUUUAUAUUCAUAUGUAUGCAUACAGACAUUUUGGUAGACACGAAACGUUGCACAAGAGUUUAUGAAUGUUUUUGGGUUGAGUUAAUUAAUUAAUUAGAACCCAAUUAAGUUAGUUAAUUAGGACUCAUUGGGCUAAAUUAAGUGACCCAACUCAAUUCACUUAAACUUAGAAGUAAUUCUAUAUAAACCUCCUUAAGUUUUAGGGCUUAUAUUUUGAUUCAUUCUAUCUUUCAGAAUGAGAGAAUCCCAUUCUUCAUUCCCAAGUGAGAAUUCCAUCAUUUUUAAGUGACAAGGUCUAGGAAAGAGCUAUUGGGUGGAAGAUCAUGAGGUUUUCGAGAUCCAUACCAUCAUUUUCUUUGAUUGGAACUAAUCUAGGCACAUCUAUUAGUUUAUUGGCCAUUGAAUCAACAAAGGACUAUAAUGCAAAAUUGUUUCAUGCAGUACCUUAAAAUAAUUAUGAAGGGCUGUAAAAAAAUUGAACCAAUGGUUGUUACUUUCUACAAACAAUAUAAGGCGUAAAAACCUAAAGCUUAGUUGAUUUUGUGAGAGCCAACUAGUCCAAAAGAUCAGUUAUAGCGGAAUAGAACUCUUGAAUACUCAUGUUCUUAUGUUCAAGAGCUCAAAUAUCAAUCUUUAAAUAAUAUUGAUUUGCAAAUGUUGCUAGAUCUUGUUGACAAAUUCAUACUUUGCCAACUACGUACUUAUCAAAUUCUCAAUAAAUUUGUUGAUCCAAUUGAUAAUUUUUGAAUUGUUUACUGCUCAAAUGUUUAACUGUUCUAUAUAUUUUUCAUCAUCUCCAUUUCUAGGUUUGUGUAGAGUUAACCCCACAUCUUUUUUACCUUUGAAAAAUUUCCCAUUGCAUAACUCCAAUGUUAGGAUAGAGCCCUUAAAAGCAUAGUAUGAUAUAACAAAUUCAAAUUUAUUAUUCAUUUAAUAAAAUUUUAGUUUCCUAUUUCUAUCUAUCUUAUUACAUGCAUUAUAACUUAUAACCAUUUUAGCCUAACAUUUUUUGCAUUGUACAUACUUUGGGUGCAUUAGGAGUUACACAGAAGAUCCAAGUCAUGAGUUGCUUGCAAGUAGAUGAUUUGUUCACAACUAGUUCAUAGAAUUAGGUAAUUCAUUGAAAGUUGUAGUACACUACCUACUAAUGGAAUGGAUGACUAGUCUUGGUCAUUUGGGAUGAGUUUCCCAUGUUAAGUCCAUUAGUUUGUACAAUUCAACAUUAAAUAAGGCCCAUAGUGAGUUAUGAUGUAAAGUUAUUGAGUAGUCAUGACCUCACCAAGCUGCUAUACUAUAUGGUCUUUUAACCUCGAGAGAAUAUUUAGUUUGUGCCAAAGUUUAUAAUAGCUUUGACCUAUAAGUGAGAUCCUAAGAUGGUCAUAUAUUCCCUAUAAAUUAGGUCAUUAUUGAUGGAGGCUAGUGACGGCCGGUAUUCUCAAUAGAGAUACCAUGAUAUCUUAUGGAGAUUGAGACAAUAUGUCCCAUUAGGUGAGCCUAAGGAAGUCUUGAUAAGGAAAUUAAUGGUCAUAAUAGUUUUUUAAAUUAGAACUUGACAUAUGCUCUUUAUGAGAUAAGAUAUGUCACUUCAUCUCAAAAUAAGAGAAUCUGAGACUCAAGAAUCAUAAAGGUAAUCUUGAAAGGUUGAUAACAUUCAUCUUGUUAGAUUAUGGACACUAUUUCAUGGGGAACUUGCAUACAAUGGAUAGUAGGUGUUAAUGGAAACCCUAGAUUUCUUCGUUCGUAAACCCUAGAUCGUAUAGGUAUAUGCAAAUCUACCUAGGCUUCUCUAGAAACUAACAUAAGUGGAAACAUGGCUUUUAAAAACCAUUUAGAUUAAUAAAACUAGAGAAGAAUGAAUUAUACCUAGAUUUAGAUGUUCCUAGAUCAAUUCAUUGCGAUGAAGAUGUUUCAAUGUUCUAGAGGUCUUGUACACCCAAAGUCUUCUGUCUAAUUACUCAAUCCAUGACCUUGGCACUCUAAAGAGUGGACUUUGAAAAAGAGAUGCCUUGGCUCUCUCUCUUUCUCUCUAUUUCUCUCUGGAAGUGGAAGACGACAAGCAAAAGCCUUAGAAACCCUAACCCCUAAGGGGAUAUGUAUAGGGUUCCCCUACUAGGCUUAAGUGACUUGAGCCUACCAAGGAUUAGGUCACUUAAUCUAGCCCAAAAUAGAUCUUGAUUUAUUAAUCAACCACACAGGGUCAUCUAAUUAAUCAAUUAGCUCAAUGAAGAGAACUUGUUCUCUAUUCCCCUAUGCAACCUUGCGUGAUUGCUAAAACACCUUUAUACACAUCUAAUCCUUAGAAAUCGUGUCAUCAUGGUAUAUGAGCUCAAAGUGAGGACUACUGGGACAAAUAGGCAUACUAACUCUCUCAAAAUCGAAUUCCAAAGUUGAUUCACUAUCCCACUAUAGAAAAUCAAUUGCACUCCAGUACCUUAUGUAGAUAACAAUAAGAUGAAGUUUGGGUCUGUGACCUACUAUCUACUACAUGCAAUCUCUUCAUGAAUUGGUGUCCAUAAUCUAACAAGGUGGUGUUAUCACAUAAUGUAUGAUAAGAAAUAUGAAUUUGUUACAUUAGAUAAUAACAUAAUGUAUCCUGGUAGGAAAUAUGAAUUUUAAAAAUGCAUCCUCUAUAUUAAGGUAAAGUUAAUUUUUUUAAACAUAAAAUAAUAUAUUUAUAACAAAGUUAGUAAUAUGGAUGAGAUAUAAAUUAGUAUUGGUAUCAAGUAUUUCAAUAUGUAAACCUAAAACAUAUUACAUUUAUAAUAUUAUUGAAAUUUUACCCAUAAUAUAUCUUUAUUAAAAAAGUCAAUCUAAAAUUUUUCAAAUUUUUAUUACUCAACUAUAUCCAUAUAAUUUUCUAUUAGAAUCAUCUAAAAUUUCUUUAAUAUCUUUAUAUUCAUUUACUUGAAAAAUGAAAAAUAACCAAUAAAAUUGUUCAUUUUAUUAAGAUAUUUUUAUUAAAUUUUGUUAAAAAAAAAAUAAAUCAUUCAAAAUUUUAAAUAAGAUUUCAUGUGAAAUAUUUUAUUUGAAAGUUUAUUUGGUUUCAUUAACAAAUUUAUUUGAUAUUUUUUUUAUUGUAAAUAUAUUAAAUUAUUAAAAUUAUAGUAUUUGUCCUAUAAAAUUAGGGUUGCAAUUUGGACGAGCUAACCCAAACCAACAUAAAACCAACCCAAUGUUUGGGCGGGCUUGGGCACCAUUUUUUGUAACUUGGGUUGGGCUUGGAUUCAUUUUUAUCAACCCAAAUUAAAUUCGGGUUGGGCUUGGUCAGAUGACUUGGGCAACCCAAACUAACCCGAACCUGACUAUAUAUAUAACUUUAAGAAAAUAAUACAUUGGUUCUUUCCAUUCUAUUCUUUGAUAGAGAAAAAACCUUCAAGCCCUAGUCCAAGGUUCUUCCAUUAUUCGAUAUUGUUCAAAUCCUCAAGCCCUAGUUCAAGAUUCUUUCAUUUUUUGAUGUUGUUGUCUCCAUUCAAGGUCAUCUGACAGAAAGCAAAAACCAUCAGGCCUUAGGUUAAGAUUCUUCAUCAUCAUAUAAUGUUACAAUCGUCGUUCAAUACCACUGUUGUUCACAUUAUAUUACUAGGUUUUUGAUUGCCAACAAUUUAGUUAAUAAAUCAUGGAAAUAAUGGAAAAGGUUGAUUUGAAAAUAAUUCUAAGAUAUCCCUUUUUGGUUUUAAAUUUAUCUUCCUUGAGUGAUGAAUAAAGAGGACAAGGCAAGUUAUUUAAGGCAAUGGUGAAGCCCUUAUCCUUUAUAUGGAAGAAGUGUAGAAUUGUUACCUAUACAUAAAUUAUAUUAUAAUGGUCUACUGUAAUAUGCUUGGCUUAGCAUCCCUCAUCAGGGGCAUGCCAUGGGAGAAAAGUCUUCCUUUUGUAAAAGAAGGGUUGUGCAAUAAAUGAAUGUUGUGUGUUUGCUUUUUGAACUAAUUUUUAUUGGCCUAACUCAACCCAACUUAGCCAUCACAUAAUCAACUCGAGCUCAACCUAUGUUAAAUAAUUUCAAUUCGAGUUGAGUGCAUAAGAUUGGAAGUCGAGUUAGGUGAUCCUUUGGGUUGAUGUAUUUCAAGGUAAGAUUGAGCUUGGGUUGGCCAACUUGCCGAGUUGCAACCCCAUAUAAAAUUAAUUUUUCUUUAACAUUUAUAUUUUAUGAAAUAUUAAAAAUUAUAUAUUUUAUUAAUUGUUUUCCAAAAAUCGCAAUUUUGGUGAUUUAGGUCUUGUUUGGUAAUUGUUUUUGAAAACAUUUUUGAAAAAAUAGUUUUUAAGAACAGUUUUUGAAAACUGUUCUCUGAUGUUUUUUAGAACAAAAGUCUAUUUGGGAACCUAAAAUUAUUUUUAAUAUUUUUAAAUACGUUUUAAAAAUAAUUUUUAUAUCCAUAACUUUAUUUUUAUUAAUCAUUAUAUAUAUAUUUGUAUAAUUAUUCUUUAAAAUAACUCUCAAAAAAUAAGUGAAAACAACUUAAAACAAUUAAAAUAUAUUAUUUGAAAACACCCUGUUUUCUAUUUUUUAAUAAUAUAAAACAGAAAACAGUUUUUAAUUGUUAAACGUGUUUUUAAGUUUUUUUUUUCUAAAAAACAAAAAACUGUUUUUGAAAACAGUUUCCAAACAUAGCAUUAAUGCAAAGCCAGCCAAUUUUUUGUGCUGCCAACCAUACUGGAAACCCAUCUUGUUGGCCACCCAGAGGAGCUCAGUUUUUUUUAUUUUUAUUUGUUAGAGGAGUGGGGGACGAUUUCUAUGAACGAGCUACAUGGGACAUGUGGAAAAAAAAAAAAAAAGAUGGCCACCUUGCCAUGGUGGUGGUUGAAGAUGGAGACUUGCUAAGCGGUGAACAGUGGAACGAGUAGAAGCUUAUAAGAGAAAAAAAAAAACAGAGCAAAGGGACUGGGAGGGUUGAGUUGUGGGUGAGCUGAUUCAAGAGGAAGGAAAAAAAAUGAAGCUGAAACAAAGGGAGGUUUUUAAGAGAAAGUGAAAACAACGAGUUAAUUUGGAAACAACUAGGAUGAGAGUUGUAGGUCGGCUGAUUAGAGGAGGUUUUCAGCAAGAGCUAAAGAAGAGGACCUUUAAACUCUACCGGAAAAGUUCUCUCGUCUCACCGGUGACUACGGAUCUGGAAAACUAAAAUGCGCAGGUGGUGGCGUUGCUCCCCCUACUAUACUUACGGAUUUUAAGCUCAAUGGCUACGGAAACCUCGAUUUCUACAACGUGUGCUUGGUUGACGGGUAAAACCUUCCUUUGAUGGUGGUGCCACAGGAUGGCACCGGGGGGAACUGUACCAAAAUCGGGUGCUGCUCUAGACUUGGGAAAUGAACAGGUUUGUUCGUUUGUCUCGUUACAACUUCUUUCUGAAUCUUUCUUUGAUUAAGACAAGUAUGUUUUUCCAAGUUUUGGUUUUUGCUCUCAAAAAGGGUCUUUUUGAUGAUUCUACUGUUUUUUUUAGGAGUUGAAAUGGGUUUUUGAUGAAUUCAAGUGGGCGUCUUUUGUUUGUUAAUGGAACGGUUUUGUUUUUGGUGGUCAAAACAUUUUUUUUUUAUAAUGAUUUUGUAGUCAUUUUAAGGAGCUGUGAAAUGGGUGUUUGAUGAAUUCAACUGGGUUUCUUUUACUUGAUGAAAUGCCACCAUCCGUGGGGUUUGGUUAUGUAAACAUGAAUUUUUUUUUUUUUUUUAUGAUUUUGAAAGUGAUUUUAAGGAGCUGUGAAACGGGUAUUUGAUGUGUUGAACUGGGUCUAUCCUAUUUGCUAAUGGAAUAGGUUUUAGUUUCUGAACUUGGAACAUGAAUUUUUUUAUUUUUUAUAUGAUUCCGUGUAUAUUUUGAUGAGCUUGACAUUUUGUAUGAUGAAUUGAACUCAGUUUUGACUAAAUGGGAUAGGUCUUGGAUUAUGGUUCAUGGUUUAUUUUGAUGAUUUAUUGAACCGGAUUUCCUCUGUUUUGGGACCCACUCCACUCCUGCAUGGCCAUUUUUGACAUGCAAUUCCAUCGAACACGUGUCAUCCUCUUUGAUUUUUCAUCCUCAUAUGUUAAAAUAUGAUUUUCAAAACUCCAAUUUUCACGUUUAAUUUUUAAAACUUUAAUUUUUAAAAUUCCAUUUUUUUUUAAUUUAAUCUUCAAAACUCUAAUUUUCAAAUAAUCUUCAAAGUUCCAAUCAUCGAAAUUUAAUUUUUAGAACUUCAAUUUUCAAAUAAUUCUCCAAAAUUCCAAUUUUCAAAAUUUCCAUUUUCAAAAAUAAUUUUCCAAAAUUCUAAUUUUCAAAAAUUCUAAUUUUUCAAAAUUUCAAUUUUCAAAAAUUCUAAUUUUUCAAAAUUUCAAUUUUCAAAACUUACAUUUUCAAAAAUAAUUUUCCAAAAUUCCAAUUUUCAAAACUUCCAUUUUCAAAUAAUUUUCCAAAAUUCAAGUUUUCAAAUUUAAUUAUUAAGAAAUCCCAUUCUCAAAUAAUUCUCCAAAAUUCCAAUUUUCAAAAUUUCCAUUUUCAAAUAAUUUUCUAAAAUUCCAUUCUAAAACAAUUCUCCAAAUUUCCAAUUUUCAAAACUUGAAUCAUUUUCUAAAAUUCCCAUUUUCAAAUUUAAUUCCCAUAAUUUCCAUUCUCAAAUAAUUUUUCAAAAUUCCAAUUCUCAAAUUUAAUUUUUGAAACUCCCAUUUUUCGAAUAAUUUUUCAAAUUUUCAUUUUUUUUAAAUUUAAUUUUUAAAAUUUCAAUUUUCAAAACCCUAGUUUUCUUUCAAAUAGUUUUAAUCCCACUUCAGUUUUCAAAUAUUUUUAAUUUUACAACUUUUCAUCAUUCAUUAGGGUUUUAAGUCACUAAAAAUCAUAUUUUUAAAUAAACUUGCUACUUUUCCUUUCAGGUAAGCACUUUCACAAAUUUUCUUUGUUUUUAAAAUAAUAUUUUGUUUCUCUUAAUUUUAAAUAAACAUGAAGGCAAUUUUCAUAAUUUCAAAAUAAUGGAAUUUAUGGAAUUAAUUCAUGCAAAAUAAUUGGGCUUUGGUGGGAGCCUAACAUUCAUGACAUUUCUUUCAAAAAUAAUUCAAGUGAAUUGCAUUAUCGAUAUUGUUUGAUUUUGAUUGGUUUUGUGUGAGAUAUUUUACACUUAAUAUUGUGCACUAAUUCUGUUUCAUGAUAGCGCUUUAUUACCUCUAGUCAAGGUACGCUCUCACUCUCAUUUUGUUUAUUUAUUCGUUAUCAUAACUUGCUUUUGAUCUAUUAUCUUUUUGGUAUUCAUUGAUUUUUCUAGUUAAUUGUCAUGUUUGCUUCACCUUAUUUAGUAGAGACCCAUUUUUCAGGGGCUUAGAGGGGUGCUACGGUCUUUACCGUACUUUUCCAAUAAGUAACCUAACCCUCGAAUCCGACUUUGGUCUUCCACAAACUAUCUUUUCCAAAUAAGGAGUCACACUUAGAGUUUUCUUUCUUAUUUUGUUUUCCCUUAAAAAUAAAAUAAAAAUAAGUGGUGACUCCAAGUAUUUUCUAAAAAUCAUUUUUUUUUUCAAAUAAAAAAAGCGAGUUUUGCCAUCAAGUGGAAACACAUCUUGCGAAAAUGUGGGGUCCACAUAUCCCCUUCCAUUCCUUCAUACCCAAUGAAAUCUAAAUAAAUCGCCAGCCUAUUUUUUCAUUCUUGCUUCCAACCUCUUUUUUAAUAUUUAAAAUUGAUAAUAUAAAAUCUCUGCACAUGAUAUUGCCCACUUUGUCAUGGAAUUGAGAACAAUGAUAAAUCACAAUUUUCACACAAAUGAAAGUCUGUAUACUUUUUUUUUUUUUUUUUUGUAAGGAAUAAUAUUGUGUAAGGAACCAUUAAUGUAAACAUAUUGAAGGAAAAACAUAAAAAAUAAAACAAAUAUCACAAAAGAUAUAUAGGUUUAUCUCCACUUUGAACCAUGAAUUCUUUUGAUCUACUAGAUGUUUUUCACUUUAGGUGUUUCUUACUCCUCUCAUAAUUUUUUCCUUUCAUAAUUUAGAAUAUUUAUAGAAAUAUUUCCACUGACUUUCCUUAUUCUAUAACGAAUUUAAUUACAAUCACCUAAAAUUAGAAAAUAUUCAUAACUUUAUGAUAUUCUAAAUAGGAAUUUAAGACACCUUCCUAACACAUAAUCAUUUAAAUUUAUUUUUUUCACACAUUAUACAUUUUAAUUUUUCAAUAACAAUUUCCACACAAAUAAUUAUUUUUAGAUUUUUCUUUUUAAAUUUUAACAACAUUAAUAAUUUAAUAUUUCAUCCAAAUAAAAAAUAGUGAAAUUAAGAAAAAUUAAAAGAAAGAUAAAUAAAUAAACUAGUCACAUAAUAUAUAAUAGUUUUUCAUAAAAAUUGUGAAUUAAUAAUCCAACCAGAGCUCUGGGCCCACAUGUUAUAUAUACUGAGAAUCCACAUGUUAUAAUGAGAAAAAAAAAUGGAUUUAAAAUUUAAAAUUAUUUGAACAUGUUUCUUCUAACUCGUUGUAUAUAUUUUCCUUAUUUAUAUAAAGAUUAAUUAUUUUAAUUAAUUUUGAUAAUAUUUGAUUUUGUUUUUCAAUGAUAAACGAAAUAUGAUCAAAUGAAUAAACCACUGAAGUAUACUAUGCAUUUUAUAUAAAGUUUUUUUAUAUUAGUACCCAUGUGAACUGAUCAUAAGAAACUGGGUACCAUCAAAACUGUACAUCUGGAUACUGAGGAUCAGCAGAACAGAUGUAAUAAAUGUUCAUAUUUUCUAUAAUGUCACAUGGGACUUAGGAUGGUUCUUGGUAGAUAAGUUAAUUGACUUGGAAUCUUAACCUAAUCUAUAAUUUAAAAAAUGGAUAAAUUAAUUAAUUUAAGAAUAGUAACGGUCCAUAUUUUGUCAGGCCACAUGGGAGUUAGAAUAGUUUAAAGUGAACAUGUGACCUGAUGUAUAAUAUAAAGUGGAAAACUUGUCCAUCGAAUCCAUAAAUUAUAUUAUAAUGGUCUACUGUAAUAUGCUUGACUUGGCAUCCCUUAUAGGGCUAUGCCAUGGGAGAAAAGUCUUCCCUUUGUAAAAGAAGGGUUGUGCAACAAAUGAAUGUUGUGUCUUUGCUUUUUGAACUGAUUUUUAUUGGCCCAACCCGACCUAACUCAGCCAUCAUAUAAUCAAUUUGAGCUCAACCUAAGUUAAAUAAUUUCAAUUCGAGUUGAGUACAUCAGAUUGGAAGUCAGGUUGGGUCAUCCUUUAGGUUGAUGUAUUUCAAGGUCGCACUGAGCUUGGGUUGGCCAACUUGCCGAGUUGCAACCCUAUAUAAAUUGUUUUACAAAAAUCGCAAUUUUGACGAUUUAUACUUUAUUUGAUAACUGUUUUUAAAAACAUUUUUAAAAAAAUAGUUUUUAAGAACAGUUUUAAAAAAUUGUUCUAUGAUAUUUUUUAAAACAAAAGUUUAUUUGGAAACUUAAAAUUGUUUUUAAUCUAUUUUUAAUAUUUUUCAAUGUGUUUUAAAAAUUUUUUUUAUAUCCAUAGCUUUAUUUUUAAUCAUUAGAUAUAUAUAUAUGUAUAUAUAUAUAUAUAUAUAUAUAUAUAUAAUUUUUAAAAAUAACUCUAAAAAAAAAAUUGAAAAUAAUUAAAAGAUAUUAUCUAAAAACACCAUAUUUUUUAUUUUUUAUUAUCUAUUUUCUAAUAAUAGAAAAUAGAAAAUGGUUUUUUAUUAUUAAAUGAAUUUUAAAAUUCUUUUAUUCUAAAAACCAAAAAUUGUUCUUGAAAACAAUUGCAGGGCAUUAAUGCAAAGUCCAAGGCAUUAAUGCAAAGUCGCCCAACCAUCCCCUUCCAUUCCUUCAUACCUAAUGAAAUCCAAAUAAAUCACCCUUUUUUCAUUCAUGCUUCCAACGUCUUUUCUAAUAUUUAAAAUUGAUAAAUAUAAAAUCUCUCCAUAUGAUAUUGCCCACUUUGUCAUAGAAUUGAGAAUAAUGAUAAAUCACAAUUUUCACACAAAUGAAAGUUGUAUACUUUUUUUUUAUAAGGAAUAAUAUUGUGUAAGGAAGUAUUAAUAUAAACAUAUUAAAGGAAAAACACGAAAAAUAAAACAAAUCAUAUAAAAGAUAUAUAAGGUUUAUCUUCACUUUGAAUCAUGAAUCCUUUCGAUCUAUUAGAUGUUUUCACUUUGGGUGUUUUUUUCUCCUCUCAUAAUUUUUUUUCUUUAUAAUUUAGAAUAUUUAUAAAGAUAUUUAUACUAAUUUUCCUUAUUUUAUAAGAAAUUUAAUUACAAUCACAUCUAAAGUUAGAAAAUAUUCAUAACUUUAUGAUAUUCUAAAUAGGAAUUUAAGACACCUUCCUAACAAAUAAUUAUUUAAAUUUAUUUUUUUCACACAUUAUACAUUUCAAAUUUUCAAUAAAAAUUUCCACAUAAAUAAUUAUUUUUAGAUUUCUCUUUUUAAAUUUUAACAACAUUAAUAAUUGAAUAUUUCAUCCAAAUAAAAAAUAGUGAAAUUAAGAAAAAUUAAAAUAAAGAUAAAUAAAUAAAUUAGUCUCAUAAAUAUAUAAUAAUUUUUCAUAAAAAAUUAUGAAUUAAUAAUCCAACCAAAGCUCUGGGCCCAUAUGUUAUAUAUAUUGAGAAUCCAUAUGUUAUAAUGAGAAAUAAAAAAUAAAAAAAUGGAUUUAAAAUUUAAAAUUAUUUCAACAUGUUUCUUCAAACUCAUUGUAUAUAUUUUCCUUAUUUAUAUAAAGAUUAAAUAAUUCAAAAAUAUACAAGUAUUUUAAUUAGUUUUGAUAAUAUUUGAUUUUGUUUUACAAUAAUAAACGAAAUAUGCUCAAAUGAAUGAACCAUUGAAGCAUACUAUGCAUUUUAUAUAAAGUUUUUUUAUAUUAGUACCCAUGUGAACUGAUUAUAAGAAACUGGGGACUAUCAAAACUGUACAUCUGGAUACUGAGGAUCAGCAGAACAGAUAUAAUAAAAAAUGUUCAUAUUUUCUAUAGUGUCACAUGGGACUUAGAAUGGUUCUUGGUACAUACGUUAAUUGAUUUGGAAUCUUAAUUAACCUAAUCUAUAAUUAAAAAAUGGAUAAAUUAAUUAAUUUAAGAAUAGUAACGGUCCAUUUUUUGUCGGGCCACAUGUAGCCCUUACCUGAUAUAUAAUAUAAAGUGGACAAGUUGGAGCAUGCUUCCCAGAGUGAUUUAAAAAUUGUUGAAAAUUAAUGUAGAUGGCACCACAUUUUAUAUUAUUGAAUACAUCCACAACCUUUAAUUACAACUGGCAUGGCCUGGCAUGACUUGUCCACGGAAUCCAUAUUAUUAAUCAAUACCCAUGUGACCUGGCCUAUCCCAUCCACCAUAAAGAUAUCUCUUACUUUGUUCUCUAUUCUCUCACAAUUCCCUCAGCUUCUCAUCCUGUACGUGCUGUAUUUUCUUGGCUUUCUGCUACUUUGAGUUGUUCCGAAAUGGCUGAUCAAAUUCCAUUCGGUGUUGUGGAGCACAUUUUGACCAAGUUGGGGUCCAAGGCGUUUCAAGAAAUUGGAUCCAUGUAUGGUGUUCCAAAGGAGAUGACCAAGCUCAAUGGGAAACUGGGCACCAUCAAGGCUGUGCUUUUGGAUGCUGAGGAGAAGCAGCAACAGCAGAGCAAUCGUGCAGUCAAAGAUUGGGUCCGGAGGUUCAGAGGUGUUGUUUAUGACGCAGAUGACUUGGUGGAUGACUAUGCAACCCAUUAUCUUCAGCGAGGAGGAUUGGGAAGGCAGGUCAGUGACUUCUUCUCAUCUGAAAAUCAAGUUGCUUUUCGUUUAAACAUGAGUCAUAGACUCGAAGAUAUCAAAGAAAGGAUAGAUGAUAUUGCAAAAGAAAUCCCCAUGUUAAAUCUGACUCCACGGGACAUAGUACUACACACACGGGUGGAGAAUAGUGGGAGAGACACCCAUUCAUUCGUGUUAAAAUCUGAAAUGGUAGGAAGAGAAGAAAACAAAGAGGAGAUAAUAGGGAAGUUAUUGUCGUCCAAGGGUGAAGAAAAGCUUUCGGUUGUUGCCAUUGUAGGCAUUGGGGGGUUGGGUAAGACCACCCUUGCUCAAUUGGUAUACAAUGAUGAAAGAGUGGUCAAUCAUUUUGAGUUUAAGAUAUGGGCUUGCAUUUCUGAUGAUUCUGGUGAUGGUUUUGAUGUUAAUAUGUGGAUCAAAAAAAUUUUAAAAUCUCUGAAUGAUGGGGGUGCUGAAAGUCUGGAGACUAUGAAAACUAAGCUUCAUGAAAAAAUAAGUCAAAAGAGGUACUUGCUAGUCCUCGAUGAUGUUUGGAAUCAAAAUCCUCAACAAUGGGAUCACGUGAGAACUUUAUUAAUGGUUGGUGCUAUAGGUAGUAAAAUUGUAGUAACCACCAGAAAACCUAGAGUUGCAUCACUCAUGGGAGAUUAUUUUCCAAUUAAUUUGAAAGGUCUUGAUGAAAACGAUUCUUGGAGGUUGUUUUCAAAAAUCACAUUUAAAGAUGGAGAGAAGGAUGUGCAUACAAACAUCACCCAAAUUGGAAAAGAAAUUGCAAAAAUGUGUAAGGGAGUUCCUCUCAUUAUUAAGUCUUUAGCAAUGAUAUUGCGGUCUAAAAGAGAACCGGGGCAGUGGUUGUCUAUUAGAAACAAUAAAAAUUUGCUGUCACUCGGAGAUGAAAAUGAGAAUGUUGUAGGGGUGCUGAAAUUAAGUUAUGAUAAUUUGCCAACUCAUUUGAGACAAUGUUUUACAUAUUGUGCUUUAUUUCCAAAAGACUAUGAGAUUGAGAAAAAGUUGGUGGUACAACUAUGGAUAGCACAAGGUUAUAUUCAAUCUUCAAAUGAUAAUAAUGAGCAAUUAGAGGAUAUAGGGGAUCAAUAUUUUGAGGAAUUAUUGUCAAGGUCAUUGUUGGAAGAGGUUGAAGAUGAUUUUGCUAAUACAGUAAUGUAUAAAAUGCAUGACCUUAUACAUGAUCUUGCACAAUCAAUUGUAGGAUCUGAGAUCCUUGUUUUAAGAAGUGAUGUAAAUAAUAUUCCAAAAGAAGCUCAUCAUGUAUCAUUGUUUGAAGAGAUAAAUCUUAUGAUCAAGGCUCUAAAGGGAAAACCCAUAAGAACCUUUCUUUGUAAAUAUUCUUAUGAAGAUAGUACAAUUGUAAAUUCAUUUUUUUCGAGUUUUAUGUGUCUACGUGCGUUGAGUUUAGAUGAUAUGGAUAUAGAGAAGGUGCCAAAGUGUUUAAGUAAAUUGAGUCAUUUAAGGUAUCUUGAUCUUUCCUACAACAAUUUCGAGGUACUUCCAAAUGCUAUUACAAGGUUAAAGAAUUUGCAAACACUAAAACUCACAAGCUGUCGAAGAUUAAAAAGAAUUCCAGACAAUACAGGAGAAUUGAUCAAUCUUAGACACUUGGAGAAUGAUAGCUGUUAUAACUUGGCUCAUAUGCCACAUGGAAUCGGCAAGUUGACUUUACUUCAAAGUCUACCAUUGUUUGUGGUUGGGAAUGACAUAGGGUUAAGGAAUCACAAAAUUGGUAGCUUGAGUGAAUUGAAAGGCCUUAACCAACUAAGAGGAGGGUUAUGCAUAAGUAAUCUUCAAAACGUGAGGGAUGUUGAACUGGUAUCCAGGGGGGGAAUUUUGAAAGAAAAACAAUAUCUUCAGUCCUUGAGAUUGGAAUGGAAUCGGUGGGGCCAAGAUGGGGGGGAUGAGGGUGAUCAGUCAGUGAUGGAAGGCCUUCAACCACACCAACAUCUAAAGGAUAUCUUUAUAGACGGGUAUGGAGGUACGGAGUUUCCAAGUUGGAUGAUGAAUAGCCUGCUUCCUAACCUAAUUAAAAUUGAAAUUUGGGGAUGUUCAAGAUGCAAAAUUCUGCCACCCUUUUCUCAACUCCCUUCUCUCAAGUCUUUGGGGCUUCAUGAUAUGAAAGAAGUGGUGGAGUUAAAGGAGGGUUCAUUAACAACGCCACUCUUCCCAUCUCUUGAAUCGCUCGAACUCUCUUUCAUGCCAAAGUUGAAGGAAUUGUGGAGGAUGGACUUACUAGCAGAGGAAGGUCCUUCCUUUUCUCAUCUUUCUCAAUUAAAGAUCAGUUAUUGCCAUAACUUGGCAUCCUUGGAACUGCAUUCUUCUCCUUCUCUUUCUCAAUUAGAGAUCCAUUAUUGCCCAAACUUGACAUCCUUGGAACUGCCGUCAUCUCUUUGUCUUUCUAAUUUAUAUAUCGGAUAUUGCCCUAACUUGGCAUCCUUGGAACUGCAUUCUUCUCCUUGUCUUUCUCGAUUAGAAAUCAGGGAAUGCCCUAACUUGGCAUCCUUCAAAGUGGCUCCAUUACCUUAUCUUGAGACACUAUCUCUGUUCACAGUUAGAUAUGGUGUGAUAUGGCAGAUAAUGUCUGUCUCUGCUUCAUUGAAGUUUCUGUAUAUUGAAAGCAUAGAUGAUAUGAUAUCUCUCCCGAAGGAGCUACUUCAACAUGUUUCUGGCUUGGUAACGUUACAGAUCCGUGAGUGUCCUAACUUGCAAUCCUUGGAACUGCCCUCAUCUCCUUCUCUUUCUGAAUUAAGGAUCAUAAAUUGCCCUAACUUGGCAUCCUUCAAUGUGGCAUCAUUACCUCGUCUUGAGAAACUAAGCCUGCGUGGAGUCAGAGCAGAGGUACUGAGGCAGUUAAUAUUUGUCUCUGCUUCUUCUUCAUUGAAGUCUCUGCGUAUACGGGAGAUUGAUGGUAUGAUAUCUCUCCCAGAGGAGCCGCUUCAAUAUGUUUCCACUCUCGAAACUCUCUACAUUGUUAAGUGCUCUGGUUUGGCAACAUUACUACACUGGAUGGGCAGCCUUUCCUCGCUUACGGAACUUAUUAUUUAUGACUGCUCUGAAUUGACAUCACUGCCAGAAGAGAUCUGUUCCCUUAAAAAACUGCAGAAAUUUUAUUUCUGUGAUUAUCCACACCUAGAGAAAAGAUACAACAAGGAAACAGGUAAAGACCGGGCCAAGAUUGAUCAUAUCCCACGUAUUAAUUUCCAAAGUGAUCGAGUUAUGGAAUAUAAGGUCCGAAAUCCCUAACCUUUCUUCCCAUUUUUAUUAUUUAAGAAUCAAAAUGCUAUGUUUUCAUUUUAUUAUUAUGUUUUCACUGUAUCCUUGGCACCUCAUAUGUUUGUUUUUACUGCUCACAUUAAUAAUUUUGAAAUUUUUUUCCAGCUUGGAUGUGCUUUCCGAUGAUGUGCACUAAACUAACCAUUUUACUUGGAGUUGUACAUUCUAAGAGUUUGAGGAAAUACUGAGGUCUGAUAUGAUAACUCUAAAUCUUAAACGUUGUUUUGUGUUUGGAACGUUACUACACUUGAUACAUACCCUCACCUCACUUACAGAGCUUGGAAAUCGUGGCUGCCUUGAAUCGACGUCACUGUCAGAAUAUAUGUUCCCUCAAAAACCUGCAGACACUAAAUAAUCUGCAUCUGUUCACAGAAAGAUGCUGAAAGGAAAGGUGAAGACCAACCCAAGAUUGCUCAUAUGCCACAAAUUGAUAUCAUACAUCCAUGAAGAUUGAACUGAUACACAAUGCCUUUCAGGUCCGAAAUCCCUAACUUUUCUUCUCAUUUUCUAUGACUUCAUUUUCAUUAUCUUACUUUUAAAAUGCUCUGUUUUCAUUUGUUUUGGUAGUUCUUUGUAUUUGUGCCUUGUUUGAUUAAAUGCUUACUUCAAUUAAGUUUGAAAAUUUUUACAUCUUCAAAUUAUUUUAUUGUAAGUGUUUUGCAUUCUAAGAAUUUGAGGAAAUACUGAGCUCUAAUAUAACUAGUAGAGUCCACCAUUCCUAAGAAGCUUACCAUUGCCUAAUGCCCAAAGGAUCCCGAAAGGAGACAACUUUGGAUUGGCUUGAAGAUUUCACAUGGUCCAAAAAUUUGUAUUUACUAGACGCCUGAUACAAAAAGUAGUUUAAAUUUAGCCAUUAAUAAUAUAACUUUUUUAUUAGAGAAAUAAUUGCCAAACAAAUGCAAAAUAGAAAAUGGUGUUAAUGAAUUCAGUACUUCAUCUAUGUUGCAGUUUAGUAGCUUUUGUUAGAUAACGAGUAUGGGGUUGGGUUUAUCUGGUUACCAUUCCAAAUAUUCUUAAAAAAAUCAUCAAGGCUUUGUUUGGUUUCUUGAAAAUUUGAGGGAAAAAAUAGAGAGAAAAAGUGGAAGGAAAAAAAAAAGUGGAAGUCAAUAACUUGGCAUCCUUGGAACUGCAUUCUUCUCCUUGUCUUUCUCGAUUAGAAAUCAGGGAAUGCCCUAACUUGGCAUCCUUCAAAGUGGCUCCAUUACCUUAUCUUGAGACACUAUCUCUGUUCACAGUUAGAUAUGGUGUGAUAUGGCAGAUAAUGUCUGUCUCUGCUUCGUUGAAGUCUCUGUAUAUUGGAAGCAUAGAUGAUAUGAUAUCUCUCCAGAAGGAUCUACUUCAACAUGUUUCUGGCUUGGUAACGUUACAGAUCCGUGAGUGUCCUAACUUGCAAUCCUUGGAACUGCCCUCAUCUCCUUCUCUUUCUGAAUUAAGGAUCAUAAAUUGCCCUAACUUGGCAUCCUUCAAUGUGGCAUCAUUACCUCGUCUUGAGAAACUAAGCCUGCGUGGAGUCAGAGCAGAGGUACUGAGGCAGUUCAUGUUUGUCUCUGCUUCUUCUUCAUUGAAGUCUCUGCGUAUACGGGAGAUUGAUGGUAUGAUAUCUCUCCCAGAGGAGCCGCUUCAAUAUGUUUCCACUCUCGAAACUCUCUACAUUGUUAAGUGCUCUGGUUUGGCAACAUUACUACACUGGAUGGGCAGCCUUUCCUCGCUUACGGAACUUAUUAUUUAUGACUGCUCUGAAUUGACAUCACUGCCAGAAGAGAUCUAUUCCCUUAAAAAACUGCAGAAAUUUUAUUUCUGUGAUUAUCCAGACCUAGAGGAAAGAUACAACAAGGAAACAGGUAAAGACCGGGCCAAGAUUGCUCAUAUCCCACAUGUUCGUUUCAACAGUGAUUUGGAUAUGUAUGGGAAGGUAGGUCCGAAAUCCCUAACCUUUCUUCCCAUUUUUAUUAUUUAAGAAUCAAAAUGCUAUGUUUUCAUUUUGUCUCUGGUAAUUCUUUUAUGUUGGCACCUCAUAUGUUUGUUUAAAUGCUCACAUCAAUAACUUUUUGAAAAAUUUUCCAGAUUUGCUGAUGCUGUGUACUAAACUAAUCAUUUUACUUGCAGUUGUACAUUCUAAGAGUUUGAGGAAAUACUGAGGUCUGGUAUGAUAACUCUCAAUCCUUGGAACUGCAUUCAUCUCCUUCUCUUUCUCGAUUAACGAUCCAUGAUUGCCCAAACUUGGCAUCAUUACCUCGUCUUGAGGAACUAAGCCUGCGUGGAGUCAGAGCAGAGGUACCGAGGCAGUUCAUGUUUGUCUCUGCUUCUUCUUCAUUGAAGUCUUUGCAUAUACGGAAGAUUGAUGGUAUGAUAUCUCUCCCAGAGGAGCCGCUUCAAUAUGUUUCCACUCUCGAAACUCUACAUUGUUAAGUGCUCUGGCUUGGCAACAUUACUACACUGGAUGGGCAGCCCUUCCUCGCUUACGGAACUUAUUAUUUAUGACUGCUCUGAAUUGACAUCACUGCCAGAAGAGAUCUAUUCCCUUAAAAAACUGCAGAAAUUUUAUUUCUGUGAUUAUCCAGACCUGGAGGAAAGAUACAAGAAGGAAACAGGUAAAGACCGGGCCAAGAUUGCUCAUAUCCCACGUGUUCGUUUCAAGUGUGAUUUCAAAUUGAAAUGGAAGGUAGGUCCGAAAUCCCCAACCUUUCUUCCCAUUUUUAUUAUUUAAGAAUCAAAAUGCUAUGUUUUCAUUUUAUUAUUAUGUUUUCAUUGUAUCCCUGGCACCUCAUAUGUUUGUUUUUACUGCUCACAUUAAUAAUUUUGAAAUUUUUUUCCAGCUUGGAUGCGCUUUCCGAUGAUGUGCACUAAACUAACCAUUUUACUUGGAGUUGUACAUUCUUAGAGUUUGAGGAAAUACUGAGGUCUGAUAUGAUAACUCUCAAUCUUAAAUGUUGUUUUGUGUUUGGAACGUUACUACACUUGAUACAUACCCUCACCUCACCUCACUUACAGACCCAAGAAUACAUAGGGCCACACUUGGUGAAGGUUUCAUCAGUAAGGAGAACCAUUUCAAGUAUGAAAUCCUCCCUUCUCAUUUUCUGAUGACUUCAUUUUUAUUCAAUAUCCAUUUGAAAUUAUUUAAGUUCAUUUUCUUUAGAUAUUAUAUUUUCUUGCUUGCUCAAUAAUUUCAUUUAAGUAAGUUUUUUGGAUAUCACAUUUUCUUUGGGGUUUUUUUUCUUUUUAGAAUAAUUUCAAAAUGUCAUUUUUAACUAUUCACAAAAUUUGAUCAUAGUUGAGUGAUUAAAAUUCAAGUUUAUUCUUAUUAUCAUUAGUAGUUAUUUGAUAUGUUCGUUUGCUAAUACAAAAAUAAGACUAACAAGUAAUGUGCAUAGAGUUUGUAGAAGAGAAGAAAGAUUUGAUCCAAGAUAUUCCUAAAGAUCGGAAAAUUUCAAAGCCACCCAAGAUCGCACAGGUUGAAUUCGGAUUCAUCCAGUUUACAAUCCAUUAAUUCUACUUAUAUCAUCUUUGUUAUGUUACAAUUUGCCUUUACUUGUUAUGCAGCCUACCUUAAUAAUUUGGGGAGACCAAGAUAAGGUAUUCCUAGUAGAACUGGCUCACAAAUUGAAAAGGUAAACUUGUAUCACCUGCCUACAUGCCUACAACAAUACAAACACUAGCUCAUGUCUUUCUCACUAUUGAAAUUGUUAUUGCGUGCAGGCAUUUCAGGCGAGGAGACCCAACUUGUGAUCAUAGAGCAUACUUUUAUCAUAGAGAAGCCCAAGGAAAUAUUUAAGCACUUGAAAUCAUUUCUCAUUGAUUUGCUUCCACCUCCCAAGCAACACCUAGAACCACUCCCACCAUGACGAAGUUAAAAGGUACUAAUGCAACAUUCUCAAUAUAUUAGAAUAUAUCGAAGGAAGGGUGGCCACAUAUGAAGACCCUAUUCCAAGGUCAAAUUUUAGAUUUUUGUGUUUUUCCUAUCACUAUUCCUAUACUAUUACUAGUGCACCUUAUUUGUCAAGAUGAUUAAAAGGGAAUUCCCUAGGAUAAUUAGUGUCUCAAGUGAUCUUGAGGUUCAUAAAUUUUUGGUUUCCACAAGAUAGGUGCCAACUAUUUUUUUUUUUUUUUUUUUUACACCCAUGCAAUAUUCCAGUCAUCUAUUAACAAGGGCUAAAAUUUCUUGUAGAGAAUAGAAUAAAGAACUAAAUUACAUGAAAAUAGGACAUUAUUAUUCUAUUUACAAGUAAGGGCCAAAAAUUGUUGAGGGCCAUCAAGCACAUUGUUCCUAAAAUAAUAACAUCCAUGUUGUUGAGCAAAAGUUUUUUAUAUUGGCACCUCAGAUGUUUGUUUAAAUGCUCACAUCAAUAACUUUGAAAAUAUUUUCUAGAUUUUUGAAAAAUUGUAAUGUUGUGCACUAAACUAAUCAUUUUACUUGGAGUUCUACAUUCUAAGAGUUUGAGAAAAAACUGUCUGAUAUGACAACUCUCAAUCUUAAAUGUUGUUUUGUGUUUGGAAUAUUACUGCACUUGAUAGAUACCCUCACCUCUCUUACAGAACUUGGAAUUCAUGGCUACCCUGAAUUGACAUCCCUGGCAGAAGAUAUGUUCCCUCAAAAGCCUGUAGACACUAAAACAAUUUGCAUAUGUUCACACUUAGAGGAAAGAUGCUGAAAGGAAAAGUGAAGACUAAGCGAAGAUUGCUUAUAUCCCACAAAUUGAUAUCAUACAUCCAUGAAGAUUGAACUGAUACAAAAUGCCUUUCAGGUUCGAAAUCCCUAACUUUUCUUCUUAUUUUCUAUGACUUCAUUUUUAUUAUCUUACAUUCAAAAAUCCUAUGUUUUCAUUUGUUUUGGUAGUUCUUUUUAUUUGCACCUUAUUUGUUUUAUUAAAUGCUUACUCCAGUAAGUUUAAAAAUUUUUACAUCUUCAAAUCAUUUUGCUUGAGUGUUUUGCAUUCUAAGAGUUUGAGGAAAUAUUGAACUCUAAUAUAAAUAGUAUUGGUCAUAGAGUCUUCCUUUCUUAAGAAGCUUACCAUUAACCUAAUGGCCAAAGGAUCCCAAAAGGAAACAACUUUGGGUUGGCUUGAAGAUUUCACAUGGUCCAAACAUUCAUAUUUACUAGAUGCCUGAUAUAAAAUAAAUUUUGCUCUCUUUUCAAUUUAGCCAUUGAUGUAGUCUAAAUGUUUUAUUAGAGCAAUAAUUGUCCAGUAAAUGCAAAAUAGAGGAUGGUGUUAAUGAAUUCAGUACUUCAUCUAUGUUGUAGACUUGUAGUUUAGCAGCUUCUGUUGAUAAUGAGUGUGAGGUUGGCUUUAUCAUGUCACUGUUCCAAAUAUUCUUAAAAAAAAUCAUUUAAGCUCUAUUAGGUUCUUAGAAAAUUUAAGGGAAAAUGUGAGGAAAACAAAAUAGAGAAGAAAAGUGGAAGGAAAAAAAAGUGAAAGUCAAUGAAUUAUUUUUGUAUGCUACUUCAAACUCACUUCACUUUUUUUAACUCUUCAAUAUAAAGAUUCAAUCAUUUGAAAAAUGUGUAAAUUUCUAAUUAAUUUUAAUUAUAUUUGAUUUUCUUUGGAAUUCUCAUUUCUUCUCAUUUUCUUAUGACUUCAUUUUUAUUCAAUAUCUAUAUGAAAUUAUUUAUGUUCAUUUUCUUUAGAUAUUACAUUUUUUUGCUUUCUCAAUAAUUUCAUUCAAGUUCUUUUGGAUAUCACAUUUUCUUUGGUGUUUUUUUUAGAAUAAUUCAAAAUGUCUUUUUUAACGGUUCACAAAAUUUGAUCAUAGUUGAGUGAUUAAAAUUCAAGUUUAUUAUUAUUAUUAUUAUUAUUAUUAUUAUUAUUAUUAUUAUUAUUAUUGGCUAUUUGAUAUAUUUGUUUUCUUAUACAGAUAAAAGACUGGCAGCUAAUGUGCAUAGAAUUUGUAGAAGAGAAUAAAGAUUUGAUCUAAGUUAUUUCUAAUAGGUUGAGGAAUUCAUUCUUGUAAAAUUUGAGUGUUAAAGCCUUCAAGAGGUUUGAAUCUUGAAGAAAUUAUGUAAGAGCCCAUUGGAGCCAGAAUCCAAGUGUAAAGGAGAUUGGAAGCUUGGUUGAAGCUUCAAGUUAGUGAAACCCUCACUCGGUUAGGAGAUUGAGGAGAGUGGACGUAGGCAAGGAAAUGUCGAACCACUAUAAAAUCCAAGUUUAAAUUCUCUAACUCUAUCUCUUUAUUUUUUUUUAUUAUAUUGUACUUGAAUUUGUUGUGUUGAAAAAGUUUUUGAAAAACCCAAUUCACCCUCCUCUUAGGUGUUUUUCUCAUUUAAGCAUAGCCUUUAUUUUCUCACACUUGAAAUCCUUUCUCAUUAAUUUGCUUCCACCUCAUAAGCAACCCUCGAAACCACUUACACCAUGACAAGGUGAAAAGAAACUAAUGCUGCAUUCUCAAUAUAUAAGAAGAUAUCAAAGGAAGGUUGGCCACAUAUAAGGACCCUGUUUCUAAGGUAGAAUUUUAGAUUUUUGUGUUUUUCCUAUCACUACUCCUAUACUAUUACCAGUGCACCUUAUUUGUCAAGAUGAUUAAAAAGGAAUUCCCUAGGAUAACUAGUGUCUCAAGUGAUCUUGAGGUUCAUAAAUUUUUGGUUUCCACAAGAUAGGUGCCAACUAUUUUUUUUUUUUUUACACCCAUGCAAUAUUCCAGUCAUCUAUUAACAAGGGCUAAAAUUUCUUGUAGAGAAUAGAAUAAAGAACUAAAUUACAUGAAAAUAGGACAUUGUUAUUCUAUUUACAAGUAAGGGCCAAAAAUUGUUGAGGGUCAUCAAGUACAUUGUUCCUAAAAUAAUAGCAUCCAUGAAGAUUGAACUGAUACGAAAUGCCUUUCGAGUUUGAAAUCCCUAAAUUUUCUUCUUAUUUUCUAUGACUUCAUUUUUAUUAUCUUACAUUCAAAAAUCCUCUGUUUUCAUUUGUUUUGGUAGUUCUUUUUAUUUGCACCUUAUUUGUUUUAUUAUACUCCAGUAAGUUUGAAAAUUUUUACAUCUUCAAAUCAUUUUGCUUGAGUGUUUUGCAUUCUAAGAGUUUGAGGAAAUAUUGAGCUCUAAUAUAAAUAGUAUUGGUCAUAGAGUCUUCCUUUCUUAAGAAGCUUACCAUUGACCUAAUGGCCAAAGGAUCCCAAAAGAAAACGACUUUGGAUUGGCUUGAAAAUUUCACAUGGUCCAAACAUUCAUAUUUACUAGAUGCCAGAUACAAAAGAAAUUUUGCUCUCUUUUUAAUUUAGCCAUUGAUGUAGUCUAAAUGUUUUAUUAGAGCAAUAAUUGUCCACUAAAUGCAAAAUAGAGAAUGGUGUUAAUGAAUUCAGUACUUCAUCUAUGUUGUAGACUUGUAGUUUAGCAGCUUCUGUUGAUAAUGAGUGUGGGGUUGGCUUUAUCAUGUUACUGUUCCAAAUAUUCUUAAAAAAAAUCAUUUAAGCUUUGUUUGGUUCUUAGAAAAUUUGAGGGAAAAUGUGAGGAAAACAAAAUAGAGAGGAAAAGUGGAAGGAAAAAAAAGUGAAAGUCAAUGAAUUAUUUUUGUAUGCUACUUCAAACUCACUUCACUUUUUUUAACUCUUCAAUAUAAAGAUUAAAUCAUUUGAAAAAUGUGUAAAUUUCUAAUUAAUUUUAAAUAUAUUUGAUUUUCUUUGGUAUUUUCCAAAAGAUAAUCAAAUAUGAGAAAAUCAUUUUCCUUAACAUUUUUUUUUUCUUAGUACUUUUAGUGAACCAAACAUAACCUAAAUGUUUUAGUUUAGUAGUUUCAUCAAAUUAGAUAGACAACCUCACAUCUCUUAGUGAGCUCAGGUGCUAUGUCAAUUAAUGCUUUGUCUCUACUUCUUCAUUGAAGUCUCUAUUUAUUGGAUGCACAGAUGAUAUGAUCCAAACUCAAAUUGAACACUACUCUUGUUUUGCAACAUUACUGCACUCGAAAGACAACUUCAACUCACUUAUAGACCUUCUUAUUGGUGAUUGCACUAAAUCGACACCACUUUGGAAGAGAUGUGUUCCACAUAGAAAAUAUUUCAUUAUAUGCACCUACUCGCAAGAUACCAAAGGGAAACAAGUGAAUACUUGCCUAGGAAUACAAAGGCCAUACUUAGUGAAGGUUCCAUCAAUAAGGAGAACCAUUUCAAGUAUGGAAUUCUCAUUUAUUCUCAUUUUCUUAUGGCUUCAUUUUUAUUCAAUAUCUAUAUGAAAUUAUUUAUGUUCAUUUUCUUUAGAUAUCACAUUUUUUUGUUUUCUCAAUAAUUUCAUUCAAGUUCUUUGGAUAUCACAUUUUGUUUGGUGUUUUUUUUAGAAUAAUUCAAAAUGUCUUUUUUAACGAUUCACAAAAUUUGAUCACAGUUGAGUGAUUAAAAUUCAAGUUUAUUAUUAUUAUUAUUAUUGGUUAUUUGAUAUAUUUGUUUUCUAAUACAGACAAAAUACUAGCAGCUAAUGUGCAUAGAAUUUGUAGAUAGAAUUUGUAGAAGAGAAUAAAAAUUUGAUCUAAGCUAUUCCUAAAGACCAUAAACUUUUAGAGCUACCCAAGAUCUAACAGGUUAAAUUUUGAUUCACUUAGUUUACAAUCCACUAAUUAUCCUUAUGUCAUUUUUGUUAUGUUACAAAUUGCCUUUACUUGUUAUGCAACCUAUCUUAAUAAUUUGGGAAGACCAAGAUAACAUCUUCCUAGUAGAACUGGCUCAAAAAUUGAAAAGGUACACUCAUAUCACCUAUCUACAUGCCCACAACAUUAUAAACACUAGCUCAUGUGUUCCUCACUAUUGAGAUUGUUGUUGCAUGCAGGCAUUUUGGGCGAGGAGGCCCGACUUGUGAUCAUCAAUAACACAAGGCAUGCUUUUAUACAGAGAAUCCCAAAUAAACAUUUAAGCACUUUGUUAGCCCAAGGGUUCUCCUAAUCAGGUUUUGAUGAUAACAAACCAUGGUUAAGUGACUAAUUGGUUUGAAUGAUAAAGAAUCUUAGGUAUAAAUUUGGAAAUUCAUCAAAUGAUCAAAUGGAUACAAGAUCGAGACUUUUGGAAGACUUUUGAUCAUAGGAAACAAAUGUAAGAUGAAUGCAUGGGUGCACUUAGGUUUUACAUAUCUUUUCAUGAAUCUUUGAAAACUCGGUUUAUUCCUUAAAAUUACGAUUUCAUUAAAACCCGAGUUUUAUCAAAUGUACCUUAGGCAAAACAUUUCAAAAUUGGCAUAUUAAUUUACCUAAAGACCUUGCCUAAGUGUUAGAAAGGAAAAGAAUUGAAAAAUAUAGGUUUUCAGGGCCAAAAGGCUGAACUGAUCGAGGCACAUGCCAACCGGCUCAACCAACCAGGGAACCGGUCAAUCGGUUGCUCUUGCCCGAUCGAGAUCUGGUCGAGGAGUGUCAAAAACACUUUCUCUCAUCCAGUAACCUUCUCUUCCCAGUCGAGGUACUCUCCUUACCUCUGGUCGAGGUUCGGUCGAGGCAACGGUAACAUGCCAAAGCAUUAAAUGCUUCAACGACUAGUGAACCAAUCGACCCCCGGCUCGACCGGUUGAGGCUAUUUUUUGCUCUUUUUGGCUCCCGAGCUUAGAAACCAAUAAAUUGAGAGCUCCACUUCAUUUAUGACAUAGAGAAAACUUGCAAUCAAUUGUCUACCCACUUGUUCUUGCCUUAAAAGCUCUCAUUUAUUUCUUAGUGCAUUAAAUCCUCACUUGCAUAUCCUUUAGUACACCCUUGUGAAUCAUCCUAGCUUUGAUUUGUAUUUGAACUAUCAUUGAGGUAGAUUGAGGGAUUCAUUCUUGUAAAAAUUGAGUAUUAAAGCCUUCAAGAGGUUUGAAUCUUGAAGAGAUUAUGUAAGAGCCCAUUGGAGCCAGAAUCCAAGUGUAAAGAAGAUUGGAAGCUUUGUUGAAGCUUCAAGUUAGUGGAACCCUCACUCGAUUAGGAGAUUGAGGAGAGUGGACGUAGGCAAGGAAAUGUUGAACCACUAUAAAAUCCGAGUUUAAAUUCUCUAACUCUAUCUCUUUAUUUUUUAUUAUAUUGUGCUUGAAUUUGUUGUGUUGAAAAAGUUUUUGAAAAACCCAAUUCACCCAUUUCUUAGGUGUUUUUCUCAUUUAAGCAUAGCCUUUAUUUUCUCACUCUUGAAAUCCUUUCUCAUUAAUUUGCUUCCACCUCAUAAGAAACCGUCAAAACCACUUACACCAUGACAAGGUGAAAAGAAACUAAUGCAACAUUCUGAAUAUAUCAGAAGAUAUCAAAGGAAGGUUGGCCACAUAUGAGAACCUUGUUUCUAAGGUAGAAUUUUAGAUUUUUUUGUUUUUCUUGUCACUGUUUCUAUACCAUUACUAGUGCACCUUAUUUGUCAAGGUGAUUAAAAGGGAAUUCCCUAGGAUAACUAAUGUCUUAGAUGAUCUUAAGGUUCAUAAAUUUUUGGUUUCAACAAGAUAGGCGUCAAACCAUUUUUAUUUUUUUCUACACCCAUGCAAUAUUCCAUUCAUUUAUUAAUAAGGGCUAAAAUUUCUUGUAGAGAAUGGAAUAAAGAACUAGAUUAAAUUAAAUAAGACAUUAUUAGUCUAUUUACAAGUAAGGGCAAAAAAUUCUUGAGGGUCAUUAAGCACACUAUUCCUAAAAUAAUAACAUCCAUGUCGUCGAGCAAAAGUUUAUUGCAAUUACAUUAGCAUAUAAAACAAAACUAAUUUUUUUAUUAUUUAUGUUCACACCUUAUCCAUUUGAUAAAAUGCUUAAACAAGUAAGUUUGAAUUUUUUUUGUCUUCAAAUCAAUUUAAAUUUUACAUUCAAAAGUUGAAUUAAUUUUUUUUUUUGGAAAAUUUAACUGCACUUUAGAAGUUUGUGAUUAUUCUUUGGUCCAUCUUAAAAUGAGUUCCCGCAUUUUUCCAUUCCUGAAAUUAAAAUCACAAUAAAAAGUUUUAGAUUGACCUAAAAUUUUCUCAUGGCCUAGAAAUUCAUAUCUACUAGAUGGCUAAAGCAAAAAAACACUUCUAUCUUGUAUUUUAAGUAAUCCCUGCUUGCUAUUUGUUUAUUGAGAGCAUCAUACAAGUUGUGAUUAUAUUUCUUAAUUUUUUUAUAUGAUAAGACGGUAACUGGAUUGAGAAAGAUGCAACUUGUAGAGCAGAAAAUUUCUUGACUACUUUCCUUGUAUUUGCUUUGUGUGUAUCAACUGUUCUGUUAAUUAUUUUUUUAAAAUAUCACUAAAACAAACCUAUUAUGUCAAUGCUCUCUAUUGUUAUGUAUCAUAAUUUAGCUAUUUUUUCCCUAGAAAUCAUGCUUGUUAUUGUGUUAAUCAGUAGGUAGCAUAAGAACUAUUUUGUUCAAGUCAUUUUGUAUUGGCAUUCUUCAUGUUUUAAAAUAUUGUCAGACUAGCAAUUUUACUGCAGAUAUAAUGUUCUCAAAUCAAUGCAAAAAGGGACGUUGUGGGGCUUGGGCACAACCUUCCUUAAAUAGUUGAAUUGAGGGUUUCUAUAAACUAGGUCUCUAUAUCAACAGAUUCUACAUUUCAUCACUAUGGGGACCUUACAAUAAAUACCGCAAAAAACUUCAUUUACUACAUAGUAAGGAUAAUCCUAAGGACUUAAAAGCUUGAGUUGUCUUUUCCAUGGCAGCUUCAGAUCUCUUAAUAAGCUCCAAGUCAUUGUCUACCUUGAAUAUAAAUCACUGCUAGAAGUAUGUGCCCUCAACAUUCCCAUGUUCUCGAUAUUGACUAGAUAUUUGUUGCUAAUCCAUGAAGAAUUGAAGGGAUCUUUGAUAAUGACAUCUAUAAUGUACUUCAAGUUCAUGAUCCAAACCCUCUUCUUGCUUUCAAUAACUUCAUUUUUUUUUUAUAUUACUUUGUGGUCAAUGUUAUAAGGAUGUUGUAUUUUGUUUACCUGAUUCUCAUCCAUCAGCACACAUGAAAGGAAAAGUUUUACAUUGCUUUCCUUCCCUUUGCUCUGUGUUUGUAUAUGUUUAUGCAGCUAAUGCGAACUUCCACCAUAACUUUUUAAGUUUUUUCAUUCUUGAGUUUGGGAAACAACUGGAUUUGAUUGUAAUAUUUCUUGUAGAUAUCACCUUUCUUAAAAAGCUUGCAUUUAUUCACAUUUUCAAGAUGGCUAAGUCAUCUGAUUAUGCUUAUAACUUUUGGUUUCUAUUAAAUUCAGGUAUGAUGUUUGCAAUGCUAACCCCCUUACUCCUCUUGAAGACUACAUAAGUUUCUAGUGCUGUUACUUUAAUGGUUAUAGUCAAUGUAUCCUCUUGUUACUUCCUGCUUGCAUUCUAUAUGUUCAAGAGCUUUAUUAAAGUAAUUAUUUUAUUGAAGAUAUAAUUGUUUUCAGGUCAAAGCAAAAUUGAAUAAUGACGUGGUUUCAACAACUUCUCAAAAGUAAUUGGAAAGUAAGGAACUUUGUGGUAGUAUUCUGAUAUCACAUUGGGCCUUCAAAUUGUUGUCUUGAAUUGACAUAAAUAACAUAAUUUCUUUCCCAGUUAAGUUGCUUCAACAUGUUAUUAUGCUUCAAACUCUUUCAAUUAUGUGUUGUUUAGGUUUGGCAACAUUAGUACACUGGAUAUGUUGCCUCGAGUUACUUACACGACAUAAAAUUCAUCUUUGUUGUUAACUAGCAUCACUACCACAAGAUGAGUUCCCUCAGCAUUCUACAGACAACUAUAAUUUGGGACAAUUCUGGUUUGGCAACAUUAUCGGAGUUGAUAGGCAACCUAACAAAAACCUUUAAAUUUAUAUUUAUCCCGAACUAGCAUCACUGCUGGAAGACGUGCAUCCUUAGCACCCUAUAACCACUCAUAAUUGGAGACUGUUAUGGUUUGUAAACAUUCAACAGACUUGAUAGGUAACCUUGCACCAGUUACAGAGCUUCAAAUUCAUGGCUAUCUUGAAUUGACAUCACUUUCAAACUAGAUGGUUCAUCCAAACCUCAGUUGACACCCAUAAUUCAAGACUUCUCCAUUUUGGCAAUGAUAGCAGAUUUGAUAAGCAUCCCUACUUCACUUACAUACACUAAAAUUGAUAGCUACCUCGGAUUCACAUCAUUGUCACAAGAGAUUGGUUCCUUUAUAUCCCUGCAGACACUUGUGAUCUUUUAUCAUCCAUGUAUAUUAGAAAGACUUAAAAGGGAAAUAGAUGAAGAUAGGCCCAAUAAUCUUCAGUCCUAGAUAUUGAUAUGUGGUGAAGAUUGGACUAAUAUAGAGUUAGUUCAGGUUUGAAAUCCCAAUCUUUCUUCUCAUUUUUUAUGGUUUUGUUUUUAUCAAUAUGCUUUGUUUACAUUCUAUAUGGUAACUUUUGUAUGUAUUAGCAUAUAGAUCAAAAAGGACUUAGAUGAUUAAUUUGAAAAGUUUGCAUCCUCAAUUAAUUAGUAAUUAAAGACCAAACUAAUCAUAUUACUUUAAGUCUUGCAUUGUAAGAGUUUGGGAAAAUGUUAGGGUUGACUGAACUACUAUUUUAUAACAGAUUUUGCCUUACUCAAGAAUCUUGUGAUUAUUCCUUAGCACAAUCAUUUCUCGUGUCUAAGAAAUUCAUAUCUACUACAUGUCCAAAGAAUUUAGUAGCAUUCAAAAUUUAUGCUUUCUUUCAAGUCAGGUGUAUUGCUUGCAGUUCUAACAUGUUUCCUAUUUUGAACGUUGUAUUGUUAUUUUACUAUCAAUGUGUUAAGAGCAUUAUACUCUAUUUUCUAUAAUGUUGUUUACUUGUCAUAAGUAUUAAUUAUUUUAUUGCAAAUGUACUUGUUGCCAAGUUAAAGCAAAAGAGGAAAGUGAGGAUUUUUCAUGGACCAAUGCCUUUCUCAGUUGCUGCCACACUUGACUUCUCUCUAAGUUGUUGAAAAUUUAAAAGUGUGGUAGCAUAAAGUAUUCAGCUCAAGUGCUUUAGUGACUCACUACCCUUGAAGCUUUAGAAGUUGUCAAUACAAUUGGGGUUUCAACAUGUAACCAUUUUGGAAAUUCUAAGAAGUGUAAGUAUUAUGGUUUUACAACUUUAUUAGACUAGAUAGGCAACUUCAAAUUGCUGAAUGCCCUGAAUUAAAAUCACUACUAGAAGGAACCCAUGAGCACUCUAUAGAAACUCAUUGUAAGAGUUUGGGAAAAUGUUAGGGUUGACUGAACUACUAUUUUAUAACAGAUUUUGCCUUACUCAAGAAUCUUGUGAUUAUCCCUUGGCACAAUCAUUUCUCGUGUCUAAGAAAUUCAUAUCUACUACAUGGCCAAAGAAUUUAGUAGCAUUCAAAAUUUAUGUUUUCUUUCAAGUCAGGUGUAUUGCUUGCAAUUCUAACAUGUUUCCUAUUUUGAAUGUUGUAUUGUUAUUUUACUAUCAAUGUGUUAAGAGCAUUAUACUCUAUUUUCUAUAAUGUUGUUUACUUGUCAUAUGUAUUAAUUAUUUUAUUGCAAAUGUACUUGUUGCCAAGUUAAAGCAAAAGAGGAAAGUGAGGAUUUUUCAUGGACCAAUGCCUCUCUCAGUUGCUGCCACACUUGACUUCUCUCUAAGUUGUUGAAAAUUUAGAAGUGUGGUAGCAUAAAGUAUUCAGCUCAAGUGCUUUAGUGCCUCACUACCCUUGAAGCUUUAGAAGUUGUCAAUACAAUUGGGGUUUUAACAUGUAACCAUUUUGGAAAUUCUAAGAAGUGUAAGUAUUAUGGUUUUACAACUUUAUUAGACUAGAUAGGCAACUUCAAAUUGUUGAAUGCCUUGAAUUAAAAUCACUACUAGAAGGAACCCAUGAGCACUCUAUAGAAACUCAUUGUAAGAGUUUGGGAAAAUGUUAGGGUUGAUUGAACUACUAUUUUAUAACAGAUUUUGCCUUACUCAAGAAUCUUGUGAUUAUCCCUUAGCACAAUCAUUUCUCGUGUCUAAGAAAUUCAUAUCUACUACAUGGCCAAAGAAUUUAGUAGCAUUCAAAAUUUAUGUUUUCUUUCAAGUCAGGUGUAUUGCUUGCAAUUCUAACAUGUUUCCUAUUUUGAACGUUGUAUUGUUAUUUUACUAUCAAUGUGUUAAGAGCAUUAUACUUUAUUUUCUAUAAUGUUGUUUACUUGUCAUAUGUAUUAAUUAUUUUAUUGCAAAUGUACUUGUUGCCAAGUUAAAGCAAAAGAGGAAAGUGAGUAUUUUUCAUGGACCAAUGCCUCUCUUAGUUGCUGCCACACUUGACUUCUCUCUAAGUUGUUGAAAAUUUAGAAGUGUGGUAGCAUAAAGUAUUCAGCUCAAGUGCUUUAGUGCCUCACUACCCUUGAAGCUUUAGAAGCUGUCAAUACAAUUGGGGUUUUAACAUGUAACCAUUUUGGAAAUUCUAAGAAGUGUAAGUAUUAUGGUUUUACAAAUUUAUUAGACUAGAUAGGCAACUUCAAAUUGUUGAAUGCCUUGAAUUAAAAUCACUAUUAGAAGGAACCCAUGAGCACUCUAUAGAAACUCAUUGUAAGAGUUUGGGAAAAUGUUAGGGUUGAUUAAACUACUAUUUUAUAACAGAUUUUGCCUUACUCAAGAAUCUUGUGAUUAUCCCUUGGCACAAUCAUUUCUCGUGUCUAAGAAAUUCAUAUCUACUACAUGGCCAAAGAAUUUAGUAGCAUUCAAAAUUUAUGUUUUCUUUCAAGUCAGGUGUAUUGCUUGCAAUUCUAACAUGUUUCCUAUUUUGAACGUUGUAUUGCUAUUUUACUAUCAAUGUGUUAAGAGCAUUAUACUCUAUUUUCUAUAAUGUUGUUUACUUGUUAUAUGUAUUAAUUAUUUUAUUGCAAAUGUACUUGUUGCCAAGUUAAAGCAAAAGAGGAAAGUGAGGAUUUUUCAUGGACCAAUGCCUCUCUCAAUUGCUGCCACACUUGACUUCUCUCUAAGUUGUUGAAAAUUUAGAAGUGUGGUAGCAUAAAGUAUUCAGCUCAAGUGCUUUAGUGCCUUACUACCCUUGAAGCUUUAGAAGCUGUCAAUACAAUUGGGGUUUUAACAUGUAACCAUUUCUUUUUGUUCUUAUAGACAAUAGAACAAUGUGGUAAUUGCAUGACAUACAAUUUGUAAUAGAUGGUCAACUAUAUAUUAAGUAAUCUUUAAUUGCCUUGGAGUUGAAACGUUUGAUGUUGAUAAGGUUUGAUAAUUCUUGCUUUGGUGCUUUGUUGGAUUUCAAUUCAGGUAAUUAAUUGAUCUUGUUAUGAUUUUUUGAUUGUUAUUAUAACUAUCGUGAUAAUCAUUCUUAUUUUAUCGUGGUAAUUGACUUCACUGACUUUAUGCCCAACCUAUUAUUGUUAGUAUUCCAUUAACAUACCUCUAAUGCCACCACUAAUAAACAUCAUGUGUUUAUAUUUAUAACACGUUUCAUUACUGAAAUAAUUUAAUAUUUUCAAAUUUCUUUUUAGAGUGUGAGAAAUAACCAUUAAUCUUUACAACAGCAUAAGUAUCAUUGAUUUGAUAUUGCUUUCUUGAGUAAUUUGGCAAUUUAAUUAUGAAGUUUAGUUGGACAUUACUUGAGAUUCAUGUCUUAUGUAUAUGGUAUAUUUUCCAAACUUCAAUUAUAUUUAGUAGACUUGUAAGUGGUGUUUGUCUAUGAGUUUCAACUCUUGAAAACUAUUAUUGGAGUCUAAGUUCACUUUCAAUAAGGAAAAAAAAAAAUCAACCUUUUCCUCAAUUGUGUAAUUUUAUUCACUAUUGACAUGCCCUUAAAUGGCAUUGCUAUUAUUUGUAGGGAACAUUGUCAAGUUCCAUAUUUGUCUAGAAAGUUAGAAGAAGUAUUUAAUUUGACAUGGUUUGGACAUCUUGCUACUAUCUUUUUAAAUUAGUUAUCAAUAAUUUUUCAAAGUUGACCUUUUUGUUUAUCUCAUACUCCUUUUAUAUUAAAAGGUAUCGCAUGGGUAUUAUGUAGAGGAAUCAUGCCUUCUUUAAUUGAGGUGAGCCUCUUGCAAAAUAUUUCAGGUUUGCUCUCAUUCCAUUUGUUACUUCAUGUCUAUUUUUUUGUAAUCAAUCAAGCAAGAGUUUCUUACUUGUACAAUGGUGAACUUGCUUGCAUGAAUAAUACUCUUUUUACUAUUUUUUUCUUUCUUUAUUAUAUUCAUUGAUACGCUUAGAAGUGAAUAGUGAACCAGGUUUUUUGUUAAAAGAAAUCAAAUAUUGGUAAUUAUUUAGUAUCAUGUUUGUAAUAAUCAAUUAUUGAUUGUAAAGAUACUUGGCUUAAUCAAUUAUUAUAUUGAAAUCAAUUUAGUACUAUGACUAAUACCAAAAGGAUAAUAUUUAGUCUUGUUUGACCAUUAGUCACUAUUCUAGAGACAAAUGCUCACAAGUUUUGCAUCUUUGAAGCAUAUGAGAAAAGUUGGUUCAACUAUAUCACCAACUUACAAGCUCCUUAUAGUGUCCAUAUAUAUAACCUUCGUUGUUCAGGUUUAUGAUUCAUAUCUUUUUUUUUUUCAUCUUUUUAUUGUUUAUAAUUUUUUAAUUGAUUUGUUUAUAAAUUUUUAAACUUUAUUGGCAAUACUAAUUAUUUUUUUUUAUUCUCAUGUGCAAUAGAAUAAUAAGUUGAAUAAGAAGCAUAAACUACUUAAUUGGUAUAACCGUUUACUCAAUUCUCUUCUCAUAUAUUUUUGUUCAAGGUAAUCAAAGUAUCAUUCUUUUUAUUUUUAAAGGUACUUGAACUCAGUGAGGACCAUUCCCAAAACAAGCAAUCAUUACAGUUGGAUUACUGAUAUCAUAUCCUUGAUUGACAUCUAUGCCAUUACAUUUGCAUCUAAAGGAUUUAUAAUGAAAAAAUAUCUUUUUUAUUUCCAUUUUCCUUCCUUCUUUUGACCAUAAUUUGUGUGCUUAUUGAUAGCAUUCAUACCCUAAUAUAUUUGCUAGCAUAUAUAUGCAUAUCAUAAUCUAUUGAAUUUUUUAGCAUAAGGUCUUAGAGUAUUCACAUAUCUCUAGGUUCUAUAUAUUUAUAAUUUUUACAACAUCAAAUGAAGUAUAUGAACCUUAUCCUGAAGGUGAAGUCUCUUUAAAGGGAGUUUCAACAUGUUAGCAAUUACCUAACUUAAUAAUCUAACAAUUUGGCACUAUAUAUAAUUUUGCAACUCUUUCAUAAAGUAAUUGUGUUACCUUUAUUCACAUUUUCUAUCUUUAUUUUAAAAAAAAUGAAUUGGUAAUUGUGUGUCAAAUCUUGCUUACAAUCAUUAAUAGGUACUUAUAUGCUAAAUGGAUAAAGUUAUUUUACAAUUGUUUCAACAUAUUUGGAAUAUAUAUAUAUAUAUAUAUAUAUAUUUAUAGAUGUAAUCACUACCAAGCCAAUGCGAAAAGCUAUAACAAUGAGGAUUACAAAGCUUCAAUUAUGUCUUGGAGAUUCAUAUUGACAAGUUGUAAAUGGUGGGUGAAGUCUCUUUAAAAGGAGCUUCAACAUGUUAGCAGUUACCAAACUUAAGAAUCUAACAACUUGACACUAUAUAUCAUUUUGCAACUCUUUCAUAAAGUAAUUGUGUAACCUCUAUUCACAUUUUCUAUCUUUAUUUUAAAAAAAAAAAUGAAUUGGUAAUUGUGUGUCGAAUCUUGCUUACAAUCAUUAAUAGGUACUUAUAUGCUAAAUGGAUAAAGUUAUUUUACAAUUGUUUCAACAUAUUUGACACACAAGUACCUAUUAAUAAGUAUAUAUUUAUAGAUGUAAUCAUACCUAGCCAAUGCGAAAAGCUAUAACAAUGAGGAUUACAACGCUUCAAUUAUGUCUUAGAGAUUCAUAUUGACAAGUUGUAAAUGGUGGGUGAAGUCUCUUUAAAAGGAGCUUCAACAUGUUAGCAGUUACCAAACUUAAGAAUCUAACAACUUGGCACUAUAUAUCAUUUUCCAACUCUUUCAUAAAGUAAUUGUGUAACCUCUAUUCACAUGCUCUAUCUUUAAUUUUUUUUUUUUUUUAAAAAAAAUGAAUUGGUAAUUGUGUGUUGAAUCAUUCUUACAAUAUUUAAUAGGUACUUAUACACUAAAUUGAUAAAGUUAUUUUACAAUUGUUUCAACAUGUUCUGAAAACAAAAAAGAUUAAUAAGUAUAUUUUUUCUAGAUGUAAUCACUACCAAGCCAAUGUGAAAAGCUAUAACAAUGAGGCUUACAAAACUUCAAUUAUGUUUUGGAGAUUCAUAUUGAAAGUUGUAGAUUAUGGAUGUAUAGUAUAGGAGUUAGAUUGAGUUUAUCAUUCUAUCUUUGACAUCUUAGUUUUCUAUGUAUUGUCCAUCAUAUAUAUUUGUCAUCUAUUCUUUACAACCAAUUUUUUAAGGACUUCUAUGAUUUGUUUAAAUUUAUAUAUUUGUUUUUAUUUGUACUAGAACUUCACCAAGCUACAAAAGCAUCACAAGUAUUGCAAUUGGAGUUCAUGGAUCAGGUAUUUUAGUAGUUUUUGUACCUGAAAUUUUUUUAUGAUACUAAUGAGGAUGUUUACCUUGAUUAAUUUAACACUUAUAUUGCAAAUAUCUAUAUAGGAGUUCUAUACAUUUAUUUAAACAUUUAUAUACAUAUUUAUCCUCUUUCUAGCACAUUCUAAUGAUAUUUUUAACAUUGAUAUAAGUUGUUUGCUUGAAGGUUUCAACUAUUGAAAAUUAUUAUUCAAGCCUAAUGUUAAUCUUUUUCUAUAGUGGAUUUCAAAUAAUAAAUUCUUAUUUGAUUAUUUGUAGGGAAAAUAAACAACUUCUAUGUUUGAUAAGAAAGAAGAUAGAGUAGAUCAAUUUCACAAUAUACGAAUGCUACGCUUUCUAUACUUUUAAAGAUGGUUACAAUUGGCUUUCUAUACUUAACAAGUACAUCUUAGCUAAAAGUGAAAAAAUGUUUCUCUUUGCACAUGCCUUCACUACUAUUUUAAUUGCUAUCUUAAUAUGUUAUGGAAAAACCACGGCAAAUAACAAUAAUAAGGAGAAGAAAUAAAAGAACAAAAAUAUAAAACUUAUAAAGUAGGAUGAUCUAUGUGGUUUGGCCUAAACCUACAUUUAUAUGUGAAAAUGAAGAAGAACUUCCACUAUUAUUAAAGGAGAUUAAAAUCCUAAAGCUUUCAAAUCUCAUGAUUACACUAAAAAUGGACUUUUUUUUUUAAUCAAAAUCUCUUCCUUUAUUUUCUUGAUUAUAUAAGAAUAUUCCAUAGAGAAUUAAUUGUGUAAUUAUCAAAGAUAACUAUUCCUAAAAGAAAAAUCUUAUAAUAUGAUAUUUCCUUUAGAAUAAAAGAAAAAUCUCUUGUAUAAAUAUAUCAUAAUAGGAAAAUAUUAAAGACUUAUAAAUUGACUCAAAACAAUUUGAAAUAUUUUUCAACAAUCUCCACAUUGGCUCAAAUUCUCAAUAUUCAAAUAAACUCAAAAGUCUUCUAUGUUACUUUGCUCUUAUACACCCUUAAGGGAACUUCAAGUAAUAUCAAUACCAAUUAAGUCUAAGCAAUGCAUAAACUUAAUCAUAGAAAUAAGUUUAGCCAUCAUAUCUAUAAAAUUAUCAACUAUAGGGAUCUUUUUCAUUACAUUAGUACCUUGUUCAAUCACAUCUCUAAUAAAAUGCAUUCUAACAUCAAUAUGUUUGGUUCUCUCAUGUAACAUAUGAUUUUUAGUCAAAAGUAUGACACUUGGCUACCAUGAUAACAAUAAUCAAUGAUUGGAACCAAAUAAUUACAUUUUGUGUGCCUAAAAUUAGGCAUUCAUAUUUAAUAUCCAAUUCUAGUUUCAUCCCUUUACUCAAUUUUAUUCCUAAGUCCUUAAUUUUGGGUUUAAUGUAUUUUUUAAAUAUUUUCCUUCUUUUUUGGUAUAUUUAUAUCACAUUUUUGCUAGCCAUUAUAUUUUUCAUGUGUUGGUUGCUAAUUUUACACUACAUAGUUGUCACAUCAUCCAACUAAUGGUUGUUACAUUAUCCAACUAUGGGCUGCCACAUGCUCCAGCUACCUUAGCCUCCUUGCCAAGUAUUUUCCAUGCCAAAAAAAGAUUGACAACUAUUUCAAUUGGUUGGUAAAGUUGAGAAAAGCUUCCACCAACCUCGCCAUUAAGUUGUGCUCCUUGCUCCAAUUUCUAAUUUUGCUUUCUACCCUCUUGUGGAGUUAGUGUGGAAAUGACUUUAUACAAGGGAGAUGAAGGUUGGUUUUAAGUAAGGUAGCUUAUUUGUAAACUUGUAUUUCCUUCAUUCAGGCGGUAGUUCUCAUUUCUUAGCCUUGAUUUUCAAUUUUGAUCCUCUCAUCUUGCCUCUAUGAGUGGCCAACAUCCAAACCAAGGAAUAAUUUUUAAUAAAAUAUUAAUAUUAAUGUUCAAAUAAAAUCAUAUAUUUAUAUUCCUUAUCACAUUUAUAGGAAGAGAAAUAUUUGAGACUAGGCCCAGUUCACUUUUUAUAAUUAUAAAUAUCAUAAAAAUAUGAAUAUUAAUAUCCUUAUCCUCAUAAAAGCAUAAUUAAUUUAUUUUAUAAAAAAUUAAUAAUAAUAAUAAUAAUUACUAGUACGAUUUUAUUUUAAAUAGAUUUAAAAUUAAAUAAAGUUUAAUUUUUAAGGUAUACAUGCAUAAGUUUUUCAUUACAUAUACACAUUUAAUACUUAAUUAGUAAUAGUGUAUUCUAAAAUUUUUUUAUCUAGUCUAUAACUAAUUAAUCCAUUUUUUGGAAUUCUAAAUUGUUCUUAAAAAUUAAAAUAUUCAUUAAAGAAUUGAAAGUGUUUAUUAUGUUUAACUUAAUUUAAAUUUAUUUAUCUAGUGAGAAAAUUCAUAAAAUAUAGUUUUAUGUAUAAAGGAAAUAGUAACGACUUUACAUUUAACGAAUCUUUUAUUUUAUAUUGAUUCAUUUAAUAGUCUAUUAUAUAUAUUUAAAAUUUAUUAAACUCAUUAAUAAAUUCAAUACAAAGUUUUACUUAAUUUGAAAUUCAUCUCUCUAGUGAAAAAAUUGAAAAAAAAUAUUAUUUUGUGAAAAAAAAAUACAAUAAAAUCAUUCUAAACUAAUUUUUGUCCAUAGAUUUUUUGUAUUUAUUAGUUUAUUAUUUGAUUUUUAAAUUAAUUUAAAAAAUUAUUAGACUUAUUAAUGAAUCCAAUACAUUAUUUUUUUGUUUAAUUUAUUUAUCACACCAUCAAACAAACUUUUAUUAUUAGUAAAAGACCUCUCAAAAGAUGUUUUUUUUCUAAAUAAAAAAAAAUAUUAUAAACGAUGUUUGAUUCGAGAGUUUUUUAAAAAUAAAAAUUAUUUUAAAUUAUGUGUACAUAAUUGUUGCAAAUUUAUUUCUUUUUCCAUUACCAUUUUCAUUCCUACUUAACAUUGAAAUGAAAACAAAUAAUCAAUUAAACCUUACAUUUAUUCCUAAUCCAAUGACAAGAAUUGGUAUCACCGAAUUCAUUCCAUUCUCUAGUCUCAUGUAUCAAACAUAGUCGUAUAGUACCAAAAACUUCUUCUAAGUAAUGUGGAAUAUCACAUUCACUUUCAUACAGAUACAGUUUUUAUUGUAUCACAUGGAAUUGUGAGGCCUUUUAGUACCAUUUGUAAUGACCCACCUCCAAUUAUAUAAAUAUUAUUUGGUCUAAGUCCAAUGGACUCUAAUCGGUUUUAAAACUUGGCUAUACUGUUAAGAGAAGUCUACUAUGUAUACAAUCUUCUCCUAAUAAACAUGUGACAUAACAAAUGGUGGGACUCAAACUAAAGCAAGGCCUUUCAAACUGUCUACCAUCUUAGUUUCAGCAUGAAUUCAAUUUGUUCCAAACAACAUAACUCUGGAGUAUUUUAAACAAACGAUUUCCAUUUAAAACACAUUAUUAAAGUAUAAAGAAAACAAACCCGAUCUUCAAGCGGUUUUGGGGAUCACCUGUGGAAGAGCAGUGAAAUAGAAAUAUCCACUAAGUGUAUAGGGACCCAAGAUCAACACAUGCAACAGGAUAUCUAAUUCCUCCUAAUAUCAUCAGCAUGAAGAAAAUUGGCAUCAUUUCCACUGAGUUCUGAUGCCCUCUCUGAAAAAAAAAUAAAUGCAAAACAUUUGUUUUUUCUAAUCAUCGGUCAUCCAUACAUAGAAAAAUCUAUGUGUGAUCUUAAGCCAGAAAAGAUGUUGCAUCUAAUCAAAUUCACUAGACAUGAUGAUAUCUAUACUUUUUUUUUUUUUAAUUAUAUUCAUAUUUAUGUCAGAAAAUAAAUUUUUUAUUUUUUAUUUUUAGAACAUUAAACUUUUUAAAAGUCCUUUCUGGGAUAUUUUCUAGCUUUUUCCUUUUGCUAAUUUUUGUUAUUCAAACAAAUCUUAAGAAAGGAAUCAAGCUUGGACACAAUUAAAGAGCUUGGCAUCCUUGUUUUUAGAUUCCAAAGCAUAUAUAGAGAUUGGGGUAAAACACCUUGUACCUAAGAAAAAAAAAGGAAAAAAAAACACCACAACAAAAAAUUAACCAAAAAUCAGAAAACUAACUAGAAUAAAAAAUCAAGAAAAUAUUUUUUUCUGGGUUAAUAAUUAAUUAUAAUGAAAUCAAAAGAAAAAGAAAAAAUACAUACUUCUUCCUGGCUUUGCCUACACUGAAAGCCAUGAAAGAAUUGGAAAAGCAGUAAAGAACAAGAACAAGAACCACAUAUGGGGAAAGCAAAUCCUCUGUUGCCUUCUUCAGAUUAAAGGCAACUAAUAAACGGGUUAAGGGGUUAUGAGUUUGACUUGGUUGAGUUUGAAGCUACAAAAGUAAGAAAAAUGGUAGUAAUUUUGGAAGCAUUUCUAACUCUUCCAUAACUUGAAAGAUAAAAAAAUUUAAGCGUUAAAAAUGUUAAAAGAGCUUUUUAGAAUCACCCCAAAUGUACUCUAAAUUAUUUAUGACUUGAUGUCACCUUCACACUCAUUUUUCAGUGUCAUUUAAUUUUGGUGUUCCCAUAUUAAAGAUUUAGGGUAAUGUAAUAUUCAAGCCUUCGAAUUUUGCCUUCACUAACCUUUGAAUUUUAAUUAAAUUCUUUGAAGGAUAUUUGACCACUUCAUUGUCCAAAAAUGCUUAUAUUGCCAUUUUUUUGGGUCUUUUUCUAUAAUUCCAAUUUUACUAUUUUUCUUUUAUUUAUUCCUAUUAUUAUUUAGGCUAUUAUAUAUAAUAUUCUUAAUAUUAUAUUUAUAAUUGUUAAUAGUAUAAUUACUUUUUUUUCAUUUAUUUGUCAUUUAUAUUGCUUAUCUUAUCUUUAAUCAUGUAUAAGACUCAAAAACUGCAGAAAACAUUAAUAAGUAACUACUAAACUUCAAAGAGAUAAUAAAAUUCAACUACAUUGAUAUUACAAUAAUACAAAUGAAAUAUAUACCAACCAGCCCUUAAAGGGGCUUUUAAGAAAUAAUGAGUCUACUUCAGAUUGACAUUUAAAGUAGAAUCACCAUCUCUAUAGAUAAAUAUGAAGCCUAAAAAGAACAGAACAUCACUAAAUAAUAUUAAUAAAGCAACAAUUAGAUCAAUUGAUAGUGAAAAUAAAGGUUUACAAGAUGAAUCACAUAAAUAAGAACAACUAAAUUGAGAAACAAAUUACAUGUCUGACAAAUCUAAUGAGGGAAAACAUUGGAGCUAGGUGCCCAAUGAUUGGCUCCUUGAAGUUGACCUACCUCCUCAAUAGGUACAUAGGAGUCCUUACCUAAAAAAACAUUAAAAUCAAUAGGGCGAACAUAAGAUCUAAUAAAGGAUAUGAGUUUUCCUUUUUGUGCACCAAAGGAAGAUAAUGAAGUAGAAGAAAAUGAUGAGAAUUUUUUUUUUGGAAAAUAUGGGGAGUCGUUCUGUAAAUGAAGCAGAAGAGGAGAAGUUGUAAGUGUUGGAGAGAAAAAAGAAGAAGGACAUUUUUGUCUCAAUCAACAAUUUUGUUUUGUUUUUUAACCGGUGGGUUAUAUAUGCAAAUGUGGGGGUUAUUUUGACCCCUUUAACCAAAUAUCCCUCUUUUUUAUCGAGUUACAACUUUAAAUUAGGUGUAAAAAGAAAUUUUGAUAUGGUAGAUACUAUACAGUUAUAUAUUGAAAUUCCAUGGUUCAUUAGAUAAACCAUCCUUGAAUUUCUUUGGUUUCAAUCAAGAUGAUAGAUCAUCCUUCCACAGAGUGACCUAAUAUGACAUUGAUUUUCUAGGGCUUCAAACACGAAGGGUGUCAAUGACUAAGAACUCCGUUUGAUUGCCGAGAAAAUGAGGAAAAAAACCCUCAAAUAAAAUAUAAAUACAAUUAAGAAUUUCAAUUUUACAUUGUUAGGGACCCCAAAAAUGGGAACAUUCACUUAACUGAGCCUAAUCCAACCACCUACCUUAGUUCAAUCCAGUCCCCACUUUCUAGAAACCAAAACAAUAUAAACAUUCCUGUGUUUGACUAUUCAGAAAGCAUAUGAUAAGCAAAGAAAAGAACGGUGCCUCCUCAAUCAAACAAAUUUUUUUUUUUCCUUUUCUUUUCUUGCAUUUUCUUUUUUUCGGCAACCAAACAUAACUUUUUAAUUGAGCAUUGUUGUAUACAAUUUAGAUUUCUUUCCCUCGGUUUCUCCGUAACCAAACAGAAUUUUUCUCUAUUGAGCGAGAGUCUAGUAUAUCCUUCGUUUUCCUAUAACCAAACAGAACUUCCCUUGUUAUUUUUUUUAAUCUUUUCUUUGAAUUUCUCGGAAACCCAACGGAGUUUACUUCUGGUGCAACCGUGCAAGAAAAUGGUUUUACCUGAUCGCAGUUCACCGGACUAACUGAAGCAACAGAGGCUUAAGAAAAAGAGACUGAGCUUUGUUUGUUAGACCCCCUAUGUGAGUAUGCAAAGUAAGAAGAACUGAAGCUGAAAUUAGGCGGCUUCCAAACACGUCCUAGGAGUUGGUUUUAAAACCCAUUUUUCCCCUUUUUGGUUGCAAUCGGUCUGCAAAGAUGCCAUUAAAAGGUAACCGUAGUUGGUUGCAUGAAUAAGAAAAUGAAAAGAAAAGAAGUUAAAACUAAUUAAAAUUAUUUAAUAUUUACAUUGAAGAGUAAAAAUAAUUACAAUAUAUUUAAAUAAACACAUAAAAAUAAUAAUUUAUUAAUUUUAAAUCUAUUUUUAAAAUUUUCAAUUUUUCAUUUAUUUUAUUCCCUCUAAGCUUUCUAACUAAGGUCAUAAUUUGGACAAAUUGUUGGAUUCAUAACUAAUCUAAAUAAUCUAAUAGAGAUAAAUAAAUAAUUAAUUUAAGUUCAACCCAACCUCUAAGCUUUCUAACUAAGGUCAUAAUUUGGACAAAUUGUUGGAUUCAUAGCUAAUCUGAAUAAUCUAAUAGAGAUAAAUAAAUAAUUAAUUUAAGUUCAACCCAACCUCUAAGCUUUCUAACUAGGGUCAUAACUUGAACAAAUUGGAUGGUUAACAUACAACUUGGACAUAUUGGUGGGUUCAUAGCUAAUCUGAAUAAUUUAAUAGGGAUUAAUAAAUAAUUAAUUUAAGUUUAGCCCCACCUCUAAACAAAGGUAUUUAAUUCAAUCUCAACCAACUUCAUUUCUUCGAGCUCUGGUUGAUGAGGUUAAACUUGGGUUAGCCCUUGAUUGUAUAAUUCAAAAUACAUGUAGAAUGUUUUUUAAUAAAAAAAAAUUUAUAUACUUAUAUCAAAUUUUAAAUAGUAAGUAGGACAAAACUUUAAAAUAACAAAAAAAAAACAAAAAAAAAAAACAAAAGCAAAAACAAAGUUAUAUAUCUUUUUUAAAAAGUAAAAAAAUAUAUUAUAUAAUAUAAUUUGAUUUUUUAUUUAUAAAAAUUUAGAAAGAAUAAAAUUAUUAUAUAAAAUAACAUAUAUUGGAAAUAUUAUAAAAACACUAAAAGUUUGUUCAGUAGUUAUUCAAAUAAGUGUUUCUAUCCAUAAUUUAAACUUUGGUUUCAAUCUAACUUGAAUUGAAUUUGAGUUGAAAAAGUUUAACUUGAAUAUUAAAAAUAAUUGUCUAAACACGAUCAAAUAUCGGAUUGGAUUCGACUAAUCUGCCAAAGUUGCACUCCUACCAAGAACCAUACACAAUAAAAAGAUUUUAAGAUAUUUUUUGUUCUAGGAAAGUACUCAAAAAGGAGAAAUAAAGAAAAAAAAUGAUUCUAUAUGUAUAAUUAAAAUUAGUUAAAUUUUAUAUAUUUUAAAAUUAUUUAAUUUUUUUUAUAUGGAAAAGAAAAAAAAAGAGUGAAGUAAGUUUGAAAAAACAAGUAAAAAUGAUUUGUUAACUUUAAUAUUUUUUUUCUUUUCUUUUCUUCUAUUUUUUUCUUUUUAGUUUAUUUUUCUCAAAUUUUUCAAAAAAUAAACAUAGAAUUAAAAAAUAAGAAAUAAUUACAGAAUUGGAAACCAAUUUUAGAACUUGCUUAUAUGAUUGCAUUAGUUUGUGUAAAUAAUAAUUUUAUUGAAUGUUAAGAGAGUGGUAUUAAAUGCACAUUAUUUAAUAUUUUUAUUUCUAAAGAAAGUAAUCUUUACAUGGAUUGGACCAGUGUUUAUUUAUCCAUGUGGGCCAGCCCAUUAAAAACAUCAAACCAACAACUCAAGGGACGACCCUGGUCAUUCUCGGGGGCCCACAACCUUCAUCUCAAACAAAAGCCCAUGGGCAGGAUCACCUUCCACACACAUCUUCAUACCAGCCACCACGCUACCAACAAUCCUCCUCCAUGAAAGCCCACCUCCAUCACAGCAAGCAGAAAAUCCAACACGCCAACCAUCAACCUCCGCACAGACCUAACACUGCAUAGCCGUGUUUUAGGAGUGUUAGGACGUGAUUAGAGAGGAUCUACUUUGAGUGUUCAUGGAGUUUCGCUAUAAGAGGAAUCAGUUUACCAAAAAUUCUUCAUGAAACCAUCCAUUUAUCUCAGGGAACAUUUAUGAAGUAGAGUCAAAUAGAUUUACAAAUAAGAGAUGAUUGAUUCCUUUGAAUGAAAUAACCUUAUUUCAAAUUGCCCUAAUGUGGCCUAAUAAGCAAAAUUACUGGUUAUAUUUUGGACACAUCUCAGUAGAGGUUCGGGGGAGAAAAUAGAAGAAGCAGAGAUGCUUACUUACUUCAGAGGGGCCACUGCUCGCCACCACCACUUCAUGGCUGUGCCCAUUUCACUUGCCCAAGCCACUCUCUUCUCCAAACCCUCCAUUUUACUCCACAGAAAUGCCAUCAAUGGCUUCUCCUUUUUCAUUCCUUUCUCCUCUUCUUCUGCUCAGAAGAUUCAGACUCACAAGUGGAGGCAACCGGUGGUCUCGGUUCUGGAUCUUGGUGGAGUCAAGAUUGGCAGAGAUGGUAACAUACCCACAUCCCAGAAUUGCGUUUAAAAAGGAUCUUUAGCUUGAAUUUCGUGUGCCCAAUUUGCGUUUUUGCAGACAUUUGCACUCAAGUCGUGUCGUUUGUUUGCAAUUUCACAAUCUGAUUUCUUUUCUAUUGUGCGUUUUUUUUUCCUGCUAGGUUCGAAUUCAAGCAUCCAAUUUGCGUUUUUGUGGGUAGUCUUAUGCCCAACUUGUGUCAUUCAAUUUGCAAUUGUUGUUAUCAGACUUCCUUCUCUCUUUUGAGACUUACACAGUUAGAGACGUCAUUUCUGUGAAAUUAAGAAUGCAUGUUCCAACUUUCACUUCUUUCUCUCUCUCUCUCUUUUUUUUUUUUUUUGUGAAAUUGGAAUUCAAGAACUUAUUUUACGUUUUACAAGCUUAGCGGGUUACGUUUCUGUUCUAUUUGUUGUGCUGUUGGAGGUGUUUGGUGCAUUUAUAUAACUAGGCUUGCAAUUUCGCCCUCUGAUAAAGGUUAAAUUUUCUCCCUUUUUAUUUUAUAUUUUUUUAAUGGUGUAUUUGUUUUGGGUAUUUGGUGAAAUGAGGAUUUUGUACUGGGUUUAUGGCAUUUUUUCAAUUGGUUUGAUAUAUGUGAAUGUGGGUUUUGUAGGGAAGAUAUGCAAAUUUUUUGAAAGUAAGAAUGCAAUUACAACUCUGAUUUCCUUUAUAUUUAUAUUUUUUUAUGCUUAUUUGCAUAUUGGUUGAUGUCAAAAUUCAUCUAAUGGGUUGUUUUUUAUUGCUUUGGAUUGGUUUAAUGUAGUUGAAUGGUGGAUUUUGUUUCUAAAACUUAGGGUCAAUUUCAAUUUUUAUUUUAUUUUUUUAUUUUUUCAAUUUGAAGACCUGGGAGUCUAUGUGAUUGGAAUUGAUGUACUCGAGUUUUUGGAUUUUGCUGAUUGCCUUGAUAAACUUGGGAUGCAGAGCCUUAAAAAAUAAACUACAUUCACUAAGCUAUAUCUCUGAUUAUACUUCGUCAGAGCGUGAAAUGCAACUUGGAGUCUUUGUAUUUUUUAAAUUUUUUGGGUUAUUCUAUUCUGAAUAUUUGGUAAAAUUAGAAUUCAUGUACUGAACCUUUUUCAAGUUCUUUUGGUUGGCUUGAUAUAUUUGGUUGUGGGGUUUGUAGAUGUGGUGAGGGAUGAUCCUACAAACAAUGUCCCGGAUGCAAUUUUUUUGAAACUUGGAAUGCAGCUUCACAGGAGGGAUCAACACCCAGUUGGAAUUCUGAAGAAUGCAAUAUAUGAUUAUUUCAAUGCCAAUUACUCUAACAAAUUUGAUAAGUUGGAUGACCUUUGCCCAAUAGUCUCCACAAAAGAGGUUUGACCAUUAAGAAAUAAAAUAGAAAUUGUAUGCAUGUUUUUUUUUCACUGUUUUGAGCUAUACAUUGCACUAUUUGGAACUUGUAUUAUCUUUCUAUGACUGGUGCUUGACAUUUUGUUGCUGUUUAUAUUUAUUUUGCUGCUCAUUUCUUGUUGGUUAGUGUCCUGUCCUAGGUGUUUUAACAUUUAAGAAUCCAUGAAAGUGGUAUUUGCAUAUGUUGCCCAUUAUUCCAUCGACGAUGUUCUAAGUAGGGAACCUAGUAUCCAAACUUCCAUCCAAACUUACAUAUAAAAAAAAAGUCCAGAACAGGCAUUCAGUUUACCAGGUUUAUCAGUUCUCUCCAGUGUUUAUUCAACUCUUAAAUGCAGUAUUCUGGACAUACUCCAAAUUUGAAAUUCCUUUGGUAAAAUAAAGGCAUGGUACUUAUAGUGGUCUAUUAAGGAAAAGGUUUGUUUGACCUAGCUUUUGUACAAAAAAUUCAAGGAUAGUCUUGCAGAUAUGUAUCAUAUAGGUGUAUAUUUCUCUAUCAUGAUACAAGUGAGAAAAAAUUCAGGAAAGUUGUUUUGUUUAAAAAAAAAAUUGAAAGUUAAUUUAUGUUUUGAGAGGGACAUUAGGCAACCUAGGAUUCAAAGGGACAUAUUGUCUCUUAGGAAAAUAUAAUUCAUAGCAUUCUCAACCACUUACAGGUUAUUUCAGUCCUUUUAUAUUGAUUUAUUUAAUUUUUUUCUUUAUUGUAGGCAAGCAAAAAAGAAUUUUACAACACCUACUAUUAUCAUUAUUUUGGUAAUUAGCAUUGAUGGAGAUUGUAAAAAUUCUCUAAUAGUAUUGCAGGAGAAAAAUAAUAUUUAUGAAUUUUUGUUAAACACAAUUGUCAUAAUGAUAAUAAUUAAUUAGAAUAAUAUAAGUUUGUAAUUGGAAAAAUUUUAAAAAAUAAAAGCUUUUGGAAAUAGUUUGAAUAGGAGUAGAAAAUUCUUGGAUUUCAUGGAGAGCUUAGGUGGGAUCUAAAGCAUGGGGCUGUUUGCUAUCUAUUUUAGUAUUUGCUGCUCUUCUCUCUUAUAGGUGUUCAGCUGCAGCUUGUAUUCUCUGAGCGUACUUGGGUUGUGCCCCCUUUUGUGUUCUUCAAUAUAAUCUUCAGGCUCAUGACUAGUGCAAUUUCUACUAAUUGAACACUUUUCACUUCAAAUAAUAUUCAGUAAUCUAAAUAGCAUUUAUCAAAUUAUUCUAACCCGCCAUUAGAUUUAUAAAGAACCCAAAAUAUGAAAUUUUCUUCUUAGGCAUGAGAAAUUGUCAUUGUUAUAAACCCCAUGUUUGUCUUGUACUUACAAGCAUAAUUAUAAAGCAUGAUCUGCGUGUCUUAUCAUGAAAUAUAACAAUGUCAUAAAAUAGAUGAUUGAUAAAAUGUUAGAAGUCCAUUGCAAAUGCUUAAUGGAACUGAAAAUUAUUACAGAACAAGUGCAUAUUUCACUCAAACUUUUAUGCAGUAGUGGUAGCUUAUAAACUCACAACUUUGUAAUCAUGUGCUUGAAUCAAGCAAACUUAAUGGCUCUCAGCUACAACUGCUCUACAUUUUAACCAUUGUUUUAUGUUAUGGGAAUAGUGACUGAAUUACACAGUUCCAUCAUUAUAAUUUAUGCAUUGUAAUUUCAUUUGUGGGACUUAGUUUUCACAUGUGUUCACAUGUCAUAACUGUAAUUUCCCUAAUUUUAUGAGAAAGAAAAACUCUUUAAUUUUCCCUAUUUUGACUGAAACUUUUGGAACUUGGACUUUAUAUGGUGCAAAUGUAUGUUAUCAGCUAUUGCUUUUGACCAGUCAUGAGUAGAUACUAUUUAUAAAAAGACACAAAGGAGGAUAUAAUCCAAGUGCACUUGUAGUCAACAAGUUACUCUGGGCAUCAAAAUUGAAAGAAACAACAAUGAAGAAAAGCAGCAAGAAAGUGCCCCUACCUCCCAAACUCUCAAUGAACUAAUGGAAGGAUCUACUACUAUGCAAGAUAACUUCUUCUAAGCACAACUACACAUAACAAUACUUAGCCUGCGCUAUGGUGUCAAGUGGUAGGGUCAUUGGAACAUGCCUAUUUUGAUGGAUUUUAAUUUGUGGGGAUAGUUAAAGUGUAAAGUGUUUGAUAAAAUAAAUUUGCUAGUUUUAAUAAAUUGGAAUUACUACUGAAUGAAAUGUGAAGCUAGAUAUUAGGAGGAGAAAGAAAGAUAAUUAAUUUAUUUGUAUGACACUAUGACUUACACAUUGUGAAGCUUACUAGUAGGGAAUUGUUGAACAGGGGAACUUACUUAAUAGGGGAGAAAGAACCACACAUAUUUCUUGAUGAGUAAAUAUAAUUACAUUAGCCAAAGGCCAAAAAUAUAUGAGUAGUUCACUAAUUGCAUGUUAUUGGAAAGAGAGCUGAGCAACUAUGAUUCAUAAACUUUUUACAAUUUAAAGGCCUGGGUCCAAUGAGAUAUGUUGCAUCAUAUUACCUAAUGAACCAAUGAAGUUUAUGGAUUUCCAAAACUUCUUGGAGAGGUUCAUUAUUUUAUGGUUCUUUUUUUUUAGGGUUCUUUAUUUUCUCUUUGCUGAGAUAUCUAGAAUAUGGCAUGGUAGGUAUUUUUGCUCCAUACCUCUUUGGAGGUCGAUUCUUUGGCAAAGUAGGAGGAAAACAAAUUAGCAUCAACUUUGGCUUGACUUGAGAUCACAAAUCUGACUAGAGAUUUUGCAGUAGUGUGUUGAGGUCUAAUCUGAAUCCAGGUUGUGAUGUGUGCAUCAAAGAGUCUUUCCAUAAGCCAUGAAGCUUUGAGGUGUUUUGUGAUGGCAUGACUGGAUAAUGAGCUGCAUUUUGGUCUGGAAUUUGGAGUUCGGUUAUGCAUUUCUGUAUCUAUAUCUCCAAAAUUAUUAACUAAUUUUAAUUAUUUUAUCUAUUUUUCAAAAUAAACAUUCAAAAUUGAAAGUUUGUGUCACGAGUCUUCAGGCUUAUCCGGAAUAGAAUGCCCUGCAUUAACUCUUGCUGUUAAUGCAUAUAAUACCAGGUCAGUCAACACAGCCAUUCGCUUGCUUAUGUUGACUUUCAAUGGCUUAAAGUUUAUGGCUUCAAUGGUUAUUACCAUGCUAACACUCAAACUAAUUCUUUUUUUGAUAGGUAAAUAAGAGCUUGUAUUAGAAGCGCCUAGAAGUGGCGAAAACAGUACACAUGAAGUAUACAAACAGAUUGCCCAAGAAACUAGGCAAAGAAGACAAAAAACCUUUCCCCUAACUAGACAUAUGGCCACUCUAUAAAAUGGUCAUUGGUUUCCUCUUUCUCUUUACACAAGCAUAUUCAAACUAAUAACUAAUAGUUAUUGGAUUUAAAGCUUGUUUGUUAAUGUUCUUCAUGGUUGUGCUUCUAUUUUUAAUCGAUUCUCUUGGCCAUCACCGUUUCCCCCUUAUUAAGAUUGGAUAUUUAAGUUUCAACGAAACAGCCUACUAAAUCCUCCAGAUAGAUCCUAUUUAUAAGGCAUGGAAGUUUGGUCAAUGUCUGCUUCCAAGAUUCUUAUCCAUAUUUCUAUGAAUUCUUAUGCCAGAAAGUCUACUUCUUGCAGAAUUUUGAUGAUGUCUUGGUUCCUCCUGAUCACGUCAGUAGAAGUUACAAUGAUACAUACUACAUUGACUCCCAAACUGUCUUGAGGUGCCACACUAGUGCUCAUCUAGCAGAGCUAUUGAGGAGGGGACACACUCAUUUCCUUGUGACUGGAGAUGUUUAUCCUAGAGAUUCCAUUGAUUCAACUCACUACCCUGUUUUUCAUCAGGUUUCUUAUCUCUGAUUUUAUCAAUGAUUGUUUUCUAUUAACAAGUUUCUUAAUGUUUUCUUCAGUUCAAUAACUUAUCAUGCAGAUGGAAGGUGUUCGUGUCUUCUUUCCAGGUGAUUGGGAGACAUCUGGAAUGGAUGGCACGUCUUAUGCGGCUGAGGAUUUAAAGAAAUGUCUUGAGGGUUUGGUGCAGCACUUGUUUGGUAAACUUAGAUCAGGAGAUUGUCUUAAUCAGAUGCAAACUUAAUGCUAUCAGUUCAUGCUGCAGUGAGAAAUAUGAGUUAAGGAAUCAUUUAUCAGGUCGAAUAAUUCAAAAUCUGGGAAAUACUGCAAGUAAAAGGGGGGAAAAAUAAUGAAAUAAUAAAAUAAUAAAAUAAUAAAUUUAAGUGGGGAAAGCAAUUCAUUUUUUUUUUUUGAUCAGUAAGUAAUAUGUGUAUUGAAAAGAGGUGCUAAAGAAGCGACUCAAAAGUGGGAAAGCAAUUCAUGUUAUGCAAAAGCGGUAUAGGUUGGUCAUUUAGAAGUCAAAUCAAGAUAGUCCAGAAUAAUAUAGGGAAUUAUUUGUGAUUCUCAAGGUACUUGUUAAGAAUCAUUGAUAAAUUACGUAAGGAAACAUUUAAGAGUGCUAUUAUUCUUGAAAUUUCUGAAAUCUAUCAGAAAGGUAGUUUUCAUCUUGGGGUUUACCAUAUACUGUAUAGAAUCUGUGUGGGCUAAAUCUGUUGAAAUUUGCAGGUAAUGUGGAAAUGCGCUGGAUUGAUACAUAUUUCCCUUUCACCAACCCAUCAUUUGAACUUGAGAUAUAUUUUCAGGUAUGCUUUUGAUCUGGCUGGUGGUUGCAUUUUAGCACUAUAUAUUUCGAAUUUCUUUAAAACUUUGUUUUUGAACUAAUUUUAGUAGAAACAGGCUCCAUUUCAUUUUGCUGUUUUUACCUUUUGCAAGGAAGGGUAAAAAUCAUUUAAAAAAUGUGAACUUCAGUUUAUUCCAUUGCUGGCAUGUGUGGCUUUCAUCUGUUUUUGAAGACACUGAGAUUCAUAGACUGAUGAUAUUCCAAUGCUUAUAAUAACAGUAAUGUUGAUGAUAAAAUAAUAUAAAAGUAGAAACAAAAUUAGUUGUCUCCCUUUUUUUUUCUUUUAGUUUCUUUGUUCUUCUUACCCCUCUGUUGUGGGGAGGGGGUGUGGGGCUCUUUGUCGUUGCCAAAUGUGAAAAAGAAGAUGUAUUAUGUCCUUUUAUUUUGGACUUACAGGACCUAUUAUGAAGGCAUUGCUUUCUUCAAUGUAUAUUUAUGACUUCAAGACAUUUUUGUAUUUUAUUUUGUGGCAGCAUUUUUUAGUGUCACUAUUGAAGGAGAAAUUCAUAAACAUAUAUACACACAUGCUAGUGGGCAUACACAAACACUGAUGUUCCACACACUAAUUAAAAAAUUCUUGCUUUGAGUAGUAUCUUUUUCCAGAACUCAUGUCCAUGUCAGAUGGCAACAUGACAAUGACUAUUUGCCAGCAGAUGGAAUGCUGGCAACACUUUUAUGGAUUGAAUGUUUUCCUUUCCCUUUUCCUUGUAGUGAAUGAUGUGUACUUUAGUUGCUCUUACAUAUUUGAUGCAUUGUGCUUAUGCCCUAACUGAUGCAGAACAGAAAAGUACCAAAAAAAAUGAUGGGAGUCUAGGAAUUACUUCCAAAAACCUUAGGCUUCACAUAUAGGUUUCGUUUUCAUCACACAAAAAUGAAAACAUUGAAAGCUGGAAGGUUUUGUGUUUUCAUUCAUUGAUCCUUUUAGAAGAUAGAGUGAUCAGCUUUGGAAACUACAACCCUAAGACCCCUAAGACUCUUAAGACCCCUAACACUCUUUGGAACCAAUCACAGUAAUAAUUAAGCUGAGAAAUCAGAAACUUGAACUGAUAAAUAAAAAUUAAAAGGCACUUGGAAAUAUAAAGCAUUAAUGACUUUGAAAAUAAGAACACUCCAAUACCCACCCCCCGCCCUUCGGAAAACUCAACCUUGACAAGUUAAAGGCAUGGAGUUUCUCAUAAAGAUCACAAUUCAACUGCUGAAAUUCAUUGCUUGUGAUCCACAUACAAUCUCAAAGUGGCCUUUCUCUCCAUUCCACAAGAUACUUUUGAUAACCUCCUCUUCUGGUUGAAACAAUUUAGUGACCAACAACUUUUCAAUCUUCUCUUUCAAUCAAGGGGCUGGUAGAAGAUGACCAUUUGGACCAUUAAUUGAUGUAGCAGCUUUAGGAUUAGGAUAAAGGGUGCGGUCUUUAAUAUUAGAGAUCUUAUUAAUGCUCAUAUUUUCUGGCAAGUCAAGUACAUUAGCGUUGGGACUUGUUUUCCUGAGAAUUUUAUAGGGACCAACAUUCUUUGAGUGGAGUUUCUUAUAGGCACCUCUAGGAUAUUGUUCAGGCCUUAUUCACACAAUAACCAUAUCACCUUCAAUAAGUUGAGCAAAUUUUAUUUUCACAUCAUCGUAUGACUUAUUUAUUUAUUUGAUAGGCAAGCUGGAAAAACAUGUAUUCAUAUGACUUAUAAUUUCAUUGAUGAAAACAAUUUUCAUUGAACAUGAUGUUGUAUGUCAUCUAUAUGCUCACUAAAAGCAUCAGCUUCAAUGAUAGGUCAUGCAUCCAUUGGUAAAGGAACCAAAUCCAUAGGCUUUCUAGGAAGCGAUUCAGUCACAAUCUCAAAAGGACUGUGACCAAUAGACCUGUUCAGGGAGCUAUUAUUUGCAAAUUUGGCCAUUGAUCUGAUCUCUAGCUAGGCAGUGAAGUAAAUGAUCCAAGCUUCAAUUAACAACUUCUAUUUGGCCAUUUUUUUGAGGGUGAAAAGAAAAAGAAAACUUUAGUUUGGCAUUCGGUAUUUUCCAUAAAGUUCACCAGAAGUAACUCAUGGACCUACCAUCCAAUUUAGGAAAAUCAUGAAGGCGAACAAUUUCCUUGAAGAAGAGUUUUUUUUUUUUUUUUUGAUAGGUAUUCCUUGAAGAAGAGUUUAACAAUCAGGCAACAUCUUUAGUCCUUAAGCAUGGGAUAAAUUGUACCAUCUUGGAGUAAUGAUUUAUCGCUACAAGUAUACAAUCAUGUCUCUAAUAGUUUUUAGAAAACCAGGGACAAAAUCCAUGCACAGGUCUAGCCAUGGCUCAUGUGGCACAGAAGUGGCAUGUAUAGACCUAUAUUCUUCCUUUGCCUCUUUGAUAAUUUGCAGGUUCGAUGUCUGGAGACAUUCUUAGCCACAUUUUUUCAGACUUGGUCAAUAAAAAUGAUUUUCCACCAUUGUAAUGGUUUCAUCUCUUCCAAAAUGACCAGUUGUUUCUCCAGCAUGAAGUUCCAAUAUUACUUGCUCAUGAAAUGAUGUUUUGGGUAAGCAAAGCUGAGUCCCUUUGAAGCAAUAUCAAUCAUGUAAAAAAUCACCAUAUUCUCCCGAAUUUCUAGGCACUAAAGCAACACAUAUAGUGCUAAAAUCUUUGCAAGAAGGAUAAGGUCUAUUGAACGAGUCAAAUCCAACAACUUGUACUGCAAUAGAAGAAAGAGUGUAUGCCAAUUUGCUAAGGGCCACUGCAAAGAAUUCUUUGCCAUUGCAAAAUGUGCACAUAUAUGUUGUUGAAAAAGAUGUUUAGAGCAUGCAUUAAACCUCACAGAUAGGUUUUUUACAAUAUGGGUGUACACAUUGACAUUACUAUUCACAUCAAAAUGAAAGAGAUUAAAAUAUUAAAUAGCAUCAUUAUCAUUUAGAUUCUAUAUAUGUUUUACCUUCAACACACUUAAGUUGUUUGAAAUUUUCAUAAUAUAUCUAAUUUAAUGGUAAUAUAUUAUAAAGACCACACAAAGAAACUUAAGAUGAUUGAAAAUUUCAUAAUAUAUUUGGUUUUAUGACAAUAUAAUAUAAAGACUGAAAAAAUAAAAUAAUGUUUGACGUUCCAACCAUAAUACAUUGCUGUUACUUCAAAAAUUAGAAAAAAAAAACAUUCAUAAUUCAUUGCAAUAAAAACAAAUACAAGAUUCUAAAAACUUUAUCACCUAAAUUCUGCAUGUAGAACAAGAGCAAAGUUAGGAUCUUUCUGUGUGGUUAAGUGAAACUCGGUUUCUUAUCCUACUUUACAAUUUUUGGUUUCUUACUUAUUCAAAACAAAGGUCGAUAAUAUUAAUAGUGUACUUGAUAUAUAUGGAAUUACCAAAGACAACAAGAUUUGCAUAUGGAAUCAUAAAAGAACACUAGAAUGACAAUUAAUAAACAUAUAAAGAUGUACAUUUGAGUUGAGACACACCUUGAGGAGAGAUACAACAAAAAAACAUAAGCAAAUGCACCCAAGGAUUAUGGAAUUCUCCUCCUUUUUCCUCUGGCAAACCUCACUUUUCUACAUGAUAAUGAAUUUAUCAAAAAUACAAAUUGAUACUAAAACAUAAUAAUUAUAGUCAUAUCCCCUUAAGGCAUUAAAAUAUUAGAAAGUCUCUUGAUGAGCACAGAGGGUUAAAAUUAUGUUUAUUGCUUGGAUACAACAAAAUGAAGUUACAAGUAUACUAAAUAAUAUACUAGGAAAUAACAUAUCGACACCAUAUAUAAGAGUAGAAUUGAAGCUAAAACAAGAACUUUGAAUGCAUGUUUUGCACCCUUUGUGUGGCUUUGCCUUAUUAUAUAGUUCUAUACAUCAUGUAUACUUUAAAAAAAAAUUGUUUUGCAUGUUUUUUCUUAGGGGCCUUUUUAUGCAAUUUUAUUUUCUUAUCACAAGAAAGUUGAUUAGAGUUUUUGUAAUUUAUUUUCGUCAUAAUUUCAUUGUAAUAUAAAAAAGAAAAUUUGAGAUUUUUCCUAAUAUUUUUGCUUUACUCGAUACUUUUCAUGAUUUGAAUGGAGUUUUUUACUUUUUUGUGUGAGACUUGGACUCAUCAAUGUCUCAUAGUGUUCAAAAUGGAGCCUUUUGCAGAGGUAGAAGAAGCACCUACAACACUAAUGAUGGAGUUACUUCAGGAAACAUGACUUUCAUUCCUGUAAAAAUGGCUAAGACAUUUCAAUUUUUUGACCACUGCACAAAAACCAUGUUUUCUUAAUUUCUGAAGGAGUUGUAUUUUUUAAAUAAAUUUUAUACAUAAACAACACUUGAUCUCAAGAUCAACUCAAGUAAUCCAUGUCUAAUAAAAGGAUGUGAGAUACACCCUCCUCAACUUGAAGGAGUGUGAGCCAAUUGAAUAAGAGUGUUUUGAACAACUUGAAGACAAGCUAUACUAUAUGUUGUACCAUCCUUUUUGAUGGAACUCAUGAAAGGCUAGUGGAUAUGAGUCUUUGAGGAAUGAAUUAGGCUCAAUGCUGUUGUAUAUAAUUUAGAGUAGAUAUUUGAAAUGUAUGGAUAUUAUUUGUAGUACCAUCAUGGAUAUGAGUUGUGAUGUUUAUUUUCCUUGUAAUUUAUUUUAUGCAUUUAAGUGUCUUAUUUCAAAAAGGUAAAAUUUUUAUAUUUGAUUACAUUAGAGUUUAUAUUUAAUACUUUAAUUAGGAUGACUAAUGAUUAUAUAUUGAUGUAAAUAUUAUUUUUCACAAAGAUAGUUCAAAAGUUAUGUUUGGAACCAAAUCCCAAAGGAAAAGAAUUCUAAAAUUAGAUUUCAGUCUCUUGGUGAUCAUGAUUGGUAUGAGAAGGAAUUGAAAUGAAAACAAUUCUCUCGGGUCUGGUAUUAUAACGAGAAUAAAUAACUUUGGUGUACUAGUUUGACCAUGCUACAACAUAAAUAUGAAUGAUCUAAAUAUUAAUUCUUCUUAACUAAAAUCAACCUAAUUAUAAAUUUAAUUAUAAAAGUAAAUAAAUUUAUCAUAACAAAAGUAAUUAAGAAUGUCAUUUAUAUAAAAAUUACAGAAACAAUCAAUUUCAAUGAUUUAAAAUCACUUCUCAACAUUAAACUUAAAAAUCCCUCUAGCAUGAUCUAAAUUAUCUUAGAAUCGGCUUUUUAAUUCACUUAAAAUGCAAAGUAACUUACACUAGUUUUAAAAAAUUAAAAGAUUAUUAUCAUAAAAGAAUAUUUGUUUUUGUUUAAAUCCCUUUACUCCUCUAUUAAUAAUUAUAAAAAUAGAGAAAUAACUAAAAUAACUAAAAUAACAUGACAUAAAUGAUAAAAAAGAAAAAAAAAAAAGAUAUAUAACCAAUGUUUUAAAAACCGGACCAGUGAUCGAAUCGGAAAAGUUACCGGUUCACGGUUCACUGGUCGGACCGGCGGUUGAACCGCGGUCGAACCGGUGAUGUAAUAAAUAAUUAAAUAUAUAAUUUAUAUAUUAUAUAAAAUUAAAAAUAAUUAUAAAAAUUAAAAAUAUAUAAAAUUGCAAAUUUUAAUAAUGUUUGAUUCUUAUAUAUGGUAUAUUAAAUUAAAUGAUAAAGUUUAAUAUUUUAAAUUUUAUUAAAUAGAAAUAUGUAAUAUUUAAGAAAGAAAAUAUAUUUAAGAUAAAAAAUUUAUAAUAUUUAAUUUUAUCCUUUUGUCUUUGUAUUUUAUUGUUUUUAAAUUAUUCUAUUAAUUAAUUUAUAUUAUUUUUUAUAAUUAUUAUAAAAAUAAAGAAGAAUUAAAAUAUUUACAUUUUUUUAAAAGAUUUUAUAUGAUAAAAUUUUGAAAUAAAAUCAAAGUUCUAUGUGUCCAACCCUCAAGAGGCAAUGUUUUCCUCUAAUAGUCUCAUUCCCAAUCCCACAUCGAAAGCACAAGAAUUUGAUGUGCUCCAUGUGCUCUAUAAAUACCUUCCAACUUGCCUUUAACCCAAACAAGCUAGCAAGUUGGGCGUGGAAGCAUGGCUCAAGUGGAAGUGUUAUUUUAAAAUAAAAAAUGCAGCAAAUUGGGCUUGUAGACAUGGCCCAAAUAACAGUGUUAAUCUUAUCAUUGGACUAGGCCUAGUGGCUUGAACCAAAGAUGAGUUUGUAGGCAUUGGGCCUAGAAUGGGCCUUUUACAUAGUAAACAAAAACUUGUUAUCUAAGGUGUGACCUGCAAACCGGACGGGUUGUCCGAUUCGACGAUUCAACUGUCGGUUUGAACGAUUCAAUGUCGGUUUGAUCACAAAACGAUUCAUUGAGCGGAUCGAACCGGAUAGUUCACCGAUCGAUGGUUUGAUCGGUCGAUUUUUAAAACCAUGUAUAUAACUACAAUGAUAUAAGUGAAAUUAAUUAAAAUUGAGAAUUCACUCAAGUUAGAGAAUUAUUUAUUCUAAUAAAAAUAUUAAAGAAAUACAUUACUUAUUGUAACAAUUUUUUUUUCUUCUUGUAUUCUAUGUGAGCAUCUAUAAUAUUGAAAAUAGAAAUAAAAGAAUCCCCAUUCAUAUUUAAAAUAAUUUAUUUUAGAAGAUUCUACCUUUAAAAAGUCCAUUAAAGUUCAAAAAGAGAAAAAAGAUGAAAUGAAUAGUAUGUAAAGAAAAGAGAGUGAAAAAGACAAAAAUAUAUGUAUUAAUUUAAAUUUAAAGAGAAGAGGUAAGAGUAACAGGGCAACAUCGAAAAAGAGAAAGUUUACUUUAAUAAAAUUGAAAUCUCAUAAAUUAAAAACUCAAUUGCUAUUCGUAAUACCAUUUUUACUAAUGCGACAUUUUACAUUUCUAAACUACCCUCCCUUAUUAUUUCCCCUCUCUCUUUCAUCUCUCAUCUCUCCUCUUUCCCCUUUCUCUUCCCCAACCUCACGUCCCAAUUGCACCAUUUUUUAUUUUCUUUUUAUUUAUUUAUUUUUUCCCAACCCCCACCCCCACAUUUUAGCUUUCUUUUUAUUUUAUUUUAUUUUUAUUUUCCUUUUCAUCUCUACCCACCCAACCCCCCACUCCACGUAAACUUUUAUUUUUCUUUUCAUUUCUUUUAUUUUUUUUCACACUCUAUUGUUUUUCAUAUUCUUCUUAUAUUUUAAAACAAAAUAAUUUCUUUAAAUAAUAAAUUAUAAAAUGAUUUUUUCACCAAAAGUGCGUUAUAUAAAAUGAUUUUAUUAUAUUCAAUAUUUUAAUGUGAAAUUCAUAACUCAAUUUUUUAAAAUAAGAAUUAUUAUUAAAAUUUUAAAAUAAAAAAUAUUUAAUUGAAAUGGUUUAAAAAAAAAUAUUUUAAAAUAUAUAAUUCUUUAUAAAAAAAAAUGAAAGUUAUAAAUCUUAUUUGAAAAUUGUCAUCAGAUAUUGAAUUUCAUUAUUCAUUGUAUUUCGUGUGUGAUUCAUAGCCUUAAUUAAGUAGAAUUUAGGUUCGGUGUUGAAAAGAAGUUAGAGAAAGUUCUUUAUUAAAAAUGGUAUAUGUGGAAAAAAAAGUUUCCUUUAACACAACUUUCCAUUUAAAAUUCUUAAAAAGUUGUCUGCCAAAUCCUUUAAAAUUCUUUCCUUCUAAAAACCUCCACUAUUCCAAAUCCAUUCUUCCCUUUUUCCAUUUAAUUCCCUUGAUUCCAAAUAAAGUAGAAUAAUAACAAUCUUUCUAACAAGUUAAUAUCAUAUAAAAGCAAAUAAUAACAAUCUUCCUAAUAAAAUUCUUUCCUUCUAAAAAUCCCCGUUAUUCCAAAUCGAUUCUUCCCUUUUCCCAUUUAAUUCCCUUGAAGCAAAGUUACGAACAUUUGGAAAUACAUUACAAGAAUUUUGUGGAUUUCUUCAAGAAUGAUUAUAGAAGCAAAAGUUUAGAAACAUUAAAAGGGUAAUUUUUAAAAAUAAAUUAUAGAAAAAUCCAAUAAAUAAUUAUUUUUUUCCUUUAUUGAGGCAUAUUAAAAAAGUACAAUAUUCUAAAAAUAGGUAAUAGAAAAAAUAUUAUAACAAAAAGGUUUAUUUCUUUAGUUAUAUUAAAACAAAAAACAAAAAAUAACAAGGUUAGUUCAAAGAUUGAAAAAAAAAAAUACAUUAGAAAUAUUAUCAAUGUUUUAGUUUUAUUUUCAUACUCAUCUUGGGGUUUAUAUAAAAAUCAUUAAAUGAAAGUGGGUUCUAAAAGUCAAGAAAGGUUUAUUCCCUUAAAUGAAAGUAUUUUUAAAAUAUAAUUCUCAAAUAUAAAAUUCAAUUGCAUAACAAUCGUUAUUACCUUCAUAGAUACUUCUACUAAACAAACAAGUAAACUGCUAUCCUAUUAAAACAUAUGUUUGAAUUUUGUAUAGGCAUUUGAUAAAUAUAUAUAUAUAUAUAUAUAUAUAUAUAUAUAUAUAUAUAUUCACUUUGUGAAUAUAAGCUUCAAUGUUAUUUAAAUUUUCUUUUUUUAAAAAAUAAAUUAAACCCUUAUUAAGAUAUUGAAAACAAUAUUUUUAUUUUUAUUAUUCAUUAAAUCUUAUCGACACUCACUACUUAUUAAUACUCAUAUUUAAAUAACUUUAAAAAUUAUUACCCUUUUUUUUAUAAUAAGUGUCUAGUAAGUUUACAAAAUACAGGAGUUACUAAUUUUUCUAUUUUUCAAAACAAAAGAUAUAUUUACCAAUGGCAUAUUAAAAUUGUAUACCUCUUAACUAGUUUUGUAAGUGCACUAUUUUUUAAUUCCACUUUCAAUAUACUUCUCAUCAUAUAUUUUUAUAGUUAGAAUCAUUUAACAUUGACACAUUCAACAAAUCUUCAUCCAAACAAUGAAUAUGAAAAAUUAUAAAUUGAAUAAGUCUAUAUAUCGCCUAAAAUUGAUGAAAACACAAUAGAAUGGUAAUACUCUCCUCUUUCAUGUUCAUACAAACACAAUUUAACAUUUGGAUUAAACUUUUUGAAAUAUAAGUUUUUAUCAUUAAUUUGAAUUGAAACACCUUAUUGGAAAAUUGGGAGUCCUAUGAAGAAUUUACAAUACAGAAAAUUAUCGGUAAUUAUUAAGUAAUUACAUGGACUUAAAUAAAAAAGAAAAAAUUAGAGACAUGAAAUUGCUUUUAGAACUAAUCCAAUUGGUGGAAAUUUGAGAAAGCCUCCCAAUAGCCAAAGUAACAAACCCUAAACAUAAUAAUUAAUUCUUAGUACUAAGGGUAUGAAGACUUAAACCUCAUUCAAUGCAAACCAAAUCAUAUAGUGAGCUAUACUUUUUGUGGAGAAGUUAUUUUCUUGGACGCUAUAAUAAAAAUAUUUAGAUGGAUGACUUAGUACUUAAGAAAAAUUUUGUUUGUAAAUGUGAAUUCAUGUAAUCCAUAUAUCCUAAUGUUUUUAAUUUUUUAGUUUUAUUUUCAUAUUUAUCUUGGGGUUAUGUAAAAAGCAUUAACAAUAUUAUUUCGGAAUAACUAUUAAAAUGUUAAUUAUUUAUUUGUUGGUAUUAUAAUUUGGGAUGGUGAGAAUAGAGGAGCAAAGUACAAAGAGUCAGUGUAAGUAGGCCACGUGUAAUAUAUCUUUUCUCUUCCAACUUAGGCCCCACCCAAUAAUGGGCUUGGGGCAAAGCACCAACUAUUCAACUUGGAUUGGACUAGGCUAUCUAAGAAUUUGACAAUUUGUUGCUACUGCCUUAAUCUUUGUUUGUGGAUAUUUAAGAAUUUCAUUUUUUUUCCUUUAAAUACAAGAAUUCACCAAUUAAAACUAUGAACAUAUUUAUCUAUAACGAGGAAUUGGAAGAAAAGUGGGUUUAAAAGUCAAGAAUUUAACAAUAUAAAAAAAUUAUCUUUAUUUUUAAUAAAAAUAUUUUUUAAAUAUAAUUCUCAAGUAUAAAAUUCAAUUGAAUAACAAUGAUAAUUAUUACCUAAUCUACUAAACAAACAAUUUAAAUGCUAUCCUUUGAGAACACACAUUUGAAUUUUUUUUUAUAUGUAUUUCGUAAAAAGUUUUUUCUUUUUUACUUUGUUAAUAUAAGUGCUAAUAUUAUUAUUAUUUUUUUUAAAAGAUCAAACCCUUAUUAAGAUAUCAAAAACACUAUUUUUAUUUUUAUUUUUCAUUAAAUCUUAUUCACAUUCACUAUGUAUUCAUAGUAGCAUUUUUUAAGUAGCUUUAAAAAAUUAUUACCUUUGUAAAGUAAGUUUCCAUGAAGUCUGAGUUACUAUUUUUUUUUUUCUAUUUUUAAAAAUAGAAGAUGUAUUUAAAUGACACCCAAUUCAUUAAAAUUAUAUGCCUGACAACUAGUUUUGUCAAUGUGCUAUUUUUAAUUCCAUUUUCAGUAUACUUGUUAUCAUUUUUUUAAUGGUUGAAAUCAUUUAACAAUGAAUACAAAGCUUCACCCAAACAACGAAAAUGAAAAAAUUAACACAAAUUAACAUUUGGAUUGAUUAAACUUUCUCAAAUGUAAGUUUUUGUCAUUAAUUUGAAUCAAGAUGCUUGAUCGAAAAAUUGGGAGUCCUCAUAAGAACUUACAAUACAUAAAAUUAUAGGUAAUCAUUGAGUAAUUCUAUGGACUUGAAUGGAGAGAAAUUUUAUUCUAAAAAAAAAAGAGAAAAAAAUAGAAAAUUAAAGUCAUGUGAUUAUUUUCAAAACUAAUCCAAUUGAUGGAAAUUUGAGAAAGCCUCCUAACAGCUAAAGUAACUAACCCUAAACAUCAUAAUAAAGCACUAAGGGAAUAAGGACUGAAACUUGCUUGAUGCAAACUACUAUCUUUGCAUAUCUAAGUCUUCGAAUGGGCAAUAAUGCUUUUUGUGGAGAAAAUUGGACUUUUGCCCCUUAUGAUACACAAGCCAAGACUAAGAUUAAUUGCUCUCUUUAUUCCAAGUCUUUUGCAUAUCUAAGUCACACUAAGAUUAAUUGCUUUCUUUAUCCCAAGUCUUUUGCAUAUCUAAGUCAUCCAAUGGGCCACACUUUCUAUGGAGAAGACUAAACUUUUGCCCCUUGCGGUACGUAGGCCUCAUCCAAUGGGCCACACUUUUUAUGGAGAAUGCCAGACUUUUGUCCCUAGCAAUAUGAAUGCCAACACCAAUAUUAAUUGCUUUCUCUAUUCCAAGUCUUCUGCAUAUCUAAGUCCAUCCAAUGGGCCAUACUUUUUAUAGAUAAGACUAAACUUUUGCCCUUGUGAUAUGAAGACCAAGACUAAUUGGUUUCUUCAAUAUUCCAAGUUAUGUGCAUACUUCUAUGUAGGGUAAUAACAUAAGGAAGUUUCAUAUGGUUUUAUAAUGUGAGUCUAGAUUUGUUAUUCUGUUUUUUUUUCUUUACAUGCAUACACACACUUUUCCACUUAAAUAACAUAAUUUUUAUUUUUUCAAAUAAUCUUUGACAAAACUUUUAUCAUACCCCUUUUUAACUAUUAUACUAUUUUCCCAUAUCUAAAAUUUUCAAAGUACACAUUUUGUUUUGCAAUUAUUUCUUAACUACGUACAUUCCUUGGACACUACAAAAAUGAUUUUAUUUGAAAAUUAACCAAUAAAUAUAUUUAGAUGGAUGACUCAAAAUUUAAGGAAAAAAUUUGUUCAUCAAUACUAUUUCAUGUAGAAUAUAUAUGCAUAUGUAUCAAAGAAAAAUUUGUGGAUAUUUAAGAAUUUCAUUUUUUUUCUCUAAAUACAAGAAUUCACCUAUUAAAACUAUGAACAUAUUUAUCUAUAAUGAGGAAUUGGAAGAAAAGUGGGUUUAAAAGUCAAGAAUUUAACAAUAUAAAAAAAUUAUGUUUAUUUUUAAUAAAAAUAUUUUAAAAAUAUAAUUCUCAAGUAUAAAAUUCAAUUGAAUAACAAUUAUAAUUAUUACAUAAUCUACUAAACAAACAAGCUAAAUUCUGUCCUUUGAGAACACACAUUUGAAUUUUUUUUAUAUGUAUUUCGUAAAAAGUUUUUUUUUUUACUUUGUUAAUAUAAGUGCUAAUAUUAUUUUUUUUUUAAAAAUAUAGAUCAAACCCUUAUUAAGAUAUCAAAAACAAUAUUUUUAUUUUUAUUUUUCAUUAAAUCUUAUUGACAUUCACUAUGUAUUCAUAGUAGCAUUUUUUAAGUAGCUUUUGAAAAAUUAUUACCUUUGUAAAGUAAGUUUCUAUGAAGUCUGAGUUACUAUUUUUUUUUCUAUUUUUAAAAAUAGAAGAUGUAUUUAAAUGACACCCAAUUCCUUAAAAUUAUAUGCUUGACAACUAGUUUUGUUAAUGUGUUAUUUUUUAAUUCCAUUUUCAGUAUAGUUGUUAUCAUUUUUUUAAUGGUUGAAAUCAUUUUACAAUGAAUACAAAACUUCACCCAAACAACGAAUAUGAAAAAAUUAACACAAAUUAACAUUUGGAUUGAUUAAACUUUCUCAAAUGUAAGUUUUUGUCAUUAAUUUGAAUCAAGAUGCUUGAUCGAAAAUUGGGAGUCCUCAUAAGAACUUACAAUACAUAAAAUUAAAGGUAUUCAUUGAGUAAUUCUAUGGACUUGAAUGGAGAGAAAUUUUACUCUAAAAAAAUAGAGAAAAAGAAGAAGAAAAUUAAAGUCAUGUGAUUACUUUCAAAACUAAUCCAAUUGAUGGAAAUUUGAGAAAGCCUCCUAACAGCUAAAGUAACUAACCUUAAAUAUCAUAAUAAAGCACUAAGGGAAUGAGGACUGAAACUUUGCUUAAUGCAAACUACUAUCUUUGCAUAUCUAAUUCAUCCAAUGGGCAAUAAUACUUUUUGUGGAGAAAAUUGGACUUUUGCCCCUUGUGAUACACAAGCCAAGACUAAGAUUAAUUGUUGUCUUUAUUCCAAGUCUUUUGCAUAUCUAAGUCAUCCAAUGGGCCACACUUUCUAUGGAGAAGACUAAACUUUUGCCCCUUGCGGUAUGUAGGCCUCAUCCAAUGGGCCACACUUUUUAUGGAGAAUGCCAGACUUUUAUCCCUAGCAAUAUGAAUGCUAAGACCAAUAUUAAUUGCUUUCUCUAUUCCAAGUCUUCUACAUAUCUAAGUCCAUCCAAUGGGUCAUACUUUUUAUAGAUAAGACUAAAAUUUUGCCCUUGUGAUAUGAAGACCAAGACUAAUUGGUUUCUUCAAUAUUUCAAGUUAUGUGCAUACUUCUAUGUAGGGUAAUAAGAUAAGGAAGUUUCAUAUGGUUUUAUAAUGUGAGUUUAGAUUUGUUAUUUUGUUUUUUUUUUCUUUACAUGCAUACACACACUUUUCCUCUUAAAUAACAUAAUUUUUAUUUUUUCAAAUAAUCUUUGAAAAAACUUUUAUCAUACCCCUUUUUAACUAUUAUACUAUUUUCCCAUAUCUAAAAUUUUCAAAGUACACAUUUUGUUUUGCAAUUAUUUCUUAACUACGUACAUUCCUUGGACACUACAAAAAUGAUUUUAUUUGAAAAUUAACCAAUAAAUAUAUUUAGAUGGAUGACUCAAAAUUUAAGGAAAAAAUUUGUUCAUCAAUACUAUUUCAUGUAGAAUAUAUAUGCAUAUGUAUCAAAGAAAAACAUGAAAAAUUGAAAACUAUACAUGUAUAAAUAUUAAGAUAAGAUUCAUAUAUUGGUGCAAGUACAAAAGAAACAAUAUUUCAACAAUAAUGCUUUUUCCCUUUGAAACUUUACAUGGCUUUACUUGGAAACAACAUUUGGAUACAAGUACCAUAUACAAUUUUUUAAAAACCGUUCUUCAAAAAAUAAUUCUUAAAUUAAGACCGUUUAUGAUUUUACGUGGAAUUUGUGUUUUGAAAAAAUGGGUUUAAUAUAAUAAAAGUAAGCUUUUUAAAAAAAAAGAAAAAAAAGAAAAGACAAGUUAAGUAUAAAAAGUAGGAAUUACUCAUAUAUUGAAGAGAUAAAUUUAAUGUAAAAAAUAAAAAAAGUAAAAAAUAUUGUAUUCUUGUAUUUAUUUGUCAAACAACCAUUUUUAACAAUAUUCUUUUAAAAUAACAUUUUUUAAGAAAAAAUCCCAUGUUUUUUUUUUUUUUUGCCUCCCAAUUCAAUUUAAUAGACACCUUCGUCCUUUAAAAACUCAACUGCUUUAUAGAGAAGACCAAGACUUCUAGCUCGUGAUGUAGGGUUGUAUUUCGUAUUAUUUCUCAUUAAAAGAUAAGACUAACCCUAGAUGCUACUAACUAUGAAAGUUUUACUUUAGCUUAUGCAGGGACCUAUUUUAUGAUUAAAGAAACUUUUACAAACAAAUAUUCCCUUCUUUUUUUAAAAAAAAAAAAAAGAUUAUAUUUGGUUUCCAUUCCAUCUUUCACUUUAAGCUUAAAACAAAAAAUUAUCCUUAAUGAACCUUCUGCUAUACAUCUAUUCUUCAUAUUCUAAUUGCUUUAGGCAUGCUUAACUUUCUAAUUUAGUGAUUCACAUAGUAGUUAGAAAGCCAAACUCUAUCUUUAGGCUGAUAAGUUGUAAAAUCUAGUAGUCAUAGUUUUCACUUAAUUGUAGAUAAUUAAGAAGGAUGCAAGGUUAACUAAUAGUAAAAGAUAUAAUUGAAAGUGACAAAACUAAAUGGAUAUCAUUUGAGAAAUUAUUGUGGCCAAAGUGGAUAAGAAAUAUGAUCUCCUUUUUCUACUUAGUUGCCCUCCCACUUUUUCCAUGAAAUCUUAGCUUGUGAUUAAAAGUGGGCAAAAUAGUUCGACUCUUGAUCGGACAACCAACCCACGUUGUCAUUUUAAUGUGGAAGUGACUCUAAAUUUUUCUUUGAUUUGAAGUCAAUGGUCCCACAUUUGAAUUGGAAACUUCGAUGAAGUUUCUGAUAAUGAAAAUUUAAACUUAAAUUAUAAGGGAACCUUUGGGUAUAAAUUCAAGUCAUCUAUUAUUAUAUUUUUUCAUCACACACCAGCCAAUUUUUGUUAUAGCUUUUGAAGAUACGAUGUAUCGAAUCCUUUGCUUCCUCUUCUUUCUCUCAUAUUCUCCAGUUAUUUGUUUCUCUUUGUCUAAUUCUACAAAGCUGUGUCCUCAUCACCAGAAUGUUGCCUUGCUUCGACUUAAGCAAUUAUUUUCCAUAGAUGUCUCCGCUUCUUCUUCGGAUGAUUGCAAUUUAGCUUCUUUUGCCAAGACAGACACUUGGAAGGAAGGCACUAAUUGUUGCUCAUGGGAUGGUGUCACAUGCAAUAGGGUUACAGGCCUUAUAAUCGGGCUCGACCUUAGUUGCAGUGGCCUCUAUGGUACCAUUGAUUCCAACAGUAGCCUCUUCCUCUUGCCUCAUCUACGAAGGCUCAACCUCGCUUUCAAUGAUUUCAAUAAGUCAUCUAUUUCAGCUAAGUUUGGACAAUUCCGGAGAAUGACUCAUCUCAACCUUUCUUUCUCUGGAUUUUCAGGUGUAAUUGCUCCAGAAAUCUCCCACCUAUCCAACUUGGUUUCACUUGAUCUUUCCAUCUAUAGUGGAUUAGGACUUGAAACAAGUAGCUUCAUUGCACUUGCUCGAAACCUAACGAAGUUGCAGAAACUUCAUCUACGAGGUAUAAAUGUCUCUUCCAUUUUGCCUAUCUCCCUACUGAAUUUAUCUUCUUUGAGAUCUAUGGAUCUCUCUUCUUGUCAACUAUAUGGGAGAUUCCCUGACGAUGAUCUUCAACUGCCCAACCUUAAGGUUCUCAAGUUAAAGGGUAACCAUGAUCUCAGUGGGAAUUUCCCAAAGUUCAAUGAGAGUAAUUCCAUGCUGUUGUUGGAUCUUUCUUCUACAAAUUUCAGUGGGGAGCUUCCUAGUUCAAUAGGCAUUCUAAAGUCUUUAGAAAGUUUGGAUCUUUCUUCUACAAAAUUCAGUGGGGAGCUUCCUAGUUCAAUAGGUAGUCUAAAGUCUUUAGAAAGUUUGGAUCUCUCGCACUGCAAUUUCUCAGGUUCCAUUCCCUCGGUUUUAGGGAACCUCACACAAAUCACUCACUUGGACCUCUCAAGAAAUCAAUUUGAUGGUGAAAUUUCAAAUGUUUUCAAUAAGAUUAGAAAGCUAAUUGUAUUAGAUCUUUCCAGUAAUAGUUUCAGAGGUCAGUUCAUAGCAUCACUUGACAAUCUAACAGAACUUUCUUUCUUAGACCUUUCAAACAAUAACCUAGAAGGUAUCAUUCCUUCUCAUGUGAAGGAACUUUCAAGUCUAUCGGACAUCCAUUUGUCCAAUAACUUGUUGAAUGGGACAAUACCAUCUUGGUUGUUUAGUCUACCAUCAUUGAUAAGGUUAGAUCUCAGUCAUAACAAACUCAAUGGUCAUAUUGAUGAAUUCCAAUCCCCUUCAUUGGAGUCCAUUGAUUUGAGUAGUAAUGAGUUAGAUGGGCCAGUUCCAAGUUCCAUCUUUGAACUUGUAAAUCUUACAUAUCUCCAACUUUCUUCAAAUAACUUGGGUGGCAUUGUGGAGACAGACAUGUUCAUGAAUCUUGAAAAUCUUGUCUAUCUCGAUCUUUCAUAUAACAUUCUGACAUUGAGCAACUACAGCCAUUCCAACUGUGCGCUACCAUUCUUGGAAACAUUGUUGUUGUCUUCUUGCAACAUAAGUGAAUUCCCAAGAUUUUUAUGCAGUCAAGAGGUGUUGGAGUUUCUGGACCUUUCAAACAACAAGAUUUAUGGACAACUUCCGAAAUGGGCAUGGAAUAUGGGUACGGAGACACUGUCUUACUUCAAUCUUUCUCAAAACUUGCUAACCAGGUUUGAGAGAUUUCCAUGGAAGAAUAUGCUAUUUCUCGACCUUCAUUCCAACUUGCUUCAAGGACCACUUCCAUCAUUGAUUUGUGAAAUGAGUUAUAUUAGUGUUCUGGAUUUCUCUAAUAACAACUUGAGUGGAUUAAUUCCACAAUGUUUGGGAAACUUCAGUGAGUCUCUCUCUGUUUUGGAUUUGCGAAUGAAUCAGCUUCAUGGUAACAUUCCUGAAACGUUUUCGAAGGGCAAUUUUAUCAGGAAUCUUGGCUUCAAUGGAAAUCAAUUGGAAGGGCCUCUACCACGAUCUUUGAUCAAUUGUAGAAGGUUGCAAGUUUUAGACCUUGGAAAUAAUAGAAUAAAUGAUACAUUCCCUUAUUGGUUGGAAACUCUUCCAGAGCUACAAGUUUUGAUCUUGCGUUCUAAUAGGUUCCAUGGUCACAUAAGCGGUUCAAAUUUCCAAUUUCCAUUUCCCAAGUUACGAAUAAUGGAUCUUUCACGCAAUGAUUUCUCUGGUAGUUUACCGGAAAUGUAUUUGAAGAAUUUCAAGGCAAUGAUGAAUGUCACUGAGGAUAAAAUGAAACUGAAAUAUAUGGGGGAAUACUAUUAUCGAGAUUCGAUAAUGGGAACAAUCAAAGGAUUUGAUUUUGAAUUUGUAAUUUUGUCUACCUUCACAACAAUUGAUUUGUCCAGCAAUAGAUUCCAAGGAGAGAUUCUAGAUUUCAUUGGAAGUCUUAGUUCACUUCGAGAACUCAACUUGUCUCAUAACAAUCUUACAGGGCAUAUUCCAUCAUCAUUGGGGAAUCUAAUGGUGCUUGAAUCAUUAGACCUCUCUUCAAACAAGCUUAGUGGGAGAAUUCCAAGGGAGUUGACAAGUCUGACAUUUCUUGAAGUCUUAAAUCUUUCGAAAAAUCAUCUCACUGGAGUCAUUCCUCGAGGCAACCAAUUUGAUACAUUUGCAAAUAAUUCAUAUAGUGGGAAUAUAGGAUUAUGUGGACUUCCCUUGUCUAAGAAAUGUGUAGUUGAUGAAGCACCACAACCUCCCAAAGAAGAGGAGGUGGAAUCCGAUACUGGAUUUGAUUGGAAAGUCAUAUUGAUGGGGUAUGGUUGUGGACUAGUAGUUGGAUUGUUUAUGGGGUGCCUCGUCUUCUUAACAAGAAAACCUAAAUGGUUUGUAACAAUGAUUGAAGGAGAUAGACAUAAGAAGGUUAGAAGGUCAACAAGGAGCACUCGCAGGCAUGGAGCAAGAAGAAGUUAGGCCAUUUCUAUGAUAUCGUAUUUUGUGGUGAAUGAUACUAAUGAAUGUUGCAUUCUUAUGUAAACAAAUAACAUGUAUUGUGAUUAAUGAAGUAAGAGUCUUUGAAGUUGUAAAAAUAUUUGUUUUUAUUUUUUCUUUCUUGAAAUGGAAUAAUAUGUAGUAACAAUAUUUUCAAAUCAUCACUACCAUUUAACUUAUUUAUAUAUCAUGAUCGAAAGUAUUUUUAAAUGUUGGGUUAUGUAAUUAGUAAAGGUAGAACUCAUAAGGUUUUGCAAAGAAUUAGAAGCAAUUGAUUGCUUAUCACUAAAAGACUAACGAAUUUUUGUUAGGAACAAAGGGUGAUUUUUUACAAGAAUGAUAUUGAAAGGGUUGUAAAUUAAUGAAAUCCAAAUUCCAAUUUUAGGUUACAAAUGUUCACUAGACUCUCCUCCACAUAAUACAUUUAUCUUAACAUGAAACAUUUAACUGGUCUUUACUACGAGUCUUGCCUAUGGAAGACUAAUUAAGCAUUCAUAAAACAUUAAUUAAUUCAUGCUCAAAUUGGAUUAUGUUAUUAUUUUAGAGGUUACUUGCUUAUCACUUAUCUCACGAUUUAAAUGCAUUCAAAAGUUAUUUUCUUUUACUUCAACUCAAACUCUUCCCUAUCAAAAUAAUAUGAUCUUAUAUUAAAAAUAAUAUUUUUAUUAUAUAUUUAUAGUUAUUUAUUAGAUAGAAAAUUCCUUCUUUCAGAAUUCCUGAAUCUCUCUCUUAUAGGCUAGGUGGAGUAAUUUAAGAGCCCUUUUUUUCCUCUCUUUUUUUUUGUUGGGCUCCAGCCAGCCCAUCAGACAAUGAAUUCAAGGAUUGUUGGGCUCCUUUUGAGGGCCAAAGUUGGCUUUAAUGCUUGGAAGAGGACUCAAUCAGUUCCAUGCCAAUGAAUUUAUAUCAAGCUCUUGACUUUUAUCUCAUACGUACACAAAGCUUCUGUCAUUCAAACUUCUCUUUUUUAUUUAUUAUUAUUAUUAUUAUUUUAAUUUAAGUGUGUUUUAGCUUAUUCAUAGUCAAAUAAAAGAUUUUUAUUUUAAAAUAAAAUAAUGUGUCUUUCAAUUUUUAAAUUUUAUCUUUUAAAAAAUUGUUUAUCAUAUCAUCAUCAACAAAUGAGUGAGUGACAGGCGGACAGUUGAGGCCCAAAGGGGGUGCAGUGGGUUCUUUGGGCCCAGAUUCUGGCACAAGAGAGCACAUGCUAGCCCAAUCAUGAUUUAGCUAAACCCAUGAAAGAAGACUCUAUCUUACCUUAAGUUUAUUACUAUCUACCCAAUAACAUGGUGUGCUGGAUUUGGCAUCUUGAGUUGGAUUCUAAGCAUUAUUUUAAGGCUAUGUUGCUCGAAAGUGUUAAACAAAGGAGAAAAAUUUGCUAAAAAAAUAAAAAAAAGUAAUAAUAUACAUAUUAAGUUGUUUUAUUGAAAAAAUCAAUAUAUGUAUAAUAAAAUUUAUGAUAAUCCAUAAUAAUUUACAAUAUUUGAACUCAUAUUUAAUAUUUAGUUUAUAUAUAUUUAUGAUAAUGCAUAUAUAAUAAUCUUUUUUGAAAUAUAGAUUCAUUUAUUGUUUGAAAUAUUAUAUGGAUUGCUUUAUAAUAAUUUUUUUUUUUUUUUUUGGGGGAAUCAUUCAAUGAAUUUUUCUACUUUGGGGCAACGUUACCACACUGGAUAGGCAGCCUCAUCUCACUUACAGAGCUUGGAGUUCAUGAAUGCCGUCAAUUGAAAUCACUACCAAAAGAGAUGCGUUCCCUUAAAAACCUGCAGAAAUUCUAUAUCUGGGAUUGUCAACAUCUAGAGAAAAUAUGCCGACAGAAAACAGGGGAAGACUGGCCCAGGAUUGCUCAUAUCCCACAUAUUGAUUUCUACACUGAUCAGUGAAUAACAAGGGAGGUCCGAAAUCCCUAACCUUUCUUCUCAUUUUUAUUAUUUUUUCGAUCAAAAUGCAAGGUUUUCUCAUUCUCUCUUGGUAAUUCUUUUAUAUUGGCACUUCAUAUGUUUGUUAAAAUGCCCACAUCAGUAAAUCGAUUUUUUUUUUCCAGACCACAUAUACAGUCGAUGAUGAUGUACAUGAAACUCAUCAUUUUACUUGGGGUUGAGGCGAGAUUUGAUAUGAUAUCUCUCCCAGAGGAGCUGAUUCAACAUGUUUCCAUGAUCUAAAGUCUCAACAUUAGACAUCGCUCUGUUUUUGAAACAUUACAACACUGGAUAGGCAGCCUCCCCUCAGUUACAGAACUUGGAAUUCAUGGCUGCCAGAAGGUACGUUCCCUCGAAAACCUGUAGAUGCUCAAAAUCUACAUUGAAGUUAAUGAGGGCUGAGGUGCUGUGUCAGUUAAUGUUUCUCUCCCCUUCAUUGAAGUCUCUGUCUAUUGGAUGCUCAGGUGCUAUGAUGUCUCCCAGAGGAGCUGCCUCAGCAUGUUUCCAGGAUCCAAACUCUCAAAAUUGAAUUCUGCUCUGGUUUUGCAAUAUUACUGCCCUGGAUAGGUCGCUUCACCUCACUUAUGGACCUUCAUAUUUGUGACUGCGCUGAAUUGGCAUCACUUUCAGAAGAGAUGCAUUCCCUCAAAAACCUUCUGACACUAAAAAAUCUUUCAUUGUCGGCACCUGCUUGAAGAUGCCAAAAAGAAACAUUUCAGGUUCAAGAACACAGAGAGCCAUACUUGAUGGAGAUUUCAUCAAUAUAGAGAGGCAUUUCAAGUCUGAAAUCCACCCUUCUCAUUUCUUAUGGCUUCAUUUUGAUUUAAUUUCCUAAUUACAUGAAUUCUAUAUCUGUAAUCCCAGUAUGUAUUAGCACAUAAGUCAAAAGUGAUUUUGAUUUUUUUUAUGUCCACACCUUAUUCAUUUGAUGAAAUGCUUAAACAAGUUUGAAAUUUUUUCCCUUCAAAUCAAUUUCUAAUGCACCAUGAAUUGGUAAUUGAAGUUUGGAAAGAUGUUGGGUUGAUUUAAUUAUUAUUUUGUUGCAGAUUUCAACUUGCUUAAGACGCUUGUGAUUAUUUCUUCUUGGCUCAACUUGAAAUCACUGCCUACGUUCUUCCAUUUCCUACCUCAAAAUCACCUACCAAAAGUUUUGGAUUGGUUAAAAAUUUUCUCAUGGCCCAUAAAUUCGUAUCUAUCAGAUGGCUGAUAUACAAAGGUCCUGCUUUCCUUAGAAAUCAGGUCUACUCUCUGCCAUAUUUUUCAGGUAAUCUGUUGCCUGCUUUUAAUCUCUACAUCAUCUUUCGUUUUGAUAUCAAUUUUUGUCAGGAGUGUCAUACAAGUUGUAAUUAUAUUUGUGAACUUUCAUAUGCACUAUCAUUUUUUAUUGUUUUUUAAUAUAUAACUCCAACCAAACAUAUCAUAGACCAAAAACUUAUUAUGUCUGUCAAGUAGUUUGUUUUUUUCCCCCUUCAUUUGGUGAUGUUGUUUUGGGCCUAGAUAAUUUUUUAGAUUAAUUAAUGCAAAUGUAAUGUUGUCUAAUCAAUACAAAAACUAAUAGUUGUGAGGCUUGGAUACGUGGCUUCCUUGAUCAGUAACUGAAUUGAGUGUUUCUGUAGGCUGGUGUCUCUAUAUUUGGAAAUUCAGAGAGUUGCAAAUUCCAAGGAAUUGGAAGAUUGAGUCGCUGUCUCUACCAUUAGGGCUUCAAUGAGUUACCAUUCUGGAAAUUAUAAAAAAAAAACAUCAGAUUGCCUCAUAUCUUUGAAUCGAAAUCACUGCUAGAAGGAUGUGCUUCCCAACACUCUCAUGGGCUCUUUGACUUUGCCAUCUACAAUACAUCAGAGGUUCAUGAUCCAUCCUCUAUUCCUGCUUUGGGGGGCUUCAAUUUUUAUAUUAUUUUUCCGUUAAUACUCUAAAAAUGUUAUAUUCUAUUUUUAAUUCUUUUUACCUGAGUCUUAUGCAUUAGCACACAAGAGAAAAGUCAUAUAACACUUUCAUAAUGCAAUCAUUUUCCAUUGUUAGCCAUAUACUAUUUUUCUUAUAUAUAGCUAAGGCAUCCAAUAAAUAUGCCUACACUCACCAGAAAAAUACCCAUCUCGUCAUCUCCAACUCUGCUCUUUUGAGUUGCUGCUCAUGGCUCCAAAAUGAUGGGUGUUUUUCCAUUUUGUUUUUGUCUUCAGUGAGCUUAGAAGACGAGAUUUGAAGGACAGUGUUAGUGGGUUUUGGUGGGAAUGUAGAUUUGGUGGACCUAAUGCUACUGCUGUCUGGUUUUAAGAAAAGAGGGUUGCGGUGACGAGAAUGAGGUAAUUUUGGGUCGUGAAUGGAGAAAGAGACGAAUUUGAGGUUGAGGGUUUGAUGAAGGAAGCUACGUUGUGUGAGAUUAUGCUCUGAUCCUUGUUUAGAAUUUUGGGUCUAUUAAAUUCACGUAUAUUGUUUGCCAUUCCAACCCUCUUAUUGCUUUUGAAGACAAUAUUAUUUUUGUAAAAUCCUACCUUCAAAGAUACCAAUUCCUUGUAUUUUUACUUUAAUGGUUAUAAUCUGUAUGUGAUCUUCUUAUUUUAUAUUUGUAUUUUACAUGUUCGGAAAUUUUAGUUCAGGUGUUUAAGUGUUGCCAAGUCAAAGCAAUGCCAGAUAGUGAUGUACUUGUGACACCUUACUUCUCUAAAGCUACUCGAAAGUGGGGAUUGUUGCCUACCACAUCUCAUUUCUCUCAAGUCGUCGAAAAUUCAGUGAUGUGUCAAUAGCCUAAUGUCUUUGUCACAAGUGAUUUAGGGAUUCAGAUUGUUUCUCUGAAUUGACAUAAAUAAUAUGUUCUGGUUUGGUAACAUUAUCACACUCAAUGGACAACCUCCAUUUACUAACAUCUUCAAGUUUUUUAGGGAAAAAAACUGUGGAAAACUGUGUUUUGGCUCGCCCAUUUGGGCCUAAUAGCUUUUUGGUAACCCAACUUUCCAUAACCCAAAAAAUGUCCACUGUUGCCCAAAAAAAUAUCCCUUUCAUGCACUAUCCACUGUUUUAUAAUUUCAUUUCCAAAAUUACCCCUCCAGCCUUCCAUAUCAGCAGCCAUCUCCCUCUCCAUGUCACGGGUUGUGCUUUUAAAUAAACACAAAAAUCUUAAACAAGUUAGCAAAACCCACGCAAGACCCGACUCUGAAAUUUGGGGAAACCAGGUUAGGGCAAAAGGAGAGAAAGUCACAGAGAGUCCUUAGCUCCUUUCUCUUCUCUCUCUUUUCUCUCUGUUGUGUGAAUUUUUCAGUGAAAAAUCGAAAGCUUGUAAGCUGUAAUCGAAAGUUAGGUUCAGUGCUUUUUUGGUACUUUGUCGGAUGGCCCAAGCAGCCAGUAGCAGAUACUCAAAUUUUAUGCUUGGGUUUUACUUGAAUGCUCAUACAUUAGCUGUCAUCUUCAAGGUCCAUUUGGUUUUAAUGCAUCUGGAUCACGCAGCUGAGCAGAGGAAAGAGGAAAUGAAUCUGUUACUGGUUUGAUAUUUUUGGGGCUUAGGUGCUUACGAGUUGUACGGUGUAAGCAAAAUCCUCGUUAAAAGUCUAACUUAAGACAACUGGCUCUAAAUAGCAUAUGGCCUGGCGUUGAAAGUGGCUGUAGCCUACAAUCUCAAAUCAAGGGGUGAGUCCCGUACCAUUUAAAAGAAUUGUGACCUUCAGUGUCAGAAAUUUUCAGUUAAAUACAAAUGAAUUGCAUCUUCUUCACUGAAUUUUCAGCCUCCGGUUUCAUCUUUGCGAGGUGAGAUUCACAUUCAUUUUCCAUUGAUCGAAUUCCCCCUCCUCUGCCACAGCCUGGCUAGGGACUCGGUUAAGUUAAGAUGCUAACACUGAAUGAAAAUUGAUUCCAACAAUUUUCAUCAAUCAAUUCCUCAAGUACAAAAGCAGAUGGUGUAUGGUGGAUUGCAGUAAUAGACGAAGUUGGUUUAGUUUAUCCCUCCUUUGAUGGGCACAAGGAUAAAACCAUCUAUUGCUGGGCAAGGUAGCUAGAUGCAGCUUUCCCCAGAAGGCUCGAGGUAGCAGAAUGUCCAUUUUGGUCUCAAGUCGCUCAACAUUGCUGAAGUUCCUUUGCAAUCCUAAUGGAGACUGCCAUUGGGCAGUUUGUCUUAAUUGCGUUGGAGGCAAUGUGUGACCUGCUAACAGCAUAUCCCUCCUGCAACAACCAAAUCCAACAGAUGGACUGCAUCAGUUUCUGUAAACCAUUUGUUGGAGCUCCAGACCAUAGCAAAUAUCUCCAACUUCAAUUGGGAGUGAUCAGCUUCUAUAGAACAAUAAAAUGCCAUACCAUAUUAUAAUUUCCCCUUAUAUUUUUCCCAUUCUCCUAAGCUGGGGCUUGAUGAGUUUUUAGACCAAAAGACUUGUGCAAGUAAACAUCAUCUGGAUCAGGCAACAAAAAAAAAAAUUACCUGACUCUGUUUCUUGGCUAAUGACAAUUGAAAAGCCUCUAAAAGAGAACACUAGGAGGAUACCUUGUUCAGGGCGCUCAUCAUGGUCAUGAGGGGAGGAGAGUUUAUUUUUGCACGGCUUGCUACCUAGGAACAUAAGAGGAAAAUCAAUAAUGAAAUUGCAUUCAAUUUCCAAGCCAUGCAACAGAGCUUGAGAAUUAAUUCACAACCAAAUCAAGAAUCUAAAACACAAAAUUAUGUUAUUUGCAAGUAAACCUCAUCCAAUUUGAUGUAUCCAAAUGGUAAUUUAGGGUCACUCUCAUCGAUCAUUUGCUUCAGAAGUUUUCCCAGAUGAGUUUCAGUGUCAUUGCCAGUCCAUCCCCAUUGUUCAGCUAAAUUUAGCAUUUCUGUAAGGUAGGAAGCAUUAUGGCAGAGAUUAUCAAAUACAGUGGUUUUGCUUUUAAGUUGCUUAGGUACUACCUUAAUGACCUUUAGGUACUACCUUAGUGGCCUUCAGGUACUACCUUAAGGGACCCUAGGUACUACCUUAGCUAAACUUCAACCCAACCUCUCCCAAGCCUUUGUUCUUCAUUUGUGACCCUUAGACCAUGCCAUUAUAUGCUUCUCUUGAGUCCUCAAGUGGUCCACCAAUGGUUUUUUGCUACUGUUCCUUAGGUACUACCUUAGUGGCCUUAAGGUACUACCUUAAUGGCCUUCAGGUACUACCUUAAGGGACCUUAGGUACUACCUUAGCUAAACUUCAACUCAACCUCUCCCAAGCCUUGGGUCUUCAUUUGUGACCCUUAGACCAUGCCAUUAUAUGCUUCUCUUGAGUCCUCAAGUGGUCCACCAAUGGUUUUUUGCUACUGUUGCUUAGGUACUACCUUAAUGGCCUUUAGGUACUACCUUAGUGGCCUUCAGGUACUACCUUAAAGGACCCUAGGUACUACCCUAGCUAAACUUCAACUCAACCUCUUCCAAGCCUCGGGUCUUCAUUUGUGACCCUUAGACCAUGCCAUUAUAUGCUUCUCNNNNNNNNNNNNNNNNNNNNNNNNNNNNNNNNNNNNNNNNNNNNNNNNNNNNNNNNNNNNNNNNNNNNNNNNNNNNNNNNNNNNNNNNNNNNNNNNNNNNNNNNNNNNNNNNNNNNNNNNNNNNNNNNNNNNNNNNNNNNNNNNNNNNNNNNNNNNNNNNNNNNNNNNNNNNNNNNNNNNNNNNNNNNNNNNNNNNNNNNNNNNNNNNNNNNNNNNNNNNNNNNNNNNNNNNNNNNNNNNNNNNNNNNNNNNNNNNNNNNNNNNNNNNNNNNNNNNNNNNNNNNNNNNNNNNNNNNNNNNNNNNNNNNNNNNNNNNNNNNNNNNNNNNNNNNNNNNNNNNNNNNNNNNNNNNNNNNNNNNNNNNNNNNNNNNNNNNNNNNNNNNNNNNNNNNNNNNNNNNNNNNNNNNNNNNNNNNNNNNNNNNNNNNNNNNNNNNNNNNNNNNNNNNNNNNNNNNNNNNNNNNNNNNNNNNNNNNNNNNNNNNNNNNNNNNNNNNNNNNNNNNNNNNNNNNNNNNNNNNNNNNNNNNNNNNNNNNNNNNNNNNNNNNNNNNNNNNNNNNNNNNNNNNNNNNNNNNNNNNNNNNNNNNNNNNNNNNNNNNNNNNNNNNNNNNNNNNNNNNNNNNNNNNNNNNNNNNNNNNNNNNNNNNNNNNNNNNNNNNNNNNNNNNNNNNNNNNNNNNNNNNNNNNNNNNNNNNNNNNNNNNNNNNNNNNNNNNNNNNNNNNNNNNNNNNNNNNNNNNNNNNNNNNNNNNNNNNNNNNNNNNNNNNNNNNNNNNNNNNNNNNNNNNNNNNNNNNNNNNNNNNNNNNNNNNNNNNNNNNNNNNNNNNNNNNNNNNNNNNNNNNNNNNNNNNNNNNNNNNNNNNNNNNNNNNNNNNNNNNNNNNNNNNNNNNNNNNNNNNNNNNNNNNNNNNNNNNNNNNNNNNNNNNNNNNNNNNNNNNNNNNNNNNNNNNNNNNNNNNNNNNNNNNNNNNNNNNNNNNNNNNNNNNNNNNNNNNNNNNNNNNNNNNNNNNNNNNNNNNNNNNNNNNNNNNNNNNNNNNNNNNNNNNNNNNNNNNNNNNNNNNNNNNNNNNNNNNNNNNNNNNNNNNNNNNNNNNNNNNNNNNNNNNNNNNNNNNNNNNNNNNNNNNNNNNNNNNNNNNNNNNNNNNNNNNNNNNNNNNNNNNNNNNNNNNNNNNNNNNNNNNNNNNNNNNNNNNNNNNNNNNNNNNNNNNNNNNNNNNNNNNNNNNNNNNNNNNNNNNNNNNNNNNNNNNNNNNNNNNNNNNNNNNNNNNNNNNNNNNNNNNNNNNNNNNNNNNNNNNNNNNNNNNNNNNNNNNNNNNNNNNNNNNNNNNNNNNNNNNNNNNNNNNNNNNNNNNNNNNNNNNNNNNNNNNNNNNNNNNNNNNNNNNNNNNNNNNNNNNNNNNNNNNNNNNNNNNNNNNNNNNNNNNNNNNNNNNNNNNNNNNNNNNNNNNNNNNNNNNNNNNNNNNNNNNNNNNNNNNNNNNNNNNNNNNNNNNNNNNNNNNNNNNNNNNNNNNNNNNNNNNNNNNNNNNNNNNNNNNNNNNNNNNNNNNNNNNNNNNNNNNNNNNNNNNNNNNNNNNNNNNNNNNNNNNNNNNNNNNNNNNNNNNNNNNNNNNNNNNNNNNNNNNNNNNNNNNNNNNNNNNNNNNNNNNNNNNNNNNNNNNNNNNNNNNNNNNNNNNNNNNNNNNNNNNNNNNNNNNNNNNNNNNNNNNNNNNNNNNNNNNNNNNNNNNNNNNNNNNNNNNNNNNNNNNNNNNNNNNNNNNNNNNNNNNNNNNNNNNNNNNNNNNNNNNNNNNNNNNNNNNNNNNNNNNNNNNNNNNNNNNNNNNNNNNNNNNNNNNNNNNNNNNNNNNNNNNNNNNNNNNNNNNNNNNNNNNNNNNNNNNNNNNNNNNNNNNNNNNNNNNNNNNNNNNNNNNNNNNNNNNNNNNNNNNNNNNNNNNNNNNNNNNNNNNNNNNNNNNNNNNNNNNNNNNNNNNNNNNNNNNNNNNNNNNNNNNNNNNNNNNNNNNNNNNNNNNNNNNNNNNNNNNNNNNNNNNNNNNNNNNNNNNNNNNNNNNNNNNNNNNNNNNNNNNNNNNNNNNNNNNNNNNNNNNNNNNNNNNNNNNNNNNNNNNNNNNNNNNNNNNNNNNNNNNNNNNNNNNNNNNNNNNNNNNNNNNNNNNNNNNNNNNNNNNNNNNNNNNNNNNNNNNNNNNNNNNNNNNNNNNNNNNNNNNNNNNNNNNNNNNNNNNNNNNNNNNNNNNNNNNNNNNNNNNNNNNNNNNNNNNNNACCAUGCCAUUAUAUGCUUCUCUUGAGUCCUCAAGUGGUCCACCAAUGGUUUUUUGCUACUGUUGCUUAGGUACUACCUUAAUGGCCUUUAGGUACUACCUUAGUGGCCUUCAGGUACUACCUUAAAGGACCCUAGGUACUACCCUAGCUAAACUUCAACUCAACCUCUCCCAAGCCUCGGGUCUUCAUUUGUGACCCUUAGACCAUGCCAUUAUAUGCUUCUCUUGAGUCCUCAAGUGGUCCACCAAUGGUUUUUUGCUACUGUUGCUUAGGUACUACCUUAAUGGCCUUUAGGUACUACCUUAGUGGCCUUCAGGUACUACCUUAAGGGACCCUAGGUACUACCUUAGCUAAACUUCAACUCAACAUCUCCCAAGCCUCGGGUCUUCAUUUGUGACCCUUAGACCAUGCCAUUAUAUGCUUCUCUUGAGUCCUAAAGUGGUCCACCAAUGGUUUUUUGCUACUGUUGCUUAGGUACUACCUUAAUGGCCUUUAGGUACUACCUUAGUGGCCUUCAGGUACUACCUUAAGGGACCCUAGGUACUACCUUAGCUAAACUUCAACCCAACCUCUCCCAAGCCUCCGUUCUUCAUUUGUGACCCUUAGACCAUGCCAUUAUAUGCUUCUCUUGAGUCCUCAAGUGGUCCACUAAUGGUUUUUUGUUAAUGUUCCUUAGGUACUACCUUAAUGGCCUUAAGGUACUACCUUAGUAGCCUUCAGGUACUACCUUAAGGGACCCUAGGUACUACCUUAGCUAAACUUCAACUCAACAUCUCCCAAGCCUCGGGUCUUCCUUUGUCACCCUUAGACCAUGCCAUUAUAUGCUUCUCUUGAGUCCUCAAGUGGUCCACCAAUGGUUUUUUGCUACUAUUCCUCAGGUAGUACCUUAGUGGCCUUAAGGUAGUACCUUAGUGGCCUUAAGGUAGUACCUUAGUGGCCUUAAGGUAGUACCUUAGUGGCCUUCAGGUACUACCUUAAGGGACCCUAGGUACUACCUUAAGGUAAACUUAAACUCAACAUCUCCCAAGCCUCGGGUCUUCCUUGGUCACCCUUAGACCAUCCCAUUAUGUGGUUCUCUUCAUUCCUCAAGUCGUCCACCAAUGGUUUGUUGGGACUGUAGCUUAGGUACUACCUUAAGGGCCCUUAGGUACUACCUUAGUGGCCUUGAGGUACUACCUUAAGGGACCCUAGGUACUACCUUAAGGUAAAUUUCAACUCAACCUCUCCCAAGCCUCGGGUCUUCCUUGGUCACCCUUAGACCAUCCCAUAAUGUUGUUCUCUUCAUUCCUCAAGUGCUCCACCAAUGGUUUUUUGGGACUGUAGCUUAGGUACUACCUUAAGGGCCCUUAGGUACUACCUUAGUGGCCUUGAGGUACUACCUUAAGGGACCCUAGGUACUACCUUAAGGUAAACAUAAACUCAACCACUCCAAAGCCUUGGGUCUUCAUUGGUGACCCUUAGACCAUCCAAUUAUGUGGUUCUCUUCAUUCCUCAAGUCGUCCACCUAUGGUUUCUUGGGACAGUAGCUUAGGUACUACCUUAAGGGCCCUUAGGUACUACCUUAGUGGCCUUGAGGUACUACCUUAAGGGACCCUAGGUACUACCUUAAGGUAAACUUGAACUCAACCUCUCCCAAGCAUCAGGUCUUCCUUGGUGACCCUUAGACCAUCCAAUAAUGUGGUUCUCUUCAUUCCUCCAUUAAAGAUUAAACUUGUUAUCUCUAUGAAUGAACUUAAACUUCAUAUGAGGGGGAACGGGUUUGAAGGUGUUGAGCUAAGAAACAUCCAUGAUGCACUAAUUUUCACUAAUUAUUUAAUUUUCACAAUUGUUAAACAUGGUUUUAGGUCUCUAUGAACACGUUGAUUCAUGGUGCUCAAUUUCCUUGAAAGGAAAAAGAAAAAAAUUCAUGGUUCUGUUUGUCUAAGAUUGCAUCUAAGGAUUUCAUUUUUCUUGUGUGCUUUUCGGUAAUUAUUUUCUGUAGAAAUUUGAAGAUCUAGAUAUGUGUACUCUAGAAGAAUUAUAGGAUUCGAUUUGUCCUGAUCAUGAUCAUGUGCAAAUUUUGGUUUACUGAUUUUAGUUUUCUUUCAAAAUUUUCUUGUUAGGAAAUCUCAAAUUUCUCUUUUUCAUGUGCAAGUAUUUCAUAAGCAUUGAGCAAAAGUCAUCAGAAACCCAACUUGUGAAUUGUGAUGGCAGGUACACCCAUACACUUAUCGGAAUGAGAACCAGUUCUUACACUUUAACUUCCAUCAAGACCCAUAUGCAGAAUAUGAUUAUUGGAUAAACAAGAUAGGAGUUGAUGGACUCUUCACAUAUUUCACUGGCAGCCUCCAUGACUUUCAGGAAUGGACCUCUCCUCUCUCUCAAGAUGAUGGUGAUGAUGAUGGCAAUGCUGCUAAAUUGUUUCAUAAGAUUGCAACUUUAGUCUCUCCCUACAAGAAGGGAUGAUAGUGUAAAAUGCAACUUCUCAAGACUGUAGCUUAGGGUAGAAAUCUCUNNNNNNNNNNNNNNNNNNNNNNNNNNNNNNNNNNNNNNNNNNNNNNNNNNNNNNNNNNNNNNNNNNNNNNNNNNNNNNNNNNNNNNNNNNNNNNNNNNNNNNNNNNNNNNNNNNNNNNNNNNNNNNNNNNNNNNNNNNNNNNNNNNNNNNNNNNNNNNNNNNNNNNNNNNNNNNNNNNNNNNNNNNNNNNNNNNNNNNNNNNNNNNNNNNNNNNNNNNNNNNNNNNNNNNNNNNNNNNNNNNNNNNNNNNNNNNNNNNNNNNNNNNNNNNNNNNNNNNNNNNNNNNNNNNNNNNNNNNNNNNNNNNNNNNNNNNNNNNNNNNNNNNNNNNNNNNNNNNNNNNNNNNNNNNNNNNNNNNNNNNNNNNNNNNNNNNNNNNNNNNNNNNNNNNNNNNNNNNNNNNNNNNNNNNNNNNNNNNNNNNNNNNNNNNNNNNNNNNNNNNNNNNNNNNNNNNNNNNNNNNNNNNNNNNNNNNNNNNNNNNNNNNNNNNNNNNNNNNNNNNNNNNNNNNNNNNNNNNNNNNNNNNNNNNNNNNNNNNNNNNNNNNNNNNNNNNNNNNNNNNNNNNNNNNNNNNNNNNNNNNNNNNNNNNNNNNNNNNNNNNNNNNNNNNNNNNNNNNNNNNNNNNNNNNNNNNNNNNNNNNNNNNNNNNNNNNNNNNNNNNNNNNNNNNNNNNNNNNNNNNNNNNNNNNNNNNNNNNNNNNNNNNNNNNNNNNNNNNNNNNNNNNNNNNNNNNNNNNNNNNNNNNNNNNNNNNNNNNNNNNNNNNNNNNNNNNNNNNNNNNNNNNNNNNNNNNNNNNNNNNNNNNNNNNNNNNNNNNNNNNNNNNNNNNNNNNNNNNNNNNNNNNNNNNNNNNNNNNNNNNNNNNNNNNNNNNNNNNNNNNNNNNNNNNNNNNNNNNNNNNNNNNNNNNNNNNNNNNNNNNNNNNNNNNNNNNNNNNNNNNNNNNNNNNNNNNNNNNNNNNNNNNNNNNNNNNNNNNNNNNNNNNNNNNNNNNNNNNNNNNNNNNNNNNNNNNNNNNNNNNNNNNNNNNNNNNNNNNNNNNNNNNNNNNNNNNNNNNNNNNNNNNNNNNNNNNNCAAUGCAACAAAACGCCAUGUAUGUCUGCAAAACAUAUAUUACAAUAAUGGUAUGUGCAUUCCAAGUUAGGAUUAAGCUUCCUCUAUAUUCAAUGGGAUGUGUCUUAAGAUAUAGAGGGAACUGAAGGCAUACUGACUAAAUAUCAUUAUCCAAAGAACAAAAUAAACUAAGGAGCCUAUUGUGAAGUCUUCAUCUUUGAUAUCUCCUCCAACAGUAAUCUGGAUUCAGCUGCAAAAUCAACUGGAACAACAGCCCUGGCUGUUAUCCUCUGCCUUUUCUCGUUCAUGUACUCAUGUUGUGCAACACUAAUCCGGAAAAGCUGAGGGACCCAAAUAGCUUCCUUCAAUUUCUGUUGGAAUAGGUUCUCUUCUCCCUCCUGCAGAGAAGAUUGGGUUUUUUAAACAUCAGAUUUUGAAUGGCAGAAGUUCAUCAUUUAAAAAAAAAAAAAAUACAACCCAACUAGGCUACCAAAUAAGUAACCAACUACAUAUGAAUUAAUGCAUCAAUGAGCAACUCUUUCAAGUUAACUAAGAUUUGGACAAACUCAUAGAUAUUUCAAUAUUGUCAAGAGUUUACCUGUGAUUUCAGCUUAUCAAGCUCAUCAGCAGAGCACCCAAAUAUUCUCUCUGCUUGGUCAUUGAACAGAGAAAGCCAAUAGAAGCCAUUGAAGCUCCUUUACAUUCAGAAUCAUACCUGUGAAGAAGAACAUAUGGUCAGAAACACUUACUACAAGAACUAACAAGGUAAUAGGUCACUGGAUGAUUCCUUACCAGGAUAUCAACUUUUUUUAUUCGCGUGUAUCUGGAUUUACCAGUACAAUACUUUCACUCAAUGUUGACAGUGAUACAACUAAAACAAGAUAUGAAGAGAACAUUACAAAGAGGACUUCUUAUCAUUCUCAUGUUUUUUAGAAUUGCCAUAAUAAUACCAAAAUUCAAGAAAACAAGGGGAAUUACCUUGGAAGUCUCCAACUUUGAGAGAUUUAAUUGCAACAAUUGGAAAUUAAUCAGCAUUAUCCAACAAUUCCUGCCCUACAUUAGUAGCAUGAUCAUUCCACAAAGAGACCACAACAGAGAGAAAAGAGAGAGAAGAGAGAGAAGCUAAGGACCCUCCAUUUGGCACAAAGUAAGAAAACCUUUUUUGCUGUUUGAUGUGAAGCUCUAUGCAUUAAAAAAAGGAAAAACAAAUUAUAAACUUAAUUUUAAAAUAUAUCAUAAAAAACAGCUCUCUAGGUGGCAGGAGAGGUGGGUUUUGGUUCAAAUAGCUUAUACUGCCUCUGGCAUCUGUUCUUGAAUUCUCCAACUUUGUCUCCCAAACAUGUCCUAAUUCCCAAGAGCUCAUAUUGCCACACCUACUCAUUAGGGUUUGCAUCAGUUUCCAUUAACAUUUAACUAAAAAGAGUUUAAAAAUUCAAUCAAGGUCAAACAAAAUCAACCAUCCCACAGAGCAGAAGUUACAUAGAUAUUCGAGAAAAUAAGUCAUGUCACAAACUAAGCAUCUAAUCACACAGCAGAAGUUCAGAAGUUCAGCUUUCCUCAAUCCAACCAGCUUUGAAUACAUGCUUAUAGGCUUCUAUAAUCUGCUCCUUACCACCUUUAAACAAAACCCUUGAACGAAUUAAACCAAAAAACCCAGAAAAAAAGAAAAAAAAAAAAAAAAAGAAGCACAGAAAAUUAGGAUUAAAAUCAAUCAAUCCACACAAAGUGCUAAAAAAACAUUAAUAAACAAACACCCAACAUAAAAACAACAAGCUUUUAUUAAAAGAACACAAAAACAAAUAAAAUAAAAACAUACCCACAACUUUAUCUUACCUCAAGAACCAAAUCCAAGAGCAAAAAAAGAGUUUAAAAAUUCAAUCAAGGUCAAACAAAAUCAACCAUCCCACAGAGCAGAAAUUACAUAGGUAUUCGAGAAAAUCAGUCAUGUCACAAACUAAGCAUCUAAUCACAGAACAGAAGUUUAGAAAUUCAGCUUUCCUCGGGUGCUAAAUUGCAAUUAAAAAUAAAAACACUAAUUAAUUGUCAAUCUCAAGAGAACCUAAAUCCCAAAAAUUAGGCCAGAAACCUAAAUUACGUGCAUUGAAUAGUUCCAGAUGCAUGAAAUCAAUGAAAAAAAUUACCAAACAAAAAUAGUAAUCAGGAAAGACCAAGUAAAGAAUACACAAAAAUGUACAUAUUUAUCGUUCAUUCGUGUGGUCGCCGGAAGAAAAAAAACGGGAAUAAAGAACAAAGCUCGAGAUUUACAGCUGCGCCUAAACAUUUGCUCUCUUUCAUUGCAAAGAAACCAACAACAAUAGAAAAAAAAAUAAUCAUAUAAGUUUCGCCUCAUAUUUUCCUCAUUUACCUCAGUUUUCUGAGCAACCAAACAAAAACUAAAAGAUGGACUAGAAAGCGAAUCUAACUUGAAUAGUGUAAGAGAGCUCAUAACAGAGUGGAAAUCUCUAAAUGAAGGCGAGAACCUGGAGAUGAAAUCGCUUUAUCUGAAGAAAUUUGCGGAUCAGUAGUACGGCGACACGCGUGAAUCGAUUACAGCUUACAAGCUUUCAAUUUUUCAUUGAGAAAUUCACACAACAGAGAGAGAAGAGAGAGAAGAGAGCGAAGCUAAGGACUCUCUGUGACUUUCUCUCCUUUUGCCCUAACCUGGGUUCCCCAAAUUUCAGAGUCGAGUGUCGCGUGGGCUUUAUCUGAAGAAAUUUGCGGAUCAGUAGUAUGGAGACACGCGUGAAUCGAUUACAGCUUACAAGCUUUCGAUUUUUCACUGAGAAAUUCACCCAACAGAGAGAAAAGAGAGAGAAGAGAAAGAAGCUAAGGACUCUCUCUGACUUUCUCUCCUUUUGCCCUAACCUGGUUUCCCCAAAUUUCACAGUCGGGUGUUGUGUGGGUUUUGCUAACUUGUUUAAGAUUUUUGUGUUUAUUUAUUAAAAGCACAACCCGUGACAUGGAGAGGGAGAUGGCUGCUGACAUGGAUGUGGAGGGGUAAUUUUGGAAAUGAAAUUAUAAAACAGUACAUAGUGCAUGAAAAGGAUAAUUUUUUGGGCAACAGUAGACAUAUUUUGGGUUAUGGAAAGUUGGGUUAUGAAAAAGCUAUUAGGCCCAAAUGGGCGGGCCAAAACACAGUUUUCCCUAUAUUGUAUCAUAAGAAAAAGAAAGGAAAAAAAAAGAGUGGAGGGGGAGGGGGAGAGAUGGGGGGCUAUGUUGUAAACAACAGGGUAGCCUGUGUAAAGCCCCCAGUUUUUACUUAGAGACCUCAUUACCCAUUAGGAAAAGGGUCAGUGACCUAUUAUUAAUAAUGCAAAAUUACCCAAAGAUGGAUAUUUGAAUUUUUUUUUUUUUUUUGGAGAAUUUAAGAAUUGUUGACACAAUAUAGUGAAACUGCAUAUACAAAUAUUGGGGUCAUUAGUUCACAUGACUUAAGCGAUUAAGAACAUUGAAGAGGAGACAUGUUGCUUGAUAAGCCCACCUGUCUACAUCUUGAGCAGCCACAGUUUGUUGCUCAUGAGACUUUUUGGAAGACACCUCCAGGGAUAAGAUUGAGUAAUUUAAAUUCCAUUAACAGAGUUCCUCUCUUUCAUUAGCCUUUAGGCCCUUAGGAAUCAAGCUUAAACUCGAAAGAUUCUAAAAUCUUACUCCCUUCUAACCUCAGGAAAGUUUUGAGAGCUUAGGUAUCCACAAAUAUCUUGGUACAUUCUAACAAGUCCUAUACCACUUUCCACCAUUCAAUUUAUCCCAAAAUAGCAUAAAUGUCAAGGGGAUACAGGAGACCAGAACUAAUAAAGGCAAUGACAUUAAACGGGAGAAAAAAAUAUCAAAGCAUGAUAGAAGAGUUAAAUACUUAAACAAGUUAGUGUUGGUAUUUUAAUUAUAGUAUUCCAUUAAUACAGUACCAAAAUACUGGAUGCCAUAUACUUUUGUCUAACAAUGGAUGGAAUAAUAGAUAUACAAGCACAAGAAAUAUGUUUCACUAACAUGAAAAUGAAAUUUAUGAAAGGUGGCUAGAUUCGAGAAAUACAAACAGGAUAGAACACCUAUGAAGCAUGAAAUAUUUUUGAACACAAACUUUAACAAAUCCAUAACAUGAAUAAAUGUUUGGAACCACCACACUAGAUCAGCAAUCUGUAGCUUCUCAAUAUCAUAACUGUUACAGCUAUAUUCGACUUCUAACCAUAUAAGCUAAGCCUAUGUUUUGUUUCUAGAAAGUUUUAAGGAAAAAAAAUAGAGCAGAGAAAUAUAAGAAAAAAUUAUAAAAGUUUUCUUUUAUUUGAUUGUCCAUUGAAAAGUUGAAGGAAAGAAAAUUAAAUUGCUAAAGAAUGUAAUUUCCACUAACUUUCCUCAUUUUUUGUUAAGGAAAAUGGACACCACCACCACCCCAACCCUUUUCUUUCGUUUUUUUUUUCUUCAUCUUUCGCAUGGUACCCAAACAUGAGAAAACCAUUUUCACUAGCAUUUUUUCCUUUCCUUUUCUUAUUACUUUCCAAGAACCAAACAUAAGGUAAGUUUAUGACACCCUUUCUAACACAACCAUUAAUAGACGGCUCAAGGUACUUCUAACAGUGAAAGAAGAAUUUCACAAAUACUUAUAGUAAAUUACAGAAUAAGCCAAAAGUGAAGAUAACAUCUAUUAAUACCUGCCUUCUUCAUCUUCCAAAUUCUGAAGAUGUUGUUUUUCAUCUUCACUUAAGUCCAAUGCAACUUGGACGUAGGAAAAAUUAGAACAAAAAAAUAAUCAAGCAUUCUUUUCUCAGCAUCAUCAUGCAAAAUUUUCCACCAUAGCAUAAAAGGAAAUCAUGAAGAAAAAUAAAAAAUGAAAAAAUAAUACGCAUGCUCUCUACAAUAAUAACAAUAAAGGCAAACUACUCCAACAAAUUAUUAGAAAAAAUUGGAAAAAAUAAAAUUCAGAGAAUGGAAAUCCAUUUUCACCUCCAUAUAAAAUACACCAUGAAAAACAUUGGAAUCUAGUAAAGCUCUAGGUAAAAGAGGUAUUUCAGGCCAAUUUAAGAGCUCUAUCAGAAAUUCAAAUGCCCAUUCUGAAAUAGAAAAUUUAAAAUCUAAUUGAAACUUAACUUUGCAAUCCGAGUACCAUAAAAACAUUGAAAAAGUCACACAAAUACUCGCAUAAUCUUAUCAAUCGAAAGGUUAUAAUACAAGGUGCAAAACACCAGAAUCAGAAAUAAGUUUCACAUUCUACAAAACUUACACUAAAAAGAGAAAGUUAAAAGGUCACAGACAGUCGAAAAUAACCAGAAAAUAAAGGAAAAUAAAAGAAAAGGGACCUGUUUGGCGAUAAGUUCUCUCUUAGAGUGGGAUGGGAGUUGGGAGACACUCAUCUAAUAUAUAGGGAAAGUUGUGUUUUUUUUCCCUCCCUCUGUUUUCUGGAUCUAGGGGUCUCUUUGCUUUUGUGCCAUUUGAAUUAAAUUUCACAAACCCUAAACCCACGAUUUUUUUAGCCAGGCUGAAAAAUACCACCUUUGCCUGCAAAUCGUGAUCAGAUUACCAAAUAGCAUCUUAUUGUGCCAUUGGAAUUAAAUUUCACAAACCCUAACCCACGAUUUUUGAACCAGGCUCAAAAACACCACAUUUGCCUGGAAAUCGUGGUCAGAUUACCAAAUAGCAUCUUAUUGUGCCAUUGGAAUUAAAUUUCAAAAACCCUAAACCCACAAUUUUUGAGCCAGCCAGAAAAAUACCACCUUUGCUUGCAAAUCGUAAUCAGAUUACGAAAUAGCAUCUUAUGUUUUAAAUAAAAAAAAAAAUCAAAAAGCUUGGACAGCUCGUGAACAAUGCAAAACAACAUUUAGCCCAAAUUUUUUCUCAACAGCCAAACAAAUUGUUAAAUGGAAACUCACCUGCGAUUACUCCAAAAGGAAGACGAAGCUCCACCGCCGAUUCCAGAAACCACCCAUGAAAAUGCAGGCAAAAGGAGAGAAUAGGGCAAAAAGCGAGGAAGUCAGCGUUUCCCCAAAUUUUUGAGUCGGGUCGUGGGUUUUGCAAAUCCUAACUCUAAAGCUUAAUAUUUUUGUGUUCAAUUAUUAAAAACACAACUUCCCGUGCUGACACGGAUAAGGAGAUGGCUGCUGACAUGGUAGGCUGGAGGGGUAAUUUUGGAAAUGAAAUUAUAAACAGUGGAUAGUGCAUGAAAGGGAUAUUUUUUUGGGAGAAUUGUGUUUUGGGCCCAGCUGGGCCCAAAAAUUAACAAAUGGUCCAUCUAACUGACCUAAUUAAUGAUAAGGAUAUCAAAUGUUAACAGACGAAAAUGCCCUUUACAUUUCCAACUCAAAUUGUUGUAAAAUAAUGGGUUUUACAGCUGGUAAACGUGAAAUGCCAUGUCACCAGAGUGAAAAUUCUGAAUCUUCCUAAAAACCACUCACAUAUACCCUCUCCUUCUACUCUCUUUCUCGCCGGAGUUUCAGUUUCUCCGUUCAACCCCAACUCUUCUCCGGCCAAUUCUUACUCGUCCCACCAUUCUUUCCUUCAAUUCUCACCAGAGUUUGCCCCUUUUCCACCAAAGUUCACUCCUUUUUCACCAAAGCUCACAACUUUUUCCCACCCAAGAAACCAUUUUCCGCUCAAACAAACAGGAUUUUCUCCUUUUCUGGUUUAUGGGAUUUCGACAUAGUUCCUAAAAAGAGACACUUGAGAGGGAACUAAGGUUUUCUCUGUAUACACAAAAGGGUUUUUAGAGAGAGAAAACAGAGUGCAGUUUCACUGAGCCAUUUUUGUUUGCUUUGAAGGAAAUUUUUUAUGUGUUUUGGUGAAGAUUUUAGGGCCUAAAGCUUCAGAUUAUUUGUUUGGCAAUGCAGAAAAUAUAUUCUGGGUGAGUUUUUUCUCAUCUUCAUUUUUGAGAAAUUUUUUUCUCGUAUAUGGCUUUGAUUCUCAGAAAUUUAUUCUAAGGUUUGGAUUAUGUUGAUGAGAUUACCUUGAAGAACUAUGCUUAAUUACUGAAUAUUUUUAUGAAUUUAGGUUGUAAAUAUAUAAAUAUAUCAGUGAUUGAUUAAUUAAUUAAUUAAUUGAUUGAAUGAAUGAUUAAUUGACUGAUUGAUUAGGGGCUAGUUGUUAGAUUGUGUAUUCAAUGGGUGGAUUCAUGCAUGAUUUAAAUUUAUGAAAAAUGGGCCCACCAAAGUCAUUUCUUUAAUUCUUAGUUUUCAAUCACAUUCACCAUUGAUUAUGAUCAUUUUAAGAUCAUAUAUGCAUGGCAUACCCAAAAUUUUCUAUCCAAUUCUACCCAUUUACAAUUAUGUUUAUGGAAUCUAAUGAAAUUGAUGUAUUUGUUCAUGAAAAUGAGCUCAUUUGGUCUGAUUUGAUUCCAGGUCAUGGCAUUGCAGUGAGUUUAGGUGUGUUAUUGGUAUGAUUAUGUUAAUCAAAGAUUCGAAAUGGCCGAUUUCUUCAUGAAAAUGAGCUCAUUUGGUGUGAUUUGAUUUUGGGUCAUGGCAGUGUAGUGAGUUUAGAUGUAGUAAACAAACAAUUUGUUUGUGAAAAUGAACUCAUUUUAUUUGGUUUGAUUCCGGGUCAUGGCAUUGCAAUGAGUUUAGGUGUAUUAUUGAUUAUUUGAAUGAGGGCGAUUUGUUAUGGGAAAAUGAGCUCAUUUGGUGUGAUUAUGUGAAUCAAAAGGAUCUGAAAAUGCUCAGAUUGUUCAUGAAAAUGAGCUCAUUUGGUCCGAUUUGAUUCCGGGUCCUGGCAGUGCAGUGAGUUUUGGUGUAUUAGCAUGAUUGUAAUUUAUAUCAAUUAAACUAUUAGAAACACUAGAUUUCUUCACGAAAAUGAGCUCAUUUUAUGUGAUUAGGUUUCGGGUCACUGCAAUGCAGUGAGAUUUGGUGUAUUAGCAUGCGAUUGGAAAAAUGAUCUCAUUUCAUUUGAUUGAUCUCCGGCCAUGAUAUCACAAUGAGUCUAGGUCUACUACUGUGAUUAUAUCAAUCAAACGACUAAAAAUGCUUGAUUUAUUCAUGAAAAUGAGCUCAAUCCAUGUGAUUCCAUUUUGGGUCAUGACAAUGCAGUCAGUUUAGGUGUACCGUUCAUGCAUUGUGUAAUUAGUAGGUGAUUGGGUUUUUGAUUAAUUAAUCAAGCUUGUGUCAUUCNNNNNNNNNNNNNNNNNNNNNNNNNNNNNNNNNNNNNNNNNNNNNNNNNNNNNNNNNNNNNNNNNNNNNNNNNNNNNNNNNNNNNNNNNNNNNNNNNNNNNNNNNNNNNNNNNNNNNNNNNNNNNNNNNNNNNNNNNNNNNNNNNNNNNNNNNNNNNNNNNNNNNNNNNNNNNNNNNNNNNNNNNNNNNNNNNNNNNNNNNNNNNNNNNNNNNNNNNNNNNNNNNNNNNNNNNNNNNNNNNNNNNNNNNNNNNNNNNNNNNNNNNNNNNNNNNNNNNUAAUUGAUGUCUACCAUGUUCAUUCAUCCUAUUAGCUUCCCUAGUAAUGAUGAAUAUGAACCGAAAUUAGGGUCACCUUUUGUGUCAUUUUCCCUAGUCCAUGGUAAUGGAAACAUUGGUUACCCACCCAUAUUCACUUGGAAAUAUGUACCUAUUAGGGAUUUGGUGACUGGACAAGGCAUUUACACUAAGUGUACAAGGCCAAUGUACUAAAUGUACAAGGGUGUACAAGGGUGUGCAUCUUACUUUUUCCAAACGUGGGGAACAAUCCUCACACAUGUUGCUUGAUAACACACGCAUUGCAUGCAAUUUAAUUGAUGUCUACCAUGUUCAUUCAUCCUAUUAGCUUCCCUAGUAAUGAUGAAUAUGAACCGAAAUUAGGGUCACCUUUUGUGUCAUUUUCCCUAGUCCAUGGUAAUGGAAACAUUGGUUACCCACCCAUAUUCACUUGGAAAUAUGUACCUAUUAGGGAUUUGGUGACUGGACAAGGCAUUUACACUAAGUGUACAAGGCCAAUGUACUAAAUGUACAAGGGUGUACAAGGGUGCCUAUCUUGAAGGAUUUCAAAUGCAAAUGGUGGUUGCUCAUUGUGGCCGAUGUGCUGAACGUGUUGUGUUUGGCGAUGAGAUAACUGAUGGAGGAAGGGAUGACCUAGAAAAGAUCACGAAGGUAAUUGUACUUAACAUCAACUUGUUAUAAGUUCAAACUGAUCCUUCGAGGACAUGCUCCAUUGAUUAAAAAAAAUUAUAUUUAGCAGACACAAUACUAUUUGAGGCAGCACUUAAGGAGUUGCAUGCUUUGGUGCAUGAUUAUUUGCAUUUAUUAUGUGUUUGCUUUAAAAUGAACAAAUGGGGAAAAUAAGCUUCACUCAGGAAAGCAAAAUUCAUCAGGAUAAAAAUACAAAGUACAAAUAAAAGGAGGAAAUUUAUAAUAGAAGUGAAGACAGUUGCAUUUUGAACUUGGCUGUCUGUCAGUAGACUUAAGGUUCCUAAACCUCGCCCUUGAUAUGAGCUGGAAGCAAGGCUUACGAAAAUUCUUUGGGACAUGGAAUUCAAAUCUAGUAAUGCUCAUUCCAUGAUACUUGUUUUACCUUUAUGAUUUGCACUUUAUUUAGACACAUUGUUAUGAUUUUCAACUAACCCAUUACAUGGUUUCAUUACAUGUCAAUGUGGUUGAUGAUGGGAAACGGAUUUCCACAAUCCUCAAGGACCAUGUGGGAAGGAUUAUGUUGGGUUUUUUUCUAUUUAUAAAUCAAGUGUUUAUAUUCAAGAGAAAAGGCUUUCAUACUUGGUAUGUACCCAUAAGCAUCACUGAAAAUUCAACUUCUCUUUCUAUCUAGAUUGAUUACAGAAGCAGGCUACGUUUUUUUUCUAAUAGGAUCACAAUGUAAAUUAAUCAUGAAUGCACUUUAUAAUUUGAUGUGUUUAGAUUUAUGUACAAAACGGAUUUUUAUGCUGCUAGUAACUUCUGUUGGUGUUUAAAACAAACAUGGAAUUAACCAUAAUGUUCUCUGUGCUCUUUGCAAGAUACUGGUAUAUUGAGUUGUGGAUGAUCUUAUUUGGUUUAUAUGCCUUUCCAAUCCCUCAUGCUACUUGUUUUCUCACUUUGCAUGGUGCUUGUUUCUGUUUCUGAAACCUUCUUCCAUGGAGUUUGGCUCUAUUGUUAGUAGUGAUGGUAAUAAACGUCUAUUUCCUUGCAAUUUCUUCAGGAGGGACCCUUGCCUCACAACGAUCGGGUGAGAUAUCAGCCACUGGACCUAUAUCCUGCUCCACUCCACAUAUGUUAAAAGUGUUAACGGAACGACGCAGGGUUCUCCCUUCCUACCAUGUUGUCUUUGAUCCUAGUUUGGCUGCCAUCUAUCUGAGUCCAAGUUAGACAUUGAUUCGGGCUCCUGGGAGAAGAAAGAAACCCGGCUUUUGACACCAAUGCUCUGGUUCUUAGAUGCUGAAGCUAUUGAAUAUUGUCAGCUGACUCUUGAGUAGAAGGGUGAAAUGCCAAUGGAAUGUAUCUUAAGAUGAGGCUUAGGACUGUGGUUUACAACAGUUUUGUUGGCUUAUUUAUUACUGUUUUGAUGUUUCUGUACAAUGAAAUUGAAGUUAUAAGAAGGGUCGAUCUGUCUUCGUGUACAGAGAAAUCUGUAAUGAAAAUACUUUUUGCCCAUUAAUGUAUUGAACAUAGAAAAAUUGUGAAAUCUCGAGUUCUAGCGAACCCAUCCCUGUUGAAGUGAUCAAUACAGAAGUCCAAAGAGGAAACACCAGGAGUUUCUGAAAAUGUUUUUUAAUGUUUUGUAAAACAUUUUGUUUGAUAACUUGAAAUUUUUUUAACUUUUUUUUUUUAAAAAUUUUAAAUAUAUUUUUUUUAAAAAAUUUAUAUGUAAUGUUUUAUUUUUAAUAUUUUUUAUAUUUAUAUAAUAAUAUUUAAAAAACAAGUAAAAACAAUUAAAAUAUAUAAUUUAUAACUUUUCUAUCUUUAAACAUCUAAGAGUAUAAAAUUAUUUAUUGAUUGUCAAUUUUUUCCUAGAAAAUAAAAAAUUGGUUUUGAAAACAAUUAACAAAUAGGGUUUUAGAGUGAAUUUGACAACUGUUUUGAAAAACAAAAUUCUAAAAAAUAUAAAAUAGUUUUUCAACUUCAAAAACAACUAAUUAAAGAGUAAUACAUGUAACCGGUCGACCGGACAAUGAUAGGGGGUCGACCGGUUGUUGCAAAAACUCCUCAUAUAAUGUAGACCGGUCGCUGGCAACCGGUCGACCGGAUUACUUCAAAAAUUUUAUGCCAUCUCACUAUUACAAGAGACACAAAAUAUGCAAAUAUGUAAAUUUUUUUCAAAGUUAUUACUUCAAAAAUUUUAUCAGUUCUAAAACUAUUUUGAGAACUAACAUUUCAUGAGAGAAUGGAAUAUUUUUUCUUAUAUUGGAUGUUCUAAGAAAAUCAACUUGUUAAACAAUGCAAUGACAUGACUAAUAUUGGUAAUGUGGGAUUAGUUCAAACUUAUCUAAUACAUCAUUACAAUGUAGCCUUGAAAAACAUGACAUUAUGAAACAGUAUAUUAUUUCAUUUAUAUUUAUGCUUUUGGUAACCCUUUACUAUUAUAUUUAUGUGUCUUAAUUAUUUUGAACAUUCAAGUCUACUUCACUUACAUUACACAUUUGGGUGCGUGAUAAAUUGCAUAAAAGGUCUAACUCCUUCCAAGUUGAUGAGUUGUUCAUUGCUUACUCAUGGACUUAGGUAAUUUGCCGAAUGUUAAAGUUCAGUACCUCCUAAUAUGGAUGAGAUGACUUGGCGAUCUUGUAAAUAUUACUAAACAACAUAUAAUAAAGUAAAUAGCUGCUUAUAUAUAUAUAUAUAUAUAUUGAAUCCAAAUUAAAACGAAAUCAAAAACAUUUGCAUGCUGACACAACUCUAAAUAUACGUAUGCUAAUACAAAAUAUAUAUGUCCCAGUUUUGCAAGCUAAACAAAAUAACGACGUGGUCUCAAUGCAAUCAAGGUGCAGCGGGUGGCGGUGGGAACACGGCGCGGAGGUACGCCAUUAACUCCUCAUGCUGACGCUCUUGGCGAUCAAGCCUCUGUAGGAUAUGCUCAUGCGUAGCCUGCUGCUGAUCCAUGCGCUCCUCAAUACGAGUCCCAAGUGAGGUAAUCUGCGCAGACAACUCCAUCCAAGGCGCAUGCGCAGCGGCGUCAGGAGCCUGGCCAGGUGAUGUAUGGGUGUAAUGAGGCUCAGUAAAUGAUGGCUGACCAGAUGGUCCCGCUGUGUAACCCGUCUCAGUCAUCACCGCAUCUGAAAUAGUCGGGUCAAUGUGGCCACCCUUAGACUGGCGUGGAGGGAUAUCAAACUCAGCCUCUCUAUGCUCAAAAUCGGUCUGAGGGUGUACCCCACCCUCCAUCUCCCUAAUCUCCUCCUCUUCGUCUUCCUCUGCCUGUGGAUGUGGUACUGGUCGGUCCGCCCUCCUAAUCCAUGACCCAUCUGGGGCCUUCUCCAACUUCAUCCGCGCCAUCGACUGCUCAUCAUAUGUGUCAUAACUGCUGGGCGCCUCGACCUCCUGCUCCCUGCUCAAAUCCACCCCCGCAUCCUUGAACACUCGUGUCAUGAAGCGGCCAUAUGGGAGAAUGCGUUUGGGCCUCUCGCAGCAUGCCAUCAUGUGCAUCAUCAUGACAUACCCGACGUCAAUACGUCUCCCCGUCAUAAUCGAAUCAAUCAGAAAUGCCUCCAGAUAGGAAACCUCAUCUCGAUGACCGCCACGUGGUAGGAGGAUGUACGCUAUCAUGUGGUGAAGGACUCGGCAGGUCACUGUCAGGCUAUGGGCCGAUGGUUUGCCCAACCCCGGGGCAUCUGCAAGGCCGUAGAUCCUCUGAAUCGCCUCUCUCGGAUCGAAACCCGGCACCGUCGGCCAGGUCUUGGCAUCAUAUACUCGGAGUCCACCAGGAGGAAUGUCCAAAAUGCGGCAGAUGCUCUCCGGGUCCAGAUGGAUCUGAACCCCUCUAACGGUCGAAGUGAUCGGUCCUCCAUGUCCAAAUGUCACACGGGAAUAGAAUGCCCUGACUAAUGUCGGAAAAAUGGGCUCUGAAAUAGUGACUAAGGGCAGCCACCCCAUGCAUGCAAAGAGGCUCUCAAACCCGAAAUGUUGUAGAUGGGCGAAAUUUAUAUUUCUCCCUGCAACCACCUUCCUCUGGACGAAAUGCUGCUUGUACCUCUGGUAUUCGUCGACCGAAGUGAAAAGGCCGGUGUCGAACCUCGCCUUUCGGCGAGCCUCCGCCUGACCGUCCUGAGAAGCCUGAGCAGGGCGCUUGCCCAGUGCCUUCGACGCACCCCUAUCUCUCCUAGGCGCCAUGAAACACUACAAAGGGCUACCCCUAUGUCAAAACAAGGCCAAUGAAAGAGUCUGUGACGCGCGCGGGAAGAGAAGAGAACCCGCCUGUGACGCGCAAUGAAGGAGGACCAUUGCCAAACCUCACUCCCUAGGUCCGAAAUGUGAAGCCGCACCCCUCAAAACUCACUCCGAAGGCUUGCAACAGCUGGAAUCGCGUCCAAAGUGGGUGUGUGGCAGCUCAAUCGGUGGAUCCCUUCGACUGCCAGAGGAUAACACUGAAGAAAUUAAGCGCGGAAUGGUUUUUUAAACGUCACCCCGGCCGACCGGAUAUGAACCGGUUGACUCAGUAACAUGUUCCAUGGUGUUUUGCACUUUUUAAUAGGUAUAAUGCAAAACACUUGUGAUAUUCACUUUUUGUGGGGUUGCCUUAAAUAUUUUCUCCGUAUAUUUUAAAUAUUUUUAUAAAAUAGUUUUUAUAAAAACAAUAUAUGCAUUUUCUAUAAAAUAUUUUUAUUCUUAAAGGUAAAAAAUAAAAAUAUAUAUCCAAGUGCUACCUUAAUAAUUUAUUUUCUGUCCUCAAUUUUUCCACAAACAACCAUAUAAAAUUUCUUUAACUUUUUCUCUUUCCUUAUAUUUUCUUUUUUAAUUUUUUGGCUUCAAACUUUUUAGGAAUCCAACAUAAUAAAAGAUGGCGCUUUAAAGGUUUUUUUAAAGCAAUCCUAAAAACUUCUUAUUUUUUUAAGUGAGUUUUAUUAGCUUGAAUUUUAAAAUUUUUAGAAAUAAUUUUUGAAAAUAUAAGGUUUUUAAGUUAAUACCUUUUAUAAAAAGUUUCUAUUUUGUACAUAAAAAAAUUUUAUUUUGAAAAUUAGAAAUCAGAAAAUAUAAGGUUUUUAAGUUAAUACCUUUUAUAAAAAGUUUCUAUUUUUUACAUAAAAAAUUUUUAUUUUUAAAAAUAGAAAUCAGAAAAUAUAAGGUUUUUAAGUUAAUACCUUUUAUAAAAAGUUUCUAUUUUUUACAUAAUAAAUUUUUAUUUUUAAAAAUAGAAAUCAGAAAAUAUAAGGUUUUUAAGUUAAUACCUUUUAUAAAAAGUUCCUAUUUUUUACAUAAAAAAAUUUUAUUUUUAAAUAUAGAAAUCAGAAAAUAUAAGGUUUUUAAGUUAAUACCUUUUAUAAUUCCUUUGUCUAUUUAGCCUAUUUGAUUAUUAAUAUUUGUAUAUGAAGAAUUUAUUCGAUUUAUAAAAAAUAAAUAUGAAUAUAAUUAAAAUGUAAAUUCAAGAAAAAAAGAUAUUUAAUUAAAAAAUGAAAACAAAUCACAACAAAACAAUAUCACACAUCAAGAACAUGUUACUUUGUCAUAAUAUUUAUUGUUUUUGUUUUAGUUUUCAUAAAUUGAAUGGUUUUGGGUUUGGAAAAAUAUAAAUUAUGGUAAUAUAACUAAAAAGAUAAUUUUUAUCAAAAUAAUUUUUAAGGCUUGAAUGUUAUAUUAAUUGAAUUUAGGUGUUCUCCCACUGAGUAAUUUAUCCAAUAAGCAACUUGGCUUGGGUUUUGCUUCUGGUUUUUUUCAUUGACUUGAGGUUGACUUGAGGUACCAUUGCAACCCCUUCCCUGUAGGUAGGAAGCGGUCGCAGUAUAACACUAACACAAAUGUCCAUAUCUCUAUCCCAAUCAUUUACAUCUUUCAGAUCAUAUGAAAAAUUGCGACUAUAUGAAAAAAUCAACAUUAAAGGAAUGCGGGAGUUGGAAGAAUUACAGGAAUUGGGGGAGUACCCUUCCCUAGUUUUUUUAAAGAUCAGUUACUGCCGCAAUCUGAUGAAGUUGCCAUCCCACUUUCCUUAUUUAGAAGAUCUAAAGAUCAAACAUUGCGUCUCUCUCAACACCCUUGUUGUGACCCCACUUCUGAAAGUUCUCGUGCUAGUUGACAAUAUUUUUCUGGAAGAUUUGAAUGAAGUGAAGCAGUCAUUCUCUAGUCUUUUGGUAUUGAGAUUAAUUGUUGCCCAAAGCUGAAGGUAUUACCUCAAAUAUGUACCCCAGAUAAGAUGGAGAUUGGUGGGUCUAAUUUACUGGAAGCUCUCUCAGCCCGAGAUUACUCCCAACAUCUUGAGCACUUGAUCGUGGAUGAAUGCGAGGAUGAAACACUGGUAGUGGGGGCAAUACCAAGGAGGACUUCUCUAAACUCUUUGGUCAUUUCAAACAUCUCAAAGGCAACCUGUUUCCCCAAGUGGCCUCAUCUUCCUGGUCUCAAGGCUUUGCACAUCUGUCAUUGGAAAGAUCUGGUAACUUUAUCCCAAGAAGCAUCACCAUUCCAAGAUUUGACCUAUCUCAAACUGUUGUCAGUUGUCAAGUAUCUAAUCUAAAAUAGGUUCCAGCAUCGGAAAUUUGGCUGAAAAUUGUCCCCUUAAUUUAUAUAUAACCAUACUAUCCCAAUCAUUUAUAUUUUUCGAAAGUUAAAAAAUCCACUAUAUGAAAAAUUAGCAUUUAAGAAAAGAAAUCAUUUGUUUUCUAAAAAAAUUAAGUACUAAUAACUUGUAUAUUGUUUUAUCAUUUCUUAAAAUUUUGUCCAAAUUUAAAAAUAACCUCUUACUUUAAUUUGAGCCCCUUCUUAAUUAUAUUACAUUUUGAUUUUUUAAAUAAAACUAAGAAUUAUUUAAAAAUUUUAAAAUUUUGUCCAAUUCUCCAGGAACCGGUCGACCGAAACUGAUCGACCGGUCUAUAUCCGGACGAGGGUGCCAAAAUGCACCCUCUCUCAUCCAGUAGCUUGUCCAAACCUCCAAGAACCGGUCGACCGAAACUGAUCGACCGGUCUAUCUCCGGACGAGGGUGCCAAAAUGCACUCUCUCUCAUCCAGUAGGGUGUGCGCGACCGGCUGAAGAAAGGUUCGACCGGUUUACCAAUGGCUGAAGGACAAUAUCGACCGGUCGAACACUUUAUGCUUUCCGAUCCACGGGUCCAUCUAGACCGGUUCCUGGGUUGGCCAUAUAUACACCUGCAUUGUACUGUAUAAAUUGUAAACGAUAUGUACGAGAUUGUUGAUGAAAAGGUUUGUUAUAGGUUGUAAUGCCGGUGCCUUUUAUUAGAUGUUUUGAGAUAGUGAGGGAAAAUGCGACUUCAUCACAACCUUCAUUAAAUAUAUAAGCCAUAAAAUUGGCAAUACAAUGUCAGGAGUUGGUUUUUCCUGUAUAAUGUACAAUCAUCUUUAAUUCGCCCUAUUUACUUACAAUGCAUUGACAAGCAACUUAAGUAAAAAAACAAUCAAAUUCUGACUAAUCCCAUAAUCCCAGUGUUCAUUUCCGCAUAUGUCCACCAUAAAUUACAUACAAAUGUGCUAAUUUUAUACAGUUUUAUCACAAAUUACAAUCCCCUUUAAUCUCUCCGGACACGGUCUCGGUGUGCAUUUUGUGCUGAGAACAACAUACUCCCCAUGAUCUUCAACCUGUAAUGUUUCAAUUUCCCCUGCGUUCAUUCACGUUGAUAGCAACAAAUCAGCAAAUUAAUUAAUUAGGUUUUUCUAACUAUUUUAACAUUAAUGAGAUAGUCAUAGAUAAUUCCUCCUACGUACCACAUCGAUUGAUUUGGAGAACCCCCCCAUUGACCACAAUUCCAUGAAUUUCAUUACAAAAACUCCACAAUCGUGCCUACGUCAAUAUAAUUACCAAAACGUUAAUAAGUGUGGAAUUAUAAAUAAGAGAUGAACUUCAAAUAAAUUGCAAUCUUAUACAAUAUCCCGGACUGCAAGGUCAACACUCACUCAUUAGUUUGGAGGGGUACAUCAGGUGUUAUGAAAUUGAAUGUCCUCAAAUCAUAAGGUGAUACCUCUUUUUUGUGGGCAGCCAACCACAGGACAACCUUGGCCUGAAACAUUUAGUAACACAACAAUUGAAAUUUUAAUGGGAAGACAUACCUAUCAAAUUAUUACUUGUUGCUUGUUACUUUACCAGAUUUUGUUGGACUCCACUCAACAUUGUCUUCUUUCUACCAGGACGAGAAUCUAGCAGUUGGAUUCUCCUGUUUUCUAGGUCAUAUACAUACAAUGUCCAAUGGUUCUUUAUGAGAACCGGUAAGAAGACCUGCACCAAUAGACUGCCAUUAAACAUACAUCUAAAUAUUGUACAUUCAUGCAAUAAAAAUACAAAUCCAAGCAUUAAACAUAUGAAUCCACCUCGUUAACAUUGACAUAUGGAAUAUCAAUCUGAUACAGAUGUGGUUCAAAGCGUCUAAUAACUGCCUCCCUAACUAAGUUUUUUGCCUGGGAGUGGAUUACCAUUUCCUGCAUGUUAGAUACGGGAUAAUAUCAGGUUUCUCAUUGUAGGUGAUGCCUGGUUCAAGACAAAAAAUAAAGAUAAGCAAGGAUUUAAUGGAAUAGUCAUCAUUAUAGCUAUGUAGGGGGAUAGAAAAAGUUUCGACUUCGGUUCAUGUUGAUACUGCAACAAUCUACAGUAGGAAUCGACGACCUGAUUUCGUAUAUCAUAAAAGUGUAAGCAACAAAUUAAUUUAGAACCACACUUUCAUUUUCAAACUUAAAAUAAUGCAUAAAGAGGGAUAAGAAAUGAUAUGCACGUCGUUUCCUAUCCACCCAUUCCCUUGGAAGCAGCCCAAAUUGGCUCUGGUUAGAAUAGUGUCAUGCAUAGACACUAGUUCCUCACUGUUACAAAAAAAUACAAUUUAGUUUUUGUGUUUUAACUAUCAUACAAUGAGAGGAGUGUCACUCAAGUAUGUUACCUUGCAUCCAAAUCGUCUCCAAAUACCAGUGCAGCUCCUUGUUUUAGGUCGAUUUUGAUGGCAGAUUGUUUGGUUUGUGGUUGGGAUAUGUAUGGGGACAACAGGUUUGGAGCCAUGCGACGCACUCGACAUCUCCGGACGUUUCUAUUUGUGGGGACAACAUUACCUUCUGGUUGUUCUUCAGCAUCUGCAAUACGAGAUUUAGAACUAGUCAGCAAAGGUAUACAUUAUGAUUGGGUACAUGGGUUGUUAACCAUAUGGGUGUUUGCAUAAAUUUGAUCACUUACCGCUUACUACAUUAAUGGGUACACUGGGCUGCAACUCAUACUCAGGGGCGACAACGCGAUCUGGUGUGUCUAGCACAUGGUAUGCAGCAUGCGAAGCCAUGUACUCAUCACCAGGAAAUGCAUGGUCAUCGGCUGUGGGAGGGCUGGCUGGUGCAUAGCUAGAGUGACCACCCGCAUCUGAAUUUACCCCACUAUGUCUGCGAGUCCCUAACUUAUGCAUAAGGCCAUGCAUUAUUCUCAGCUGCUGCUGAAUGCCCCUUUGAUAUUGGUCGAUUGCUCGUUCUGCAUCAUGAUAUUGAUGCCAUAUUUCCUAUGACAUGAUAUUGUUGUCAAUCUUUGAGAACAGAAUGUGACAACAACAUAUUUCUUUGUAGUUAAGAAGUAAAAAUAAAUUACAAUGACAAUGAAAUGAACAUUUAUUAAGUUUUUGAAAAAUUCACAGCUUACAUCACUAUUUUCAGCAUCAACAUUUGUGUCAUGGUCCACAUUAGUCUCUGGCUCCAUAGUUCUCUCUACGGUUGGAGAUCUCUGGGACGCCUAUAAUUAGCACUGAAGAUUAGUACUUAAAUAAUGAGUGUUAUGCUAGUAAUGACAAUAUAUUUAUGCAUGCAUAACUUACAAAAUCACUCUCAGCAUGUCCGAAUGCUCCAAACUCCUUUAUCUCAGCGACUAGUCGUCGCUUAAUCAAAUCAUCAGUCCAUGCCAAUGCUGGGGGCACUGUAAUGGGGACUUGGACUGAAGGAAUUUGGAAUUUAAUGACAUAAUGCAGCUGCAAAAUAAAUAGAAACAUCAAUAAGCAAAUGUGAAUAUGUUGUGCAAUAAAAUUAGAUAAGAAAAUGGAAGACAAAGACUGAAUAAGUUCACUACCUGAAGAAAUAAAACGCAGCCAUGUACCCAAGAGGUCUUAGAUUGUUGGAAUCGCCUAAUUCCCUCAACCAGUUGGUCAAGCACAAACUGGGCCCAAUUAACAUCAUUUCGGAAUCCAUCCUCAUGGAUGGUAUGCCACAAGUUACGGCAACCAUUGAGCCUAGACGUGGGGGCCAACAAUGUGGCACAUGUGUAGUAAAUGAAUGCUCUACGGAACUCCUCGCCUACAGGUAAGUCUAGGAGUUUCUCCUCGCAUGCCCGAAUAGUCCCAAAUGGAUGAUCUGAUGAUGUGGAGGUCACCUGCAAAUUCCGUCCUUCUGUUGGGAGGCCUAAAAUGAGGCCAACAUCGGUGGCUGUAACAGGAUAGUGUUUAUGGGCUGAGAACUCUAUCCGUCUAAAUCCAACAUUGAAAUGUUGGAUUAGAAAGAUACAGAGGUUGUGGCGUACCUCUGUGCAGUUUAAGUUUAAGAGACCUCCAAAUUGGAGGUCUCUUAUGGCUUGAAUUUUUGCCUCUGGUAAUCGGUUGCACAGUUUCUUAAAUCUUGCAGCUGAGCAUCGUGUAAACAUUGAUGUGCCCUGCAUGCAAUGUUAGAAAACAUGGACAUGUUAGGAAUAGCAACAUUCUUGCAGUUGGUAAUGCAAUAAAAUAAGUGAAAAAGUAAAGCUGUCAUUUCUCAAAGUUACAAAGAUUUGUCUGCUUGUAUUUAGAAAUAAUAUACAGCAGGGUAAGACAUUAGAUGGGGUUGGGUGCUACUAACAGUGAGAUAUCCUGUAAGAGGGAGGAUUGAAAAUUUAUGAAUAAGGCUAUAUAGAAUAGGCAAUAACAGUCAAAAUGUACAGAAUAGACUAUAAAAGAAAAAAAUAAAUAUGAGAAUACUACAUGAUAUAUAAAAGAAAGAAAUCAAAUCAAUUUAUGUAAAUAAAUUGACUAAUUAUAUUAGAGAAAGAAACCAUCAACAAAUCAAUGAAUAAUCCUAUUUAACCUGCUCCUUUUGAUACUUCUGACAUACACAAAAUCUAGAGGAACUGCUAGAGCAAGCACUUUGCUACUGCCAUUGAACAUGGACAAGGUUUGGAAUCCAAGUUUCUGUUGAGAGUAUUCCCACAUGGUACUAACUAUCAGUGAAGAAUUGUACACUAUCAUUUGAUACCACGAAUCAUGUGUUUGACCAAAGUUCAUGCAUACCUAAGUUGUUAGCUGAGUGAGGAUUCAUGGGAAAAUAAAUGUAACAUAGGACUAUUAAUCUAAACUUGUGAAAGUUUUGAGGCUUGAAUCUGAUUCAAUGGCCAUAAUAAUCUAAAAUUUGCAGAAAAGAGGAAGUGGGCAUUUAAAAUAAGGUAAUGAUACACUAUGAAAUGCUACUACAUACUUUUUUGUAGAAUAGUAAACAAAGAGUAUGUUUACGCUUGAAAACAAGAAUAAAUAAGAUGAAUCCAUGAGUGUUGGAGAAUUAAAUGAAUGAAGAGGAGUUUGGAAACCAUACUUUAUGUUGGAGAAUAAAAGUUAUGUGCUAUGACUUUAUGUUUUUUUUUUCUGUUAACUUAUAGAAGUAUUUUCAUUGUUGUAAGGAUUCUGCAAGAAGAUAUACAUGAGCAAUUUUAAAUGUCUGUACUGCUCCUGGCAAAAGCCACAUUGGGUACAAGUUUGCCACAUCAGUUUGCUUGGUCAGUGCGUGAAUCACCGUAAAUGAAUUUAUGUAACUGGUUCAAAAUACUGGUAUAUGAAGUGUGUAGAGAGCUAUGCACCUUGCUUAAGUCAAUUGUUUGAAUCUUAGAGACAAAAAAUAAUACAGAAUUUGCCACCCGAAAAAAAUGUAUGUCCAGAGUCCAAGGCACUGAGAAAUUGGCAAGGCAUGGCUCUCCACCUUCAUAUUUAAAUCACUUAGAAAGUGAAGCAAAAAGAAGCCUAAUGUCUCAAUACCAUUGAGGUCCCCAUAAAUAAUUGUGAUCAUUUAACCCUGGGGACCUGGCUAAAGUGGCUACAGAGGUAAGGGUUACCUAUAACUCAAGUGGCUAAAGAGUUAAUCCCAUCCCCAUCACCAUUCCUACCAGAACACCUCUCUUUAUCCCUUCCUCUACCCUCCUCCCUCAUCAUAGAGGACAUGGUUUUUGCCUAUCCCCAUAGCUGUAUAGCGAAGACCAUUAGAUCCCUAAAGCAUAAUUGUAUAUGGUGUUAGUGAACCACAUUUUCUAUAUUACCAAAUUGAACACAAAUAUUACCCGACAACUUACAAAGCUGAUAUAAUAGUAUUUAAUAAAUAAACGUUGAAUUGUUAAAACUUCAAUAUUAGAGAACUUUCCAACAUAACUGAUACAUGGUAACUAUAAUAAGGGACAUGAAGAAAUCACUUAAAUUUAAUGCAUAAUAUAUAUAUAUAUACUAACUUAAAAGGUANNNNNNNNNNNNNNNNNNNNNNNNNNNNNNNNNNNNNNNNNNNNNNNNNNNNNNNNNNNNNNNNNNNNNNNNNNNNNNNNNNNNNNNNNNNNNNNNNNNNNNNNNNNNNNNNNNNNNNNNNNNNNNNNNNNNNNNNNNNNNNNNNNNNNNNNNNNNNNNNNNNNNNNNNNNNNNNNNNNNNNNNNNNNNNNNNNNNNNNNNNNNNNNNNNNNNNNNNNNNNNNNNNNNNNNNNNNNNNNNNNNNNNNNNNNNNNNNNNNNNNNNNNNNNNNNNNNNNNNNNNNNNNNNNNNNNNNNNNNNNNNNNNNNNNNNNNNNNNNNNNNNNNNNNNNNNNNNNNNNNNNNNNNNNNNNNNNNNNNNNNNNNNNNNNNNNNNNNNNNNNNNNNNNNNNNNNNNNNNNNNNNNNNNNNNNNNNNNNNNNNNNNNNNNNNNNNNNNNNNNNNNNNNNNNNNNNNNNNNNNNNNNNNNNNNNNNNNNNNNNNNNNNNNNNNNNNNNNNNNNNUACCCCAAACAACUCCGAAACACUACGCAAUAUCCCUUAAUGUCUAUCUGAUAUAAUAAUUACUUCUUGACCAUCUAGGAUCCCCUUCAAUUUCUCCAAGAACCAAUACCAAUCCUCAUAAUUUUCUGAACCAACCACACCCAAGGCUAGAGGGAACAUUCCAUCAUCUGCAUCAUAUGCAAUGGCAGACAAAAGAGCUCCUUUGUAUGGACCACUUAGGUGGCAAGAAUCAAUAGCCAAUACCGGUCGACACCCCAUGGUGAACCCUUGAAUUGAAAAUGCGUGGGCAAUGAACAAUUGCUUGAAGUGACCUUCAUGAGAAGUGUACUCGGCAAUAGUUCCAGGGUUAAUUUCCCUUAGUCUAUGGCAUAACCAAGGCAAAUACGCGUAGGACGCACGUGGAGAUCCAUAUACACGCUCUUUUGCCUUCUCUUUAAGAUGCCAUGCUUGGUUAUAAGUCAAUUGAACUCCAUGAUCACUUUCAAAAUCCUUGCAAAUUUGUCGAGGAAGGUAUUCUGGAGUUGUUCUAAACACGUCUUCAACAACAACAACACCUCUCUUGGAAGAAACCCGUACCUUAGAUGAACACUCAUCUUGAGCUAUAUGAUUAUGAUUAACUUGGUAAGUAUAAACUCGCAAUAUUUCAUUUCCUUCAACAGCAUGAGCUGUUAUCUUCCAAGGACAAUCCUCAACCGAACACUUUACUGACAUAUGAGUGGGUGAAUUUUUCUUGUACUUGUAUUGAAACCUUCCAGCUAAUGACAUUUGGUAUAUUGCAUUCCGAAACUCAUCUACAUUCUUAAAUGUAUGUCCGGAACCUAAUAUUGCCUCACGAAACCGAUUCGAUUCCAAAGGGGUGUACUCACUAUAUGCACAACGCGAUGCAAAACCUCUUGAUAACAUCAUAGUAUUAGGAUUUGCAUCGCAUGAUGCAUUAGACGAAGGAAACGUAGGAUGUGGACCUCUGCAUUUACAUUCAUAACCAAAAUUAGACUACAUAAUGCGUAAAAUUGAUAUUCAUAAAAUUUUAAAUAGACAUCCAAGUGAAAACGCAUUACCCAAGUGCCAACUGUGUAUUCGGUAUAUUUGCCUCUAUGGCUUCCACACCGGGUGACUCGACUAUGUACACAUUUGCAAAGUCAUCAUUGUGGGAAACCACGUUAUCCAAGUCAUCCUCAUCUUCUAAAUCUUGGAUGACUCUAGGGUUAAACUUGAGGGUGUAGUGCAUCCUCCUCACAUGAAGGGAAAUGUCGAAUUUUUCUAAGACCUUCUGAGUGAAUUCUUCAAAUGUCAUUCCUUUAUAAAUGUGAAUACCUUUGCUUCUUCCACCAACAUAUUCCCAAACGCCAUCAUUUUUUUGGACAAGUUUCCCUCCCACGAAAAUAUAACAGUAUAUUCUAUUUGUGGCAUCCAUCAACCUAUUGAAAUAAAGCACAAAUUUAUAUUGUUGAACAAACAAUAAUGCAUAUUCAAUGUGAUCUUAAAAGUUUUUUCAUUUCACAAUAUACUAUGUUCCCAUACGAAAAAGUUAUAUUUUAAAAAAUGUAUAUACAAAAAAAUGUAACUUUAAAGUCUUAAAAAAGAAUUUUUGUUGCUCUUUUUGAUUAUUCUAACCAUUGUCAACGGUAAGAUUAUUUUAAGAUAGGCACUAAUAAACAAACGCUGAGUUGAACUAAGAUAUGAAGACCGAGCUUCUCUCUUCUCUUGGACUAAUAAAUACUACCUAACCUAAACAAAACUAAAAAUAAUAAUAAAAAUAAAAAACAAAAAUGAGAAAUGUAAAACUGAAAUGGAAAUUAAAAGAUUGAAAUUAAUAGAUUAAAAAAAAUCAUUAAAUUAAAAACUAAGAAAGGCUAUAAAAGGAAAAAAAACAAAUCUCUAACUUAUUUUCCCUAUCAUUCCCCUUUACUUAUAUAUUCAUAGUUCACAUUUUUAUAAGCAAAAACCUCUCUCUCCAACUACUUUAGUGCUACCCAAUUUGACACUACUACUUACCUAUGCUAAUAAUCUAAUCGUGUCAAUACUUGGAACUUUAAGACAGAACAUCACAACAAUAUCUACUAAAGUAGGAGGAUUUUGUGUCUGAUUCGACUUAAUACUCCAGAACAUAUAUAUAUAUAUAUACACCAAAAACAUUGGAAUUAUGGAAGUAUAAGACAUUCAAUAGGAAAUAAUCCCCCACGUUUUAUUAAGCUCUGGCCUAUACUUACACUAGGUAGAAAACAAAUUCUCAUUCUCACUCAAACCCUUAGACAAUUUCUGUUGGUACUACUAUAUUAGACAUGCCUACAAACUUAUUCAAAGAGAAUGGAGAUAUUUAAAUAUUAAUUAUAAAGCGUUGCUUUUCAAAAUAAUAUGAAGAGAUAAUAGCCUAAAAAAUGUAACAAAUACAGAAUUCUCUUCUAAACUAUCAUGUCCUACUUUAGAUGAUUCAUACAAAACCAUAAGCAAUAGUUUAACACAUUUAAGGUUUAAGGGUCAAAAAAACUAAUAGAUAAAACGAGAUAAAUCUGUUACUUGUGCCUACAUCUCAAGCCAAUGCACCAUAAGAAAACUUUAGGGUUUUUAGGUUUUCCAUUUCCCCUUUCCAUUUUUCCUCUCCUGCUUUUCUAGCAACCAAUUAAACAAUUAUAAAUUAUUUUCAAGUAUAUAUGACAAAUUUUCACAAAUAUUUUUUUGAAUUUAAAAUAUACAAAUAGCAUGAAAAAAAAAAUCUAAAAAAAAUUACAAAAAUAUAAUCAGAUCGAUUAAGCCAUGAAUUAUGAGUUGCAGGUAAAGUGCAUUUUCUGUAUUCUCAAGGCUUAAAGAAAAAAUUAUGGUUCAAAAUUUUUCCUUUCUUUUUCUCAUUAUUUUCUCAGCAUCCAAAUAAUAGUAGCAAACCAAGAAGUCAAUUAUUGAAUGGAAACAGUAACUUGAACUCCGGAGAUCAAGUUGAACACAGUUUAGAGAUUUGGACUAAGAAAAUUUAGGUCGAGAUUUAGGCAAUCUACUAACCUCAAAUAUGCAACAACAGAGACCCAACUGAAAUCCAUACCUUAUUCAAUUUUUCGAGAGAGACGAAUGCGAGAAAAAAUGAAAGAGCCGCAGAGAUUGAGAUGCAAGAAAGCGAUGGAAGUGCUCGGGAGGAAGAGAAGAAAACGGUUUCUAGCCUUGAAAUGCUGAAGAGAGAACAAAAUUAGGGCAAAAUUCCAAAAAGCCACAGAGAUUGAGAUACAAGCGAUGGAGAAACUCGGGAGGAACAGAAAAAACGGCUUCUAAGCAGAGAAGAAAAUGACUUCUAGGCAGAGAAGAAAACGGCUUCUAGGCAAAGAAGAAAACGGCUUCUAGACAGAGAAGAAAACGACUUCUAGGCAGAGAAGAAAAUGGCUUAUAGGCUUGAAAUGCUGAAGAGAUCAAAAUUAGGGCAAAAUUCCCAAGAGCCGCAGAGAUUGAGAUGCAAACGGCUUGUAGGCUUGAAAUCUGAUGGAGGAACUCGGGACGAAGAGAAGAGACACCGACGCAAAGAUUGAGAUGCAAACGGCUUGUAGGCUUUAAAUCUGAUGGAGGAACUCGGGAGGAAGAGAAGAGACACCAAAUUUAGGGCAAAAUUCCAACCUGGAUUUUUUUGUUUAUUAUUAUUUUUUUUUCAUAAUCAGCAAAGGUUAUUUUUGGAAUUAAUAAAAGUGCAUAUCCUUCUUUUUAAUUUUGACACUUCCUAUGGGUUUUCAACUUAAAUGGGUCGGUUAGAUGGACCAUUUGUUAAUUUUUGGGCCCAGCUGGGCCCAAAACACAAUUCUCCCUAUUUUUUUGGGCAACAGUGGACAAUUUUUUGGGUUAUGGAAAGUUGGGUUACCAAAAAGCUAUUAGGCCCAAAUGGGCGAGCCAAAACACAGUUUUCCCAGUUUAUAAUUGUCCUGAACUGACAUGGCUGUCGGAAAACAUGCAUGUCCUCAACACCCUCUGGACACUCGUAAUUGAGUACUUUUUGGUUUGGCAACAUUAAUAGACUCAAUAGGCUUCCUUGCGUCACUUCAGAACUUCAAAUUCAUGAGUGCCUUUAAUUGACAUAACUUCUAGAGGAGAUGGCUCACUCAAUUCUCUACAAACACUUACAACAUUAACGGACUUUAUAGGCAGUCUUACCUCACUUGCAUGCCUUGAAAUUGAUAGCUACCCUGAAUUGACAUCAUCUCCUAAAGAGAUUAGUUUCUUCAGAUCCAUAUUGCCACAAUCUCUUAUUGUCCAUGACUAUUGGACAGAUAUGAGAGUGAAACAAGUGAAGAUUGGUCAAAGAUUGUUCACAUUACAGAAAGUUAUUCAGGUUUCAAAUCCCUGUCUUUCUUCUCAUUUGCUAUGGUUUCAUUUUAUCAAUAAGCUUUGUUUACCUUCUUUUUUGACAAUUCUAGUAUGCAUUAACAUAUAAAGCAAAAAAAAAAAAAAAAAAAGGCUGAGAUAAUAUUAAACAUAGUUGUUAUUUGGUUAUUAAAGACCAAACUAUUCAUGUUACUUUAAGUUUUGCACACUAAGAGUUUGGGAAUAAGCUAGUGUUAUGAAAAACGAGAAUAGGCAACAAAAAAUAAAUAAGAACACACACAGAUUUACGUGGAAAACCGUAGGCAGGAAAAACCACGAACAAAGGAGAAGAAUAAUCCACUAUGUCAAAAAUUGGUACAAAAGGGGAGAACAUUAAGCGGCUACAAUAUAAAUCCCUUAGAACCUAUACACCAUCCCCAUAUAUAUAUGGGAGAGAAAAAAAAAAAAUAAAGCUGAAGAAAUCUAUAAUUUUUUCUUCACCAUAUAUAUUGCAUCGUGAAGAUUUCGGGUUGGACCAAUAAAGGAAAUUAGGUCACCAAGCUCUAACUAUCUCCACCUUGACAUGAAUUCCAAUGUAAGGAAUAGGAAAAACAAACUCCAAUCUUCAACAAAAAAAAACUCUUCACCUCUUCCACAAACCCCAAAGGGUAAUUCAACAACGAAUACUAACCAAGUCCAAACAAUGCUCAAACUUGGAAAGAGGGAGUAUCUUCAUCAUCAUAUCAGUAGGAUUAUCAUGGGUGCUAAUUUUGGCCACAACAAUAUCACCAUGAGCAAUGAUAUCACACACAAAAUGAUACCACACAUCAAUGUGCUUUGUCUUCUCAUAAAACAUCUGAUCUUUUGUGAGGAAAAUAGCACUCUCUGACAAUCACAAAAAACUAUGGUAAUUUUCAAGUUGUCACUAAGUUCACUAAAUAGUCCUUUUAACCAAAUAGCUUCCUUACAAGCCUCUAUAAUAGCCAUGUACUCAGCCUCGAUAGUAGACAAAGCAACUAUAGUCUACAAAGUAGCUUUCCAACUGAUAGCACAACCACCAAUAGUAAAAACAUACCCUACAAGAGAUCUUCUUUUAUCAAGAUCACCAGCAAAAUCAUAAUCAACAUACCCAACAACUCCAUCUCUAGUUCACCCAAAAUGCAAAGAAACAUCAGUAGAACCACACAAGUAUCUAAAAAUCCACUAAACCGCUUUCCAAUGUUCUUUACCAGGAUUUGUCAUGUAUCUAUCGACUGAACUGACUGCAUAUGAUAAAUCUAGACGUGAACAAACUAUAGUAUACAUGAGAGACCCCACUACACUAGAAUAUGGAACUCGUGACUUAUAAUCAAUGUUAUCAUCUGAUUAUGGAGCUAAAACAGAUGCAAGUUUGAAAUGAGUCGCUAAUGGAGUACUAAUAGGUUUAGCAUUCUACAUAUUGAACCUGUGAAGAACUUUCUCAAUGUACCCUUUUUGACUUAGGUAUAAUUUACUUGUCUUUCUGUCUCUUAGAAUCUCCAUUCCAAGUAUCUUCUUUGUUGCUCCUAAGUUUUUCAUCUCAAACUCCUUAUUGAGUUGGACUUUUACCUUUCUUAUAUUUUCCUUAUCCUGGGCUACUAUUAACAUAUCAUCAACAUAUAAGAGGUUUGACUCAUUCAUGACCACUCAUGAUAUUAAUUAUUGUUUAUACCUAUUCCCUGAUGAAGUACAAAAUUUUGAUAUUAUGAAGUGAUGGAAAUCUCAUGAAUCCACUUUUUCUAAACUAUCUAAAAUGGAAUGUGAUUUACUAACCCCACCGGUGUCUACUGUAACUUUGGAAUAUUCUUUUUUUAUAGUAGCAAAUGUAAUAGGAGACAGGAGGACAACUCUUACAACAAAGAUGCUAGAAGUUUUGACAUGUUUGAAGGAUUAGGAAGAUGGAAGCAUGAGACUUCAAACUUUAGAGGAUGAAAUUAAAGAAGCCUUCGAGAAAUUGCAUCUCAAUGCAGACAAUGAUGUUUAAGAGAUUGAUGAUGAUUGAAGAUGUAAAAAAAGGAAUGAAGAUUGAAUAAGAAGACAAAAGUGAAUAUGAUAAUAGAAGAAUUAUAUGUUGUUCGUUUCUUUUAAAUCUAUUAAAUGUAACUAAUUUUUAAAGGUUGAGUAAUACAUAUGAUUGAUAGUUGGGUGGGUGCCAACCUAGUUGGGACGUGGUCAAACUAUAGUGAUGCAAUUCUCGCCUUUUUAUUUCUUCUUAUUUUUUAAUGUAAUUUGUUGAAAUAUUGAAUAAAAGAAUUAUUUUUUAUAUUUCAUUUCCUUUUAUAUUCCAUUAUUUUAAAUUUAUUGUUAUUUUGAUAAAAAAAAAUUCAAAUAUAACUUUUUUACUAUUUUUAAAAACAAAAAACUAACAUUUCUAUAAAUUUUACAAUUACAAUUAAAGAGUUUGAACUAUUAUACUGUGGAUAUGAACAAAUUAGCUGAUUUAAAUUUUUAUUAAUAUGAGCUUGCCCAUUUGGUUUUCUUCCCAAGUUUUAUCUGCACCCUUGUGCUUUAUGUGAAGAACUAAUUAAUUGAUUACAUCAAUAUGUUGUUUCUUCUCAUGCAUUAAUUUUCUCUAAAAUAUUGAGUGGUUCUAAAUUUCAUAUGAUAAGAAAAAAGAGAUCGACUUAUGCANNNNNNNNNNNNNNNNNNNNNNNNNNNNNNNNNNNNNNNNNNNNNNNNNNNNNNNNNNNNNNNNNNNNNNNNNNNNNNNNNNNNNNNNNNNNNNNNNNNNUGAAAGUUAGAACCACUCAAUAUUUUAGAGAAAAUUAAUGCAUGAGAAGAAACAACAUAUUGAUGUAAUCAAUUAAUUAGUUCUUCACAUAAAGCACAAGGGUGCAAAUAAAACUAUUGAGUGGUUCUAAAUUUCCUUACAAACUAAUAUUUUAAAUUAUGAAAACUUUGAAAUAUUAAUAUUUCUUUUUACUCAACCCUUAAUAAAUAAAAAGAAUUUGGCCAAUUUAAUUUUUGUAAUAUAUUAUGUUAUGUUUGAUUUCAGAAAAAAUACUAAAGAAACAAUAUAUAUAUAUAUAUAUAUAUAUAUUUUGAGGAAAAUAAUUUUCUCAUGUUUUUUUUUUGUUUUUUUAUGGAAAAUACAAAACAAAAUAAAGUAUUAUUCAAAUUAAUUAAUAAUUUUAUAUUUUAAUUUUUAAAAUUUUUGUAUGAAAUGAGAAAAAUAAAUUUAAUAAAUUUGAAGAAGUAUAAAAAAAUUAUUUAAAUCUUUAUUUUAUUUUCUUUCAAAUGUUUUCUUCAUGUAAAAAUUAAAUAUAAUUAAAAUUAGUUCAAAAUUUAUGUAUUUUCAAAAUUAGUUUAUUAUUAUUGAAAACAAAAAAAGAAGUAAAAUGAGUUUAAAAUGGUAUGUAAAAAUAAUUUAUUAAUUGUAAUUUUUUUUUUUAUUUGUCACUUUUUUAAACGCAUGCAAUAACUGGUUAGAGUCUCCUCACUUAAGGUCCCUGAAUAAUUUAUUAUUUGUCACUUUUUAAAAAUUUAUUUUUCUAUUUUUUCUAUGGCAUUUCUCUUAAAUCUUCCAACAACAAAACCUAACUUGGGGGUUUCAAUUUUUGCAUCAUAGCAUGUGUUUGAAUCGACCAAACAUCCAUCACAAAAUACUGAAUGUAAAGAAAAAUAAAUGAAAGAAGGACAAAAGUUAUAUUACAACUUGCAUGGCUUGUUGACUUGUCCGCCUAUUAAUCCAUAAUAAUAAUAAUUCACAUUUUAUAUUAGUACCAUGUGAUUUCCCCAAUGCUCACAAGCCCUAUAUAUCACUACUUUGCCCAGUAUUCUCCCCUCACAAUUCUCUUUUGAGUUCUCCUUUUCUUACUAUAUUUCCUUGCUCUUCUGCACUUCGAAUUCUUCUAACAUAUGGCUGACCAAAUUCCAUUCGGUGUUGUGGAUCACAUUUUGAUCAAGUCAGGGUCCCUGGCUGUUCAAGAAAUUCGAUCCAUGUAUGGUGUUCCAAAGGAGUUAACCAAGCUCUGUGGGAAACUUGGCACCAUCAAGGCUGUGCUUUUGGAUGCUGAGGAGAAGCAGCAGCAGAACAAUCAUGCAGUCAAAGAUUGGGUCUGGAGGCUUAAAGGCGUUGUGUAUGACGCAGAUGACUUGCUGGAUGACUAUGCAACCCAUUAUCUUCAGCGAGGAGGAUUGGCAAGGCAGGUCAGUGACUUCUUCUCAUCUGAAAAUCAAGUUGCUUUUCGUUUAUACAUGAGUCACAGACUCAAGGAUAUCAAAGAAAGGAUAGAUGAUAUUGCAAAAGACAUCCCCAUGUUAAAUCUUAUUCCACGGGACAUAGUACUACACACACGGGCAGAGAAUAGUUGGAGAGACACCCAUUCAUUCGUGUUAACAUCUGAAAUUGUAGGAAGAGAAGAAAACAAAGAGGAGAUAAUAGGGAAGUUGUUGUCGUCCGACGGUGAAGAAAAUCUUUCGGUUGUUGCCAUUGUAGGUAUUGGGGGGUUGGGUAAGACCACCCUUGCUCAAUUGGUAUACAAUGAUGGAAGAGUGAAAGAACAUUUUGAGCCUAAGAUAUGGGCUUGCAUUUCUGAUGAUUCUGGUGAUGGUUUUGAUGUUAAUACGUGGAUCAAAAAAGUUUUAAAAUCUGUGAAUGUUCGGUUUGAGGAAAGUCUGGAGGAUAUGAAAAAUAAGCUUCAUGAAAAAAUAAGUCAAAAGAGGUACUUGCUAGUCCUCGAUGAUGUUUGGAAUCAAAAUCCUCAAAAAUGGGAUGACGUGAGAACUUUAUUAAUGGUUGGGGCUAUUGGUAGUAAAAUUGUAGUGACCACCCGAAAACCAAGAGUUGCAUCAAUCAUGGGAGAUAAUUCUCCCAUUAGUUUGGAAGGUCUGGAACAAAAUCAGUCCUGGGAUUUAUUUUCAAAAAUUGCAUUUAGAGAAGGCCAGGAGAAUUUGCAUCCAGAAAUUCUAGAAAUUGGAGAAGAAAUUGCAAAAAUGUGCAAGGGAGUUCCUCUCAUCAUUAAGACUUUAGCAAUGAUAUUGCAGUCUAAAAGAGAACAGGGCGAAUGGUUGUCUAUUAGAAACAAUAAAAAUUUGUUGUCACUUGGCGAGGAAAAUGAGAAUGUUUUAUCUGUGCUAAAACUAAGUUAUGAUAAUUUGCCUACUCAUUUGAGACAAUGCUUUACAUAUUGUGUUGUAUUUCCAAAAGACUAUGAGAUUGAGAAAAAGUCGUUGGUACAACUAUGGAUAGCACAAGGUUAUAUUCAAUCUUCAAAUGAUAAUAAUGAGCAACUAGAAGAUAUAGGGGAUCGAUAUUUUCAGGAAUUAUUGUCAAGGUCAUUGUUGGAGAAGGCGGGAAACAAUCCUUUUACUGCUACAUUAAGGUAUAAAAUGCAUGACCUUAUACAUGAUCUUGCACAAUCAAUUAUAGGAUCUGAGGUCCUCAUUUUAAGAAAUGACAUAACAAACAUUUCAAAAGAAAUUCGUCAUGUAUCAUUGUUUAAAGAAACGAAUGUUAAGAUAAAAGAUAUAAAGGGAAAACCCAUAAGGACCUUUAUAGACUGUUGUGGACAUUGGAGAAAGGAUUCAUCAGCUAUAAGUGAAGUUCUUCCAAGCUUUAAGUCCCUACGUGUGUUGAGUGUGGAUAAUUUGGCUAUAGAGAAGGUGUCAAUGUGGGUAGACAAAUUGAGCCACUUAAGGUAUCUUGAUCUUUCUCUUCGUGAUUUUGAGGCACCUCCAAAUGCUAUUACAAGGUUAAAGAAUUUACAAACACUAAAACUCAAUGAGUGUUGGAGUUUGAAGAGAUUUCCAAAAGAUACAAGAAAAUUGAUCAAUCUUAGACACUUGGAGAAUGGUGGGUGUGCUAAUUUGACUCAUAUGCCACAUGGAAUAGGAGAAUUGACAUUACUUCAAAGUUUACCAUUGUUUGUUGUUGGGGAAGAGAAAGAGUUGUCCAGGGUUCAUACAAUUGGCAGCUUAAUUGAAUUGAAGAGGCUAAACCAACUAAGAGGAGGACUACUCAUAAAAAAUCUUCAAAAUGCACGGGUAUCAGAAGGAGAAAUUUUGAAAGAAAAGGAAUGCCUUGAGUCUUUGAGAUUAGAAUGGGCCCAAGAAGGUAACUGUGAUGUGGAUGAUGAGUUGGUGAUGAAAGGCCUCCAACCACACCGAAACCUAAAAGAGCUCUAUAUAGGUGGCUACCGAGGUGAAAGAUUUCCAAGUUGGAUGAUGAAUAGCCUGCUUCCUAACCUAAUUAAAAUUAAAAUUGCGGGAUGUUCAAGGUGUCAAAUUCUACCACCCUUUUCUCAACUCCCUUCUCUCCAGUCUUUGGAUCUUUGGAAUAUGGAAGAGGUGGAGGGCAUGAAAGAGGGUUCAUCAGCAACAAAUGCCGAAUUCUUCCCAGCUCUUCAAUUCCUCAAACUCAACAGGAUGCCGAAGUUGAAGGGAUUGUGGAGGAUGGAGUCAGGAGCAGAGCAAGGUCCCUCAUUUCCUCAUCUUUUCAAAUUAGAAAUUGAAGGAUGCCAUAACUUGACAUCCUUUGAAUUGCAUUCAUCUCCUUCUCUUUCUACUUCAAAGAUCAAAAAAUGCCCUCACUUGACAUCCUUUAAAUUGCAGUCCUCUCCUCGUCUUUCUACUUUAAAGAUUGAAGAGUGCCUUCUCUUGUCAUCCUUUGAAUUGCAUUCAUCUCCUUGUCUCUCUGAAUUUGAGAUCAGUGAUUGCCCAAACUUGACAUCCUUGGGACUGCAGUCAUCUCCUUCUCUUUCUAAAUUAGAGAUCCAUAGUUGCCCAAAUUUGACAUCCUUGGAAAUGCCUUCAUCUCUUGGUCUUUCUCAAUUACAGAUCAGAGAUCGCCGAAACUUUAAAUCCUUGGAACUGCAGUCAUGUUCUUCUCUUGCUAUAUCAACCAUACAGUCUUACGAUAAGCUGAAAUCCUUGGAAAUGCCUUCAUCUCUUGGUCUUUCUCGAUUAGAGAUCAGUGAUCGCCGAAACUUGAAAUCCUUGGAACUGCAGUCAUUUUCUUCUCUCUCUAUAUUAACCAUACUGUCUUGCGAUGAGCUGACAUCCUUGGAACUGCCUUCAUCUCCUCAUCUUUCUAGAUUACAAAUCAGUUUUUGUUGUAACUUGAAAUCCUUAGAACUGCCUUCAUCUCCUGGUCUUUCUCAAUUAGAGAUCGAAUAUUGUGAUAACUUCACAUCCUUGGAACUGCAGUCAGCUCCUCGUCUUUGUCAAGUACAGAUCAGACAUUGCCAAAACUUGACAUUCUUAAAAGAGGUUUCAUUACCUAGUCUUGAGAAACUAUUCCUAUCUACAGUCAGAAGGGUGGUGCUCAUAAUGUUUGUCUCUGCUUCUUCUUCACUGGAGUCUCUGUUUAUUAACAACAUAGAUGAUAUGGUAUCUCCCCCAGAGGAGCUGCUUCAACAUCUUUCCACUCUCCACAAUUUGAAGUGCUCUGGUUUGGCAACAUCACCACACUGGAUAGGCAGCCUCACCUCACUUUCUGAAUCAGAGAUCAGUGAUAGCCCAGACUUGACAUGCUUAGAACUGCCGUCAUCUCUGUGUCUUUCUAGUUUAAAGGUCAAUGAUUGCCCAAACUUGACAUGCUUAAAACUGCAGCCAUAUCCUUGUCUUUCUAGUUUAAAGAUUGGAAAAUGCCCGAAGUUUGCAUCCUUUGAAGUGGCUUCAUUACCUUGUCUUGAGGAACUAAGCCUGGGUGGAGUUGGAGCAAAGUUACUGUCAAAGUUAGUGUCCAUCUUUGCUUCUUCUUCAUUGAAGUCUCUGUAUAUAUGGGAGAUACAUGAUAUGAGAUCUCUCCCAAAGGAUCUGCUUCAACAUCUUUCCACUCUCCAAACUCUCCACAUUUUGAAAUGCUCUCGUUUGGAAACAUUAUCACACUGGAUAGGCAGCCUCAUCUCACUUAGAGAGCUUGGAGUUCAUGAAUGCUGUCAAUUGACAUCACUGCCAGAAGAGAUGCGUUCACUCAGAAACCUGCAGGAGUUAUAUCUCUGUGAUAGUCUAAUUCUACGGAUAAGAUGCAGUGUGACAACAGGUGGAAACUGGUCCAGGAUUGCUCAUAUCCCACAUAUUCAUUUCUUCGAUGAUAAGGGAAUAAAGUUUAAGGUCCGAAAUUCCUAACCUUUAUCCUCAUUUUUAUUAUUUUACGAUCAAAAUGCAAUGUUUUCCCAUUUGGUUUUGGUAAUUCUUUUAUAUUGACACUUCACAUGUUUGUUAAAAUGCUCACAUCAAUAAAUUUGAUUUCUUUUUGCAGACUAUAUGAUAGAUGAUGUGCACUAAACUGAUCAUUUUACUAGGUUCUACAUUCUAAGGGUUUGAGGAAAUACUGAGAUCUGAUAUGAUAUAUCUCCCAGAGGAGCUGCUUCAACAUGUUUCCAUGAUCUAAACUCUCACCAUUAGACAUUGCUGUUUUUGCAACAUUACAACACUGGAUAGGCAGCCUCCCCUCAGUUAUAGAACUUGGAACUCAUGGCUGCCAGAAGGUAUGUUCCCUCAAAAACUUGCAGAUGCUCAAAAUCUGCAUUGAAGUCUUAAUGAGGGCUGAGGUGCUGUGUCAGUCAAUGUUUCUCUCCACUUCUUCAUUGAAAUCUCUAUCUGUUGGAUCCUCAGAUGCUAUGAUGUCUCCCAGGGGAGGUACCUCAACAUGUUUCCAGGAUCCAAACUCUCAAAUUGAAUUAUGCUCUGGUUUUGCAAUAUUGCAGCCCUGGAUAGGCAGCUUCACCUCACUUAUGGACCUUCAUAUUUGUGACUGCGCUGAAUUGACAUCACGGUCGGAAGAGAUGCAUUCCCUCAAAAGCCUGCCAACACUCAAAACCUUUCAUUGUUGGAACCUACUUGAAGAUGCCAAAAGGAAACAUUUCAAGUUCAAGAAUAGAGAGAGCCAUGCUUGGUGCAGAUUCCAUCAAUAUAGAGAGACAUUUCAGGUCUGAAAUCCACCCUUCAAGUUGUAUUAGCAUAUAUAUCAUGAGUGAUUUUGUUAUUUAUGUCCACACCUUAUUCAUUUGAUGAAAUGCUUAAACAAGCAAGUUUUAAAAAAAAAAUUCUUCAAAUCACUUAUCAAAGAAAAAAAAAAAAAAGUUUCUCUUCAAAUCAAUUCUAAUGCGCCAUGAAUUGGUAAAUGAAGUUUGGGAAGAUGCUGGUUUGAUUUAAUUAUCAUUUGGUUGCAGAUUUCAUCUUGCAUUAGACGCGUGUGAAUAUUUCUUCUUGGCUCAACUUGAAAUCACUGCCUACAUUCUUCCAUUUCCCAGCUCAAAAUCACGUGGCAGAAGUUUUAAACUGCCAAAAAAUUUGUGAUGGCCCAUAAAUUCUUAUCUACCAGAUGACUAAUGGAGGAAGGUCCUGCUUUCUUUAGAAUUCAGGUCUACUCUUUGCCAUAGAUUACAGGUAAUCUGCUGCCUGCUAUUAAUUUGUACAUCGUCUUUCAUUUUGCCAUCCAUUUCUGUCAAGAGUGUCAUUCAAGUUGUGACUAUAUUUGUUGACUUUCACAUGCACAAAACUAGUAAACAGAUUGAACAAGUAAGCAAUAUGUGUCACUGUGAGUUUCGUUGUUAUUUAAAAUCACUCCAACUAAACAUGACAUAGACCAAAAACUCAUUAUCUCAGUCAAGUAGUUUAUUUUUUGUCCUUCAUUUGGUGAUGUUGUCUGGGUUUUUUAUUUUCUCUCUCUUCAUUGAUAGGCUUGUCCUCUCUGCAAUAUUAAUCACUGCAGAUGUAAUGUUGUCUAAUCAAUACAAAAAGCGAUAGUUGUGGGGCUUCCUUGAUCAGCAACUGCAUCGAGUGUUUCUAGACACUAAUGUCUCUAUAUUUUUGAAAAUUCAGAGAGUUGCAAAUUUCAAGGACUUAAAAGCUCGAGUAACUGUCUCUACCAUUAGGGCUUCAACAUGUUACCAUUCUGGAAAUUCUAAAAUACGUCAGAAUGCCCCACAUCCCUUAAUCGAAACCACUGCCAACACACUCAUGGGCUCUUUGACUUUGCCAUCUACAAUAUAUCAGAGGUUCAUGAUCCAUCCUCUAUUUCUGCUUUGGGUGGCUUCAAUUUUUUAUCUUACUUUUGUGUCAAUAUUCUAAAAAUGUUAUAUUCAAUUUACAAUUUUUUUUUAUCUGAUUCUCAUGCAUUCGCACAUGCUAAGAGACAAGUAAUAUAACACUUUCAUAAUGCAGGCCUUUUCCAUUGUUACUUCAUGUUUUUCACUUUACGAAUUUGAGAAAAUUUUGGGGUUGAUUUAAUUACUAUUUUCUCACAGAUUUCACCUUGCUUAGAAAGCCUAUGACUAUUCAUAUCUACUAGAUGGCUAAGGCAUCCAAUAAAUAUGCUUCACUCACCAGAAAAAUACCCAUCUCCUCAGCUCCAAACCCCUCUUUCUUCUCCUUCUCUUUUACUGUUUGCCAUUAUACCCUCUUACUGCUUUUGAAGACUGUAUUACUUUUGUAAAAUCCUUAGAUUAGUAAAAUUUGAAAUUGUAUUUUUAGUUUAAUGAUUAUAAUCUAUAUGUGAUCUUGUUAUUUCAUAUUUGUAGUUACAUGUUUCGAAAUUUUAUUAGGUUAACUACUUUGUUACAGAUGCAAGUGCUGCUGGGUCAAAGCAAAAUACCAGAUGGUAAUGUAGUUGUGACACCUUAUUUCUCUAAAGCAACUCAAAAGUGGGAAUUGUCAUAGAUUAAUAUUCUCUCAGUGGCGGCCACACCUCAUUUCUCUCAAGUAUUGAAAAUUCAGUGAUGUGCUAGUAGCUUAAUUAAUGUCUCUGUCACAAGUGAUUCAACAUCUCAUCCCACUUGAAGCCUUGGAAGCUAUCUCUAUAUUCAGGGACUCAGAUUGCCGCCCUAAAUUUGGUAACUUUAUCACACUCAAUGGACAACUUCCCUUUACUAACGUCUUCAAAUUUAUUGUUGUCCUGAAUUGAAAUCAUUGUUGGAAGAAGUGCAUGUCCUCAGCAUCUUUUGGACACUCAUAAUUGGGUACUUUCUUGUUUGGCAACAUUAACAGAUUCAUUAGGAAUCCUUACAUCACUUCAGACCUUCGAAUUUAUGAAUGCCUUGAAUUGACAUCACUUCUAGAAGAGAUGGUCCACUCAGGUCUCUGCAGACACAAUUCAGGACUUUUCUUUUUUGGCAACAACAAGAGACUUUAUAGGCAGUCUCACCUCACUUGCAUACCUUGAAAUCAAUAGUUGUCCUGAACUAACAUCAUCUCCAGAAGAGAUUGGUUCCUUCAGAUCCAUGCAGCCACCCAUAAUCUCUUAUUGUCCAUUGCAAUUGGAAAGAUGUCUAAGGGAAACAAUUGAAGAUUGGUCAAAGAUUGCUCAUGUUAUAGAAAGUUGUUUCAGGUUUGAAAUCCCUGCCUUUGUUCUCAUUUGCUAUGGUUUCAUGUUUAUCAAUAAGCUCUGUUUACCUUUUGUUUCGACAAUUCUGGUAUGCUUUAGCAUAUAAAGAAAAAAAGAAAAAAAAGAAAAACUGAGAUAAUCUUUUAAAAUUUUUUUCAUCUUCAAAUCAAAAUUGUUAAUUCCAUGUAUUAUUAAAUAUAGUUGUUAUUUGGUUAUUAAAGACCAAACCGAUCAUGUUACUUUAUGUUUUGAACACUAAGAGUUUGGGAAUAAACUAGGCUUUAUUUAAUUUCUGUUUUUAGCAUAUUUCACCUUGCUUAAGAAGCUUGUGAUUAUUCCUUGGACCAAAGAUUUCUUAUGAGUCAGAAUUUUUGCUCUCUUUCAAAUUCAGCUGCUUUGUUUGUAAUUCCAAUCCUUUUCCUGCCUUUGAACACUAGCACCAUUUUUAGUUAUUUAUCAAUGUGUUAGGAGCAUUAUCCUCUAGUUUUUAUAAUUUGUUGCCAAUUAUCAUAUAUAACAACACAUUAACCAAGUAGUGCAAAUGAACAUCUAUAAAGAGUCCAAUUAUGUUAAUUAGCAACUAUUAGAUAAAGUAGUUAUAGUAUUAUUUUUUUUGUUUGCUUCACAUGCUCUAUAAAAUCCAUAGAUUAGUAAUGUUUGAAUUUGGUAUCUUCAAAGAUAUCAAUUGCUACUUUGAUGGUUAUAAUCAAUGAUUUAACUGUCUGCCAAAGUGAUUAUAUUGUUAAUAACUUCGUGUUUCCAUUUUACAUGUUUGAAAAUUUAUGAAGUUAACUAUUUUAUUGCAAAUGUAAUAGUUGCUAAGUUAAAGCAAAAGUGGUAGUGAUGUGGUUGUGACACCAUACUCAUAUGAAGUAAUUGGAAAGUGAAGAUUGUCAUAGACUAAUGUCUAUUUUGGUGGCUACCACACCCUCGCUUCUCCUAAGUUAUUGAAAAUUCAUAAAUGUGGUAGCCAAAUGUCUCUCCCUCGUGUGAUUUAGCACAUUGCCCUCGAAAAUUUGGAAGUAUGUAAAUUCACUUUAGUGCCCUUGAAGAUUUAAAAGUUCUCCAUAUAGGUAGGGUUAACUGUUUUGGUUUUGCAACUUUGUCAAAUUAGAUGAGUUAACUUCAGAUCGAUAACUACCUUGUGUUGAAAUUAAUGCUAGAUGGGAUGCACCCAUGAGCACUCUAUAGAAAGUCAAUAACUUUCACUCCCAAAUCUUAUUAGAGAAAUGCCAAAAAGGAAAAGGUGAAGAUUAGCCAAAGAUGAUUUUAUGGUUGAUUCAUGCACUACUAUUGCAAUCCUUAAUUCAAGCAUGCAAUCUACAAUAUGUUUUAGGCUUGAAAUCCAACCUUUCUCUCAUUUUUUUUAUGGCUUUGGUUUAUUUUUAUACAUUGUUUAUGAUUCUAUUUUCUUGAUUCUCAUGUGCAUUAAGAUAUAUAAAGAAAAAAAAUUUCAUUGUUUGCUUUCUAUCUACUAUGUGUCGAUACAUAUAUGUUUUAAAAACCAAUUUCUAAUAGCGGUGCAACUUAGGCGAGUUGGCCCAACCUAGCUAGACCUUUGAGUGAGUUUGGACGAUCAUUUUUAAUGUUCGGAUUGAGUUUAUCUUAAGUGUUUUUUCAACAUAAAUUCAAUUUGGUUGGGCUUAAGCCAAGGUUUAGACAACUUAAGCCUAACCUAAACCUAAUUUAAUCCUUUUAUAAUACUUAUAAUUUAUAUUAUCCUAUAUAAUAAUAUUUAUAAUUUUUAUUUAUUUAUUGUUAUAAUUAAAAAAAAUCAAAAUAUAAUUGUAUCAUAUACUUUUUUGUUUCUCCAAAAUGAUAUAUUGAUUGACUUAUUAUUAUUAUUAUUAUUAUUAUUAUUAUUAUUAUUAUUACUAUUAUUGUAAUCUUGAAAAUUUGUCAUAUUUACUACUUAAAUUUGUGUGUGUGUGUGUAUGUGUAUGUGUAUAUAUUAAAAAAUAUUGUGAAUGCAUUUUGAAUCUGUUAGCCCAAAGGUUCUCCUAAUCGGGUUUUGAUGAUAACAAACUAUGGUUAAGUGACUAAUUGUUUUAAAUGAUAAAGAAUCUCAGGUAUAAAUUCGGAAAUUCAUUAAAGGACCAAAUAGAUACAAGAUCAAGACUUUGGGAAGACUUUUGAUCAUAGAAAACGAAUGUAAGAUGAAUGCAUGGGUGCACUUGGGAUUUUCAUACCAUUUCAUGCAUCUUAGAAAACUCGGUUUAUCCUUUAAAACUUCGAUUUCAUUAAAACUCGAGUUUGAUCAAAUGUACCUUAGGCAAAACGUUUUAAAAUUGACAUAUUAUUUCACCUAAAGACCUUGCUUAAGUGUUAGAAAAGAAAGGAAUUGAAAAAAAUAAGUUUUCGGGGCCAAAAGACCGAACCGAUCGAGGCUCUGGCCAACCGGCUCAACCGGUUGGGGAACGGUCGAGGAGUGCCAAAAACACUCUCUCUCAUCCAGUAGUUUCCUCUUCCCAGUUGAGGUUCACCCAUUCCCGGUUGAGGUCCAGUUGAGGCAAUGGUAACCUGCCAAGCAUUAAAUGCUCCAACAGCUAGCGAACCGGUCGACCCCUAGCUCGAUCGAUCGAGACUCCCUUUUGCCUUUUUUGACUUCCGAGCUUAGAAGCCUAUAAAUUGAGAGCUGCACUUCAUUUAUGAACAAGAGAACACUUGCAAUCAAUUGUCUACCUACCUAUUCUUGACCAAAAAACUCUCAUUUCUUUCUUAGUGCAUUAAAUCAUCACUUGCAUAUCCUUUAGUGCACCCUUGUGUGUUAUCCUAGUUUUGUCUUGUAUUUGAGCUAUCCUUAAGCUAGGCUGAGGGAUUCAUUCUUGUAAAAACUGAGUGUUAAAGCCUUUAAGAGGUUUGAAUCUUGAAGAGAUUGUGUAAGAGCCCAUUGGAGCCAGAAUCCAAGUGUAAGAAGAUUGGAAGCUUGGUUGAAGCUUCAAGUUAGUGGAACCCUCACUUAGUUAGGAGAUUGAGAAGAGUGGACGUAGACAAGGAAGUUUCGAACCACUAUAAAACCUGAGUUUGAAUUCUCUAACUCUAUCUCUUUAUUUUUGUUUAUAUUGUGCUUGAACUUAUUGUGUUUGAAAAGAUUUUUAAAAACCCAAUUCACCCUCCUCCCCCCAUUUUUGGGUGUUUUUCUUAAUUAAGUAUAGUCUUUAUUUUCUUAAUUGGUAUCAGAGGUAGACCUCUUGUUUAAGACCUAAUAGUCUAAGAGGAAAUGGCUAUUCUAUCAAGCUCAUCUCACACUAAAAUUUUUGCAAAACAUAGAGCUCCAUUUUUUAUGGGAACCGACUAUCCCUAUUGGAAAACUAAAAUGACUUGGUUUUUACAAUCAACCGAUUUAGACGUAUGGGAUGUUAUUGAAGAUGGCCCAACUUUUCCUACUAAACUAGUUGAUGGAGUUUUGGUUCCAAAACCCAAGCAAGAAUGGAAUGAGCUUGAUAGAAGAAAUUUUCAAUUAAAUGCUAAAGCUGUUUUUACUUUGCAAUGUGCUACAGAUAGAAAUGAAUAUAAUAGAAUAUGUCAAAUCAGCUAAAGAAAUUUGGAGAUUACUUGAGCUAACUCUUGAAGGAACAAAUCAAGUGAAAGAGUCAAAAAUUAAUUUACUUGUUCAUAACUAUGAAUUGUUUUCAAUGAAAGAAAAUGAGACUAUUGUUGAGAUAAUUACUAGGUUCACCGACAUUGUUGUGUUUGAAAAGAUUUUAAAAAACCCAAUUCACCCCCUCCCCCCAUUUUGGGUGUUUUUCUUAAUUAAGCAUAGUCUUUAUUUUCUUAGAAUCAUAUAAUGAACCAACCCGAACCCAACAAAAUGAGAUUAUGUUGGGCUUAGGUUAAGUAAAUUGGAUUAGAGGUUGGGUUGGGUUGGGUUGGUUUGGCUUAGGGUUAAGUGUUUCUUAGGUUUGGCUCGGAUCAAGUUGACCAUCAUCCAAACUCAACUCACCCAACUUGCAACCCAAAUUUCUAAGAAUAUGAUAUAUAUUCCAUUUACAAAUCUUUUUUUUUUGGUUCAUAUGGCUACUAGAACAUCAUGUUAAGUGCCUGAGAAACAUUUCCUAGUUGAUAUUUAGUUGUAGGUUAAUCUUCAAGUACCCUAGAGCUAAAACAUUUUAUAUUGUUAGGGUUUGAUGAUUCUUGUACUAGUGGUUGGGUCUCAUGUUGGAUUUCAGUUCAAGCGACUAAAUAAUCUUUUUCAAAUUAUUUGAUUGUAAUUAUGAUUACAUUUAUAAUUAUUAUUAUUUUUUAUUUUUAUAUCUUGGUAAUUGAUUUCAAUACCUUUUUAAUUAUUUUAUGAAAUGUCUAGCCUGCAUUUAGAGUCAAGGAUGUGUUUGUUUUGCAUGUUGGAUUGGAUUUAACUUUUCACUACUAGUAUUCUUUUAAUAGAGCUUCAAUGCUAAAAGCCUAAAACUAAAUCAUUUUGGUUGUUGAUAUAAGUUUACAAGAAGUACAAUACCUUUUGCAAGUGACACUGCCUUCAAGCCCUUUGAAAAUUUUGUGUAGUUACUAAUUAACUCUUUGUUGCUAAAAUAUAAUAUGUGAAGUUAUCUUAUAGUCAUAUAGCUAAUAAAAUUUUAAUGUUAUAUUACUUGAUUUAGUAUUUAAAAUAUUUAAGGUUUUGUGAAUUAAAGACCACCAUGUUAUCCAUAACAAAAGUUUUCUAUGGUUAGAUUGUAAUUGUUUUCUUGGUUAAUUUGACAAUUUAAUUGUGGAGUUCAAUUGAAUAUUCCUCGAGUUUCAUGCCUUAUGUAUCUGAUUUGUUUGUCAAGCUUCAAUGAUAUUCACUACACUUGCGAGUUGUGUUUGUUUAUAGUCUUCUACUCUAGAAAACUGAUAUUAGGGCCUAAGUUUAUAUUAGAUAAGGAAAUCAACCUUUUAUCAUUAAGUUUAGUGAUUAAAUGUAUUUCUUUUUACUCCACCCAUAAAGUUUCUAAGUGUUGCCUUGGACUUCCUAACUCCAUUACUGUUUGUAAAGAAAAUGGUUAAUUUUUUCAUUUUAUGUAGAAGUUAACAAAAGUGGUCAUUUUGACAUGAUUUGACAUUGUUAUUAUUAUCUUUUUAAAUUAGAUAUAAUAAUUUUCCAAAGUCAAUAUUUUGUUUGCAUGAUGCUCUUUUUAUAUUGAUAUGUAAUGGAUGGCUAAAGUGGAGAAAACUUACUUUAUUUAAGUCAAAUGUGUCUUCCACCAAAUAUUUAAGGUUUGUGUGGCAACCUCUCUUUCUAUUUGUUGCUUCAUCUUUACUGUUUUGAAGUCAAAGAAAGAAAAUGCUAUCUUUAAUACUCUUCAUGCAAAUAGGCUAGACAUGCAUGCUUGAAUACAAUAUUUUCUCUAUUGUUUGUUUAUUUUCUUGUCUUUAUUCUAUUCCACUUGUUAAUGUUAUUUAAAAUGACUAUCGUGAUGAUUAAUUGCAUAUUGUGAAAGUACUUGGCUUAACCAAUUAUUAAAUUGGAAUUAAGUUAAUAUCAUGACAAAUACCAAAAGAAUAAUUUUUAGUCUUACUUGAACAUUAUUCACUAUUCCAAAGUUAAGUAAUGUUGUCAAACAAGUUAUGGAUGGUUGAUGGAUAUGCAUCACCAAUAUUUGUUUAUAUUGAAGGGAUGGUGGAGGAGAGAUGUUGCAACUGCAAAGUCCUUGUCUUUCUCAAUUAGAUAUUAGUUAUUGUCAUAUGUUAACACAUUUUGCACUGCAUUACUUAACAUCCUUUUCCAUUAAUUACAUCUCAUUUUUCUAAAAUAGAGAUCAAAUACUAAGGUAAUUAGACAUACUUAUUUAUGCCUUCAUUUCCUUGCCUUUCUCACUUACUUAUCAAUGGAUUCCCUAACUUCAAAUCCUUCCCACUGCUUGUAGCUCAUUGUCUUGUUCGCAUAGAUAUUAGUAAGUGCCCUAACUUGAUAACCUUCAAAGUGCAUUUAUUAAUAUAAGUUGUUGGCUUUUUUGUUCUUCAUUGAAGUCUCUAUUUGGGACAUUCAUGAUUUGAUAUCUCUUCUAAAAGAAGGCUUGGCUUCAACAUUUUUCCAAUCUCCAAACUCUCACAAUUAAGAACUAUCAUGGUUUGGUAACAUUAUUGUGUUGGAUCUACAACCUUCAAUUACUUACCAAGCUUCAAGUUGAUCACUAUCUAGAAUCGAUAUCAUUGAUAGAAAUGAUACAUUCUCUCAAAAACCUUUAAAGACGCAAAAUCUAUUGUUGUCCACACCUAUUAGAAAGAUAUCAAAAGGAAACAAUUGAAGAUUAACCCAAGAUUGGUUGUCUCACAAAAUGAUAUUUAGUUGAGAUUAGAUUGAUAAAGAAUGUCAUUUUAGGCAUGAAAUUCCAAUCUUUCCUUUCAUUUUUUUAUGGAUUUAUUUAUUUUAAAAUUAUAUAUAAUCCUUUGUUUUCAUUUUGCUUUGGUCAAAUGCUUAGAUCAUUAAGUUUUUAAAGUUUUGUAUCUUUAAAUUACUAACCGCUAAUGAUGUGUAGCAACUUGAUUAUGUCUGUUACUUUCAAUUUUGCAUUCUAAGGGUUUGAGACAUGCCAAGGUUUGAUUUAAUAAUUAUUUUUUCAUGGUUUUUAACUUGAAAUCAUUGUCUAUUCAGGUUCAUUGCCCAGACUUAAAGUAACUGUCAUAAGAAACAAACUUCUAAUAGGCCUAAUGAUUUCUCAUGGCUAAUUCACAUCCAUUAGAUGCUUGAUAAUGAAAACACUUUUGCUCUCUUCUAAUUUCAGGUUUCUCUGCCUUAUAUUUUAUGUUCCAACUUUACACAUUUAUUAAAAUUAUUAGACUAGUUGAAAUUUAUAAUAUAUUUGUAAUAAUUCUAAGAGUUUGGGACAUGCCAAGGUUUGAUUUAAUAAUUAUUUUUUUCAUGGUUUUCAACUUGAAAUCAUUGUCUGUUUAGGUUCAUUGCCCAAACUUAAAGUCAUUGCCAUGAGGAAACAAACUUUUGAUAGGCCUAAUGAUUUCUCAUGGCUAAUUCAUAUCCACUAGAUGCUUGAUAAUGAAAACACUUCUGCUCUCUUCUAAAUUCAGGUUUCUUUGCCAUAUAUUUUAUGUUCCAACUUUACACAUUUGUUAAAAAUUUAUAACAUGCUUGUAAUAAUUCAUUGUUGACUAUUUGCACUCAUUAUGUUACUUGAUAUUUUGUUCUCAUACCAAGCUUAUACUAAAACGAUAAUGUUGAGAAUUGACUAAAUACGAUUCAAUAUUCCCACUAUAAAUGUUCACAAGUUAUGGAAAGUUGAUGCAUAUGGAAAGAGUAAUAUCAAUUUCCUGUUGUCUAUAAUAUGAUUACUUCAUCUCUUUCUUCGUUUAGUGUCAUGCUCAAUAACUUAUAACUUUCCAUUCAAUUUGUUAAGAAAUAUUGUACUCUAUUUGGAGUUAUGAUCUUAUGAUUCCAUAAUAUAGAAAACCUUGAACAUAAAGUAAUGGGUUAAGUUCGUAUAAGUUAUAGUGCACCUUAUCAAAGGGAAAUUCAAAGUCUUUAGUUGAUAAAAAGAAAUGGAGUUUGUAGCUCUUCCUUAUUUGACAAAUACUACAUAUUGAUUUACCUUUUGUCUUAGAUGAUACCAUUAAUAAUUGUUCUAUCUCUUCUAGAAAUUUUAAAUAUUUUACUUACAUCAUUUAUCAUGUUCAUCAUGACACCUAAAUUAGCAUAAAAGGCGGGGUCAAUUUUAUCUUCACUUAUUGUAGCCAAUGCUUAAGGAAUUUCUUUUGUGUGAUGUAAAUAGUCAAACAUGUUUUAACUAUCUUUUGGAAAUGAUUAGUCUUGUUAAAAAUUUGACAAACGAUAAUACCUCCAACUUUUGAGAGUUGUCACUUCUAUCAUUCUAGUUGAUUUGUUUUUCCAUUGAUUGUUGUCACACCAUUUGUUUUUGUUAUUCUAGUUUCCUCAAUCAUUGCCUCAAGAUCUUCUUGCAGGAGUGAAAACUCUUCCUCUCUAAUUAAAAUUAUUAUCAUGAUUUCUUCUACCAUGUUUGCUUAGAAAAACUUGCUCAUGAAUAAUUUGAUUUUUCCUAUCUUCAUCUUCAUUGAUUAGAUUUCCUAAUGUGAUCAUUAGAAUGAAUUAAUUGAAAGAUAGAGAAGGUGGUUUUGCAAGCAUGAAAACCCGAAAAAAGUAGUAUUUUGGUCGAAGUCCUCGAGGGAGUCGAAGCACCUUCUCAACAUUUUGCAUUAGAUUCUAAAUAAGUACUAAGUUAUCACUUAUGCCUUUAAAUUUUCAAAGAUUUUCAUCUAUAGAUAGAACCUCAUGAGGAAUCUAUUAUUUAAAAGGAUUUCCUUUUCAUAGGUAGCAAUCAUUUUGAGUCUAACAAGCCUCUCUAAGACUUCCUCUUUCAUAUUCCAAGAAGCUAGGGGUAAGAAGUCAAUUUGAUUGAGAUAUUGUAUAUCUUAUUGACAACCUUUUUUUUUUAUUCUUUUGAAUCUUAAGUUUCUUUUGGUCAUUUUCUACAUUCAGGGAGAUGAUGGAAUAUGUCAAGAUUCUAAAAUGAAGGAAGAACUUUCAAGCACCCAAACAUAAACUUUCAAGAUUUGUUCAUUAAUCAAAAGAUGAAAUGCUAGCAGUAUACCAAAAAGAGGUUAUUGGAUUUCUAUAUUAUUUCAUUAUUUUUAUAUAGACACUUUUCACUCAAUUCCUAGUCCUUGCAUUUUUCAUGUUUAGAAAUUUUCUUAGGUUAGGCUAUUUUGCUAUAGAUAUGAUUGUUGCUAAGUUUAUGCAAAAAAGCAUGCAAUAAUUUCUUCCAUAGUGAUCUUGUUGCCUUCUUGAAUAAGUGGAUGUUUGAUUUAUGUGGAACUGUUGAACUCUUUAAUUCAAGCAUGGUAUCAACAAUAUAUUUCAGGUUUUACAUCUAACUGUUAUCUCUUUUUUAUGACUUGGUUUUUUAUUUUCUUAUAUGGAUAUUGUAAGAGGUUAUGCUCCUUUUUAAUUCUAUUUUCAUGAUUCUCAUAUGAAUUAACACAAAUGAAGGAAAGGUUUUUUUAAUUAAGUUAAUUUAUUGAUGUUGGAAAAAUUAAUUGUUAGUUAUAUUCUAACUUUACAUGCUUGUUAAAAUGAUUAGACUAGUUAAUUUAAAAAUAUAUAUCAUUCUUGUAAUAAUUCACUAUUAAUUGUGUGGCUAAGUGAUCAUGUUCUUUCAUGUUUUCUUUUCAUAUCAGGUUGAUACUAAAGGGGUAUUAUUGAGAAUGAGUUGAGCAUUGUUCAAUUUCUCAAGAUAAAUGUUCAUAAGGUAUGGAUGUCUGAUGCAUAUAGAAAGAGUUAGUUCACUUGCUUAGUAUCUAUAAUAUGUACUCAUUCUUGAUGUUUGUGAUUACUUAAUUUCUAUCUUUCAUCUUUUGGUGUCUUGCUUGUUAAUUUAUACCUUUACAUUCAAUUUGUUAAGAACUAUUAUACUCUAUUUGAAGUUUGAUUUUAUGAUUCUCAUACACAAAAGAAUACCAACAAUUUGGGCAAGGACAUGAUACUAAAUCAUUUAUCAAUUUGGUUAUCUAUCUUUUCUCUAAUUUCUUAAGCUUGGGAAUCAAAAUGCUUUGGAAUACCAAGAAACAAUGGGGAUGAGUCUUUUCUUCAUCAUCUUGAGUUUUAUUGAUAGUCAACUUGUAGUAUCAUCCUUCAUAUUCCCUAAAGUACUCAAACUUGAUAGUUUGAAAUACUUAACUUGUUUACAAAAAUAUUCUUACUUCAUGUUUAGGUUUUGUAUAUUUGAAAAUUUAGUUAUGUUAAUUAUUUUAUUAUAGUCAUGACCAUUUUCAUGUCAAUGCAAAAGAGAUAGUGGUGAAGACUAGCAAAAUGUUACUCAUACCUUGAACAUAACUAUAAGUUAUUAACGGCUGGUGCACUGGAAAUGUCUCUCCCUCCUCUACUGUCUUUAGUUAGAAUAAAGGGUUCAUAUUAUGUUUUCAUUAUUUAGUUUUGUAAUUUCUACUUAUCAUCCCACUUUUUGUCUCUUAAUGAUUUAUCACUUAACAAUCAAAUUUUAAAAACAUGUUCUUAUAGGUGAUAGUGCAAUAACAUGUUAAAUUCAUGAAAAUUUUUCCAAAUUGAUAUUCAAGGUUUAGUUUAUCUUCAAGUGCCUUCUAGAUGUGGCUUUUGUGUUUUAUAAACCAAAACAUUGAUCUAUGUUCUUUGUGGCUAAGGCUUGGUGUAUUUUCAAGUACCUUGUGGUAGAAGCUUAGGCUUUCCUUCUCUUUCUUUUUGAGAAAAUAUAUUGAUGAUUGCUAGAGGAUUAGGUUGUCAAAAUUCAAUAUUGUAGAAAAUGUUUGGCGUUUUAAAAUUAUUUAAUGAAUUUGGUUGAGAAGUUACUUAAUAUAGAAAAACAUAUUUAUUUGAGAAACAGGGAAAUAAAAAUAUUUUUUGCACUACUUGCCUUAUGUUUGCAUGAUGUGUGCACACAAACAAAUCAUAGAAUUAAGAAUACAAAUUGUUUGCUCUCAUUUUUAUAAAUUAAUAAAACUAUAACCAAAAUGCAAUGUAGCCAAGUCACAUUUAUUGUAUUAGUCCUAAAAUAAUGUUUGAACUAUGUUAACUAGUAAGUAUUGGAAAAAGGAAUUAUGCCAUCUUUAUUUUCUAUUUACCUGGUUUAUAAAAUCCUUAGAUCAAUAAAGUUUGAAAUUUGUAUGCAGUUAAUUGCUAGAAUUAUAAAUUUUUGUAAUUAUAAUUAUUUUUAUGAUUUUAUUUUAUUUUAUUUAUGUUUACAUUUUUGUUUGAAAGUUUCUCAUAUAUGUUAGUCUUUCUAUCAUUAAUAUAAUAAUUAUCAAGAUUAUUCAAAAAGGAUAGAGGACUAGUGGUAUAUUGUUCACAUUUUAUAAAUAUAUGUUGACAAUGUGGUCUUUAGGUUUACAUUUUAAACUUUUUUCCUCACUAUUUAUCUUUUUAUCAUUUAUUACAUGGCAGUCAAUUUCUAAUACACAAUGAGUCUUCUCUUCCCUUUUUCAAGACCAUUCUUCUCAUUUUCAAAGGUACUUACAUUUAAAAAACUUAAGAUAAUGUUGAAGGGAGUUUCAUUAUGAGGACAUAUUACAACAACACUUGUUAAUAAUAUUGUUUUAUGAGUUGACAUCCAUGUCUAUGCAUUUACACUUAACAGGAUUCAUUAUACAAGAGUAUCUUAUACAUUGAACUCAAUGCAAGUUUAGAAAAAUGAUAUUAGGUUGGGUUUAGGUUGAGAAUUAGGUUGGGUUUGGCUAUGGUUAAGUGUUUCUUAGGUUUGGUUUGGAUCAGAUUGAGCAUCAACCAAACUCAACUCACCCAAGUUGCAACCUUAAUUUCCAAGAAAUUGAUAUAUAUUCCAUUUACAAAUAUUAUUUUUUUUGGUUCGUAUAGGCACGAGAACAUCAUGCUAAGUGCAUAAGAAACAUUUCCAAGUUGAUAUUUUGUUGUAGGUUAAUCUUCAAGUGCCUUAGAGCUAAAACAUUUUAUAUUAUUAGGGUUUGAUGAUUCUUGCACUAGUGCUUGGGUCUCAUGUUGGAUUUCAAAUCAAGUGACUAAUUAAUCUUUUGAAAAUAUUUGAUUGAUAUUAUAACUAAAUUGAUAAUAUUUUUUUAUAUAUAUUGGUAAUUGAUUUUAAUGUCUUUUUAAUUGUUCUAUGAAAUGUCUAACCUAUUCUUGUUAGGGUCAAGGAUGUGUUUGUUGCACAUGUUGGAUCAUAUUUAACUUUUCACUAUUAGUAUUCCUUUAAUAGAACUUCAAUGCUAAAACUAAAUCAUUUGGGUUGUUGGUAUAAGUUUACAAUGAGUACAAUACCUCUUGCAACUGAGAUUGCCUUCAAGCCCAUUGAAAUUUUUGUGUUGUUACUAAUUGAUUCUUUGUUGCUGAAAUAUAAUAUGUGAAGUUAUCUUAUAAUCAUAUAACUAAUAAAAUUUGAAUGUUAUAUGACAUGUUUUAUUAUUUUAAAAAAUUUAAUGUUUUGUGAAUUAAAGACCACCAUGUUAUCCAUAACAAAAGUUUUCUAUGGUUAAACUGUAAUUGUUUUCUUGGUUAAUGUGACAGUUUAACUGUGGAGUUCGGUUGAAUAUUCUUGAGUUUCAUGCCUUGUGUAUCUGAUUUGUUUGCCAAGCUUCAAUGAUAUUCACUACACUUGUGAGCUGUGUUUGUUUAUAGUCUUCAACUCUAGAAAACUGAUAUUGGGGCCUAAGUUCAUCGUAGGUAAGGAAAUCAACCUUUAUCAUUAAGUUUAGUGAGUAAAUGUAUUCCUUCUUACCCCAUAAAAUAAAGUUUCUAAACCUUGCCUUAGACAUCAUAACUCCAUUACUAUUUGUAAAGAAAAUGAUUAAGUUUUUCAUUUUAUGUAGAAGUAAAAAAAAAAAAAAAAAAAGUGGUCAUUUGGACACGAUUUGACAUUGUUAUUAUUUUCUUUAUAAAUUAGAUAUCAAUAAUUUUUCAAAGUCCAUAUUUUAUUUCCAGGAUGUUCUUUUUAUAUGGAUAGGUAAUAGAUGGCUAAAGUGGAGAAAACUUACUUUUUUUUUAAUUCAAGUACCUUCCACCAAAUAUUUAAGGUUUGUGUGUCAACCUCUCUUCCUAUUUGUUGCUUCAUCUUUACUAUUUUGAAGUCAAACAAAGAAAAUGCUAUCUUUAAUACUCCUCAUGCAAAUAGGCUAGACAUGCAUGCUUGAAUGCAAUAUUUUCUCUAUUGUUUGUUUACUUUCUUGUCUUUAUUCUAUCCCACUUGUUAAUGUUAUUUAAAAUCAUUUUUGUGAUGAUUAAUUAUCGAUUGUAAAAAUACUUGGCUUAGCCAAUUAUUGAAUUGAAAUUAAUUUAAUAUCAUGAAAAAUACCAAAAGAAUAAUGUUUAGUCUUACUUAAGGAUUAUUUACUAUUUCAGAGUUAAUUAAUGUUGUCAAACUUGACAAGUUAUGAAUGGUUAACGGAUACACAUCACCAAUAUUUGUUUAAAUUGAAGGGAUUGUGGAUGAGAGAGGUUGCAACAACAAAGUCCUUGUCUUUCUCAAUUAAAUAUCAGUUAUUGUAUAUGUUGACAUAAUUUGCACUGCAUUACUCAACAUUUUUUCCAUUACUUCCAUUUCCUCAAUUUUCCUAAACUAGAAAUCAAAUACUAAGGUAAUUAGACAUACUUAUUUAUGCCUUCAUUUCCUUGUCUUUCUCACUUACUUAUCAAUGGAUUCCCUAACAUCAAAUCCUUCCCACUGCCUUUAGCUCCUUGUCUUGCUCACAUAGACAUCAAUAAGUGCCCUAACUUGACAUCUUUCACAAUGCAUUCAUAAUAGAAGUUGUUCUAUUUUUGUUUUUCAUUAAUGCCUCUAUCUAUUUAGGAUAUACAUGAUUUGAUAUCUUUUCUAAAAGGAGGCUUAGCUUCAAUAUUUUACCACUCUCCAAACUCUCACAAUUAGGAACUAUCAUGGUUUGGUAACAUUACUAUAUUGGAUCUAAAACCUUCAAUCACUUACCGAGCUUCAAACUUAUCACUAUCUAGAAUUGAUUUCACUAACAAAAGUGAUACAUUCUCUCAAAAAUCUUAUAAGACUCAAAAUGUAUCAUUUUCCACAUCUAUUAGAAAGAUACCAAAAGAAAACAAUUGAAGAUUGGUCCAAGAUUUCUUAUGUCCCACAAAAUGAUAUUUAGCUAAGAUUAGAUUGAUAAAGAAUGUCAUUUCAGGUAUGAAAUUCCAAUCUUUCUUUUCAUUUUUUAUGGAUUUAUUUAUUUUAAAACCAUAUAUAUGUUGAAAGUAAGAACUAUAAAGCUAUGAACUCAUACAAAUCUAGAAUAACAUUCCCAGUUUUAUUGAACACUUAUUGGUGGCUUAUAUAGCCUUACAAGACAAGGAAUUAGAAAAACAUUGCAGCCCACAUCUUAUACCUAAAGACAUGGUAUUAGUUACUAAAAGAAUCAAAACCUAUCUACUGGUUCCUAACUAAUAGGAACUUAUCAACAGAACUUUCACAAAGCCAAACUUAAUAGAAACAAAUAAAUCCCAACAAUAAUUCCUCCCAUAAACUAAAACAAUAUGCAUUCAGUUUAAGUUUGGUACCUCACAUACCCCAAGCUUCUCACGCAACUUCAAGAACACUUCAAGCUUCAGUGGCUUUGUCAGGAUAUCAACCACUUGAUCAUUGGUGCCACAAUGAACCAACUUCACUACUUCCUCCUUAGUGAGGUCCCUCAAGAAAUGGAACCUCACAUCUAUAUGCUUGCUCCUACCAUGCAUAACCGGAUUCUUGGAUAACUUGAUCAUUGAACUGUUGUCACACAUAAUAGUAGUACACUUACUCUGUGAGUGCCCAAUCUUUUCUAACACUCUCCUCAUCCAUAUACAUUGACAAGCACAGAAAGCUGUUACCACAAAUUUUGCUUCAGUGGUACACAAAGUCACCACUGGUUGCUUCUUUGAGGCCCAAGAAACUGCUAUGCCACUCAAUAAAAACACAUAACCAGAUGUGCUCUUCUUAUCAUCAGUGUCUCCAGCAUAAUCGCUGUCAGUGUAAGCCAAUAGUUCUUCAACAUCUUCUCAUCUCUUAUAAAACACACCCAACUCCACAAUUCCUUUUAAAUAACGAAGAACUCUCUUUGUUGCUUGCAUAUGUAGGUCAGUAGGAUUGGCUAUAUACCUGCUCAAGAGACAUACUACGUACGUUAAAUUAGGUCUUGUUGUAGUAAUGUACAUGAGACUCCCAAUUAAUUGCUUAUAAACUGUAGCAUCAAUCCUAGCACCUUCUCCUUCCUCUGAUAGCUUGAAACCGGGCACAAUAGGAUUCUCCACUGAAUUGGCAUUUUGUAAACCAAACUUCUCAAGUAAUUCACAAGCAUACUUCUUCUGACUUAAGAAGAUACCCUCUGAAGUUUGCAAAACUUCAACACCAAGGAAGUACUUCAUCUUCCCUAAAUCUAUCAUAUCAAACUCAUCCUUCAUGGAACUCUUGAAGCUUUCAAACAUGCAUGCAUCAUUCCCAAUAAAGAUUAAGUCAUCCACAUACAAACUCACAAUUAAGAACCUCUUACCUCCUUCUUCUAUUUUGACAAAGAGAGUGUGCUCGUAAUCACAUCGUUCAAAUCCCUCAUUAACAAAAUAAGCUUCAAUUCUGCUAUACCAAGCACGUGGUGCUUGCUUCAACCCAUAUAAUGCCUUCUUAAGCUUGUAGACCUUUUUUUCUUCACCCUUUCGAAUAUAACCUAGUGGUUGCUCCACAUACACAUCUUCUUUCAACUCACCAUGAAGAAACACACUUUUGACGUCUAAUUGAUACACACUCCAUCCCUUUUGUGCUGCUAGGGCUAGAACCAUCUGAAUUGUGUCCCACCUUGCUACUGGAGCAAAGACUUCAUUAUAAUCAAUUCCUUGUCGCUGAGCAUAACUUUUAGCUACCAACUGGGCUUUGCACUUAUCAACCUCACCCUUUUCAUUCAAUUUGGUCUUAAAAACCCACUUCACACCAAUCUUCUUAGCACCUUUAGGCAAAGUAGUAAGCUGCUAGGUUUUAUUCUUCUCAAUUGCUUCAAUUUCCAAGUCCAUGGUCCUUCUCCAUUUCACAUCCCUCUUAGCUUCUUCAAAAGAUCCCGGAUCUUCAUGAGAGAUAAACAUUGCAAGAUUAUUCACAUCUGCAUCUUCUGACAGUUCUUCACCUGUUACAUAGUCCUGCAAGUAAGGAGGUGCUCUUCGAAUCCUUGUUUCAUCUUGAACUGGUGCAACUUCAUUGGAUGAUUCAAUCGAUGUUGGAGUUGUUGCUUCUGCUUCUUGAUUUGUAACCACUACUUCAAUACAUUCCACAACUUAUUCUUCACUCUCAGAGAAAGCAUCUUCACCUUCAACACUAUCUUCCCAGACCAGUAUAUCACGCUUCACUUCUUUAGUUGUCCUCCCCCAAUUCCAACCUUUAUCCUCUUCGAAACUCACAUUUCUGCUCACUAUAAUUCUUCUAGUAGCUGGAUCAAACAACCGAUAAGCUUUAGAUUCAUGACUUACUCCAAGUAAGACACACUAAAGACUUUUAUCAUCCAAUUUUGUUCUCUUCUGAUCUGGCACAUGUACAUGAGCUAGGCACCCAAAAACCCUUAAGUAGUCCACUUUGGGUUUAACUCCACUCCACAUCUCUUCUGGGGUCUUGUCUUUCACUACCAAUGUUGGACUCCUGUUGAGAACAUGCACUAUCCAUCUUGCAGCUUCUAGCCAGAAUGCUUUUGGCACUUGUUUGUCACAAAGCAUGCACUGAACCAUAUUCAUGAUAGUUUGAUUUUUGCGUUCAGCUACCCCAUUUUUUUGUGGGGUAUAAGAUGUUGUCAGCUGCCUGCUUAUACCAUUGAUUCUACAAAACUCAUUAAACUCAUUGGAGGUGAAUUCUCCUCCUCUAUCAGUGCUUAAACAAUAGAUAAGUUCACUCGACUCCUUCUCAACCAAGCUCUUACAGUUUUUGAAAGUUGUAAAUGUUUCAGACUUUGCAACCAAAAAAUAUAUCCAUACCUUUUUACUAAAAUCAUCGAUGAAGGUUAUAAUAUACCUUUUGCUACUGUUGGAUUCAGGAGUAAUAGGGCCACAUAUAUCAGCAUGAACGAGCUGCAAUUUUCGGGAAGCUCUCCACUGACUCUUCUUUGGAAUAGCAUUUCCGUGUUGCUUUCCCACAAAGCAUUCAUUGCAAGCUAUAGUUGACGCUCUGAGAAGUGGAAGACCCUUCACCAUCUCUUUGUAUUGCAAAGUCCUCAACCCUUUGUAACUCAAAUGCCCAAACCUACGGUGCCACAACUUUGAAUUAUCUUCUGUGACUGUUUACAGGCAUGUCGAGGUCUCAAGCACCACAUUAGCCAAUAACACAAACAUCCGAUUUGUUGUCAUUUUUGUCUGCAUAAUCAAUCCUCUUCUAGGGUGGUAUAACUUACAUUCCCCAUUUUGUAUAAUUAUAGCUAAACCCCUUUCUUGAAGUUGCCUUAUACUCAGCAAAUUAUUCUUCAAAGCAAGAACAUAGUAAACAUCAGUGACUACCUAAGUUGAGCCAUUAAUCUCAAGUCGGAUGUUGCCUUUGCCCAUCACUCCCAUCCUUGUAUUAUUGCCGAGCUUCACAGAGUGUUUGAAAGCCUCAUCAAUGUUAGAGAACCACUGCUUGUUCCCGCACAUGUGAUUGUUGCAACCUGAGUCGAGGAACCACACAUCUUCUCGUUUCGAGUUGUUGACUUCAACAUAAGACAUGAGGAACAUCUCUUCUUCUUCAUCUAACUCAGUAUAGUUUGCACUCUUCUCCCAACUAGGACAUUCGUAUUGGAAGUGCCCUAGUUUGUGGCAUUUAAAACACUCCAGUGUGGCCUUGUUUGCAAAGUAACUUCCUCUGCCUCUCCCGCGGCCUCGAACAUAACUUUGACCUCUGCCUCUUCCUUCAUACCUUUCUCCAUACAAAACCUUUAAAGCUUGUUCAUCCCUUGCAUUUCCAUUAUGACAAUUCAUUCUCUGUUCAUGAACCAAAAGGCUGCUUUGAAGCUCGUCAAUGGUCAUCGUGUCCACAUUAUUGGACUCUUCUAUUGAGCAUACCUCAUAGUCGAACCUGGGAGUCAUCGAUCUCAAGAUUUUCCCCACAAUCACGUUUUGCCCCAUUCUUUCUUCAUGUACUUUCAUCUUGUUUGCAAUAGUCAAAGCUCUGGCAAAGUACUCAUCAACCUUCUCACCCUCUUUCAUCUAUAGGAUCUCAAACUCUUUUCUAAGGGCUUGUAGUUGAGCUCGUUUAACUCUGGUGGAGCCCUGAUACUUCUGCCUCAUUGAAUCCCAUGUACUCUUUGUUGUGUUCUUAUCAAGAAUUGUCUCCAUAAUGGUCCUAUCAAUCGAUUGAAACAUGUAGUUCUUGAUCUUCAUAUCAUUUAGCCUCACCUCUUCAACUUCUUUUCUUUAUGCUUGAGUAGGCGUUGAUCCUUCGACUAUUGAAGGAAUUCCAUUUUCUACUAUGCUCCAGUACUUCUUUGAAUGGAGAAAAUUCUCCAUUAACAUGGCCCAAUGGUCAUAAUAAUCAUCAAAUCUUGGAAUUGCCGGAUGAGCAAAGUUUUCUGUCGCCAUGUUCACUCACUCCACCUUCCUUUCUUCUCUAUUCUCUCUUCUCACACUCUGUAAGAAAUCUGUAGUUUCUUACUUUCUUCAAUCAGGCCUCUUAGCGGAGCUCUGAUACCAGAUUGUUGAAAGCAAGAACUAUAAAGCUAUGAACUCAUACAAAUCUGGAAUAACAUCCCCUGUUUUAUUGAACACUUACUGGUGGCUUAUAUAGCUUUACAAGAUAAGGAAUUAGAAAAAUAUUGUAUCCCACGUCUUAUACCUAAAGACAUGGUAUUAGUUACUAAAAGAGUCAAAACCUAUCUACUGGUUCCUAACUAAUAGGAACUUAUUAACAGAACUUUGACAAAGCCAAACCUUAACAGAAACAAAUAAAUCCCAACAGUAUAAUCCUUUGUUUUCAUUUUGCCUUGGUAAAAUGCUUAGAUCAAUAAGUUUUGAAAGUUUUGCAUCUUCAAAUUACUAACUGCUAAUGAUAUGUAGCAACCUAAUCAUGUAUGUUACUUUCAAUAUUGCAUUCUAAGAGUUUGGGACAUGCCAAGGUUUGAUUUAAUAAUUAUUUCUUUCACGUUUUUAAAUUGGAAAUCAUUGUUUGUUCAGGUUCAUUGCCCAAGCUUAAAGUCUUUGCCAUAAGGAAACAAACUUUUGAUAGGCCUAAUGAUUUCUCAUGGCUAAUUCAUAUCUACUAGAUGUUUGAUACCGAAAGAACUUUUGCUCUAUUAUAAAUUUAGGUUUGUUUGCCAUAUAUUUUAUGUUCAAAUUUGUUAAAAUGAUUAAACUAGUUAAUUUUGAAAUUUAUAACAUGUUUAUAAUAAUUCAUUAUUGAUUGUUUGCACUCAUUAUGUUACUUGAUGUUUUCUUCUUAUACCAGACUUAUACUAAAAGGAUAAUGUUGAGAAUUGGCAUAAUACAAUUCAAUAUUCCCACUAUAAAUGUUCACAAGUUAUGGAUAGCUAAUGCAUAAGGAUAAAGUUAUUUCAUUUGCAUGUUGUAUGGAAGGUUGAUGCAUAUGGAAAGAGUAAGAUCAAUUUGUUGUUGUCUAUAAUAUAUAUGAUUACUUCGUCUCUUUCUUUGUUCAGUGUCAUGCUCAAUAACUUAUAAUUUUUCAUUUAAUUUGUUAAGAAAUACUAUACUCUAUUUGAAGUUAUGAUCUUAUGAUUCUCAUAAUAUAGAAAACCUUGAACAUAAUGUAAUGGGUCAGGUUCCCAUAAGUCAUAAUGCACCUUAUCAAGGGGAAAUUUGAAGUUUUUAGUUGAUAAAGAAAAACAAAAUUUGUAACUCUUCCUAAUUUGACAACUACUACAUAUUGAUUUAUCUUUUGUCUUUACUAAUAUCAUCGAUAAAUGUUCUAUUUCUUGUAAAAAAUUUAAAUAUUUUACCGAUAUCAUUUAUCAUGUUCACCUUGGCAUAGGCAAGGUCAUUUCGUCUUCAUAGACUUAUUGUAGUCAAUGCUUGGGGAAUUUCUUUUAAGCUAUAUGAAUAGUCAAACAUGUUUUAACAAUCUUUUGGAAGUGAUUAGUUUUAUUAAAAAUUUGACAAACAAUAAUACCUCCAGCUUUUGAGAGUUGUCAAUUCUAUCAUUCUAGUUGAGUUGUUUUUCCAUUGAUUGUUGUCAUGUCAUUUGUUUUUGUUAUUCUACUUGCCUCAACCAUUACCUUGAAAUCUUUCGCAUGAGUGAAAACUCUUCCUCUCUAAUUAAAAUGAUUGCCAUUAUUUUUUCUACUGUGUUUGCUUAGAAAGACUUGCUCAUGAAUAAUUUAAUUUUUCCUAUCUCUAGCUUCAUUGAUUAGCAUUUCUUAAUGUGAUCAUUAGGAUGAAUUAAUUGGAAGAUAGAUAAGGUGGUUUUGCAAGCAUGAAAACCUGAAAAAACUUGUAUUUCGGUCCAAGUCUUGAAGGGAGUUGAAGCACCUUAUCAAAAUCUUGCAUUUGUUUCUAAAUAGGUACUACAUUAUGACAUGUGCCUUUAAAUUUUGAAAGAUUUUCUUUUAAAGAUAGAACCUUAUGAGGAAUUUAUCAUUUGAAAGGAUUUCCUUUUCUUUCUUUUUUAUAUAGGUAGCAAUCAUUUCGAGUCCAACAAGCCUCUCUAAUUCUCACUCUUUCAUAUUCCAAGAAACCAGGGGUAAGAAGUCGAUCUAAUCAAGAUAUUCUACAUCUUAUUAACAACUUUUUUGCCUUUUGUAUUUUAACUUUCUUUUGGUCAUUUUGUGUAUUUAGGGAGAUGAUGGAAUAUUUGAAGACUCUAAAAUGAAAGAAGAACUCUUAAGUACCCUAACAAAAACUUCCAAGAUUUGUUCAUUGGUUCAAAGAUUAAAUGUUGAUAGUUGGUUCUUUGUUAAACAUGAUUGGUUGUUGAUAUCAAAAAGAGGUUAUUGGAUUUUUUAUAUUAUUUCAUUAUAUUUAUAUAGACACACCUCACUCAAUUCUUGGUGCCUGAAUUUUUCAUGUUUGGAAAUUUUCUUAGGUUAGGCUAUUUUGUUACAGAUAUGAUUGUUGCCAAGUCAAUGCAAAAUACAUGCAAUAACUUCUGUUACAAUAAUUUUGUUACUUUCUCGGGUAAAUGGAUGGCGGAUUCAUGUGGAGUUGUUGCACUCUUUAAUUCAAGCAUGAUAUCUACAAUAUGUAUUUUAGGUUUGUCAUCUAACUUUUAUCCUUUUUUUUAUGACUUAGUUUUUUAUUUUCUUAUAGGGAUAUUGUAAGAGGUUAUGCUCCUUUUUAAUUCUAUUUUCAUGAUUCUCAUAUAUAGUAGCACAAAUAAAGGAAAGGUUUUUUUUUAAUUAAAUUAAUUCAUCAAUGUUGGAAAAAUUAAUUGUUAGUUAUGUUUUGACUUUACAUGCUUGUUAAAAUGAUUAGAUUAGUUAAUUUUAAAACAUAUAUCAUUCUUGUAAUAAUUCACUAUUAAUUGUGUGGCUAAGUGAUCAUGUUCCGUCAUGUUUUCUUUUCAUAUCAAGUUGAUACUAAAGGGGUAAUAUUGAGAAUGAGUUGAGCAUCGUUCAAUUUCACAAGAUAAAUGUUCAUGAGGUAUGGAUGGUUGAUGCAUAUAGAAAGAGUUAGUUCACUUACUUAAUAUCUUUGAUAUGUACUCAUUCUUGAUGUUUGUGAUUGCUUCCUAUCUUUGUUAAUUUGGUGUCUUGCUUGUUAAUUUAUACUUUUACAUUCAAUUUGUUAAGAACUAUUAUAUUAUGUUUGAACUCAUUCUUGAUGUUUGUGAUUACUUCCUAUCUUUGUUCUUUUGGUGUCUUGCUUAUUAAUUUAUAACUUUACAUUCAAUUCAUUAAGAACUAUUAUAUUUUGUUUGAAGUUUUGAUUUUAUGAUUCUCAUACACAAAAGAAUGCCAACAAUUUGAGCAAGGAGGACAUGAUACUAAAGCAUUUAUCAAUUUGGUUAUUUUUCUUCUCUCUAAUUUCUUAAGCUUGGGAAUCAAAAUGCUUUGGAAUACACAAGAAACAAUGGGGAUGACUCUUUUCUUCGUUAUCUUUAGUUUUAUUGAUAGUCAACUUGUAUUAUCACCCUUCCUAUUCCCUAAAGUACUCAAACUUGAUAGUUUAAAAUGUUUAAUGUUUACAAAAAUAUUCUUACUUCAUGUUUAGGUUCUAUAUAUUUGGAAAAUUUAUUAUGUUAAUUCUUUUAUUCUAUUCAUGAUCAUUUUCAUGUCAAUUCAAACAAAAAAAAAGAUAGUGGUAAAGAUUAGCAAAAUGUUGCCCAUACCUUGAACAUAGGUACAAGCUAUUAAUGGUUGGUGGACGGAAAAAGUCUCUCCCCACUCUUCUACUAUCCUUAGUUAGCAUAAAGGGUUCAUAUUAUGUUUUUAUUAUUUAGCUUUUAAAUUUCUACUUCUUAUCCUACUUUUUGUCUCUUUAUGGUUUAUCACUUGACAAUCAAUUUUUAAAAACAUGUUCUUAGCAUCCAUAUAUAUAACCUUCGUUGUUCAAGUUUAUAAUUGUUCAAGUUUAUAAUCCCUAUCUCAUUUUUUUUUUCUUUUCAUUUCUUUAUUGUUUAUAAUUUUUGAAUUGAUUUGUUAAAAAUUUUUAAACUUUAUUUGCAAUACUGAUUUUUUUAUUCUCAUGUGCAAUAGAAUAAUAAGUUGAAUAAGAAGCAUAUACUACUUAAUUGGUAUAACCGUUUAGUCAAUUCUCUUGUCAAAUCUUUUUUGUUUUCAUCAUUUUUCUUCAAGGUAAUCAAAGUAUAAUUCUUUCUAUUUCUAAAGGUCUUGAACCCAUCUUUGAAAACUUAAAGACAAGUUAAAGUACUGGAAAACCAUUCCCAAAGCAAGUAAUAACUAUAGUUGGGUUCUAAUAUCAUAUCCUCGAUUGACAUCUAUGUCAUUGCAUUUGCAUCUAAACGAUUUAUGAUGAAAAAAAAACUAUCUUCUUCAUUUCCAUUUUCCUCCCUUCUUUUGACCAUAAUUUAUGUGCAUAUUGAAAGCAUUCAUAGCCCAAUAUAUUUGCUAGCAUAUAUAUGCAUGUCAUAAUCUAUUAAUUUUUUUGGCAUAAGAUCUUAGAGUAUUCACAUAUAUCUAGGUUCUAUAUAUUUAUAAUUUUUCCAACAUCAAAUGAAGUAUAUGAACCUUAUCCUAAAGGUGAAGUCUCUUUAAAAGGAGCUUCAACAUGUUAGUGGUUACCAAACUUUAUAAUCUAAUAACUUGACACUAUAUAUCACUCUGCAACUCUUUCAUAAAGUAAUUGUACUACCUCUAUUUACAUUUUCUAUCUUUAUUUAUAUAUAAAAUAAAAUAAAAAAUUGAUUUGGUAAGUGUGUGUUAAAUCAUGCUUACAAUCAUUAAUUAAUAGGUACUUAUAUGCUAAAUUGAUAAAGUUAUUUUACAAUUGUUUCAACAUGUUCGAAAAAAAAAAAGAUUAUUAAGUAUAUUUUUCUAGAUGUAAUCACUACCAAGCCAAUGUGAAAAGCUAUAGCAAUGAAGAUAUAAGCUUCAGUUAUGUUUUGGAGAUUCAUAUUGAAAGUUGUAGAUUGUGGAUGUAUAGUAUAGGAGUUAGCUUGAGUUUAUCAUUCUAUCUUUGAUAUCUUAGUUAUCAUCUAUUCUUUACAACCAAUUUUUUAAGGACUUCUAUGAUUUGUUUAUAAUUUAUAUAUUUGUUAUUUGUACUAGAACAUCCUGAAGCUACUAAAGCACCAUUACAGUGUACCCACCACAAGUCUAAUGGAGCAUGCUUCUCAACCUUCACAAUUACUUGUAAGUUGCUGAUAAGAUAAUUUUCUCUAUAAUUAGGAAAUCUUUGUUGCACUUAAAUCUUUUUACUGAGUCAAGCAUUAAAAGGUUGUGUUUGGUUAAAAAAGAAAAAGAAAAACUGAAUAAAGGAUUUAGAGUAAUAAGAGUUUGCCACAUAAAGUUUAUGAAGGUGAAGGCUAAUAAUAGGAGGGAAGUUAAAACUUCACAACCUAUUUGAAAUUAUAAAACAUGAUUAGCUAACAAUUCGUUAAAGGUUGUAUUCAUCUUGAGCUUCUCCAAUUACACUAUAAAAUGGCUCGAGAAGAAUGAGGUUUCUCCAUUGUUAAUUGCUUACGAGUUUUACCAAACAAAGCAGAAGAGAGGGACAAGGCAAAGAUGGGCCUAAAAAUGAAUAUCACAGCAACCUCUCUUCUGCUAUUGCUAGCAUCUUCUACAGAAGUGUUCGGUGAUACCAUUUUUUACGUUACCAAAUAUGAGGCCAAGGCUGAUGGAAACACUGAUAUUACCCAGGUGAGGGCAAUGCAAUUAUAAUAUUUGUAAGAUGUUAAAAUUGAAUUUUUGCUUAAUGGGUUCUCUGUGGAAUGUUUUCUUAGGCCUUACUUAAUGCUUGGCGAGAUGCUUGUGCGUCGCCUGUGGUGAGUACAGUUAUGAUUCCAGAUGGGACAUAUGCCCUAGGGCAAAUAACCAUUGGAGGCCCUUACAAGGCUCCUAUCAAUUUCAAUGUCCAAGGCACUGUGAAGUCCUCGAUGGAUACCAGCAGGUUCAAGGCUGAAGCUGGUUGGAUUGCUUUCCAACAAAUCGACCAGUUCAUAUUGUCUUAUGGUGGAGUUUUUUAUGGCCAAGCAAAACCUGUAUAGGGUAGAAAAUGCCCCAUUUCUGCAUAUUGCAACCAACUUCCCAUCGUAAGUUCAUGUGUAUAUAUAUAUAUAUAUAUAUAUAUAUAUAUAUAUAUAUAUAUGCUUACGUAAUUCUUUCAUUUUGUGUUCGUAAUGAGGACACUAGCUAACAGUAUAAGCUUUGGUGUCUUUUUUUUUUUUUUUUUGUUAAUUCAAAUAUCUAUAACAGAAUCUGAGAUUCAACUUCAUCACCAAUAGCAUGGUCAAGGACAUAACUUCAAGAGAUAGCAAACAGUUUCAAAUGAAUCUUUUGGGGUGCAAGAAUUUGACUUUCUACAACGUUGGAAUUAGUGCACCAGAAGUGAGCAUUAAUACAGAUGGAAUUCACAUUGGACGGUCCUCAGGGUUCAAUAUAACCAAUUCAACUGUAGAGACCGGAGAUGAUUGUGUCUCAAUUGGUGAUGGCAGUGAGCAAAUUAAUAUCCAAAGCGUAACCUGCGGACCCGGCUAUGGCAUCAGUGUGGGAAGUCUAGGAAAGUGCCCCAAUGAAGAACCUGUGGUUGGCAUUAGUGUCAAGAACUGUACCUUCACCCCCAGAAUGGCAUGAGAGUGAAGACAUGGCCUACGUCCCAUCAAGGCACUGCUUCUAAAAUGCAUUUUGAAGAUAUUGUCUGAAUGAUGUUGCCAAUCCCAAAAUCAAAGAUCAAGAGUACUGCCCCCAUAACCAAUGCAACUUGAAGGUACAUUUAAAGGAAACGAAAAAUUCCAUUUUUAUUGUUUACUUUCCCUCUUUUUCCCUUCAUUUUCAUUGGUCUGGAACUUAACUUUCCGUUGUUUUCAGAGUCCAUCACGCAUUAAGCUCAGUAAGCUUCAGAAACAUCCGGGGCACUACCUCAACUCAGGUUGUUGUCAAGCUUGUUUGUGAUCAGGGAGUCCCAUGCCAAGACGUGGAGCUUGGUGACAUCAACUUGAAAUACAACGAAAAUGAAGGCCCAGCCAUGUCAUAAUGCAAGAACAUUAAACCAAAUCUACUGGGCAAGCAACUGCCAAGGACUUGUGCCUAAGAUGCUUAAUCUUCUUUCGAAGUCUGAAAAAUUGUACUGCUUCUAUUAUAUAGCUACCUCUUCAUGCUUACGCGUCUGCUAGUUUAUUGGUGAAUAAACUACAAUGAACACACAAAAAUACAACACUCGUCUAUUUUGGAAGGUAUGUGCAGUUUGAUCCCAUGAGAAAAAACAAAUGUCUAUUCAGUCGUUUUUUACAUAAGCAUCCAAGUUUAGAUGAGGAUUGAGCUGCCGUAGUACAAAUUGUAGCUCCAAAGAAUAAUCUUAAUGUUAAUGCAGUUUGGAUUACCAAAUGUAGUCAAGUGAAUUAAAAUUCCUUUAGGGUGUAUUAUUUGAAAUUUAAUCUUUGGAUUACUAGAACCAAGAAAAAACUAUAGAUUGGUAUUUGGUGUGUUGGAAAUGCUUGAUGGUCAGUGAUCGAACUAAUGACUUCGAGAAAAGCUAAGAAUGAUAAACACAAUAGUAAUAAAUGGCAAGAACCGACAAAAAUAUUGAAGUUGUAAUUCUCUCAAGGUGUGUAGUUUGGGAUUUGAAUUAUAUGUAAAGAAGAAAUGCUCUUGGAAACUGCAGCACGAUGAAUCUUGAAUGGUUUUCCAUCAUAUGGCUUUGUUGUUUGGAGAUGACUAAGUAAUAUUAGUUUUACCAAUCCUCCGGCCUUAAGCUAGCAUGUGAAAGUUGUAGCAUUAGCGGAGAGUUGAUAACAGUUUCUCGGUAGUUGGAAGCUUGAACCCUGACAUAUUAGUGCAAGGACAUGAAGAUAUUAAAUCAUUCAUACAAUUUAUUGUCUGAGAGGAUAGAAAAAAUAUAUAAAACCACUUAAGAUCUUAAAAACAUCCUAUAUUUCUCCAUUUUUUGUAUUUACACUCUGAUCCAUGGACUUUCACCCCACAAAAUGUCUCACAUUCUUUUUCAAAUUUCUACCUACAUUUAAACUUCUCAUGUCUAUUUUCAUCUCAUAACUUUUUUCUCCUCAUGACCUAAUUAAAAUAUAUAUAGAGAUAAUCCUACCAACUUUUAUUUUAUACGCAAACCUAUUUAUAUAAGGAAUUAAUUGUAAAAUAUCCUAUAUAAGCUACCUUAGCAUAGUUGAAUUAGGUUAUAAAUUUUAUUUUGAUACAAUAAAUAACAAAAAUCCAUUUAUAAAAAUAUAUAAAAAUCCAAUAAUUGUAUAGGAGAAACCACACUUAUUUUAAAUAAAUAAUAAAGUACAUGCUCCAAGUAUUAAAAGGUUAUCUUUGGUGUGUAUGAUUUGGAGAGUCCCAGAUAAUGUGCAAGUAGAUGAGACCUUGAGUGAGAUGUUUUCUCUUUCAAAUCAAUUUCAAAGUUGCGAAAUCCAAAAUUUCAAGCUCUUUUUAGAAGUGUUUUAGAAAAUAGUUCAAAAAAAACACUUCUUGAAAAUAGCUUUUGAAAAUUAUUCUCUAAUAUUUUAUACCACAUAUGUUUGUUUGAGAACCUACAAUAUUCUUAACUUAUUUUGUAUAUUUUUAAAUACAUUUUAAAAAUAAUUUUCAUAUGCAUUGCUUUAUUUUUAGUCGUUCUCCAUAUUUGUAUAAUUAUUUUUAAAACAACCCUAGAAAAAAGUAAAAUGAAAUGAAAAUAACUAAAAGAUGUUCUUUUGAAACAUUGUAUUUUCUAUUUAAAAUCUUUUUUUUUCUAGUUGUUAAACAUACUUUCUUGUUUUUUUUUUUUUUAUAUAUUCUAGAUAAUUAAAAACUAUUUUCAAAGCAAGACCUGAAUUUUUACUAUGAAAAAUCGAAACGGUGCUCAAACUUAGACUUCAAAUUGAUUUUAACCAAAAUAUGUUUUUUCUCUUUUUUUUCCUAUCAAAUCAAAACUCCAAUUUCUAUCGUUGGACUAAGAACUUUAAAUCAUUUUCUAUUGGCAAUAGAGUCUUUGAUUUAAGGACACAAAAUACACAUGAAAAAUCUCAUAGCUAUGUCUGUGCGUGUACAUAACUCUGUGUGUGUGUGUGAUAUAUAUAAAAAAUGAUGGAUGAGGAAAUUGUGGAUAUGGCCAAAUCUGAAUCACUUGUAUUUAACAAUAGCAUGUGAUUUACAUGGAAACCUGUUGGUGGAAAGAGCCUAUAAAUAAAGGCCUUCUCUCCUCAUUCUAUUUAUCCUAGAAUUGAAAGAAAAAGAGUGGUCUAACUUUGAGUGAAAAAGUGAGGUUCUCUUGAGAAUUAAAGAAUUAUUAUUCUCUCGGGUGUAAUAGGGAUUUGGAUUGUGAGAAGUGAGUGCUUAUAAACACUUGUAGGGAGAAAAAUAACUACGUAAAUUUCGUGUUUUGUUUUGUCUACUCUAUUUUAUUAUCAUUUCCAUGUUUUUUUUUUAUUAACGACAUGUCCUAUGGUGUUCUAGGAGCUUAGUGGUACUAUAAGGAGGUUUUGUCUAAGGAGGUUGGAAUUUAAGAGGAACAAUUGUGACCCCUCCAAUUUUUCUUAGGAACUUUUAUUUAUGUCUAAGGAGACUAGGUCUUAAAUGGGAUCAUUGUGAUCCUUCCAAUCUUUCUUGGGAACUUUCUUACUAGUUUAAAGCUCUAGGUAGAAGUUUUUCUAUAAUUUUUAAUAGGUAUAAAGGUACUGUAAAAAGUACACUUUUUGUUGAAUUCCUAAGGAACCAGAUUUGAGUGGGAGUGAUGGCAACAGAUGAAGAAAGAACAUCAUAAUUGAGAAGUUCGAUGGUGAACAUUUUACCUUCUGGAAAAUGCAAAUUAAAGAUUAUCUAUAUAUGAAAGACAUGCAUUUCCCUUUUUUUUUUUUUAUGAGAAAAGCCAACCGAUAUGAAAGAUAAAGAGUGGGCUUUACUCGACAAACAGGCACUUGGAGUUAUCCAAUUAACGUUAUCUUGGAAUGUCGCUUUCAACAUAAUGAAGAAGAAGACCAUGACGGGUCUUAUGGCAGUUCUCUCUGACACGUAUAAGAAGUCAUAUACUUCAAAUAAAGUGCACUUUAUGAGGUUGUUAUUCAAUUUGUGAAUGACAUAAGGUGCAUCUGUAGUAGCUCAUAUCAAUGAAUUUAGUACAAUCACAACACAACUAAGUUUAGUGGAAAUCAAGUUCAAUGAUGAAGUUUGAGCUUUGAUCCUCCUAUCCUCUAUCUAAAAGUUGAAUCGCAAUGGUAACAAUAGUGAUCAAUUCUUUUGCGAGGAAGAAGAUGGUAUUUAAGGAUGUUCAAGGUCUAAUUCUAAGCGAAAAAAAUACACCAAAGAGAACUAGGGGAAACAUUAAGUUCCACCUUAAACAUCAAAUCUAGAGGUAGACACAAUGAUAGAAACUUAAAUCGGAGCAAAUUAAAUUCAAGAUGAAGCAAGUAUAGAUCUAAGAAGAAAGAGAAUAGCUGCUAGAACUGUGGUAAAAUGGUCACUUGAAGAGAGAUUGCAGAGCACCAAAAAAGAACAAUGGCAGUGCAAAGGAAUCCGUGAACGUGGCCGAAGAUACUGGCGAUGCUCUAAUCCUAAGUGUCAAUAGUCUAGUUGAAUCUUGGAUUUUGGAUUAUAGGGCAUCAUAUCACUACACCUCACAUUACGAAAUCAUGGAGAACUACAUCAAUGGUGAUUUUGGGAAGGUUUAUCUGGUUGAUGAUGGGACCAUGAAGAUUAUGAGGAAAGACGAUAUUCAAGUGAAGCGACCAAAUGGGACUGUCUGGAAGUUGAAAGACAUGAGAUUAAUUCCUAGUCUAAAAAGAAAUUUAAUCUCAGUGGAUCGACCUGAUCAAGAAGGUCAUCAUACAACCUUCUUAGGGAGUGAAUGGAAGAUCACCAAGGAAACUAUAGUCAUAACUUAUGAAAAGAAGAAUGGUACUCUCUAUGUUACUUCUAGCAUGGAGAAUAUUGUUGCAAUUGUAGAAUCAUAUGAGAAAUAGAAAAUCUAGCAGUAGAGACUCAAUCAUAUGAGCGAGACAAGGAUGAAGGUUCUUGUUUCAAAGAGGAAGCUGCCAAAUCUAAAAUCAGUAGACAUCGGUCUAUGCAAGGAUUGUAUUUUCGGCAAACAGAAAAUGGUCAAUUUCUCAAAGAUAGGCAAGCCACCCAAAGUAGAGAAGUUAGACCUAGUUCACACAGAUGUGUGGGGGUCAUCACCAAUUUCAUCUAUUGGAGGCUCAUAUUACUACGUCACCUUCAUUGAUGACUUUACUUGGAAAGUAUGGGUUUAUUUUCUGAAAAAGAAAUCAAAAGUUUGUGAUGUUUUCAAGAAAUGGAAAGCCAUGGUAAGAGCAAGACGGGCUUGAAAGUGAAGCAUUUGAAGUUCAACAAUGGAGGAAGGUACGAAGACGAGAAUCUUAAUGAGUUUUGUGUAGCCAAUGGAAUUAAAUUGGAAAAAACUAUUCCAAAGACACCUUAGCAUAAUGGUAUAGUACAACGCAUGAACAAAACUCUCAAUGAACAUGUUAAAAGCAUGAGAAUACAUGCAGGCUUACCUAAGAUGUUUUGGGCUAAAGUUGUUAGCAUAGCGACCUACCUUAUCAACCAUGAGCCUUUAGUGCCUUUUGGAGAAAAGUUACCUAAGGAAGUAUAGAGCGAUAAAGAGGUGAAAUUUUCACUUUAGAGAUUAUUUGGUUGUAUUUCUUUUGUGCAUAUUGACUUAUCUAAAAGGAGCAAGCUCGACACAAAGUCUAAGAAAUGUGCUUUUAUUCGAUAUGGCAUUAAUGAAUUUGGCUACUGAUUUUGGGAUUUUGAAAAUAAAAAAAUCAUCAGAAGCAGGGAUAUCAUCUUCAAUGAGAAAGCAAUGUACAAGGACAAGUCAUUUGUAGAAUCUAUCAACACAAAAGUCAAAACUGAAAAAAAAAAAAAGAGUACAUUAAGUUUGAGGAAAAAUCUAAGAAGGAAAUACAAUCAGGGGAUCAAAAGAAUCCUAUAAAUGAAGUAUCUCAAGAAAAACCACACACUCCUGUAGCAGAAGUGAGACACUUCUUGAGAACUCCUAAAUUGAUAUAAUGUUAUUCACCUUCUUUGCAUUAUUUAUUGUUGACUAACAAUAUAGAACUAGAGUGUUAUGAUGAAGUAAUUUAGGUUAAGGAUUCGGUCAAGUGGGAUUAUGCCAUAAAAUAUGAGAUGGACUCCCUGAUGUCAAAUAAGACAUAGGAUUUGAUUGAACUACCAAAAGGAAAGAAAGCUUUACGUAACAAAUGAGUUUUCAAGAUCAAAGAAGAGCAUGAUGGAAGCAAGCGUUACAAAACUAGGAUGGUAGUUAAAGGAUUUCAAUAGAAAGCAAGAAUCGAUUAUGCUGAGAUUUUCUCUCCAAUAAUGAAGUUGAUGACAAUCAGAUUGGUGCUAAAGAUGGUAGCUGUAGAAAAUUUGCAUAUUGAGCAGUUAGAUGUGAAGACAAUGUUCCUUCAUGGUGAUUUAGAGGAAGAGAUUUAUAUAAUGCAACCAAAAGGCUUCAUGAUCGUAAGCAAAAAAAGCUUUAAGUGCAAGCUGAAGAAGAUUCUAUACGGUCUGAAACAGGCUCCAAGAUAGUGGUACAAAAAGUUCAAUAGCUUCAUGAGUAGCAACGGUUUUACAAGAUGUCAAGUAGAUCAUUGUUGUCAUAUAAAAAAGUUUGACGACAACUUUAUUAUUUUACUUUUGUAUGUAGAUGAUAUGCUCAUUGCAGGUUCUGAUAUGCAAGAGAUAAAUAACUUAAAAAGAAAAUUAUUGAGGCGGUUUGCAAUGAAAGAUGUAGGUGCUACAAACUAGAUUCUUGGAAUUAAUGAGGAUUAGCAGGGACAAAGUAGCAAAGACUUUGAUGUUGUAACAAGUAGAGUACAUCAACAAAGUACUCUCUAGGUUCAACAUGUAGAAUGCUAAAUCAGUGAGCCUGUCUUUAGGUGCCUAUUUCAAAAUUUCCAAAGAGCAAUCACCAAAAAUAGAGGAAGAACGUGAUCACAUCAAAAAAGUUCCUUAUGCUUCAACCAUUGGAAGUUUGAUAUAUGUUAUGGUUUGUAUGAGACUAGAUAUUGUGCAAGUAGUAGGAGUGGUGAGCAGGUACAUGAACAAUUAUGGUAAGAUGCACUAGGAAGCGGUUAAAUGGAUCCUUAGAUAUUUUCAAAAUACCUAAAAAAUGUCACUCUAUUUAAGAAGUGGGGAUAUGAAAUUGGAAGGCUUUGUUGAUAGUGACCUAGGUGCCGGAGAUGUCGAAAACAGAAAGAGCACUAAAAGAUAUGUGUAUACUCUUAAAUGAACUAUAAUGAGUUGGGUUUCUCAAGAAAGUUGCAACUCUCUCCACUACCGAAGCAGAAUAUAUUGUUACUACGAAAGCCAAUAAGGAGAUGAUUUUCUCUUCAAGGUUUCUUGGAAGAGCUAGGAGAAAAAUAGGAGAACAAUGUCUUUUAUUCAAAUAAUCAGAGUGUGUUUCACUUGUGAAGAACCAUCCUUCCAUGCCAGAAUGAAGCAUAUUCAAACAAAGUAUCAUUUCAUUUGAUCUCUUUUGGAGGAAAAAGUUCUUAGACUUGAGAAGAUUGAUGGAAAUGAAAUCCCAGAUAUAUGCUAACAAAGACGGUGACAAUUCACAAACUAAAGUUAUGUUCGAUUUCAAUUGGCCUACAAACAUAGAAGAAGAAAGAUGAGUUGUUGCAUUGAUCUUGUGUGAAGACAUAAAGUAAGUACUCUUCAAGUGAGAGAACCACGUAAAGUUUGAGUGAACCAUGUAAAUUUUCAUAUGUUAUUUUUUCUACUCUAUUUUGUUAUUAUUUCCACAUUUUUUUAUUCGCUUCAUUAAUUUGGUCUUUUGGAAGGUUUAUUUCCUAACAUUUUUCAACUCAAUUUCUUAUCUAAAAUUGAAAUGGGAAUUGGUUUCAUCCUCAAUUCAAAUAGAUUUUUGGAACACUUCACCAUUCCCCUUCCACACUUUCCACCAUCCAAACAAUAAAUAUAAUUACUUAACUCAAUUACAUAUUUUUGCUUAUUUUCAUUUACAUUCAAAACUUGUUAGAAAGGAACCUUGAGUUUAGGAAGUUCCCAAUUAUUAGGAUUUGAUUUUGUUUUAUAAAAGUAAAUUAGAAUAUUUACAAAUUUGAGUGGUUGAUUUAAUUAUAUGUUUAUACAUAAGUCCUGCAAGUUAUUUUUUAUACUUUUUGUUAUUAAGAGUCUAUUUGUUAGAUAAAGGUGUCCAUAAAAAAAAAAAAAAAAAAAAAAGGAGUUAGUAUGAUAGUUGAACAAGAAUGGUGGAAAGUAAUGUCAUUUUCUUGAUUUUUCUCCAUUACUUAUUUCUCUCUAUGGAUUUGUUUAUGUGUUCUCAACUUUAUUCCUUGAACAAAUUAGGUCGUGAGAAAAAAAUGACAAGUAGGAUAUAUUUGUUAUAAGUCUUUUAGCUCAAUAAAAAUAAUUACAAUAAUUGGAGUAUGAAGAUAAAGACUUUACUUGAUUCACAAGAUGUAUGAAAGGUUGUAGAUGAAGGCUAUAAACAAAGAGCCUUGACAUAAAACCACUAUUCUAAAAUCAAAGUAAUUUUUUGAAAGGUAUAUGGAAAACAAAAAAAAAAAAAAAUGCCAAAAGGGAGGGAAGAAGAAAGCUCUUACCCUUAUCUAUCAAGCAAUAGAUAAAGGCAUGUUUGGAAAUUUUCCAAAUGCAACCAUGCACUACCAAGAAAGCAUGGACGAUAUUAGAAAAUGCACAUAAAGAAAUUGAUUAAUUAAGAAAAGUAUGUCUUUGUACCCUUAGAGGAGAAUUUAAAAGUUUGACCAUAAAAGAAGUAGAAUCAAUCUCCCAUUAAUUUUUCAAGAGUUAUAGUGAUCAGCCAUGAAUCAACUAAAAUGAAACAAUUAAAAUUUUAAAUCAUACUUGUGUGACUGAACAAAUAAUUCAGUCUAUUAGAUUCAAAGUUUGGUUGUUGUGCUCAUUAGAUAGUAAAAUGAUUUUCAUUGUAGCAUGAAGACAGAUUAAAAAAGAACCAAGAAAAAGUUCUUCAAACAAAACUUAAAUGACAAGAAACUGAAGAAAAUCUUAAUAAUAAAAGAAGUCAAAACGAUCGUGGAGUGGUUAUGACCAAGUAAACAUAGAAAGAUGUGGUUUUAUUUCAUCAAAUAAUCAAGAACACUAAUGUCAAAACCCAUAUUUUUUAAGAAGAUGUGAAAGAGAGCACAACUAAAGACAAAAUGAAAGGAGAAGUUAUGAGAAAUCUCAAGUUCAACCUUAUAACUAUAAAAAAUUUGGUCAUUAUGUGUAUGAAAUAAAAAGUACUACUAGCAAUAUGGAAAGAAAAGCCAAUCAUGUUAAAACAAAUAGGUAAAGAAAAACCUAGCCACUUUAUUUUUGGCAUAUAAAACACAAAGUAAUAAGGAGAAAAAUACAUGGUAUUCACUCGAUGGUGAAAACAGCCAUAUAUGUAGCUUCAAAAGUAUUUUCUUUGAAAUUGAUCAAUAUUCAAACACUAAUAAUGUUACUUUUGAAUCUAUUCAAAAUUCUCAAAAAAGGCAAAGGUAAAAUCUUAAUUUGUUCAAAAAAUGGAAGAUAUUAAUUUAUUUCAAAUAUCUAUUAUGUGCAGAUUAUGAAAAACAAUUAAUUAAGUUUGGAUUAACUUUUAAAAAAGAUAUAAUAUUCAUAAGAAAAAUCAAGUUCUCUCAAUAAGAUAUCAAUAUGUUGACUUCCUUGCAAAUGUAGUCAUGACAAGAAAUAUAAUGUUUCUGUAAUUAAAAUUGCUAAAAUUUUGUGUCAAUGUUCCCAUCUAGAUUUUCCACUUAAGAUAUCAACAUCUUAAUUUAGGAGGAUUGAAAUUGUUGAUCAAGAAAAAAAUGGUAUAAGGAUUGCCCUCUACAAAUCAUUUGGAUCAAUUAUAUAUGUGAAGGAUGCUUACUUGGAAAAUAUUCCUAUGAAAGUUUUCCAAAAGUUGGAAUUCAAGGUUUGGUAACUCCUUGAGGUUGUAAUGAUUUGCAGAUCCAGAGUUAUAGAAGAAAUUAAGAAAAUUUGGGAGAAAAAUGCAAAAUGUAUGAAGAAUAAAUUAUAUCUUCUCUCUCUCUAAUACAAUUGGAACUUAUCACAUUAUAUGGUACAAUGCAGGUUUUAAAUGGCAUGUAUGCCUAGACAUUGUUUUUACUUGGAACCAUUAAAAUAUAGUAUUACUAAUAGCAUUGUAAUAAAAUGGCAGAAGAUAGAUAUCAAUACAAGUCUAAUUAAGAAAGUUUCUCAAAGGCCACCUUCACAAUUACUUGUAAGCAGCUAAUAAGAUUUCCUCUAUAAUUAGGAAAAAUCUUCAUAUCAACUAUUCUUUGCACUUUAAUCUUUUUACUUAGUCAUUGAGAGGUUGUGAUCAGCCUUAAAAAAACUCGUCAAAAAAGGAUUUAGAGCAUAAAAUUUGAGACAGUUAAGGCCACUAAUAAGAGGGAAGUUGACCCAAACAUCACAACCUAUUUGAAACUAUAAAACUUAAUUAGAUAGUAAUUGUUUAAAUGUUUUAUUGGUGUUGAGAUUCUCCAAUUACACUAUAAAAUGGUUUGAGAAGAAUGAGGUUUCACUAUUGUUAAUUGCUUACAAGUUUUACCAAACAAAGGAGAAGAGAGAGACAAGGAAAAGAUGGACCUAAAAUUGAAUAUCACAGCAACCUCUCUUCUGCUAUUGCUAGCAUCUGCUGCAAAAGUGUCUGGUGAUAUCAUUUUUGAUGUUACCUGUUGGAAAUCAAGCCAGCAUCCUCUGUUUACUUCCCUAAUUAGUGUAAUGUACAACCUUUAUUAUAAUUGAUUUAGGAGUAAUUCUAGCAAGGUAGUUUAUUCACUUUCCAUGUAAGAGUAGUUUAUUCACUUCCCAUGUAAGAGUAGUUUAUUCACUUCCCAUGUAAGAGUUUAUUCACUUUCCAUGUAAGGGAAAUUCCAUUCCGGAAUUGUCUCAUAUCCGUAGGCUAUUUAUUUAUGCUUUCAUUCAUUGUAAAGUGAGGUAUCACAGAAUGAAUUGAGGUGUUCCUCCAUAUUUUGUCUUCAAAUUCUUCAUAUUUUUCUUCAAAUUCUUCAUGGUAUCAGAGCAGGUUUAAUCCUGUCUCAUCGUCUUCAUCUUUAAUGGAGAUGCUUCAGAAACUACUGUCUCCUCUUUUGUCAGUACAGUCACAAACUGGCUCAUCUUCCAACCAGGUCAUUGGUUCCGGAACCUUGGCUCACAAAGGUAAUUUUUUGAGUGCCUUCACUGCUGGUAAGAAACGUAAAAAACCUUGGAUAGUGGACUCAGGAGCAUCUGAUCAUAUGACGGGAGAUGCGACAAUUUUUGAUACAUAUAGCUCAUGUCCAAAUAAUUUAACAGUCCGAAUAGCAGAUGGUUCACUAUCAAAGGUUGUCGGAACAGGUUCAGUUGUGCUAUCAAGGGAUCUUACUCUCAACUCUGUUCUCCUUGUUCCUAACUUGGACUGUAAUCUAUUGUCAAUUAGUAAACUCACUAAGGAAAAGAGGUGUAUUACUAAUUUUUCCUCCACUCACUGUGAAUUUCAGGAUUUGGAUUCAGGGAAGACGAUUGGCAAUGCUGAGGAAUGCUCUGGACUCUACAUCCUUAAGGAGCGCCACGAUCCACAAGAACAACCUCAAAUGACAGUUGGUAGUAAUUCUUUUUCGGUUUCAUGUCAAAAUAACGAUAGUGCAAUUAGGUUGUGGCACUAUCGCUUAGGUCAUCCAAAUGUUAUGUAUCUCAAGCAUUUAUUUCCUUCAUUAUUUAAUAAAAAUCCAAAAUCCUUUGAGUGUGAAAUCUGUCAAUUAUCAAAGCAAGUCCGGUCUCAUUUUCCCAUUCAACCCUAUAAAGAGUCUAGUCCAUUCUCAAUGAUUCAUAGCGAUAUCUAGGGUCCGUCAAGAAUAAAAAAUGUAACUGGUACUAGGUGGUUUGUCUCAUUCAUAGAUGAUCACACUAGAUUAACUUGGGUAUUCCUCAUGAAAGAAAAAUCUGAAACGAGUCAAAUUUUCAAAAAUUUUAAAAAUAUGAUUCAGACCCAAUUCCAGUCAAAAAUACAAAUUCUAAAGUCUGAUAAUGCUAGGGAUUAUUUCAACUCCAUUCUAGGAGAAUUUCUAGCACAAGAAGGGAUAGUUCACUUAAGUUCAUGUGUUGAUACCCACAACAAAACGGAAUCGCUGAAAGGAAAAAUAGGCAUUUGUUAGAGGUGGCUAGAUCACUAAUGUUCUCCAUGAAUGUUCCAAAAUUAUUCUGGGGGCAAGCUGUCCUUACGGCAGCCUACCUCAUCAAUAGGAUGCCGUCUAGGGUACUAAAAUUCCAAACACCUUGUCAAACACUCCUAAAAUCCUUUCCGACUACUCGUCUCAUCUCCACCGUCCCACCCAAAAUUUUCGGGUGCUCUGUCUUUGUUCAUAUCAAUCAACAACAUAGAAGUAAACUUGAUCCUAGGUCACUCAAGUGCAUCUUUCUUGGAUAUUCUUCAAAUCAAAAAGGGUAUAAGUGUUACUCUCCGGUCACAAGAAAAUUCUACAAUUCAAUGGAUGUCACCUUUUUUGAAACCCAGCCUUACUAUCCCAAAAACGAUAUUCAGGGGGAGAAUUCAACCCAGGAAUAUCAAUUUUGGGAUCUUGAGUCAUUCAGUGAGUCACCCAUCACCACUGAAAAUCACAUUCCUCCAGAGUCAUUUAAUCAACCCGAGUCCAUUGUUGACUUGUGGGAUAAGGAGCACAUCCAAGAGGAAACGGAGGAAAGAGCACUUUCUCAACAAACCCAUGAGGCAGAACCGGGUCCUAAUCCAAGCAAACUUCCAGGUAACAACGCUCCUGAUGGUACUGUUGAUUCCGAGUUAGAAAAUGAUAUUCUUAAUAUGCCCAUAGCUUGGAGGAAAGGAGUUAGAUCAUGCACUCAGCAUCCCAUUGGAAAUUUUAUUUCUUAUGAUAAGUUAUCACCUACGUUUCGUGCAUUCACUUCUAGCAUCACAGAGAUACAAGUUCCUCAGAAUAUUCAGGAAGCUUUCAAGUAUCCUAAGUGGAAGGCGGCAGUCGAUGAGGAAGUUUGGGCGCUAGAAAAGAAUGGUACGUGGGAAAUUACUGACCUCCCAAGAGGUAAGAAACCAGUUGGGUGUAAGUGGAUUUUCACAGUAAAGUACAAGGCAGAUGGUAAUGUGGACAGGUAUAAGGCUCGGUUGGUUGCCAAAGGAUUCACCCAAUCUUAUGGCAUUGACUAUCAAGAAACUUUUGCUCCAGUUGCCAAGCUCAAUACUGUUCGUGUACUUUUAUCCUUGGCAGCUAAUCUCGAUUGGUCUCUUCACCAACUUGAUGUGAAGAAUGCCUUCCUCAAUGGUGACUUAGAGGAAGAAGUUUACAUGGACAUUCCUGCUGGACUUGAGACGACAUCAAAUUUCAACAAGGUUUGCAGACUCCGAAAAUCCUUGUAUGGUCUCAAACAAUCUCCCAGGGCCUGGUUUGAACGGUUCACUAAGGUAGUGAAAGGGUACGGAUUCGUUCAAUGUCAAUCCGAUCACACAUUAUUUGUGAAACACUUCCCAAAAGGGAAACUGGCAAUUAUCAUUGUAUAUGUGGACGACAUAAUUUUGACAGGUGAUCAUGAAGAGAAAAUUGACUUACUUAAAAAAUUACUGACAAAGGAAUUUGAGAUCAAGGAUCUUGGAAACCUCAAGUACUUUCUCGGAAUGGAGAUUGCUAGGUCAAAGAAAGGUAUAGCAGUCUCACAACGCAAAUACGUUCUGGACUUAUUGAAUGAAACAGGAAUGCUAGGAUGCAAGCCGGCAGAAACACCUAUGGAUACAACUGUCAAACUGGAAGAAAGUGAUGGAAGUGCGCCAGUUGAUAAAGGAAGAUAUCAACGUCUUGUGGGGAAACUCAUCUAUCUUUCUCAUACAAGGCCAGACAUCGGCUUCUCCGUUAGUGUGGUAAGUCAAUUCAUGAAUAAUCCAACCGAAAAACACAUGACUGCUGUGAUCAGAAUAUUGAGAUACCUCAAGAUGACACCGGGAAAGGGUCUCUUCUUUCAAAGAACAACAAAUAAAGAGAUUGAGAUUUUUUCAGAUGCAGAUUGGGCAGGUUCAGUGACUGAUCGGAGAUCAACUUCAGGCUAUUGUUCAUUUGUCUGGGGGAACUUGGUUACAUGGCGAAGCAAGAAACAGUCAGUGGUAGCCCGUAGCAGUGCUGAGGCAGAAUUUCGUGCUAUGGCACAAGGUAUCUGCGAAGGAAUCUGGUUGAACAGGCUGUUAGAAGAAUUACGGGUUCCAUUGAAGCAUCCCGUGGUGUUAUACUGCGACAAUCAAGUUGCCAUCAGUAUCGCUAAGAAUCCGGUUCAUCAUGAUCGAACUAAGCACGUGGAGAUAGAUCGACACUUUAUCAAGGAAAAGAUUGAAGAAGGAGUUUUCAAAGUCAGCUACACUCCGACAAACUGUCAAACGGCUGACAUUCUCACAAAAGCUCUUGCUCGAGUUAACUUCGAAGAUCUGACAGAAAAACUUGGAAUGAUCAACAUCUACAACGCGGCUUGAGGGGGAGUGUUGGAAAUCAAGCCAGCAUCCUCUGUUUACUUCCCUAAUUAGUGUAAUGUACAGCCUUUAUUAUAAUUGAUUUAGGAGUAAUUCUAGCAAGGUAGUUUAUUCACUUUCCAUGUAAGAGUAGUUUAUUCACUUCCCAUGUAAGAGUAGUUUAUUCACUUCCCAUGUAAGAGUUUAUUCACUUUCCAUGUAAGGGAAAUUCCAUUCCGGAAUUGUCUCAUAUCCGUAGGCUAUUUAUUUAUGCUUUCAUUCAUUGUAAAGUGAGGUAUCACAGAAUGAAUUGAGGUGUUCCUCCAUAUUUUGUCUUCAAAUUCUUCAUAUUUUUCUUCAAAUUCUUCAUUACCAAAUAUGGUGCCCGGGCUGACGGAAACUCCGAUAUCAGCCAGGCGAGGACAAUUCAAUUAUAAUAUUGUAAGAUAUAUCUUAAACUUAAAUUUCUGCUAAAUGGGUCCUCUAUUGAAUGUUUCUUAGGCCUUACUUAAAGCUUGCGGAAAUGCUUGUGCAUCGCCUAUGGCAAGUACAGUUAUGAUUCCAGAAGGGACAUAUGCACUAGGCCAAAUAACCAUUGGAGGCCCUUGCAAGGCUCCUAUCAAUUUCAUUGUCCAAGGCACUAUGAAGGCCCCGGUGGAUACCAGCAGGUUCAAGGCUGAAGCUGGUUGGAUUGCUUUCCAACAAAUCGACCAAUUCACGUUGUUUGGUGGUGGAGUUUUUUAUGGCCAAGGAAAAACUGUAUGGGGCAGAAAAAGCCCCCGUUCUGCAUAUUGCAACCAACUUCCCAUUGUAAGUUCAUGUAUAUAUAUUCUUGUGUAAUUCUUUCAUUUUGUGUGCAUAAUGAGGACAUGACAGUAUAAGCUUUGGUGUCUCUUUUUUUGACUUGAAAUAUCUAUAACAGAAUCUGAGGUUCAACUUCAUCACCAAUAGCAUGGUCAACGACAUAACUUCAAGAGACAGCAAACAGUUUCAUAUUAAUCUUUUAGGGUGCAAGAAUUUGACUUUCUACAACAUUGCAAUUAGUGCACCAGAAGAGAGCCUUAACACAGAUCGAUGGAAAUCACAUUGGACGUUCCUCAGGGAUCAAUAUCACCGAUUCAACCAUAGAAACCGGAGAUGAUUGUGUCUCAAUUGGUAAUGGCAGUGAGCAAAUUAAUAUCCAAAGUAUAACCUGUGGGCCUGAACAUGGCAUCAGCAUGGGAAGUCUUGGAAAGUACUCCAAUGAAGAACCUGUGGUUGGCAUUAGUGUCAAGAACUGUACCUUCACCAACACCCAGAAUGGCGUGAGAGUGAAGACAUGGCCUGCUUCCCAUCAAGGCACUGCCUUUGAAAUGCAUUUUGAAGAUAUUGCUAUGAAUAAUGUUGGCAAUCCCAUAAUCAUAGAUCAAGAGUACUGCCCCCAUAACCAAUGCAACUUGAAGGUACUUUUAAAGGAAAUGAAAAGUGUCAUUUUUAUUGCUUAUUUUUCCCAUUUUUCCCAUUUUUCCCUUCAUUUUCAUCGGUCUAGAAAUUAAGGGUUCAUUUGGUCAUGUUUUCUAAAACUUAUUUUUAAAAACUGUUUUUAAGUUAAAGAACAAAAAAUAGUUUUUCAAACUAAUGAAAACGAUUUCUACUUGUUCUCUAAAAAUUGUUCUCUAUCUCAUUUUAAAAAAAAAAAAUUAUUUCUAGAAAACAAUAGCUAAACAAUAUUAGGAAUUUUUCAAAACAUUUUUCUAUUUUUAAAAACAAAAAACUGUUUUUAAAUCACAUAGUCAAACAGGCUGUAACUUUCCAUUGUUUCUAGAUUCCAUCACGCAUUAAGCUCAACAAUGUUAGCUUCAGAAACAUCUGAGGCACUACCUCAACUUAGGUUGCUGUCAAGCUUGUUUGCAGCCAGGAAGUACCAUGCCAAGACGUCGAGCUUGGUGACAUCAACUUGAAAUACAAUGGAAGCGAAGGCCCUACCAUGUCACAAUGUAAAAACAUUAAGCCAAAUCUACUCGGCACGCAACUGCCAAGGACUUGUGCCUAAUUAAGCUACUUAAAUCUUCUUUCAAAGUCUGAACAAAUUGUACUGCUUCUACGAUUUUUAUAUAGCUACCUCAUGUGUUUUCUAGUUGAUUGCUGAAAAACCACCUCCACAUAGUAAAAGUAAAACACAAUAAAUAGGGAUUUAUAAAUUAUUAAAGAUUAUUUUUCUCCAAAAGAGGUUACAUUUUAUGUUUUUAAAAAAGGUUAGUCAUUCUUCCGAAUUUGGUUUUCUAUAGGAAUAUUUAAUUAAAAGGGGUAAGUAAAAUAACCCAUAAUUUGUAAAAGUAGCCUUCAUUAUCUCUCAAAUCAAAUAGAAAAAAUAUAUAUAUAAUAAAGAACCUUCUAAAUUCAAAUCCCUUUCUUCUUCUCUCUCUUCACCACCUUUGAAAUCUCUUUCUUUCUUUCUCUUCAUUGCCUUUUUUUAUUUCUGUGUGGUAGCCACAUCCUGCCACAUCCAAUUCACCUUCCAUUGAUGCAAUGACUCCUUUGAUUCGUCACAAUUAGUCAAAGCGCUUGGCUAAUGUACUCCACUUGGAGGCUAUUUAACCACAUCCUUCAUACCAUGGCAUCAUACUAUUUAACCACUUCAUCUUUGCCACAUUUCAAAAUCACUAUAUAUGAGAAAUAACACUUAUUUUGAAUAAUAAUGGACAUACUCCAUAUAUCAAAUUAUCACAAACAAACAAUUGACCUCAUAUUUCUAGACCCCUAAUUUUGUUCUCUAGUAUUACAAUACAUACAUACUCCACAUUUAUCCCCAUGUAUUUGAGUUGAUGAGGAAUAUUGAUCAUAUAUUUCAAGUGUUUUGAAGUUUUAAAAGGUUCUAGAUAAUUUGGAAAAUAAAAAUGAACUCGAGUUUCAAAUUUGAGAAAAUAAAGGCUAAUAUUAAAAGAGAAAAACACCCAAGAGAGGGGUGAAUUGGGUUUUUCAAAAUCUUUUUCAACACAACAAAUUCAAGCACAAUAGAAGAAAAUAUAAAGAGAUAAAGUUAGAGAUAUCAAAGUAAGAUUUUAUAGUGGUUCGGCACUUCCUUGCCUACGUCCACUCUCCUCAAGCUCCUAACUGAGUGGGGGUUCCACUAACUUGAAGCUUCAACCAAGCUUCUAAUCUCUUUUACACUUGAAUUCCGAAUCCAAUGGGCUCUUACACAAUCUCUUCAAGAUUCAACUCACUUGAAGGCUUUAACACUCAAUUUUACAAGAAUGAAUCCCUCAACCUAGCUCAAUGAUAGCUAAAAUACAAAUCAAAGCUAGGAUGAAUCACAAAGGUGCACUAAAGGAUAUGCAAGUGAAGAUUUAAUGCACUAAGAAAGAAAUGAGAGUUUUUAAGGCAAGAACAAGUGAGUAGACAAAUAAAUGCAAGUGUUUUCUAUGUCAUAAAUAAAGUGGAGCUCUCAAUUUAUAGGUUUCUAACCUUGGGAGCCAAGAAAAACAAAAAGCAGCCUCAACCAGUCAAGUUGAGGAUCGAUCGAUUCACUAACAGUUGGAACAUUUAAUGUUUUGGCAGGUUACCGUUGCUUCAACCGGACCUCAACCGGAGGUCGACCAGGAAGGGAAGGCUACUGGAAGAGAGAGAGUGUUUUUGCACUCCUCGACCGGGCAAAGGGAACUAGUCGACCGGUACCUUGGCCGAUUGAGCCGAUUGGCUCAGUGCCUUGAUCGGUUCAACAUUUUGGCCUCAAAAACCUAUUUUUUUCUAUUCUUUUCUCUUCUAACACUUAGGCAAGGUCUUUAGGUUAAUUAAUAUGCCAAUUUUGAAACGUUUUACCUAAGGUACAUUUGAUAAAACUUGGGUUUUAAUGAAACUGUAACUUUAAAGAACAAACCGAGUUUUCCAAAUAUGCAUGAAAUGAUAUGUAAACCCUAAGUGCACCCAUGCAUUCAUCUUACAUUUGUUUCCUAUGAAUAAAGGUCUUCCAAACGUCUUGAUUUUGUAUCCAUUAGGUCAUUUGAUGAAUUUCCAAAUUAAUACUUGAGAUUAUUUACAAAUCAAACCAAUUAGUAACUUAACCAUAGUUUGUUAUCAUCAAAACCUAAUUAGGAAAACACUUGGGCUAACAAAAUUGAUUAUCAAGUAGAUUCUCGAUUAGAAAUCAAAAUCCAAAUAUGUUUUUCUCUUUUACCCUGACAAAUCAAAAUUCCAAUUUAUCUCUUGUACAAAUAUGAAAUUUAUGCUAUUCGAAUCAAAACUCCAAAUCAUUUUCUAAGUCAGAUUCUCUUCUAAAAUUAAAAUGGAAAUCUAUUUCAUCUUUGUGGUUCAAAUUGAUCUUUGGAAUACUUGCACAUUCGAAAGGAAAAUAGUGUCACGAGUUUUGCAGUUGGAGUUCAUGGAUCAGGCAUUUUAGGAGUUCUUGUACCUAAUGAGAACGUUUACCUUGAUUAAUUUAACACUUAUAUUGCAAAGAUCUACAUAGGAGUUCUAUAGAUUUAUUUAAACAUUUAUGGGCAUAUUUAUCCUAUUUGUAGCAUAUUCUAAUGAUAUUUUUAAACAUUAAUAUAAAUUGUUUGCUUGAAGGUUUCAACUAUUGAAAAUUAUUGUUCAAGCCUAAUGUUAAUCUUUUUCUAUGGUGGAUUUCAAAUAAUUAAUAAAUUCUUAUUUGAUUAUUUGUAGGGAAAAUAAAUACCUUCUAUGUUUGAUAGGAAAGAAGAUAGAGUAGAUCACUUUCACAAUACAUGGAUGCUACUCUUUCUAUACUUUUAAAGAUGGUUACAAUUGGCUUUAUGAGGGAUAAUGAUUUUCUAGUUCUUUUAAUACUUACUAGUAAAGGCUCACAUGCCAUGCACAUACAUUGAGUAUAAUUUCUCAAUAGAUGUAGGGAACCUUGCAAUCAUGCUUAAAAUAUAAAAUUAACCAGUAUAUUAAAUGAAAUUUUUGUUUAGGAAAUAUGAUUACACAAGAAAAGGAAAUAAGAUUGUUAAAGUGUUGGAAACCUCUCUGGUUCAAAGCCCUAAGCAUCAAAUGGAUGAUAAUAACAAUUAUCAUAGGAAAAAUAGGAAAGGAAAAGAAUAUAUAAAUAUUUUUUUUUCCUAAACAAGGGAUUUCCCAUUUUAUAAGAAUGACCAAUAUAUAUAUAUAAAAGAAUUGUUUAAAUUACUAUAAAAAAUUUAUGUACUUUACAAUAAUUAUGUAAUCUAUAACUAUGCGUUAAAAUAUAAAAUUAAUAUACUUAUAAUGUAAAAUUAAUGUCCUUAUAUAAAACAUAUCACUCAAACUAGAUUAAAAAAAAUUCAAAACAUAGACAAACCAUUUAAAGAAAAUACAACAUUAACAAACUAAAAUAAUGUUCUAUGGAAUAAUAUUGAAAAAGCAACAUCCCUGAUAAAAUAGGUUAUCUCUAAACAUGAAGAUUAUCAUAUUUCUCAAAUUUGAAGAUGGUCAAGAAAAAUUUUCUGUAGACCCCUUUUGCAGACGACCUGGGAAUUGAAAAUUUUUCAUUUUUUGAAGUGGGGGGACCUCUUUCUGGAGGGGGCGAGCCGCAUGGGACAUGUGGCAAAGAUGGCAUGGUGGUAGCAGGGAGCAGGUGAAGACUCGUGGGAGAAGAAAAACAGAGGGGAGUGUCUUCAUGUUUUUAGGGGGGUGAGCUAGUUUUCGUGGGGGAGGGGGUCCGGAAACAGAGAGAAGAAAGAAGAAAGGAUAGGAGGUUUUUCUGGCGUUUAAGAGGAUUCCGAAAAUUUUUCGGGGCUUGGUUGGAGAAGCAAUCUUGCCUGGAGGAAAAUUUGAGGAGCUUGAGAAGAAACUAGUGAGGGUGGAUAGCUUGGGGAUAGAGGAUUUCCUGGAGGGAGCAGAAAACAGAGCUCAGAGUCAGGCGAGCUUUCCUUUGAAAAGCUGCCCUUCAGGUGAGAUUAGUUUUUGUUGAAUUUGAUAACUUUUCCAGCGCAAUACAUCCCGAUAUUUUAUUUCGAUUCGCUGCAUCGAUUGCCUUGCCGGUGAAUUUUACAUUCGUAGCCCCUUUUGUGCACUCAAUUUCCUAUAUUUUUAUUCCCUCUGAUGCUUUCUUUAUAUGUUUCUUCAACUGUAUGUGUUUUUGCCUGAAGAUUUGAUUGUGCCAGUGAAAUUUGUGGCUCAUCUGUGUCUCUAAAGUGUCGGGUACCUUAAGUGUCUUUCUUACUUCGACCUGUGAAAAUAUAUACUCUGGAGUUUACACAUCUUGUAUGCAUAUACUAUUAUAGUAUCAUAAAAUGAAAAAUUAUGUAUAUCCAAUUUUAAUUGAUCUCAAUUGAUUCUUCGUUACUGCUCAGAGGAGAAGUAAUAGGUAGGGAUGACAGGAUUUGAACCCGUGACAUUUUGUACCCAAAACAAACGCGCUACCAAGCUGCGCUACAUCCCUUUCAAUUGGUCUACAGUGUCAUUGUAGAGAAUACCUGUCUUGUUUUCCACAUCCUAGCAUUGAAUAGACUGGGUAUUCACCUUAUCAAUAUCUCAAAAUGAUGGGUUCUAUUUGGCGCUUAAAUUAAAUGGGCACCCAAAUCGGACCGAAUCAGUUCCGAUACGUAGACCAAAUGAUACAAUGCAAGCAAAAGUUCCUAGAUUCAUGGAGAUAUAGAACAGCAUAUAAGUUAUCAUGCUUGCAUAUCCACCAUUUAAGUCUCCAACAAUUAUUCCAAAUUGAGGCUUUUUUACAGUGAAAACCUCAAAAGGGGGAUUUUGGGGAAUAAGUGUUUGUGUAUUUUUUUUUUUCUUCCUAUGGAGAAGGAAGAGUGAAGAAUUUGUGAAAUGGCAAACCGUUAUUGGUCUGUUUCUAUUGAGCGGCGUUUCAGCUAUGUGGUUCUCAUCCCAUUUAUGCAGCAUUGAGUUUGAAUGCCGAGAAAUAUCUCUUUGAUCGGUGUGGGGAAAAUAGGAAAGGGGUUAGAUGGCCCCUAAUUGGUCAUUGCUCCUCUUUCUACUCUCUCAAACUGGGCAAAUGAAAUAGCAAGGUUUGUGCCUUCAAUAAUUGCAAUCAUCUACCAUGGCAAUAGGAAAGAAAGAGAUCAAAUACGAAUGAAGUAUAUGCCAGGAAAAAUUAGCCCCAAAUUUCCUAUAAUUCCGACUUCUUAUGAGGUUGCAUUAAAUGAUGCUAGAAAAUAUCUAAGGCAUUACAAUUGGAAAUAUCUUGUAGUUGAUGGUGGGGCCACGGAUGUAAAUUCAUGAUGUGCACCUUGCAACACUCUGUUUUAUUUUUCUUUGGGCUGCCAGGAUGUUCAAACAUCAUUUGAAAACCUUUUUUUUUUCACUUUGGCCACCUCUAAGUGUGGUCACUUUGGCACAUGGCCCUAGUAAGUUUUUGACUUUUUAUUUAUUUUCUUAUGAUUUUAACAGUUUUCCUUACUCCAAUUUUCCAAAAUUCAUUUCAUGAUUCCACUUUUCAAAUAAUUUUUAAAGCUUUCAUUUUAGAUUAGUCUUCCGGAAUUCCCAUUUCCAUAUUUAUUUAUUUAAUCAUUAUUCUUUUUUUAUUAUUAUUAUUUUAUUUAUUCACUUUUAAAAUUCUAUCUUUAAGUAAUUCUUAAAAUUCCGAUUUCCGAAUUUAAUUUCCAAUCAUUAAAAUUCAAUUCUUCAAAAGUCUGACUUCCAAAUUUAAUUUUCAAUCUAAAAAAUUUCACUAUUCACGUUCAUUCGUUUAAAUAUUAUUUUUGUUAUUAUUAUUAUUAUUCCAUAUUUAUUUAUUUAUUUUUUACAAAAGUUCCAAUCAUUAAAGUUCAAUUCUUCAAAAAUUUGACUUCCAAAUUUAACUUUCAAUCUCAAAAAUUCCACCAUUCACGUUCAUUCGUUUAAAUAUUAUUUUUUUUAUUAUUAUUAUUAUUCCAUAUUUAUUCAUUUAUUUAUUUUAAAAAUUCCAAUCAUUAAAGUUCAAUUCUUCAAAAAUCUGACUUCCAAAUUUAAUUUUCAAUCUAAAAAAUUCCACUAUUCACGUUCAUUUGUUUAAAUAUUAUUUUCGUUAUUAUUAUUAUUCCAUGUUUAUUCAUUUAUUUCUUUUAAAAAUUCCAAUCUUUAAAAUUCAAUUCUUCAAAAAUCCGACUUCCAAAUUUAACUUUCAAUCUCAAAAAUUUCACUAUUCACGUUCAUUCGUUUAAAUAUUAUAUUCGUUAUUAUUAUUAUUAUUCCAUAUUUAUUUAUUUAUUUAUUUAUUUAUUUAUUUUAAAAAUUCCAAUCAUUAAAGUUCAAUUCUUCAAAAAUCCGACUUCCAAAUUCAAUUUUCAAUCUCAAAAAUUCCACUAUUCACGUUCAUUCAUUUAAAUAUUAUUUUUGUUAUUAUUAUCAUUAUUUAAUUUAUUUAUUUGUUUAUUUCCUUUAAAAAUUCUAAUCAUUAAAGUUCAAUUUUUCAAAAUUCCGUUUUCCAAAUUUCAUUUUCAAUCUUAAAAAUUUUACUAUUCAUGUUCAUUCGUUUAAGUAUUAUUUUUUAUAUUAUUCUUAUUAUUCCGUUCACUUACUUAUUUAUUUCUUUUUAAAAAAAAAAAUAUCCGUCUUUAAACAAUUCUUAAAAAAUCUGACUUCCAAAUCUAAUUUCCAAUCUCAAAAAUUCAACUAUUCACAUUCAUUUGUUUAAUGAUUAUUUUCGUUAUUAUUAUUAUUUCAUUCAUUUACUUAUUCACUUAUUCACUUAUUCAUAUAUUUAAAAUCGCAUCUCUAAAUAAUCCUUCGAAUUUCCAAUCUCUAAAUUCAAUUUCCAAUUUCUAAAAUUCUAACUUUCGCAAUUAUUUAUCCAAUCAUUAUUAUUUUCGUUAUUCUAUUCAUUUAUUUAUUCAUUUGUUCGUUUAUUUAAAAUUUCAUCUCUAAAUAAUUCUUUAAAUUUCCAAUCCCUAAGUUCAAUUUCCAAUUUCCAAAAUUCUAACUUUCACAAUUAUUUAUCCAAUCAUUAUUAUUUCGUCAUUAUUAUUAUUUCAUUCAUUGAUUUAUUCACUUAUUCAUUUAUUUAAAAUUCCGUCUUUAAAUAAUUCUUCAAAAUUCCAAUUUCCAAAUUUAGUUCUCUGAAAUUCCAAUUUUCUUAUCACCGAACUUAAUUUUCAGUUUCCAAUAUUUCAAUUCUCGCAUUUAUUCGGUUACUCAUUUAUUAUUAUCAUUAUCAUUUUAUUCAUUCAUUUCUAAAAAUUCCAUCUUCGAAUGAUUUCCAAGAUUUCCAAUUUUUAUAAUUCAAUCUUCAUAGUUUCUACUUCUCAAAUAAUUUUCAAUUCUAAUUUCUUUCAAAAUUUAAUUUCCAAAGUCCCAAUUUUUGUAAUUUAAUUUUUUUAAAAUCCCAAACUCUCAAAUAAUUUUCAAAAUUCCAAUUUCUUUCAAAUUUAAUUUCUAAAUUUCUCAUUCUUACAUUUAAUUUCUAAAAAUCCUAUUUUCAAAUAAAUUUCAAAAAUCUAGUUUUCCCUCGAAUAGUUUUAAUUUCUAUUUGGUGAUGCAUGUGAUAUUUUUUGUGCUCUUUAUUGUACAUUGACCCCAUUUUUAUGAUAGCGCAUUGCUUGUUCGUGGCCCAGGUACGCAUCCAUUCCCAUUCUAGUCAUUCUCUAUGCAUGUUUUGAUUCCCAUAUGUGCAUGAUCGAUUUGAGUAUCCAUUGAUUUUCCUAUUGAUUGUUACGUCAGCUUCAUUUUAUUAGUAGAGACCCGACUUUAAAGACUUAGAGGGGUGCUACGGUCUUUACCGUACCUUCUUGAUAAGUAACCUAACCCUUGAGCCCAAUCCGGUUUUUCACAGACCAUAUUUUCCAAAAUAAGGAGUCACACUUAGAGUUUUCUUUUUUAUUUUGUUUAUACCCUUUUAAAAAUAAAACAAAAAUAAGUGGCGGCUCCAAGUCAUUUUUUUUAAUAAAUAAAAUCAUUUUCAAAUAAAAAUCGAGUUCGUCAUCGAGUGAAAAAUGCAUGAGCCGAAAUGCGGGGUCCACAAAAUGGCGACUCCACUGGGGAACGUUUAGAGGGUCAAGCUUGAACUUAAGAUGAAGUAAAUGUGGCAUUUGAUGAGUCGAUUAGUGGGCACCUAUCUCUUGAUUACAUAUUGAGAGUUCCCGAUACCAUUGGAUGCAUGCUUGGUUGUUUGUUUUCAUUUGGGACAUUGACAUGUUGAUUGUGUUGGUUGAUUAUCUUGGUUGGGGACUUUAAUAUAGUGAUUUUCUCUAUGCUUCAUUGGUAUAUUUGUUUGAUAUAUUUGACAUGCUGAUUGUGAUGAUUGAUUUGUCUUGAUUGAGGAUUCCGAGAUAGCUAUUUCUUCAGUACUUCAUUGUUAUAUUUGCUUGAGAUAUUGACAUUCUAAUUACAUUGAUUGCUUAUCUUAUUUUGCUUGGCAUAGUAACUCUGAUUUUGACAUGUUUAUUCUCAUCUCUUCCCAUAUAUAGACUCACCAUUGCAUAUCGCUUGACUUGCCAUAUUGUUUCUUUGUAUUGUAUAUUCUCUUGAUUGUCUUCGAGCAUGAUAUCUGCAUCAUUUCUCAUCUAAUUUUCAUAGUUUGUAUGUGGAUAUGAGCUAUAUAUUCUGUACUCUACUUGACUGUAUGUCACAUGACUGCCCUUCUUAUGCGUGAUUGUAUGUCGUUUGUCCGUGUGGGCCGCACAUCUAUCCCCUUACCUCCAACUCUCUUGGUUUUGGUCAUUCCCUUCAUUCUAGUUUUCACUUUUGCAAGUGUGAGGUCUUUUGUGUGUUUGUUUCUUUAACCGAGAUAGCGAUUAGGAGUAGGGUCUAGUGACGGGCUAUACCGAUGUUUGGGAGCAUCCUGUAAUUGAUCGACACUUUGAUGUCAAUUAGAGUUCGAUUGUUGAAAACUUGUAUAGCCCAGAGCUAGGUUUCAUGGAUAUUUGUACAGCUAGUAUGUUUCAUAUUCUGUAUUAGCUUCAUAGGGUUAUCGGAUGCACCCACACCGUUUAUUGUGCACUCUAAUUGACCACUGAGCGUUGAGAGUUCGAGAGGUUUCACCAUAGGAAACCCCCAUGGGAUGCCGAGAUAGUGUAUGUGUGGAGAUGAUGACCACCUUGCAUGGAAGCGCCCCGUUUCUUCAGAGGCGUGCAAAGGGUUGCAUACCACGGGAGGGUAUGAUCACUUCUGCUAGGGAUCCUUUAAAGUCCACAAAAUUUCUUUUUAGAGUCACCUUGACAUUGUAGGUUAAGCCUUAGAUCCUUCGAUCAAGACUUUCUUCCCUACACAUGGGUGCAUCUGAGGGCCUUUAGAGUCUCUUUAGUUACAGUUUGGAUCCCAAACUCCAUCUUUUGGUCUCCAGUUGAGAGUGCUUAGAUAUUAGUGCGAGUUUGAGUAUUAAUUGGACCACCUCUUGUUGUAUGAUUUUGGUUUCUUCCUGUCACUCAUCGAGUUUGCCACACUUUCUUCUUAGGGGUUUUAGAUAGAUUUCCUUUCUUGAGUUAGCAUUAUUUCCAUUUGUUGUCACUUUCUACUUGACGUUUUGGGAUAUGCUCAUUGAUUAUGCUCACUUUUUCACAUUCUCCACAUGUCAUGCGCUCAAUACUUCAUUCUUUGGUUGAUUUGCCUAUUUCAAUUUUCAACCCAAUAUUUUCAUUACAGAGAGGUGAAAGGCAUGUUUUCACAUUCACACCAGUUUUGAGAGGUUCGCCUUUGUCACCUUAUCAUUUUUCUUUAUGGAGCUCGGGUUGAAAGUGAAUCAAGGAUAUUUUGUUAUAGAUGGAAUAUCGAUCUAAUGACAGUGUUGUUUUUUCACGCCUCAUUCAUUUUCUGGAUUACUGAUAAAGAUUAUUUACUCACAUUUGUAGCCAUCUCACAAUGGACACCUCUAUGACUUUAGAGUUUUUGUCAUUUAUCCAGUUUUAGAUUGCUACCACAGGACCAUAUAUCAUAUGAUGUGUUGUACUUUUGAUUUGAGACAUCUCUUCACUUGCACCUUGAGGUCUUAAGGUUUGACCUAUCAUGGAGGACAUUGAGCCUAUUAACCUAGGAUCGGAGAUUUGACUUAGGAAGUUUCAGACUAUGACCCAUCUUCUUAUGAUCAGAGCAGUGUCUUACCCACUCUCACACCUUGACUUUGUUUUGACCUACAUCCAUCCAUUGUGAGCGUUACACAGCGUCACCCUUGAGACCAUUACAUGACCUUUCCAUCCCUAAUUGUUCUAGCUUUGUAUAUUAUUUCUUUGAUCCAACCAGGUAGAGUGUGAGGAGUUUGAGCCUAGGGUUGAUCUCGCGUGGCGAGGGAUGGCUUACGAUUUUUGGGUGGCUUACGACAUGAGGAUUGGUCGAUUACUUGAUGGACUGUCACUUAUUCUGCCAUGAGUAUAGAGAUUGAUAUUGUAUGAUGAGAGUUAGCUUGUGAUGAGCAGUUGUGCUUGAUGAGAUCGUCAUUUACUUUGCUUUGAGAGGAUUACCUUUGAGAUUAUUAUGGAGCAUUUGCAGUAUGGUUUGGCACAUGAUUCUAGAGGGUUGAUGUGGUUAUGUCAGAUGGAUAUUGAUCUUUAGUAUAGAUCAUUUAAGGGUUUGAGAGCACAAUGUUUGAGACUAUGGUUGCAAGAUGUGUGGCCUGUAUUUCGGUUAGCCAUGUACCCUUUCACCCUUUUGAUAUAUAUAGUCUGUUGCUAGCCCAUUGAGCCUCGCACGUGCAUUAUAACCUUUCUUUCUUAUCGCCUUGCUCACAUUUUUCACACCGGGAUAGGGGCCUUUUAGUAUAUGCAUUCAUUGUUUGGGAGUUCCAUGAGCCUUAGACCUAAGGGUGCAUUCUUCUCAUUAUCUCUUCUCAUCAUUGCAUCACUGCAUUCCAUUGUAUCUCAUUGUUUGUGUUCUUCGUCUCUUCUUCUUUAUUUUAUCUACUACUUGUUUUGCUUCAUAUUCUUUUCACCCUGAGAUGGUGUCUAUCCAUUAUCGACAUCAUCCUUGGGGUUCAUUUGUUCAUGUUCAGGGUAUGUACAUCUGUAUGUUAAAAAAAUGAAGUGAAAAAAAAAAUGAAAUGAAAAAAAAAACGCAUGUGUGUAUUAUUUUUUAUCAUUGAGUGUGUAUAUCAAUAUUCUAGGGUCACUUGAUUGAGUAUGUUUGUUGAUGGGAGUUCGUAUGUAAGCUUUCCGAGACCCUUCAUGCUUUGUAUUCAUCUUAUUGUAUAUUUUGAGAGCGAGAUGAGUGACCUUCUCUUAAGAGUUCUAGGUCAUUGUCCCUUCCAUCAUUACGUUCAUUGUUGAUGUGACUUCACUCCAUGUCUGAUUUGAGUUGAUCACUACUCCUCUUUAUGUUAUUUGUUUCAUCAUUAUCCUCGUUUUCGCUUCUGAUUCAUCAUUUUCACUUCACGUCUUAUUCUUUUCUUACAGCAACCCAUCUAGGGUUUGAUACUCUCUUCGCGUCAUCAUUACACAUAUCACUAUCAAUUCAUUUUGCUUCAUUGGUCUCCUCAUCGACAUCUUAUUCACGUUAGGCAUCCUCAUGUCCAUGGCUCACGGGAUUUACUAUACAUGGUGCAUUUCAUAUAUGAGGGCAUGGGUUUCUGAUCAUUGGGUAUUUGAGCCCUGUUUCCUUUCAUUUCUUUCACCUUAUUACCUUAGCCUACAUUACGUCCUAGGUCUUAAGAGCACCCUGAGGCCAUGAUAUCAUGCAUCGUGUUUUGAUAGCUCUCAUGUGGGCGAUACUUGGAAUUGGUUGGAGAGCAUUUUGAUUAUGAUAGGCCAUGAGUUGUGGUAUGACCCUAUACUGGGGCAUAGCCACCUCAGAGAGUUUUUUUUUUAUCGGGUAUGCAACCAUUCUGUUUGAUACAUCGCAUUGGGGCACACCUUUCUUGGUUGAGGUUUGAUUUUUUAGAUGGCCAUUAUGCCAGGGCAUACUUCUCUCAGUCGAUGAUGGAUUUUUGAGUCAUGGCCACCCUUCAGAGGAGAUCAAACAUCAUUUUUCACAUUGGAGCAUGAGGCAUGAUUGGUAUAUUUCAUCUGGUGUACUUUGCAUAGGGGCAUAUUUCUUAGUCGAUGAUGGUUUUUGAGGCAUAGCUGUUCCUUGGGGGUGAUUAGAUUCCUUUCACAUUGGGGUAUGAGAUAUGAUUGGGUGCUUUGAAUAGAUGUGUUUAUAGGAGCGUAACCUUCUCAUCGUUGUUGACAAAUGUUUGAGAUGAUUGGAUCAAGAUACUGACACUUAUGAGAGCAUGCAGCGGAGUUUAGUCAUUUUAGAGAUUGCAUUAUACUGGGGCAUAAUCCUUUCAUUGGUGAUUGAUCUUAGAGAUAUCAACUUACAUUUGGGCAUGAUCAUGUCAGAGCGCAUUUUGUUGAGGCAUGUCACUUUGAUUGAUCUUUUUCAUAUUGGGACAUGCUCUUUCUUUAGAUGAGGUCGGAUACUCUCUUUAUACCACCACGAUGACUUUGAGGAGUGGAGAUUCAUUUUGAUUAGAUGAUGUAUGAUUGGUUGUACUCCUCUCAUCGAUGUUUUAUUACAUUGGGGCAUUGCCCACCCAUCGACGAUGGAUUUUGUGAGAUGACGGUUUAUGCCAAACACAUGUUAUUCGGAUAUUAUCUUGCAUUGAGGGCUUACCCAUUUUGAGAGAAUGCAUUCAUACUGGGGCAUAGCCACCUUGCUGAUUUUGACAUUGAGACUCCACCUCCUAUUUAUGAUAGCUAGUUUUGAUGGAUCGUAGAGUUGUUGACACUUUGGGUUCAGACUUCUUAACAUACUUGGUUCGACUUGGAUACCCACUUUCCUUUGUUACACACUCAUACAUCUUACAUCCAGCACCAUUAUACCUGCAUCCAUCUUGUCAGAGUCUCACAUCUUUUGAGUUUCAUCUAGGGCAUACCCCAUUUCCAGAGAUAGUUGUGUCCUCAUUUUUUAGUGAGUUGAUCAUCCUGAUUUUAGUCACCCUUCAGUGGUUUGACUUAGAGUCAUAGACUACAAUCUCCCAUUUUGGGCGUACAAUGCCCCUCUUCAUGGAGUCACAUGACUCUCAUCACUCACGAGAUCAUGUCGAGUUGAUAGCCAAUUGUUAUCUUAUCAUGAUCCCCUAGUGGAGUCUUUCUUAGGCCAUUUAGUCAGACUCACACUUUUUAGCAUUUAGAUAUCAUCAUGCUUUUUCUUCUGGGAGACGUUUAUUUGAUCUACAAAUUCGAUUAAGUUGUGGACGUGGGUGGUUAGGAUUACACACUUGGUGAUGGAUGAUUUGAUGACAUCUAGUUUUCUGAUCUACCAUGCAUUUGAUGCCAUACUGGGGCACAUUCUGUUUCGGAUGAGAUUUAUGGAUUUUCAUGGAAGUUGCAUGCUUAUCUCCACUUUUGAGUUAUGGACGUGGAUGACCGGGAUUGCAUAGUUGAUGAUUUGGUGUCACCUGACUUUUGGAUCUACCACACAUUUGAUGCCAUACUGGGGCAUAUUCCAUUACAGUUGAGAUUCGUAGAUUUUCAUGGAGUUGCGCGAUCAUCAUCACUUACUGGUCGCACACUGAGAUGCUGACAUGUUCGUUACCUUAUCAUGAUACCUCGGUGGACCCUCUUUGGAUCCAUUUAGUCGGACCCUCAUUUUUUGACAUUUGGUUUCCGGCAUGAUACUUAUUCCGAGAGACAUUCCCUAGAUAUAUGGAUUUGAUUUAUAUCACAGAGAUCACAUGUUCGAUGAUAGAUAGUCUCAUGUCAUCUGAUUUCCGAUUCGUCAUACAUCUGAUGCCAUACUAGGGCAUAUUUCCAUUUUGGGUGAGGUUUACAGAUCUUCAUGGGGUUGUAUGAUCACCCCCACUUACGGGAUGCGCACCGAGGCGAUGACGUGCUCAUUAUUUUUACGAGGAUUUCUCGGUGGAGCCUCUCGGGAGUCAUCCAGUUAAGCCCGCACUUCUUGGCACUUAGAUUUCAUCAUGCUUCUCCAUCCGAGAAAUACCUCUUGGAUUUGUGGGUUUGAUUCUGUUAUGGACAUGGAUGACUAGGACCGUGCAUUUGAUGACAGAUGAUUUGAUGUCAUCUGAUUUUUCGACCCGUCACACAUUUGAUGCCAUACUGGGGCAUAUUUCCCUUUCGAUUGAGAUUUGUACAUCCCCACCGAUUCGCAUGAUCAUCCCUAGUUAUGAGAUACGCGCUAGGUUGAUGAUUCGAUUUCAUUUUGUCAUGACACUCUGGGGAGCCUUUCUUGAGUCAUUCAGUCAGGCUCAUACUUUUUGAUAUUGUUGUGAUUCUUAGACAGAGUUAUCUCAGACGCAUGGAUUCCCACAUCACCAUUUCAGUGGAGUACAUGUUAGAUCUCUUGCGCAUCCCCAUUGAGUUAUUUGCGAGUCAUCAGGGCAGACCUGGUACAUCUGAUGCCAUACUAGGGCAUAUUUCCCUCAUUCAGCUGUAGAGAUGAUGGUUUUCUCAUAGAUCUGAUGCAGCCGCCUUCAUCGCUCCACCGAGAAAUAUUUUAUUUGCUUUAUUGGCCACUAUUCCCGUGAUUUUCGUCGAGAUAAGCCUUCAGUAGAGCACAACAUUCAGGUUUUGACUGUCUCGCUAUCCAUGAUUCUUUAGUAGAUUGUUGUGAUGAGAUCAUGGUGGUUACCCCAACAAACUAUUCUCUUGAGACUCCCUAGUGGAUCAUUCGUUUCAGAUGACGAUGGACUCCUACAGUAGAGUAUUUCGAGUUAGAGUCAUCUAACUCGUCAAGCAUCGCGGUCCAAUCAGAUGGGUUGUGAGACUAUGUUCACAGUCGAUUUAAUCAUUCUAACUCGCUAGUAGAGCAUAUUUCGAGACUCAUGGAGUCUUUUUCAGACCUUUCUAGUGGAUUGAGAGUUAUGACGACAUGCUACACUGGGGCAUAUUCCCCCUUCAUCAUUUCCUUGCAAUUCUGGCGUUCAGAGCCACCAUACAUGCUCGGUUACGACAUUCAGAGUCGCCCUUUUUUAGCUUGGCAUUCAAAGCCACCAUGUCUUCUCGUUUAUGACCUUCAGAGUCGUAUCUCUCGGCUUGACUUUCAUAGCUACUGUUUCAGUUUGGUGCUUAGAGCCACCAUGUCCUCUCAACCAUGACGUUCAGAGCCUUUCUCAGAUUGGCAUUCCUAGUUAUCAGUUUAGUUUGGUGUUCAGAGCCGUUGUUUCUGCUUGGGAUUCAUAACUAUUAUCUUCGGUUUGGUGUUCAGAGCCACUUUCACAUUUCGACGUUCAUAGCUGUUGUUUUAGUUUGGCAUUCAGAGCCAUGGUUUAGGUUGACAUUUAGAGUUGUCAUCGUCUUUCCAUUCGGUGUUCUGAGCCACAUUUUUUGUUUCGGCGUUCAGAGUCAUUCUUCAUUUUCAUUUUGGCGUUCAGAGCCAUUGUUCAUUUUUCUUUUGCCAUUCAAAGCCACAUUUUCGUUUCGGUGUUCAGAGCGAUCGUUCAUCUUCCGUUUGGCAUUCAGAGUCAUUGUUCGUUUUCCGUUUGGCGUUCAAAGCCGUAGUUCAUCCUCAGUUUGGUGUUUAGAGUCGUUGAUCAUUUUUGUUAGGCGUUCAGAUUCAUGUCGUCAUCUUGGUGUUCAGAGCCGCAUUGUCAUCUUGGCAUUUAGAGUCGUAUCUUCAGUUUGGCAUUUAGAGUCGUAUCUUCAGUUUGGCAUUCAGAGUUGUUGUUUAUCUUUAGUUCGAUAUCUAGAGCCAUUUUCAGAUUGGUGUUCAGAGUCGUUAUUCCCUUUAGUUCGAUAUUCAGAGCUACACCUUCAAUUCAAUGUCUAGAGUCACAUUUUUUUCGUUUGGUGUUAAGAGUUGUUGUUCACUUCAUUUUGGCAUUCAGAGCCACAUCUUCAUUUUGGUGUUCAGAGUCGCAUUUUUAGUUUGGUGUUCAGAGUCGUUGUUCAUCUUCAUUUUGGCGUUUAGAGCCGCAUUCUCAUCUUGGGAUUCAGACCCACAUCUUCUUUCGGUUUGGCGUUCAGAGCCGCAUUUCCAUUUCGAUGUUUAGAGCUACCAUCAUUCUCAGUUUCGGCAUUCAGAGCCACUGUCUCUUCUCAAUUCGCCGUUCAGAGCCAGAUCUCCAGUUUCAGCGUUUAGAGCCACUAUCCCUUCUUAUUUUGGCAUUCAGAGCCACCAUUUCUGCCCAAUUUCAGCGUUUAGAGCCACCAUCCCUUCUUAUUUUGGCGUUCAAAGCCACCAUUUCUACCCAGUUUGGCGUUCAGAGUCACCAUCCCUUCUCAGUUUGGCUUUCAGAGCCACCGUCUCUUUUCAAUUUGGCGUUCAGAGUCACAUCUUCAUUUGGCACUCAGAGCCAUUACUUGUCUUCUAGUUUGGUGCUCAGAGCCACAUCAUUCAUUUCAGCAUUCAGAGUCACAUCUUUAGUUUGAUGUACAAAGUCGAUGUCUUCUAGUUUGGCGUUCGGAGCCACAUUCUCAGUUUGACACUCUAAGUCCUCAUGUCUAUCUUUCAUUCAAUCCAUCACCACUUCCCUCUAUUCUGGCAUUCAAAGCCAUUAGGCACACUCUUUCGGGCCUUUUUGAGUCAUUUCUUUUUUUUAAUUUUGGUGUGCAGAGCCGUUUUUUAUACCCAUUCAUGCAUCUUGAGUAAUUUCUUUUCUUAGUUUUGGCAUUUAGAGCCAUUGUUUUGUUUAGCAUUCGACGCCACCAUCUUUCUUCAGUUUGGUGUUCAGAGCCAUUGUACAUAUCCGUUCAGGCACCUUGAGUCACCAUCUUUCUGUGUUUUUGAUGUUUAGAUUUCCCCUCAACUGUCCAUGGCAUUCAUAUUCACUGGCAUUACACAUCUUGCCUUCAUAGGUUUGCAUUUAUCCUUAUUUUUCUCACCUUGUUACCCUGUGCUUAUCGUUCAUUCGUCAUUGCUUUUCUAGAUUUCCCUUUUCACUGCCCAUGACAAAGUCCUUUGAGUUCACGACACAUACUUCAGUCAUGUUGUUGGGCACCCUGCACUUAGCAUUCUCAUGUGGUUCACAUAUGAUAGUCUCAUUUAGGCACAUUCGUUCUUACACUCCAAAGUGGUUCGACCAUUACUCAUCUGUGAUAUGGUUUUCCAAGUCACUUUUGGAGACGUCUUAGAGGGAGUCUAGAUCCUUAGUGUGGCUUCAGAGGCACUUUGAGAUAUCAUUUUCUUUUAGGAUUAGAGCAUUUGUGUUCAUUCCUUGGUUUGGGCGAGUUCGUGUUCUACUUGUGCACCUUUAGGGGUCUUUCUUUUUCUUUGGUAGAGUUUACUCCAUUCCACUCACUAUUCACACUUUCUUUUCACUCUAGUGUUCAUAUUUCUUACGCUCGUGAACUCUACCGAAGAGGGGCAUAUUUGUAGAACCCUUUUGCGGACGACCCGGGAAUUGAAAUAUUUUCAUUUUUGGAAGUGAGGGGACCUCUUUCUAGAGGGGGCGAGCCACAUGGGACAUGUGGCAAAGACGACAUGGUGGUAGCAGGGAGCAGGUGAAGACUUGUGGGAAAAGAAAAACAGAGGGAAGUGUCUUCAUGUUUUUAGGGGGGUGAGCUAGCGGUUGUGGAGGUGGGGGUGUCUGGAAACAGAGAGAAGAAAGAAGAAAGGAUAUGAGGUUUUUCUGGCAUUUAAGAGGAUUCCGAAAAUUUUUUGGGGCUUGGCUGGAGGAGUAAUCUUGCCUGGAGGAAAAUUUGAGGAGCUUGAGAAGAAACUAGUGAGGGUGGAUAGCUUAGGGAUAGAGGAUUUCCUGGAUGGAACAUAAAAUAAAGCUCAGAGUCAGGCGAGCUUUCCUUUGAAAAGUGGCCCUUGAGGUGAGAUCAGUUUUUACUGAAUUUGACGACUUUUACAGUGUAAUUCAUCCCGAUAUUUUAUUUCGAUUCUCUGCAUCGAUUGCCUUGCCGUGGAAUUUUACAUUCGUAGCCCCUUUUGUGCACUCAAUUUCCUAUAUUUUAUUCCCUCUGAUGCUUUCUUUAUAUGUUUCUUCAACUGUAUGCGUUUUUGCCUGAAGAUUUGAUUGUGCUAGUGAAAUUUGUUGCUCAUCUGUGUCUCUAAAGUGUUGGGUACCUUAAUUGAGGCAUUUUUACAGUGAAAACCUCAAAAGGGAGAUUUUGGGGAAUAAGCGUUUGUGUAUUUUUUUUUUUUUUCUUCCUAUGGAGAAGAAAGAGUGAAGAAUUUGUGAAAUGGCAAACCGUUAUUGGUCUGUUUCUAUUGAGCGGCAUUUCGGCUAUGUGGUUCUCAUCCCAUUUAUGCAGCAUUGAGUUUGAAUGCCCAGAAAGAUCUCUUUGAUCAGUGUGGGGAAAAUAGGAAAAGGGUUAGAUGGCCCUUAAUUGGUCAUUACUCCUCUUUCUACUCUCUCAAACUGGGCAAAUGAAAUAGCAAGGUUUGUGCCCUCAAUAAUUGCAAUCAUCUAAGAUGGCAAUAGGAAAGAAAGAGAUCAAAUACGAAUGACGUAUAUGCCAGGAAAAAUCAGCCCCAAAUUUCCUAUAAUUCUGACUUCUUAUGAGGUUGCAUUAAAUGAUGCUAGAAAGUAUCUAAGGAAAUAUCUUGUAGUUGAUGGUGGGGCCACAGAUGUAAAUUCAUGAUGUGCACCUUGCAACACUUUGUUUUAUUUUUCUUUGGGCUACCAGGAUGUUCAAACAUCAUUUGAAAACCUUAAGUGUGGUCACUUUGGCACAUGGCCCCGGUAAGUUUUUGACUUUUUAUUUAUUUUCUUAUGAUUUUAACAGUUUUCCUUACUCCAAUUUUCCAAAAUUCCUUUCAUGAUUCCACUUCUCAAAUAAUUUUUAAAGCUUUCAUUUUAGAAUAGUCUUCUAGAAUUCCCAUUUUCAUAUUUAUUUAUUUAAUCAUUAUUCUUUUUUUAUUAUUAUUAUUUUAUUUAUUCACUUUUAAAAUUCUAUCUUUAAGUAAUUCUUAAAAUUCUGAUUUCCGAAUUUAAUUUCCAAUCAUUAAAGUUCAAUUCUUCAAAAGUCUAACUUCCAAAUUUAAUUUUCAAUCUCAAAAAUUCCACUAUUCAUGUUCAUUCGUUUAAAUAUUAUUUUCGUUAUUAUUAUUAUUAUUAUUCCAUAUUUAUUUAUUUAGUUAUUUAAAAAAAAUUCAAUCAUUAAAAUUCAAUUCUUCAAAAAUCUGAUUUCCAAAUUUAACUUUCAAUCUCAAAAAUUCCACUAUUCACGUUUAUUUGUUUAAAUAUUAUUUUUGUUAUUAUUAUUAUUAUUAUUCCAUAUUUAUUUUAAAAAUUCCAACCAUUAAAGUUCAAUUCUUUAAAAAUCUAACUUCCAAAUUUAAUUUUUAAUCUAAAAAAUUCCACUAUUCACGUUCAUUCGUUUAAAUAUUAUUUUUGUUAUUAUUAUCAUUAUUUCAUUUAUUUAUUUGUUUAUUUCCUUUAAAAAUUCUAAUCAUUAAAGUUCAAUUUUUCAAAAUUCCGUUUUCCAAAUUUCAUUUUCAAUCUUAAAAAUUUUACUAUUCAUGUUCAUUCGUUUAAGUAUUAUUUUCGAUAUUAUUAUUAUUAUUCUAUUAAUUUACUUAUUUAUUUCUUUUUUAAAAAAAAUAUCCGUCUUUAAACAAUUCUUCAAAAAUCUUACUUACAAAUCUAAUUUCCAAUCUCAAAAAUUCCACUAUUCACAUUCAUUUGUUUAAUGAUUAUUUUCGUUAUUAUUAUUAUUCCAUUCAUUUACUUAUUCACUUAUUCAUAUAUUUAAAAUCUCAUCUCUAAAUAAUCAUUCGAAUUUCCAAUCUCUAAAUUCAAUUUUCAGUUUCUAAAAUUCUAACUUUCGCAAUUAUUUAUCCAAUCGUUAUUAUUUUCGUUAUUCUAUUCAUUUAUUUAUUCAUUUGUUCGUUUAUUUAAAAUUUCAUCUCUAAAUAAUUCUUUAAAUUUCCAAUCCCUAAGUUCAAUUUCCAAAUUUCAAAAUUCUAACUUUCACAAUUAUUUAUCCAAUCAUUAUUAUUUCGUCAUUAUUAUUAUUCCAUUCAUUGAUUUAUUCACUUAUUCAUCUAUUUAAAAUUUCGUCUUUAAAUAAGUUUUCAAAAUUCUGAUUUCCAAAUUUAGUACUCUAAAAUUCCAAUGUUCCCAUCACUGAACUUAAUUUUCAAUUUCCAAUAUUUCAAUUCUUGCAUUUAUUCAGCUACUCAUUUAUUAUUAUCAUUAUCAUUUUAUUCAUUCAUUUCUAAAAAUUCCGCCUUCGAAUGAUUUCCAAGAUUUCCAAUUUUUAUAAUUCAAUUUUUGUAGUUUCUACUUCUCAAAUAAUUUUCAAUUCUGAUUUCUUUUAAAAUUUAAUUUUUUUAAAAUCCCAAACUCUCAAAUAAUUUUCAAAAUUCCAAUUUCUUUCAAAUUUAAUUUCUAAAAUUCUCAUUCUUACAUUUAAUUUCUAAAAAUCCAAUUUUCAAAUAAUCUCUAAAACUUCAAUUUUCAAAUAAUCUCUAAGACUCCAAUUUUCAAAUAAAUUUCAAAAAUCCAAUUUUCCCUCGAACAGUUUUAAUUUCUGUUUAGUGAUGCAUCUGAUAUGUUUUGUGCUCUUUAUCGUACACUGACCCCAUUUUUAUGAUAGUGCAUUGCUCGUUCGUAGCCCAGGUACGCAUCCAUUCCCAUUCUGGUCAUUCUCUAUGCAUGUUUUGAUUUCCAUAUGUGCAUGAUCGAUUUGAGUAUUCAUUGAUUUUCCUAUUGAUUGUCAUGUUAGCUUCAUUUUAGUAGUAGAGGCCCGACUUUAGGAACUUAAAGGGGUGCUACAGUCUUUACCGUACCUUCUCGAUAAGUAACCUGACCCUCGAGUCCAAUCCGGUUUUUCACAGAUCACCUUUUCCAAAAUAAGGAGUCAUACUUAGGGUUUUCUUUCUUAUUUUGUUUACCCUUUUAAAAAUAAAACAAAAAUAAGUGGCGACUCCAAGUCAUUUUUUUUAAUAAAUAAAAUCAUUUUCAAAUAAAAAUCGAACUCGUCAUCAAGUGGAAAACACAUUAGCCGAAAUGCGAGGUCCAUAGUUUCCCAUCAUGUUUCUAUUUUGUUGGAAUUUGAAUAAGUACAUAAUAAUUUUGUUUUAUUUUAUGGAUGAUAACUUCAUUUAACAUGUUAGUAUUCAUCAUCUUUCAUUUUGCCAUCCAUUUUUAGAGACUUUAAAUGCUUUCUUUAGAUACCCAUUUUUCAAUUUCAGUGAAUAAAUUGGGUAUAAGAGAUUUGCUAACUUCACUCAACAACUUCUAUUUAAGAUUUAGAAACUUGUGAACCUCAUGUUUUCCCCUUUGAAAACAUUGAAAUUUUGAUAUGGAAAGUUAAAAUAUCACAUAAACAAUCAAUUUUAAUUAUUUAAAUUCACUUCUCAAAAUUAAAAUUAAAAAUCCCUCUUGUAUGAUCUAAAUUAUCUUAGAUUUCAACUUUUUAAUUCACUUAAAGUAUUGAAUAAGUUAAAAAAAAUAAAAUAUUAUUAAUUAUGAUUAUAUAUAUAUAUAUAUAUAUAUAUAUAUUUGUUUUUGUUUAACUAUUAAUAAUUAUAAAAAUAGAGAGAUAACUAAAAUGACAUGACAUAAGUGAUAUAAAAAUAGAUAACAACUACAAUGAUACAAGUGAGAUUAAAAUUGGGAAUUCACUCAAGUUGGAGAAUUAUUUAUUCUAAUAAAAAUACUAAGAAAAUACGUUAAUUAUUGUAGCAAAUUCUUUUUUUCUUCCACUCUAUUUGGGCAUCUAUUAUAUUGAAAAAAGAAAUAAAAGAAACCUCAUACAUAUUUAAAAUAAUUUAUUUGAGAAGAUUCUAUCAUUAAAAAUUCCACAAAAGUUCCAAAAAAAAAAAAAAGAUGCCAGAAAUAGUAUGUAUAGAGAAAAGAGUACAAAAGACAAAUAUAUAUAUAUAUAUAUAUAUAUAUAUAUAUAUAUAUAUUAAUUUAAAUUUAAAGAGAAAAGGUAAGAGUAAUAAGUCAGCAUUGAAAAAAAGAAAGUUUACUUUAAUAAAAUUAUAAUCUCAUAAAUUAAAAACUUCAAAAGUAUCCAAUCAAAUCCUUUAAAAUUCUUUCCUUCUAAAAAUUCCCUCUAUUCCAAAUCCAUUAUUUCCUUUUUCAUUUAAAUCCCUUCAUUCCAGAGUGUAAAAAGAAAUAAUAACAAUCUUCCUAAUAAGUUAUUAAUAUAUAAAAUAAAAAAUAAAAAAUAACACUUUUUUAAUAAUUUAGGAUAUAUUAAUUUUUUUUCUUCAAGAAAGAUGUAAUUUUUUCUUUUAUCUAAAUAUAUUACAUUUAGAAAUAAUUGCUCUUCUAAUAUCGAAAAUUAAGAAAUAUUAGAAGAUCGAGUAAUUUUUUAAUAAAUUAUAAAAAGAUCCAAUAAAAAAAAAAAUUAUUCCUUUAUUCAGGCAUAUUAAAAAAAGACAAUAUUCUAAAAAUAGGUAAUAGAAAAAAUAUCACAAUUAAAAGGUUUAUUUCUUUUAGUUAUAUUAAAAAAAGAAACAAGGUUAUUUCAAAGAUAGAAAAAAAAAAAUACAUUAGAAAUAUUAUCAGUUUUUUAGUUUUAUUUUCAUAUUCAUCUUGGGGUUUUGUGAAUAAUUAUUAAACUGUUAAUUAUUUAUUUGGUGGUAUUAUAAUCUGAGAUGGUGAGAUUAGGGGAGUAAAGCACAGGUCACUUCUGAUGAAAUAUAUCUUUUCUCUUCCAACUAAGGCCCAAAUAAAUAAUGGGCUUGGGGCAAAGCCCUAAUACUCAACUGAAUGGACUGGGCUUGGUUAUCUAAGAAUUUGUUGCUAGUGCCAUCAUCUUUAUUUGUGGGUAUCUAAGAAUUUCAUUUAACCAUGAAGAUAUUUCUUUACAACAAGGGAUUGGAAGAGUUUUUUAAAAGCAAGCCUCUGGUAGUUUUUUCUAAAAUUAUAUACCUUCCAACUAGUUUUGUAUUGUGCUAUUUUUAAUUCCACUUUCAAUAUAAUGCUUCUUAUCAAUUUUUUUUUUCAAAAAAAAAAAAAAAAUUAUGGUAGGAAUCGUUUAACAUUGAAUACAUAUUCAACAAAACUUCAAUUAGGUGAAUAUGAAAAAUUAUAAAUUGAAUGGGGCCUAGAUAUUGUCGAACCCUUGUGAAAAUACAAUAGGAAGGUAAUACUAUUGUAAUCCUCUCCUUUUUAUAGGUCGGAUCAUACUCAUACAAACAUAAAUUAAAUUUGGAUUGGACUUUCCAAAAUAUAAUUUUUCAUCAUUANNNNNNNNNNNNNNNNNNNNNNNNNNNNNNNNNNNNNNNNNNNNNNNNNNNNNNNNNNNNNNNNNNNNNNNNNNNNNNNNNNNNNNNNNNNNNNNNNNNNUAAUCAUUAAUAAAGUGGAAAGAAAUUUUAUUUUUUUAAAAUAUCAAGAUGAGAAAGAGAAAAUUAAAGUCAUGGAAUUACUUUUAGAGCUAAUCCAAUUGAUGGAAAUUUGAGAAAACCUCCUAACAGGCAAAGUAAUCAACCCUAAACAUAAAAAUAAAGCAUUAAGGGCAUGAGGACUUAAACUUCACUCAGGCUACUAUCUAGAUUUUUGUCCCUUGUGAUGUGAUCACCAAGACAAAUUGCUUCCAAGUCUUCUACUCUAAGUCAUCCACUGGCCCACAUCUUUUAUGGAUAAGGCUAGACUUUUACACUUACAAGUCAUGUGCAUACACUUCUAUAUAUAUAUAUAUAUAUAUAUUUCACUUUUCCUUCAAAUAAUCUUUAACAAAACUUUUAUCAUAUUUAUUUUUUCAAGUAUUCUAUCAUGCCCAUUUAUAGUAUACAGUUGAGACAAUGAUUGAAUCACUAUUUUUAAUUAUUUCCUACGAAAUGUUACCUGAAACCCAUCUAAAGUAUUGAAAUUUGUUGGGUGUGGAUCAAUAGUGGGUUGACAUGUGUUUGAUUUUUUAAAUUUUGUAUUUAUUUUUACUAUCUUUAUUGGAUUAGAUAGCUCUUAAGGAUUUUGAAACAUAAGAUGUUGAUUGAAUGAUAAGAAAGUAAUUUUUUUCUUCCACGACUCUGUAUCCCAUAUUUAAUAAAUAUUUGUGUGGUCUAGAUCUAACAAAAUAAUUGAAGUUCCGUGUUAUAAAAGGAAUAAAUAAAUAAAAAGACAAGGACUUGUUGAUAUUCUCGAGGUCUUGAUGUUUGAUUGAUGCAGACUGGAAAGAGAGAAAUAGAAGAACCUUCAAGAUUGUCGAUAAAUUAAAGCUCUUGGUGAAAAAUAUAAUUCUUUACUCGUUGCCACCAUCAAAUAUGCUUAUGAUGUGAUUGGUUUUUAUUUUGUAAAAAAUUACGAUACAUGGCAUUGAAUAAUACUAUGCACAAAAUAUUUUUCUAGCACAAAUACGUAUUUUUGUAUGCAUAAGAUACUAUUUAAGUAUAAUAUAAUUAUUAUUAUUAUUUAAAUAAUUUGCCUAAAUAUAAUAUAUCAUUUGUAGAUAAAGAAUUGAAAUAUCAAGAAAAAGUGAUCCUAAUUUAGGGUUAUAUAAAUUACUCUUUCAUUAAAUGUCUUGAUAAAGAUUGAAUAUUGUUAGGAUUAGGACACCCAACAAAUAUUGGUUCAUACAAGCCCCAAAUCAAUGCCAUUAGUUGGCCUUUGAAAGAUCCAAACAACACUUAUAAUUUUUUAAUUAUAUUUUUAUUUAUCUAUAGGUCAAAUACUUGCUACACAAGUGAUUUCAAAUAUAAUAUUAGUAUGGAAUGGUUUAUAUUAGAAAGUUUACAAUAAAUUUAUUUAAGAAAAUAUAUCUAAAGAAAAAUUAUAAAUAUACAUGAUAAAUGUUAAGAUUCCUACAUCGAUACAAGUACAAAACAAACAAUUCAACAACAAAACUUUCUCCCUUUGAAAGUGAAGAUUAUUUUUACUUGGAAACAACAUUUAUAUACAAUGAAGUUUUUCAACCUUAAGUUUUUGUCUCUCAAUCUAAUCCACUAGACACGUUUGUGCUUUAAAAGUUAGAACUACUUUAUAGGGAAGACCAAGACUUCUAGCUAUUGAUAUAGAGUUUUCUUUAAAAGAUAAUACUAAGACUACAUAAUUCUUACUUGUAGAUUUGUACACAAAUCAAUCACAUGAAAAGGUAGAAUCCACAUUGUUAACCAAACUUUCAUAAACUUUAUAUGAAAAUAAUUAUUUUGAAAAUAAUUUUGGAUACAUAAAACAAAAUAAUUUAUAAGUGCUAAAAUAAUAAUUAUAUUCUUGCAUUAAUCCAUGAAGUGAGAUUGAGUCACCUUGUAAAUUGUAUUGUAAAGGUCUUCAACUCACUACUGUCAUAUAGUGGAUGGGUCAUUUGUGUGGUGUAUGUUGUUAAAAAUAAACAAUAAGAAAAAAAAAGAUAUAAGAAUGAGAGUGUGGCUUGAGACCUCAAUUUAUAAUAAGUUGUACAUCUCUUAGUCUUCCCAUUAAAGACUAUGUGGGAGUUAUACUCAUUAUUUACACUUAUUAUGUAUAAAUUAAUGGGUAAUGGUGGGUUAUGAACUUGAAUACAUCUAUAUAAUUGCAUAGGUUAUACAUUUUCAUUUUCCUCCAUUACUCAUAAACAUAAUGUACAAAUAAAUUUCAUAAUGAUGGGGUUACAAAAGUUGUAACACCACAUUCAUAUGAGUUAAAUUUUAUAACUUUCCAUUUGUAAUUUGAGUCUUCCAUACAUAAGACUUUUGGAUGCCCAAUCAAUUGAUUCACCUACCUAUCAAUUGAUACCCUUAAAUAAUAUUCAUAUAAAUAUAAUUAUAUAUGACCACACAUUAUAGGAAAAAAGCUAACACACACAACUUUGUGGAUGGAAAUCAAGAUUUUCGGCUCCUUUCUUUUUCUUUCUUUUUAGUGUCUAAGGUUUAAGUUUGUGUUUUAGAUACAUAACUUAAAACACAAAAUAAAUGACCAACCAAACUAUGAUUAUCUAGAUAGUAUUUUAAAAAAUAUAUAAAUUUAUAAUUUAAUCAAUUUGAUCUCAAUUAUGUAUAGGCACUUUGAAUCACAUUCAUCUUUGUCAUCCAGAUAAAAAAAAAAAAAAAAUUCAAAUCCAUAAUUAUGCAUCCUAAUCUCUUUUUAAACAUGAGGGAUUUAUAACCCCCACUACUUGAUGGACCCUUUCCUAAAGGUGAUUCAAUGCCACUUUGUUUGAUCUUCACAAUCUUUAUCACAUUCUUUGAUCUUUUGCAUUCUUUGAAUAAUUCAAUAUUAUUGAGGGGUCAUUCUCAUUAAAUGAGAAUAUUGAAAAAUCUAACCCUUUUGGAAGGGUAUGAAGAAGGUUUCAUAUCAGGGGACCCAUGUCUUACUUUUCCACCCAAAGCAUCGUAAUGCAUUCUAACUUUUUUUUGGCAGGAAAAGUAUUUGUAAUGUCAAUCUCUAACCGUGGCCAUAAAAGGGUGAGAUUUAGAGCCACACAAGUCAUAUCAUAUUCUGCAGAUUGUAGCCUCACAAGUCAAGUCCACAGGAUAUAUAUCAUCUAUAUAUUCUGCAGAUUCUGUCAUAUUUUUUUCUUUCGUGGACAGCCCAGUCACCAAUGAGUAUCACACUUUCAUAUCAUAUUUCUUUUUAAGAAUCCAAACAUUUUAAAACGGGUUAUGGGUGAUCCAGCAAAAAUUUACUAUGGUGGCAUUUUUUUUUUUUUUUUUUAAUUUGAAGUUUGAAAUCUAAAUAGAAAAUGAUGGAAAACUGUUAUUUAGACUUGAAAUUUCAUUAAAAAAAAUUAUUUGAACAAAAUAUCUAAAAAAAAAUUAACUUAAAAAGGAAAUGGUUUUGUCAUUAACUUUAAUAAUAUUUAAUUUUAUAUAACUAAUGGUAAUUGGAUCAUGGAUCCCACCAAUCAAAUAAUUUUUUGGAUUCAUUCAUUGUGCUAUUUGAUUAUAAAAAUCAAAUAUUUAAUUUUUUUUAUAUAUAUACUUUUUAUUGUAAUUUUGUAUUACUUUUACAAGGUUGAGUUUUUUUUUUUAGAAACUUUUCAAAAAAUACAAGAGAAAAAAAUAAAAAGAAAAAUAAAAUAUAAAAAAAGUAUAUAAAAGUAAAAAAAAAAAAGAUUUAAAACUAAUAAAUUAUUUUUAAUUGAUUUCUCAAACUCAUUUUAUGUAUUUUCUUUAUUUAUAUAAAAUUAAAUAAUUUAAAAAUAUACAAUUAUUUUAAUUAUUUUGAUUUGAUUUUUCUAUUAUAAAUCAAAUACAUAAAAUAAUUUUUCUUAGUUUCUAUAUAUCUUCCAUGUGUUUGUUCUUUUUUAGAAAUAUCCCAUAAAAUAUGGACCUUUUCUAAUCAACCAAACACCCAGGAGGAACAAAAAGGAAAAGAAUGAGAGAGAGAGAACUUAGAGAAAAAUAAAAUGAAAAAACCGCUAAAGAUAGUAUACAUUUUAUAUAAAGUUGGAAUAUAAAUCAAUGGAGCCACACCCCUUCAACAACCCUAAUCAUGUUGUAUCCAUAAUAAUAAUUCACAUUUUUUUAUUUUUUUUUCAUAUCAGUACACAUUUGACCUGAUCAUGAGCAAUAAUAAAUGUCCACAUUUUAAUAGAUUUGAAAUCUUCACCCAUUAAUUUAAGUUCUUCAUCUAAUGAAUAAUAAAUGUCCAUAUUUUUCUACGAGGCCACAUAGGACUUUGAAUAGUUUAAAGUGAACAUGUUACCUCAUUAAUUUGGAGACUUUACAUACUCUAUAAUACUAUAAAAUGUUGGAUAGAUCACUAACCUCAUUUAAAUAAUAAAAUCUUCUAAUUCUUUUUUUUUUUUUUGUUCUGAUUUUUACAUGAUUGUGCUUUAUUUUAUAAAUUAAUUAAUAAUUAUAUUUAUUUAUCUUGGCUUCCCGUACAUAUUUUACGAAAAUAUUAUCCAUGUAUGUAAUACACAAGAUGAAUGCACCCUUACAACUAAAUUCAUCUUUUAAAUUUGAAAAAAAAAAAACUAAAAAUUAAUAUUUUUUUAAUUAACAUUUAAGUAAUAAAAAUAACAUAACCAAUUUAAUUUUUGGUUUUUCAUUUUUAAAAUAUUACUCUUAUAUUUCAUAACUUUUCAUCCUUAAUGUGCUACAAAUCUUUUUACCACUAUAAGGGUUAUGACAUGAAAAUUAUGUGUAUGGAAUAAAUAAGAAAAAGAAAAUUAAAUUGUCUUAUUAUUUUGCAAUGUAGUUUCGAUUCCCAAACUUUCCUCAAAUCUCUUUGGUUAUAUUUGAUUAUUGGAAAAUGACAAUAAAAAAUAUAAAAAAAAAUAUUAUUCUCUAAUGUUUGGUUUUCAUAUUGAAGAUAUCGGAUAUAAUUAAAAUUAGUUAAAAUUUUUGGUAUUUUUAAAUUAUUUAUUUUUUAUGUUGAAAAGUUAAAAUAAAUAAAAUGAGUUUAAAGAACCUACAAAAUAAUUUAUUAAAUUAAAAACUAUCUUUAAUUUUUAUUCAUUUUUUUCUUCACAUUUUCUAUUAAACUUACGGAGAACCAAACACAUCCUUAGUAUUUUCCUUCUUUUUUUGUUAAUGUUGUUUUCCCUUGUCUUUUUCCAUAGUAUUUAAAAAUAAUAAAUUUGUUCCCCUUUCUUUUACAUGUAAAAAUAUUUACAUAAUCACAUAGAUUAAUCAUACAUGAUUAAAGGAUACUAACAAUAGGAAAUCACUAUAAAGAACAUACCUGUUUGAGCCAUGAUAAAAAAAACGUGAUUGAUUGUUGUAACCAAGUCUUCCUCUCUAUGAUCUUGAUAAUAGCUAUGGUGGCUCUAUGGGAAAACAAAUAAACCCUUUUUAUCUAGAUUAGAGAGGGGACUUAGCAUAACUCAAAUUGGAUUCUCAUUGGGCCCUCCCAUAAUGGGCUUCAAUGAGACCCAUAGCCUACACUUGCCACUCAACUGAGCUUCUACUCAAAAGAUGCAAAACCCAAUCCAAAAUGUGAUCACUAGUUAAUUGGGCACAUUAUAGAAUAUACUAUCCAUUAACCCGUUUUUGCAAAUACAAAUUAUUCAAUUAAUGUUAGCCCAUAUAAAAAAUUUCCAACAUUCUCCCACUUGGGCUACAUUAAUUGUUUUUGAGGAUUCAUUAAAUUCAUUUUGAAAAUAAGACUCUCGGGUUAAGUACAAAAAAGUUUAUUUUGUGUGGCCACACCUUUUUUUUUUUUGAAAGAAAUGAUAGUCUAUAAGUAGCAUCUUGUUAAACUUUUCUGGUCCAACAUAGUCUUAAUAUUAGACUAUAAUGGUCUAUAUGUUAAUCUCAACAAACAUAAUGCCCCUUAUAGUCACGAAUAUUUAUAACCAUAUCGACAUGGAUCGUAAACUCAGUAGUGUAGUAAGAAAUCAAUGCCAACAUGUGAUCAUCAUCUAUAUGCAUUGUUUCUUAUCAGUCCUCAUUACAAUUUACCAACAAAAUGAAAUUGUAAUUACAAUUUCUCAACAAAAUGAAAUUGUUGCAAUUUCUAAACAAUAUGAAAUUGCUUGACUUUAACAAGUCAUAUGUCACCAACAAUGCACCACAAAAUCUCAAAAUAGUGGUAUUUGUGACAUCCAAUAGUAUACAACUGUAAUUCUUAAGGUUCAAUAUCUCAAGAUACCAUGUUGUACGUAAUUCAAUUACGACAUGCUAUAAUAUAAUACUUAAUUAUGAUGAUCAUAAUAAAAAGAUUUUAAUUUUGCAAGUUGCAGAACAAUAAUGAUCAAUGUUUGCAUAAAACAAUAAUUGAAAUAAGGGAAAUCACAAAAGCUCCCACUAAACCAAAGAAUCAAAAGACUUAAUGACACCCAUAUUCACAACAUGUUCCUUGAACGUUAUGGGCUUUAAACCUUUGAUUAGAGGAUCAGCUAGCAUGGACUCAGUUCUUAUGUGCUCAAUCACAAUAUCUCCUUUCUUCACUAAGUCCUUGACUGUAAGGUACUUGAUUUCCAUAUGCUUAGAACCCGUACUAAUCUUAUUGUUCUUAGAGUAGAACACAACUGCAUUAUUGUCACAAUAAAUCACAAUAUCCAUCAUUCCUAAAACAAACUCUAUGUCUAAUCUCCAUCUCUUAUAGUUCGACCCACUUAGAAUUUCAAUUGUAGCAUUAUUGUUGUUCACAGCAAAGGAAACUGAUUGACAAAAUUUUGCAACUAGAUCAAUUAUGGGCAAUAGGUAAAAAAAACUUAAAUAAUCAUAAGCAAUACAAUACAAGAAUCAAUUGUACUAUCAUAAACUCCCCUUUGGGCAGAGUCCACAAUAAACAACUAUUCUCUAAGCAUGAAGAUCAACAAAUAAUUCAUUAAAAUUUAUUUCCUUUGGGCAAAUAAAUUUAUCAAAUUAUUUAUCUCAUUAAAUAUCCUCAUGUUGUUAAAUUAAUUUGCACAAUAACCCCCUUUGGGCAGGCGAUUGUACAAAUUAAUCUAAAAUUUUCCCCAUCAACAAAAUAGGAACUCAUAAACUUGCAAAUUUUGAUGGUUAAAUCACUUUGGUAAAAUAACCUCAACAAUUCACAGGCAACGUUCCAAAAUUGGGUAAAUUAAAAAAAAUUGCCCAACAACAAUAGUGCAUAUUUGCGAUAUAUAUGCAUAUGAUCAAUUAUAGUUGCAAGAAUUUGAACAACAAUUUUUAUUUAUUUAUUACACUUUAAAUUAAUUAUUAACUAGUUUAUGUGAUUUAGAACAAGUAGGAGAGUAUGCAUGAAAAAGUUUCAAUCUAGAGAGAGUGAGUACUACACUCCUAUUCCAUAUAUAUUAGCAUAAUUUCUGGUAAAUUCUCAACAGAAAAUUAUACCAAAAAAUAAUUUUAAGCUAAUUAAAUCACAUAAAUAAGUAAUAAUUAUUUAAUAAAUAUUUUUGACCCCCCAAAAAUAAAAUAAUAUAUCUAGAAAAAUAUAUUACAAAAAAACGAGCGCACAGGAAAAAACGGAGCUCAAAAUGGACACUGGAUGAGGUUAUACGCACCUCACACACUUGACCUGCGAGUGGGGAACGUGUGGCACAUGUGGCAUGUGUGGCAUGUGCUGGAGGUCAUCUUCAACCUCCAGCAUUGGGUCCAAAAUUCUGCAAUACGGGUCAAAUGAGCCGGUUGCAACCUGGAUUGCAAACAAUUGAAAAAAAUGUUUCUUUUGAUCGGGAUCUUGAGGGCUUUUAAACUUUAGGUUGUUUCUAACAAUUUUAGGACAUUUAAUCAUAAAAAAAAAACAACUUAAAGAUCUCCAUAAUUGAUUAACAAAAUUCGGUUUUUCUUACCUCCAUAGCUAAGAUUCAAAAACUCUAUUUUAACACCUAUUUCGGUCUCAUUUUACAUGUAUUUUUACAUUAACAAUAUAAGAAGUCUCUUUACAACAAUUAAUUAAACAAAAAAAAAAAAAAUUCUCAAUCUUGCUCAAUUUUUUUUUUUUUUUUAAAAAAAACGAAUUUUCUAGGGUUCAUACCCAUAUUUUCAAAUUUUCAAUUUUCACCAAAUUGAGCCAAAAAACCGAAAUUAAUGCUACAUAUCAACUAUAAUAUAUGUAAACAACAAAAUCUAAGAGUUUAAUUUGAGUAUAACACAAUAAUUUGAUCAAAUAAAAUUUUUCUUGAAUCUUUAAACAAGAAAAUUCCGAAAAUUUAAAAAUUUAGUUACUCCCAAUUUAAACAACGAAAUUGCACAUAUGAUAUAUCAAUUUGAAGUUUGUGACAAGAGGAACAAAAACCCUAAAGUUUCACAAUCAAAAGAAACUAAAAAAAAAACAUGCACAUUCAUGGAUCACAUAUUUGGCUUCGAAAAGAAAAUAAAAUAAGAAACUAAAAAUUUUAUUUUCGAUUUCCAAAUGUAGAUCCUAAAUCAUGUAAAUCAGACUCUGAUACCACAUGUAAAAUAUUUACAUAAUCACAUAGAUUAAUCAUACAUGAUUAAAGGAUACUAACAAUAGGAAAUCACUAUAAAGAACAUACCUGUUUGAGCAAUGAUAAAAAAAUGUGAUUGAUUGUUGUAGCCAAGUCUUCCUCUCUAUGAUCUUGAUAACAGCUAUGGUGGCUCUAUGGAAAAACAGAUAAACCCUUUUAUCUAGAUUAGAGAGGGGACUUAGCAUAACUCAAAUUGGAUUCUCAUUGGGUCCUCCCAUAAUGGGCUUCAAUGAGACCCAUAGCCUACACUUGCCACUCAACUGAGCUUCUACUCAAAAGAUGCAAAACCCAAUCCAAAAUGUGAUCACUAGUUAAUUGGGCUCAUUAUAGAAUAGACUAUCCAUUAACCCGUUUUUGCAAAUACAAAUUAUUCAAUUAAUGUUAGCCCAUAUAAAAAUUUUCCAACAUUACCAUGUAAAAUAUUUACAUAAUCACAUAGAUUAAUCAUACAUGAUUAAAGGAUACUAACAAUAGGAAAUCACUAUAAAGAAAAUACCUAUUUGAGUCAUGAUAAAAAAAACGUGAUUGAUUGUUGUAGCCAAGUCUUCCUCUCUAUGAUCUUGAUAAUAGCUAUGGUGGCUCAAUGGGAAAACAGAUAAACCCUUUUUAUCUAGAUUAGAGAGGGGACUUAGCAUAACUCAAAUUGGAUUCUCAUUGGGCCCUCCCAUAAUGGGCUUCAAUGAGACCCAUAGCCUACACUUGCCAUUCAACUGAGCUUCUACUCAAAAGAUGCAAAACCCAAUCUAAAAUGUGAUCACUAAUUAAUUGGGCUCAUUAUAGAAUAGACUAUCCAUUAACCCGUUUUUGCAAAUACAAAUUAUUCAAUUAAUGUUAGCCCAUAUAAAAAUUUUCCAACAUUCUCCCACUUGGGCUACAUUAAUUGUUUUUGAGGAUUCAUUAAAUUCAUUUUGAAAAUAAGACUCUCGGGUUAAAUAUAGAAAAGUUUAUUUUGUGUGGCCACACCUUUUUGUUUUUUUUGAAAGAAAUGAUAGUCUAUAAAUAGCAUCUUGUUAAACUUAUCCGGUCCAACAUGUUCUUAAUAUUGGACUAUAAUGGUCUAUAUGUUAAUCUCAACAAACAUAAUGCCCCUUAUAGUCACGAAUAUUUAUAACCAUAUCGACAUGGAUCGCAAACCCAGUAGUGUAGUAAGAAAUCAAUGCCAACAUGUGAUCAUCAUCUAUAUGCAUUGUUUCUUAUCAGUCCUCAUUACAAUUUACCAGCAAAAUGAAAUUGUAAUUGCAAUUUCUCAACAAAAUGAAAUUGCUGCAAUUUCUAAACAAUAUGAAAUUGCUUGACUUUAACAAGUCAUAUGUCACCAACAAUGCACCACAAAAUCUCAAAAUAGUGGUAUUUGUGACAUCCAAUAGUAUACAACUGUAAUUCUUAAGGUUCAAUAUCUCAAGAUACCAUAUUGUAUGUAAUUCAAUUACGACAUACUAUAAUAUAAUACAUAAUUAUGAUGAUCAUAAUAAAAAGAUUUUAAUUUUGCAAGUUGCAGAACAAUAAUGAUCAAUGUUUGCAUAAAACAAUAAUUGAAAUAAGGGAAAUCACAAAAGCUCCCACUAAACCAAAGAAUCAAAAGACUUAAUGACACCCAUAUUCACAACAUGUUCCUUGAACGUUAUGGGCUUUAAACCUUUGGUUAGAGGAUCAGCUAGCAUGGACUCAGUUCUUAUGUGCUCAAUCACAAUAUCUCCUUUCUUCACUAAGUCCUUGACUGUAAGGUACUUGAUUUCCAUAUGCUUAGAACCCGUACUAAUCUUAUUGUUCUUAGAGUAGAACACAACUGCAUUAUUGUCACAAUAAAUCACAAUAUCCAUCAUUCCUAAAACAAACUCUAUGUCUGAUCUCCAUCUCUUAUAGUUCGACCCACUUAGAAUUUCAAUUGUAGCAUUAUUGUUCACAACAAAGGAAACUGAUUGACAAAAUUUUUCAACUAGAUCAAUUAUGGGCAAUAGGUAAAAAAAACUUAAAUAAGCAUAAGCAAUACAAUACAAGAAUCAAUUGUACUAUCAUAAACUCCCCUUUGGGCAAAGUCCACAAUAAACAACUAUUCUUUAAGCAUGAAGAUCAACAAAUAAUUCAUUAAAAUUUAUUUCCUUUGGGCAAAUAAAUUUAUCAAAUUAUUUAUCUCAUUCAAUAUCCUCAUGUUGUUAAAUUAAUUUGCACAAUAACCCCCUUUGGGCAGGCGAUUGUACAAAUUAAUCUAAAAUUUUCCCCAUCAACAAAAUAGAAACUCAUAAACUUGCAAAUUUUGAUGGUUAAAUCACUUUGGUAAAAUAACCUCAACAAUUCACAUGCAACGUUCCAAAAUUGGGUAAAUUAAAAAAAAAAAUUGCCCAACAACAAUAGUGCAUAUUAGCGAUAUAUAUGCAUAUGAUCAAUUAUAGUUGCAAGAAUUUGAACAACAAUUAUUUAUUUAUUUAUUACACUUUAAAUUAAUUAUUUAACUAGUUUAUGUGAUUUAGACCAAGUAGGAGAGUAUGCAUGAAAAAGUUUCAAUCUAGAGAGAGUGAGUACUACACUCCUAUUCCAUAUAUAUUAACAUAAUUUCUGGUAAAUUCUCAAUAGAAAAUUAUACCAAAAAAAUAAUUUUAAGCUAAUCAAAUGACAUAAAUAAGUAAUAAUUAUUUAAUAAAUAUUUUAGACCCCCCAAAAAUAAAAUAAUAUAUCUAGAAAAAUAGAUUACAAAAAAACGAGCGCACAAGAAAAAACGGAGCUCAAAACGAACACCAGAUGAGGUUAUACGCACCUUACACACUUGACUCGCGAGUGGGGAACGUGUGACACAUGUGGCACGUGUGGCAUGUGUUGGAGGUCAUCUUCAACCUCCAGCAUUGGGUCCAAAAUUCUGAAAUACGGGUCAAAUGACCCGGUUGCAACUCGGAUUACAAACAAUUGAAAAAAAUGUUUUUUUUUUAUCGGGAUCUUGAGGGCUUUUAAACUUUAGGUUGUUUCUAACAAUUCUAGGACAUUUAAUCAUAAAAAAAAACAACUUAAAGAUCUCCAUAAUUGAUUAACAAAAUUUGGUUUUUCAUAUCUCCAUAGCCAAGAUUGAAAAACUCUAUUUUAACACCUAUUUCAGCCUCAUUUUACAUGUAUUUUUACAUUAACAAUAUAAGAAGUCUCUUUACAACAAUUAAUUAAAAAAAAAAAAAAUUCUCAAUCUUGCUCAAUUUUUUUUUUUAAAAAAUAAAAUAAAAUGAAUUUUCUAGGGUUCAUACCCAUAUUUUCAAAUUUUCAAUUUUCACCAAAUUGAGUCAAAAAACCGAAAUUGAUGCUACAUAUCAACUAUAAUAUAUGUAAACAACAAAAUCUAAGAGUUUAAUUUGAGUAAAACACAAUAAUUUGAUCAAAUAAAAUUUUUCUUGAAUCUUUAAACAAGAAAAUUCCGAAAAUUUAAAAAUUUAAUUACUCCCAAUUUAAACAACGAAAUUGCACAUAUGAUAUAUCAAUCUGAAGCUUGUGACAAGAGGAACAAAAACCCUAAAGUUUCACAAUCAAAAGAAACUAAAAAAAAUAGGCACAUUCAUGGAUCACAGAUUUGGCUUUGAAAAGAAAAUAAAACGAGAAACUAAAAAUUUUAUUUUUGAUUUCCAAAUGUAGAUCCUAAAUCAUGUAAAUCAGACUUUGAUACCACAUGUAAAAAUAUUUACAUAAUCACAUAGAUUACUCAUACAUGAUUAAAGAAUACUAACAAUAGGAAAUCACUAUAAAGAACAUACCUGUUUGAGCAAUGAUAAAAAAACGUGAUUGAUUGUUGUAGCCAAGUCUUCCUCUCUAUGAUCUUGAUAAUAGCUAUGGUGGCUCAAUGGGAAAACAGAUAAACCCUUUUUAUCUAGAUUAGAGAGGGGACUUAGCAUAACUCAAAUUGGAUUCUCAUUGGGCCCUCCCAUAAUGGGCUUCAAUGAGACUCAUAGCCUACACUGGCCACUCAACUGAGCUUCUACUCAAAAGAUGCAAAACCCAAUCUAAAAUGUGAUCACUAAUUAAUUGGGCUCAUUAUAGAAUAGACUAUCCAUUAACCCGUUUUUGCAAAUACAAAUUAUUCAAUUAAUGUUAGCCCAUAUAAAAAUUUAUGUUUGGUUUUUGGAAAAUUUGAGGGAAAAAAAAUAAAGAGAAAAAAUAAAAUAAAAGAAAAAAUAAAUAAAAAUAAAUAAAUUUAAAAUUAAUAAAUUAUUUUUAUAUGUUUCUUCAAAUUUAUUUCACUUAAUUUCUUUCAAAAUAAUUUUAAAAUGCAUAAGUUUUUAAUUAUAUAUAUAUAUAUUUUUUAAAUUUAUAGUGAAACCAAAGAGAAAACCUUUAUUUAUUUAUUUUCCCUAAGAACCAAACCUAACCUUUGCAUUUUUCCAAAUUUCGGAUCCAAAAGUAACUGAAUGUUACGAAAAAAAAAAAGGAGAAUUGUGUUUUGGGCCCAGAUGGGCCCAAAAAUUAAUAUUUGGUCCAUAUAACUUCCAUAAUUGAUGGAAAUGAUAUAAAAUGUUAAAAGACCAAUAUAUUUUUCAAAUUUCUAUAUAUUAUCUUUUAAGGAUAUAAAAUAGUGAUGGACUAAAAUACCCAAUGACUUUUCACAUAAGCUUUUUUUGUCUUUAUUGUGUCACUAUUCAUGCAACCAUAAUAAUUCUAUUUUAACAAUUUGGAUUUUUCAUUGUUUUUAAUUUUUUUUAUAAAUAAUUGAAAAUCAGCAUUAUUUUCUAUUUUAAAUUAUAAAUAAAGAAAAAUUAUGUUUAAAAACUAUUUUAAAAAAUACUUUCUAAAAAAAUGGUAAUACGAUUUAUAUUUUUUAUAUUUUCUUUUUGAAAAAACAUUUAAUUAAAAAAUGAAAACUAUUUUUAAAAAUAAAAAUUGAAAACCUUGUUUAACACUAUUUUUUAUAUGAAAAUAAUAAAAAGAAUUAAAUUUCAUUAAUUGAUUAUCCAAUUUUUUUUCCAUUAGUUAUUUUAAUAAUAAUAAAAAAUAUAGUAUGUUUACAAUUAAACAAAGAAAUUGAUCAAUUAUGGGUUUUUUGUGGAACUAUCUUUUACAUGAAAAAUAAUUAAAUAAUUAAAUUAUAUAUAUUUAUUACUCUUUUUAACUUUAUUUUCUUUAUUUAUUUUUUGUCUAAUAGAAAAUUUUAAUAUAUCCAUAAUUAACAAAGUAAUAAAUCAAUUUUGCACAUUUUAAUCUAUUAAAAUAAAUUACUUUCUAAUUUAAAUAAAUAAAAUGAAAUAAGUAAAUAAAUUUGAGGUUAUUUCUAUUUUUUAACAUAUCUUAUAUCAAUAUUUUUUAUGGUUAAAUAAAUUUUUUAUUUUUUAUUUCUUUAAUUCCAAAAAUAAAAUGAAAUAAAUAAAUAAAUUUGGUAUUUUCCAACUGAUCUUAUAUUCAUAUUUCUUAUGGUUAAAUAAAAUUUUUUAUUCUUUUUUCUUUAUUUCCAAAAAUAAAAGGAAAUAAAUAAAUAAACUUGGCUUAAAUAAUAGUUUUUAAGUAAUUUCUUUGUCUUAUUUUUAAUUACAUUUUGCAUUGAAAGUAAAAUAAAAUAACGUUUUAUUUGAGUCACUGUACAAGAUAUUUAUAUUAAGUGUACAUGACAAAUAUACUAACUGUACAAGGAUGUACAAGACUAUUAUUUGUGAAGGAUUUUAAGUGAUACUGAAAAAGUUGUUUGUUUAUUUCCCCUAACCGAGGAUAAAUGACAUUCUUUACACACAUUGGUUAAGCAUACAUUCAUCUCAUGCACUUUAUCUAACUUGUAUAUAGUCAUUUGAAUAGGUACCUCACUUAUGAUGAUUGUAAAAUAAAAUUAUACAACAAUUUUUCUUCUUUUUUAAAAUCAAACCAAUGCAACACAUGAUUAACCGAGCUAUUAUUAGAUAUUCAUGAGAUGAUGUAUGAAAUUUGAGUUAUUGUAUAAGGGUAUUACACUAACUGUACAAGAGAAAUUUACUAAUUGUAUAAGGGUGUACAAGACUACUUUUUGUUAAGGAUUUCAAGUGAUUUUGAAAAACUUUCCCAUUUUUUUCCACUCAAAGAUUUUUUCCCCACUCAAAUUCUCUCACUCAAGAAUUGUUUCGAAUUUUAUUUUUAAAUUUCAUCAUCAAAUUUUUGUAAUUGCAUAUUUUGUUUUUGUAGUUUUAGCAAUGUUUUUUCUUUCCACUAUUUUUUUAAAAAAUUUUUAUCCAAAUGAAUCUAUAUUUAAAAUUAUAAUCAUAUUUAUCAAUUUUUUUUUACUAAGAUUAUCUUUAAUUCUUCUAAUAUAUUUAUACUCAUUUAUUUAAAAAAUGAAAAACCAAUUUUUUUUUGUAAACAUAUUCUAUUACGGAAGUAAAAAAUUAGAUAAGUUUGAAAGUCAAUAAAAAAAAAAUUAAAUACCACUUUUAAUAAUUUUUAGAUAAAAUUUUAUAUAAUAUAUUUUAUUUGAAAUUUAAUUUCUAAAGUUUUACUAAAAAAUUGUAUUGACAAUUUUCUUGUUGUGAAUUAAAAUACUUUGCAUUAGUCUAUCUAAAUAAGAAAAAUUAUUAAUAUAAUAUUAGAACUUCAUAUCUUAAUUAUUUUUUUUCAAUAAAUUUAUCUUUUUAAAAAUUUUAAAAUAAAAAUAUUAAAAAUUAAAAAGGUAAAAGGAUAUAUCUAUAUAUAUAUAAUAAAUUGAAGUAAUAGUCAAGUUUAAAAUUUUUUAAAAUAUGGUUAAUGUAGAAAAUAUAAAAAAUAAUUAAAAAUAAGAGAAAAAUAUAAAUGAAAAGGUAAUAUAAAUUUAAAAUAAAAAAAUGAAAAAUUAAACUAAAAGAUAAAUAUAAAAAAAGAUAAAAAAUAUUUGGAUGAAAAAUCCCAAAAUUUUUAUCAUUGCUAAUAAGAGCAAAAAGAUUCAAUAUCUUUAAAAAUGAAAAACAAAAAAACAUUAUUACUUUUUAUUUGAUAUAAAAUAGAAAUAUAGAUUAGAAGAAAAAGAAAAAAAAAGUUAGAAAUGAGUAAUAUUUAAUAGGGAAUAGAAAAAGGAAAAAAAACACAAAAAAAUUAAAAUUCACACUCACUUGUGCUAUGUAAGGAUUAAGGGUAUUUUAGAGAUUAACUAAGGACAAUAUCCUUCAUCUUAAUUUUCAUAUUUUAUUUGAGUCUUAGGCUUAAAUAUGUAUGAUAUAUGUAUCAAAUGUUAAUUUUUGAGUUUAAUUGGAUAACACGAUUCUUCAAAAAAAAAUAAAAAUAAAAUGAAUGAAGUACAGGAGCAUAAAUGGUACAUCAAUUUUAUAUUGACUACCUUCUGAACCUUUAAUUGCAGCGUGUUGACUUGUCCACCGAAUCCAUAAUAUCAGCCAGUACCCAUGUGACUUGGCCCAUCCCAUCCCAUAUCUCUUACUUUGUUCCCUAUUCUCUCACAAUUCCCUCAGCUUCUCAUCUUGUACGUGCUGUAUUUUCUUGGCUUUCUGCAACUUUGAGUUGUUCCAAAAUGGCUUACCAAAUUCCAUUCGGUGUUGUGGAGCACAUUUUGACCAACUUGGGGUCCUCGGCGUUUCAAGAAAUUGGAUCCAUGUAUGGUGUUCCAAAGGAGAUAACCAAGCUCAAUGGGAAACUGGGCACCAUCAAGGCUGUGCUUUUGGAUGCUCAGGAGAAGCAGCAGCAGCAGAGCAAUCGUGCAGUCAAAGAUUGGGUCCGGAGGCUCAGGGGUGUUGUUUAUGACGCAGAUGACUUGCUGGAUGACUAUGCAACCCAUUAUCUUCAGCGAGGAGGAUUGGCAAGACAGGUCAGUGACUUCUUCUCAUCUGAAAAUCAAGUUGCUUUUCGUUUUAAGAUGAGUCAUAGACUCGAGGAUAUCAAAGAAAGGCUAGAUGAUGUUGCAAACGACAUCCCCAUGUUAAAUCUCAUUCCACGGGACAUAGUACUACACACAGGGGAAGAGAAUAGUUGGAGAGAAACCCACUCAUUCUCGUUGCCAUCUGAAAUUGUGGGAAGAGAAGAAAACAAAGAGGAGAUAAUAAGGAAGCUGUCAUCUAACAAUGAAGAAAUUCUUUCCGUUGUUGCCAUUGUUGGCUUUGGGGGAUUGGGUAAGACCACCCUCACUCAAUUGGUAUACAAUGAUGAAAGAGUAAAACAUUUCGAGCAUAAGACAUGGGUUUGCAUUUCUGAUGAUUCUGGUGAUGGUCUUGACGUCAAACUGUGGGUCAAAAAGAUUUUAAAAUCUAUGGGAGUUCAGGGUGUGGAGAGUAUGACCUUGGAUGGUUUGAAAGACAAGCUUCACGAAAAAAUAAGUCAAAAGAAGUACUUGUUAGUACUUGAUGAUGUUUGGAACGAAAAUCCUAGAAAAUGGUAUGAAGUGAAAAAAUUGUUGAUGGUUGGUGCUAAAGGUAGUAAAAUUAUAGUAACCACCCGAAAACUUAAUGUUGCAUCCAUUAUGGAAGAUAAGUCUCCCGUUAGUUUGAAAGGUCUAGGAGAAAAGGAGUCUUGGGAUUUAUUUUCAAAAUUUGCAUUUAGAGAACAGGAGAUUUUGAAGCCAGAAAUUGUAGAAAUUGGAGAAGAAAUUGCAAAAAUGUGCAAGGGAGUUCCUCUCGUUAUCAAGUCUUUAGCAAUGAUAUUGCAGUCUAAAAGAGAACUGGGGCAGUGGUUGUCUAUUAGAAACAAUAAAAAUUUGCUGUCACUUGGAGAUGAAAAUGAGAAUGUUCUAGGGGUGCUGAAAUUAAGUUAUGAUAAUUUGUCAACUCAUUUGAGACAAUGUUUUACAUAUUGUGCUUUAUUUCCAAAAGACUAUGAGAUUGAGAAAAAGUUGGUGGUACAACUAUGGAUAGCACAAGGUUAUAUUCAAUCUUCAAAUGAUAAUAAUGAGCAAUUAGAGGAUAUAGGGGAUCAAUAUUUUGAGGAAUUAUUGUCAAGGUCAUUGUUGGAGAAGGCGGGAAGCAAUCAUCUUACUAAUACAUUAAGGUAUAAAAUGCAUGACCUUAUACAUGAUCUUGCACAAUCAAUUAUAGGAUCUGAGGUCCUCAUUUUAAGAAAUGAUGUAAAAAACAUUUCAAAAGAAGUUCGUCAUGUAUCAUCGUUUGAAAAGGUGAAUCCUAUAAUAGAGGCUCUAAAGGAAAAACCUAUAAGGACCUUUUUAUACCAAUAUAGAUAUAAUUUUGAAUAUGAUAGUAAAGUUGUGAAUUCAUUUAUUUCAAGUUUUAUGUGUUUACGUGUGUUGAGCUUAAAUGGCUUCCUAUCAAAGAAGGUGCCAAACUGUUUAGGUAAAUUGAGUCAUUUAAGGUAUCUUGAUCUUUCCUACAAUACUUUUGAGGUACUUCCGAAUGCUAUUACAAGGUUAAAGAAUUUGCAAACACUGAAACUCAAAGUGUGUCCGAAUUUGAAAAAACUUCCAAAAAAUAUAAGGCAACUUAUCAAUCUUAGACACUUGGAGAAUGAGAGAUGGAGCGACUUGACUCAUAUGCCACGUGGAAUAGGAAAGUUGACUUUACUUCAAAGUCUACCAUUGUUUGUUGUUGGGAAUGAGACAGGGAGGUUAAGGAAUCACAAAAUUGGUAGCUUGAUUGAGUUGGAAAGCCUGAACCAUCUAAGAGGAGGGUUAUGCAUAAGUAAUCUUCAAAACGUGAGGGAUGUUGAACUGGUAUCCAGGGGAGAAAUUUUGAAAGGAAAACAAUAUCUUCAGUCCUUGAGAUUGGAAUGGAAUCGGUCGGGCCAAGAUGGGGGGGAUGAGGGUGAUAAGUCAGUGAUGGAAGGCCUUCAACCACACCCACAAUUAAAGGAUAUCUUUAUAGAAGGUUAUGGAGGUACGGAGUUUCCAAGUUGGAUGAUGAAUGAUAGGUUGGGUUCCCUGCUUCCCGACUUAAUUAAAAUUGAAAUUUCGGGAUGUUCAAGAUGCAAAAUUCUGCCACCCUUUUCUCAACUCCCUUCUCUCAAGUCUUUGAAGCUGGAUGAUAUGAAAGAAGUGGUGGAGAUAAAGGAGGGUUCAUUGGCAACGCCACUUUUCCCAUCUCUUGAAUCGCUCGAACUCUCUCACAUGCCAAAGUUGAAGGAAUUGUGGAGGAUGGACUUACUAGCAGAGGAAGGUCCUUCAUUUGCUCAUCUUUCAAAGUUGCAUAUUCAUAAAUGCUCUGGUUUGGCAUCACUGCAUUCUUCUCCUUCUCUUUCUCAAUUAGAGAUCAGAAAUUGCCAUAACUUGGCAUCCUUGGAACUGCCGCCGUCCCAUUGUCUUUCUAAAUUAAAGAUCGUAAAAUGCCCUAACUUGGCAUCCUUCAAUGUGGCUUCAUUACCUCGUCUUGAGGAAUUAAGCCUGCGUGGAGUCAGAGCAGAGGUACUGAGGCAGUUAAUGUUUGUCUCUGCUUCUUCUUCAUUGAAGUCUUUGCAUAUACGGAAGAUUGAUGGUAUGAUAUCUAUCCCAGAGGAGCCGCUUCAAUGUGUUUCCACUCUCGAAACUCUCUACAUUGUUGAGUGCUCUGGUUUGGCAACAUUACUACACUGGAUGGGCAGCCUUUCCUCGCUUACGAAACUUAUUAUUUAUUACUGCUCUGAAUUGACAUCACUGCCAGAAGAGAUCUAUUCCCUUAAAAAACUGCAGACAUUUUAUUUCUGUGAUUAUCCACACCUAGAGGAAAGAUACAAGAAGGAAACAGGCGAAGACCGGGCCAAGAUUGCUCAUAUCCCACAUGUUCGUUUCAACAGUGAUUCCUAUAUGGAAUUGGAGGUAGGUCCGAAAUCCCUAACCUUUCUUCCCAUUUUUAUUAAUUUAGAAUCAGAAUGCUAUAUUUUCAUUUUGUCUCUGGUAGUUCUUUUAUGUUGGCACCUCAUGUGUUUGUUUAAAUGCUCACAUCAAUAACUUUUCGAAAUUUUUUUCCAGCUUGACUACAUUUUCUGAUGCUGUGCACUAAACUAAUCAUUUUACUUGGAGUUCUACGUUCUAAGAGUUUGAGGAAAUACUGAGGUCUGGUAUGAUAACUCUCAAUCUUAAACGUUGUUUUGUGUUUGGAAUAUUACUACACUUGAUAGAUACCCUCACCUCACUUACAGAGCUUGGAAUUCAUGGCUGCCCUGAAUUGACAUCACUGCCAGAAGAUAUGUUCCCUCAAAAACCUGCUGACACUUGACAAUCUGCAUCUGUUCACACUUAAGAGGAAAGAUGCCGAAAGGAAAGGUGAAGACUAACCCAAGCACAAAUUGAUAUCAUACAUCCAUGAAGAUUGAACUGAUAUAGAAUGCCUUUCAGGUCUGAAAUCCCUAACUUUUCUUCUCAUUUUCUGUUACUUCAUUUGUAUUAUCUUACAUUUAAAAUGCUCUGUUUUCAUUUGUUUUGGUGGUUCUUUGUAUUUGCACCUUGUUUGAUUAAAUGCUUACUUCAGUAAAUUAGAAUUUUACUUGAGUCUUUUACAUCCUAAGAGUUUGAGGAAAUACCGAGCUCUAAUAUAAAUAGUAUUGGUCACAAAGUCCACCUUUCCUAAGAAGCUUACCAUUGGCCUAAUGCCCAAAGGAAACAACUUUGGAUUGGCUUGAAGAUUUCACAUGGUCUAAACAUUUGUAUUUACUAGAUGCCUGAUACAAAAAGUAGUUUCAAUUUAGCUCUUUGAUAUAAAGAUUAAAUAAUUGGAAAAUGUAUAAAUUUUUAUAUUUUACUUCAAAUUCAUUUCACUUAUUUUAACUCUUUGAUAUAAAGAUUAAAUAAUGGGAAAAUGUAUAAAUUUCUAAUUAAUCUUAAUAAUAUUUUAUUUUCUUUGAUAUUUUUCAUAGAACAACCAAACAUGAGAAAAUAAUUUUCCCUAUCAUUUUUUUCUUAGUACUUUUUGGGAACCAAACAUAAACUAGAUGUUUUACUUUAGUAGCUUCAUCAAAUUAAAUAGACAACCUCACACCUCUUAUUGAGCUAAGGUGUUAUUUGAGUUAAUGUUUUGUCUUUACUUAUUCAUUGAAGCCUUUGUCUAUUGGAUGCACAGGUGAUAUGAUCCAAACUCAAAUUGAACACCGCUCUUGUUUUGUAACAUUACUACAUUGGAAAGGCAACUUCAGCUCACUUAUAGACCUUUCUAUUGGUGAUUGCACUAAAUUGACGUCACUUUGGAAAAGAUGUGUUCUAGAUGGAAAAUCUUUCAUUAUAUGCACCUACUUGCAAGAUACCAAAGGGAAAUAGGUGAAUACUUGCCCAAGAAUAUAGAGGGCCAUACUUGGUUAAGGUUUCGUCAAUACGGAGAACCAUGUCAGGUAUGAAAUCCUCCUUUCUCAUUUUCUGAUGACUUCAUUUUUAUUCAAUAACCAUUUGAUAUUAUUUCUGUUGAUUUUAUUUUGAUAUUAGAUUUUCUUGCUUGCUCAAUAAUUUCAUUGAAGUUCUUUGGAUAUCACAUUUUCUUUGAUGUUUUUCUUUUCUUUUUAGAAUAAUUCAAAAUAUCAUUUUUACCUGUUCACAAAAUUUGAUCACAGUUGAGUGAUUAAAAUUCAAGUUUAUUAUUAUUAUUAUUAUUAUUAUUAUUAUUAUUAUUAUUAUUAUUAUUAUUGUUAUUAGCUAUUGGACAUAUUCGUUUUCUAAUACAGACAUAAGACUGACAGGUAAUGUGCAUAGAAUUUGUAGAAGAGAAGAAAGAUUUGAUCCAAGAUAUUCCUAAAGACCAAAAACUUUCAAAGUCGUCUAAGAUCCCAUAGGUUGAAUUUGGAUUCAUCCAAUUUACAAUCCACUAAUUCUACUUAUGUCAUCUUUGUUAUGUUACAAUUUGCUUUUACUUGUUAUGCAGCCUACCUUAAUAAUUUGGGGAGACCAAGAUACGACGUUCCUAAUAGAACCAGCUUACAAAUUGAAAAGGUAAACUUGUAUCACUUGCCUACAUGCCUACAACAAUACAAACACUAGCUUAUGUCUUUCUCAAUAUUGAGAUUGUUACUGCAUGCAAGCAUUUUGGGUGAGGAGGCCCAACUUGUGAUCAUCAAUAACAUAGAGCAUACUUUUAUUAUAGAGAAGCCCAAGGAAAUAUUUAAGCACUUGAAAUCCUUUCUCAUUGAUUUGCUUCCACCUCCUAGGCAACACUUGGAACCACUCACACCAUGACAAGGUGAAAAGAAACUAAUGCAACAUUCUCAAUAUAUCAAAGGAAAGGUCAAAUUUUAGAUUUUUGUGUUUUUCCUAUCACUGUUUCUAUACUAUUACUAGUGCACCUUAUUUGUCAACAUGAUUAAAAUAGAAUUCCCUAGGAUAACUAGUGUCUCAGGUGAUCUUAAGGUUCAUAAAUUUUUGGUUUCCACAAGAUAGGUGCCAACUAAUUUUAUUUUUUUCUACAUCCAUGCAAUAUUCUAGUCAUCUAUUAACAAGGGAUAAAAAUUCUUGUAGAGAAUAGAAUAAAGAACUAGAUUAAAUGAAAAUAGGACAUUAGUAUUCUAUUUACUAGUAAGGGUAAAAAAUUCUUGAUGGCCAUCAAGCACAUUGUUCCUAAAAUAAUAGCAUCCAUGUCGUUGAGCAAAAGUUUAUUGUAAUUGCAUUUAACAUAUAAAGCAAAACUGAUUUUUUUAUUUUAUUUUAUAUUUACACCUUAUGCAUUUGAUAAAAUUCUUAAACAAGUAAGUUUGAAAAUUUUCUCUUCAAAUCAUUUGAUAAUUGAAGGCCAAACUAAUCAAAUUGAUUUAAAUUUUACAUUCAAAAGUUGAAUUUAUUAUUAUUAUUAUUAUUAUUAUUUUUUUUUUUUUUGCAAAAUUUACUUCACUUUAGAAGUUUGUGAUUAUUCUCUAGUCCAUCUUAAAAUGAGUGCCUCCAUUAUUCCAUUCCUCUAUCACUACAAAAAGUUUAGAUUGACCUAAAAUUUUCUCAUGACCUAGAAACUCAUAUCUACUAGAUGGUUAAAGCAAAAAAAGGCUUUUGCCUUAUGUUUUAAGUAAUCUCCCUAUUAUCUAUUUGUUGAGAGCAUCAUACAAGAUGUAAUUAUAUUUCUUAAUUUUUUUUUAUGUAAUAAGAACUAGAUUGAGAAAGAUGCAACUUGUAGAGAAAAAAAUUUCUUUACUACUUCCCUUGUAUUUGCUUUGUGUGUAUCAACUGUGCUUUUCAUUAUUUUAAAAAAUAUCACUAACAAAAAACUUAUUAUUGUUAUAUAUCAUAAUUUAGCAAUUUUUUUAUUAUUUAGAAAUCAUGCUUGUCAUUGUGUUAAUUAGUAGGUAGCCUAAUAACUAUAUUGUUCAAGUUAUUUUGUGUUGGCAUUCUUCAUGUUUCAAAAGCUUGUUAGACUAGCAAUUUUAUUGCAAAUAUAAUGUUCUCAAAUCAAUACAGAAAUGGAUGAUUGUGGGGAUUAGGCAUUGACUUCCUUGAGAAGUUCAAUUGAGGGUUUUUUAAACUAGGUCUCUACAUCAACAAAUGCUACAUUUUAUCACUCGAGACCUUAGAAUAAAUAUUGCAGAAAGCUUCAUUUGCUACAUAGUAAGGAUGAGGUUGGCAUAUAAAUCCUAAGGACUUAAAAGCUUGAGUUGUUGUCUCUUCCAAGGGGCCUUUAGAUUUAUUAAUGAGUUCCAAAUCAUUGUCUACCUUGAAUUUGAAUCACUGCUAGAAGGAUGUGCCGCUAAGCAUUCUCAUGUUCUUGAUAUGGAGUAGAAAUGGACUUCUAAUUCAUGAAGAACUGAUGGGCUCUUUGAUUAUGCCAUCUAUAAUGUACUUCAGGUUCAUGCUUCAACCUCUCUUCUUGCUUUUGAUAACUUCAUUUUAGUUUUACACUGCUUUCCUUCCCUCUUAUCUGUGUUUAUGUAUGUUUGUGCAUAUAAUGUGAACCUUUUCCACUGUUACUUUAAAGUUUUUUCAUUCUUGGGCUUGGGAAAUUACUAAAUUUGAUUUUAAUAUUUUCCUGUAGAUUUCACCUUGCUUAAAAAGCUUUUGAUUAUUCAUAUUUGCAAGAUGGCUAAGACAUCUGAUUGUGCUCAGAACUUCUGGUUUCUAUUAAAUAUAGGUAUGUUGUUUGCAAUUCUAACCCACUUACUCCUCUUGAAGACUACAUAAAUUGCUAGUGUUUUUACUUUAAUGGUUAUAAACAAUGUGUGCCCUUGUUACUUCUUGCUUGCAUUCUAUAUGUUGAAGAGCUUUAUUAGGCUAAUUAUUUUAUUGAAGAUAUAAUUGUUGUCAAGUCAAAGCAAAGCCGAAUGGUGAUGUGGUUUCAACUUCUUAGAAGUAACCAAAAAGUAAGGAACUCUCUCUAUGGUAGUACUUUGAUGUCACAUUGGGCUUUCAGAUUGCUGCCUUGAAUUGACAUAAAUAACAUAGCAUCUUUCCCAAUUGAGUCGUUUCAACAUGUUACUAUGCUUCAAACUCUCUCAAUUAUGUCUUGUUUAGGUUUGGCAACAUUAGAACACUGGAUAGGCAGCCUCAACUUACUCACACAACAUAAAAUUCAUCUUUGUUGUUAACUGACAUCACUGCCACAAGAUGAGUUCACUCAGUAUUUUACAGACAGCUAUAGUUUGGGACAAUUCUGGUUUGGCAACAUUAUUAGACUUGAUAGGUAACCUAUCUUCACUUACAAACACCUUCAAAUUUAUAGUUGUCCUAAACUAGCAUCACUACUAAAAGACAUGUGUGUCCUCAACACCCUAUAGGCACUCACAAUUGGAGAUUGUUAUGGUUUGGAAACAUUCAACAGACUUGAUAGGUAACCUUACACCACUUAUAGAGCUUCAAAUUCAUGGCUACCCUGAAUUGACAUCACUUUCAGACUAGAUGUUCACCCAAACCUCAAUUGACACUCACAAUUCAAGGCUUCUCUAUAUUGGCAACAUUACCAGACUUGAUAGGCAUCAUCACUUCACUUACAUACCCUGGAAUUAAUAGCUACCUCAAAUUCACAUCAUUGUCAGAAGAGAUUGGUUCACUCAUAUCCCAACAGAGAUUCAUGAUCUUUUAUUGUCAAUGUCUAUUAGAAAGACUUCGAAGGGAAAUAGGUGAAGAUUGGGCCAUUAAUCUUCAAUCCUAGAUAUUGAUAUUUUGGUGAAGAUUGGAUUAAUAUAGAGUUCGUUCAAGUUUGAAAUCCUAACCUUCUCAUUUGUUAUGGUUUUGUUUUUAUCAAUAUACCCUGUUUACAUUCUAUUUGGUAAUUAUGGUAUGUAUUAGCAUAUAGAUAAAAAAGGACUUAGAUGGUUAAUUUGAAAAGUUUGCAUCUUCAAUUAAUUAGUAAUUAAAGACCAAACUGAUCAUAUUACUUUAAGUCUUGCAUUAUAAGAGUUCGGGAAAAAUGUUAGGGUCGAUUGAACUAUUAUUUUGUAACAAAUUUCACCUUGCUCAGGAAUCUCAUGAUUAUCCCUUGGCACAAACAUUUCUCGGUGUCUGAGAAAUUCAUAUCUACUACAUGGCUCAAGAAUCUAGUAGCAUUCAAAAUUUCUGCUCUCUUUCAAAUUAGGUGUGUUGCUUGCAAUUCCGGUCCUUUUCCUAUUUCUAAAUGCUAUAUUUUUAUUUUACUAUCAAUGUGUUAAGAGCAUUAUGUUCUGUUUUCUAUAAUAUUGUUUUCUUACUUAUCAUAUAUAUUAAUUAUUUCACUACAAAUGUAUUUGUUGCCAAGUUAAAGCAAAAAUGGAAAAUGACGAUUUUUCAUAGAUCAAUGUCUUUCUCAAUUGCUGCCACACCUGACUUCUCUCUAAGUUGUUGAAAAUUUAGAAGUGUGGUAGCAUAAUGUCUCUGGCUCAAGUGCUUUAGCGCCUCAUUGUCCUUGAAGCUUUAGAAGUUGUCAAUACAAUUGGUGUUUCAACAUGUAACCAGUUUGGAAAUUCUAAGAAGUGUAAGUACUAUGGUUUUGCAACUUUGUUAGAUUGGAUAGGCAACUUCAAAUUAUUGAAUGCCCUGAAUUGAAAUCACUACUAGAAGGGACCCACAAGCACUUUAUAGAAACUCAUAAUCUACUAGUCGUACCACUUAUUAAGAAUGCCAAAAGGAAAAAGUGAAUAUUGGCCUAAGCAUGGUUGAUUAAUAAACUACUCAUGGUCUCCUUAAUUCAAGUGUGUCAUUUAUUAUAUGUUUCAUGUUAGUAAUCCUACAUUUCUCUUGUUUUUGUUGGCUUUAUUUUUUUGAAUUAUUUUACAAUCAAUAUUUUAUCGAUGUUCUUCCUUUUGUACAAUUCUAUUUCUUGAUUCUCAAAUGAAUUAAGACAUAUCAAGAAAAAAAUCACAUUGUUUGCUUUCCAUAUACUAUAUGCUUAUAUGUACAUGUGUUAAAAACUUUUGAUUUUUAAUUGAUUACUUUCUAUUUAAUUUGUUAAAAAUUGUUAGUCUAUUUGGAGAUGAUUUUUUUUUUCAUAUGUAAUAGGAUACCAACAAAUUGAGUGAGGAGCACAUCUUACUAAAUCGUUUAUCAAUUUAUUCACCUUCCUAAUCUCAAGCUUCUUCAUGUUUGAAUUAAAACACCUUGGAGUACACAAACAAAAAUGAUGGUAAUAAGUCUUUCUCAUCAUCUUUAUUUUCAUUAGAAGGCAAUUUGUAUCAUCCUCAUUCCCAAUCCUAAAAAUAGGUUUAGAAAUUAGACAUGUUUUCUUAAAUGAUCUUCUUGGUCCAUGCAUGCUUUCUAUAUAUUUAAAAAAAUUUUAAACUAAGUACUUAAUUGUAGAUAUGAUAGUUUUCAAGUUAAUGCACAAAUGGUGAUGGUGAGGAUGCUAAAUAUAGUCCAUGCUCAGCCUAUUUGUUGACAAACUACCGAGGGCUAGUGCUAAGGGAAACACUUAAUGCACUUGUAUCAUACUCUCUUUUCUUUGCCUUCUCUAGUCGUUAUCCAAGGUUCAUAUAUAAUAUGUCUUUAUCAUUAAACUUUUCAUUUUUAACCUUUUGUCUUUUUAUGGUCUAUUACAUGGCCAUCAAUUUCUAAGAAAGUGGUGUACACUAUUAUAAAUCUUAUCUCUUUGUUCUUAUAGACAAUAGAACAACAUGCUAAUUGCAUGAUAUACAAUUUGUAAUAGAUGUUCGGCUAUCAGGUAACCUUUAAGUACCUUGGAGCUAAAACAUUUGAUGUUAAUAAGGUUUGAUGAUUCUCACUUUGGUGCUUAGGUGCUUUGUUGGAUUUCAAUUCAGGUGAUUAAUUAAUCUUAUUAUGAUUAUUUGAUUGCUAUAAUAACUAAAUAAUCAUUCCUAUUUUAUCUUGGUAAUUGACUUCAAUGACUUUUUAACAAUUAUAUCAUGCAUGAAAUGUCCAACCUAUUAUUGUUAGUAUUUCAAUAACAUACCUCUAAUGCUACCACUAAUAUACUUCAUGUAUUCAUAUUUAUAAAAUGUUUCAUUAUUUUAUAUAAUUUAAUGUUUUCAAAUUUCUUUUUUGAAUGGGAGAAAUGACCAUUAAUCUUGACAACAACACAAGUAUCAUUGGUCUAAUAUUGCUUUCUUGAGUAAUUUGGCAAUUUAAUUAUGAAGUUUAGUUGUACAUUACUUGAGAUUCAUGCUUUAUGUAUAUGGUCUAUUGUCCAAACUUCAAUGACAUUUAGUAGACUUGUGAGUGGCGUUUGUCUAUGAGUUUCAACUCUUCAAAACUAUUAUUGAAGCCUAAGUUCAACUUCAGUAAGGAAAAAAAAUCAACAUUUUCUUCCAUUAUGUAAUUUUAUUCACUAUUGAUCUCCCGAAAUAUUGUUUUUAAAACAUGCCCUUAAAUGGAAUUCAUGGCUUCGCUAUUAUUUGCAGGAGAAAUUGUCAAGUUCUAUAUUUGUUUAGAAAGUUGGAAGAAGUAUUUAAUUUGACAUGGUUUGGACAUCUUGCUGCCAUCUUUUUAAAUUAGUUAUCAAUAAUUUUCCAAAGUUGACAUUUUUGUUUAUCUCAUACUCCUUUUAUAUUAGAAGGUAAUGCAUCGGUAUUGUGUAGACGAAUCAAGCCUUCUUUAAUUGAGGCGGGCCUUUUGCAAAAUAUUUCAAGUUUGUUUUCUUUCCAUUUGUUGCUUCAUAUCUAUUUUUUGUAAUCAACCAAGCAAGGGUUUCUUGUCAUGCCAUAAUGGUGACUUGUAAUAAUCAAUUAUUGAUUGUAAGGAUACUUGGCUUUAUCAAUUAUUAUAUUGAAAUCAAUUCAGUACUAUGGCUAAUGCCAAAAGGACAAUAUUUAGUUUCGAUUGACCAUAAUUCACUAUUCUAGAAACAAGUGCUCACAAAUUUUGCAUCUUUGAAGGAUGUGGGAAAGAUUGGCUUAACUGCAUCACCAACUUACAAGCUCCUUAUAGCAUCCAUAUAUAUAACCUUCAUUGUUAAGGUUUAUAAUUCCUAUCUCAUUUUUUUCAUCUCUUUAUUGUUUAUAAUUUUUGAAUUGAUUUGUUAAAAAAAAUUUAAACCUUAUUUGCAAUACUGAUUUGUUUUAUUCUUAUGUGCAAUAGAAUAAUAAGUUGAAUAAGAAGCAUACACUACUUAAUUGAUAUAACCGUUUAGUCAAUUCUCUUCUCAAUUUUUUUUUGUUUUUCUCCAUUUUUGUUCAAGGUAAUCAAAGUAUCAUUAUUUCUAUUUCUAAAGGUACUUGUACCUAGCUUGAAAAACUUUAAGAUAAGUUAAAGUGGAGAACCAUUCCCAAAACAAGUAAUAAGUACAGUUGGGUUAUUGAUAUCAUAUCCUCGAUUGACAUCUAUGCCAUUGUAUUUACAUCUAAAGGAUUUAUGAUGAAAAUAAAUAUCUUCUUCAUUUCCAUUUUCCUCACUUUUUUUUUCGUAAUUUAUGUGCAUAUCAUAAUCUUUUGCGAGCAUAUAUAUGCAUGUUGUAAUCGCAAUAAUCUAUUGCUAUCAUAAUUCAUAGCCUAAUAUAGUUGCUAGCAUAUAUAUGCAUGUCAUAAUCUAUUGAAUUUUUUAGCAUAAGGUCUUAGAGUAUUCACAUAUCUAUAGGUUCUAUAUAUUUAUACUUUUUAAAACAUCAAAUGAAGUAUAUCAGCCUUAUCCCGAAGGUGAAGUCUCUUUAAAUUGAGCUUCAACAUGUUAGCAGUUACCUAACUUAAUAAUCUAACAAUUUGGUAUUAUAUAUCAUUUUGCAACUCUUCCAUAAAGUAAUUGUGUUUCCUCUAUUCAUAUUUUCUGUCCUUAUUUUUUUUUAAAAAAAUUGAAUUAGUAAUUGUGUGUCAAAUCAUGCUUACAAUCAUUAAUAGGUACUUAUAUGAUAAAUUGAUAAAUUUAUUUUACAAUUUUUUCAACAUAUUUGAAAAACAAAAAAAAUAAAAAAAAUAAAUAAGCAUGUCUUUCUAGAUGUAAUCACUACCAAGCUCAUGUGAAAAGCUAUAGCAAUGAGGGUAUAAGCUUCAGUUUUGUUUUGGAGAUUCAUAUUGAGAGUUGUAGAUUGUGAAUGUAAUUGUGUGCAUAAUGAGGACACUAAUAGUAUAAGCUUUGGUGUCUAUUUUUUUUUUUUACUUGAAAUAUCUAUAGCAGAAUCUGAGGUUCAACUUCAUCACCAAUAACAUGGUCGAGGACAUAACUUCAAGAGACAGCAAACAGUUUCAUAUUAAUCUUUUGGGGUGCAGGAAUUUGACAUUCUACAACGUUGCAAUUAGUGCACCAAAAGACAGCCUUAACACAGAUGGAAUUCACAUUGGACGUUCCUCAGGGAUCGAUAUCACCGAUUCAGCCAUAGAAACCGGAGAUGAUUGUGUCUCAAUUAGUGAUGGCAGUGGGCAAAUUAAUAUCCAAAGAAUAACCUGUGGACUUGGCCAUGGCAUCUGUGUGGGAAGUCUAGGAAAGUACCCCGAUGAAGAAUCUAUGGUUGGCAUUAGUGUCAAGAACUGCACCUUCAUCAACACCCAGAAUGGCGUCAGAGUGAAGACAUGGCCUGCUUCUCUCAUCAAGACACUACCUCUGAAAUGCAUCUUGAAGAUAUUGUCAUGAAUAAUGUUGGCAAUCCCAUAAUCAUAGAUCAAAAGUAUUGCCCCCAUAACCAAUGCAACUUAAAGGUACUUCUAAAGGAAAUGAAAAUUUCCAUUUUUAUUGCUUAUUUUCCCUCUUUUUCCCUUCAUUUUUAUUGGUUUGGAACUUAACUAUCCGUUGUUUUCAGAGUCUAUCACGCAUUAAGCUCAGCAAUGUUAGCUUCAGAAACAUCCAGGGCACUACCUCAACUCAGGUUGCUGUCAAGCUUGUUUGUAGCCAAGGAGUACCAUGCCAAGACGUUGAGCUUGGUGACAACAACGGAAAUGAAGGCCUUGCCAUGUCACAAUGCAAGAACAUUAAGCCAAAUCUACUGGACAAGCAACUGCCAAGGACUUGUGCCUAAGAUGCUUAAUCUUCUUCCAAAGUCUGAACAAAUUGUACUGCUUCUAUUAUAUAGCUACCUCUUCAUGCUCACGCGUCUGCUAUUUUAUUGGUGAAUAAACUACAAUGAACAAACAAUGAUACGAUACUCGGCUAUUAUGGAAGGUAUGUGCAGUUUGAUCCCAUAAGAAAAAACAAAUGUCUAUUUAGUCUUUUGCUGCUAUAGUACAAAUUGAAGCUCCAAAGAAUAAUGUUAAUGUAAAUUAUUUAAUGUUAAUGCAGUUUGGAUGAGAAAAUGCAGUCAAGUGAAUAAAAAUUCCUUUGGAGUGUAUCAUUUGAAAUUUUAUCUUUGGAUUACUACAACCAAGAAAAAACUAUAGAUUGGUAUCUGGUGUGUUGGAAAUGCUUGAUGGUUGGUAAUCGAACUAAUGUACUAAUGACUUCGAGAAAAACUAAGAAUGAUAAAGACAAUAGUAAUAAAUGGCAAGAACUGAGAAAGUAUUGAAGUUGUAAUUGUCUCAAGGAGCGUAUUUUGGGAUUUGAAUUAUAUGUAAAGAAGAAAUGCUCUUGGAAACUGCAACAUGAUGGAUCUUGAAUGGUUUUCUGUCAUAUGUGUUUGUUGUUUGGAGAUGACCGAGUAAUAUUAGUUUUAUCAUGCCCCUUUAAGCUGCCAUGUGGAAGCUGUAGCGUUAGCAGAGAGUUGAUAAUGCUUUUUGGGUAGUUGGAAGCUUGAACACCAACAUAUUAGUGCAAGGACAUGAAGAUAUUAAUUCAUUCAUACGAUUUAUUGUUUGAGAGGAUAGAAAAAAAAAAUAUAAAACUAUUUAAGAUCCUAAAAAUAUCUUAUAUUUCUCCGUUUUUUGUAUUUACACUCUGAUCCAUGGACUUUUACCCCACAAAAUAUCUCAUAUUCUUUUUCAAAUUUCUACCUACAUAUAAACUUCUUAUGUCUAUAUUUAUUAUAUUACUUUUUUCUCCUCAUGACCUAAUUAAAAUAUGUAUAAAGAUAAUCCUAACAACUUUUCUUAUUUUAUAGGCAAACCUAUUUCUAUAAGGAAUUAAUUGUAAAACAUCCUAUAUAAGCUACCUUAACAUAGCUGAAUUAUGUUAUAAAUUUUAUUUUGAUACGAUAAAUAACAAAAAUCCAUUGAUAAAAAAUUUAUCAAAAUCCAAUAACUGUAUAGGAUAAACUACACUUAUUUUGGAUAAAUAAUAAAGUACAUUAUCCAAGUAUUAAAAGAUUGUCUUUGUUGUGUAUAAUUUGGAGAGCCUCAGAUAAUGUGCAAGUAGAUGAGACUUAGAGUGAUAUGUUUUCUCUUUCAAAUCAAUUUUAGAGGGACCAAAUCCAAAAUUUUAGUCUUUUUUUAGAAGUGUUUUAGAAAAUAGUUUGGAAAAACACUUCUUGAUAAUAGCGUUUGAAAAUUAUUCUCUAAUAUUUUAUAGCACAUAAAUUUGUUUGAGAGAAUAAAAUGCUCUUAACUUGUUUCCUAUGUUUUUAAAUAUAUUUUAAAAAUAAUUUUCAUAUGCAUUGCUUUAUUUUUAAUCAUUCUCUAUAUUUGUAUAAUAAUUUUUUAAAACAAUUCUAUAAAGAAGUAAAAAGAAACAAAAAUAACUAAAAAGAUGUUCUUUCGAAACAUUGUAUUUUCUGUUUAAAAGUUUUUUUUUUUUUUUUUUUUCUGUUUUCUAGUUGUCAAACUAUACUUUCUUGUUUUUUUUUUUUUUUUUUUUUUUUUUUAUUUUUUUUUUUUUUUUUAUUCUAGAUAAUAGAAAACUGUUUUCAUAACAUGGCCUCAACUUUUACUAUGAAAAUCGAAAUGGUGCUUAAACUUAAACUUCAAAUUGAUUUUAAUCAAAAUAUGUUUUUUUUUUCUCCUUUUUCCUAUCAAAUCAAAACUCAAAUUUCUUUCUUUUCUAUAAAUACAAAAUUUCAAUUUCUAUCGUUGGACUAAGAACUCCAAAUCAUUUUCAAUUGGCGGUGGAGUCUUUGAUUUAAGGACACAGAAUGCGCAUGAAAAAUCUCAUAGUUGUGUGUGUGCAUGUAUGAUAUAUAUAAAGAAUGUUGGAUGAGGAAAUUGUGGAUAUGGCCAAAUCUGAAUCUCUUAUAUUUUUGCAAUAGCAUGUGAUUUACAUAGAAACUCGAUGGUGGAAGAAGACUAUAAAUAAAGGUCUCCUCUCCUCAUUCUAUUUAUCCUAGAAUUGAAGGAAAAAGAAUGAUCUAACUCUUUGAGUGAAAAAGUGAGGUUAUCUUGAGAAUUAGAGGAUUAUUAUUCUCUUGGGUGUAAUUAGGAUAUGGAUUGUGAGGAGUGAGUGAUUAUAAACACUUGUGGUUAUUUUUCUCCCUAUAAUGAAGAUCUAUAGUAGCUCUGUGGGCGUAGCUUGUUUUGGGUGAACCACGUAAAUUUCAUGUUUUGUUUGUCUACUCUAUUUCGUUAUUAUUUUCACAUUUUUUUUAUUCAUUUCAUUACUCUAGUCUUUUGGGAAGUUUAUUUCCUAACAACUGGUAUCAAAGCGACAUGUCUUGUGGUGUUUUAGGAGCUUAGUGGUAGUUUGAGGAGGUUGGAAUUUAAGAGGACAAUUGUGACCUCUCUAGUUUUUCUUAGGAACUUUUAUUUUUGUCUAAGGAGACUAGGUUUUAAGUGGGAUUGUUGUGAUCCUUCUAGUCUUUCCUGAGAACUUUUUUACUAGUUUAAAGCUUUGGGUGGAAGUUUUUCUAUAAUUUUUUGCAAGUACAGAGGUACUGUAAAAAGUACAAUUUUUGCAGAAGUCCUAAAGAACCAGAUUUGAGUGGGAUUGAUGGCAACAAACGAAGGAAAGAGCAUCAUAAUUUAGAAGUUCAAUGGUGAAGAUUUUAGCUUCUAGAAAAUGCAAAUUGAAGAUUAUCUAUAUUAGAAAGAUGUGCAUCUGCAUUUUUAAUGAAGAGUGGGCUCUACUCGAUAGGCAGGCCCUUGGAGUUAUCUGGUUGACGUUAUCUCAUAAUGUCGCUUUCAACAUAGCAAAGAAGAAGACUGUGAUGGGUCUUAUGGCGACUCUCUAUGACAUGUAUGAGAAGCCAUUCACUUCAAAUAAAGUGCACUUGAUGAGGUUGUUAUUCAAUUUGUGAAUGAUAGAAAGCGCGUCUAUAGCAACUCACAUCAAUGAAUUUAGUACAAUCACAACACAACUAAGUUUGGUGGAAAUCGAGUUUGACGAUGAAGUUCGAGCUUUAAUCUUUGUAUCCUCUCUACCGAAAAGUUGGAAUGCGAUAGUGACAACAAUGAGCAAUUCUUUUGCAAAGAAGAAGAUGGUAUUUAAGGAUAUUCAAGAUCUAAUUCUAAGCAAAGAAAUACACCAAAGAGAACUAAGAGAAACAUCAAGUUCUACCUUAAACAUUGAAUCUAGAGGUAGACAUAAUGACAGAAACUCAAAUCAAAGUAGAUUAAAAUCAAGACAGAGCAAGUCUAGAUCUAGGAAGGAAGAGAAUAGUUGUUGGAACUGCGGUAAGACUUAUCACUAGAAGAGAGAUUAUAGAGCACCGAAAAAGAACAAUGGCAGUGAAAAGAAUCCACGAACAUGGCCGAAGAUAUUGGCAAUGCUCUAAUCCUAACUGUCAAUAGUCUAGUUGAAUCCUAGAUUUUGGAUUCUGGGGCAUUGUAUCACUGCACCUCUUAUUACGAAAUCAUGGAGAACUACAUCAGUGGUGAUUUCAGGAAGGUUGACCUGGAUGAUGUUGAGACCUUGAAGAUUACGAGAAAAAAAGAUAUUCAAGUGAGGCUACCAAAUAUGUGGAAAUUUAAAGAUGUGAUAUGUAUUCCUAGUUUUAAAAAUAAAAAUAAAAAAUCUCUGUGGAUUAACUUGAUAAGAAGCGGAUGAAAGAUCACCAAGGGAGCUAUGGUCAUAGCUCAUGGAAAGAAGAACGGUCCUCUCUAUGUUACUUCUAGAAUGGAGAAUAUUGUUGAAGUUGUAAAAUCAAAUGAGAAGUAGAAAAUUUGGCACGAGAGACUCAGUCAUAUGAGCGAGAAAUGGAUGAAGGUUCUUGUUUCAAAGACAAAGCUGUCAAAUCUAAAAUCAAUGUGAAGAUUGUAUAUUCAAUAAGCAGAAAUUGGUUAAUUUCUCAAAGAUUGGCAAGCCAUCCAAAGUAGAGAAGUUAGAGCCGAUUCACAUAGACACGUAGGGGUCAUCACCAGUUUCAUCUAUUGGAGGCUCAUUGUACUACAUCACCUUCAUUGAUGACUCUACUAGGAAAGUAUGGGUUUAUUUUCUAAAAAAGAAGUUAGAAGUUUGUGAUGUUUUCAGGAAAUGGAAAGCCAUGGGAGAUGCGAAGAUCUACUAGGGGCCUAUAAGUAGAGGUCUCAUCUCCUCAUUUUAUUUGCCUCAUAAUUGAAAGAAAAAGAGUGGUCUAAUUCUUUGAGUGAAAAUUGAGGUUCUCUUAAGAAUUAGAGAAUUAUUAUUCUCUCGGGUGUAAUUCGGAUUUGGGAUGUGAGGAUUCAAUGCUCGUAUACACUUGUGGUUAUUUUUCUCCCUAUGUUGAAGAUCUACAACAAUUUUGUGGACGUAGCUGGUUUUGGGUGAACCAUGUAAAUUUCGUGUGUUGUUUUGUUUGCUCUAUUUUAUUAUUAUUUCCACAUUUUUUUAUUUGCUUCAUUAAUUUGGUCUAUUGGGAGGUUUACUUCCUAAUAUUUUUCAAGUCAAAUUCUUAUCUAAAAUUGAAAUAAGAAUUGGUUUCAUCCUCAAUUGAAAUCGAUUCUUGGAACACUUCACCAUUCCCUUUCCACAUUUCCCACCAUCCAACCCGGCCAAUAAAUACAAUUACUUGGCUCCAUUGCAUAUUUUUGCUUAUCUUUCAUUCACAUUCAAAAAUGGUUAGAAAGGAACCUUGAUUUUAGGAAGUUCCCAAUUAUUAGGAUUUGAUUUAGUUUUCUAAUAGUCAAUUAGAAUAUUUACAAAUUUGAGUGGUUGAUUUAAUUAUAUGUUUAUACAUAAUUCCUACAAGUUAUUUUUUUUUUAAUACUUUUUGUUAUUAGGAAUCUCUAUUUUUUAGGUAAAGGUGUCCAUAAAAAAAAAAAAAAAAGGAGUUAGUGCGAUAGUUGAACAAGAGUGGUGGAAAAUAAUGUCAUUUUCUUGAUUUUUCUCAAUUACUUACCUUCUUACCUUGACUUUCCAUCAUGACUUAUUUCUCUCUAUGGAUUUGUUUAUGUGUUAUCAACUCUAUUACUUGAAUAAAUUGGGUUGUAAGAAAAAGAUGACAAGUAGGACAGAUUUGUUACAAGUUCUUUAGCUCAAUAAAAAAACUUACAAUAAUUGGAGUAUGAAGGUAAAGACUUUACUUGAUUCACAAGAUGUAUGCAAAGGUUGAAGAGGAAGGCUAUAAACAAGGAGUCAUGACAUAAAACCACUAUUUUAAAAGCAAAGUAAUUUUUUGAAAGGUAUAAGGAAAAAAGAAAAAAAAAAAGGAAGAAGAAAGCUCUUACCCUUAUCUAUCAAGCAAUGAAUAAAGGCAUAUUUGGAAAUUUUCCAAAUGCAACCAUGCACUACCAAGAAAGCAUGGAAGAUAUUAGAAAAUGCAUAUAAAGAAAUUGACUAAUUAAGAAAAGUUUGCCUUUGUACUGGGUAUUGUGUAGAGAAAUCAAGUCUUCUUUAAUUGAGGUGAGUCUUUUGCAAAAUAUUUCGAGUUUGCUCUCUUUCCAUUUGUUGAUUCAUGUUUUUUUUUUUUUUGGUAAUCAACUAGGCAAGAAUUUCUUACUUGUCAUGCCACAAUGGUGAACAUGCUUGCAUGAAUAGUAUUCUCUCUACUCUUUCUUUUUUAUUCUUUCUUUAUUAUAUUGAUGGAUAUACUUAGAAGUGAAUAGUUAAUUGGGUUUUUUAUUAAAAGAAAUCAAAUAUUGGUAAUGCUAUUUAGUAUCAUGCUUGUAAUAAUCAAUUAUUGAUUGUAAAGAUACUUAGCUUAAACAAUUAUUAUAUUGAAUUCAAUUUAGUACUAUGGCUAAUACCAAAAGAAUAAUAUUUAGUCUUGGUUAACCAUUAUUCACUAUUCUAGAGACAAAUGCUCACAAGUUUUGCAUCUUUGAAGGAUACGGGAAAAGUUGACUCAACUGCAUCACCAACUUACAAGCUCAAGCUUAUAUACAACCUUCAUUUAUCAGGUUUAUAAUUCGUAUCUUUUUUUUUUCAUCCCUUUAUUGUUUAUAAUUUUUGAAUUGAUUUAUUAAAAGGAAUUUCAACUUUAUUUGCAAUAAUGAUUUUUUUAUUCUCAUGUGCAAUAGAAUAAUAAGUUGUAUAAGAAGCAUAUACUACUUAAUUGGUAUAACCCUUUAGUCAAUUCUCUUCUCAAAUCCUUUUUAUUUUUCUCCAUUUUUGUUCAAGGUAAUCAAAGCAUCAUUCUUUCUAUUUCUAAAGGUACUUGAACCCAAUUUGAAAAACUUUAAGACAUGUUAAAGUGGAGGACCACUCGCAAAAUAAGUAACAUUAGUUGGGUUACUAAUAUCAUAUCCUCGAUUGACAUCUAUGCCAUUGCAUUUUCUUCUAAAGGAUUUAUAAUGAAAAAAAAUAUCUUCUUCGUUUCCAUUUUCCUCCCUUCUUUUGACCAUAAAUUUGUGCACAUUGAAAACAUUCAUAGCCCAAUAUUUUUGCUAGCAUAUAUAUGCAUGUCACAAUCAAUUGAAUUUUUUAGCAUAAGUCUUAUAGUAUUCACAUAUGUGUAGGUUCUAUAUAUUUAUCAUGUUUACAAUAUCAAAUGAAGUAUAUGAACCUUAUCUCAAAGGUGAAGUCUCUUUACAAGGAGCUUCAACAUGUUAGUAGUUACCUAACUUAAUAAUCUAACAAUUCGUCACUAUAUAUUAUUUUGCAACUCUUUCAUAAAGUAAUUGUGUUACCUCUAUUCACAUUUUCUAUCUUUAUUUUAAAAAAAUUGAAUUGGUAAUUGUGUGUCAAAUCAUGCUUACAAUCAUUAAUAGGUACUUACAUGCUAAAUUGAUAAAGUUAUUUUACAAUUGUUUCAACAUAUUCAGAAAACAAAAACAAAAGAAAAGAUUAAUAAGUAUAUCUUUCUAGAUGUAAUCACUACCAUGCCAAUGUAAAAAAAUAUAACAAUGAGGAUUUCAAAGAUUAAAUUAAGUCUUGGAGACUCAUAUUGACAAGUUGUAAAUGGUGGGUGAAGUCUCUUUAAAAUGAGCUUCAAUAUGUUAGCGAUUACCAAACUUAAUAAUCUAACAACUUGACACUAUAUAUCAUUUUACAACUAUUUCAUAAAGUAAUUGUAUUAUCUCUAUUCACAUUUUCUAUCUUUUUUUUUUUUUAAAAAAAUUGAGUUGAAAAUUGUGUGUCAAAUCAUGUUUGCAAUCAUUAACGGGUACUUAUUUGCUAAAUUGAUAAAGUUAUUUUACAAUUGGUUCAGCAUGUUUUGAAAACAAAAACAAAAGAAAAUUAAGAAGUAUAUUUUCUAGAUAUUAUCACUACCAAGCCAAUGUGAAAAGUUAUAAUAAUGAGGAUUGCAAAGCACCAGUUAUGUUUUGGAGAUUCAUAUUGAAUGUUGUAGAUUGUGGAUGUAUGGUAUAGGAGUUAACUUGAGUUUAUCAUUCUUUCUAUUUUCGAUACCUUAAUUUUAUAUGCAUUGUCCAUCAUAUAUAUUUGUUAUCAUCUAUUCUUUACAACCAAUUUUUUAAUGACUUCUACAAUUUGUGUAUAAUGUAUAUAUUGCUUUUAUUUGUACCAAAGCAUCAUCAAGCUACAAAAGCAUCACAAGUUUUUCUAUUGGGUCAAGUAUUUUAGUAGUUUUUGUACUUAUACUUGAAACUUUUUUAUGACACUAAUGAGGACAUUUACCUUGAUUAAUUUAACAUUUAUAUUGCAAGUAUCUAAAUAAGAGUUCUAUAGAUUUAUUUAGACAUUUAUGGGCAUAUUUAUCCUCUUUCUGACAUAUUAUAAUGAUAUUUUUAACAUUGAUAUAAAUUAUUUGUUUGAAGGUUUCAACUAUUGAAAAAUAUUAUUCAAGCCCAAUGUUAAUCUUUUUCUAUAGUGGAUUUCAAAUAAUAAAUUCUUAUUUGAUUAUUUGUAGCGAAAAUAAACAACUUUUAUGUUUGAUGCGGAAAAAUAUAGAGUAGGUCACUUUCACAAUAUAUGGAUGCUACUCCUAUACUUUUAAAGAUGGUUACAAUCGCCUUUAUGAUGGAUAAUGAUUUUCUAGUUCUUUUAGUACUAUUAUAUUAUGUCCAAAUUUUAAUUUUGAUAUGGUCCAUAAUCUCAUCGUAUGUACUAUUGAUAGAUUACAAUGCAACAAACGCAAUGUGAAUCUCAAAGAUGAUUAUUACGUUGAAAAGUAAGUUCCCCAUGUUUUAUUUAAAUUUUUUUUAUUCUCUAAGGAUUGUUUUAUUCUCUUUAUUUUUAAAGGCUCAAAUCAUCUUAAGUUUAUUUUUUCUCUUAUUUCAAUAGUUGUAGCCCAUAUGUAGGAGAAAUUUCUCUAAAUGAAGGGUAAAGAAGAACAAGUGCAUUUAACUUGUUACACUUGCAAACUAGAAGACAACCUCAUAUUUCAGAACCUGCACUACAUGAUUUCAAUAAAAAUUAAGAUUGUUGAUUGAGAAAGGAAUGGUGAAUUCAAAAUUCUCUAUAAUUUCCAUUGUUGGUGCUCUUGAAGAUUUUGGUAAAAGACUGAACAAUUGAGUUUAGCAUGUCCUUGAAAUGUAUUUGUUUUAUGAAUCAAUGCAACUUGGUUAAAGUCUCUAUAUAAGUCAUAUACAACAUAUUUUCCCUUUAAUAUCAGCUCAUCAAUUUUUGUUUCCAAGCUUUUUGUCAAUUAUAUUUUUUAAUCCUUUCUAUUGUUUUUUGGUCUUCCAAUGACUUUGUUUCUAUUUUCAAUACUUGAAUCCAAUGUAAGAUGUUUGCAUUUUAAUUUUAUAAUUUUCUUUAUUAUUUUGCUUUUUGUUUUUUUAUGGUGUUUCCUUUGUAAUCACUUACUAGAUUCAUACUUCUAAGAAAACAUGUUGAUGAUGAUGAAAACAUGUUUCUAUAGAAAUAUAUAUAUUAUGAAGACUUCUUAUGCUUCUAUUAACCUAAAAUGAUGAUAUUGAUAAGAAGUGUAUUUAUUAUCAUAUUGCAUUACAAGUUUACUGGUGGAUCACUCUUAACAAGUACAUCUUAGCUAAAAGUUAAAAAAAUGUUUCUCUUUGCACAUACCUUUACUAUUGUUUCAAUUGCUAUCUUAAUAUGUUAUGGAAAAACUACUACAAAUAACAAUAAUAGGGAGAAAAAAACAAAAAAACAAAAAUAGAAAACUUAUAAAGUAGGACGAUUUAUGUGGUUUGGCCUAAAACCUACAUUUAUCCAUGAAAAUGAAGAAGAAUUUCCACUAUUAUUAAAGGAUAUUGCAUCCUAAAGCUCUCAAAUCCCAUAAUUACACUAAAAAAGGACUUUUUUUUUAAUCAAAAUCUCUUCCUUUAUUUUCUUGAUUAUAUAAGAACAUUCCAUAGAGAAUUAAUUAUGUAAUUAUCAAAGAUAACUAUUCCUAAAAAAAAAAUCUUAUAAUAUGAUAUUUUCUUUAUAAUAUAAAAAAAAAUCUUUUAUAUAAAUAUAUCAUAAUAGGAAAAUAUUAAAGACUUAUAAAUUGACUUGAAAAACAAUUUGAAAUAUUUUUCAACAAUCUCCACAUUAGCUCAAAUUCCCAAGAUUCAAAUAAACUCAAAAGUCUUCCAUGUUACUUUGCUCUUAUACACCCUUAAGGGGACUUCAAGUAAUGUCAAUACCAAUUAAGUCUAAGCAAUGCAUGAACUUAAUCAUAAAGAUAAGUUUAGUCAUCAUAUAUAUAAAAUUAUCAACUAUAGGGAUCUUUUUCAUUACAUUAGAACCUUGUUCAAUCAUAUCUCUAAUAAAAUGCAUUCUAACAUUAAUAUGUUUGGUCCUCUCAUGUAACAUAUAAUUUUUAGUCAAAAGUAUGACACUUUGGUUACCAUGAUAACAAUAAUCAAUGAUUGGAACCAAAUAAUUACAUUUUGUGUGCCUAAACUUAGACAUGCGUAUUUAAUAUCCAAUUCUAGUUUCAUCCCUUUACUCAAUUUUAUUCCUAAGUCCUUAAUUUUGUGUUUAAAAAUGCAUGUACUGGUGGUUAAUUUUUCACUCCAUAGUUGUCAUAUCAUCCAAGUAAUAGUUGCUACAUUAUUCAACAACGGGUUGCCUAUAGACCCACAUUUUUCAUAUGCAUCCCCACUCAAUGGCGUGGUUGACUUUUUAAGUGAAAAACUAUGUUUUAUAAAAACUUGGAGUUGCCACUUAUUUUUAUUUUUUUAAGGGAAAAUAAAAUAAGAAACUAAAUCUUAAAAAAAAACGACUCCUUAAACUUUUGGAAAAACUUGUCUUUUAAAAAUCCAAGUCUAGAUCCAGGGAUUAGGUUACUUAUUGGGAUGGUACCUUAAAAACGGAGCAUCCCUCUAAACCUUCAAAAGGUCUCUAUUGGCUAGGUUGAGGGAAGUGUGACAAUUAAUUGAUAGAAUUAGGGUACAAGAAAGACUAAAGUGUUUAGCUAAAUUCUAACAGCAUAUUAAGUAUGCAGAGCAAUCAUUUCAAGUCAUAAGUAUAAAAAGAGAGAUAGGGUGCGUACCUAGACUAUAACUCAAACACUAUCAUAAGACAUCAAAGUUAGUUCAGAUAUCAUAUCACUCAACACACAUUAUCAUUCACAUCAAAGAAUCAAAUAACAAUCAAAGCAACCAAUAACAACAUCAAACAUAGAGAUGUUCAUACAUGAAACAUACACAUAUGUUGAAUUAAGAGACAAAGGGUGAUGGGUGUAUUUGAAUUGCAUAAAUAAUUUACAAUGCACUUCGAUAAGAUAACAAAGGUUAGAAUAAAUUAUAAUGGAAAAUAAAGAGAUCCUAAAUCCUAGCAUGCAUGGUAUUUACAUGGCAUAAGGACAGAACAUAGGCUCACAAAGACAUCAAUAUUCCUACAAGGCAUGCAUACAACUUCUAGAUGUAUACAUAAGAUAUAAGAAACAAUGAUUAAUUAUAACAAAACAUAUAACCAACUAAUCAAAAUAUAGGCAUCACAAGUAUAAUUCUAAAAUAUUAUGUAAGCAUCACUUGACUAGAUAAUAAAUAAAAGCCAACAUCCAUAUCCAUUAAUCAUGAAUUAAACAAUAUGAGCAACUAGUAUGCAAAAAUCCAACAUAUGAAUAUAACCACACCAAAGCACAGAGGAUAUCUCCUAUACGUUUAGAACAAAUAAAAAAUUCCAAACACUCGUUCAAAUAUCAAUUUUAAUUCAAAAAGACCAAAAGUUCCAGAAGGUCCAAAAUUGAGUAGAACACUGAAUUUUUAAAAAAAUAUCUAGGCCUUCUAAAUUCAUACAAAAAAUAGAAAAUGUCAUUCAAGGUGCCUAAAUUAUAUAAAAAAUAAAUCCAAGACAAGGAAGCACUCAAAAGAAUUUUAAAACACUCCAAUUGAUUAGUUGUCCAAAAUUAGUCAUGUAUAGUAAGUGCAACUUUGAAAAAUCAUAUCUCUCUCUAAAAAAAAUAUAUUUCAAUAUUUUAUAUGUCAAAAUUCAACUUCAUGAAAUCAAUAAUUUUGGAAAAAUAUUUAUCUAAAUUAAAAAGGUAAAAAGGUAAUUUAAUUUUACAAAAUUCUAUCAGAUGUACCAAAACAAAACAUGCUGAAAGAAUAUAUCAUAACUCAACUUUGAGAAAGACUUGUUGACUCAACUAACGUUCCAAAAUCAACUUCAAGAAGUGAACAACAUCAUAAAAGUUUUGGAAAAUUUUUUAAAACACUCCAAAAUUAUCAAAACAUUUUUUUUUUCCUAAAGGGUUAGUAGCUGAGUUGAAAAAUGAGUUUUGAUAACCUUUUUCAUGUAGGUGUUCCAUCAAGUCCCCAUUCAAUAUUCAUAGGUUUAACCCAUGCAUUCCCAACCUCAAAUGAAAAGAUUCACCAAUGCCAAAAAUACUCCCAUUAGUUUGGAAGCACGAGUUCAAACUUAUGUGAAUAAAAAACAAAGUUUUGGAAGACCAAGAAAUAGAUAAUGCAACUUAGAUGAAAUGAGUUGCAUGUUUUUUAACGGAGUAAGAUCUUUGCCUUAAACCUAAAACACAUUUUUUUUCAAAGAUUUUAGAUAGUUUAAAUUCUUUUGAAAAUGAUUAUAGAAGAAGCACAAGGAUCCAACUGGUUUAAGUAAUCCCCGAACAAUCGGAAAAAAAAAAAAUGGACUUUUAGUUUUCUAACUUAAAAGGGAUUUAAAAACAUAAGAGAUAUUAACUUGGAUCCCCUUUAUAGUUGAAGGAGGCACGUGCAUGAUGGAGAAAAUCCAUUUUUGGUAAAAAGAAAUUUUGAAUUAACUCAAAAUAACAACUAAGAAAGUUUUUUUUCUAACAAAAAAGUUUCAAACUCAAGAAUUCUUCAAAGAGUAAACAAAAUAGGUGUCAGGUUAAAGAGAACCUACAAUUUAACUAGAUAUAACAUCUAAUGAAUUUUAAAACAACCAUCCACAUGAAAAUUUAACCAAACACAUAUCUAUAAUUUUUUUUGAAAAACAAUCAAUAUGGAAAAUUAAGCAAACAUAAUUCAAUACAGUUUUUUUAAAAAAAAAAUCUAAAUAACACAUGAACUUCAAUAAUUAAAAUAUCUAAUGGAUUAUUAUUAUUUUUAAAAAAAAAAACCAACAUAGAAAAUUUAACCAAGCACAUAUUUGGAAUUUUUUAAAAAGAAUAAUCAUCACUAAAAAAUUAACCAAACAUAAUUUAAUAAAUUUUUAAAUAUAAAUAACACAAGAACCUAAACAAUUAUAAUAUAUAAUGGAUUUUUAAAAAUACAACCGAUAUGGAAAUUUUAAUCGAGCACACAUUUAGAAUUUUUUAAAAGAAUAAUCAACAUGAAAAAUUAACCAAACAUAAUUCAAUAAAUUUUUAAAUCUAAAUAGCAUAAGAACUUAAUCAAUUAUAAUAUCUAAUGGAGUUUUAAAAAUAUAAUCAAUAUGGAAAAUUGAACCAUACACAUUGAAAAUUUUUUACAAGAAUAAUCAACAUGAAAAAUUAAACAAACACAAUUCAGUAAAAUUUUUAAAUCUAAACAACACAAAAAUCUAAAUAAUUAUAAUGUCUAAUCGAUUUUUAAAAAUACAACCAAGAUGGAAAUUUUAACCAAGCACAUAUUUAGAAUUUUUUAAAUAAUCAACAUGAAAAAUUAACCAAACAUAAUUCAAUAUAAUUUUUAAAUCCAAAAUAACACAUGAACCUAAACAAUUAUAAUAUCUCAUGGGUUUUUAAAAAUACAAUCAACAUGGAAAAUUUAACCAAGCACAUAUUUAGAAUUUUUUUCUAAAAAAAUAAUCAACAUGAAAAAAUUAACCAAACAUAAUUCAGUAAAAUUUUUAAAUUUAAAUAACACAAGAAUCUAAACAAUUAUAAUAUCUAAUGGAUUUUUAAAAAUACAAUCAACAUGGAAAAGUUAACCAAUCACAUAUUUAGAAUUUUAAAACUUUUUUUUUUAAAAGAAUAAUCAAUACGAAAAAUUAAACAUAUAUAACUCAAUAAAAUUUUUAAAUCUAUUAACUAACAAGAAAAAAAUUAUCUAAUCUAACAAUCCAAUGAAUUUAACAUUUAAAAAAAAAAACUAAAAUGAGAUUAUCAACUUCAAGUACCAAUGAUUCAAAAAAAUAAACAAUCAUCAAGAAGAGAUUAAACAAAUAUCUAAGAUUUAAACAAAAAAAUAAUAAAUAAAUAAAUAAACAACUUUUGAUCAUCAACACCAAGAACCAAUGAUCCACAAAAAUAAACAACCAUCAAGAUGAGAUUAAACUAACAUCUAAGAUUUAAACAAAUAAUAAUAAUAAUAAUAAUAAUAAUAAUAAUAUAUUGCUGAAUUCUGAACCGUGAUUGACUUGUUAAUGGGAUUUUAAGGAUUCGUAUGUGGCGGAGGAGUUUUGCACUUGUUUAUCACAGAAUUGCGAGGUUUUCUGUUUAUUAUCUUUGAGCAAAUCGGGGGUUAGAUUUGAGCAGAAAACAGAGGAGGGUGAUUGAGCGGGAGGCUAGUGAUGAGCAGUUCAUCCAACUUCGCAUUUUCCGUGUGAUAGUUUCAGUUCACAGAACAAUCAAGGAUUGAAGUUCUAAUGAAGCCUCUGUCACAACUCUCAGAACCCAACUUCCUUCAUCUUCGACUCUUUGAUCAGAGCUUUCACAUCUAUAGCAGAAUUCUUCAUUCCGCUGGCUAUCUGGCCUCUGAUAAUUACACUUUCAUGUUCUUGGUUCGCACCUCUGCUCAGCUAUUGGCGCAUGUGACUGGUUCGUCUACACAUGGUGCCGUUGUGAAAUAUGGAUUUGAGCAUGAGCCACAUGUUCAAAGUGGCUUGAUUUACAUGUACGCAGGAUUGGGUGGUUUGGUUGCUUGCCAUUGGAUGUCUUCAUCAAUUUGUGAGCCAGAUUUGGUGUGUCAGACUGCAAUGGUCAGUGCAUGUGCCAAGGUGGGAGAUUUUUCUUUUAAGCCGUUUGAUAAAAUGUCCCACAAGGACCCUAUUGUAUAGAAUACAAUGAUUUCGUGAUGCGCAAUGCAGGCAAUCAAAAAAGGGAAUCGAAUUUAUUCAACUUAAUGCAAAGGUCGGGUGUUAUUCUAGGAGGAUGAGUUUCUGAGAUAUUCAUUCAACUCAGAGGCUUCACGUUCUAUAACAAAAGGGAUCGGGUGAUUUAUUUGAGUCUUCGAGGAAUUCUAUCACUGAGUGUGAAAAGCCGCCCUCAACGCAUGCUGGCUCUCCUGUGUGCAGUGGUUCUGGGAGCAUGAAUGAUUAGAUAUCGUAUGUUUCAGGACGUGAAACUUGCUGCAAGGAGAGGAGUGGGGCUUCUCGAGAUGCUCUGUCAUACAACAGAGUUGGUAGUGAAGAAAUCUAAUAUGAAGUAACUGAUUGUGGCACUACAUUUAGUUUUGCUGCAGGAAACUCUUUUGGUGCAACACCUGCAAGCUGAAGUUUAAGGUGUCCUUCUUCCAUUUGCUUCAACAGAUGAAGAUUCUGAUAUAGAAAUACAUGGAUCUAGUUCUGUAAGUAUUGAUGAGAAUGAUGUGGUUGAGGUCAUGUUGCCCAGAACUUCAGGUGUCAGUCAUUGCUUAUCUACUGUAAAUUCUAGUUCUGUAAAUGGCAUUUUGACAGGGACAAUGUCAUUUUCAUUGAAGCUGCCACCAAUUGUUUUCCGGAUAAAUUUGCAGACAAUAAAAGCAUUGUUGGAUCUUUCUACAAGAAAAUUCGACUCGCUCCCAACUCCAAUUCAUAUCCUCUUGAAAGAAUGAAGUUCUCUAUGGGCACCUCAAAAGCAUCCUUCAAGACUGAGAAAUCCAGGAGUCAGUUACAAAACGCAAGACAUGUCAUGCUCAGAAAGUGCUACUGUCAUUUAUAUUUUAUUGCGUCAACGCGGGAACGAAUGGGCAAACUUCGCUUGAGGUGAGAUGCUGAGAACCAAGGUCCUCGAUCAUUCAAAGCCAAAAUGAAAUCACAUCAAAUGCCUGAACAGAUUGUUUUCUGGAAGUGGAUUACCCUGAAGAUGCUGAGCAUAGUCACGUAGACCUCAGUAUAUCAUUGAUCAAUCAAAGGUGAUUCAGAACCUGUAAAAAUGUUUGAGAGAACUAUUAAUUUGAUAAACAAUCAGAUAAUUAACUAUCGAUAUGAUCCGUCUGAAAAGUGGUUGGUUUUGAUUGGAAUUGCUCCGGGUUCACCUGAGAGACCACAGCUUGUCAAAGGGAAUAUGCAGCUUUUCUCUGUUGAACAGCAUCGAAGUCAAGCUCUUGAAACUCAGGCUGUAUCAUUCGCCACAUUUAAAGUUCCAGGGAAUGAUCAAUCCUAUGCACUUAUUGGUUUUGCCACAAUAUCCUUUAAUGCCGGACAGAUUGUCUCAAAGCUACAUGUCAUUGAACUUGGAUCCAACUCAGGGGAACCAGGAUUUAUAGGGAAACAGGCUGAUCUUUUCUUUCCCCCAGAUUUUACUGAUGAUUUUCUAGCUGCAAUGCAGAUAUCGCACAAAUAUGACUUUAUACAUGUGAUUACCAAGCUUGGAUUGUUGUUUGUUUAUGACCUGGAGACGUCUUCUACAGUAUACAGAAAUAGGAUUAGUCCAGGUCUAAUAUUUUCUUACUGCUGAAGUUACAUCUAUUGGAGGUUUUUAUACCAUCAAUAGGCGAGGGCAGGUGCCAAUUGCUACUGUAAAUGAGGCAGCAAUCAUACUUUUCGUCAGCGGCCAAUUGAACAACUUGGAGUUAGCAGUCAAUCUCACAAAAAUGGGGAGUUUCUCUGGUACAGAGAACUUGGUUGUCCAGCAUUUCCAAAAAUUGUUUGCUCAGACAAAAUAUAAGGAGACUUAAGGAAUCCCAUGGUGGAACCAUGUCAACAUAGACUAGAACUGAUGGAAAUUUAUCUUCCUCACUGUCAGAUAUCACUGCUCUUGAGGAGUCUCUUACUGCUGCUGGUGGGAAGUUCAUCUUUGUGCAAAAGCUUCGUGACUUUGUUUCUGUUACAUGUGACGUUUUGCAGCAUAAGGCUUUUCUUUUUAUUGAGGGACUUGAAGAGCAAAUGCAGAAGCUUCAUGAAGAGCGUGCAUCAGCUGUCUUAGAAAGGAGAGCUGCUGAUAAUGAUGAGAUGAUGGGAAACACAAGCAUCCAUUGAUGAUGCAAUGUCGGUUUUCACUAAAAGUGGUUCUAAAAAGGCAAUGGUUGCUGCUGCUGUUCUUCUAAGAGAACUGAACUGAGUAGCACACCAGCAUACUGUUACGGCUCAUGAGCAUCAGAAGAAUCAUAGCAGGGGAGCCAAAUAACCGGGUGGAGACUACCAGAAAUCAUGCUUAAGAUGACAUUGCUCAAUCCUAUGCCAGCGGAGCUGUUUCUAAUGUCCAAAACCAUUGUGUUAGAUGACACUAGUCCAGCCACUCUAAAGAUCAGAAAGCCUAUCGAGGGAGUUGCUUCAUCAGGAAAGGGGUAGAGGAGAUUUAAUUUCUAUUGAUGUUCUUAGUAUCAGGAACUCUUCAUCCUUGAGCGCCAAAAGUUGUAAGUCUAAAAUUUGGAAAGCCAGCUAUUUCUUCUGAACUGCAUCUGUCUCCUAGUACCAUAGGUCAGCUGACCUCAAACGUGAAAUCUAGAAAGGUUGACGCUGCUUGCACAGUGGUAGCUAGCUUCUCCUUUAUGCUGAACAAAUUUUAUUAGGAUUCACGAUCAGUUGAAGCAUCCACAAUUUUUGAUGCUGAAAUGGAAGAAACAUUUAAGGUCAUUAAACUAAGAAGUCUGAUGGCUGGUUCCUCUGCCCAUGCUGUUCCAACUUCAAUUGGUUCCAGUUUGCCACCAAGCUCAUCAAUAGACUCAUUGCCUUCAGAAAAGUCAACACCGAAUCCCCAUGCUGAGGAUUUCAAGUUCAAUCCCAAUAUAAAGGGGUUCAUUCCGCCUCAAGUGCCUCCUGUCAUAUUCAAUCCACAAACUACAUCAAUAUCCUUUUGACAUCCAGAAACCAUUUGGAAAGAUUCUCAAUGAAGAGACAUAUACCCCAAAAAUGAUCCCAAUCAAGGCACUUUCAAGCUUGGUCAAGCUUUAUGGAAGAGUUGCAGCAGAUUGAGAGGCUCAAAGCAUAGUCGUCUUAAAGCAGAGUAGUCUACUGGACACCUUCUUGAUAACCAACAGACUGCAAAGUUCCCAAUAGAAGUUAGUUCUUAAAGUAGCAUUUAUUGGGAUUAAUGUUCCUCUUGAGACCAUACAGGUGAAAGAUAUCAUCUUCAGUUUUACAAGGUGGAAUAAUGCUCAGUGGGCAUAAGAAAUGAAUGAUUCCAGUGAUGAAACCAUGAUCUUCAAUAGUGGUUCUGCUCCACCAGCCUAAAGUGAAUUUCGCCAAGCCCAGAUGGAGAUCCACUUGGUAUAAUAACUGGUUUCAGGCAGAUAGUAGUGACGGCUCAUGAUUGGGAUGAUAUAUGUGCCUUCUUCUCUUGGAUUUUGGGGUUCUGGAAAGCCAAGAAAACUGCAACUGUGGAAGACCGUAUCCUUGAAAGAUCAUUCUGGUGUUAUUGGUGAGAGCAUUAGCUUUUCAGACGAGGUAAUUGGUGUACUACAGCACUUGCUCGCUGUGCACAUAACAGAUGACAUUGAGAACCUGUGCUGGGAUUUCUUGAGUAAUAGAAUGCGGUUGUUUCUGGUACUCUCCUUGCUUCAAACUGGAAUUGGGGAAUAUUGCCUAAAAACAACAAUGUCCCUGGAAUAGGUCCAAUCUCUCCUGACUAUGCAUCCAGUGAUAAUGAAUAUCUUACUUUUGCAGAAGGCCUAAUUUCCAGUUUACUAGAAGCUGGGCAAGUUGCUAAAAUCUCAAGGAUAUUGUCAUCUUUCUUGAACAUAUAUUUACAAGCUUACCAGAAAGCAUUUCUCUCUACAAUUAACAAUGGCCAGCACCAUGGUGAUAGGUUUUCACCUUUAUUGCUUCUCAAACAUACUGGUGUUGACAAAGGCAUACAGGAUGGGUUUCUUGAGAAGAGUGGAAUAAAUCCUUGUCAUCUGGAGUCUGUUUAUGGUCUCUUAUCAAAGUUAGAUCAAAUGGUUAAGAAAAGAGCUUCUGGAUUCCUAUCGAAGGUCUUUUGGGAAUGUAUAUUGCAUGGUUUCCCCUCUCAUCUUCAAGCUCCCAGUGGAACUCUUCUUUCAUGCAUUCUAAGUAUAAGAGGGAUCAUUUGCAUUCUAGAUGAGCUACUGAAAAUCAAGUGAGCGCUUCUUUGGCUACAUAUUUCCCCUUGAUUGGCGAAAAUCAUCUACUGAGGCUACGGUUUCUCUCAAAGAAAAUGAGCUUGCUGGGAAUUUACUUAGGGAAGUUAUUCUUAAAAACAUCAGCUAGAUCCAGAAGUUUUAAAUCUUCUCAUACCAAGGCGAUCUGCAAUGGCAGUAGUCGUACAUCAUCUUCUGAUCAAAUUGGUAAUGAAAUUUGGGAGAAUGACGUUAAUAAAGUUGAGGACCUUGAAGCAGUUCAGAUAUUGCAGGACAUUUUUAGCAAAUAGCAGGGAACUACAGGCAAAAGUGUUAAAUAGGAUGCUUAAGAUUUUCUCAGGUCAUCUUAAAAGCUAUAAAUUGUGUCAACAGCUAAAGACUAGGUCACUCCCUAUCUUAAAUAUGGAUGAUUUUCUUCCAUCAUCGCAAGAGAUCAUCUUGGAAAAUCUUGGAUAUGCUCCGAUUAUUGUGAAAAGCAUUUCUGAGCAAGAAUCGCCUUCACUUUGCUGUUUGUUGCUGUAGCUAAUCACGUCUGAAUUAAAGCACACCAUUCUUUCAUUUUUUGUCAACACAAUGGUAAUCCUGAUCAGUUGGAGAGAAAAUUCAGCUACAGCAGCUUCAAGAAACACUCUGGCAGCAAGGAUGAUAUCAUAUCCUCAUCAAAGCUAAUUGAAUCCGUUUCUGGGAAGUUUCCUUUUUUUGAAAUUAAGAAUAUAGCUGCUGAUGCAUAGGGAAGAGACUCCCAGAUUUAAAAUUUGCAGUCAGGAAAGAAGCAGAGUACUCUCUGAGGAAGAAGUGGAAAAAGAUUGAAAACUUUGAUGCCCAUGAAGAAGGAACCUGAUUCCACUCUUGAAAAAAUAUUAGACAAAUCUACUGGUUAUUUGACGAUUGAAGAGUCGUAGGGUAUUAUUAGUUGCUUAUGAAUUGUUAAAACAGCAAGUUCCUGCAGUGGUCAUGCAGGCUGGUCUACAACUGUGUGCUUGCCUAAUAAAAACACAUUCUCUAGCCUUGGAGUUCCCUGAAAAUGGAGGUGUGGCUGCUCUUUUCUGUCUUCCAAGAAGCUGCUUCUUUCUUGGAUAUGACACGGUAACAUCUGCUAUCAUUCAGCAUCUCCUUGAAGAUCCGUAGACACUUCAAACAGCUAUGGAAUUGGAGAUACGACAAACUCCAAUGGGAACCUUGAAGUGUAUAUUUGUAGAUCAAAGCUUCGCGACCAUUACUGUUAGUAAUGAACUAAGCUUCAAUUUUGAUCUAUCUUCAACAAUAGGAAUUGAUUUAUCCAAAAAUUUGCUACAUAGAGAGAUACCGACAGGAUUUUCUGGGCUGUUGGGUUUGGAAUACCUGAAUUUAUCAUAUAAUUAUCUUGAUAGUCAGCUUCUUACCUUGGAAAAGACGGAGAGAUUGAUGGUACUGGACCUAUCAGACAAAUCUUUGUCAGGUCAGAUCCUAGAAAAUGUUUCCAAUCCAAGAAACGUAAAGAAUCAAGAUAUGUCAAGUGGAGGUUCAAAAUACGGAGGAUAAGGGUCAUAUUCAGAUUCCACCCUUCAAUUCGAUCAUGGUUUCUGGUUGUUCAUUGCAGUUGUUCUACUGAAAGGCACAGACGAGUAAUCAGUGAACUCGAUAAAGCAUUAUCUUCAUUUUCGAACCUGGAGUGCAAUUCUUCGAAGAGCAUUUUAUUGCCAGAUAAAAAGCAAAAAGCAUGAUAGAUGGAGGAAUGGUUCGGUGCCUAACUAGCAUUCUUGAGUGAUGCAGUUUUCAAGUUUGAUGGUCUGAACAAGAAAAAUCCCCAGCUUCAAACCGAAGAUCUGAUGAUCAGGGGAUUGCACCAUUAACUACAGAGAUUGGUGAGAAUAGUCAGAAUAGAAACAACCAACAAGGACUCAUGGAUGCAGUAGGAACAGAGCAGCGACAACGUCAAGGAAUUUUGCAAAGUGAAGGAAAUCAUUCAUUUACAGAUUCGGUCCGAUUAUGGAUGAAAAGCAACAAUUAGGAGUCUGCUUGGUGAUGGCAACGACAAGGAUACCUAUUCUAGUGGAACCAUUGAAUCAAAUCUUGGUGGCGAGAAAUUAACACAGAAUGCAGGAAAUCCGUCAAUACAAAAAACUGGGGAUUUUGAACUUUAUGUUCAGUGUUUGACCAAUAUUGGGGAGAAUCCAUUUGAGCUUACGGACCAAGUUACCUUAUAAAUCGAAAUGCUUCUGACCACUGAAUACUUUGGCAACGAAUUGGGUCCUUCUAUCCCGAAUUUUUAGACUCCACUCCAUCAUGGUUACCUUGCUACACACACCUCCUCCUCUUUUUUGGCUUCUUUGAUUAGGAAUUUACUAUUUUAAAUUGAAUUUUUUAAAUCAUUUUUCAACUAAGCAUUUCCAGCUUUGAAAAAUCCAGAUUUUAAUAAAUUUGCUGCCACUUUCCUCCAGGCAUGCAUUUUCACUAUCUUCUUUUAUUCUCAAUUAUUUUCAUGGUUUUCUCAAUUUUCAACAAGCAUGAACAAACUUCAUGAUUCCAAAUAAUGGAAUUCAUAGAAUCAAUUCAUGCAAAAUUAAUUAGAGCUAUGGUGGGGGCCCAACAUUCGUGAUAUUUUCCUCAAUAUUGUCUGUUUAAUUGUGCUUCCUCUAUGUGGAUACAUGAGAUUGUUUUACACUUAUUAUUGAGCUAAUCUUAUUUCUCAUUUUAGCGCACGGCUUGCUAUCCAGGUACGUUCCCUAAUACCCACUUUCUAAACCCUAUGAAUAUGAUUGUCGUUGCGUACUAUGCCCAUGCUUGCUAUCCUGUUUGAUUGUCUUGAUAUAUAUUUGAUGUUUGUUUGAUUAUCUUUGAUAAAAUGCAUAUUGGGUGAUAUAUUAUCUAAACUAACCAUUGAUGUUUUAUCAUAGCGCUUAAGAAGUGGUCCAGGUACGCACCCUAACUCUCCUUUAUUGUAAUUUGAUCAUGUUUGACAUGUUAUUUUUUAAAUCACCUUAGUCUAUCUAGAUAUCCUUAAUCACUCAAUUAAUUGCCACAUUUCCCCCAAUUUAGUCAGUAGAGACCUCUUUAGGGCUUAGAGGGGUGCUACCUCCUAGAGGUACCUUCGCAAUAAGUAACCUGAUCCCCAGACCUAGACUUGGGUUUUUAAAAAACACGCUUUUCCAAAAAUUAUGGAGUCAUUUUUUUAGGGUUUUAUUUCUUGUUUUAUUUUCCCUUUAAAAUAAAAAUAAAAUGAGUGGCGACUCCGAUUUUUCUUUCCAAAAAUUACUUUUUCAGAAAUAAAAAACGAGUCUCGCCGAUCGAGUGGGGACGCAUGUGAAAAAUGUGGGUCCACAGACAGGUUGGCCUUUGGCAAUUGCAGCAGACCCUCUGAACCAUCAUCAGCUAUCAGACCUAGCAGACCUCCUUGUCAUUUUGCUUACUUGGAGGUUCUUCAAGAUCACGGACCAUGCCGACUCCGUUUUGCAAUCGAUAUACUUUUUUAAGAUCAGCAAAAGCAACAAUCUAAACUCAGAAUCAGAUCACCCACAAUUGUCUAGUCACUGGAUGAGAAAACCUCCAGGUCCUUUUUGAGGAACAUGUAUUAAGGACCCUUCCACAACUUUCUUUAUCCAUUCCUUUGCCAAGUGAUAUGUUCUCUUCUAUCUUGCCACUCUGAAUUCAAGGAAAAUGAGUACCAAAUUAAACAUCAUAACCAACUUGUUCACUAUGGUGGCCUUUAAUUUGAGCUUUACAAUUUCUAGGAAACCCGUGACGGAUCAAAUUCCUAAGUUGCAUUCCUGAACGCACCAAAACUCAUGCUAAUACCUUCAUGGGCACCAAAACUAAUCAAUCUCACCACUAGCAAAACUUCUCCAAAAAAUCGGCAAAACUAUCCAUGCUUCAUCUUUCCUCUGUUCUUUCGCCCCUGUUUUUCUUCCUUCAUUCUCCAGUAAUAGAUACUUUAACCGGUGCCAAACAAUCUUCCUCCUGGAAUGGUAGUUGUACGAGAAACCCUUGAACUUGUUUUCUUAUUCCAAAUUUGGAUAUGGAGUUUUGACAGCAUCAAGAAACCAUUCUUUAGUGCCAUUGAUUAGUGAUGCAGGCAUGGCUGGAAAUACUCGAAAUAUCCACAUAAAACAAAGGAAGACUGGAAAUGGACCAAUAAAAAAUAAACAACAAAAAGGAAGAACCAAUGGAAGCCAAAUUUCAUAUUUUAUUCCAUGGGCUUAGGUUGGUGAGGGGAAUACAAGCAAAUUCCAACAAACAUAUACGACGACUAUUCUCAUGUAAUGCACAGUAAAUAAAAAAGGUAAAGUCUUUUAGCCCUAAACCAAAACUAGAGUACUCCAAAGGGAGAAAUCAACAACAUCUAGAGAAGCAAUCAAGUGCCAAUCCAAACAAACAUAUAGCCUCUAUCAUUCUACACCCAAGCAUCCAAACAAAACUCAAAAUCCCACGAAGAUCAAUACAUAACAAAAGGAUAACGAGAAUGAAGGAAGAGUCAACAAGAGGCAUUCCUGGAAAUGUUCCUCUCUAGUAAGAAAAUCCCUGUUGGUAUAUCGUCUUAGAUCUCUUACUCUGCUUUGUUGUGUUUCCUUCCUCUCCCUAUGAAGACAAUCUCAGAAUUCUCCNNNNNNNNNNNNNNNNNNNNNNNNNNNNNNNNNNNNNNNNNNNNNNNNNNNNNNNNNNNNNNNNNNNNNNNNNNNNNNNNNNNNNNNNNNNNNNNNNNNNUUUUUUUCCGGGGGGUUGGGGUGGGGGGGGGAAAAAAAAAAAAUUCCAAAAAAAAUUUUGGGGGUUUUUUUUUUUUAAAACCCCAAAAAAAAAAAAAGGAAAAUUUUUUUUCCCCAAAACAAAAAAUGGGUUUUCCCAAGGGGGAAAAUUCACAACUUUUGGGGAAGAAAAAAAGGGCCAAUCCAAAAAAAAAUUUUUCUUUUUUUUUUUUCCCCCCAAGGCUUCAAAAAAAAAUAAAAAUCCCCGGGGGUUCAUUUAUUUAAAAAAGGGUUCGGGGAAGGGGGGGGGGGCCCCCCGGGGGCCUCCCGAAAAAUUUUCCUUUUUUAAAAAAAAACCCCGGGGGGAUUUUUUUUUAAUUUUUUUUUUUUGUUUUUGGGGGUUUCCCCCCCCCCCCUAAAAAAAAAAUUUUAAAAUUUUCCCCCCCUUUAAAAACCCCCCCCCCCCCCCCCCCCCCCCCCCUUUCCCCUUUUUCUUUAUUCCUCCAAAAGCCUAAUCUAAACUCAAAGGGCAACCAAGGUCACGAUGAGGGGUCAAGUAAAUCCCCCAACUAAAGUCUCUGAGGUGGCUAAAAAAAAAGUAAAUUGUAUGAGUAGUCAUGGGCCACCAAGAGACUACUAUUAAGUAUCAAAUGAGCUUCUAAUAGGACAUGUGCUAAGAGGACAAAAUGGAGGGUCUACAAUACCUUUUUAGGAUCACAUAAAGGGACACUUUGUCUCAAUUCCAUGAGAUAUCAUGGUGCCUACAUUUAGAAUACCUAUUGUUACUGGCUUUCAUCAACAAUGACCCAAUCCAUAGGAAAUAUGUGAUCAACUUACAAUCUCACCCGUAAAUCAAAGACACUAGUAACUUUAGCAUAAACUCAACAUUCUCUCAAAGUUGAGGGACAACGCAAUGAAGUAGUUUGGUGAGGUCAUGACUACUUGAUAGCCUUAAGUCAUGACUUAUUGUAGGUCCUGUUCAAUGUGUAACCAUACACACUAAUGCACUCACCAUGGGAAACCCAUCUCGAUAGCCAAGACCAAUUAUCCCUCUAAUUAGGAGGUGGUGCACUACAACCCAUAAUAGGUUGCCUAGACCCAUGAAUCGGUUGUGAACAAGUCAUCUAUUUGUAAGAAAUCCAUGACUUGGAUCUUUCUUGCAACUCUUAAAGCACCAAGUCACGUACAAUGCAAAAUAUGCAUGCAAGAAUGCUCAUAAAAGUGUAAUGCAUGGAAUAAAUUAAAACAAAUAAAAGUGAAACUAGAAUAUCAUUAAAUAAUGAAUUCCAAAUUUGUUAUAUCAUUGUCAUGCUUUUAAGGGCUCUAUCUUAACAACAUUAAUUUAUUUUGUUCUAAGAUCAUCAAAUUUUUAUUUAACACAACCUCGUUGAUCUAUAUACAACACAACUUGACUUCUCCUUAAUUUGAUAUCAUAUUUUUUUUUUCUUUUGAAAGUAAAGGCAUCGUAUACCAUGAUCUCUUUGAUUUUCCAUUUUAUUUUUCAUCGUGGUUGCCUUUGUUUCCAUUUUGGAGGUGUUUCCAUAUGUUACAAGUGAGCAACUUAUAUUUAAGAGCAUGAAUUUUGGAAAGUGUAUGAGAGUUUUGCUUAUCUAAAGAUUCAAGUAUAUACUAACUUACUUCGAGAAACAAUUAUAAUGAUCUUAGUCAAACAAGGCAUGUAGACAAUAAGAUUUGAGCAUGAUGUACAAAGGAUCUUUCCAAAGAUAUCAAUGUCUACUUUAUGAGUUAAACUUAAGAAGUCUCCCUCUUGAUCAAGCACAAAAUGUAACUAAGGUUGAAAUUCCACUCUCCAAAGACAUUUAAUUAUCAAGAAUCAUAUCUGCAAUAGUGAUUAACAAAUAUCUAAGAAUCAAUCCACAUCAAGUCUUGUAGAUAUAGUAUAUUUCUCUAGUUCUCAAACUUGAGAUAUUAAAAAUCAUGCCAAUAUAUCAAGUAAAAAAGCAAAAAUCAUAUGCCCAAAGCAAACCAGAAGAAAACCCAAGGAAAAAAGUAGACAAUGAAACAAUUAAGCUCAAAACCUUUCAAGGCCUAUAACAUUAGAUAAUUAGUCAAUUAGGCGUAUGCCCAAGGAUUUCCUAAGGAACUCAAACCUAAGAGAAUUCAAGGGUUUUGUAAAGAUAUCUACCAAUUGAUGUUUCGUGGGGACAAACUCUAGAGAGACAACGUUUUCUUCAACAAAAUCCCUAAUGAAAUGAUGAAAAAUUUCAAUAUGUUUAGUACGAUAAUGAAGAACACGAUUCUUUGAUAUAUUUAUAGAACUAGAGUUUUAAUAGUAUAUGUUCAUGGUCCUUUACUCAAUCCUAUAGUCUUUCAGUAUUUGUUUCAUCCAUAAGAAUUGUGUACAACAACUUUCAGCAACAAUAUAUUCAACUUCAACAAUAGAUAAGGAUAUAGAUUUUUUUUUUCUUACUAAGCCAACCCACAAAACAAUCACCAAUAAAAAAGUGAGCAUCAUAUGUGUUUUUUCUAUCCUCAACAUUUUCGACCCAAUCAACAUCAAAAUAACUAACAAUCAUAAUAGAAGAAUCAUAGGGAUACCAAAAACCAUAGUCAAGAGUCUCACUAAUAUAUAAUGUAAUUCUUUUAACGGAAAUUAAGUGUGACUCUUUGGGGUUUGCUUGUUAGUUAACACAAACACCAACACAAAUGAUAUGUUAGGAUGACUCACUAUGGGGUAUAAUAAGUUUCCUAUCAUACUCCUAUAGAGCUCUUUUUCAACAUCCUUUCUAGAUGCAUCCUUAUUAAGCUUAGUGGUAGUGUUCAUAGGUGUCCUAGAGUGUUUGGUGGAUUCUAGACCAAAUUUCUUCACUAACUACCGAGCAUAUUCAGAUUGUGAAAGAAAGAUUUCAUCUUUUAGUUGUCUAAUCUACAAUCCUAAGAAGAAAGUUAGUUCACCAAUCAUACUCAUCUCAAAUUCAGUCUUCAUUUCCCUAACAAAACUAAAGUCAAGAUCACUAGAGGUGGCUCCAAAAACAAUAUCAUCAACAUAAAUUUAGAUCACUAAUAAUUCAUCCUUGUACCUAUGCGUAAACAAGGUUCUAUCAACUUCCCUUUUCUCAAACUUUUUCUCCAAAAGCUAGGUAGUAAUCAUCUCAUACCAAGCUUUAGGAGCUUGUUUUAAUCCAUAAAAGGCUUUCUUCAACCUAUAGCUAUGAUUGGGGAAUUUCGGAUCCUUGAAACCCUUAGGUUACUCUACAUAAACUUCUUUACUUAGAAUCCCAUUAAAUAAAGCACUCUUGACAUCCAUUUGAUAAAGCUUCAUUCUCAAGGAGCAUACUAUAGCCCAAGUAUCUUGAUUGAUUCUAGUUAGGUUACGGGUGGAGAUGUCUCUUCAUAAUCAAUCUCCUCUAUCUGUGAGUAUCCUUGGGCUACUAAUCUUGCUUUGUUCCUCACAAUGACCUUAUUUUCAUCUUGUUUAUUUUUUAAAAUCCAUUUUACACCUAUGACAUACUUAUCUUUAGGCCUAAGGACUAAAUACAACAUAUCAUUCCUAGUGAAUUGAUUCAACUCUUCCUAUAGUGCGGUAGUCUAAGACUCAUCUUCUAAAGCUUACUCCAUGAUAUUGGGCUUCAAUUGGGAGGUAUAGCAUAUAAGAUCCAUUUCAUUUAAUCUUUGAUUAUCUCCUAGCAACUACACGUUCAUUCACCUUACCUAUAACUUUUGAGAUACAAUAGUUCUUGGGUACUUUGGAUUUAUGCUUAUUCCCCAUUUCUUCAUAAUUGUCUUCUUGAGAUAUAUUCUCAUCCUUGUUGGGGUCAACUUCACUUUGAGGAACAUUAUUUGGGUUCUUUGAUUUCUCCUUAAAAAAACUCACAAAGAAGUAUCUUGAAAAAUCAUCCACAACAACUAGGACAAAUCUCUUACCACUUCUACUCUCAAUAUGCAUGGGACCCAUAGAUCCAUAAAAAGAAGGUCUAAAGGUCUAGUGGUCCUAAUUUCCUUAACCUUUUUGUGUGAACUUUUUUAUUGUUUACCCACCACAAAUGGGUUUAGGUUCACCACUAAGUUUAGGGAUUCCUCUAACUUUUUCACUAUUAACUAAGUGUACAAGAUCCCUAUAGUUUAUUUGACCUAGCCUUCUAUGCCAAAGUUUAGUAAGGUCUAGCUUAGCACUAGUGCACACAAGAGGUGUCUUAGAGUUAGGAUUUAUUGCAUAACAGUUGUCAACUAUCCUAUGUCCUGUGGUAAUGGCUUUUCCUUCUUUGUUGACUACCUUGCAUAAGUCUUAGCAAAAAUUCACCCUAUGAUCUUUGUCAUAGAUUUGACUAAUACUUAGGAGGUUUGCCUUGAGUUCAUCUACAUAAAGAACUCCAUCUAACUUAGGACAAGUAGGGAUAGAUAUACUUCAUUUGUCUUUCACAAGCUAAGUUUCCAUCCCCAAAGGUAAUUGUGCCACCAUUAUAGUCCUUAAAAGAUAUGAAAGAAGGACUUGUCUCUUGUCAUGUGUCUAGAGCAACCACUAUCAAAGUAUCACUCACUAGAAGACCUAACUUUAAGUGCAGUGAAGACUACUUGACAUUUAGGCUUAUUUUUUUUCAUCCAAACUUGUUUAAUCCUAGGUGGUAACUUAGAGAAGCUUUAUUGAGAUAUAGGCUUUUGAUUAGGUUUAUUCCCUUUUCCAUAAUUCAAGAUGUUAUUUUUAAGGGAAUUAAAGUCAUUCAUUAGCCUAUUUAUUUGAGAUUCAAAUCUCUCUAGGAACUUAGUGUAGCACCUAUACUGAGUGUGUCCUAUUUUCUUUCAGUGUAUAGUGAUGGGUUUAUGAGAGAUGCUACUUGGUUGGGGGUUUCAUCUUUUCCUUUAACAAACACAAUUUCUCCACUAGAAAGAGUUUCAUCUUUAUUAAUAUACUCCAAACCUCAUUUAUCACCAUGGGUUUUCAUUUAUCAAGUAUUUCAUUAAGCAUUUUAGUUCUAAGGUGAAAGAUCUCAUUCACAAAUGAAAAAGGCUUACUAUUUUUCAUCUCUUAAGUAGGAGUCUUAUUUUUCUCAAUAAGAGAAUGAUGUUCAGAUCAAGAAAUCUAUUUUUUUUUUCAAGUAUAUUAAUAUUUUUUUCUUUUAGCACAUCAAUCUUAGUUUUGUAAGCUUCAAGUAUAUGAUCAUAUCUUAAAUAAUUCUUAAUAAGUUUUUCAUGCUCAACAACAAGAUUAUUCAAAAAAGUAGCUUUUUGAUCAUUAGUGAAUUCAUUAUCACUAUCACUAUCAUGCACAAAUUCCAUAGAUGCAACAAAAGCUAAAAAGUUAUUAGGAUCAUACCUUGUAUCUUCAGAAGUUGUGGAACCACUUUCUUCAAAAUCAAUGUCACUCCAUGUAGCUUGCGUAGACUUUUUGACAUUUUUUGGGUUAGGACAAUCAGUAGCAAAGUGUCCCAAACCACCACAAUUAAAGCAUUCUACUUUCUUACCUUUGGAGGAACCUUAAUCAUUUUCUUUGGAUGAUUUCUUAAGUCUCUUUCCUUUUCUAGAUUCUUGAUUUUCGCAAAACUUUUUGUUGAAUUUCAUUACCGUUUUAAUUCUUUUAGUCAUAUAAAUCAAUUCAUUCCUAGUUAUAUUAUGUGACAUUUCAGUAUCUUUUUUCUCAUUCUCCGAAGCCUUAAAGACAAAGUCUUGAGGAUUUUGAGAAUUAGGUAAGGGCAUCUCAUAUGUCUAUAUAAAGCCAACAAGUUCACCAACUCUCAUCUAAUCAAUGUCUUUGCUUUCCUCUAUAGCAAUAACUUCAGGUUUAAAUCUCUUUGGGAGAAAACUCAAAAAAUUUUCUUACUACAUUUGAAUCUAGAAUGGGUUUUCCAAGGUUCAAAGAAGAAUUAACUAAUAAUCUCAAAUUUAGUUUUGAUUUUCAUGCAUUGUAAUAAUCUCAAAUUUAGUAGUAAGCAUUUGCAAUUUAGAAACUUUAAUAGUAGGUGUACCUUUAUGAGUGACUUGAAGGAUAUCUCAUGCUUCCUUAGCACGAGUAUGGUUUGUUAUCUUGCGAAACUCAUCUGGACAAACUCUAUUAAAGAUACUAAAUAAAGCCCUAACAUUGGCUUCACUUCCUUCAUUAUCAACUUUGUCCCAAUCUUGUUUAGGUUUUAAUUCUCCAAGUGAUCUUCCACGGACAUCAAGAAACAAUGAGGGCGUUCACCUUGCAUUUUAAGAAAAAACUUCAUCUAGGCUUUCCAAUAGGGAUGGUUACUCCCAUAGAAGCAAGGUAGACUAUUUAGAGGAGCCCUAGUUUUUUAUUGUUUCAUACUAGACUUACAAAAUCAAUAAAAAUUUCAUUUUUAUCCUAUAUAAUUAAUAAAAAUUUGAUUUUUAAUCAAUAUGAAAAAAAUCGAUUUUUAUUUGUUUGUAAUAUCAAUUGAAAAACCAAAAGUCUAUUAGGAUAACACCCAAAGGGAAGGGGGGUACUGAGUGUAUUUAAAAAUUAUUUGUAUAUUAUAACUAACUUUUUCCUUGCAAGAAGUUAGGGAUUAUUAAUUCAUUCAACAAUGGACAAUGUAAUCAAGAUAAUCAAAUAUAUGCAAUGAAGCAUAAGGAUAUUUACAUGGAAAACCCUCACACCAACUAUGGAGAUAAAAAACCACGAGGUCUAAGAUUGUUAAUCUAAAUCCACUAUAUGAGAUCAAGUUACACAAAUUUACUUGACCACUUUACCCUAAAAACUUACUCUCCAAUAUCUACAACUUAAUCCACGUCUGUGAUGCAGCAAAUCCCUAAUUGCUCCAAUGAAUACACUUCAGCCUCGCUAAAGGGAUGAAGAUCUUCAACCCCAAGAUUCAAAGCUUGAAUUCUUUGAAUGAGAGAUCAUGAAUGGUAUGACACGUUAGAAUUUCUCUUAAAGAGACUCUUUUGAAUCUCUCUAAUCUCUUACCCUAUAAGGGUUAUAGAGAGGUAUAUAUAGGCAAAUAACCCGAAGAGAUUUGAUAUGCAUAGGUUUCCAAAUCCAACUUAUGUGAAAUUCUCAAAAUUAUUCUCUAAUUUUUUGCAAGAAAUACAUGAGCGCUUGAGCACACAUAACCACCGCUUGAGUGGUGCUAAGCGCUUAAGCGGUCCCAAUGCUUGAGUGUUGCUGCCUACUCAAUUGUCCCCUAUUUCAUUCACUUUUUUUAAAAAAAAAAAAAAAUCAAUUUUUGUUGAUUUAAAAGAUAUCGUUCCUCUUUAUACCUCAUAAAAGUCUAACUUGCCACAAGUCAAACCUUUUCAGACAUACCUGUGACUUCUCAGUUGAACGAACAACAACCCUUGAUCUUCAAUGAAGAGCAAGUCACUAUUUAAUAGGACUUAUGUGUUCAAACAUUAAAAGAAAUAAAAUUGUCGACAUACAAACAAGACUCAAUGUCCUAACAACAUCUCUAUCAUUUAGAUUCCAUAUAUGUAUAUUACACCCAACAAACUUAAAAUGAUUGAAAAUUUCAUGAUAUAUCUAAUUUAAUGGCAAUAUAAAGACCACCAAAAAGAAUGAUAUUUGACAUUCUAAUCAUAAUACAUUUUUGUUAGUUCACGAUGUAAUUUUUAUUUGUUUUCAUUAAGAUUAUGUUUGAUUUUUGAAAAAUAGUAAAAAAAAAAAAAAAUGUAAUAAAAAAGAAAGAAAAUAUAAAAAAAUAAAAAAAUGAAAAAAAUAAAUUUUAAAUUUUAAAUUAAUAAAUUAUUUUUACACACUUCUUCAAACUUAACUCAUUUAGUUUUUAUCUUUUAUAUAAAAAUUAAGUAAUUUUUUUUUAAAGUUUCUAACUAAUUUUAAUUAUAUUUUAUUUUCUUUCAUAUUUCUUAUAGUAAAAUAAACAUAAAAAACAUUUUCCUUAACAAAAAUUUCCCCUUUUUCCAUAACAUUUUUCAAGGAAGAAGACCAAAAAACCAUAUAUAUAUAGCCUAAUUAUGUUUAAUCUUUUUAGAAAUAUCCCAUAAAAUAUGGAACUUUCCAAGUCAACCAAACAUUGUUUAAAAGAAUGAAUGAAAAGAAAAGUAAAAUGAAUAAAGCAUACACUAAUAAAUUUCUUUGGAUCAAUUUUCUUCUGUACUUUUAUUCUCAUCAGUUGCCAAUAUAUAUACACAGAGAAGAGAUACAUCAAGACUCCUAAAUAAGGUAAAACUAAACAAGGAAGAAAAUAUGUACAAAUUACAAACACAAUAUUUGCCUACCACGCCAAUCAAGGCUUACCAUAAUCGGCUUGCCCAUCAAAGUUUACCAUAAUCACUAAUAUAUGAAGUUGGAAUAUAAUUAAUGCGAGCACAUGAAGCUACAUUUGAUAAUAUCACAUCUCUUCAAUAACCCUUAAUUAUAAUGUCCAUAAUAAUUAUAAUUCACAUCUUAUAUUCAUGUUGCUUGAUAAUAAGAAAAUGGACACCAUAAAAAAUAGGAUAAAAUAAGUAUUGAAAGUCUUCACCUAAUGAAUAAUAAAUGUCCAUAUUUUCUAUUAGGCCACAUGGGAGUUUUCAAUGAACGAAUCAACGUCUCAGUUGUAGCCUUCACCUAACAUAUAACAUAACAUGGGCAAGUUAAUCGUAUUAUAUUAUCUUGAUAAACAUAAGUUUAUAUUUUUUUUUCUUUCUUAUCACCUCUUACUUUUUAAUAACUUUAGAAGUUCAACUUUUGUAUCAAAAUGAAAUUAUUAAAUCAACAAAACUUCAUCCAAAACUGGAAAAUUGAUAAAUUCAACAAUAAUAAAUUUUAUGAGGCACCAUAUUGACCAAAACCUAACCCAACUUUAGAUCUUUCUUCAAAUAUUCACACUUAUAAAUUUUUAUCCUCAAAGAAUUAUCGAUAACAUAUAUUUAUUUACCAUUACUUUGAUAUUUUGGUAAUCUAAUUUAUGGCCAAGCGCGAGCAUAAUUUAAAUUUAAAAUCAUUAUCAAUUCUCUCCCAAAUAUUUUCUUUUGUAGUUGAUAUUUGAACAUUUAUCAAUAUAAAGAUUAUUGUGUCGAUAAUAUUUUCACUCCCAACGAAAAUGAUGGCAUAAGAUGUAAGACUCAAGAUUCGGUAAGCUUGAGAUUUGAUAUUGGUUUUGAGAAAAUAUGUCUAAAAAAGUAAGUAUGAGAUUAUGUGUGCUUAAGAUUUGGUGUUGACUUAAAAUUUGAUGUGAUUUGAAUCACACAAAGAGGAUUAGUUUUAUCUUAUUGAAUUAACUUUCAAUAAUUUCAAGUCUUAGAUUGAGUUUUGUCCAUCUCAUCUAAAAUAUUAAUUGAUGUUUGACGUGGAUAACCUAAACUUUUUAUUACAUUCAAUUACCAUCAUUUAAGUGCUUUAUUCCUAAUAUUAAAGAGUAACAUUGUUGUACACUAACAAUCCUUCCUUUAACACUUCUAUGGAGUGAACCAUAACUAUUAACUCCAAUAUUAAUUCUUGGAUAGGGUAUUUAUCAUUUCUUCUCAAAACCAAUUAUAUUCAAUGAGAAUAAACUAAAUUUUUUAUGGCUUUCAACCACCAUCAUUUUGAUUGCCCAUCUCUAUACUUAAAGAAUGACAUUAUUGUUGCACCCUCAUGAUGAGAAAUAGUUUUAUUCACUACUUUUAACGAAUUUGUUAUUUUGAUUAAAUAUACUUCUUUUUAUUAAAAGUUUUGUAGCAUUCUUCGAACAGAUAACAAAUUAAUCGAUUUCAAUUUUAAUAAUAGUGAGCUUGUAGACUUGUUUUAUUUUCUAAUUUUUAUAUCAUCACACUUUGGUUUAUAAAUUGAUUCGUUAAUUAUAUUUAUGUAUUUGUCGCUUUCCUUUGACAUUUUAUAAAAUUAUUGUUCAUGUAAUAUGCAUGAAGAAUUUACUAAUAUUUUACUUAAAAUAUUAUAAGAAAUAAAAAGUAUUUAAACCACUUCGUUUUGAAAAAAUAAUGUAUUACCAGUGUUGUCAUUUUUAUAUUCACAAAAGUCUACUAUAAAUAUUUUUAUAAAUUCUCUCUUAUUAUUCACAAUUUUCCAUCCUUAGUGGUGUAUUAGGCAAAUAUUUUUUGUUACAAAAGUUACAAAAUAAAAUAUAGUUAUAGUGAAAAAAUUAUUAAAACAAUUAUACAUGACAUAGAAUGUAUAUUAUUAUAAUAUAUUAGCUAGUUUUAAGUUCUAAUAUUUAAUUGUGGGUGAGUGCUUAUUAAUGAAGCUUCUCCAUUUUUUCUCUUUUUAAAUGCCUUCUAAUUAACAUUUUUGGACUAUUUUGCAGAUAAUGAACAAAUUAGGUAACUUGAGUUUUAAUUAAUAUAAGUUUAUCCACUUGGUUUUCCCCUCCUUCAAUGCUUGGUCUCUGUUACAACCUUGUGAUUUGUAUUCAUGAGUAAUUAAUUGAUGGUAUCAUUUUCUAUAAAAUAUUGAAUGGUAGUUUAGGUUCAACUUUUGUAUUUAAAUUAUUUGUAUAUCUUUCUUCUAGAAGGAGUAUUCAAUCUUGUUUGGUAACUAUUUUUUAAAAAUAGUUUUUAAUAAUAGUUUUUGAAAAAAAAUAUAUGAUAUUUUGUAAGAUAAAAAUCUAUUUAAAACUUGAAAUAUUUUUAACAUGUUUUUAAUAUUUUUAAAUAUGUUUUGAAAAUAAUUUUAUGUGUAAAACUGUAUUUUUAUUUAUUAUAUAUAUUUAUAUAAUUAUUAUUUAAAGAAACUUUCAAAAAACAAGUGAAAACAAUUAAAAGAUGUUAUCUUAAAAUAUUCUAUUUUUUUCCUUAAAAAUAGAAAAUAGAAAAAAGUUUUUUUUAUUACCAUACAUGUUUUCUAGUUUUUUUUUUAAAGAAAAAAAUAAAAAAUUGCUCUUGAAAACAAUUGUGAAAUCAAAAAACAAAAAGCUUCUACACUUUUUUUUUCCCUAAAAUUUCUAUAUUUUUAUAAUAUUAGGUAAUGUUUGACUAAAAAAAUUAAGGAUAAAAAUAAAAAUAAAAAUGUAAAAAAAAGUUAUAAAAAAUUAUCUCCUAUUCUUUUGUCCAAGGAAAAACUACAAGGAAAACAAUUAAAAUUACAGAGGAAUACACUUUGGAUUCACAAAAUUUUCUCAUCCUUUUUUUUUUUUUGAAAGAAAUAUAAAAGGGAAAAAUCUUUUAGAUUAUGCUUGAUUAUUGAAAUAUAUUUUUUUUUAAAUAAUCCUUUGAUAUUUAGUUUUACUAUCGAAAAUAAGAAAAACUAAAUAAAUUAAUUAAAAAAUUUGUAUUUUCAAAUUAUUUAAUAUUUAUAUGGGAAUUAUUAACAUAAUUUUUUUAAAACAAAUUAUUUUUUAUUUUCUUCAUUAUUUCUUUCCUUUUUUUUUUUUUUUUAUGAUAUCUCAUAUGGCAUAUAUGAGAAAACUCCUAACUUUGUAUAAGUGUGGGUUCAUAUUAAUAAUAUAGAUAAACUUUAAAAUAGUGAGGAUCCCUUCAAACUCAGAAUAAAUAAUAUGUGUACUGUUGGAUAUGGAUAGUUACAUUCUCUUCUUUUUUUUUCUAUUUGCUUUAUCUUGGCUCCUCAUAAUUAGCCAAAUGUCCAUCCAAAAGACUUGGACGUAAAGGAAAAAAAGUAAAAUGAAUAAAGCAGUGGAGCAUAAAUAAUACAUUGGUUAUAAGGUUGAAUGAGAAGUGAGAACAGAUGGCACCACAUUUUAUAUUGACAACGACCGCAUUUUAUGGGAAGUAUUAUUUAAUACUUGUCCACCAAUUACAUAAUAUUAUUCAGUGCCCAUGUGACUCAGCAACGAUCUAUUUUUUCUAAGUCUCUUAGACUUUUACGUAUUAAUUUUUUAUCAUAUUCAUUGUUUUUAGAUUUAAUAAUUAUACAUUUACAACUACUUUAUAGUAAAAAUAUAAUAUUAUUUAUAAAUUAAUAAAUUAUUUAUUUAUCAAUAAAUUAAUAAUCCUACAAAAAUGAUAAAUUCUCUUGGUUCCAAGAGUAUUAUUUUACUGUAGUUGGAGAGACACCCAUUCCUUUACUGAUAUUAUUGGAAGAGAUGAAAGCAAAAAGGGUGUGAUACGGAAGUUGUUUUCAUUUAAGAAUAAAUCUUAAAGUUGUUGCCAUACUUGGUACUGGGGGCUGGUUAAGGCCACCCUUGCUCUCAAUUGGUCUACAAUGAGAGUUUAAGACCAAAAUAAUCCAUUUGUAAAAAAAAUGACAAUAAUAGUACCGAUCUCAAAAUAUUUGUCAAAAUAAUCUUUUGUAUCCACGUAAGCAUUCACAUGGAUUUUUUUUUAAGUGUAAAAAACCACCGUUGAUAACUAUGGUUUUAAAAGUUUCAAAAAUAUCUUUAAAACCACAGUUUGUAACUGUGGUUUUACAAUUUUUCUUAAAACCACAGUUAGUAACUGUGGUUUCAAAUUUAUUUUUAAUUCACCCCGUUUGAAUGGUAGUGUGAUUUUAAUAUUAUUUUUAAAAUAUUUUUUAUCAUAAUAACCAUAAAAUCACAGUUAGUAACUGUGGUUUUAGAAAUAUAAUAAAAACCACAGUUACAGAUUAUGGUUUCACACUUUACCAAAAUUUCUUAACGAUAUACCAAAUUUCCCUAAAGUUCAUUUAGGAGUAGAGAUAUUUUUUUGCAAUUUUUCAUUGUCAGUUUAAAAUUAUUUUUUUUACAAAUUAUUCUUAAUAAAUUUUUUCUUUACUAUUGUUUUAAAAUUAUAUAUAUAUAUUUUUAUCUUUAUUUUUUUUUCAUAUUUUCCUUGAAAUUUUGAGAAAAUAAUUUCUCCUACAUGCAUUCCCAUAAAAAUUUAUAUAUUUAUGGUAAAUAAAAUAUUUAUUUGUUUUAUGAAUUUUAUCACAUAUGAAUUAAAUAAAAUUAUUUUUUCAUAUUAUUUUUAAAUUUUAAAAUAAUUAAACAAAUUGUUUAUAUUAUUUAAAUUUUAUAUUUUCAAAUAAAAAAUAAUAUCAAUGAUUAUAAUUUUAGGUUAUUUAUUACUAAUUGUGGUUUAAUGGUUAUUAUGAUAAAAAAAAAUAUUUUAUCAUUAAAAUGGAGGUGGAUUAAAAAUAAUUUUGAAACCACAGUUAAUAAUUAUGGAUUUAAGGAAAAUUGUAAAACCAUAGUUACAAACUAUGGUUUUAAGCAUAUUUUUGAAACUUUUAAAAUCACAGUUACCAAUGAUAGUUUUUUACACUUAAAAAAAAAAUUCAUGUGAAUGCUUACGUGAAUAUAAAAGAUUACUUUGACAAAUAUUUUGAAAUGGGUACUAUUCCUACCAUUUUUUUUUACAAAAUGAUUAUUUUGGUUUUAAACUCCUAUGAUGAUGAAAGAGUGGUACAAUACUUGAGUCUAUGCGACACCUCAAACCCUGAGGAUAAGGGUACCGUGGUCAAAGUCAAAAUCUAAAUCAUCAAAUUUAAAGCAGCUUCUAAUGGAAGCAUUCAUCCUACACUAAUACCUCCUCAUUGAUAUCACGUGGGGAAUAAUAUAAAAGAGUUUAACUCCAUAUAUAGUAUCGAAUUAUAUCUUGGGAGAUAUCACCUUUUUUAAUAAAAAUCAAUUAGUAUGUAAGCUUAUUUAAUUCAAUUUCUUUGAAAAAAUUUACACUUUCAAUUUAACGAUAAAACAACAUAAUAGUUGUAGUAGAGUAAUUGAAAUGUUUUACAUAGAUUCACGGGCUGAUCUAAUGGAUUGAAAAAUAAACCUAUUUUUGGGUCUGAUUGAUUUUAUUUUAUUUUUAACAAUUAUGUAAUUGAGUUAUCCUUGUACCAAUUACUCAACCAAUUGGAUUGACCAUCAAUGUGAUUGACUACUUUUGAUAUAAGCGGGUCAAUGCAUCAUCAUCAUGUGGGUUAGGAGUAGUGUUAAAGCCGAAAGUCGUGAAUAAUUGAGUCUAUUACCAUUGAGUUAAUACCUUUAAAAAUACUUUUAGAAUUGGAUCAGUUUUUAAAUCGAAAAAUUUAAUAGUACAUGGUUUAUUGAUUGGACUAAUGGUUAAAUCGUGAUCAAAUAAUUAUAUUAUAAACUAUGCAUCAAUUUUGAUAAACCUUACAAAUGGCUUAGUAGUAGUGUUCCCAUUACUCACAGAUUAGCUAGACAUGUGCACAAAUCUGGCCCUUACAAAAGGGAUUGUGUUUCUUUUUUUUUUUUCACCUUGGUUCAAACUUAGAUAGAUUUAACUUUAAACUGACAAUUUUGAAGUAGAAUUUUUCAAUACUUCUGAAAUAUGAAAACGAACAAUUUUGAUUUUUUUUUUUUUAAUUUUAAAGGGAUAUUUGCAUAAGUAUUCAUAAUUUUUGCAUACAAUUGUGAAGCGUGACACUUUCAAAUUUAAAUAAGUAUUUUUCUUUACAUUUCAAUUUUUUUUUUAAUUAGCUAUUCAUUGACUUUUUAACAAGCUUAAGAGCAAAAUGUUUGAGUUUUGAAUGUAUAAAACAUGUCAAAGAUUAAAGGAGAAGAAAGAAAGUAUUUAAAUCUAAAAUUUAUUUCAAUAUACGUUAUUAAUAGUAAAAUAUCAUAUUUUACUCUUUAAUAAAUUAAAAAAAUCUAAAAACUUAUAUUUUAAAGUUUUUAAGAAUUUUUAUAACUAAUUAUAACUUUAAUAAUAUGUAAAAUUUACAUUUAAUUUUAUAUUGAUAUCAUGAAUUUAUAUUGGUCUCACAAUUAGAUAGUGAUUGAAUCAUGGAUCCAACUAGUCCAAUAACUUUUCGGAUACACUAACCCAUUCGAUUAUAAAAACAUAAUAAUAACUAUAAAAUUUUAUAUAUAUUAUCACAUUUACAAGUAAAAAAUCAUGCACGAUUUCAGACUUGAUUCUUUUAUACAUUUGAGUGAUAUUAGAGGUUGAAUUUUUUAUCUUAAUAUAUAUUAAUGCCUAUCAUGAAUACACAUUUGAGUGAUAUUGGUGGUUGAAUUUUUUAUCUUAAUAUAUAUCGAUGCCUAUCAUAAAUAAAAAGUAUGAAGACAUAAUACAACUGUAUUUGAGUUGUAGAAAGCAUGGUGUUUCCCACGUCCCUACCUAUGGAAUUAUAAAAUUCACACCAAGAAUGCAUCAUCAAAUGACCACAUCCACUGCAUGUGACCCCCAUGUGAUAUGUCACUACACUCUUUCCCAACUCUUCCAACUUCUUCAUCUAUAUUUUAAUCGACAAGUUUAAAUUUCUUUAAAAUGUUGACAUAGAAUUGAGAAUAAUGCUAAUCACAAUUUUCACACAAUUAAAAGUUUUGUACUUUUUUUUUAUUUAAGGAAUAAUCAUUUUUUUUCCUUAUAUAUAUAGCCUUACUCUAUGAAUGGCCCUUUCUCCUCUUGGCCAAAGGAAAUCCAAAUUAGCUUGAAUUUUGAUAUAAAUGAAGUUGUUCAAUUUGCCUAAUUUUUUUUAUUUUUUUAUUUUACUUUUUAUUGUAAUUUUCUAUUGCUUUUAUAAAGGUUGAGUUUUAUUUUGGAAACUUUUCACAAAAAUACAAGGAAAAAAUAGGGAGAAAAAUAAAAUAUAAAAAAGUUAAAAAAAAAAAAAGAGAGUAGAAAAUAGAUGUAAAAUUAAUAAAUUAUUUUUUCAAAUUUAUUUCAUUUAUAUUUUUUUAUUUAUAUAAAGAUUAAAUAAUUUAAAAUAUAUAGUUAUUUUAAUUAAUUUUAAUAAUUUUGAUUAUAAACCAAAUAUCAUAAAAUUAUUUUUCUUAAUUUUUUUCUUUUCUAUAUAUCUUCCAUAUUCUUUUCUUAAUAAUGCUGUAUCCAUAAUAAUAAUACUUCUGGAUGCUGAGGAAACCCAACCAUAUUUUAUAUCAUGUCACAUGGGGCUUGGAAUAGUUCUAGGUAGACGAGUUAACAAUUGAUUUGAAAUCUUCAACCACUAAUUUAAAUUCUUCACCUAAUCAAUAAUAAAUGUCCAUAUCUUUCUACCAGGCCACAUGCAUGGGACUUCGAAUGGUUUAAAGUGAACAUGUUCCCUGAUUAAUUUGGAGCUUUCACAUAAUAUAUAAUAUUUUUUUUAUUUACAUAAAAUUAAAUAAUUAAAAAAUAUAUAAUUAUUUUAAUUAUUUUGAUUUGAUUUUCUAUUAUAAAUCAAAUACCAGAAAAUAAUUUUUCUUAGCUUUUUUUUUUUUUCUAUAUAUCUUCCAUAUGUGUUUGUUCUUUUUUAGAAAUAUCCCAUAAAAUAUGGACCUUUUCUAAUCAACCAAACACCCAGGAGGAACAAAAAAGAAAAGAAAGAGAGAGAGAGAACUUAGAGAAAAAUAAAAUGAAAAAACCGCUAAAGAUAGUAUACGUUUUAUAUAAAGUUGGAAUAUAAAUAAAUGGACCCACACCCCUUCAACAACCCUUAAUCAUGUUGUAUCCAUAAUAAUAAUUCACAUAUUUUAAUAGAUUUGAAAUCUUCACCCAUUAAUUUAAGUUCUUCAUCUAAUGAAUAAUAAAUGUCCAUAUUUUUCUACGAGGCCACAUAGGACUUUGAAUAGUUUAAAGUGAACAUGUUACCUCAUUAAUUUGGAGACUUUACAUACUCUAUAAUACUAUAAAAUGUUGGAUAGAUCACUAACCUCAUUUAAAUAAUAAAAUCUUCUAAUUCUUUUUUUUUUUUUUCUGAUUUUUACAUGAUUGUGCUUUAUUUUAUAAAUUAAUUAAUAAUUAUAUUUAUUUAUCUUGGCUUCCCGUACAUAUUUUAUGAAAAUAUUAUCCAUGUAUGUAAUACACAAGAUGAAUGCACCCUUACAACUAAAUUCAUCUUUUAAAUUUAAAAAAAAAAAACUAAAAAUUAAUAUUAUUUUACUUAAUAUUUAAGUAAUAAAAAUAACAUAACCAAUUUAAUUUUUGGUUUUUCAUUUUUUUUAAAUUAGUCUUAUAUUUCACAACUUUUCAUCCUUAAUGUGCUACAAAUCUUUUUACCACUAUAAGGGUUAUGAAAUAAAAAUUAUGUGUAUGGAAUAAAUAAGAAAAAGAAAAUUAAAUUGUCUUAUUAUUUUGCAAUGUAGUUUCAUUCCCAAAAUUUCCUCAAAUCUUUUUGGUUAUAUUUGAUUAUUGGAAAAUGAAAAUAAAAAAUAGAAAAAAAAAUAUUAUUCUCUAAUGUUUGGUUUUUACAUUGAAGAUAUCGGAUAUAAUUAAAAUUAGUUAAAAUUUUUUAUAUUUUUAAAUUAUUUAUUUUUUAUGUUGAAAAAUUAAAAUGAAUAAAAUGAGUUUAAAGAACAUACAAAAUAAUUUAUUAAAUUUAAAACUAUCUUUAAUUUUUAUUCAUUUUUUUUUCACAUUUUCUAUUAAACUUAGGAGAACCAAACAUAUUCUUAGUAUUUUUUUUUUUUUUUUUUGUUAAUGUUGUUUUCCCUUGUCUUUUUCCAUAGUAUUUAAAAAUAAUAAAUUUGUUUCCAUUUCUUUUAGGUUAUAUUUGGUUUUUGAAAAAUUUGAGGGAAAAAAAUAAAGAAAAAUUAAAAAUAAAUUUAAAAUUAAUAAAUUAUUUUUAUAUGUUUCUUUAAAUUUAUUUCACUUAAUUUUCUCAAUUAUAUAUAGAUUAAAUAAUUUUAAAAUAUAUUUUUAAUUAUAUUUAAUUUUAAAAAAAUUUAUAGUGAAACCAAUGAGAAAACCUUUUUUAUUUAUUUAUUUAUUUUUCCUAAUAACCAAACCUAACCUUAGGAUUUUUCCAAAUUUCGGAUCCAAAAGUAACUGAAUGUUACGAAAAAAUAUAAAUUGAAUGAAGUACAGGAGCAUAAAUGGUACAUCAAUUUUAUAUUGACUACCUUCUGUACCUUUAAUUGCAGCGUGUUGACUUGUCCACCGAAUCCAUAAUAUCAGCCAGUACCCAUGUGACUUGGCCCAUCUCAUCCACCCCUAUAAAGAUAUCUCUUACUUUGUUCCCUAUUCUCUCACAAUUCCCUCAGCUUCUCAUCUUGUACGUGCUGUAUUUUCUUGGCUUUCUGCUACUUUGAGUUGUUCCAAAAUGGCUGACCAAAUUCCAUUCGGUGUUGUGGAGCACAUUUUGACCAAGUUGGGGUCCAAGGCGUUUCAAGAAAUUGGAUCCAUGUAUGGUGUUCCAAAGGAGCUAACCAAGCUCAAGGACAACCUCGACGUCAUCAAAGGUGUACUUCUGGAUGCUGAGGAACAGCAGCAGCAGAAAACUCGUGGAAUAGAAGCUUGGGUCCAGAUGCUCAAAGGCGCCGUGUAUGACGCAGAUGACUUGCUGGAUGACUAUGCAACCCAUUAUCUACAGCGAGGAGGAUUCGCAAGGCAGGUCAGUGACUUCUUCUCAUCUGAAAAUCAAGUUGCUUUUCGCUUUAAGAUGAGUCAUAGACUCAACGAUAUCAAUGAAAGGCUAGACGCUAUCGAAAAAAAAAUCCCCAUGUUGAAUCUGACUCGACGGGAGGCAAUACGCAUAGGAGUAGAGAAUAGUUGGAGAGAAACCCACUCAUUCUCGUUGCCAUCUGAAAUUGUAGGAAGAGAAGAAAACAAAGAGGAGAUAAUAAGGAAGCUGUCAUCUAACAAUGAAGAAAUUCUUUCCGUUGUUGCCAUUGUUGGCUUUGGGGGAUUGGGUAAGACCACCCUCACUCAAUUGGUAUACAAUGACGAAAGAGUAGAACAUUUUGAGCGUAAGACAUGGGUUUGCAUUUCUGAUGAUUCUGGUGAUGGUCUUGACGUCAAACUGUGGGUCAAAAAGAUUUUAAAAUCUAUGGGAGUUCAGGGUGUGGAGAGUCUGACCUUGGAUGGUUUGAAAGACAAGCUUCACGAAAAAAUAAGUCAAAAGAAGUACUUGUUAGUACUUGAUGAUGUUUGGAACGAAAAUCCUGGAAAAUGGUAUGAAGUGAAAAAAUUGUUGAUGGUUGGUGCUAGAGGUAGUAAAAUUAUAGUAACCACCCGAAAACUUAAUGUUGCAUCCAUUGUGGAAGAUAAGUCUCCCCUUAGUUUGAAAGGUCUAGGAAAAAAGGAGUCUCGGGCUUUAUUUUCAAAAUUUGCAUUUAGAGAACAGGAGAUUUUGAAGCCAGAAAUUGUAGAAAUUGGAGAAGAAAUUGCAAAAAUGUGCAAGGGAGUUCCUCUCAUUAUUAAGACUUUAGCAAUGAUAUUGCAUUCUAAAAGAGAACUGGGAUUUUGGUUGUCUAUUAGAAACAAUAUUAAAAAUUUGCUAUUACUUGGAGUUGAGAACGAUAAUGUUGUACGGGUCUUGAAACUAAGUUAUGAUAAUUUGCCAACACAUUUGAAACAAUGUUUUACAUAUUGUGCUUUAUUUCCAAAAGACUAUGAAAUUGAGAAAAGGUUGGUGGUACAACUAUGGAUAGCACAAGGUUAUAUUCAAUCUUCAAAUGAUAAUAAUGAGCAAUUAGAGGAUAUAGGGGAUCAAUAUGUUGAGGAAUUAUUGUCAAGGUCAUUGUUGGAGAAGGCGGGAACCAAUCAUUUUAAAAUGCAUGACCUUAUACAUGAUCUUGCACAAUCAAUUGUAGGAUAUGAGAUCCUUGUUUUAGAAAGUUAUGUAAAUAACAUUUCACAAGAAGCUCGUCAUGUAUCAUUGUUUGAAGAGGUAAAUCCUAUGAUAAAGGCUCUAAAGGGAAAACCCAUAAGGACCUUUCUAAACCUUGGUGAAGAUUCUUUUAAGGAUAGUACAAUUGUAAAGUCAUUUUUUCCGAGUUUUAUGUGUUUACGUGCAUUGAGUUUAAGUCGUAUGGGUGUAGAGAAGGUGCCAAAGUGUUUAGGCAAAUUGAGUCAUUUAAGGUAUCUUGAUCUUUCCAACAACAAUUUUGAGGUACUUCCAAAUGCUAUUACAAGGUUAAAGAAUUUGCAAACACUAAAACUCAUAUGGUGUCGGCGUUUAAAAAGAAUUCCAGACAACAUAGGAGAAUUGAUCAAUCUUAGACACUUGGAGAAUGAUAGCUGUUUUAACUUGGCUCAUAUGCCACAUGGAAUCGGCAAGUUGACUUUACUUCAAAGUCUACCAUUGUUUGUUGUUGGGAAUGAGACAGGGUGGUUAAGGAAUCACAAAAUUGGUAGCUUGAGUGAAUUGAAAGGCCUUAACCAACUAAGAGGAGGGUUAUGCGUAAGUGAUCUUCAAAACGUGAGGGAUGUUGAACUGGUAUCCAGGGGGGAAAUUUUGAAAGGAAAACAAUAUCUUCAGUCCUUGAGAUUGGAAUGGGAUCGGUGGGGCCGAGAUGGGGGGGAUGAGAGUGAUAAGUCAGUGAUGGAAGGCCUUCAACCACACCAACACCUAAAGGAUAUCUUUAUAGAAGGUUAUGGAGGUACGGAGUUUCCAAGUUGGAUGAUGAAUGAUGGGUUGGGUUCCCUGUUUCCCGACCUAAUUAAAAUUGAAAUUUCGGGAUGUUCAAGAUGCAAAAUUCUGCCACCCUUUUCUCAACUCCCUUCUCUCAAGUCUUUGAAGCUUCAUAAUAUGAAAGAAGUGGUGGAGUUAAAGGAGGGUUCAUUAACAACGCCACUCUUCCCAUCUCUUGAAUCGCUCGAACUCUCUGACAUGCCAAAGUUGAAGGAAUUGUGGAGGAUGGACUUACUAGCAGAAAAACCUCCUUCAUUUUCUCAUCUUUCGAAGUUAUAUAUUUAUGCAUGCUCUGGUUUGGCAUCACUGCAUCCUUCUCCUUCUCUUUCUCAAUUAAAGAUCCAUAAUUGCCCAAACUUGACAUCCAUGGAACUGCCGUCAUCUCUUUGUCUUUCUCAAUUAGAUAUCAGAAAAUGCCCUAACUUGGCAUCCUUCAAAGUGGCUCCAUUACCUUCUCUUGGGAUACUCUCUCUGUUCACAGUUAGAUAUGGUGUGGUACGGCAGAUAAUGUCUGUCUCUGCUUCUUCUUCGUUGCGGUGUCUGUAUAUUAAAAGCAUAGAUGAUAUGAUAUCUCUCCCGAAGGAGUUACUUCAACAUGUUUCUGGCUUGGUAACGUUAGAGAUCCGUGAGUGUCCUAACUUGCAAUCCUUGGAACUGCCCUCAUCCCAUUGUCUUUCUAAAUUAAAGAUUGGAGAAUGCCCUAACUUGGCAUCCUUCAAUGUGGCUUCAUUACCUCGUCUUGAGGAACUAAGCCUGCGUGGAGUCAGAGCAGAGGUACUGAGGCAGUUCAUGUUUGUCUCUGCUUCUUCUUCAUUGAAGUCUCUACAUAUACGGAAGAUUGAUGGUAUGAUAUCUCUCCCAGAGGAGCCGCUUCAAUAUGUUUCCACUCUCGAAACUCUCCACAUUGUUAAGUGCUCUGGUUUGGCAACAUUACUACACUGGAUGGGCAGCCUUUCCUCGCUUACGGAACUUAUUAUUUAUGACUGCUCUGAAUUGACAUCACUGCCAGAAGAGGUCUAUUCCCUUAAAAAACUGCAGACAUUUUAUUUCUGUGAUUAUCCACACCUAGAGGAAAGAUACAACAAGGAAACAGGUAAAGACCGGGCCAAGAUUGCUCGUAUCCCACAUGUUCGUUUCAACAGUGAUACCUAUAUGGUAAUGAAGGUAGGUCCGAAAUCCCUAACCUUUCUUCCCAUUUUUAUUAUUUAAGAAUCAAAAUGCUAUGUUUGUUUUUACUGCUCACAUUAGUAAUUUUGAAAUUUUUUUCCAGCUAGGAUGCGCUUUCCGAUGAUGUGCACUAAACUAACCAUUUUACUUGGAGUUGUACAUUCUAAGAGUUUGAGGAAAUACUGAGGUCUGAUAUGAUAACUCUCAAUCUUAAACGUUGUUUUGUGUUUGGAACGUUACUACACUUGAUACAUACCCUCACCUCACUUACAGAGCUUGGAAAUCGUGGCUGCCCUGAAUCGACGUCACUGUCAGAAUAUAUGUUCCCUCAAAAACCUGCAGACACUAAAUAAUCUGCAUCUGUUCACAGAAAGAUGCUGAAAGGAAAGGUGAAGACUAACCCAAGAUUGCUCAUAUGCCACAAAUUGAUAUCAUACAUCCAUGAAGAUUGAACCGAUACACAAUGCCUUUCAGGUCCGAAAUCCCUAACUUUUCUUCUCAUUUUCUAUGACUUCAUUUUCAUUAUCUUACUUUUAAAAUGCUCUGUUUUCAUUUGUUUUGGUAGUUCUUUGUAUUUGUGACUUACUUGUUUGAAAACUUUUACAUCUUCAAAUUAUUUUACUGUAAGUGUUUUGCAUUCUAAGAGUUUGAGGAAAUACUGAGCUCUAAUAUAACUAGUAGAGUCCACCAUUCCUAAGAAGCUUACCAUUGCCUAAUGCCCAAAGGAUCCCAAAAGGAGACAACUUUGGAUUGGCUUGAAGAUUUCACGUGGUCCAAAAAUUUGUAUUUACUAGACGCCUGAUACAAAAAGUAGUUUAAAUUUAGCCAUUAAUAUAACUUUUUUAUUAGAGAAAUAAUUGCCAAACAAAUGCAAAAUAGAAAAUGGUGUUAAUGAAUUCAGUACUUCAUCUAUGUUGCAGUUUAGCAGCUUUUGUUAGAUAAUGAGUAUGGGGUUGGGUUUAUCUUGUUACCAUUCCAAAUAUUCUUAAAAAAAUCAUCAAGGCUUUGUUUGGUUUCUUGAAAAUUUGAGGGAAAAAAUAGAGAGAAAAAGUGGAAGGAAAAAAAAAAGUGGAAGUCAAUAAAUUAUUUUUAUAUUAUACUUUAAACUCAUUUCACUUUUUUUAACUCUUUGAUUUAAAGAUUAAAUAAUUUGAAAAUGUAUAAAUUUCUAAUUAAUCUUAAUUAUAUUUUAUUUUCUUUGCUAUUUUCCAUAGGACAAUUAAACUUGAGAAAAUCAUUUUCCUUAACAUUAUUUUCUUAGUACUUUUUGGGAACCAAACAUAACCUAAAUGUUUUAGUUUAGUUUAGCAGCUUCAUCAAAUUAGAUAGACAACCUCACAUCUCUUAUUUAGCUGAGGUGCUAUGUUAGUUAAUGUUUUGUCUCUACUUCUUCAUUGAAGUCUAUCUAUUGGAUGCAGAGAUGAUAUGAUCCAAACUCAAAUUGAACACUGCUCUUGUUUUGCAACACUACUGCAUUGGAAAGGCAACUUGAACUCACUUAUAGACCUACCUAUUGGUGAUUGCAUUGAAUUGACGUCACCUUGGAAGAGAUGUGUUCCACAUGGAAAAUCUUUCAUUAUAUGCACCUACUUGCAAGAUACCAAAAGGAAACAGGUGAAUACUUGCCCAAGAAUACAGAGGGCCACACUUGGUGAAGGUUUCAUCAGUAAGGAGAACCAUUUCAAGUAUGAAAUCCUCCCUUCUCAUUUUCUGAUGACUUCAUUUUUAUUCAAUAUCCAUUUGAAAUUAUUUAAGUUCAUUUUCUUUAUAUAUUAUAUUUUCUUUCUUGCUCAAUAAUUUCAUUCAAGUAAGUUGUUUGGAUAUCACAUUUUCUUUGGGGUUUUUUUUUUCUUUUUAGAAUAAUUUCAAAAGGUCAUUUUUAACUAUUCACAAAAUUUGAUCAUAGUUGAGUGAUUAAAAUUCAAGUUUAUUCUUAUUAUCAUUAGUAGUUAUUUGAUAUAUUCGUUUGCUAAUACAAAAAUAAGACUAACAAGUAAUGUGCAUAGAGUUUGUAGAAGAGAAGAAAGAUUUGAUCCAAGAUAUUCCUAAAGAUCGGAAACUUUCAAAGCCACCCAAGAUCCCAUAGGUUGAAUUCGGAUUCAUCCAGUUUACAAUCCAUUAAUUCUACUUAUAUCAUCUUUGUUAUGUUACAAUUUGCCUUUACUUGUUAUGCAGCCUACCUUAAUAAUUUGGGGAGACCAAGAUAAGGUAUACCUAGUAGAACUGGCUCACAAAUUGAAAAGGUAAACUUGUAUCACCUGCCUACAUGCCUACAACAAUAUAAACACUAGUUCGUGUCUUUCUCACUAUUGAAAUUGUUAUUGCAUGCAGGCAUUUCAGGUGAGGAGGCCCAACUUGUGAUCAUAGAGCAUACUUUUAUUAUAGAGAAGCCCAAGGAAAUAUUUAAGCACUUGAAAUCCUUUCUCAUUGAUUUGCUUCCACCUCCUAAGCAACACCUAGAACCACUCCCACCAUGACGAAGUUAAAAGGAACUAAUGCAACAUUCUCAAUAUAUUAGAAUAUAUCGAAGGAAGGGUGGCCACAUAUGAAGACCCUAUUCCAAGGUCAAAUUUAAGAUUUUUGUGUUUUUCCUAUCACUAUUCCUAUGCUAUUAUCAGUGCACCUUAUUUGUCAAGAUGAUUAAAAGGGAAUUCCCUAGGAUAACUAGUGUCUCAAGUGAUCUUGAAGUUCAUAAAUUUUUUGUUUCCACAAGAUAGGUGCUAACUAUUUUUAUUUUUUUUACACCCAUGCAAUAUUCUAGUCAUCUAUUAACAAGGGCUAAAAUUUCUUGUAGAGAAUAGAAUAAAGAACUAAAUUACAUGAAAAUAGGACAUUAUUAUUCUAUUUACAAGUAAGGGCCAAAAAUUGUUGAGGGCCACCAAGCACAUUGUUCCUAAAAUAAUAGCAUCCAUGUUGUUGAGCAAAAGUUUUUUUAUAUUGGCACCUCAUAUGUUUGUUUAAAUGCUCACAUCAAUAACUUUGAAAAUAUUUUCCAAAUUUUCAACAAAUUGUAAUGCUGUGCACUAAACUAAUCAUUUUACUUGGAGUUCUACAUUCUAAGAUUUUGAGAAAAAAACUAAGGUCUGAUAUGACAACUCUCAAUCCUAAAUGUUGUUUUGUGUUUGGAAUAUUACUGCACUUGAUAGAUGCCCUUACCUCUCUUACAGAACUUGGAAUUCAUGGCUACCCAGAAUUGGCAUCCCUGCCAGAAGAUAUGUUCCCUCAAAAGCCUGCAGAAACUAAACAAUUUGCAUUUGUUCACACUUAGAGGAAAGCUGCUGAAAGGAAAAGUGAAGACUAACCAAAGAUUUCUCAUAUCCCACAAAUUGAUAUCAUACAUCCAUGAAGAUUGAACUGAUACAGAAUGCCUUUCAGGUUUGAAAUCCCUAACUUUUCUUCUUAUUUUCUAUGACUUCAUUUUUAUUAUCUUCCAUUCAAAAAUCCUCUGUUUUCAUUUGUUUUGGUAGUUCUUUUUAUUUGCACCUUAUUUGUUUUAUUAAAUGCUUACUCCAGUAAGUUUGAAAAUUUUUACAUCUUCAAAUCAUUUUGCUUGAGUAUUUUGCAUUCUAAUAGUUUGAGGAAAUAUUGAGCUCUAACAUAAAUAGUAUUGGUCAUAGAGUCUUCCUUUCUUAAGAAGCUUACCAUUAACCUAAUGGCCAAAGGAUCCCAAAAGGAAAUGAAUUUGGGUUGGCUUGAAGAUUUCACAUGGUCCAAACAUUCGUAUUUACUAGAUGCCUGAUACAAAAGAAAUUUUGCUCUCUUUUCAAUUUAGCCAUUGAUGUAGUCUAAAUGUUUUAUUAGAGCAAUAAUUGUCGAGUAAAUGCAAAAUAGAGAAUGGUGUUAAUGAAUUCAGUACUUCAUUUAUGUUGUAGACUUGUAGUUUAGCAGCUUCUGUUGAUAAUGAGUGUGAGGUUGGCUUUAUCAUGUCACUGUUCCAAAUAUUCUUAAAAAAAAUAAUUUAAGCUCUGUAUGGUUCUUAGAAAAUUUAAGGGAAAAUGUGAGGAAAACAAAAUAGAGAGGAAAAGUGGAAGGAAAAAAAAGUGAAAGUCAAUAAAUUAUUUUUGUAUGCUACUUCAAACUCACUUCACUUUUUUUUAACUCUUCAAUAUAAAGAUUAAAUCAUUUGAAAAAUGUGUAAAUUUCUAAUUAAUUUUAAUUAUAUUUGAUUUUCUUUGGUAUUUUCCAAAAGACAACCAAAUAUGAGAAAAUCAUUUUCCUUUACAUUUUUUUUCUUAGUACUUUUAGGGAACCAAACAUAACCUAACUGUUUUAGUUUAGUAGUUUCAUCAAAUUAGAUAGACAACCUCACAUCUCUUAGUGAGCUGAGGUGCUAUGUCAAUUAAUGCUUUGUCUCUACUCUUCAUUGAAGUCUCUAUCUAUUGGAUGCACAGAUGAUAUGAUCUAAACUCAAAUUGAACACUGUUCUUGUUUUGCAACAUUACUGCACUCGAAAGGCAACUUCAACUCACUUAUAGACCUUCCUAUUGGUGAUUGCACUGAAUCGACAUCACUUUGGAAGAGAUGUGUUCCACACAGAAAAUCUUUCAUUAUAUUCACCUACUCGCAAGAUACCAAAGGGAAACAGGUGAAUACUUGCCCAAGAAUACAAAGGUCAUACUUGGUGAAGGUUCCAUCAAUAAGGAGAACCAUUUCAAGAAUGGAAUUCUCAUUUCUUCUCAUUUUCUUAUGGCUUCAUUUUUAUUCAAUAUCUAUAUGAAAUUAUUUAUGUUCAUUUUCUUUAGAUAUUACAUUUUUUUGCUUUCUCAAUAAUUUCAUUCAAGUUCUUUUGGAUAUCACAUUUUCUUUGGUGUUUUUUUUAGAAUAAUUCAAAAUGUCUUUUUUAACGGUUCACAAAAUUUGAUCACAGUUGAGUGAUUAAAAUUCAAGUUUAUUAUUAUUAUUAUUAUUGGUUAUUUGAUAUAUUUGUUUUCUUAUACAGAUAAAAGACUAGCAGCUAUUGUGCAUAGAAUUUGUAGAAGAGAAUAAAGAUUUGAUCUAAGUUAUUCCUAAUAGGUUGAGGAAUUCAUUCUUGUAAAAAUUGAGUGUUAAAGCCUUCAAGAGGUUUGAAUCUUGAAGAAAUUAUGUGAGAGCCCAUUGGAGCCAGAAUCCAAGUGUAAAGGAGAUUGGAAGCUUUGUUGAAACUUCAAGUUAGUGGAACCCUCACUCGGUUAGGAGAUUGAGGAGAGUGGAUGUAGGCAAGGAAAUGCCGAACCACUAUAAAAUCCAAGUUUAAAUUCUCUAACUCUAUCUCUUUAUUUUUUUAUUAUAUUGUACUUGAAUUUGUUGUGUUGAAAAAGUUUUUGAAAAACCCAAUUCACCUUCCUCUUAGGUGUUUUUCUCAUUUAAGCAUAGCCUUUAUUUUCUCACACUUGAAAUCCUUUCUCAUUAAUUUGCUUCCACCCCAUAAGCAACCCUCGAAACCACUUACACCAUGACAAGGUGAAAAGAAACUAAUGCAACAUUCUCAAUAUAUAAGAAGAUAUCAAAGGAAGGUUGGCCACAUAUGAGGACCCUGUUUCUAAGGUAGAAUUUUAGAUUUUUGUGUUUUUCCUAUCACUAUUCCUAUACUAUUACCAGUGCACCUUAUUUGUCAAGAUCAUUAAAAGGGAAUUCCCUAGGAUAACUACUGUCUCAACUGAUCUUGAGGUUCAUAAAUUUUUAGUUUCCACAAGAUAGGUGCCAACUAUUUUUAUUUUUUUUACACCCAUGCAAUAUUCCAAUCAUCUAUUAACAAGGGCUAAAAUUUCUUGUAGAGAAUAGAAUAAAGAACUAGAUUACAUGAAAAUAGGACAUUAUUAUUCUAUUUACAAGUAAGGGCCAAAAAUUGUUGAGGGUCAUCAAGCACAUUGUUCCUAAAAUAAUAGCAUCCAUGAAGAUUGAACUGAUACAGAAUGCCUUUCAGGUUUAAAAUCCCUAACUUUCCUUCUUAUUUUCUAUGACUUCAUUUUUAUUAUCUUACAUUAAAAAAUCCUCUAUUUUCAUUUGUUUUGGUAGUUCUUUUUAUUUGCACCUUAUUUGUUUUAUUAAAUGCUUACUCCAGUAAGUUUGAAAAUUUUUACAUCUUCAAAUCAUUUUGCUUAAGUGUUUUGCAUUCUAAGAGUUUGAGGAAAUAUUGAGCUCUAAUAUAAAUAGUAUUGGUCAUAGAGUCUUCCUUUCUUAAGAAGCUUACCAUUGACCUAAUGGCCAAAGGAUCCCAAAAGGAAACGACUUUGGGUUGGCUUGAAAAUUUCACAUGGUCCAAACAUUUAUAUUUACUAGAUGCCUGAUACAAAAGAAAUUUUGCUCUCUUUUUAAUUUAGCCAUUGAUGUAGUCUAAAUGUUUUAUUAGAGCAAUAAUUGUCGAGUAAAUGCAAAAUAGAGAAUGGUGUUAAUGAAUUCAGUACUUCAUCUAUGUUGUAGACUUGUAGUUUAGUAGCUUCUGUUGAUAAUGAGUGUGGGGUUGGCUUUAUCAUGUCACUGUUCCAAAUAUUCUACAAAAAAAAAUCAUUUAAGCUUUGUUUGGUUCUUAGAAAAUUUGAGGGAAAAUGUGAGGAAAAUAAAAUAGAGAGGAAAAGUGGAAGGAAAAAAAAGUGAAAGUCAAUAAAUUAUUUUUGUAUGUUACUUCAAACUCACUUCACUCUUUUUAACUCUUCAAUAUAAAUUUCUAAUUAAUUUUAAUUAUAUUUGAUUUUCUUUGUUAUUUUCCAAAAGACAACCAAAUAUGAGAAAAUCAUUUUCCUUAACAUUUUUUUUUCUUAGUACUUUUAGGGAACCAAAUAUAACCUAAAUGUUUUAGUUUAGUAGUUUCAUCAAAUUAGAUAGACAACCUCACAUCUCUUAGUGAGAUGAGGUGCUAUGUCAAUUAAUGCUUUGUCUUUACUUCUUCAUUGAAGUCUCUAUUUAUUGGAUGCACAGAUGAUAUGAUCCAAACUCAAAUUGAACACUACUCUUGUUUUGCAACAUUAUUGCACUCAAAAGGCAGUUUCAACUCACUUAUAGACCUUCUUAUUGGUGAUUACACUAAAUUGACAUCACUUUGGAAGAGAUGUGUUCCACAUAGAAAAUCUUUCAUUAUAUGCACCUACUCGCAAGAUACCAAAGGGAAACAGGUGAAUACUUGCCCAGGAAUACAAAGGCCAUACUUAGUGAAGGUUCCGUCAAUAAGGAGAACCAUUUCAAGUAUGGAAUUCUCAUUUCUUCUCAUUUUCUUAUGGCUUCAUUUUUAUUCAAUAUCUAUAUGAAAUUAUUUAUGUUCAUUUUCUUUAGAUAUCACAUUUUUUUGUUUUCUCAAUAAUUUCAUUCAAGUUCUUUAGAUAUCACAUUUUCUUUGGUGUUUUUUUUAGAAUGAUUCAAAAUGUCUUUUUUAACGAUUCACAAAAUUUGAUCACAGUUGAGUGAUUAAAAUUCAAGUUUAUUAUUAUUAUUAUUAUUAUUAUUAUUAUUGGUUAUUUGAUAUAUUUGUUUUCUAAUACAGACAAAAGACUAGCAACUAAUGUGCAUAGAAUUUGUAGAAGAGAAUAAAGAUUUGAUCUAAGCUAUUCCUAAAGACCAAAAACUUUUAGAGCUACCCAAGAUCUAUCAGGUUGAAUUUUGAUUCACCUAGUUUACAAUCCACUAAUUAUCCUUAUAUCAUUUUUGUUAUGUUACAAAUUGCCUUUACUUGUUAUGCAACCUAUCUUAAUAAUUUGGGAAGACCAAGAUAACUUCUUCCUAGUAGAACUGGCUCACAGAUUGAAAAAGUAAACUCAUAUCACCUAUCUACAUGCUCACAACAUUAUAAACACUAGCUCAUGUGUUCCUCACUAUUGAGAUUGUUGCUACAUGCAGGCAUUUUGGGCGAGGAGGCCCGACUUGUGAUCAUCAAUAACACAAGGCAUGCUUUUAUACAGAGAAACCCAAAGAAACAUUUAAGCACUUUGUUAGCCCAAGGAUUCUCCUAAUCAGGUUUUGAUGAUAACAAACCAUGGUUAAGUGACUAAUUGGUUUGAAUGGUAAAAAAUCUUAGGUAUAAAUUUGGAAAUUCAUCAAAGGAUCAAAUGGAUACAAGAUCGAGACUUUUGGAAGACUUUUGAUCAUAGGAAACAAAUGUAAGAUGAAUGCAUGGGUGCACUUAGGUUUUACAUAUCUUUUCAUGAAGCUUUGAAAACUCGGUUUAUUCCUUAAAAUUACGAUUUCAUUAAAACCCGAGUUUUAUCAAAUGUACUUUAGGCAAAGCGUUUCAAAAUUGGCAUAUUAAUUUACCUAAAGAUCUUGCCUAAGUGUUAGAAAGGAAAAUAAUUGAAAAAUAUAGGUUUUCGGGGCCAAAAGGCUGAACCGAUCGAGGCACAUGCCAACCGACUUAACUAACCAGGGAACCGGUCAAUCGGUUGCUCUUGUCCGACCAAGAUCUGGUCGAGGAGUGUCAAAAACACUCUUUCUCAUCCAGUAGCCUUCUCUUCCCAGUCGAGGUACUCUCCUACCUCUGGUCGAGGUUCAGUCGAGGCAACGGUAACCUGCCAAAGCAUUAAAUGCUCCAACGGCUAGUGAACCAUUUGACCCCCAGCUCGACCGGUUGAGGCUAUUUUUUGCUAUUUUUGGCUCCUGAGCUUAGAAACCAAUAAAUUGAGAGCUCCACUUCAUUUAUGACAUAGAGAACACUUGCAAUCAAUUGUCUACCCAUUUAUUCUUGCCUUAAAAGCUCUCAUUUAUUUCUUAGUGCAUUAAAUCCUCACUUGCAUAUCCUUUAGUGCACCCUUGUGAAUCAUCCUAGCUUUGAUGUGUAUUUGAGUUAUCAUUAAGUUAGAUUGAGGGAUUCAUCUUGUAAAAAUUGAGUGUUAAAGCCUUCAAGAGGUUUAAAUCUUGAAGAGAUUAUGUAAGAGCCCAUUGGAGCCAGAAUCCAAGUGUAAAGAAGAUUGGAAGCUUUGUUGAAGCUUCAAGUUAGUGGAACCCUCACUCGGUUAGGAGAUUGAAGAGAGUGGACGUAGACAAGGAAAUGUCGAACCACUAUAAAAUCCGAGUUUAAAUUCUCUAACUCUAUCUCUUUAUUUUUUAUUAUAUUGUGCUUGAAUUUGUUGUGUUGAAAAAGUUUUUGAAAAACCCAAUUCACCCAUCUCAUAGGUGUUUUUCUCAUUUAAGCAUAGCCUUUAUUUUCUCACUCUUGAAAUCCUUUCUCAUUAAUUUGCUUCCACCUCAUAAGAAACCGUCGGAACCACUUACACCAUGACAAGGUGAAAAGAAACUAAUGCAACAUUCUCAAUAUAUCAGAAGCUAUCAAAGGAAGGUUAGCCACAUAUGAGGACCCUGUUUCUAAGGUAGAAUUUUAGAUUUUUGUGUUUUUCUUGUCACUGUUUCUAUACCAUUACUAGUGCACCUUAUUUGUUAAGGUGAUUAAAAGGAAAUUCCCUAGGAUAACUAAUGUCUCAGAUGAUCUUGAGGUUCAUAAAUUUUUGGUUUCAACAAGAUAGGCAUCAAACCAUUUUUAUUUUUUUCUACACCCAUGCAAUAUCCCAUUCAUUUAUUAAUAAGGGCUAAAAUUUCUUGUAGAGAAUGGAAUAAAGAACUAGAUUAAAUGAAAUAAGACAUUAUUAGUUUAUUUACAAGUAAGGGCAAAAAAUUAUUGAGGGUCAUUAAGCACAUUGUUCCUAAAAUAAUAGCAUCCAUGUCAUUGAGCAAAAGUUUAUUGCAAUUACAUUAGCAUAUAAAACAAAACUAUUUUUUAUUUAUUUAUGUUCACACCUUAUCCAUUUGAUAAAAUGCUUAAACAAGUAAGUUUGAAUUUUUUUUGUCUUCAAAUCAAUUUAAAUUUUACAUUCAAAAGUUGAAUUAAUUUUUUUUUUUUUGGAAAAUUUAACUGCACUUUAGAAGUUUGUGAUUAUUCUUUGGUCCAUCUUAAAACGAGUUCCUGCAUUCUUCCAUUCCUCAAAUUAAAAUCACAAUAAAACGUUUUAGAUUGACCUAAAAUUUUCUCAUGGCCUAGAAAUUCAUAUCUACUAGAUGGCUAAAGCAAAAAACACUUCUACCUUGUAUUUUAAGUAAUCCCUGCUUGCUAUUUGUUUAUUGAGAGCAUCAUACAAGUUGUGAUUAUAUUUCUUAAUUUUUUUUAUAUGAUAAGACGGUAACUGGAUUGAGAAAGAUGCAACUUGUAGAGCAAAAAAUUUCUUAACUACUUCCAUUGUAUUUGCUUUGUGUGUAUCAACUGUUCUGUUAAUUAUUUUUUAAAAAUAUCACUAAAACAAACCUAUUAUGUCAAUGCUCUCUAUUGUUAUGUAUCAUAAUUUAGCUAUUUUUUCCCUAGAAAUCAUUCUUGUUAUCGUGGUAAUCAGUAGGUAGCAUAAGAACUAUUUUGUUCUAGUUAUUUUGUAUUGCCAUUCUUCAUGUUUUAAAAUAUUGUCAGACUAGCAAUUUUACUGCAGAUAUAAUGUUCUCAAAUCAAUGCAAAAAGGGACGAUUGUGGGGCUUGGGCACAACCUUCCUUGAAUAGUUGAAUUGAGGGUUUCUAUAAACUAGGUCUCUAUAUCAAUAGAUUCUACAUUUCAUCACUAUGGAGACCUUACAAUAAAUAUCGCAAAAAGCUUCAUUUACUACAUAGUAAGGAUAAUCCUAAGGACUUAAAAGCUUGAGUUGUCUCUUCCAUGGCAGCUUCAGAUCUCUUAAUAAGCUCCAAGUCAUUGUCUACCUUGAAUAUAAAUCAGUGCUAGAAGUAUGUGCCCUCAACAUUCCUAUGUUCCCGAUAUUGACUAGAUAUUUGUUGCUAAUUCAUGAAGAAUUGAAGGGGUCUUUGAUAAUGACAUCUAUAAUGUACUUCAAGUUCAUGAUCCAAACCCUCUUCUUGUUUUCAAUAACUUCAUUUUUUUAUAUUACUUUGUGGUCAAUGUUAUAAGAAUGUUGUAUUUUGUUUACCUGAUUCUCAUCCAUCAACACACAUGAAAGGAAAAGUUUUACAUUUCUUUCCUUCCCUUUGCUCUGUGUUUGUAUAUGUUUAUGCAGCUAAUGCGAACUUCCAUCGUAACUUUUUAAGUUUUUUCAUUCUCGAGUUUGGGAAACAAAUGGAUUUGAUUGUAAUAUUUUCUUGUAGAUAUCACCUUUCUUAAAAAGCUUGUAUUUAUUCACAUUUUCAAGAUGUCUAAGUCAUCUGAUUAUGCUUAGAACUUUUGGUUUCUAUUAAAUUCAGGUAUGAUGUUUGCAAUUCUAACCCCCUUACUCCUCUUGAAGACUACAUAAGUUUCUAGUGCUUUUACUUUAAUGGUUAUGGUCAAUGUAUCCUCUUGUUACUUCCUGCUUGCAUUCUAUAUGUUCAAGAGCUUUAUUAAAGUAAUUAUUUUAUUGAAGAUAUAAUUAUUUUCAAGUCAAAUCAAAAUUGAAUAAUGACGUGGUUUCAACAACUUCUCAAAAGUAAUUGGAAAGUAAGGAACUUUGUGGUAGUAUUCUGAUAUCACAUUGGGUCUCCAAAUUGUUGUCUUGAAUUGACAUAAAUAACAUAAUUUCUUUCCAGUUGAGCUGCUUCAACAUGUUAUUAUGCUUCAAACUCUUUCAAUUAUGUGUUGUUUAGGUUUGGCAACAUUAGUACACUGGAUAUGUUGCCUCGAGUUACUUACAUAACAUAAAAUUCAUCUUUGUUGUUAACUGGCAUCACUACCACAAGAUGAGUUCCCUCAGCAUUCUACAGACAACUAUAAUUUGGGACAAUUCUGGUUUGGCAACAUUAUCAGAGUUGAUAGGCAACCUAUCUUCAUUAACAAAAACCUUUAAAUUUAUAUUUAUCCCGAACUAGCAUCACUGCUGGAAGACGUGCAUCCUUAGCACCCUAUAACCACUCACAAUUGGAGACUGUUAUGGUUUGUAAACAUUCAACAGACUUGAUAGGUAACCUUGCACCAAUUACAGAGCUUCAAAUUCAUGGCUAUCUUGAAUUGACAUCACUUUCAAACUAGAUGGUUCAUCCAAACCUCAGUUGACACCCAUAAUUCAAGACUUCUCCAUUUUGGCAAUGAUAGCAAAUUUGAUAAGCAUCCCUACUUCACUUACAUACACUAAAAUUGAUAGCUACCUCGGAUUCACAUCAUUGUCACAAGAGAUUGGUUCCUUCAUAUCCCUGCAAACACUUGUGAUCUUUUAUCGUCCAUGUAUAUUAGAAAGACUUAAAAGGGAAAUAGGUGAAGAUUGGACCAAUAAUCUUCAGUCCUAAAUAUUGAUAUUUGGUGAAGAUUGGACUAAUAUAAAGUUAGUUCAGGUUUGAAAUCCCAAUCUUUCUUCUCAUUUUUUAUGGUUUUGUUUUUAUCAAUAUGCUUUGUUUACAUUCUAUAUGGUAAUUUUAUAUGUAUUAGCAUAUAGAUCAAAAAGGACUUAGAUGAUUAAUUUGAAAAGUUUGCAUCCUCAAUUAAUUAGUAAUUAAAGACCAAACUGAUCAUAUUACUUUAAGUCUUGCAUUGUAAGAGUUUGGGAAAAUGUUAGGGUUGACUGAACUACUAUUUUAUAACAGAUUUUGCCUUACUCAAGAAUCUUAUGAUUAUCCCUUGGCACAAUCAUUUCUUGUGUCUAAGAAAUUCAUAUCUACUAUAUGGCCAAAGAAUUUAGUAGCAUUCAAAAUUUCUGUUUUCUUUCAAGUUAGGUGUAUUGCUUGCAAUUCUAACAUGUUUCCUAUUUUGAACGUUGUGUUGUUAUUUUACUAUCAAUGUGUUAAGAGCAUUAUACUAUAUUUUCUAUAAUGUUGUUUACUUGUCAUAUGUAUUAUUUAUUUUAUUGCAAAUGUACUUGUUGCCAAGUUAAAGCAAAAGAGGAAAGUGAGGAUUUUUCAUGGACCAAUGCCUCUCUCAAUUGCUGCCACACUUGACUUCUCUCUAAGUUGUUGAAAAUUUAGAAGUGUGGUAGCAUAAAGUAUUCAGCUCAAGUGCUUUAGUGCCUUACUACCCUUGAAGCUUUAGAAGCUGUCAAUACAAUUGGGGUUUCAACAUGUAACCAUUUUGGAAAUUCUAAGAAGUGUAAGUAUUAUGGUUUUACAACUUUAUUAGACUAGAUAGGCAACUUCAAAUUGCUGAAUGCCCUGAAUUAAAAUCACUACUAGAAGGAACCCAUGAGCACUCUAUAGAAACUCAUAAUCCACUACUCUUGCCACUUAUUAAGAAUGCUAAAAGGAAAAAGUGAAGAUUGGCUUGAGCAUGAUUGAUUAAUAAACCACACAUGGUCUCCUUAAUUCAAGUGUGUCAUCUGUUAUAUGUUUCAUGUCAGUAAUCCUACAUUUCUCUUGUUUCUAUUGGCUCUAUUUUUUUUUUAAUUAUUUUACAAUCAAUCUUCUAACAAUGUUCUACUUUUUUUACAAUUUUAUUUUUUUUAUUCUAAAAUGAAUUAAGACAUAUAAAGAAAAAAAUCACCUUGUUUGAUUUUCAUAUACUAUAUGCUUAAAUGUACAUGUGUUAAAAUCUUUUGAUUUUUUAUUGAUUACUUUCUAUUUAAUUUAUUAAAAAUUGUUAGUCUAUUUGGAGAUGAUUUUUUUUUUUCAUAUGUAAUAAGAUACCAACAAAUUGAGUGAGGAGCACAUCUUACUAAGUCGCUUGUCAAUCUAUCCACCUUCCUAAUCUCAAGAUUCUUCAUGUUUGAAUUAAAAUACCAUGAAUUACAAAAACAAAAAAUGAUGAAAAUGAGUAUUUCUCAUCAUCUUCAUUUUUAUUAGAAGGCAAUUUGUAGCAUCCUCUUUCCCAUUCCUAAAAAAUACUACAGCUUUGUAGGUUGAGAAAUUAGACAUGUUUUCUUAAAUGAUCUUCUUGGUCCAUGCAUGCUUAUAUUUGGAAGAUUUUUAAACCAAGUAUUUUAUGACAUAUAUGAUAGCUUUCAAGUUAAUGCAUAAAUGGUGAUGGUUAGGAUGCAAAAUAUAGUCUAUGCUCAACCUAUUUAUUGACAAACUACCAAGGGCUAGUGCUAAGGUAAACACCUAACACUUGCAUCAUACUCUCUCUUCUCUGCUCUCUUUAUUUGUUUUCCAAAGUUCAUAUAUAAUGUCUUUAUCAUUCAAGUUUUCAUUUUCAACCACUUUUUAAACUUUUGUCUUUUUAUGGUUUAUUACACGACAAUCCAUUUCUAAUAAAUCUUAUCUUUUUGUCUUAUAGACAAUAGAACAACGUGGUAAUUGCAUGACAUACAAUUUGUAAUAGAUGGUCAACUAUAUAUUAAGUAAUCUUUAAUUGCCUUGGAGUUGAAACGUUUGAUGUUGAUAAGGUUUGAUAAUUCUCGCUUUGGUGCUUUGUUGGAUUUCAAUUCAGGUGAUUAAUUGAUCUUGUUAUGAUUCUUUGAUUGUUUUUAUAACUAUUGUGAUAAUCAUUCUUAUUUUAUCGUGGUAAUUGACUUCACUGACUUUUUAACAAUUAUAUCAUGAGUGAAAUGCCCAACCUAUUAUUGUUAGUAUUCCAUUAACAUACCUCUAAUGCCACCACUAAUAAACAUCGUGUAUUAAUAUUUAUAACACGUUUCAUUACUGAAAUAAUUAAAUAUUUUCAAAUUUCUUUUUAGAGUGUGAGAAAUAACCAUUAAUCUUUACAACAGCAUAAGUAUCAUUGAUUUGAUAUUGCUUUCUUGAGUAAUUUGGCAAUUUAAUUAUGAAGUUUAGUUGGACAUUACUUGAGAUUCAUGUCUUAUGUAUAUGGUCUAUUUUCCAAGCUUCAAUUAUAUUUAGUAGACUUGUAAGUGGUGUUUGUCUAUGAGUUUCAACUCUAGAAAACUAUUAUUGGAGCCUAAGUUCACUUUCAAUAAGGAAAAAAAAAAAAAAACUCAACCUUUUCCUCAAUUGUGUAAUUUUAUUCACUAUUGACAUGCCCUUAAAUGGCAUUGCUAUUAUUUGUAGGGAACAUUGUCAAGUUCCAUAUUUGUCUAGAAAGUUAGAAGAAGUAUUUAAUUUGACAUGGUUUGGACAUCUUGCUACUAUCUUUUUAAAUUAGUUAUCAAUAAUUUUUCAAAGUUGACCUUUUUGUUUAUCUCAUACUCCUUUUGUAUUAAAAGGUACCGCAUGGGUAUUGUGUAGAGGAAUCAUGCCUUCUUUAAUUGAGGUGAGCCUCUUGCAAAAUAUUUCAAGUUUGCUCUCAUUCCAUUUGUUACUUCAUGUCUAUUUUUUUGUAAUCAAUCAAGCAAGAGUUUCUUACUUGUACAAUGGUGAACUUGCUUGCAUGAAUAAUACUCUUUUUACUAUUUUUUUUCUUUCUUUAUUAUAUUCAUUGAUACACUUAGAAGUGAAUAGUGAACCAGGUUUUUUGUUAAAAGAAAUCAAAUAUUGGUAAUUAUUUAGUAUCAUGUAUAUAAUAAUCAAUUAUUGAUUGUAAAGAUACUUGGCUUAAUCAAUUAUUAUAUUGAAAUCAAUGUAGUACUAUGACUAAUACCAAAAGGAUAAUAUUUAGUCUUGUUUGACCAUUAGUCACUAUUCUAGAGACAAAUGCUCACAAGUUUUGCAUCUUUGAAGCAUAUGAGAAAAGUUGGUUCAACUAUAUCACCAACUUACAAGCUCCUUAUAGUGUCCAUAUAUAUAACCUUCGUUGUUCAGGUUUAUGAUUCAUAUCUCAUUUUUUUUUUUCAUAUUUUUAUUGUUUAUAAUUUUUUAAUUGAUUUGUUUAUAAAUUUUUAAACUUUAUUGGCAAUACUAAUUUUUUUUUUUUAUUCUCAUGUGCAAUGGAAUAAUAAGUUGAAUAAGAAGCAUAAACUACUUAAUUGGUAUAACUGUUUACUCAAUUCUCUUCUCAGAUAUUUUUGUUCAAGGUAAUCAAAGUAUCAUUCUUUUUAUUUUUAAAGGUACUUGAACUCAGUGAGGACCAUUCCCAAAACAAGCAAUAACUACAGUUGGAUUAUUGAUAUCAUAUCCUUGAUUGACAUCUAUGCCAUUAUAUUUGCAUCUAAAGGAUUUAUGAUGAAAAAAAUAUCUUCUUUAUUUCCAUUUUCCUUCCUUCUUUUGACCAUAAUUUGUGUGCUUAUUGAUAGCAUUCAUACCCUAAUAUAUUUGCUAGCAUAUAUAUGCAUGUCAUAAUCUAUUGAUUUUUUUAGCAUAAGGUCUUAGAGUAUUCACAUAUCUCUAGGUUCUAUAUAUUUAUAAUUUUUACAACAUCAAAUGAAGUAUAUGAACCUUAUCUUGAAGGUGAAGUCUCUUUAAAAGGAGUUUCAACAUGUUAGCAAUUACCUAACUUAAUAAUUUAACAAUUUGGCACUAUAUAUAAUUUUGCAACUCUUUCAUAAAGUAAUUGUGUUACCUUUAUUCACAAUUUCUAUCUUUAUUUAAAAAAAAAAAAUGAAUUGGUAAUUGUGUGUCAAAUCUUGCUUACAAUCAUUAAUAGGUACUUAUAUGCUAAAUGGAUAAAGUUAUUUUACAAUUGUUUCAACAUUUUUAGAAUAUAUAUAUAUAUAGAUGUAAUCACUACCAAGCCAAUGCGAAAAGCUAUAACAAUGAGGAUUACAAAGCUUCAAUUAUGUCUUGGAGAUUCAUAUUGACAAGUUGUAAAUGGUGGGUGAAGUCUCUUUAAAAGGAGCUUCAACAUGUUAGCAGUUACCAAACUUAAGAAUCUAACAACUUGGCACUAUAUAUCAUUUUGCAACUCUUUCAUAAAGUAAUUGUGUAACCUCUAUUCACAUGUUCUAUCUUUAAUUUUUUUUAAAAAAAAAAGAAAUUGAAUUGGUAAUUGUGUGUUGAAUCAUUCUUACAAUAUUUAAUAGGUACUUAUACACUAAAUUGAUAAAGUUAUUUUACAAUUGUUUCAACAUGUUCUGAAAACAAAAAAGAUUAAUAAGUAUAUUUUUUCUAAAUGUAAUCACUACCAAGCCAAUGUGAAAAGCUAUAACAAUGAGGCUUACAAAACUUCAACUAUGUUUUGGAGAUUCAUAUUGAAAGUUGUAGAUUAUGGAUGUAUAGUAUAGGAGUUAGAUUGAGUUUAUCAUUCUAUCUUUGACAUCUUAGUUUUCUAUGUAUUGUCCAUCAUAUAUAUUUGUCAUCUAUUCUUUACAACCAAUUUUUUAAGGACUUCUAUGAUUUGUUUAAAUUUAUAUAUUUGUUUUUAUUUGUACUAGAACUUCACCAAGCUACAAAAGCAUCACAAGUUUUGCAAUUGGAGUUCAUGGAUCAGGUAUUUUAGUAGUUUUUGUAUCUGAAAUUUUUUUAUGAUACUAAUGAGGAUGUUUACCUUGAUUAAUUUAACACUUAUAUUGCAAAUAUCUAUAUAGGAGUUCUAUACAUUUAUUUAAACAUUUAUAGACAUAUUUAUCCUCUUUCUAGCACAUUCUAAUGAUAUUUUUAACAUUGAUAUAAAUUGUUUGCUUGAAGGUUUCAACUAUUGAAAAUUAUUAUUCAAGCCUAAUGUUAAUCUUUUUCUAUAGUGGAUUUCAAAUAAUAAAUUCUUAUUUGAUUAUUUGUAGGGAAAAUAAACAACUUCUAUGUUUGAUAAGAAAGAAGAUAGAGUAGAUCAAUUUCACAAUGUACGAAUCCUACGCAUUCUAUACUUUUAAAGAUGGUUACAAUUGGCUUUCUAUACUUAACAAGUACAUCUUAGCUAAAAGUGAAAAAAUGUUUCUCUUUGCACAUGCCUUCACUACUAUUUUAAUUGCUAUCUUAAUAUGUUAUGGAAAAACCACGACAAAUAACAAUAAUAAGGAGAAGAAAUAAAAGAACAAAAAUAUAAAACUUAUAAAGUAGGAUGAUAUAUGUGGUUUGGCCUAAACCUACAUUUAUAUGUGAAAAUGAAGAAGAACUUCUACUAUUAUUAAAGGAGAUUAAAAUCCUAAAGCUUUCAAAUCUCAUGAUUACACUAAAAAUGGACUUUUUUUUUUUUUUAAUCAAAAUCUCUUCCUUUAUUUUCUUGAUUAUAUAAGAAUAUUCUAUAGAGAAUUAAUUGUGUAAUUAUCAAAGAUAACUAUUCCUAAAAGAAAAAUCUUAUAAUAUGAUAUUUCCUUUAGAAUAAAAGAAAAAUCUCUUAUAUAAAUAUAUCAUAAUAGGAAAAUAUUAAAGACUUAUAAAUUGACUCAAAAGAAUUUGAAAUAUUUUUCAACAAUCUCCACAUUGGCUCAAAUUCUCAAUAUUCAAAUAAACUCAAAAUUCUUCUAUGUUACUUUGCUCUUAUGCACCCUUAAGGGGACUUCAAGUAAUAUCAAUACCAAUUAAGUCUAAGCAAUGCAUAAACUUAAUCAUAGAAAUAAGUUUAGCCAUCAUAUCUAUAAAAUUAUCAACUAUAGGGAUCUUUUUCAUUACAUUAGUACCUUGUUCAAUCACAUCUCUAAUAAAAUGUAUUCUAACAUCAAUAUGUUUGGUUCUCUCAUGUAACAUAUGAUUUUUAGUCAAAAGUAUGACACUUGGCUACCAUGAUAACAAUAAUCAAUGAUUGGAACCAAAUAAUUACAUUUUGUGUGCCUAAAAUUAGGCAUUCAUAUUUAAUAUCCAAUUCUAGUUUCAUCCCUUUACUCAAUUUUAUUCCUAAGUCCUUAAUUUUGGGUUUAAUGUAUUUUUUAAAUAUUUUCCUUCUUUUUUGGUAUAUUUAUAUCACAUUUUUGCUAGCCAUUAUAUUUUUCAUGUAUUGGUUGCUAAUUUUACACUCCAUAGUUGUCACAUCAUCCAACUAAUGGUUGUUACAUUAUCCAACUAUGGGCUGCCACAUGCUCCAGCUACCUUAGCCUCCUUGCCAAGUAUUUUCCAUGCCAAAAAAAGAUUGACAACUAUUUCAAUUGGUUGGUAAAGUUGAGAAAAGCUUCCACCAACCUCGCCAUUAAGUUGUGCUCCUUGCUCCAAUUUCUAAUUUUGCUUCCUACCCUCUUGUGGAGUUAGUGUGGAAAUGACUUUAUACAAGGGAGAUGAAGGUUGGUUUUAAGUAAGGUAGCUUAUUUGUAAACUUGUAUUUCCUUUAUUCAGGCGGUAGUUCUCAUUUCUUAGCCUUGAUUUUCAAUUUUGAUCCUCUUGUCUUGCCACUAUGAGUGGCCAACAUCCAAACCAAGGAAUAAUUUUUAAUAAAAUAUUAAUAUUCAAAUAAAAUCAUAUAUUUAUAUUCCUUAUCGCAUUUAUAGGAAGAGAAAUAUUUGGGACUAGGCCCAGUUCACUUUUUAUAAUUAUAAAUAUCAUAAAAAUAUGAAUAUUAAUAUCCUUAUCCUCAUAAAAGCAUAAUUAAUUUAUUUUAUAAAAAAUUAAUAUUAAAUGGAUUUAAAAAUAAAUAAAGUUUAAUUUUUAAGGUAUACAUGCAUAAGUUUUUCAUUACAUAUACACAUUCAAUACUUAAUUAGUAAUAGUGUAUUCUAAAUUUUUUUAUCUAGUCUAUAAUUAAUUAAUCCAUUUUUUGGAAUUCUAAAUUGUUCUUAAAAAUUAAAAUAUUCAUUAAAGAAUUGAAAGUGUUUAUUAUGUUUAACUUAAUUUAAAUUUAUUUAUCUAGUGAGAAAAUUCAUAAAAUAUAGUUUUAUGUAUAAAGGAAAUAGUAACGACUUUACAUUUAACGAAUCUUUUAUUUUAUAUUGAUUCAUUUAAUAGUCUAUUAUAUAUAUUUAAAAUUUAUUAAACUCAUUAAUAAAUUCAAUACAAAGUUUUACUUAAUUUGAAAUUCAUCUCUCUAGUGAAAAAAUUGAAAAAAUAUUAUUUUGUGAAAAAAAAAAUACAAUAAAAUCAUUCUAAACUAAUUUUUAUCCAAAGAUUUUUUGUAUUUAUUAGUUUAUUAUUUGAUUUUUAAAUUAAUUUAAAAAAUUAUUAGACUUAUUAAUGAAUCCAAUACAUUUUUUGUUUGUUUAAUUUAUUUAUCACACUAUCAAACAAACUUUUAUUAUUUAGUAAAAGACCUCUCAAAAGAGGUUUUUUUUUCUUAAUAAAAAUAAAAAUAAUAUUCUAAACGAUGUUUGAUUCAAGAGUUUUUUAAAAGUAAAAAUAAAAAUAAAAAUUAUUUUAAAUUAUGUGUACAUAAUUGUUGCAAAUUUAUUUCUUUUUCCAUUACCAUUUUCAUUCCUACCUAACAUUGAAAUGGAAACAAAUAAUCAAUCAAACCUUACAUUUAUUCCUAAUCUAAUGACAAGAAUUGGUGGUAUCACCAAAUUCAUUCCAUUCUCUAGUCUCAUGUAUCAAACAUAGUUGUAUAAUACCAAAAACUUCGUCUAAGUAAUGUGGGAUCUCACAUUCACUUUCAUACAGAUACAAUUUUUAUUGUAUCACAUGGAAUUGUGAGGCCUUUAAGUACCAUUUGUAAUGACCCACCUCCAAUUAUAUAAAUAUUAUUUGGUCUAAGUCCAAUGGACUCUAAUCGGUUUUAAAACUUGACUAUACUGUUAAGAGAAGUCUACUAUGUAUACAAUCUUCUCCUAAUAAACGUGUGACAUAACAAAUGGUGGGACUCAAACUAAAGCAAGGCCUUUCAAACUGUCUACCAUCUUAGUUUCAGCAUGAAUUCAGUUUGUUCCAAACAACAUAACUCUGGAGUAUUUUAAACAAACGAUUUCCAUUGAAAACACAUAAUUAAAGUAUAAGGAAAACAAACCCGAUCUUCAAGCGGUUUUGGGGAUCGCCUGUGGAAGAGCAGUGAAAUAGAAAUAUCCACUAAGUGUAUAGGGACCCAAGAUCAACACAUGCAACAGGAUAUCUAAUUCCUCCUAAUAUCAUCAGCAUGAAGAAAAUUGGCAUCAUUUCCACUGAGUUCUGAUGCCCUCUCUGAAAAAAAAAAUAAAUGCAAAACAUUUGUUUUUUCUAAUCAUCGGUCAUCCAUACAUAGAAAAAUCUAUGUGUGAUCUUAAGCUAGAAAAGAUGUUGCAUCUAAUCAAAUUCACUAGACAUGAUGAUAUCUAUACUUUUUUAAAAAAAAAUUAUAUUCAUAUUUAUGUCAGAAAAUAAAUUUUUUAUUUUUUAUUUUUAGAACAUUAAACUUUUUAAAAGUCCUUUCUAGGAUAUUUUCUAGCUUUUUCCUUUUGUUAAUUUUUGCUAUUCAAACAAAUCUUAAGAAAGGAAUCAAACUUGGACACAAUUGAAGAGCUUGGCAUUCUUGUUUUUAGAUUCCAAAGCAUAUAUAGAGAUUGGGGUAAAACACCUUGUACCGAAGAAAAAAAAAAGGAAAAAAAAAACACCACAACAAAAAAUUAACCAAAAAUCAGAAAAUUAAUUGGAAUAAAAAAUCAAGAAAAUAUUUUUUUGGGUUAAUAAUUAAUUAUAAUGAAAUCAAAAGAAAAAAGAAAAAUACAUACUUCUUCCUGGCUUUGCCUACACUGAAAGCCAUGAAAGAAUUAGGAAAGCAGUAAAGAACAAGAAGAAGAACCACAUCCAUAUUCUGGGGAAAGCAAAUCCUCUGCUGCCUUCUUCAGAUUGAAGGCAACUAAUAAAUGGUUUAAGGGGUUAUGAGUUUGACUUGGUUGAGUUUGAAGCUACAAAUGUAAGAAAAAUGGUAGUAAUUUUGGAAGCAUUUCUAACUCUUCUAUAACUUGAAAGAUAAAAAAUUUUAAGGGUUAAAAAUGUUAAAAGAGCUUUUUAGAAUCACCCCAAAUGUACUCUAAAUUAUUUAUGACUUGAUGUCACCUUCACACUCAUUUUUCAGUGUCAUUUAAUUUUGGUGUUCCCAUAUUGAAGAUUUAGGGUAAUGUAAUAUUCAAGCCUUCACAUUUUGCCUUCACUAACCUUUGAAUUUUAAUUAAAUUCUUUGAAGGAUAUUUGACCACUUCAUUGUCCAAAAAUGCUUAUAUUGCCAUUUUUUUUUUGUCUUUUUCUACAAUUCCAAUUUUACUAUUUUUCUUUUAAUUUAUUCCUAUUAUUAUUUAGGCUAUUAUUUAUAAUAUUCUUAAUAUUAUAUUUAUAAUUGUUAAUAGUAUAAUUACUUUUUUUCAUUUAUUUGUCAUUUAUAUUGCUUAUCUUAUCUUUAAUCAUGUAUAAGACUCAAAAACUGCAGAAAACAUUAAUAAGUAACUACUAAACUUCAAAGAGAUAAUAAAAUUCAACUACAUUGAUAUUACAAUAAUACAAAUGAAAUAUAUAGCAACUAGCCCUUAAAAGGGCUUUUAAGAGAUAAUGAGUCUACUUCAGAUUGACAUUUAAAGUAGAAUCACCAUCUCUAUAGAUAUAUAUGAAGCCUAAAAAGAAUAGAACAUCACUAAAUAAUAUUAAUAAAACAACAACUAGAUCAAUUGAUAGUGAAAGUAAAGGUUUACAAGAUGAAUCACAUAAAUAAGAACAACUAAAUUGAGAAACAAAUUACAUGUCUGACAAAUCUAAUGAGGGAAAACAUUGGAGCUAGGUGCCCAAUGAUUGGCUCCUUGAAGUUGACCUACCUCCUCAAUAGGUACAUAGGAGUCCUUACCUAAAAAAACAUUAAAAUCAAUAGGGUGAACAUAAGAUCUAAUAAAUAGGCACGAUAUGCAGAUGCUAGGAUGGUUAGUCCAAGGUAAAAAAAAUAGUUCUAAAAUGUAUCACGUAAUAAUUUUGGUGUAUUAUGAGAGGAAAAUGGACUUGUGAGAACUAUACUUUGUGGAUAGAAAUGUGAGGAAGAGUGAAAGACACUCAGUGGAGUAAGAGAGCUAACAGUUUAGGGUAGUCAUACAAAGUGUGGGUAAAUAGAUGUAUCUAUUUUUGUUCCUAACAAUAUUUUUUUGUUGUAUAGUGAAAUAUUAUCUUUCAAAUAUGGAAGUAAGCAUGGUUAGGUGUACCAUGUUAAAAUCUUAAGUAUUUGUUUUAUUUUGUGUUCUUCCAUUAAUAUAUUUCAAUAUUAGAGCUUUCAUUGACUCAAUAAUUUAUUAUACGAUGAAUCAUCAUAAGUGAAUAUAUUUUUAUAUUAGAAUAAACCAUUUUCUUAAUUAUAAGUAUAUUUGAAUAUUUUACUAAACUAUUUUAAAAUAAAAAUAUAGUAAAAAAAAUUAAUAUAUAUAAUAAUAACAUGAUAAAUAACAUAUCCCAAACCAAAUGCAACAUAAAUUUCUAAAUUGUCUCUCCUUUCUUAGUUCUCUAUAAUAAUAUUGCCAUACCCAUUGUUUAAGCUAUAAAUUAACAUUUUAUGUUCUUUGAAACAUAUGUAUUACCAACUCAAUAUAUAUAUAGCUACGAAGACAUAUUUCUCAUUUUUCCAAUCAAAAAGCAUUGUGAGUUGAAACCUUUUUGUUUAGAAAGUUAACUUGCAAUGUUAAUAUUCUUUUUUAAUAUUAGCCCCCUAGGAAUAUCAUUGCCUUUCACCACACUUUAAGUUUUUUUUUUUCGAUAUUCUUUUUUACUUCUACACUAGAAUUUAUGUAACUUCUUGUUCUUUAUUUAUUAUUAUUAUUAUUUUUUUGCAAUAUUUUCUCUUAAGUCUACCUUACACUUCUUAUUACCUCUCAUAUAUUUUUUUUUUUUGUCUUUUUCAAAUACUUGGUUGCUUCUCUAUUACAAUUCAUUAACUUCCUAUCAUUUUAUUUAUUUUUAUUUUUUGCAAAAUUCUUUCUUAAAAUACAUAAAUCCAUAGUUUUUAUUUUAAAAGUAUCAAGUAAAGAACAUAGACCUACUCAAACACCAUUGUAUAAUACCACUAAAAUUUCCAAAAAUCCCUAAAAUUUCAUAAAUUCUCUGCAAACUUAUCCCUAAUUAGAUGCUAUUACAUUAAAUAUAUCUAAUUCAGUCUAAACACAUGAUUGAUAAUAAUAUAAAAAAACUAAAACAAUAUUAAUAUGCAAUUUAUUAUUUUUCAACACACUGUAAUAGUUCCCAAAUAUUUUCAAACAUCAGCUAACAAACCUAAAUUUAUUCACUCAAAAUACAUAAUUGAUAACAAUGGAGAACUAAAAAAAAAAAAUUAUAAAUAUAACAAUUUUAUACUUUGAAUACAAUUCAAUAAAUCCUAAAUUUUUAAAAACAUUUAACUAAUAAACUUAACCAUACUCAAAUAUUAUUGUAUAACAUCUCUAAAAAUUUCAAUAAUUUAUCAAACGUGAAGACUACACUCACCGGUUUAGUAGAAUCACUUGCCUCUUCUAUUGGUAAUUGGGAUUUUUGUUCAGUAGCUUCGCUUUCCUUUGCUUCACUUUCUUCUGCUUUACUUUUUUCUUCUGUUCGCAAUUGACAUUUUUGUUUUUUCGUUACUUUUUUUAAUCUUUUUAUCAAAUCAUUCUUCAAUGAACUCAUUGUUUCAUUCGUGCUUGAAGAUACAAUAUGAGAUAACUUGAAAAAAACAGAAUAACGAUUUUUCUAAGGAUUCAGAAUGAAACAAAUGAUGAAAUGAUAGACGAUAAAAUUUCUAGGGUUUUUGAAGGAAAGAUGAGAUUUUUGUUUUGUGCAUCAAAGGAAUAUAAUGGAAUAAAAGAAGAUGAUGAAAGAUGAAAACUCGUUCUGUAAAUGAAGUGAAAGAGGAUAUGAGUUUUCCUUUUUGUGCACCAAAGGAAGAUAAUGAAGUAGAAGAAAAUGAUGAGAAAUUUUUUUUGGAAAAUAUGAGGAGUCGUUCUGUAAAUGAAGCAGAAGAGGAGAAGUUGUAAGUGUUGGAGAGAAAAAAGAAGAAGGACAUUUUUGUCUCAAUCAAUAAUUUUGUUUUGUUUUUUAACCGGUGGAUUAUAUUUGCAAAUAUGGGGGUUAUUUUGACCCCUUUAACCAAAUAACCCUUUUUUUUAUCGAGUUACAACUUUAAAUUAGGUGUAAAAAGAUAUUUUGAUAUGGUAGAUACUGUACAGUUAUAUAUUGAAAUUCCAUGGUUCAUUAGAUAAACCAUCCUUGAAUUUCUUUGGUUUCAAUUAAGAUGAUAGAUCAUCCUUCCAUAGAGUGACCUGAUAUGACAUUGAUUUUCUAGGGCUUCAAACACGAAGGGUGUCAAUGACUAAGAACUCCGUUUGAUUGUCGAGAAAAUGAGGAAAAAAACCCUUAAAUAAAAUAUAAAUACAAUUCAGAAUUUCAAUUUUACAUUGUUAGGGACCCCAAAAAUGGGAACAUUCACUUAACUGAGCCUAAUCCAACCACCUGCCUUAGUUUAAUUUAGUCCCCACUUUCUAGAAACCAAAAAAAUAUAAACAUUCCUGUGUUUGACUACUUAGAAAGCAUAGGACAAGCAAAGAAAAGGACAGUGCCUCCUCGAUCAAACAGUUUUUUUUUUCCUUUUCUUUUCUUGCAUUUUCUUUUUUCGGUAACCAAACAAAACUUUUUAAUUGAGCAUUGUUGUAUACAAUUUAGAUUUCUUUCCCUUAGUUUCUCCGCAACCAAACAGAAUUUUUCUCAAUUGAGCGAGGGUCUAGUAUAUCCUUCGUUUUCCUAUAACCAACAUAAUUUCCCUUGUUAUUUUUUUUAAUCUUUUCUUUGAAUUUCUCAGAAACCCAACGGAGUUUACUUCUGGUGCAACCGUGCAAGAAAAUGGUUUUACCUAAUCGCAUUUCACCGGACUAGCUGAAGCAAUAGAGGCUUAAGAAAAAGAGACUGAGCUUUGUUUGUUAAACUCCCUAUGUGAGUACGCAAAGUAAGAAGAAUUGAAGCUGAAAUUAGGCGGCUUCUAAACACGUCCUAGGAGUUGGUUUUAAAACCCAUUUUUUCCCCUUUUUGGUUGCAAUCGGUCUACAAAGAUGCCAUUAAAAGGUAACCGCGGUUGGUUGCAUGAACAAGAAAAUGAAAAAAAAGAAGUUAAAACUAAUUAAAAUUAUUUAAUAUUUUCAUUGAAAAGUAAAAAUAAUUACAAUAUAUUUAAAUAAACACAUAAAAAUAAUAAUUUAUUAAUUUUAAAUCUAUUUUUUAAAUUUUCAAUUUUUCAUUUAUUUUGUUCCCUCUAAGCUUUCUAACUAAGGUCAUAAUUUGGACAAAUUGUUGGAUUCAUAGCUAAUCUAAAUAAUCUAAUAGAGAUAAAUAAAUAAUUAAUUUAAGUUCAACCCAACCUCUAAGCUUUCUAACUAGGGUCAUAACUUGAACAAAUUGGAUGGUUAACAUACAACUUGGACAAAUUGGUGGGUUCAUAGCUAAUCUGAAUAAUUUAAUAGGGAUUAAUAAAUAAUUAAUUUAAGUUUAGCCCCACUUCUAAACAGAGGUAUUUAAUUCAAGCUCAACCAACUUCAUUUCUUCGAGCUCUGGUUGAUGAGGUUAAACUUGGGUUAGCCCCUGAUUGUAUAAUUCAAAAUACAUGUAGAAUGUUUUUUAAUAAAAAAAAAAUUAUAUACUUAUAUCAAAUUUUAAAUAGUAAGUAGGACAAAAUUUUAAAAUAACAAAAAAAAAAAAAACAAAAACAAAAACAAAGUUAUAUAUCUUUUUUAAAAAGUAAAAAAAUAUAUUAUAUAAUAUAAUUUGAUUUUUUAUUUAUAAAAAUUUAGAAAGAAUAAAAUUAUUAUAUAAAAUAACAUAUAUUGGAAAUAUUAUAAAAACAUUAAAAGUUUGUUCAGUAGUUAUUCAAAUAAGUGUUUCUAUCCCUAAUUUAAACUUUGGUUUCAAUCUAACUCGAAUUAAAUUUGAGUUGAAAAAGUUUAACUUGAAUAUUAAAAAUAAUUGUCUAAACACGAUCAAAUAUCUGAUUGGAUUCGACUAAUCUGCCAAAGUUGCACUCCUACCAAGAACCAUACACAAUAAAAAAAUUUUAAAAUAUUUUUUGUUCUAGGAAAGUACUCAAAAAGGAGAAAUAAAGAAAAAAAAUGAUUUUAUAUGUAUAAUUAAAAUUAGUUAAAUUUUAUAUAUUUUAAAAUUAUUUAAUUUUUUUAUAUGGAAAAGAAAAAAAAAAAGAGUGAAAUAAGUUUGAAAAAACAAGUAAAAAUGAUUUGUUAACUUUAAUAUUUUUUUUCUUUUCUUUUCUUCUAUUUUUUUCUUUUUAGUUUAUUUUUCUCAAAAUUUUCAAAAAAUAAACAUAGAAUUAAAAAAUAAGAAAUAAUUACAUAAUUGGAAAAUCAAUUUUAGAACUUGCUUAUAUGAUUGCAUUAGUUUGUGUAAAUAAUAAUUUUAUUGAAUGUUAAGAGAGUGGUAUUAAAUGCACAUUAUUUAAUAUUUUUCUAUGGAUAUUUUUAUGGGAGAAUUGUGUUUUGGGCCCAGCUAGACCCAAAAAUUAAUAAAAGAUCCUCCAAACACCUAUAAUUGAUUGUAAGGAUAUAAGGUUGGAAUAGACAAAAAUACCCCUUUUUUACUUACACCAAUUAUUUUGUCUUUAUACCACCACUCUUUACAUGCCCCAUCUAUAAAAUUCUCCUUUAUUUAAUCAUUUUUUUUAUUUUUUUUUAUUUUUUAAACUCCUUUAAAAAUAAUUGAAAAAUCAACAUUAUUUUCUAUUUUUAAAUUAUAAAUAAAUAAAAAUUAUAUUAAUGAUUCAAAAAUUAUUUUGGAACAUGCUUUUGAAAAAAAAUAUUAAUUUAAAUGAAUAAAAAUUAUUUUUUACAUUUUACAAGUAAAUAAUUUAAUGAUUAAAACACUAUUUAAAAUAAAUAUAUUUACUAUUUUUUUUCUUUUAUACUAAAAAGUAUUUUAAAGUUUAUUUUUUUAUUAUUAUAAAAUAAAAAGUUUAAAGUUUUUUUUUUAAUCUUUUUCUUUCCAUAGUUUAAUAAUUUUUUGAACAUAGACUUUUGUAAUAAGUUAUAUGAAUGUUCCAAAUUUGUUUAUUAAGGAAUUUUUUUAAUGAUUUGAAUUAAUUGAAAAUUUAUUGAAAUGAGAAAAAAGAAAAAGAGAGAAAGAGGAUAGAUGAAGAGUUUUUAUUUUAAAUAUCCAACUAAAAUGUUUUCGUAUUUAGAAAUGGAUUAUAUCAAUACAUAGUAUAGUAGAGAUUGAUUUUUUUCUCAUACAAAAGGGUCAAAUGAUAUGUUUACUCAUUUUAAAUAAAAACAAGUAGCUAAAAAUUAUAUAGAUUAUGUUUGAGUUUGGUUUUAAAAUAUUUUUUCUAGUUUUUAUUAUUUUUUUAUUUUUAAAAAUUAUUUUUAUUUUCUAUAUUAUCUCUUUUUGAAAAUACAUUUAAUUAAAAAAAUGAAAAAUAUUUUUAAAAAUGAAAAUUGAAGACCUUGUUUAAUACUAAGAUAAUAAAAAGAAUUAAAUUUCAUUUAUUAAUUAUUCUUUUUUAUUUUUAAAAUAUAAUAUGUUCACAAUUAAAUAAAGGAAUUGGUCAAUUGUAUAUUUUUUUCACAAAAAUGUAAUAUGUUCAUAAAAAAAUUGGAUUGAAGUUUUUCAUCAUUUUUUUAAUCAAACUACUAGAAUCAUGUUUAAUACAAAUAUAGGCAUAUAUGCACUACGGGAAUAUGAAAUUUGUGUCACUAUACAAGAGUAUUUACUAACUGUAUAAGGGAAAUGUACUAAGUGUACAAGCAGUGUAUAAGAUUACCAUUUAUAAAAGAUUUCAAUCUAUUUUGAACCACUCCUUUAUUUUCCUUGUCACUCAAAAAUUGCAUACUCAUGUCAUGCACUUUAUUUAACUCCCAUAUGGAAAUUCCGAUACUUUCCCCAAUAAUGAUGUUUAGGAAAAAAAAAAAAACUAACCCUAAUUCAUCCAUCCUUUUAUUAGUUAAACCAUUAGAAAUAUGAUUAACACACCUACAUGGACAUAUUACUUAGGAUAGAUAUAUUGUACAAUGGUAUUACACUAAUUGUACAAGGGAAAUGUACUAAGUGUACAAAGAAAAUGUACUAAGUGUACAAGGGUUUACAAGACUACCAUCUAUAAAAAAAUUUAAUCGAUUUUGAAUCACUUUUUCAUUUUCCUUGUCACCCAUAGAUUGCAUACCUACAUCAUGCAAUUUAUUUAACUUUCACAUGAAAAUUUCGAUACUUUUCUUAGUAAUAAUGUUUGGGGAAAAAAAUUUAAUCAUAAUUCAUCCACCAUUUUGUUAGCCAAACCAUUAGAAAUAAGAUUAAUAUAUCUACGUGGACACACAACUUAAGAGGGAUAUAUUGCACCAUUGUACAAUGAUGUUACACUAACUGUACAAGGGAAAUGUACUAAGUGUACAAGGGAAAUAUACUAAGUGUACAAGAGUGUACAAGGCUACCAUUUGUGAAAGAUUUUAGUCGAUUUUGAAUCAUUUCUUUAUUUUUUUUGUUACCCAUAAAUUGUUUAUGAAAUUUGCACUAUUAUAUAAGAGUGUUACACUAACCAUAAAAGAGUAUUCCACUCACUGUGUAAGGCAAUGUACUAACUGUAUGGGGUAAAUGUACUAAUUAUACAAGGGUGUACAAGGUUAUCUUUUAUGCAAGAUUUUAAUCAAUUCUGAACUUUUUUUUUUCUUGUCACCUAAGGAUUGAACACUUUUCCCCCACACAUUCCUUCACCUAAAAAUUGUUUUAAUUUGAAAUUUUAAAUUUCUUCAUCCAAAAUUUGUAAUUGCAUAUUUCAUUUAAGUAGUUUUAACAAUAUUUUUUCUUACUACAUUUACAUCAUAUAUAAAGGAAAAUUAACCAUAAUAUUUAGGUAUUACCUUUUUUUUUUUUUGUGAAAUCAAAUUAAUAUAAAUGGAUAACACAUUAAUGUCAUUGUUUCAAAUAACUUAAGACAAUAUAAACAACAUAUAAUAACUGUUGAGGAAAAAUUAUGAAUAUUUUUUUACCAAACUAUGUCAUUUAGAUCUUCUCUACCAAAAUUAAAACAUAGGAAAUAAAAUUAAAAUUAAUCACAUUUAAAGUGUUUAUUACAAGUAAACCGAAUGAAAUAUAUAUUUUUACUAUUUUACCUUUAUAAACAUAAUGUUAGCAGAUAUUAAAAAAAUCAUAUUUAAAUAGAAUUAAAAAGGAUAAAAAAUUAUCUUUGUAAAAUUUGUAAUUUUUUUUUAUAUAAAAAAUCAUUAUUUUAAAUUAUCAAUUUAAUUUAAAAUAAUUUUUUUGUUGUAAUUAUAGUUUUAAAGAUUCUACUAUUUUUAUAUUAUUACUUUUAAUUUAUUUUCUUUGAUUUUUUAUUUUAAAUUUCAUCUAAACUUGUUUUUUCUUACAUUUAUAUGUUUUCUAUUAUAUCAUUAUUUAAAGUAAUUUUCAUCUAAUUUGUAUUCCAUUAUAUUCUCUUUUCAAUUUUAAUGUGUUGUUAUACCUCUUUACAUAACAAAAGAUUUUAUUAUUUUUCAUCUACAAAACUUUAUACAAAAGAUAUCAUGUACAGGGAAAAAAAAUUAAAAAAAGAGAAAAUUAUGAUAUAAUUUACAUACACAUCUCUUAAUAUGAUACAUUUGCUUGACUUAAUGACAUCAUGCUUUAAUAAUUUAAAUCAUGUCAGUCCACAUCUAUUUUAGAUUUAAAAAGGCAUUUGAAUAUUUUUCAAAUUAUUAAGUUAUAAUACAUUAUUCAAUUAAAAAUUAAGUAUCACUAUUAGUUAAAAGAUGAUUAUUUUAAAAAAUAAUAUAUUAAAACAAUAUCAAUGUGUUGUCCAAAAAAUGGAGAAAAUAUUCAAAUAAUUGUCUACAACCUUAAAGAUAUUUAUAUAUAUAUUGGAUAAAAAAGAAUAAUAAUAUUUUUUAAGGUGUUUAAAAAUUAUUUAUUAUAUAUUUUGUAAGUUUAAAAAAAAUAUUUUAUGAGGUAUUUAAAAAUUUUUUACUUUAAAAAUAUAGUAAUAAUCAUUUUCAACCAUUGAUUACCAAUAUUUAAUUUAUUAGGCAUGGUUUUUGGGAGAAAAAUAAUUGAUGAAAAUAGUAACACCUUUCUAGAAAAGAAUUAAUGAUAAGGUGAAUGAUGAAAGAGAGGGAAAAAAAGAAUGAAAGAGAGUGGGAAGUUAGUUGUUUUCUUUUUCUUUUUGACAAUAAAUGACAUUUUCGGAAAAUUAAAUGUUUCAUAUCCUUCUUUUCAAUUUGUAGACUUUCUUUAGGUGUUGGGUUUAAAUAUGAAACUUAUGAGGAUCUUUUAUCAAUUUUUUGGCCCUGGGCCCAAAACACAAUUCUCCCUAUUUUUAUUUCUAAAGAAAGUAAUCUUUACAUGGAUUGGACCACUGUUUAUUUAUCCAUGUGGCCCAGCCCAUUAAAAACAUCAAACCAACAACCCAAGGGACGACCCUGGUCAUUCUCGGGGGCCCACAACCUUCAUCUCAAACAAAAGCCCAUGGGCAGGAUCACCUUCCACACACAUCUUCAUACCAGCCACCACGCUACCAACAAUCCUCCUCCAUGAAAGCCCACCUCCAUCACAGCAAGCAGAAAAUCCAACACGCCAACCAUCAACCUCCGCACAGACCUAACACUGCAUAGCCGUGUUUUAGGAGUGUCAGGACGUGAUUAGAGAGGAUCUACUUUGAGUGUUCAUGGAGUUUCGCUAUAAGAGGGUGAUAGACCAGAGUAUCAAUGCUCCCUUUGUAACUUUAGGGGCAAGGAGGAAUCAGUUUACCAAAAAUUCUUCAUGAAACCAUCCAUUUAUCUCAGGGAACAUUUAUUAAGUAGAGUCAAAUUGAUUUACAACUAAGAGAUGAUUCAUUCCUUUUAAUGAAAGAACCUUAUUUCAAAUUGCCCUAAUGUGGCCUAAUAAAGCAAUAUUACUGGUUAUAUUUUGGACACAUCUCAAUGCCAUCAAUGGCUUCUCCUUUUUCAUUCCUUUCUCCUCUUCUUCUGCUCAGAAGAUUCAGACUCAUAAGUGGAGGCAACCGGUAGUCUCGGUUCUGGAGCUUGGUGGAGUCAAGAUUGGCAGAGAUGGUAACAUACCCACAUCCCAAAAUUGCGUUUAAAAAGGAUCUUUAGCUUGAAUUUUGUGUGCCCAAUUUGCGUUUUUGCAGGCAUUUGCACUCAAGUCGUGUCGUUUGUUUGCAAUUUCACAAUCUGAUUUCUUUUCUAUUGUGCUUUUUUUUUUUUUUCCUGCUAGGUUCAAAUUCAAGCAUCCAAUUUGUGUUUUUCUGGGUAUUCUUAUGCCCAACUUGUGUCAUUCAAUUUGCAAUUGUCGUUAUCAGACUUCCUUCUCUCUUUUGAGACUUACAUGGUUAGAGACGUCAUUUCUGUGAAAUUAAGAAUGCAUGUUUCAACUUUCACUUCUUUCUCUCUUUCCUUUUUUUUUCCCUGUCAUACUCCUCGGUUCUGUUUGGCGAUAGUAGAAUUCAGGAAUGGUUUCCCUUUUCUUUUUUCUUUUAUUUAUUUAUUUUUCAAUUUUUGGGUUUCUUUUGGUUAUAUGGAUUCUACAUUUUUAUUUUAUUUUUAUUUAUUUAUUUUUUUUGUGAAAUUGGAAUUGAAGAACUUAUUUUGCGUUUUACAAGCUUAGCGGGUUACGUUUCUGUUCUAUUUGUUGUACUGUUGGAGGUGUUUGGUGCAUUUAUAUAACUAGGCUUGCAAUUUCGCCUUCUGAUAAAGGUUAAAUUUUCUCCCUUUUUAUUUAUUUAUUUUUUAAUGGUGUAUUUGUGUUGGGAUUUGGUGAAAUGGGGAUUCUGUACUGGGUUUAUGGCAUUUUUUCAAUUGGUUUGAUAUUUGUGAAUGUGGGUUUUGUAGGGAAGAUGUGCAAAUUUUUUGAAAGUAAGAAUGCAAUUACAACUUUGAUUUCCUUUAUAUUUAUAUUUUAUAUUUUUUAUGCUUAUUUGCGUAUAGGUUGAUGUCAAAAUUCAUCUAAUGGGUUGUUUUUUAUUGCUUUGGAUUGGUUUAAUGUAGUUGGAUGGUGGAUUUUGUUUCUAAAACUUAAGGUCAAUUUCAAUUUUUUUAUUUUUUUAUUUUUUAUUUUUAUUUUUUCAAUUCGAAGACCUGGGAAUUGAUGUACUCAAGUUUUUGGAUUUUGCUGAUUGCCUUGAUAAACUUGGCUUGCAGAGCCUUAAAAAAUAAACUAUACUCACUAAGCUAUAUCUCAGAUGAUACUUCAUCAGGGCGUGAAAUGCAACUUGGAGUCUUUGUAUUUUUUAAAUUAUUUGGGUUAUUCUAUUCUGAAUAUUUGGUAAAAUUAGAAUUCAUGUACUGAACCUUUUUCAAGUUCUUUUGGUUGGCUUGAUAUAUUUGGUUGUGGGGUUUGUAGAUGUGGUGAGGGAUGAUCCUACAAACAAUGUCCCGGAUGCAAUUUUGUCGAAACUUGGAAUGCAGCUUCACAGGAGGGAUCAACACCCAAUUGGAAUUCUGAAGAAUGCAAUAUAUGAUUAUUUCGAUGCCAAUUACUCUAACAAAUUUGAUAAGUUGGAUGACCUUUGCCCAAUAGUCUCCACAAAAGAGGUUUGACCAUUAAGAUAUAAAAUAGAAAUUUUAUGCAUGUUUUUUUUUUUUUUCACUGUUUUGAGCUAUACAUUGCACUAUUUGGAACUUGUAUUAUCUUGCUAUGACUAGUGCUUGGCAUUUUGUUGCUGUUUAUAUUUAUUUUGCUGCCCAUUUCCUGUUGGUUUCUGUCCUGUCCUUGGUGUUUUAACAUUUAAGAAUCCAUGAAAGUGGUAUUUGCAUCUGUUGCCAAUUAUUCCAUCAACGAUGUUUUAAGUAGGAAACCUAGUAUCCAAACUUCCAUCCAAACUUACAUAUAAAAAAAAGUCCAGAACAGGCAUUCAGUUUACCAGGUUUAUCAAUUCUCUCCAAUGUUUAUUCAACUCUUAAAUGCAGUAUUCUGGACGUACUCCAAAUUUGAAAUUCCUUUGGUAAAAUAAAAGCAUGGUACUUACAGUGGUCUAUUAAGGAAAAUGUUUGUUUGACCUAGCUUUUGUACAAAAAAUUCAAAGAUAGUCUUGCAGAUAUGUAUCAUAUGGGUGUAUAUUUCUCUAUCAUGAUACAAGUGAGAAAAAAUUCAGGAAAGUUGUUUUGUUGAAAAAAAAAUUGAAAGUUAAUUUAUGUUUUGAGAGGGACAUUAGACAACCUAGGAUUCAAAGGGACAUGUUGUCUCUUAGGAAAAUAUAAUUCAUAACAUUCUCAAUCACUUACAAGUUAUUUUCUUCCUUUUAAAUUGAUUUAUUUAAUUUUUUUCUUUGUUGUAGGCAAGCAAAGAAUAUAUUUACAAAACCUACUAUUAUCAUUAUUUUGGUACUUAGCAUUGAUGGAGAUUGUAAAAAUUCUCUAAUAGUAUUGCAGGAGAAAAAUAAUAUUUAUGAAUUUUUGUUAAACACAAUUGUCAUAAUGAUAAUAAUUAAUUAGAAUAAUAUAAGUUUGUAAUUGGAAAAUUUUUUAAAAAUAAAAGCUUUUGGAAAUAGUUUGAAUAGGAGUAGAAAUUCUUGGAUUUCAUGGAGAGCUUAGGUGGGAUCUAUGCAUGGGGUUGUUUGCUAACUAUUUUAGUAUUUGCUGCUCUUCUCUCUUAUAGGUGUUCAGUUGCAGCUUGUAUUCUCUUAGCAUACUUGGGUUGUGCCCCCUUUUGUGUUCUUCAAUAUAAUCUUCAAGCUCAUGACUAGUGCAAUUUCUACUAAUUGAACACUUUUCACUUCAAAUAAUAUUUAGUAAUCUAAAUAGCAUUUAUCAAAUUAUUUCUAACUCGCCAUUAGAUUUAUAAAGAACCCAAAAUAUGAAAUUUUCUUCUUAGGCAUGAGAAAUUGUCAUUGUUAUAAACCCCAUGUUUGUCUUCUACUUACAAGCAUAAUUAUAAAGCAUGAUCUGCACGUCUUAUCAUGAAAUAUAACAAUGUCAUAAAAUAGAUGAUUGAUAAAAUAUUAGAAGUCCAUUGCAAAUGCUUAAUGGAACCAAAAAUUAUUACAGAGCAAGUGCAUAUUUCACUCAAACUUUUAUGCAGUAGUGGUAGCUUAUAAACUCACAACUUGGACUUUAUAUGGUGCAAAUGUAUGUUAUCAGCUAUUGCUUUUGACCAGUCAUGAGUAGAUACUAUUUAUAAAAGGACACAAAGGAGGAUAUAAUCCAAGUGCACUUGUAGUCAACAAGUUACUCUAGGCAUCAAAAUUGAAAGAAACAACAAUGAAGAAAAGCAGCAGAAAGUGCCCCUACCUCCCAAACUGUCAAUGAACUACUGGAAGGAUCUACUACUAUUCAAGAUAACUUCUUCUAAGCACAACUACAUGUAACAGUUCUUAGCCUGCGCUAUGGUGUCAAGAGGUAGGCUCAUUGGAACAUGCCUAUUUUGAUGGAUUUAAGUUUAUGGGGAUAGUUAAAGUGUAAAGUGUUUGAUAAAAUAAAUUUGCUAGUUUUGAUAAAUUGGAAUUACUACUGAAUGAAAUGUGAAGCUAGAUAUUAGGAGGAGAAAGAAAGAUAAUUAAUUUAUUUGUAUGAAACUAUGACUUAUGCAUUGUGAAGCUUAUUGGUUGGGAAUUGUUGAACAGGGGAACUUACUUAAUAGGGGAGAAAGAACCACACAUAUUUCUUGAUGAGAAAAUAUAAUUACAUUAGCCAAAGGCCAAAAAUAUAUGAGUAGUUCGCUAAUUGCAUAUUAUUGGAAAGAGUGCUGAGCAACAUAUGAUUCAUAAACUUUUUACAAUUUAAAGGCCUAGGUCCAAUGAGAUAUGUUGCAUCAUAUUACCUAAUGAACCAAUGAAGUUUAUGGAUUUCCAAAACUUCUUGGAGAGGUUCAUUAUUUUAUGGUUCUUUUUUUCUUUUUUAGGGUUCUUUAUUUUCUUUUUGCCGAGAUAUCUAGAAUAUGGCAUGGUAGGUAUUUUUGCUCCAUACCUCUUUGGAGCUCAAUUAUUUGGCAAAGUAGGAAGAAAACAAAUUAGCAUCAACUUUGGCUUGACUUGAGAUCACAAAUCUGACUAGAGAUUUUGCAGUAGUGUGUUGAGGUCUAAUCCGAAUCUAGGUUGUGAUGUGUGCAUCAAAGAGUCUUUCCAGAAGUCGUGAAGCUUUGAGGUGUUUUGUGAUGGCAUGACUAGAUAAUGAGCUGCAUUUUGGUCUGGAAUUUGGAGUUUGGUUAUGCAAUUUCUGUAUCUAUAUCUCCAAAAUUAUUAACUAAUUUUAAUUAUUUUAUCUAUUUUUCAAAAUAAACAUUCAAAAUUGAAAGUUUGUGUCACGAGUAUUCAGGCUUAUCCGGAAUAGAAUGCCCUGCAUUAACUCUUGCUGUUAAUGCAUAUAAUACCAGGUCACUCAACACAACCAUUUGCUUGCUUAUGUUGACUUUCAAUGGCUUAAAAUUUAUGGCUUCAAUGGUUAUUACCUGCUAAUACUCAAACUAAUUUUUUUUUUGCUAGGUAAAUAAGAGCUUGUAUUAGAAGCGCCUAGAAGUGGCGAAAACAAUACACAUGAAGUAUACAAACAGAUUGCCCAAGAAACUAGACAAAGAAGACAAAAAACCUUUCCCCUAACUAGACAUAUGACCACUCCAUAAAAUCAAACAUAGACAAAGUAUGAUCCUCUAUAAACACCCUAGCUCAAUUUACAAGAGUAUACAAAAAGGAAUGUUUUAAAGCUUGGUCGGACUGUUCGAUAUCAUUUAAUGCUCUUUCGUUUCUUUCCUUCCAUAAAGUCUACAUUAAGCAUAAAGGGGCGACCCUCCAAGACUUCUCCCUUCUCUUACCCACAAAGGCACCAUACUAACCAAGCAAAUUCCUUUCAAUCGAAGAAUGCAAAACCCACUGCACACCAAAAAGGGAGAAAAUCAAACUCCAAAGCAUUGUAGCCUUUCUGCAAAACAAGAUUAAAUGGUCACUGGUUUCCUCUUUCUCUGUAUACAAGCAUAUUCAAACUAAUAACUAAUAGUUAUUGGAUUUAAAGCUUGUUUGUUAAUGUUCUUCAUGGUUGUGCUUCUAUUUUUAAUCGAUUCUCUUGGCCAUCACCGUUUCCCCCUUAUUAAGAUUGGAUAUUUAAGUUUCAACAAAACAGCCUACUAAAUCCUCAAGAUAGAUCUUAUUUAUAAGGCAUGGGAGUUUUGGUCAAUGUCUGCUUCCAAAAUUCUUAUCCAUAUUUCUGUGAAUUCUUAUGCCAGAAAUUUUACUUCUUGCAGAAUUUUGAUGAUGUCUUGGUUCCUCCUGAUCACAUCAGUAGGAGUUACAAUGAUACAUACUACAUUGACUCUCAAACUGUCUUGAGGUGCCACACUAGUGCUCAUCAAGCAGAGCUGUUGAGGAGGGGACACACUCAUUUCCUUGUGACUGGAGAUGUUUAUCGUAGAGAUUCCAUUGAUUCAACUCACUACCGUGUUUUUCAUUAGGUUUCUUGUCUAUGAUUUGAUCAAUGAUUGUUUUCUAUUAACAAGUUUCUUAAUGUUUUCUUCAGUUCAAUAACUUAUCAUGCAGAUGGAAGGUGUUCGUGUCUUCUUCCAGGUGAUUGGGAUGGCACGUCUUAUGCAGCUGAGGAUUUAAAGAAAUGUCUUGAGGGUUCGGUGUAGCACUUGUUUGGUAAACUUAGAUCAGGAGAUUGUCUUAAUCAGAUGCAAACUUAAUACUAUCUGUUGAUGUUGCAGUGAGAAAUAUGGGUUAAGGAAUUAUUUUCCAGGUCUAAUAAUUCAAAAUCUGGGAAAUACUGCAAGUAAAAGGGGGGAGGGGGAAUAAUGAAAUAAUAAAAUAAUAAAUUUAAGUGGGCAAAGCAAUUCAUGUUAUGCAAAAGCAGUACAGGUUGGUCAUUUAGAAGUCAAAUCAAGAUAGUCCAGAAUAAUAUAGGGAAUUAUUUGUGAUUCUCAAGGUACUUGUUAAGAAUCAUUGACAAAUUACCUAAAGAAACAUUUAAGAGUGCUAUUAUUAUUGAAAUUUCUGAAAUCUAUCAGAAAGGUAGUUUUCAUCUUGGGGUUUACCAUAUACUGUAUAGAAUCUGCGUGGGCUAAAUGUAUUGAAAUUUGCAGGUAAUGUGGAAAUGCGCUGGAUUGAUACAUAUUUCCCUUUCACCAACCCAUCAUUUGAACUUGAGAUAUAUUUUUAGGUGUGCUUUUGAUCUGGCUGGUGGUUACAUUUUAGCACUAUAUAUUUUGAAUUUCUUUAAAACUUUGUUUUUGAACUAAUUUUAGUAGAAACAGGCUCCAUUUCAUUUUUUUGUUUUUACCUUUUGUAAGAAAGGGUAAAAAUCAUUUAAAAAAUGUGAACUUCAGUUUAUUCCAUUGCUGGCAUGUGUGGCUUUCAUAUGUUAUUGAAGACACUAAGAUUCAUAGACUGAUAAUAACAGUAAUAACAGUAAUGUUGAUGAUAAAAUAAUAUAAAAGUAGAAACAAAAUUAGUUGUCACCUUUUUUUUUUCUUUUAAUUUCUUUGUUUUUCUUACUCCUCUGAUGUCGGGAAGGGGUGUAGGGCUCUUUGUUGUCACCAAAUGUGAAAAAGAGGAUGCAUUAUGUCCUUUUAUUUUGGACUUACAGGACUUAUGAUGAAGGCAUUGCUUUCUUCAAUGUAUAUUUAUGACUUCAAGACAUUUUUGUAUUUUAUUUUAUGGCAGCAUUUUUUAGUGUCACUAUUGAAGGAGAAAUUCAUAAGCAUACAUACACACAUGUUAGUGGGCAUACACAAACACUGAUGUUCCACACAGUAAUUAAAAAAUUCUUGCUUUAAGGAGUAUCUUUUUCCAGAACGCAUGUCCAUGUCAAAUGGCAACAUGCCAAUGACUAUUUGCCAGCAGAUGGAAUGCUGGCAACACUUUUAUGGAUUGAAUGUUUUCCUUUCCCUGUUCCUUGUAGUGAAUGAUAUGUACACUUUAGUUGCUCUUACAUAUUUGAUGCAUUGUGCUUCAUGCCCUAACUAAUGUAGAACAGAAAAGUACCAGAAAAAAUGAUGGGAGUCUAGGAAUUACUUCCAAAAACCUUAGGCUUCGCAUAUAGGUUUAGUUUUCAUCACACAAAAAAGAAAACAAUGAAAGCUGGAAGCUUUUGUGUUUUCAUUCAUUGAUCCUUAUUAGAAAAAUUAGGAGAACCCAACCUAUGGUAAUCACCCUGGGGGAGGUGAAUAGGUGAUGGUCUCUUUUUGCAAAUUUAAACUAUAUGAAUGUAAGAGACAAUUAUAUGCAAGUAUAUAAUAAACAAUGUAAAGACAAUUGCAUAUAAAUUAAAAGAGUAGGGAAGAGAGAAUGCAAAUACAAGAUUUUAUAGUGGUUCGAUGCAACCUGACCUACAUCCACUCUCCUCUAGCUUCAAUCCCAAGCUUGAGGUUGCAUAUAAAUUAAAAGAGUAGGGAAGAGAUAAUGCAAACACAAGAUUUUAUAGUGGUUUGGCACAACCCGGCCUACAUCCACUCUCCUCUAGCUUCAAUCCCAAACUUGAGGUUCCACUAAUUCAAGGCUUCUAAACCAAGCCUUCAAGCAAUAUAAUUGAAUUAUGGUUCCAAUUCACCCUCUUGGACUUUUGGCUCCAAGCACCCUUUACACUUCUCAAGAGAUAUCCCAAUCUUGAACAACCCCUCAAGUGAUACCCCACACUGGAGAAACUUCCUCUCAAAGAUUUACAAAUAAAUGAUUUCACAAAAUCCUAGUACAAAAACUUUAAGCUCAAAUGAUACAAGAAAACUAGGAUUGAAAUGUGCACUAAGGAUAUGCAAGUUUUAGAAUAAUGAUAUACUCAAAAACACUCUUUCAAGGCUCAAAUAUAUUCAAGAAAGAUUUGAGAAGGUUAAGAUCUUGAAACAAUGAAGACUGAAACCUUUUUAUAACGGAAAAAAGCCAAACUAGUCGUUGGGGGUUCGACCGGUUGACUAGCCGUUAGUAUUUAAUACUUGGUAGGUGACCGUUGAACCUCGACCGGACCUCAACCCGACCUCAACCAGUUGAGGUUCAACCUUGACCGGUUGAACAACCGUUCUGGAAGAAAGAGAAAGUUUUUUGCACCCUCGACCGGUUGAGUUGGGGGUCGACCCAGACCUAGACCGGUUGAGCUGGCGGUCGACCGGUUCCUCAUCCGGUUCAACCAGUUGAGCCGUUUUUGGCUCAACAACCAAGCUUUUUUAACUUAAAACCUUUUAAAACAAGUUUGAAAAACAUUUAACACAAGGUUUUAGUUGAAAACAUGAAAUCAUCCAAUUUUUAAAAUAUUUAAAACAAAAUAACUCUUGGAUGAUUUUGGUGCAUAAGUAAAGAAUGUAAUGCAUGAAAAUCCUAGUGCACCAACAACCUUACAAAGAGAUCUUAUGAAACUUAGGUUUUAAAAAACACUUCUCUUUGAGGUGGUCUUCUUCUUCAUGAUUUCUCCUUGGCUUGAUUUGUCUUUGUGAUUGCCACUUUAGAAAUCGUUUUGCCUAAUCACAUUUGAAAUAUAAUCAUUAGUUCUAAACUUUGUUUUGUUAUCAUAAAAAUCAAGAUUAACCAAAUCUUGGUUUCACAAUCCUUUUAGAAGAUAGAGUGAUUAGCUUUGUAAAUACAACCCUAAGACCCCUAACACUCUUUGGAACCAAUCACAGUAAUAAUAAAGCUGAGAAAUCAGAAACUUGAACUAAUAAAUAAAAAUUAAAAGGCACUUGCAAAUAUAAAGCAUUAAUGACUUUGGAAAUAAGAACACUCCAAUACCCCCCACGCCCUUUGGAAAACUCAACCUUGACAAGUUAAAGGCAUGAAAUUUCUCAUAAAGAUCACAAUUCAACUGCUGAAAUUCAUUGCUUGUGAUCCACAUACAAUCUCAAAGUGGCAUUUCUCUCCAUUUAACAAGAUACUUUUGAUAACCUCCUCUUCUGGUUGAAACAAUUUAGUGAUUAACAACUUUUCAAUCUUCUCUUUCAAUCAAGGGGCUGGUAGAAGAUGACCAUUUGGACCAUUAAUUGAUGUAGUAACUUUAGGAUUAGGAUAAAGGGUGUGGUCUUCAAUAUUAGAGAUCUUAUUAAUGCCCAUAUUUUCUGGCAAGUCAAGUACAUAAGCGUUGGGACUUGUUUUCCUAAGAAUUUUAUAGGGACCAACUUUCUUUGAGUGGAGUUUCUUAUAGGCACCUUUAGGAUAUUGUUCAGGCCUUAGUCACACAAUAACCAUAUUACCUUCAAUAAGUUCAGCAAAUUUUCUUUUCACAUCAUUGUAUGACUUAUUUAUUUAUUUGAUGGGCAAGCGGGAAAACACAUGUAAUCAUAUGACUUAUAAUUUCAUUGAUGAAAACAAUUUUCAUUGAACAUGAUAAUGUAUGUCAUCUAUAUGCUCACUAAAAGCAUCGGCUUCAAUGCUAGGUCAUGCAUCCAUUGUUAAAGGAACCAAAUCCAUAGGCUUUCUAGGAAGUGAUUCAGUCACAAUCUCGAAAGGACUAUGACUAAUAGACCUAUUCAAGGAGCUAUUAUUUGUAAAUUCGGCCAUUGAUCUGAUCUCCAACUAGGCAAUGAAGUAAAUGAUGCAAGCUUCAAUUAACAACUUCUAUUUGGCCAUCUCUUUGAGGGUGAAAAGCAAAAGAAAACUUUAGUUUGGCAUUUAGUAUUUUCCAUAAAGUUCACCAGAAGUAACUCAUGGACCUACCAUCCAGUUUAGGAAAAUCAUGAAGGCGAACAAUUUCCUUGAAGAAGAGUUUGUUUUUUUUUUUUAUAAGUAUUCCUUGAAGAAGAGUUUAACAAUCAGGCAACAUCUUUAGUCCUUAAGCAUGGGAUAAAUUGUACCAUCUUGGAGUAAUGAUUUAUCACUACAAGUAUGCAAUCAUGUCUCUGAUAGUUUUUGGCAAACCAGGGACAAAAUCCAUGCGUAGGUCUAGCCAUGGUUCAUGUGGCACAGAAGUGGCAUGUAUAAACCUGUAUUCUUCCUUUGCCUCUUUGAUAAUUUGUAGGUUUGAUGUCUGGAGACAUUCUUAGCCACAUCUUUUUUCAGACUUGGUCAGUAAAAAUGAUUUUCCACCAUUGUAAUGGUUUUAUCUCUUCCAAAUUGACCGGUUGUUUCUCCAGCAUGACGAAAUGAUGUUUUGGGUAAGCAAAGCCGAGUCCCUUUGAAGCAAUAUCAAUCAUGUAAAAAAUCACCAUAUUUUCCCGAAUUUCCAGGCACUAAAGCAACGCAUAUAAUGCUAAAAUCUUUGGAAGAAGGAUAAGGUCUCUUAAAUGAGUCAAAUCCAACAACUUGUACAACAAUAGAAGAAAGAGUGAAUGCCAAUUUGCUAAGAGCCACUGCAAAGAAUUCUUUGUCAUAGGUACAAUAUUUCUGCUUUGCUUCAUUAAGCUUUUUGCUAAGAAAUGCAAUAGGGACACCUCUAACUCUUAUAUUUGAUGCAUUGCAUGCCGCUUCUAACACCUCCCGGAAAAUUUGGAAGCUGCAAAACCAGUGCUUCAAUUAACAUUUUCUCAAUUUCUUUGAAAGCUUGUGAUGUUGCCUUGGUCCAAUUCAACUGAUUUUCUUCAUACAAUAAAUUAUAGGGGCUGUAACAUUGCUGAAACUUAUGAUGAAAUGUCCAUGGAACAUUUCUAGCCCAUGGUAACUUUGUACUUGUUGUGAUGUGUUGGGAAUUAGGAUGGCUUUUACUUCAUUCAUACUUCCAAUCCUUUUGCCAAAACAACAAGCCUAAGAAUACUACUGCUGAGAUCAUGAAAGAGCAUUUCUUGAAAUUUAUGUAGAGCUUUUCUUGGCGAACAACUGUCAUAACUUGCCAUAGAUGGGAGAUGUGAUCUCCUUUGGUCUUGCUGUAAUUAAGAUGUCAUCAAAGUAAACAACCAGGAACUUUUCAAUAAAUGGCUGAAGUACUUGAUUUAUGAAGCACAUGAAUGUGCUAGGGGCAUUUGAAAGGCCAAAAGGCAUGACUAGCCACUCAUAGAGGCCAUCUUUUGUUUUAAAGUCCGUCUUCCAUUCAUUUUCCAAUAUACUGCUUAUUUGAUGAUAUCCACUCUUUAAAUCCAUCUUUGAAAAUAUGCAAGAGCCAGCCAUCAUGUCAUAUCUAACAUAUGAUUGAAUCAAGGGAUAGGAAACUGAUACUUGAUGGCUAUCUUGUUAGUAGUGUGACUGCCAACUACUAUCUUUUUUUUUUGUGUUAGCAAGGCAAAGACAACAUGAGGGCUUAAACUUUCAUGAAUAGUUCCCUUGGACAGCAGCUACUCUACUUGUCCUUUUAGUGCUUCAUGCUCACUUGGAUUCAUAUGAUAGGCUGGAAGAUUAGGCAAUUGAGGCCUUGCCAUAAAAUCUAUAAGCAUGCUGAAUGUUGUGCAGAGAGGAAAGUUUUUUAGCAACAACUAUGGUAGGUCUUUUCGAGCAACAUCUAUGGUAGUUCUUUUUUAGCAACAUCUAUAGUCAUCAGGAUCAUAGGCUCUAUAAUCAAAUGAAUUUCGGUUUCUUCAUCUUUUUGUUGUUCUUGUUCUUCUUCAUGCUCCAUUCUGAUGUACAAAUUGUUCUUUGGACAAUUUAGGUUAUUUGGCUGGGUUGUUGACACUUAAAACACCUAUUAACCUUACCCUUAGGAUUAACGACAUUAGAAGAAUACAACUUAGACCCUGUAGGUUGGAUAAAUGGCUUGAAUUGGCCUAUUCUUGCACUGCAACCUACAUCAGUGAACCUCUUUGCACUGGUUCUAUGGAUGAAACUCACAUCCCAAGUACUCCUCCAUAUCUAAUGCAAAUUGAAAAACAUGUUCUAGGUUGUAUAAUAGCUUUCAAGGGAGAUCUGGCUGAGGGAGGGGGAUAGAAACACGGGUUUCUUCCAUCAUAUGGCAAACGCUCAUCAUAGAAACAAUUCUUUGGACAGAAUUAAGAUAAAUGGGGAAUGGCUUUCAGAGGAGCAGGAGAUUAGGGAAGGAAUUGCUAAUGCUUUUCAUCAGCUGCUAUCAGAAGAUACGGGGUAGAAGGCGGACAUUGGGAGGCUUCAGCUUGAUCAAAUCAGUCAGCAAAAAGCAGAGAAUCUGGAGAGUCUUUUUACAGAGAAUGAAGUUCAUAUAGCUUUGAUGGAGAUGAAUGGGGAUAAAGCCCCUGGUCCAGAUGGCUUUACUAUGGUUUUUUGGCAAAGUUGUUAGGACUUUGUUAAAGAUGAGAUCCUAGAAAUGUUCAAGGAAUUCCACGAGCAUAGCUCUUUCCUCAAGAGCCUCAACAAUACUUUUCUGGUUUUGAUUCCUAAGAAAAGUGGGGCUGAGGACCUUGGAGAUUUUAGACCUAUUAGUCUUCUGGGGGGGCGGGGCUUUAUAAGUUAUUGGCUAAAGUGCUAGCUAACAAGCUGUAGAAAGUGGUUGGAAAGGUGGUCUCCACUUCUCAAAAUGCCUUUGUGAUGGGAAGACAAAUUCUUGACGCUUCUUUAAUUGCAAAUGAAGUGAUAGACUCAUGGCAGAAACAAAACGAAAAGGGCCUUAUUUGCAAAUUGGACAUAGAAACAACUUAUGACAGCAUCAAUUGGAAGUUUUUGUUGAAGGUUUUGCAAAAGAUGGUCUUUGGGUCUAAGUGGUUGGGGUGGAUGUGGAGUUGCUUGUCUUCAGCCAAAUUCUCAGUUUUGGUUAAUGGGGUGCCUUCUGGCUUCUUCCCUAGCACUAAGGGCCUUAGACAAGGAGAUCCCCUAUCUCCUUAUCUCUUUGUUAUAGGAAUGGAAGUGCUGGAUGUUCUUAUCAGGAGAGCCGUGGAGGGGGGAUUUUUAUCAGGGUGUAACAUUAGGGGUGGUAGCAGAUCCUCUUUGAACAUCUCCCAUUUAUUUUUUGAUAAUGACACAAUUGUGUUUUAUGAGGCUAGUAAGGAGCAUCUAACUCACUUAAGUUGGAUUUUACUCUGGUUUGAAGCGGCUUCAGGUCUAAGGAUUAACUUAGUUAAAAGUGAAAUUAUUCCAGUUGGAGAGGUGAAGGAGAUUGAAGAGUUGGCUGUUGAGUUAGGUUGUAAGGUGGGGUCCUUACCCUCUCAGUAUUUGGGACUUCCUCUAGGGGCUCCUAAUAGAGCUUCUUAUAUGUGGGAUGAGGUGGAAGAGAGAGUAAGGAGGAGACUUGCGCUAUGGAAACCACAAUAUAUCUCCAAAGGGGGAAGAAUCACUUUAAUAAAAAGUACUUUGUCUAGCAUGCCAAUCUAUCAAAUGUCUAUUUUCAGAAUGGCCAAGAUUGUUGCUAGAAGGCUAGAGAAAGUGCAAAGGGACUUCCUAUGGGGAAGGGGAAAUCUGGAGGGGAAAAUUCAUCUAGUUAAUUGGGAGGUGGUUUGUACAGACAAGGAAAAGGGUGGGCUAGGCCUUAGGAAGCUAGCCAUGUUGAACAAAGCCUUGCUUGGAAAGUGGAUAUAGAGGUAUGCUUGUGACAAAGAUAAUCUUUGGAAACAAGUGAUUACGGUGAAGUAUGGGCAAGAGGGUCUUGGAUGGAGGCCAAAGAAGGCUAAUGGGGCGGUUGGAGUAGGGGUUUGAAAGGAGAUUUGGAAAGAAUCAGAUUGGUGCUGGGAUAACAUGAUAUUCCGAGCUGGGAAGGGCACCAAGAUCAUAUUUGGACAGAUGUUUAGUGUACCGAUACAACAUUGUCCCAUUGCUUUCCUCAUCUCUUUGUCAUGGCUGUUCAAAGGAGUUCAACGGUUGAGGAAAUGUGGGACCAAAAUUCUAGUCAAGGAGGUUGGAACCUAAACUUUUUGAGGGACUUCAAUAAUUGGGAGCUAGAUAUGAUUGGGGAUUUGCUCCAUGUGCUGAGGGGUCAUAGGCCUUCUUUGGAGGAAGACUCAGUUUUUUGGAGGCAAGGAAGAAAUGGUUAGUUCAGGGUUAAGGAAGCUUAUAGCUUGUUGACCAAUCCUAAUGAAAUCGGCUUUCCUUCAAGAAGUAUUUGGGUGGCUAGGGUGCCAACUAAAGUCGCCUUCUUUGCUUGGGAGGCGACGUGGGGGAAGGUGCUUACUCUGGAUAGACUAAAAAGAAUAGGGGUGCAACUUCCGAAUUGUUGUUUUUUGUGUGGGUGUGAAGAAGAAAAUGUAAAUCAUAUCCUUAUACAUUGUAUAGUGGUUAGAGUUUUGUGGGAUAUUGUCCUUGGGUUAGUAGAUGUUAAAUGGGUCUUUCCAGAAACUGUAAAGGAGGUCUUAAUUAGCUGGAGGGGCUCCUUUGUGGGGAAGAAAAGGAAAAAGGUUUGGGAUUCCAUUCCAUUGUGUAUUUUUUGGACGGUAUGGAAGGAGAGGAAUAGAUUAGCUUUUAGGAGGGGGUGUGUUGAAUAUUCAGAAGUUAAAGAAUUUUUUUGUCUGUAACUUGUGGAGUUGGGCCAAAUUGUAUUUUGGUGAGGAGUCUUUCUCUCUUAUAGGCUUCCUGGAGUGGGUAGCAUCCACUUAAGGGGAGGUGAUUCUUUUUAUCUUUGUUUUUUGAGGCCCUAGCCGCCUUGUAUACCCCCUGUAUGCUUUGUGGCUUUUUGCCUCUUUAUUAAUGCAUUUCCUUUUACUUAUAAAAAAAAAACAAAAAAGUUCUAGGCUGUAUAAUGGUUGAUGCAUCAACUCUCUUCUCAUUUUAGGUCUCAAUCCAGCUUUGAAUCAUGCAAGAGUUUGCCCUUGGAUCUUCUACUAUUUGACUCCAAGUCUUUAGCUCAUGAUAUCUUUGCAUGUACUUUGGUCUCUACAAUAGACAUGUUGUUCUGAUUCAUAGUAAUGAGGUGAUUACAUAACUUAUUACAAUAAUUGAUCCUGUAUGUAUUUUUCACAUAGCUUAUCCUUCAUCUCAUGCCAUGUGCUGACAGGUGGUAGCCUCAUCUUCCCAUCUUCCUAGUAUCUCUUUCAACAUCUGUCCACUAAUCUUUUGCUAAGCCUAUUAGUUUCAUUUUAGUAAACCACCCUCUCUAUUCAUCAUUCAUACAUACCAAUCAAAACAGUCCUCAAUUGUAGUUAGCCAAUCAAGAAAUUGAGUAGCAUUGCCCUUCAAAUUAGAACUUCUCCUUUUACUUUCCUUGUGAUAUCUUCAGCAGUUUCACAAGGUUUGCACCUUGUUUCAGGUAGUCCUCUAGCCCAUUCAGAUAUAGGAUAUUGUGGUGCAUGUCCAAUGUUCCUCCAAGUUUUUGUUGUUAUUAAUUUGAGAUAAUUCUCCUUGCACAACACGUGCUAAAUCAUUAGUGGGCUGAGAUAUUUGUGUCUCAAUGUUGCUUAGUCGAAUAUGCAGGCUAUCAAGCUGUUCCAUCACCACAUAGUAUCUCAUCAUGUUGACUAUUAGAUAAAUCUAUUUUGAAACUCUUGCUAGGUCUUGUAAUCAUGAUCUCAACUUGCUUUGAUGCCAAAAUUGAUGCUGAACAGAAAGGUAAAAGAAAACAUGUUGGGACUCUAGGGAUCACUUCCAAAUCUUAGGCUUCACACUUAAGUUCAGUUUGCAUCACGCAAAUAAGUUGAACUAUCAUAGUACGAUUGGUUCAUAAUAAGGUGUCAUCUGAUUGGUUCUCGUGGAGACAACUUGUGAUCAUUCAAACUGGAGGCUGCACCUGAUUGAUUACAUUGAAAGUUGGAAGGUUUUGUAUGAGAUAAAUGAACCAACUUUAUACACUAUAACUCUAGACCUUAGACUCUUUUAGAGCUAAUGGCAAUACUAAUGAAGUUGGAAAAUCAACAAUGUGAACUGAUAAAAAAAAUUGAAAGACUCUUGAAAAUGUAAAGCAUUAAUGAUUUUGGAAAUAAGAACACCUGUGAUCCUUUGACUAAACUCAUAAACAAAACUUAGACUGAAAUCCACAUUGAAGUAUAUAAAAUCCCGACUGGGCCUAUUAUCAUCCAAAGUAUGCCAAAUCAUAAUUUGGGCCUUAAGAGUCCAAUCUCUAUGCAUUUGUUAACCUUUCACAAGUGAUUGCCACUUGUCUUCAUCGCUAACAAACACGAUUAUAGCAUCAAAGAAGGGCCAUGUCCCCAAAUCUGGCAGUAAAAGUUCUUUUUACAAGCUAACCUCAGGGAUCCAAUUACUACAUUAUUGUGUUAACCAUGAACAUUGGUGCUCCUGUUCUGCUUGCAUGGUUACACUGAACCUGCUAUCCAAAUGUGUUGGUUGACCAAAUGAGAAACUCUAGGAAAAUGAAUGAAUUCAUAGUGACAUAGCUACAUUGAAUGCAACUUGUGUGUUUGUGUGAACAGGAUUGGGGGAGUUAAAGAGAGUUUUUAGAAGGGAGAAUACCUUUUUAAUUGGUCUUAGUGUUCAGUAUGCAGCUGGUUCAGUGAUCAAGAGGCCAGUUUAUAAUACAAUUUUCUUGAGAUUUUUAUUGAAGUGAUCCCUUGAAAAGUCAGGCUACUUUUUCAAGAAGUAAAUGUUUUAUCUUGGAGGUUGUAAAAGAUGCAUUCUCAGAAUAGGUGCCUUGAUUAUGUUUCUUCAGCAGAAGAACCUACAAUUAGGGUCCUGUGUAUAUCCUUUCUUGGAAUUUUCAUAACUUUACCAGUAUUAACUUUCUAUUUUAGGACUAAACUGUUCAGCAAAUCUAUGGAAAAGACUAAAGAGUAAGUACUAAGUAGUUCCUCCAAGGGCUGCCAAAAAGCACUUCCCAAGGCCAUGAGCCAAAACUGGGCCACAUGGAAAGGGGUUGUAACAAGUCACUUGACUUGGGGUUGUUAGAGGCCAUCAUUAGUCAAGAUUGGUUUUAGAUUUAACUUUAGGAAUUUAUUUAUUUUCCUGAUUCCUAUUUUAUUUUUAGUUACAAAAUCAUAUUUGACUCUUGUUUUCCACUCUAAAUUCACAAUAUGUGAACCUUUUUUUUUUUUAUCAGAAACGAAGAAGAUUAUAUUAAUAUAAAAACAAAUACAGGAGAAAUAAAAGAAACAAGAGAAAGAGAAAAAAAACCAAGGGAAGGAUGAGAGGUCUUUUCUACACAAAUUGAACAAAGGAGAAAACUCCCAACAAUAGAACUCUAAAAACAAAGAGAAACCCCAUCAAUUUUCAAACUUUUGAAAUGCAAACCCCAAUCCAAUUGAGUUGUAGAACAUUUAGAGGAACUCCUCUAAAAGCUUCAGUACAAGAAGCCCAUAGAGAAGAAUAAAACCGAAUCAAAUCCCAUACCAUCUCUUCCGUUCUCUCUCUAUCCUCAAAGAUCCUAUUGUUUCUCUCUUGCCACACCAUCCAAAUCAAAGUAAGGCAAGCAAUUUGCCAAAGUGUCUUGCCUCUUAAUGAGUUCCCCAAGCCUUUAAAAGUAAUAACCAACAUAUCCUCAAGGCUCCUUAGAGGACCCAAACCAACCCUACUAGAUUGAAUAACCUGUGCCAAAGUCCAAUGGUAACGGGACAAUGAAGAAAAAGGUGGUCAAUCGAUUCUCCAUUUCCUUUGCAAAGAAUGCACCAUUGAGGACAGAGGGCUUUGUAGGGUCUUCUCAAUUGCAACUUGUCAUUAGUGUUUACCUUCCCAUGUUCUACUAACCAAGCGAGGGCCUUAACCUUUGAAGGGACUUUUGAGCUCCAUAAGAACUUGGCCGGAAGGAACAAUAAAGGAUUUGAGACUUUUGACAAGGCCAAGAAAAAAGAUUUCACUGAAAACAAACCUAACGAAGACAAAGACCACGCUCUUGAAUCUGAUGAAGAAGUAGAGAAAAACACAAAACUAAGGGAGGACAUUAAUCUCUUAAGGAAAUCAAUUUCUGAAUCCGUUAGAUUGCGGCGAAAAUUAAAAUUCCAAGACAGUGGUAAGGAAUUGCCAAGGACAUUUAAGACAGUGAGGUUUUUCACAGAAAUAACUCUAUAAAGAUCAACAAAUUGAGAGCACAAAGUUUGGUUACCCCACCAAAGAUCUUCCCAAAACCAAAUUCUCUCCCCAUUGCCCACUACUAGGCGGACAAAAGGGGAAAACUCCUGGAAAACUUGAGCAAUAGCCUUCCAAGGACAUCUGUGUGACCAUCUAACCACCAUGUUGGUGUUCCAUCCAUUUGGAUGUGUCCCAUAUACUCGCAAUAACCUUAUGCCAAAGACCACUUGUGGAUCCGCAUUUUUCACGUGUGCCCCCAUUCAAUCGGCGAGACUCGCUUUUUAUUUGUGAAAAAGUAAUUUUUAGAAAAGUUGGAGUCGCCAGUUAUUUUAUUUUAUUUUAAAGGGAAAAUAAAACCCUAAAAAAAGAUGACUCCAUAAUAUUUGGAAAAGCGUGUCUUUGAAAAACUCAAGUCUAAGUCUGAGGAUAAAGUUACCUAUUAAGAAGGUACCUCUAGGAGGUAGCACCCCUCUAAGCCCUAUAAAGGUCUCUACUCACUAAGUUAAGGGAGAUAAGGCAAUUAAUUGAUUAAUUGAGGGUACCUAGGUAGACUAAUGUGAUUUCAAAAAAUAGCAUGUCAAACAAGAUCAAAUCACAAUAAAGGAGAGUUAGGGUGUGUACCUGAACCGCUUCUUAAGCACCAUCAAAAGGGAUCAAAGGUUAGUUUGAAAAUAUGACACGUAACAUGCAUUUUUAUCAAAGAUGAUCAAACAAGCAUCAAGGCAAUCGAGUAUGACAUCAAACAUGGACAUGGCUCAUGAUAACAUACACAUUCAUAGAAUUUUAGAGUUGAAGGGGUAGAAAGAGCGUAUCUGAUUAGCGAGCAUCCACACCUCUAUGGGAAACAAGGGUAGCUCAACAAAUAAAUACAAAACAAAUUCAUGUAUUUCAUCAAGAGGAAUAAAAAAUCAAUCAGAUAUCAAGCAAACAAUAUUGAAGAGAAUAUCAUGAAUGUCGGGCCCCCCUCUAAAGGCCUAAUUAAUGUUGCAUGAGUUGAUUCUAUGAAUUCCAUUGUUUGGAAUCAUGAAGUUCGUUCAUGCUUAAAAAAAUCAAGAAAACCAAGAAAAAUGUUGAAAGACCCAAAAGAUGCAUGCCUAAAUGAAACAUGGUAGCAAGGGUUUUUAAAACUGAAUUUUCUCAACCUGAAAUCCUUCAAUGAUGAAAUUAAAAAAUGAAUAAUAGCUUUGAUGGAAAAGAGAUUUUGAAAACGUGAUUCAAAACAUGUAAGAUCACAAGGAAAUAUAAAAGCAAUAAGGGAAUGGUGCAUCAAGAUGGCCACUGUAUGAGUGAGGUCUGGGGGUGUGACUGAGACUACUUUGCUAAAUUUGAAGAUGAUUUCCUUAAUUCCAUUCUGCUGCAACAUUCUGAUACGCCUCAAUAAUUCAGGCACGUUCAUCUCCUUGGCCAUCUGAAACAAGCUCCAUGGUUUGCAGAUAAUUAUAAGUCUCAUGAAUGCAGGAGCAAUCAUUACCUAUUUCCAGUAAUUAACAUAUUUAACAUCCUGUUCACGAGUCAUGCAACCUGGUUAACCCACCAGAUUGCAAAGAAUUAAUGCCAAGUAAAUUCUAUGAGGAACAAGUGGGUGUCACGAUUCUCAAUUUUUGAAGCUUCAAUCACAGACUACACAAAUAGUUGACUUUCAUUAAGUUCGUCAUCAUCAUCAUCCACACAACCAGGUUGUUGUUUCAAUUCAGUGUCAAGUUGGUGAAUCUUCUUCUGUUUUAGCCAUAUAGGAAGCCUUUUCGAUUGUAAAUCCGGAAUGACAUCAAGCUUAAUCUCCAAUUCUGAACCCUCAAGGUACAGUUUCUUCAUUGAGCCUUUAUUACUUUUCCUUUACUGAUAUUACAGUAGUUCAACUCAGGCAGCCAACUUAGCGAAUUAAGCAAGCAUUUGUUGAGAAGACGUUCAGUUCAUUUAAACAGCAGAGAUGCUUCCCAAACACUUUGAGAAGUUAUAAAAGGAUUUCUCACCAAUCUGCUCACUGUCCUCCAUAUUUAAAAGUCCCUUUAGCCAUCUCAGUUGUGAAUCUUCAAAUCUAUGAUCCUAAUCUGUCCGGAUAAUUUCCCUCCUAGCAAAUUCGGGAAUCGACUUAGAAUUUCUAAGAUGUUCAAGGUCUUCCUUGAGUUUUGAAUACCCUAAUUUCAAUAUAGAAACCUUUUCUGUAAGAACCUUUCCUGAAGCAAUCUCAACAGCAAGUUGUUUAGCGAACUUUUGUGUUUCAACGCCUAUUUCAUCAACAUGACUUUGUAGAGAGCUUACCUCCAGCUUAAGCUCAAUAAUAGAAGACUCCGCAACUUCCAAGCUUCCUUUAAGCCUAUUGCUCUCUUCAUAAGAAAUUGACAAGUCAUUAUCCACAGAAUUGUCUAGACUCCGUCCAUGAACCCAAUCAUUGCUUCUCUGUGCCAAAAACCUUUGAUCUGAUGGGCCCUCUUUCUCUGUCUGGGGACUUUGAGUGUAGGAAAGUCCAUUUAAAUCACCAGAGGUUGCAUUCUUAAGACUAUCGAUCUCAUGUGUGCUGGAGGUAUCAUGCUUUUCAGUUUAUAAAAUUUCUGAUGUAUUGAAUGAGCCAUCAAAUCUAAUAGCUGAGUCUGAAUAUUCUUCAUUUAAUCCUCCCUCUUCUUCAAGUGAAGGAAGCUCUGUUGAUUCUGGUUUGAAUCUAACCUUUACAUUGACCUUAUCCAUGUGUUCAUUGACAGUUUCUUCGGAUGAUAAUGCUUCUCCUCCGUUAGAUCCAUCACGCCUAAUUUGUCCAGUGUUCAUCUGCAACCCUCUCUCUCUUUGUUCCCUCUGCUGCUCAAACUCUCUGAACCUGAUUUUAGAAGUUAACAGCUGCACAGUAACAUGUAAUACAGUCCCAGAAUUGCAUCCAUGAAGAGGCAGUGCAACAGUAGAAGGCUUUAGGGCAUUGGAAUAAUCAGCAAGGUUGAUAUUAGCCUCACCCAGGAUAUUAGACCAUGAAGAACCCAUUGCCACUAUAACUUUACAGAGCUUCUCAUCGUACUGCUUGGUUAGACUUGUUUGAAAGCUGAGCGUUCACAUCAGCUUUCAUACGUCGCAGGAGGUAUGGCAUACUCAAGUCACGUAGGACUACUGCACACUUGUAAAUGGUGGAUGCAUGUAAUGGAGAAGCAUUGGCAUAGCCACCAACAGAUAUAGGAACUGUAAAUUCUGCUUCAAAUAUAUGCAACAUCCCCAAAUUCCCAGAGAAUAUAAAAUCGAACAAAGACCACAGCUCAGCCAGCUUAUUCUGAAUUGGCGCACCAGUCGUUAUAUGGUGAAGGGUCUGUAACUGUUUAUGGAGUAUGCUAACUCCAGCAUUUGAAUUCCAAAUUCAGUGUUCUUCAUCUAAAAUUGCAUAACCCGUUUGAUAUCAAGUAGCUUUCCAGCCUGGAUGGUCUUGCCAAGUCCCAUCUCGUCUCCAAUAAUUCCACCUACUUGUUGGCGAUGCAGUUCUCACAGCCACUGAACCUCCACCUUUUGAUAAUAAAAAGGUUUACUGAAAAUGCUUUUAGGUAUUCUCAGACCACCUUCAAGUGUUACAUAAGGGGGGUUCAUUAUCGUCUGUAUUUUCAGUAUCUUUUUGGUUUACUUCUUCAUUACUAGAGGUCACUAAAUUGUCACUUGUAUCUUUCAUCAUGAUCUGCCUCCUCAAAUUCUAAGAUUAAAGCACCUGCAGAAACAUUCUGAGCUAUGUCUAUGCUGGAAGAUGGACAAGACUGCCUCUUAACUUCACUUCGAACAGCUGGAGUUUCUGAACCCUUACGAUUUGGAUGGCAAGGUGGCUCUGAGGGGAGCCAAUUUCUAAUCAGACGGCACAGCCUUCGAAUCGCAGUUUUCGCUGUAAGAAGUGGAACAGAUUCACCAAGAGAUGCAAGACUUUGAUCCAGUUUUAGCGUAGAAUUUUUAGAACCAGUCAUUUUCAAUCUACUCACUAUACAUUCUGAUUCAAACAAAAAUCCUUUCGAUCGAAUGAGUUUCGUUCCAUCGCCUACCACAAUCUUUUUUUUAAUUUUGAACAUGAGAGAAAGAGAGCGUCAUAAAUUUUGUUUUGAUUUUCCCAUUUCAAAUAGCAUUUGCCUCAGCUUUUUGAGAAUAGCUUCAUCAUCUGGCCUGGCCAUUUUCAAUGCUUCUGGGAGAUUCUUACAGCCUGCAUCAUCUUGAUCACUUGGUUUGCUGUGAAAAUUGUUUGUUUGUAUGAGAGGAGCAAAUAUCGAUUCUGCAUUCGGUGUACAGGUGGUUGCCAGAAACUCCAGUCUUUAAACACAAAUUGAGUCUUCAUCAUAGGGUGGAUGCUAUUGAAGCAUUAGAAAUCCUUCAAUUAAAUUGUUUGAGCAUUCCAGAACCUUUUGGCAGAGUAUCUUCCAGCGCUAUGGGAGACAAAGGUUAAAUGCUUGGCUGGAUUUAUGGCAGCACACUCUUCCAGUGAUGCGGCGAUUUCGACGUGUUCCUGACUGAUUUCAAGAGCAUUUUUGCUGCUCUUUGUGGUCAAUAGUCUGACCAACAAAAACUUCAACACUUGUAUUAACUGGAAAGUUCAUCAGCUGAUGGCCAAGAGAAUCCCAAGAUCUGCCUCAAAAUGGGUUUAGUUCUGAUGCGAAUGCUGCUCUCUCUUUUUUUUUUUCUCAGGUAAUCUGUUGAUAAAGCUCACCAAAUUUUCACAUUCAACCCGAUCUUCCUCCCUCAGAGCAAAACUGGUUAGAGAAGACCUCCCAGGAAGGAGUUGUCCAUAUGUUUGAACUAGAGUUAUUUCAGGGACAGCAGCUAAAAUUUUCAACAUGGAAUGAGUGAGUGUACAAGGAUGACGCUUGAAAAUGAGGUUUAAGGCCCCAAUUUUUCCUCUUUCAGCGAGUGCAACAGCAGCUCAUCAGAAGGCCACUUUCUAGAGAGAAUGGACGGAGUAAUAAGAUUCUUGGUCAUUCGUUGCAUAAGCAUCAACCUGGUACUCUGGCUAGGGGGCCAUAGUUUGAUUGACAUCUUGCGUUAUUGAAGAUUUUGGGCAGUGGAGUCCAUGUCAAAGAAACCUAUGUUUCUGGGAAAACCUCUUUCUGGGAGAUUUUGGGUGAUUUUGAGAAGGUUAUGGAAAAAUUAAAGGGGAAAACUGAAGGAAAAUUUCUGAAACCAAGGAGCAUGGAAACUGAUCCUUUUGGGGCAGCAUGUCAAAUGCCCUCCUUGCCAAGACUAGAGCAUCAUAUUUUGAGUGCAUAUUUACAAGUGCACCACUCACAAGUACCUCUUUGCUAACUCAUGCUUGAAGAGCAUACCCAUGAACUUCCUUUCCUUUUUCUAAGGAAUGAAGAGCAGAACAUGCAGUUAGAGCUGCAGUUAAAGUCAUUUGAUCUGGUCUAAUUUCUUCUAAUAGCAUCUCUCUGAAUAGCUGAACAGCUUGUUCUGCAUGGUCAUGCUCUGAAAACCCAGAGAUCAGGGAGGCCCAUAAAACAUAUUCUUUGUCAGGCAUUUGCUCAUAAACUGUGCAAGAUUCCUCUAAACUACCACAUUUUGAGUACACUGUGGAAAGAAAACUGCCCACAGAAAUAUCAGUAAACAAGCCAAUUUUAAUAAUGCAGCAAUGAAUCCGUCUCCCCAAACUUACUGUCUAUUAUGCUCAAGACACUAGAACUACAAAACUUAUCAGGUCUCAGACCCUCCUGAAGCAUCUCCUGAAACAAUUCAACUGCCUUUCCAGUACUCCCACUUUGAGCAAAGGUGGAUAUCAUAACAGCCCACGUGGCUAGAUUCUUUGUACUUUCCAUCUCUCCGGACACCCUUUUAGAUAAAUCAACCACUCUUAUUUUUGAAUACAUAUUGAUCAAAGUAUAACUUACAGUGGAAUCCAAAUUAAUAGAACCCAGUUUUGAAAAUCUAGGAAUGUAGUUAGAUUGCCUCUUUAUUCAUAGCUGGUUUAGCGCGAACAGUAAGUACACUAGUUAUGGGGUAGUUGCCUAUUUUCUCUCCUACUUUUCUCAUUUCUUUGAAGAAGUGGAAAGCAGAAAAAAAAGCUGUCAUCCUUUUGAACAAAAACAGAAAUGGUGGUAGUCCAAGAAACUACAUUACAUAUUGGCAUUCACAAAAAUUCUUUCACAGCUUGAUCCAUAUCCCUGAAUUUGGCAUACAAAUCAAUGAUGGCAGUCCCCACAAAAACAUCUUCUCCUGCACCACAUUUAAUUACUCGUCCUUGAAUCCCUCUUCCAAACUCAAGUUCCUCAAGCGCAGCACAAAUUGUUAAAAUGCUUGAAGACGUAAAACUAUUUGGCAUAAAAAAAAUCUGCAACACAUUCGGCAGAAAAGAUCUAAAGCAACCCAAUUUUCCUUAUUUUUAACAACCCCAGAAAUGAUAGCAUUCCGGCAAACCACGUUCUCACAUAAAACGUCUUGAAACACCUUCAAAGCUGCAAAGCUUUGUAAACAAAUUAAUCAUUCCAGCCUGAACAUACCCAUUUGAGAAGAACCCAUUUUUCAAUGCGAGUGAAUAUACCAAUUCACCAUACAAAGGAGACCCUAAGGCAGUACAAGCCGAAAGAACACUCCCAUAGGUGAACUGGUUGGGAUCAAAUCCUAGAAAAAAAAACUCCAUCUUACAACAAAAAAAUCCUCCACGAAUCCUCAAAUUAAAAGUUCUGGUUGCAACCUGAAAUCGCAAUAUCCCAAGAAAUAACAUUUGGGUGAGGAGUUUUAUCAAACAAUCUGGGUACAUGAACCAGGGAAUUGGAUUUACAAUACCAAUCCAUUAAAGAAUUAACUAUUCAAAGUCAGUGAUCCCUCUCCAUAUGAUGAUAAGAUCAGCAGAGCAUGGCAACAAGGUUGCUUCCAUAAGGAUCAUCAGUUGCAGUAUAAACUCCCAUUUUCUAACAGAAACGAAAAUCAAACUUCCAGAAUUUCUCCCAUUUUUCCAAGGUCGGUGAUGUGUGAUGGAUCCAGAUUUCAAUGAUGCGUGUUCCAGAUUUCUGCAGUUCACUGGAGGAACCUUGGAAUCAACUAUCCAAUAUUUGAGUGAGAUUGUUGCAUACUUCAUCUCUCAUAUUAACACUUCCGUCAUUCCUCAAUAUACGCCCAAAUGCAAUGACAAAGACUCGGACAGCAUGCAGGAAAUGGGAUAGAGAAGAAAUAAAAACGAAGUAAAACUCGGAGAAGGAAGGAGCAGAAGAUGUUGAUCAGUAAACAUAAAUAGCCCCCACUUCAAGUAUUAAUCCAUGGGAUAAGAACAGAAUAGAGGGAACAAUGUAAAAUAGGAUUCAAACGAAAACAGAGUAUGAUCACAUUCAGGCAUGGAGUUAUAUAUUUCCGAAGGCAUCCAUGACACAUAAAAUAAUCAGAAUCAAAAUAAGGUAAAGAAGUAAACGACCAAUCUCAACAGAACAACUUGUGGCCCUUAACGUCCACACCAACCAACAAUAUAUUAAAUAUUCAAAAAUGAACACAUGGAGAAAUCGAACAUGAGUAAGAAUUCCGAGAAUAACUAGGAACGCAUCUGGAAGAACCUUGGCUGCAAUCACUCCUUUCCCACUUCUCUAUGCUUUUCCUCCAAGACAAUCAAAGAAUUCCUGGUUCCUCUUUCUUUUCCCCUCCUCUUAUCAUUCGUUCCUGCUCAAGAUCCUCUAGAAAAAAUCCCCCUUUCUCUAACAUCCUUUCUCACGUAUAUAUAUCACCCCUAAAAAAAUAUUCAAUCUGCUGAAGGAAAUCCACUUUCCUUUCUUUUAUUUUCUUUCCUUUUCGAAAAUCAGAAUGUUUCUUCCCUUCUAUGUAGGAUCCCCUCCUUCCAUAUGUAUGCAGCCACAUUAAUCCCCUUUUCCCUCCAAAAAUAUUUUUCUUACCUUCUUUGAGUGCACAUGCCUUUGUGAGAGUUGAACAACAGCCCCCAUUCUCUUGUCAAACAAUAAAAAAUGAAAAUAAAAGGAAUAAAACCAAAAAGAGUUAGCAAUCUUGCAACAUAUAAAAGAAUAAAGUAAAAUAAAAUGAAUAAAUAAAGUAAAAACAAAAUAAUUAAAUAAAAUAGAACGAAAUGGUCAAUCCUAUGCGGGCCAUGCAAGUCAUGCGACUAUGUGAAACAUGUAAGAAACACUAAAAAGUCUAAUAGGCCAAGUGUGCCUAAGAGGGCCUAGGGGGAUCAGGAUAUUGUGUAGGUGACCUAAACAUGUCUAAGUGUGUCAUCUUAAAAGUGCACCUGAAAGCUAUCCUAAAAGGAAGGAAAACCCUAAGUCUAACUUAGGGCUGCCAAGAAUCACAAUGGGGUUAGACAAAUCCCUCAACCAAAGUCUCUGAGGUGGCUCAAAAAAGGUAAGUAGUGUGAGUAGCAAUGGGCCACCAAGGAACUACUGUGGAGCACUAGAAGUGAACUUAAAGACAUGUGCUAAAGGGACAAAAUUGAGGGUCUACACCACUCCUUUCUCUAGGGAACCUCCAAAGUCAUUUCCCUAAGAGAGCAAUAUUUCUCAUAUUAGUCUCCCCAAAGCUCAAACCUCCCAACUCCUUUGGUCUACUAACAACUUCCCAUCUGAUAAGAUGAUCUUUCUUCCCUUCCCUCGCCCCAGACCAAAGAAAAUCCCUUUGCAUCUUCUCAAUCUUUGAAGCUAUUGAUACUGGGAUUUUAAAGAGGGAGAGGAAGUAGCUAGGGAUGUGAGACAGACAAGACUGAAUUAAGUAAUCAUCCCUUCCAAAGACAAAAAGGCCUUUUUCCACCCAUCUAGCCUCCUCGAAAUUCUCUCAACCACCGGAUCCUAAAAGCCUAUUGUCUUUGGGUUCCCUCCCAAAGGAAGGCCUAAAUAAGAUAAAGGUCACUCUAACACUCUGCAAUCCAAAACCGAAGCCAAACUAGACAACAGCUUUUGCCUAGUGUUAAUACCUGAAAUGGUGUUUUUUUCUAAGUUGAUUUUUAAACCAGAUACUUGCCCAAAAACCAAAAUGAUGAUCUUGAGGUUUUGAAGAUGUUUCAUAGAGGCUUUAGAGAAAAAUAUGGUGUCAUCAGCAAACUGUAACAAAGACACUCUAGUCCUAUCCCUCCCCAUAAAGAAACCCUCAGUUAUCCCAGUUUCCUUCUCUGAUCAUCAACCUACUUAGAACAUCUGCCACUAGAGUAAAAAGGAAAUGAGAAAGGGGGUUUCCUUGUCUCAAACCUCUAGAGGCCUUAACCCAACCCUUUGCAUUCCCAUUAACUAGGAUUGCAAAACUUGAUGAAGACAAACAACCCCUUAUCCAAGAUCUCCAUUUCUGGCUGAACCCCUUCCUUUGUAGUACAUGAUCUAAAAAACCCCAAUCCACAUGAUCAUAGGCCUUCUCAAAAUCAAUUUUGAAGACUACCCCUUCCUCCCCUGACCUUCUUUUCUCAUCCACCACUUCAUUGGCUAUCAACACAACAUCCAAAAUGUGUCUCCCUUCCACAAAGGCUCCUUGAGAGCUAAAGAUUGUUUCAUGAAGAACUUUGUGUAAACGCCUUGAUAAGACCUUAGCAAUUAUCUUAUAUAAACUUGCAACCAAGCUAAUAGGUCUAUAAUAUGAUAUUUUAAAAGUUUGGCUUUUCUUUGGCACCAUAGCAAUGAAUGUCGCAUUUGUACUUUGAUUUAUUACCCCCUUAGUGUGGAACUCAAGAAACACCCUCAUAAGAUCCUCUUUUAUCACAUCCCAACACUCUUGAUAAACUGUUAUAGUAAAGCCAUCAAGGUUAGGGGCCUUUUCCUUAUUCAAUUGGAAAACUGCCAUUCGAACCUCCUCUUCAGAAAACGGUCUAUCCAGCCAAACUGCACUCUCUCCAGAAAUAGGGGCCCAAUCAAUCCCUUCAAUCCUCCAAGAGUCACCUUUAGGUUUGGAAUAGAGUUUCCGAAAGAAAUUUACAAUCUCCUCAUAAAUAACCUCAAUGUUACUUAAAGUCUCCUCUAUCUCAGAAAUCAGAGACUUAAUGAACUUCCUGCUUCUUAUUCCAGUGGCCACUCUGUGAAAGAACUUAGAGUUGCAGUCCCCUUCUUUAAUCCACUUAACCCUAGAUUUUUGUCUCCAUUGAACCUCUUCCUUUAAUAACAAAUCCUCUAGCUCCUUCCUUCUUAAGGUCAUUUCCGAUACCAAAUCAAGAUUUAAAUUCCCUUCUUGUUCAAUUAGAUCAAUUCUACCUAAGUCCGAAAGAAUGUGUUUUUUCCUCUCUCUUAAAUCUCCAAAGGCCACUAUAUUCCACUCUUUCAACUUUGAUUUAACAAACUUUAGUUUCCUCAUGAACUUGUGACCUUCCCAACCUUCAACCAUACACUCUUGCCACCAAUCUCUAAACUUCUCUUUAAACUCAAGAUGGAGCAACCACAUAUUCUCAAACCUAAAAGGAGUCGGUCCCCAUUUUAAAGGAUUAGUUUCCAAACAAAUUGGGCUAUGAUCAAAGGUCCAUUUAGGAAAGGCCUCUUGAAAACUUUGAGAGAAAAAAGAAUCCCACUCAGAAGAAAACAAAAACCUAUCCAAUCUCUUGCAAAUAGGAUCCACUUGCAUGUUUGACCAUGUAAAAGCCGCAUUCCUUAGAGGGGGAUCCAACAAACCACUCUCCCUUAUAAACUCAUCAAAACACCUCAUGUUGAUUGUUAACCUAGAAUCACCCAUCUUCUCAGAUAUCCUCCUGAUAACAUUAAAAUCCCCUCCUACACACCACCUUGGGAAAGUUAGACCAUACAGGUCUUGAAGCUCCAACCAAAAGUCCUUCCUCCACAAAGGCUUAUUCGGACCAUACACUGAGGUUAACCAAAAAGACCCUUCCUCAUCAGAGUUCAACUUUACAGUUACAGAGAAGGAUCCUAACACCUUCUCUGUACACUUGAACUUAAUUGAAUCCCACAACAUCACAAUCCCCCCCAAGCCCCACAAACAGGAAGAGCAGCCCACUCCAAACUUCUGUCUUUCCAAACACUGCUCACAAACCUCCUGUCCUAAAUUACUCUCUUUGUUUCCUAAAGCAUCAGAGGUUAUGCUCAUUUUUUAAUUAUUUUUUUAUGAUUCUCAUAUGUCUUAGCACAAAUAAAGGAAAGGUUUUUUUUUAAUUAAGUUAAUUGAUUGAUAUUGAAAAAAUUAAUUGUUAGUUAUGUUCUAACUUUACAUGCUUGUUAAAAAAAUUAGACUAGUUAAUUUUAAAAUAUCUAUCAUUCUUGUAAUAAUUCACUAUUAAUUGCAUAGCUAAGUGAUUAUGUUCCUUCAUGUUUUCUUUUCAUAUCAGGUUGAUAAUAAAAAUGUAAUAUUGAGAAUGAGUUGAGCAUUGUUCAAUUUCUCAAGAUAAAUGUUCAUAAGGUAUGGAUGGUUGAUGUAUAUGGAAAGGAUUAGUUCACUUGCUUAAUAUCUAUAAUAUGUACUCAUUCUUGAUAUUUGUGAUCACUUCCUAUCUUUCUUCUUUUAUUGUCUUGCUUGUUAAUUUAUAACUUUACAUUCAAUUUGUUAUGAACCAUUAUACUCUAUUUGAAGUUUUGAUUUUAUGAUUCUUAUACACAAAAGAAUACUAACCAUUUGAGCAAGGAGGACAUGAUACUAAAUCAUUUAUCAAUUUGGCUAUUUUCUUCUCUCUAAUUUCUUAGCUUGGGAAUCAAAAUGCUUUGGAAUAUACAAGAAACAAUGGGGAUGAGUCUUUUUUUCAUCAUCUUUAGUUUUAUUGAUGGUCAACUUGAAGUAUCAUCCUUCCUAUUCCCUAAAGUACCCAAACUUGAUAGUUUGAAAUACUUAACAUGUUUACAAAAAUAUUCUUACAUCCUGUUUAGGUUCUAUAUAUUUGGAAAGUUUAUGAAGUUAAUUAUUUUAUUAUAGUCAUUGGCAAAAUGUUGCUCAUACCUUGAACAUAUCUACGAGCUAUUAAUGGCUAGUGCACGAGAAAGCCCCUCUUUCCUCUACUAUCCUUAGUUAGCAUAAAGGGUUCAUAUUUUGUUUUUAUUAUUUAGUCUUGUAAUUUCUACUUGUUAUCCCACUUUUUGUCUCUUUAUGGUUUAUUACUUGAAAAUCAAUUUUUGAAACAUGUUCUUAUAGGUAAUAGUGCUAUAACAUGUUAAAUUCAUGAGAAAAAAAAUUCUAAAUUGAUAUUCAAGGUUUAGUUUAUCUUCAAGUGUCUUCUAGAUGUGGAUUUUUGUGCUUACAAUCCAAAACAUUGAUAUAUGUUCUUUGUAGCUAAGGUUUGGUUUAUUUUCAAAUGCCUUGUGGAAAAGGCUUACGCUUUUCUUCUCUUUCUUUUUGAGAAAAUAUAUUGAUGAUUGCUAGAGAAUGAGGUUGUUGGAAAUCAAUACCAUAGAAAAUGUUUUGACUUUUUAAAAUUAUUUAAUGAAUUUGGUUGAGAACUUACUUGAUAUAGAAAAACAUAUUUAUUUGUGAAACAGGGAAAAAGAAAUAUUUUUUUACACGACUUGCCUUGUGUUUGCUUGAUGUGUGCACACAAACAAAUCAUAUAAUUAGGAAUAAAAAUUGUUUCUCCUUUUUAUAAAUAAAACUAUAACCAAAAUGCAAUAUAGAUAAGUCACAUUAAUUUAUUAUAUCAGUCCUAAAAAAAUGUUUGAACUAUGUUAACUAGUAGGUAUUGGAAAAAGGAAUUAUGUCAUCUUUAUUUGCUAUUUACUUAUUUUAUAAAAUUCUUAUAUCAAUAAAGUUUGAAAUUUGUAUGUAAUAAAUCACUAGCAUUUUGAAUUUUCAUUGUUAUAAUAAUUGUUUCUAAUUGUCUACUCUUUUUUUUGCUUUAUUUUUACAAUUUUUUUAGAAAGUUUCUCAUGUUAGUUAUUGUGUCAUAAAUAUAAUAAUUUUCAAGACAAUGAGGACUUGUGGUAUAUUGCUCACAUUCCAUAAAUAUAUGCUGACAAGGUGGUUUUUAGGUUUAUAUUUUAGAUCUUUUUUCCCACUAUUUAUCUCUUUAUCAUUUAUUACUUGGUAGUCAAUUUCUAAAACACAAUGAGCCUUCUUCUUUUUUCAAGACCAUUUUUUUCGUUCUCAAAUGUACUUGCAUUUGAAAAACUUAAGAGAAUGUUGAUAGGAGUUUCAUUAUGAGGACAUGCCACAACAACAUCACUUGUUAAUAAUAUUAUUCUAUGAGUUGACAUUAAUGUCAAUGCAUCUACACCUAAAAGGAUUCAUUAUACAAAAGUAUCUUCUACAUUUCCAUUCUCUCCCCUUCUCUUAACAUUAAUAUCUACACAUAUUGUAAACAUCAAAGAUCCAACAUCUUUGCUAGCAUAGGAACACAUCAUAGGCUAGAGCAUGUGCCAACAUAAGGACUUAGAGGCUUAAUGUAUCUUUGAGGUCUAAAUACUUAUGGUUUUUCUAGAUCAAUUAAAUUGUAUAUUCACCUUACCCUAACGCUAAUCUUUUACAAAGGACCAUCAAUAAGCCCCCACACUUGAAAAUCCAACAAUUGAGCUCUAUGCACUAUUUUGUAGCUCAUCUAUUUAGUAAUUAUAUUGAUCUUGUUACUUUAUGUUUGCAUUCUUCAUCUUUGGAGAAUUUCUAAGGUUGACAAUUUUGUUAAUAUUGUAGAUGUGAUUCUUUGCAAGUUGAUGCAAAAAAGCAAUACUAUUGUCAUAGUGACCUUGGUACUUUUCUUGAGUAAGUGAAAAAUGAAGAUUGUCAUAGACUAAGUUCUAUCUCAAUAGUUGCCUCUAAAUAUAUGGAACAAAUAGCUCAAAGACCUCAUUUGUGAGAUAAUGGGGAAUGUGAGAGGAUGACCUAUAAUUCCAAGCCCUUGGAAGCUUGUUCCAACAACAUUUUAGAAUUGUUUCCAAAUUCGUGUCUCUAUCAUCAAGAUCUCAACAUGUUGCAGCCUUGAAAAUCCUAAAAACUAGUUACUAUUCUAUUUCAAGAUCAAAUACCUUACCAGACUUGAUAUUAAGCUAUGAAUUUUUGAAUAAGCUUCAAACUGUUAAAUGUUAGAAGGAAUUGAUCUCUUAACUCUCUCCAAAGAUUCAUGAAUUACAAUUUCUCACACUUGUCAAAGAGAUGCCAAAGAGAAAGAUGAAGAUUUGCCUAUGAUUUCUCAUGUUCUUGAAAUUGGUACUGACAAGGAAUGAAUGGUUGAUUCAUAAAGAGCUUAUAUACUAUUUAAUUCAAGCAUGAUAUUUAUAAUAUAUUUUAGGUUUGUGUAAUAGAAAGUGAGAUAGGAUCACUAUUGUUGAUAGAAAUUGAUAUAUUCUAUGAUUUGUGUAAUAUUGAUAUUCUUAGUUGAUUUGAAAAUUCAUUUAUGGAGUUUCUGUAUUGAAGUUGCUAACUUUGGAUUUUCAGCACUUGUAAGUGUUUCACCACUUACAUGUCCCCUUUUUGUCAAGCUUCAAUGAUAUUUUCAACACUUACAAAUAGUUUGUUGCUAACCUUUUUCACUACAAGAAAUAAUAGUUUUAACAACAUGAAUCAAACGUUGUCAAAAACCUUUCAAAAUGUACACAUAUAUGUUGUUGAAAAAGAUGUUUAGAGCAUGCAUUAAACCUCAUUUAAGUUUUUUACAAUAUGCGUGUACACAUUGACAUUACUAUUCACAUCAAAAUGAAAGAGAUUGAAAUAUUAAAUAUCAUUGCUAUCAUUUAGAUUCUAUAUAUGUUUUACCUUCAACACACUUAAGUUGAUUGAAAUUUUCAUAAUAUAUCUAAUUUAAUUGUAAUAUAAUAUAAAGACCACAAAAAGAAACUUAAGAUGAUUGAAAAUUUCAUAAUAUAUUUGGUUUAAUGACAAUAUAAUAUAAAGACUGAAAAAAGAAAAUAAUGUUUGACAUUCCAACCAUAAUACAUUGUUGUUACUUCAAAAAUUUGAAAAAAAAAAUACAUUCAUAAUUCAUUCAAUAAAAACAAAUACAAGAUUCUAGAAACUUUUAACACCUAAUUUCUACAUGUAGAACAAGAACAAGGUUAGGAUUUUUUUGAGUAGUUAAGUGAAACUCAGUUUCUUAUCCUACUUUACAAUUUUUGGUUUCUUACUUAUUCAAAAAAAAAAGUUGAUAAUAUUAAUACUUUACUUGGUAUAUAUGGAAUUACAAAAUACAACAAGAUUUGCAUAUGGAAUCAUAAAAGAACACUAGAAUGAAAAUUAAUAGACAUACAAAGAUAUACAUUUGAGUUGAAACACACCUUGAGGAGAGGUACAACAAAAAACUUAAGCAAAUGUACCCAAGGAUUAUGGAAUUCUCCUCGUUUUUCCUCUAACAAACCUCACUUUUCUACAUGAUACUGAAGUUGUCAAAAAUACAAAUUGAUACUAAAACAUAAUAAUUAUAGUCAUAUCCCAUUAAGACAUUAAAAUAUUAGAAAGUCUCUUGAUGAGCAUUAAGAGGGUUAAAAUUAUGUUUAUUGCUCGGAUACAACAAAAUGAAGUUACAAGUAUACUAAAUAAUAUGCUAGGAAAUAACAAAUCGACACCAUAUAUAAGAGUAGAAUUGAAGCUAAAACAAGAACUUUGAAUGCUUGUUUUGCACCCUUUGUGUGGAAAGGCCUUAUUAUAUUGUUCUAAUCAUGUAUACUUUAAAAAAAAAAAAAAUUGUUUUGCAUCUUUUUUCUUAGGGGUCUUUUUAUGCAAUUUUAUUUUCCUAUCACAAGAAAUUUUAUUAAAGUCUUUGUAAGUUAUUUUUCGUCAUAAUUUCAUUGUAAAACAAAUAAGAAAAUUUGAGAUUUUUCCUAAUAUUUUUGCUUUAGAAUGGAGUUUUUUGCCUUUUUGUGUGAGACUUGGACUCAUCAAUAUCUCAUAGUUCAAAAUGGAGCCUUUCGCAAAGGUAGAAGAAGCACCUUCAACACUAAUGAUGGAGUUACUUUAGGAAACAUGACUUUCAUUCUUGUAAAAAUGCCUAAAGACAUUUCAUUGUUUUGACCACUGCACAAAAACCCAUGUUUUCUUGAUUUCUUAAGGAGUUGUAUCUUUUAAAUAAAUUUUAUACACAAACAACACUUGAUCUCAAGAUCAACUCAAGUAAUCCAUGUCUAAGAAAAGGAUGUGAGCCAAUUGAACCAAAGUGUUUUGAACAACUUGAAGACAAGCUAUGCCAUAUGUCAUACCACCUUUUUUGAUGGAACUCAUGAAAGGCUAGUGAAUAUGAGUCUUUGAGGAAUGAAUUGGGCUCAAUGUUGUUGUAUAUAAUUUAGAGUAGAUAUUUGAAAUGUAUGGAUAUUAUUUGUCAUACCAUCAUGGGUAUGAGUUGUGAUGUUUAUUUUCCUUGUAAUUUAUUUUAUGCAUUUAAGUGUCUUAUUUCAAAAAGGUAAAAUUUUUAUAUUUGAUUACAUUAGAGUUUAUAUUUAAUACUUUAAUUAGGAUGACUAAUGAUUAUAUAUUGAUGUAAAUAUUAUUUUUCUCAAAGGAAGUUCAAAAGUUAUGUUUGGAACCAAAUCCCAAAGGAAAAGAAUUCUAAAAUUAGAUUUCAAUCUCUUGGUGAUCAUGAUUGGUAUGAGAAGGAAUUGAAAUGAAAAUAAUUAUCUUGGGUUUGGUAUUAUAACAAGAAUAAAAAAUAAAUAACUUUGGUGUACUACUUGGACCAUGCUACGACAUAAAUAUGAAUGAUCUAAAUAUUAAUUCUUCUUAACUAAAAUCAACCUAAUUAUAAAUUUAAUUAUAAAAGUAAAUAAAUUUAUCAUAAUAAAAUUAAUUAAGAAUAUCAUUUAUAUAAAAUUUACAGAAACAAUCAAUUUCAAUUAUUUAAAAUCACUUCUCAACAUUAAACUUAAAAAUCCCUCCAGCAUGAUCUAAAUUAUCUUAUAUUCAGCUUUUUAAUUCAUUUAAAAUACAAAGUAACUUACACUUGUUAAAAAAUAAAAAUAAAAGAUUAUGAGCAUAAAAAAAUAUUGUUUUCGUUUAAAUCCCUAUACUUCUCUAUUAAUAAUUACUAAAAUAGAGAAAUAACUAAAAUAACAUGACAUAAGUGAUAAAAAAAGAAAAAAAAGAAUGGAUAUAUAACUACAAUGAUAUAAGUGAGAUUAAAAUUAAGAAUUUACUCAAGUUAGAGAAUUAUUUAUUCUAAUAAAAAUGUUAAAGAAAUACAUUACUUAAUAUAAUAAAUUCUUUUUUCCUUUUGUCAUUCCAUAUGAGCAUCUAUAAUAUUGAAAAUAGAAAGAAAAGAAUCCCCAUCCAUAUUUAAAAUAAUUUAUUUUAGAAUAUUCUACCUCUAAAAAAUCCAUUAAAGUUCAAAAAAAGUAAAAAGAUGAUAUGACUAGUAUGUAUAGAGAAGAGAGUGAAAGAGACAAAAAAAAUGUAUUUACUAAUUUAAAUUUAAAGAGAAAAGGCAAGAGUAAUAAGGCAUCAUUGAAAAAGGGAAAGUUUAUUUUAAUAAAAUUCAAAUCUCAUAAAUUGAAAAGUUGAAAAGUUGCCUUCCAAAUCCUUUAAAAUUCUUUCCUUCUAAAAAUUCCCUCAUUUCAAAUCUAUUCUUCCCUUUUCCAUUUAAUUCCCUUGAUUCCAAAUAAAGUAAAAUAAUAACAAUCUUUCUAACAAGUUAAUAACAUAUAAAAAAUAAUAAUAACAUAAUAACCUAUGAAGCAAAAUUACAGACAUUUGGAAAUACAUUACAAAAUUUUUGUGGAUUUCUUCAAGAAAGAUCCUAGAAGCAAAAAUUUAGAAAUAUUAAGAGGGUAAUUUUUUUAAAAUAAAUUAUACAAAUUCUAAUAAAAAAUAUUUAUUCAUUUAUUCAAGAAUAUUAAAAAAAGAAAAUAUUAUGAAAAUAGGUAAUAUAAAAAUUUUCAUAUUCAUCUCAAGGUUUAUAUAAAAAUUAUUAGCAAUAUUUUUUUGUGAAUAAUUAUUAAACUGUUAAUUAUUUGUUUGAUGGUAUUAUAAUAUGAGAUGGUGAGAUUAGAAGAGUAAAGUACAAAGUAGGUCCCAUAUGAUAUAAUUAACAUAUCUUUUCUCUUCCAACUUAAGCCCAACUAAAUAAUGGGCUUAGGGCAAAGCCCUAAGUACUCAACUGAAUGAACUGGCUUUUGUUAUCUAGGAAUUUGUUGCUAGCGUCAUCAUCUUUCGUUGUGGAUUUCUAUGAAUGCCAUUUUUUUGUAAAUCCAAUUAAUUCACCAAUUAAAACCAUAAACAUACUUAAUUCACCAAUUAAAACCAUGAACAUACUUAUCUAUAACAAGGGAUUUGAAGAGCUUUUUAAAUACUAAAAAUGGGGUUUAAAAGUCAAGAAAGGUUUAUUUCCUUAAAAUAUAUAACAAUAUCAAAAAAAUAUCUUUAUUUUAAAUGAAAGUGUUUUUAAAAUAUAAUUCACAAAUAUAAAAUUCAAUUGCAUGACAAUAAUAAUUACUUUCAUAGGAACUUCUACUAAACAAACAAGUUAUGGGGGGCUUCCCUCCACGUGUCCUUCCCAGACUCAAGACCCCUUGGGUGACCAAGGUAGACAUAUAACACGUUUGGGAUCACUUCAUCUGGACCAAAAUAAGCUUUGUAUGGCACUAGAAGUGAGAAGUUUUCCUUCUUCCACAAUACCAGACGAAAUAGACAGACCAAGCCGACUGGACAUUUCAGACGGACAAAUAAAUCUAAUCAGCAGCCCUUACUUGAUGUGAUUGCCCAGUCCAUGCAGCAGUGAUGGAGUUGAUUGUCCUAUCAAGGCUCGAUUUCCAUCGAGCAAUCAUCAUUACAAGAAAUGUUAGAGUGCAUAAUCAACGCUAUAAUGAUGAUGCCAUCAGCUCUAUAUAAACCCCUCAAGAAGCAUGAACAAGGUACACAUGCUCAUUCUCUCCCACUAAAAAUAGUUAGAGAUAUUCUUGUUGAUUUCUGACUUGAGCUUUGGAGGGGCAUGCCCGAACCACUUGUCCGGACAUCCUUCUUUGCAAGGAAGAAGUCUGUCUGACUCUAGUGAAGCUGGAUGGACCUGAAUCUAAUUGGCUCAACACCAACAUUAAUGUCGUAUAUGGGAAAGACUAAGGAUGUCAACACUUUCCAGAAGCUAAUCAUCAACUAUGGGUGGUGAAGACUACUUUGCUUGGCGUGAAAGAAUAGAGAGACGUCAAUAAGAGAAUGAUCGGCAGAUGUAGUCUAUGCUUCGCCAAACAAAGCGACUCAAACAAGAGAAUGAAGAGUUGCAGGCACAGAUGUCAGCAUCAAGCCCCUCUCAAAGUCGAUAACCUCAAAGACAACAAAUAGCCUCAAGACGGACUAAUGAAACAUCUUUCCCUGGGAACACAGAGUUCUUCUCUGGUAGCUACACGAGACAGUCUAAGGAGGAGGUUUCGCCAGCUUGCCAAAUGCAGCUGGACGAAGGCACUAACUCUACCCGGGCAUCAAUGAAGAGGAGGUACGAUAGAAGGUUACAUUUGUCAGAUGCGAUGCGAGCCUGAUUAGGACCUCAGGCACCAAGCGUGGAGGAGCAACCAUGCAUAUUAGAAACCCUGAAGGCCCGUCUAGGUCCCCCAACCACAGUAGUUAUGUUGGGAUGACCCUCUCAACCGCCAAGGCAACAACAAGCUGAGGCCCCGAAGAUCUGAGCUUUGCCUUGCUCUGUCAGUCGACGGUUGGAUGACAUGCUCUCCAUGCGGUUCAACCCUCAUAUUAUUAACUAUGAGCCAUCUAGAGGGUUCAUAGUGCCAAAAUUCACAACGUACGACGGAAAAAACAAUCUGUUUGAUCACAUCAUAUGCUUUAAGUUACUCAUGACCCUCGAUAUAGGGAAUGAUGCACUAUUGUGCAAGGUCUUUUCGGCCAGCCUACACGGCCAAGCUCUUUCUUGGUUCCACCGUCUCCCACAUAAUUCUGUGAACACUUUCUGGGAUUUAUCAAAAGCCUUUGUGGGCCACUACUUAUGUUUGGCUCAUCAUAAACAUAACAUAAACACCCUACAGAACAUCAAGGUGCAGGAGAAUGAGUUGCUCAAAGACUUCAUGAAGCGGUUCGGGCAAGCCGUGCUUUAAGUGGAGUCCUGUAGUAUGGAUGCCAUCCUGUAGAUCUUUAAGUGAAGCAUUGGCCCGGGCACGCCAUUUUUUGAGUCUCUCGCAAAGAAGUCGCCUGCAACAAUGGAUGACCUGUUCAGACGAGCAGACAAAUACUCCAUGCUCCAAGACGACAUCUGGGCAACUACUCAACAGGUCUUGGUCACCAAUCGUCCGACUAAGGAUGAUGAGGCAGAAAGUUUUAAGCCAUCGAACCAAUCGAGGCAUGCUAACAAGAGGUGGGCUAGCUAGCAACAGCAAAAUCAGGCGAGACUAAUCCUCCUCGGUAUCUCAUAUCAGAGACUUCUUCUGAUGAUUCGUGAUUUGUCAAACUUUAGAUGGCCAGAACUUAUCAAAAUAGAUCCAGCUAGAUGGGAUUAGAACAGAAGGUGCUCCUAUCAUAAGGAUCAUGGUCAUACCACCAAGCAAUGAAGGAGUCUCCAUUACUUGGUGGAGAAACUAAUCAAAGUUGGGCACCUAAAACAGUAUGUCCACACAACUGGCGGGCAAAGAGAGACGGUGCAAGAGUUAGCCAUCCAAGCCCUUGCAUUUUUGGCAGUUCUUAGAGUUGUCAUUAACUACAUACAUGGAGGCUUCGUAGAUGAUAGAGACAAUUCUAAGCGACAAAGGCGAAGGUUGCUCCGUGUAGCCUCUGUAAAAGAGCGAGUUCACUCCGUUUAGUGCAACUUUUCGGAAGAGAGUGAGUGCUCCAUUGAUGACACAGUUAUCUUCCUUCCAGUAGGUGUUAAUCAAGUAUUGCAAUCGCAAGAAGAUGCCCUAGUCCUAACACUAGGGGUAGGCAGAUUCGAUGUGAGAAGGGUUCUAGUUUAUCCGGGUAGCUCACCAGACCUUUUACAAAUGUCAAGCUACAAGCAGAUGAGCUACUCCCUAUCCAUCCUAGAAAACCCAAAGCGUUUGUUGUCUGGGUUCAAUAGAGCUACGAUGACUUCUCUGGGUGAUGUUGUGCUGCCCAUCCAAGUAGGCUAAGUCACCCUAAACGUACAAUUCUUAGUCAUCGACGAUUUGUUCCCAUAUAAUGCCAUUAUGGGACGUGCAUGGCUUCACAUAAUGAAAGUCAUUCCCUUUACGUACCAUCAGAUGGUGAGCUACCUCACGGAGGAGGGACCAGUCGAUCUCCUUGGCAACCAACUAGCCGCGCGCCAAUGCUAUCAAGUGGUGCUAGAUUAUGGACAUUUAGCCGGUUGGAAUCAUCAAAUACAAUGGAGCAAUAGCAAUUAUUGAGCUUGGUGAAGAAAGAUCCAUCUGCAACUGAUCCACUCCAGCCAUUAUGUCUCUUACAUAGCACAUAUCAAAUCACCUAUACCAGUUCGCUGCUUACGUAGGAUGAACUGGAACUACUAAGAAGUGUGCUUCAGCAAAACAAGGACAUCUUCGUUGGGAUUCACUCAGAUAUGCUAGGAAUUCAUCCAUCUGUGGCCUCCUAUGAACUUAACACCACGCCCUCCUCACAUCCUAUCUAGAAAAAGGUCCGAUGUUUUCAUCCGGACAGGCAGAAAAUCAUCCUAACGAAAAUUGACAAACUAUUGGUAGCCAGAUUUAUCAGAGAAGUCAAAUAUCAAAACUAGUUGGCAAACGUGGUGAUCGUUCAAAAGAAGAAUGGGAAGUGGCGAGUUUGUGUUGAUUACACCAACCUGAAUGAUGUCAGCUCAAAUGAUAGCUUUCCCUUACCCCAGAUAGAUUAGAUAGUCGAUUCCACCGUUGGCUAUGAGAUGCUCUCCUUCCUAGACGUCUUCUUCGAAUAUCAUUAGAUUCCUAUGUUCUAGUCGGAUAAGGAGAAGACAGCCUUUGUUACACCACAUGAGUUGUACUGCUUCAAAGUCAUGUCAUUCGGGCUUAAGAAUGCUGAUGCUACUUAUCAGAAACUAAUGACGAAAAUUUUCAAGCCCUUGAUUGGUCGAACUGUGGAAGUCUACAUUGAUGGCUUUGUUUUAAAAAGCGAAACCCGAGCUAAGCACGUCCAGCACUUAAAAAGAAACAUUCUGUCUUAUGCGGGCAUACAACAUGAAGCUCAAUCCAACUAAGUGAGCCUUUGGCGUCAAUACAGGAAAGUUUCUAGGGUUUAUGGUGACCCAAAGAGGAAUUGAAUUUAAUCCGGCUCAAAUAAAAGUUGUCCUCGAAACACCUACUUCAAGCAACAAAAAGGAGUUGCAACACCUCACAAGUUGUCUAACAGCUUUAGGGCGUUUCAUAACCCAUUUCACAGACAAGCUGAGACUUUUCUUCCUCACUCUCAACAGAGCAAACAUGUUCAGUUGGACAGAUGAAUGCAGGCAGGCAUUUGAAGUAGUCAAGCGCUACCUCACUGAACCACUCAUUUUAAGGAGCCUCAAGUCCGGUAAACAACUUUGUAUGUAUUUGGUUGUAUCCCGACUACGUUGUUAGUGUCGUCCUGUUUCGGCACAUACAAGACAAAGAGCAGAGGCUCAUUUACUAUGUGAGCAAAGUAAUGGUAGACGCUGAGACUCGGUACUCUAAAAUGAAGCAGACGAAUCUAGCCCUUCAAAAUGUCACUCAAAAGCUCUGCCCAUACUUCCAGGCUCAUCAAGUGACCGUACUCACAAACCAGCCACUCCGAGUUACCCUGCACAAACCGGAUCUAUCCGGACAAAUGUUGAAAUAGGCCAUCGAGUUGAAUGAGUGCGGAAUCAAGUAUUAGCCAAGGUUAUCAUUGAAGGGACAAGUUAUGGCCGACUUUAUAGUUGAACUCCCUAAAAAUCAAGUACAUCCGGUUGAUCGCCCUGGAGAGCAAUGGUGGACACUUCAUGUAGACGAAGCGUCCAGAGUGUUCGGAUCUGGAGUAGCUCUGAUCCUAUAAUCACCAAUUGGGGAACUAAUGGAACAAGCUAUCCAUCUCAACUUUUCUGCCUCCAAUAAUGAAGCAGAAUAUGAAGUUGUCCUAGCCAGGCUAGAUCUUGCCCUAGUAUUAGCAGCCCAAGUUGGAAAUCAGGAGUGACUCUUAGCUAAUUUUCAAACAUAUUCAACGAGAGUAUGCAGCAAAGGAUGAAUGCAUGGCUCGCCACCUCGCCUGGUGGAAAGUCACCUGAAAAAGCUGGACGAGUGGGUCACUAGACGAGUGCCGCAUGGGAGAAUGGGAAGACAGACGCACUAGUCGGAAUAGUUGCCACUCUUUCCAUAAAAGAGGCGGUGAUGCUACCUGUUUACCUCAAAGCUGCCACCUUAAUCAUACUCGAGCCAGUGUGCAACACCAGUCAAACGAACUUAGGUUGGAUGCUUAACAUCGUGAAAUACCUUCAAACAAGGGAGGUACCAGGAGAUAAGAAGCAAGCUCAUAAACUCCGCAUACAAGCAGCACGCUUCACUCUAAUUAAUGACCAAUUGUAUAAACCAUCAUUUGGAGGUCCAUACCUAAAGUGUUUGAGCGAUCCGAAGGCCAAAUAUGUUUUAGCCGAACUCCAUGAAGGCGUAUGUGGCAAUCACCUAGGCGGACGAACUUUGGCACAUCGCGCUUACACGCAAGGGUACUAUUGGCCCACCAUGAAGCAGGAUGUUGAAAACUAUGUUAAGAAAUGUGAUCGGUGUCAACGACACACUCCCAUUCCCCGUGUACCUUUAGAAGUGGUCAACCUAGUCACAAAUCCUUGGUCAUUUACAUAGUGGGGGAUGGACAUAGUCGGGCGCUUACCCAUUGCAGCAGCACAAAAGAAGUUUUUGCUCGUUGCAAUCGACUAUUUUAGCAAGUAGGUGGAGGCAAAAGCCUAUGCCAACAUCAAAGAUAAAGAUGUCUCUAAGUUCAUCUGGAAAAACAUCGUAUGUCGAUUCAGAGUUCCACGAGCGAUUGUUACUGACAAUGGGCCACAGUUUGAUAGUAUUGUAUUUCGAACAUUUUGCUUGGAGUUAAACAUAAAGAACCUAUACUCAACACCUCGUUGUCUACAAAGCAACAGACAAACGGAGGCGACAAACAAAACCCUAUUGAAUGCACUAAAGAAAAUGUUGGAAAUGGCAAAAAGAAAGUGGGUGGGUGAACUACCCGAAGUCUUAUGGGCUUACCAGACAACAUCCAAACGACCAACAUAGGCCACUCCUUUUACCCUUACUUAUGGGAUUGAGGCCAUUAUUCCAACUGAGAUUGACAUGCUUACUGCUAAAACAGUCGUGUAAGACUAUAGGAACAAUGAUGAAAAAAUCAUAAGACAACUAAAUUGGGCAGAUGAAUUAUGAGGAGACGUGGAGAUACAACUAUCUGGAUAGCUUCAUACCAUCAGAAGGCAAUUGCUCAGUACAACAAAAGGGCACGACCACAAAUUUUUUAGCCAGGAUCUUUAACUCUCAGAAAAGUUUUUGAGAAUACAACUUAAGUAGGAGCAGGGAAGCCGUAAUCUAAUUGGGAAGGGCCAUAUGUUGUAACUAAGGCAGGAUACUCGAGGGCAUACCACCUUCAGACUCUAGACGGAGUACCCCUACUCUGCCCAUGGAAUGUGACCAACCUAAAGCUAUAUUAUCAGUAAAAUUGCUUAUUACAAGUAGGGAAGACUAGGCUUCAGUCGACUAGAGUAAAUAAAUACAAAGAAUCAAACCCUGUCCGGGUAUCUUGCAAUUCCUGCCUCAGCCGGACAUCUUUUUCUUCAAUCUUCUCUUUCUCGGCCACCAUAGCCACAUUUUCCUCAACUAGUUGGCCAGCUUCAGCCUGAGAUGCCUCCUUCUCCUCCUCGACCUUCCUCAGUAGACCGACACCUUCUUCAGCCAGCUCUUGGGUAGCAACAACCUCACUCUUCGUCGUCUUCAAGUUAGCAAGGAGAUCCUCAUUCCCGUCCACGUUAUGGGCAACACAUGUCCUCAUGGUCUCGACUGCUUCCAACUAGUGAAAAAGGUGAGCGCAUUGCCGCAUAAGGUUUUGGAUUCCGGUUCCCACCUGGGGGCAACAGAGAAAUUGUUAUAAAACGAGAGACUAAGGUAAAGUAAGCGAAAAAAUGGGAGAUGGCCUACCACUUCUGUUGUCUCAAAAGCUAUGUAGUCCUGCAUAUGGAGAAUGCAAGCAAUAGCAAUAUUUAGAGUAUCGUACGGAAGUCGUGUCGAAGUGGCAUGUGCCCCUUGGCGCCCAAAAACUUGAAAAUGAAUAAUAUGUCUUACCUCAACCCGACAGCUACCCUACUAGAAAAAGGCAGACGAAUUAGGGGGCUUUGUGAGGGGCUUCCCCCCACGUGUCCUUCCUAGAUUCAAGACCCUUUGGCCGACUAGGGCAAACAUAUAACCCAUUUGGGAUCACUUCAUCUGGACCAAGAUAAGCUCCGUCUAGCACCAGAAGUGAGAAAUUUUCCUUCUUCCACAAUGCCAAAUGGAAUGGACAAACCAAGCCGACUGACAUUUCAGAUGGCUCACAAUGUCAGACAGAAUGGACAAACCAAGUCGGUUGGACCUUUCAGACGGGUAAAUCAAUCUAGUCAAGUCCUUAGGAUUUCUUAUAGGCAUGGUUAACCAUGCCUGAUGUCUAAGCAUCGGCUUAGACACCUAAUGUCUAAGCGUCGGACUAGACGCCUGAUGUCUAAGUGACGAACUAGAUGCCAUUUACACUCAAAAGUCAAUGUCAAUUAAUUGUUACACACAAUCCCAAACAUUGGCAAAAGCUAAAUGGACAUCAGCAAAUGGCACUAGUCAGCAACUCUUACUUGAUGUGAUUGCCUAGUCCAUGCACCAGUGACGGUGUUGACUGUCCUACCAAGGCUCGAUUUUCGUCGGACAAUCAUCAUUACAAGAAAGGCUAGAGUGCAUAAUCAGCGUUAUAAUGACGAUGUCAUCAACUCUAUAUAAACCCCUCAAGAAGCAUAAACAAGGUACACACGCUCAUUCUUUCCCACAAAAAUAAUUAGAGCUAUCCUCAUUAAUUUCUUACUUGAGCUUCGGAGAGGUGUGCCCGAACCACCUAUCCGGACAUCCUUUUGUGUAGGGAAGAAGUCCGCCUAACUCCAGUGAAGCUGGACAGACCUAAAUCUAGUUGGCUCGACACCAACACAAGUAAAAUGCUAUUAUAUGAAAACAUGUUUGAAUUUUGUAUACGCAUUUGAUAAAAUAAAAAAAAACCAAAAACCUUUUUUCACUUUGUUAAUAUAAGCUUUCAUGUUAUUUAUUUAUUUAUUUAUAAAUAAAACCAUUAUUAAGAUAUUAAAAACAACAUUUUUAUUUUUAUUAUUCAUUAAAUCUUAUUGACACUCCCUACUUAUUAAUACUCAUAUUUAAAUAACUUUAAAAGUUAUUAACUUUUUAUAAAAGUGUCUGAUAAAUCUACAUCAAGAGUUACUAAUUUUUUCUAUUUUUAAAAACAAAAGGUAUAUUUACCCAGUACCUAAUUCAUUAAAAUUAUAUGCCUCUUAACUAGUCUUGUAAAUGCAUUAUUUUUUUAUUCCACUUUCAAUGUACUUCUUAUCAUAUUUUUCAUGGUUAUAAUGAUUUAAUUAUAAUACAUAUUCAACAAAGCUUCAUCCAAACAAUGAAUAUGAAAAGGUAUAUAUGAAAAGGUAUAAAUUGAAUGAACCUAGAUAUUGCCCAAUAUUGAUAAAAACACAAUAGGAUGAUCAUACUGUUGUAAUACUCUCCUCUUCCUUUUUCAUACAAACAUAAUUUAACAUUUGGAUUAAACUUUCUAAAAUGUAAGUUUUCAUCAUUAAUUUGAAUCAAGAUAUCUAAUUAAAAAAUUAAAAGUCCUUCGAAGAGCUUACAAUACAGAAAAUUAAAGUUAAUUAUUAAGUAAUUAUAUAAACUUAAAUGAAAAGAAAUCUUAUUUUAAAAAUAAUGAAAAAAGAGAAAAUUAGAGACAUGGAAUUGCUUUUAGAACUAAUCCAAUUGAUGGAAAUUUGAGAAUGCUUACUAAUAGCCAAAGUAACAAACCCUAAAAAUAAUAAAGGGUAUGAAGACUUAAAACUUCAUUCAAUGCAAACCAAAUCAUCUAAUGAGCUAUACUUUUUGUGAAGAAGUUAUUUCUUAGCUAUAUUCCUUGGACACUACAAAAAUAUUUAGAUGGAUGGCUUAAAACUUAAGAAUUUUUUUUUUCAUUAAUGUGAUCUCAUGUAAUGCAUAUAUCCUAAUGUUUUCAAUUUUUUAGUUUUAUUUUCAUAUUUAUCUUGGGGUUAUGUAAAAAGCAUUAACAAUAUUCUUUUCAAAUAACUAUUAAAAUGUUAAUUAUUUAUUGGUGGUAUUAUAAUUUGCGAAGGUGAGGAUAGAGGACAAAGUACAAAGGGUCACCGUACGUAGGGCACAUGUAAUAUAUCUUUUCUCUUCCAACUUAGGCCCAACCCAAUAAUGGGCUUGGGGCAAAGCACCAAUUAUUCAACUUGAUGGAUUGGACUGGGUUAUCUAAGAAUUUGUUGCUAGUGCCUUAAUCUUUGUUUGUGGAUAUCUAAGAAUUUCAUUUUUUUUUUCUUUAAAUACAAGAAUUCACCUAUUAAAACUAGUCAAGAAAGUUUUAUUUCCUUAAAAAUUUCAAUAAUAUAAAAAAAUUAUCUUUAUUUUUAAUAAAAGUAUUUUUAAAAUAUAAUUCUCCAGUAUAAAAUUCAAUUGAAUAACAAUGAUAAUUAUUACCUAAUCUACUAAACAAACAAAUUAAAUGCUAUCCUUUCAUAACACACAUUUGAAUUUUUUUAUAUGUAUUUCAUAAAAAGUUUCUUUUUUCACUUUGUUAAUAUAAGCGUUAAUAAUAUUAUUAUUAUUUAAAAAAAAAUUAGAUCAAACCCUUAUUAAGAUAUCAAAAACAAUAUUUUUAUUUUUAUUUUUCAUUAAAUAUUAUUGACAUUCACUAUGUAUUCAUACUAGCAUUUUUUAAGUAGCUGUAAAAAAUUAUUACCUUUGUAAAGUAAGUUUCUAUGAAGUCCGAGUUACAAUUUUUUUUUUUUUAAAAAAAAAAUAGAAGAUGUAUUUAAAUGAUACCUAAUUCAUUAAAAUUAUAUGUCUCACUACUAGUUUUGUUAAUUUCAUUUUCAGUAUACUUGUUAUCAUUUUUUUAAUGGUUGAAAUCAUUUAACAAUGAAUAUAAAGCUUCACCCAAACAACAAAUAUGAAAAAUUAAAAAUUGAAUGAGCCUAUAUAUUGCUUAACAUUGAUGAAAAUAUAAUAUGAUGAUAAUACUAUGGAAUACUCUCCUCUUUGAUGGGUUGAUCAUGUUCAUACAAACACAAAUUAACAUUUGGAUUGAUUAAACUUUCUCAAAUGUAAGUUUUUGUCAUUAAUUUGAAUCAAGAUGCUUGAUCGAAAAACUAGGAUUCCUCAUAAGAACUUACAAUACAUAAAAUUAUAGGUAAUCAUUGAGUAAUUCUAUGGACUUGAAUGGAGAGAAAUUUUAUUCUAAAAAAAUAGAGAAAAAAAAUAGAAAAUUAAAGUCAUGUGAUUACUUUCAAAACUAAUCCAAUUGAUGGAAAUUUGAGAAAGCCUCCUAACAGCUAAAGUAACUAACCCUAAACAUCAUAAUAAAGCACUAUGAGAAUGAUGAUUGAAACUUCGCUUAAUGCAAACUACUAUCUUUGCAUAUCUAAGUCAUCCAAUGGGCAAUAAUACUUUUUGUGGAGAAAAUUGGACUUUUACCCCUUGCGAUAUAUAGGCCAAGACUAAGAUUAAUUGCUUUCUUUAUUGAUUACUACCCAAAAAGUGCUAUUUUACACCUUUAAUGCAUUAUGUUUUAAGCACUUUUGUGUAGUAGUUCUCCAUCUUUAGUCCAAUUGGCAUGUUAAGGACCUAGCAAUGUCUUUUAAUCAUAUUUGUGGCUAGUUUUAAUGUUUUGACAGCUUUUUGGAUCGUUAAAACAAGUCAAGCAAAGGAGAAAACCAAAGAGAAGCAAAGUGAAGAAAAAUCAAAAUGUAGCAGCUGCAGUCUUCUUUCGCACUUUUGGAGCACUUCCCGAAGUCCAAUUUUUACAUGCUAUAUACCAUUUUAAAGAUUUUGAAGUCAAGAAUCCAACGCUUCAAACCGUGCAUGAUUUGGAGCUGAAACAAGGAAGAUAUGGCCUUCGGAAGACAACUCCUCCAGGUGUGCGAGAAUUUCGCACAACCCCUUUUAGCUGUGCGAAUGGUGUGCGAAGUUCGCACACCUCCUUCAGGUGUGCGAAAAUUUCGCACACCCCAUGCGUGCUCUGUUUUUGCCGACUCCACUUUAGAUAUUUUCCUAUGUAAUUUUUGAUGUAAUUUCCUUUCCUAUCCUUGUAACUAACCAAUCACAAGCUUUUGCUUUUGUAAAGACUUUAUAAGGGGUGGAAAUUACCUCUUGGAAAAUAUACGCAUUACAUUUGACACUUAGAGAUUUUUUACAGAGCUCUCUCGUUUUCCAUUUUUUCUCUACUAUUUUCUUUUUCUUGGAAGCCAAACAACCUCUGAGGAUGUUUUCUCAUAGGAUGAGAGGCUAAACUUUUGGUUUCUUGGAGUGAUGGAAGCUAGGUGAAAAGUUCAGAUGCAAGGUGGAAAACGCUCGUGCAUUAAAUUCAGGUAGUUGGAAUUCAUAAAUGGCUUUUAAAUCCAAAGUUUUGCUUUAAAUCCCUUAGAAUCACUUUGAAUGACCAAUACAUGGUAAGCUUCAGGUCUUUAUGGAUGCUUAUUGCUAGAUCCAUAUUAGUCCAUUAGUUAUCAUGUACGAGUCAUUGGAAAGCAGUUCAAGGUGAAGACCUAUAGUGUCUAAAGCCAUUAAUGGACUUUGACUACCAUUUAUAUUGAUUAUUAUGGAUUAAAUCUUCAUUGUUAAACCUAUACCGGUUCGGGAAAUAACUAUAGGUUAAAUCCCCAAUGCGAGGAGAAAAAUCCGGAAUUUUCCACUUUGCAUUCUAAACUUGAUCCUAGUAAUCCUGAGCUCCGGGAGACUUUCCUUCUUCCAUUUUUAAUUAGUUUAUGUUAGUUUAGUUUUAAACACUUUCAAAUCAAAUUUCAUUUUCUUUUAAAUUUUAAGUUUUUGAUUAAGGAAAUCAUUAAAUACAAUUUCUAAUUUUGAAUACAUCACUGGUAGAAUGAAAACCCAUCCCAGAGUUCGACCCUAGAGCCACUAUACUAUAGUAGCUUUACUACAUUAGUAUGAGGUCAUAGGUUUUAUAAAUGUUUUUGAUUAAAUGACCCAUUUGGAGUUACAUGCGCGAAUCAAAAUGGCGCCGUUGCUGGGGAUGGUGCCACAAUACAGUGAUGCAACCUUUUAGAGGCUACUUGUGAUUUCCAUCACAAGUUUGGUGAAUUCCUUUUUCACUAACUUCUUUUCCUUUCAUUUUAUUUUUGUUAGGUUUAUUUUCAUUUUCUUUCUAACCUUAACUUUUUUCUAGGUUUCUUUUGUUUUUGUUGUUUUUGUUUUAUUUCAGGUAAGUAGUAACUUUUGCAUGCCCUAUUGGAUUCGGGACCAAGAGGGAAGAUUAGUAAGGAUUGAGAAUCCUCAAGACACAGAGUUGGAUAUUUGUGUUAACAUCAUGGACCCUCCACCAGAGGAUCAGAAUUCUCAACAAGGUCAAGGGGGUAAUCCUAAUGCAUAUCUAUCCAUGAGGGAUAGAAUGCAUCCACCAAGGAUGAGUGCACCCUCAUGCAUCCUGCCUCCUCUUGAGCAGCUGGUUAUAAGGCCCCAUAUUGUGCCCCUUCUACCAACUUUCCAUGGAAUGGAGAGUGAGAAUCCAUAUGCCCACAUCAAGGAGUUUGAGGAGGUGUGCAAUACCUUUAGAGAGGGAGGAACUUCAAUAGACUUGAUGAGACUCAAGCUAUUCCCUUUCACUUUGAAGGACAAGGCAAAAAUAUGGCUUAAUUCUUUAAGGCCAAGGAGCAUAAGGAAUUGGGUUGAUCUUCAGGCCGAAUUUUUGAAGAAAUUUUUCCCCACCCAUAGGACCAAUGGGUUGAAGAGACAAAUCUCAAACUUUUCUGCAAAAGAAAAUGAGAAGUUCCAUGAAUGUUGGGAAAGGUAUAUGGAGGCCAUCAAUGCUUGUCCUCAUCAUGGCUUUGAUACAUGGCUCUUGGUGAGCUAUUUCUAUGAUGGGAUGUCAUCCUCCAUGAAGCAAAUUCUUGAAACCAUGUGUGGAGGAGAUUUUAUGAGCAAGAAUCCGGAAGAAGCCAUGGACUUUUAAAGUUAUGUGUCUNNNNNNNNNNNNNNNNNNNNNNNNNNNNNNNNNNNNNNNNNNNNNNNNNNNNNNNNNNNNNNNNNNNNNNNNNNNNNNNNNNNNNNNNNNNNNNNNNNNNGUAGUGAUUAAAGGAGGAUAUGAUGAAAAAACAUAUGCCUCCCCCUUUUCCUCAAGCUUUACAUGGAAAGAAGGAAAUCAAGAAUUCAUCAGAAAUUCUUGAAGUCUUGAGACAAGUGAAGGUGAAUAUACCCUUACUUGAUAUGAUCAAGCAAGUCCCCACAUAUGCAAAGUUUCUAAAGGACUUGUGCACGGUCAAGAGAGGGUUACAUGUGACAAAGAAUGCAUUCCUCACUGAGCAAGUAAGUGCUAUCAUUCAGAGUAAGUCUCCAGUUAAGUACAAAGAUCCGGGAUGCCCCACCAUUUCAGUCAACAUUGGAGGGACACAUGUGGAGAAAGCUUUACUAGACUUGGGGGCAAGUGUGAAUUUGCUCCCAUACUCUGUGUACAAGCAACUGGGACUUGGAGGAUUGAAGCCCACAGCCAUUACUCUCUCCUUAGCUGACAGGUCAGUCAAAAUCCCAAGAGGGGUGAUAGAGGAUGUUCUAGUUCAAGUGGACAAAUUCUACUAUCCUGUGGAUUUUGUUGUGCUUGAUAUUGAUCCCAUUGUGAAGGAAGCAAACUAUGUACCAAUCAUCCUUGGGAGACCUUUCCUAGCUACCUCCAAUGCCAUUAUCAAUUGUAGAAAUGGGGUGAUGCAGCUCACAUUUGGGAAUAUGACCUUGGAAUUAAACAUAUUCCACCUAUGCAAGAGGCAUUUUCACCCAGAAAAAGAGGAAGGAUUGGAGGAGGUGUGCUUGAUCAACACCUUGGUUGAAGAGCAUUGUGACAAGAAUUUACAAAAGAGCUUGAGUGAAAACCUUGAAAUGUUUGAAGAAGGGUUACCUGAACCCUCUGAUGUUCUAGCCAUCAUGUCUCCUUGGAGGAGACGGGAAGAGAUCUUACCACUGUUCAACCAGGAAGACUCACAAGAAGCAACUGUGGAGGACCCUCCAAAACUUGUUUUGAAGCCACUUCCUGUUGAUUUGAAAUAUGCAUAUUUGGAGGAAAAUGAGAAAUGUCCAGUGGUGAUUUCUUCAACUCUUACUAUUGAUCAAGAGGAUAAUCUUUUGGGAGUCCUCAGGAAAUGCAAGAAAGCCAUUGGAUGGCAAAUUUCUGAUCUGAAAGGGAUUAGCCCUUUGGUGUGCACCCACCAUAUCUAUAUGGAGGAUGAUGCAAAACCAGUGAGGCAGCCCCAGAGGAGGUUGAAUCCUCACAUGCAAGAGGUGGUGAGGGGUGAAGUUCUGAAGCUACUCCAAGCUGGGAUCAUAUAUCCCAUUUCAGACAGUUUGUGGGUGAGCCCCACCCANUAGUCCUAAAGAAAUCUGGAAUCACUGUGGUCNNNNNNNNNNNNNNNNNNNNNNNNNNNNNNNNNNNNNNNNNNNNNNNNNNNNNNNNNNNNNNNNNNNNNNNNNNNNNNNNNNNNNNNNNNNNNNNNNNNNUGAGAAUCCAUAUGCCCACAUCAAGGAGUUUGAGGAGGUGUGCAAUACCUUUAGAGAGGGAGGAACUUCAAUAGACUUGAUGAGACUCAAGCUAUUCCCUUUCACUUUGAAGGACAAGGCAAAAAUAUGGCUUAAUUCUUUAAGGCCAAGGAGCAUAAGGAAUUGGGUUGAUCUUCAGGCCGAAUUUUUGAAGAAAUUUUUCCCCACCCAUAGGACCAAUGGGUUGAAGAGACAAAUCUCAAACUUUUCUGCAAAAGAAAAUGAGAAGUUCCAUGAAUGUUGGGAAAGGUAUAUGGAGGCCAUCAAUGCUUGUCCUCAUCAUGGCUUUGAUACAUGGCUCUUGGUGAGCUAUUUCUAUGAUGGGAUGUCAUCCUCCAUGAAGCAAAUUCUUGAAACCAUGUGUGGAGGAGAUUUUAUGAGCAAGAAUCCGGAAGAAGCCAUGGACUUUUUAAGUUAUGUGUCUGAAGUGUCAAGAGGAUGGGAUGAGCCCAACUCAAGAGAGAAAGGGAAGUCUCCCUUCCAACCAACCCAAAAUCCAAAAGGUGGAAUGUAUGUAUUAAGUGAAGACAUGGACAUGAAAGCUAAAGUGGCAACAAUAGCAAGGAGAUUGGAAGAACUUGAGUUGAAAAAGAUGCAUGAAGUCCAAGCCAUUUCCGAGACCCAAGCCCAUGUCAUGCCAUGCACCAUUUGCCAAUCAUGUGAUCAUGUGGUAGAUGAGUGCCCAACCAUGCCAGCUGUGAGGUAGAUGUUAGGUGAUCAAGCCAAUGUUGUGGGGCAAUUUAAGCCUAACAACAAUGCACCUUAUGGAAACACCUAUAAUUCAAGCUGGAGAAAUCACCCAAAUUUUUCUUGGAAACCAAGACCACCUCCAUACCAACCACAAGCCCAAACCCAAGCACCUCAACAAACCUCUUCAGUGGAGCAAGCCAUUGUGAACCUAAGUAAAGUCAUGGGUGACUUUGUGGGUGAGCAAAAGGCAAUCAACUCCCAAUUUCAUCAAAAGAUUGAAAAUGUUGAGAGUUCUNNNNNNNNNNNNNNNNNNNNNNNNNNNNNNNNNNNNNNNNNNNNNNNNNNNNNNNNNNNNNNNNNNNNNNNNNNNNNNNNNNNNNNNNNNNNNNNNNNNNNNNNNNNNNNNNNNNNNNNNNNNNNNNNNNNNNNNNNNNNNNNNNNNNNNNNNNNNNNNNNNNNNNNNNNNNNNNNNNNNNNNNNNNNNNNNNNNNNNNNNNNNNNNNNNNNNNNNNNNNNNNNNNNNNNNNNNNNNNNNNNNNNNNNNNNNNNNNNNNNNNNNNNNNNNNNNNNNNNNNNNNNNNNNNNNNNNNNNNNNNNNNNNNNNNNNNNNNNNNNNNNNNNNNNNNNNNNNNNNNNNNNNNNNNNNNNNNNNNNNNNNNNNNNNNNNNNNNNNNNNNNNNNNNNNNNNNNNNNNNNNNNNNNNNNNNNNNNNNNNNNNNNNNNNNNNNNNNNNNNNNNNNNNNNNNNNNNNNNNNNNNNNNNNNNNNNNNNNNNNNNNNNNNNNNNNNNNNNNNNNNNNNNNNNNNNNNNNNNNNNNNNNNAGCAAUGAAAGUAAUCCAAUCAGGUUUUUGGUGGCCCUCUCUUUUCAAGGAUGCCCACUCUAUGUGCAAGGGAUGUGAUCGGUGUCAAAGGCUUGGUAAGCUAACACGCCGAAAUAUGAUGCCCUUGAAUCCCAUCUUGAUAGUGGAUGUCUUUGAUGUUUGGGGGAUAGACUUCAUGGGACCAUUUCCAAUGUCAUUUGGACAUUCCUACAUUUUGGUGGGAGUGGAUUAUGUCUCUAAGUGGGUAGAAGCAAUCCCAUGUAGGAGCAAUGAUCAUAAGGUGGUUCUUAAAUUCCUCAAGGACAACAUCUUUGCAAGAUUUGGUGUGCCUAAGGCCAUUAUCAGUGAUGGAGGAACCCACUUUUGCAAUAAACCUUUUGAGACUCUUCUAGCCAAAUAUGGGGUUAAGCACAAGGUAGCUACACCCUAUCACUCUCAAACAAGUGGCCAAGUUGAGUUAGCCAACCGGGAGAUCAAGAAUAUAUUAAUGAAGGUGGUGAAUGUGAAUAGGAAGGAUUGGUCUAUUAAGCUCCUAGAUUCCUUAUGGGCAUAUAGGACCGCUUACAAGACCAUUCUUGGAAUGUCCCCUUAUCGCCUUGUUUAUGGCAAAGCGUGCCAUCUUCCAGUGGAGAUUGAAUACAAAGCAUGGUGGGCAAUCAAAAAACUCAACAUGGAUUUGACAAGAGCCGGGUUGAAAAGAUGUUUGGAUUUGAAUGAAUUGGAGGAAAUGAGGAAUGAUGCUUACCUCAAUUCAAAAAUUGCAAAGGAGAGGUUGAAAAAAUGGCAUGAUCAAUUGGUAAAUCAAAAGAAUUUUGCCAAGGGACAAAGAGUCUUGCUUUAUGACUCUAAGCUUCAUCUUUUUCCGGGAAAAUUGAAAUCAAGAUGGACGGGUCCUUUCAUAAUUCAUGAAGUGCAACCAAAUGGAGUAGUGGAACUACUCAACUUCAAUAGCACUCGAACUUUCAAAGUUAAUGGGCAUCGUCUCAAACCCUAUAUUGAAUCUUUUUCCCGAGACAAGGAGGAAUUCAUCCUCCUUGAUCCACCUCCAACAUGAAAACACUUGGUUCAUGGUUGAACUUAGUCUCUCCAAAGACUAAAAAGUUCAUCCUCUUUUUAUUUUCUUUUAAGUUGAUUUUACUUUAAUCUAGUGUUUUCUUGUGUUUAUGCAUGUUUUGAUUUCUAUUUUUGACUUUAAUUUCAUUCUAAUGUGGUUUGAAUUGUGUUUUUUUGUGCUAACAUGUAGGUAGGAAGGCUUGAAGAAUGAAGUCUUGGUGAAAACAAGGGAAAACAGGGGAGAUAAGACAAGGCUCAGCAAAAUUCGCACACCCCCUUAUGGUGUGCGAAAAUUUCGCACACCAUUUACCCUGUGCGAAUUCCAUUUUUGCACCACUUUUCAAAAAUUACAUGCUCUCGGUCCCCUGUGCGAAUUUCACAGGUAUGCGAACCUUGUGCGAACCUUGUGCGAAUUCAUUUUUUGCGCCAAUUUUCAAAACCAUGCUCUCUGUCUUGGAGAAUCACAGGUAUGCGAAAAUUUCGCACACCAUUUUCCCCUGUGCGAAAUUCAUUUUCUCUUUAAAAGCUUUGUUCUCCACUUCAAAGACUUAGCUUCUUCUUCAAUUCUCUCAAAGCCUCUCUUCCGAUCACCCAUUGCCAUCCACAAAGCUCCUUUCCUUCAUCAUCCAUCAUCAUCAGCACCACCAUGGCAGCCAUUAUCCAUAGCUCCACUCCAUAGCCGCGGCAUCCACUAUUCACCACUUCCCAUUUUCGGCAAUUUCAUCUCCUUCCACCAUCAAAAUCCUUUCAAAUCUUCACCCAACCCUCUAAAUCCAUCCAUAAUUCAAUCCAAACCUUGUUCUUAUCAAGCCAAAGCCUAAACCAUAAGCAUUCAAGCCAUGGUUUCUUCAUAAGAAACCCAUUGCCGCCGGCCAUGGGAGCUCCCAAUUUUCAAUUUUCCUUUUGAAAAGCUCCCAAUUUUCAAGCCUAAUCAUCAUGAAAAAUCUUUUUCAUACCUAAGCCAGCUUUUCCCGCCCUCAAAGGCCACAAAUUUUCACCAUCUCCAUCAAGCCCAAAUUCUUCAAGCGCACGGGUGAAUAGUACCCUGUGCGAAAAUUUGCGCACAUCAUUGAGAUGAUCUUGGAGAUCAGAAAGACCUAGACUUAUGAAUUGUCUUAACUCCUUAAUCUCCUUUUUAUGCUGCUUAACUUCUUCAUGAAGUUCCUUAAUACUGACAUCCUUGGGAGACUGCUGGUCGAACCUGUUUAAGAUAUCGUUAAGGUUAUAAGGAUUAACAGUCUUCUUGGCUUCUACCUUAACAACAGAUUUCUUAAAAACUUCGUAAAGGUUUUGCUUAGUUUUUUCAUCUUCAACUUUUCUAAAAGGAUCUAGNNNNNNNNNNNNNNNNNNNNNNNNNNNNNNNNNNNNNNNNNNNNNNNNNNNNNNNNNNNNNNNNNNNNNNNNNNNNNNNNNNNNNNNNNNNNNNNNNNNNUGUUUGUUGCAUUUAGAAGCUGUUCUCCAAAGAUGUAUUGAGAAAGACCUAGUGCUAAAUUGGGAGAAGUGCCAUUUUAUGGUACAACAGGGAAUUGUCUUAGGACAUAUCAUCUCCAAGAAGGGCAUUGAGGUAGAUAAGGCAAAGGUGGAGCUAAUUGUUAAGUUGCCACCUCCCACAAAUGUUAAAGGAAUUAGGCAAUUCUUAGGACAUGCCGGGUUCUAUAGGAGGUUCAUUAAAGAUUUCUCAAAAAUCUCAAAGCCUCUUUGUGAACUUUUGGUAAAAGAUGCCAAGUUUGUGUGGGAUGAGAAGUGUCAGAAGAGUUUUGAGGAACUGAAGCAAUUCCUCACAACAGCACCAAUAGUGAGAGCCCCAAAUUGGAAAUUACCUUUUGAGGUAAUGUGUGAUGCAAGUGACCUUGCUAUGGGGGCUGUCUUAGGGCAAAGAGAAGAUGGGAAGCCCUAUGUGAUUUAUUAUGCGAGCAAAACUUUGAACGAGGCUCAAAGGAACUACACAACUACUGAGAAGGAGUUGUUGGCAGUAGUUUUUGCCUUGGAUAAGUUUCGUGCUUAUUUGGUAGGGUCCUCUAUAGUGGUGUUCACUGACCAUUCCGCCUUGAAGUACUUGCUAACCAAGCAAGAUGCCAAGGCAAGAUUGAUAAGAUGGAUCCUUUUGCUCCAAGAAUUUAAUCUCCAAAUCAGGGAUAAAAAGGGAGUAGAAAAUAUGGUAGCUGACCACUUGUCAAGACUUGUGAUAUCGCAUGACUCACAUGGUCUGCCUAUCAAUGAUGACUUCCCUGAGGAGUCUCUCAUGUCAAUAGAGGUAGCUCCAUGCUAUUCUCACAUUGCAAAUUUCUUGGUUACUGGAGAAGUACCAAGUGAGUGGAGUGCCCAAGACAAGAGGCAUUUCUUUGCUAAGAUCCAUGCCUAUUAUUGGGAGGAGCCCUUUCUCUUCAAAUAUUGUGCGGAUCAAAUCAUAAGGAAAUGUGUUCCUGAACAAGAGCAAUUAGGAAUUCUUUCCCAUUGCCAUGAUAAUGCAUGUGGAGGUCAUUUUGCCUCCCAGAAAACAGCAAUGAAAGUAAUCCAAUCAGGUUUUUGGUGGCCCUCUCUUUUCAAGGAUGCCCACUCUAUGUGCAAGGGAUGUGAUCGGUGUCAAAGGCUUGGUAAGCUAACACGCCGAAAUAUGAUGCCCUUGAAUCCCAUCUUGAUAGUGGAUGUCUUUGAUGUUUGGGGGAUAGACUUCAUGGGACCAUUUCCAAUGUCAUUUGGACAUUCCUACAUUUUGGUGGGAGUGGAUUAUGUCUCUAAGUGGGUAGAAGCAAUCCCAUGUAGGAGCAAUGAUCAUAAGGUGGUUCUUAAAUUCCUCAAGGACAACAUCUUUGCAAGAUUUGGUGUGCCUAANNNNNNNNNNNNNNNNNNNNNNNNNNNNNNNNNNNNNNNNNNNNNNNNNNNNNNNNNNNNNNNNNNNNNNNNNNNNNNNNNNNNNNNNNNNNNNNNNNNNUCAUUUCAUCGAUCUAUCAUGCCAAAGACCUGAGGAGGAUCUACCACAGCUCCCCAGAGCAGUCAGAGAGCUGCCCCUGUGCGGGCCCCACUAGCUGCACCCUCACAUUUACCUGAUUCUGCCCCUCAGAGCAGAUACCAUACGAGGAGAGCAUCUGCCACGUCUGUGGCCCCUUCACAAGUUCCGCCUCGGAGUCCUCCUACAAAGAGAGCCAAGACUUCAGAGCCAGGAGACUCCUCCAGAGCACCUCGGGAUUCACAGUCUCAGCCUUCUUCUGCCAGGCGCCGUAGACCCAGCUUGCCCAUUGAGGGCAAUUCAGAUUGCCGAUCGAGAGACUUUCAUGUCGAGGCAUAUUUCGAUCACUCUCUUAUGCGACAGCAGCCUGAGUUACGGGAUUCAUACCACCUACUUGAGAGGUACCAUCUGAUACCCUUUAUGACUUUGCCCCAGUUCUUUUAUCCUCGAGUAGUUUUAGACUUUUACCAGUCUAUGACUACUCGUGGCGUCCCGGUACCUGCCUCGAUCCUUUUUACCAUUGAUGGACGCCAGAGUAUUUUGGGGGCUAGACAGAUUGCCGAUGCCUUCCAUAUCCCUUUUGCACCAGUAGAUCCCGCUACAUUUAGACGCUGGGUCCCAUUUUCUGAGUGGGACAUGGUUCGUAUCCUAUCUCGAGGGACAUCUUCCCAGAGGACCAUUUUGAGGAGAGAGCUUCCCCCAGAGAUGCUCCUAGUUGAUGUGGUGCUUCGCACCAAUCUUUUUCCUCUUCAGCAUAAAGUACAGAGACGAGGGGCCAUUAUGGAGGCAUUAUUCCGUAUCUCUGAGGGCUACUAUUUUGGCCCCCAUCAUUUGAUUAUGGCCGCUCUCCUCCAUUUUGAGGAGAAGGUGCAUACGCGGCAUCUUGCGAGGGCAGACUCCAUUCCUUUACUUUUCCCUCGGCUGCUAUGCCAUGUUUUGGCGCAUAUGGGUUUUCCUACAGACCCUCGUUCAGAGCCCCGCCGCCAUUGUCGAGAGAGCUUCUCUCUUGACCAAUGGACUCAGAUAUGGCUCCAUCGCCAGUCCCCAGAACUUCCCGAGCCAAGGGAAGUCCCUCCUGCUCCGUCCACUACAGACCCUCCACAGCCAGUACCGGAGGCAGCAUCAUCUGAUGCCCCACCUGUUGUUCCUCCUACAUCAGAGCCGCCCAUUACUAUCCUUGGUCCAGAGUAUCGUGCCUUGCUCACUUCUUUCCAGACUUUGACCACUACUCAGACGGCCAUUAUGGAGCGCAUGGACCACUUCCAGACUCAGCAGGACCAGCAGACUCUCAUUCUCCGUGAGAUUUAGCAGCACCUCGGUCUUGUGCCACCAGCUCCACCUGUAGCGGUGCCUUCCACAGUUGCAGCGGAGGACCCCUCCUAUCCACCAGAGGAGCCUACUACUUGAUCAUACGAUCACUCCUCUCCUUUUUUGUAUCUAUAUGCUACGUUUUGGGAUGUCUUAUAUAUUUUGGACCACUUUUAUACUGGGAUUGGAUGUAUUCCAUGUUUAUUUUGUAUAUUGUACUUUCUCAGUUUAUAUAGACAUCUUCUCUUUUAGUGUAUUUUAGCUAUUCCAUUUUAUUUCCUCUUUUCAUCACUCUUAUGAUUUUCCUUUUCUUAUGCAACAUGUGGUUUCUCCUGUUCAUUCAGAGUCCCUUACUAUCAGGAGGUAUCACUUCCUCCCUUAUUUUAUCGCUUGCUUUUGGAACAUUGGGGACAAUGUUCAUCUUAGUUGGGGGGAGAGUUGAGGAAGUAAUUUGUUGAAUUUGUUAAGUUAUUUUGCUAACAAAUUUUUUGCAAACUCUCUUUGUUUUCUCAAAGAUAAAUUCUCAAAAGUAAAUGGGAGAAAUUAAAUUCUUAUCUUAUUGCCAUAGUCUCAGAGUUUGUAUUAUGCUUAUUAAAGUUGAUAAAUUGUUGAAGCUUCUUUUGUUUUCAAGCUUAAGUCUUCCACUCUAAUCUUUUCACACACUGAACACAUUAGAUUCCAGUUAUAAGAUGGAAAACUUUCUCACCCCCUAAACUUUGGAAAUUAUCGACUUGGUGCCAUUGACCUCAUUCUAUUAGUGUUGGGACACCUUAUUAAAGGCCAAUGUGUCUUAUGAAAAUAAUUUUUGCUUCACUUGCUUUGAAACCCGAGCAAGGUCCGAGGGGUAUAUGGUGAAAAUCUUUAAAGCCUGGUGCCCUAAGCCUUUACUGGUUGGGAGUUCACCGACCUCACUGCUCGUUACAUGGGUGGAUGGGUGGAGUAACACUUAGAAUAAAAAAAUAAAAAAAAAUAAAAAAUAAAAAAUAAAAAAAAAAAGAAAGAGAAAGAAGGGUGCGUUCUUAGCCUUUUAUAUAUGAGUUAGUGUUACUUAAGUUAGAGAAAAACCUUAGUUGGGGGGAGAAUAUAGUUUGACAUACUAUAACUGGAAACUAAGCACCUUAACACUUAGAUUUUUGUGGAAGAUUAAGAAUUGAUCCUUUGGAAGUGGAAAUUAUUUUGAUACUCAAAUUUGCAUAAUGGCCGCUCUUUGAAUGUUGUGAUAAGUAAGUUAUUUGAUGACUCGUGUUGAUGAUUGAGUUUUAUAUCCUUGACUUGCCACGAGAGUGUUUGAUUCAAUCAUGCCACUUGGUUAUUUUUUGGAGUGAUCAGCAUGAUUUUGUAAAUUACUAUAUUAUCUAUUUUUCUUUCUUUUUUCUCUCCUUCAUUGCUCAGGGACUAGCAAUGUGUCAGUUGGGGGGAGUGAUUACUACCCAAAAAGUGCUAUUUUACACCUUUAAUGCAUUAUGUUUUAAGCACUUUUGUGUAGUAGUUCUCCAUCUUUAGUCCAAUUGGCAUGUUAAGGACCUAGCAAUGUCUUUUAAUCAUAUUUGUGGCUAUUUUUAAUGUUUUGACAGCUUUUUGGAUUGUUAAAACAAGUCAAGCAAAGGAGAAAACCAAAGAGAAGCAAAGUGAAGAAAAAUCAAAAUGUAGCAGCUGCAGUCUUCUUUCGCACUUUUGGAGCACUUCCCGAAGUCCAAUUUUUACAUGCUAUAUACCAUUUUAAAGAUUUUGAAGUCAAGAAUCCAACGCUUUAAACCGUGCAUGAUUUGGAGCUGAAACGAGGAAGAUAUGGCCUUCGGAAGACAACUCCUCCAGGUGUGCGAGAAUUUCGCACAACCCCCUUUAGCUGUGCGAAUGGUGUGCGAAGUUCGCACACCUACCCCAUGCGUGCUCUGUUUUUGCCAACUCCACUUUAGAUAUUUUCCUAUGUAAUUUUUGAUGUAAUUUCCUUUCCUAUCCUUGUAACUAACCAAUCACAAGCUUUUGCUUUUGUAAAGACUUUAUAAGGGGUGGAAAUUACCUCUUGGAAAAUAUACGUAUUACAUUUGACACUUAGAGAUUUUUUACAGAGCUCUCUCGUUUUCCAUUUUUUCUCUACUAUUUUCUUUUUCUUGGAAGCCAAACAACCUCUGAGGAUGUUUUCUCAUAGGAUGAGAGGCUAAACUUUUGGUUUCUUGGAGUGAUGGAAGCUAGGUGAAAAGUUCAGAUGCAAGGUGGAAAACGCUCGUGCAUUAAAUUCAGGUAGUUGGAAUUCAUAAAUGGCUUUUAAAUCCAAAGUUUUGCUUUAAAUCCCUUAGAAUCACUUUGAAUGACCAAUACAUGGUAAGCUUCAGGUCUUUAUGGAUGCUUAUUGCUAGAUCCAUAUUAGUCCAUUAGUUAUCAUGUACGAGUCAUUGGAAAGCAGUUCAAGGUGAAGACCUAUAGUGUCUAAAGCCAUUAAUGGACUUUGACUACCAUUUAUAUUGAUUAUUAUGGAUUAAAUCUUCAUUGUUAAACCUAUACCGGUUCGGGAAAUAACUAUAGGUUAAAUCCCCAAUGCGAGGAGAAAAAUCCGGAAUUUUCCACUUUGCAUUCUAAACUUGAUCCUAGUAAUCCUGAGCUCCGGGAGACUUUCCUUCUUCCAUUUUUAAUUAGUUUAUGUUAGUUUAGUUUUAAACACUUUCAAAUCAAAUUUCAUUUUCUUUUAAAUUUUAAGUUUUUGAUUAAGGAAAUCAUUAAAUACAAUUUCUAAUUUUGAAUACAUCACUGGUAGAAUGAAAACCCAUCCCAGAGUUCGACCCUAGAGCCACUAUACUAUAGUAGCUUUACUACAUUAGUAUGAGGUCAUAGGUUUUAUAAAUGUUUUUGAUUAAAUGACCCAUUUGGAGUUACAUGCGCGAAUCAUUUAUUCCAAGUCUUUUGCAUAUCUAAGUCAUACUAAGAUUAAUUGUUUUCUCUAUUCCAAGUCUUUUCCAAAUCUAAGUCAUCCGAUGGGCCACACUUUUUAUGGAGAAGACUAAGCUUUUGCCCCUUGGGAUACAUAGGCCUCAUCCAAUGGGCCACACUUUUUAUGGAGAAUGCUAGACUUUUGUUCCUGACAAUAUGAAUGCUAAGACCAAUACUAAUUGUUUUCUCUAUUCCAAGUCUUCUACAUAUCUAAGUCAUCCGGUGGGCCACACUUUUUAUGGAGAAGACUAAACUUUUGCCCCUUACGAUACGUAGGCCUCAUCCAAUGGGCCACACUUUUUAUGGAGAAUGCCAGACUUUUGUCCCUAACAAUAUGAAUGCCAAGACCAAUACUAAUUGCUUUCUCUAUUCCAAGUCUUCUACGUAUUUAAGUCCAUCCAAUGGGCCAUACUUUUUAUAGAUAAGACUAAACUUUUGCCCUUGUGAUAUGAAGACCAAGACUAAUUGGUUUCUUCAAUAUUCCAAGUUAUGUGCAUACUUUUAUGUAGGGUAAUAACAUAAGGAAGUUUCAUAUGGUUUUAUAAUGCAAGUCUAGAUUUGUUAUUCUGUAUUUUUUUUUUUUUUACAUGUUUAAACACUUUCCCUCUUAAAUAACAUAACUUUUUUUUUCAAAUAAUCUUUGACAAAACUUUUGUCAUACCCUUUUUUAACUAUUAUACUAUUUUCCCAUAUCUAAAAUUUUCAAAGCACAUAUUUUGUUUUGCAAUUAUUUCUUAACUACGUACAUUCCUUAGACACUACAAAAAUGAUUUUAUUUGAAAAUUAACCAAUAAAUAUAUUUAGAUGGAUGACUCAAAAUUAAAGAAAAAAAUUUGUUCAUCAAUGCUAUUUCAUGUAGAAUAUAUAUGCAUAUGUAUCAAAGAAAAACAUGAAAAAUAAAAAACCAUACAAGUACAAAAGAAACAAUAUUUCAACAAUAAUGCUUUUUCCCUUUGAAACUUUACAUGGCUUUACAUGGAAACAACAUUUGGAUACAAGUACCAUAUAAAAUUUGUAAAAACCGUUCUUCAAAAAAUGUUUCUUAAAUUAAAAUUGUUUAGGAUUUUAUGUGGAAUUUGUAUUUUGAAAAGAUUGGUUCAAUAUAAUAAAAGUAAACUCAUUUUUUUUUUCAAAAGACGAGUUCAGUAUAAAAAGUAGGAAUUACUCAAAUUUUGAAAAGAUAAAUUUAAUGUAAAAAUAAUAAAAAAGUAAAAAAUAUUGGAUUCUUUAUUUAUUUGUCAAAUAACCCUUUUUAACAAUAUUCUUUUAAAAUAACCAUCUAAUAGACACCUUCAUCCUUUAAAAACUCAACUGCUUUAUAGAGAAGACCAAGACUUCUAGCUCUUGAUGUAGAGUUGUACUUCUUAAUAUUUCUCAUUAAAAGAUAAGAUUAACCUUAGAUGCUACUAACUGUGAAAGUUUUACUUUAGCUUAUGCAGGGACCUAUUUUAUGAUUAAAGAAACUUAUACAAACUAAAUGGAUAUCAUUUGAGAAAUUAUUGUGGCUAAGGUGGGUAAGAAAUAUGCUACUUUUUCCAUGAAAUCUUAGCUUGUGAUUAAAAGUGGGCAAAAUAGUUCGACUCUUGAUCGGACAACGAACCCACAUUGUCAUUUUAAUGUGGAAGUGACUCUAAAUUUUUCUUUGAUUUGAAGUCAAUGGUCCCACAUUUGAAUUGGAAACUUUGAUGAAGUUUCUAAUAAUGAAAAUUUAAACUUAAAUUAUAAGGGAACCUUUGGGUAUAAAUUCAAGUCAUCCAUUAUUAUAUUUUUUUCAUCACACAUCAGCCAAUUUUUGUUAUAGCUUUUGAAGAUACGAUGUAUCGAAUCCUUUGCUUCCUCUUCUUUCUCUCAUAUUCUCAUGUUUUUUGUUUCUACGAAGCUGUGUCCUCAUCACCAGAAUGUUGCCUUGCUUCGACUUAAGCAAUUAUUUUCCAUAGAUGUCUCCGCUUCUUCUUCGGAUGAUUGAAAUUUAGCUUCUUUUGCCAAGACAGACACUUGGAAGGAAGGCAUUGUGGAGACAGACAUGUUCAUGAAUCUUGAAAAUCUUGUCUAUCUCGAUCUUUCAUAUAACAUUCUGACAUUGAGCAACUACAGCCAUUCCAACAGUGCGCUACCAUCCUUGGAAACAUUGUUGUUGUCUUCUUGCAACAUAAGUGAAUUCCCAAGAUUUUUAUGAAGUCAAGAGUUAUUGGCGUUUUUAGACCUUUCAAACAACAAGAUUUAUGGACAACUUCCGAAAUGGGCAUGGAAUGUGGGUACGGAGACACUGUCUUACUUAAAUCUUUCUCAAAACAUGCUAACCAGGUUUGACAGAUUUCCAUGGAGGAUUGUGCAAUAUCUUGACCUUCAUUCCAACUUGCUUCAAGGGCCACUUCCAUCAUUGAUUUGUGAAAUGAGUUAUAUUGAAGUUCUAGAUUUCUCUAAUAACAACUUGAGUGGCUUAAUUCCACAAUGUUUGGGAAACUUCAGUAAGUCUCUCUCAGUUUUGGAUUUGUGAAUGAAUCAACUUCAUGGUACCAUUCCUGAAACAUUUUCAAAGGGCAAUCUUAUUAGGAAUCUUGACUUCAAUGGAAAUCAAUUGGAAGGGCCUCUACCACGAUCUUUGAUCAAUUGUAGAAGGUUGCAAGUUUUAGACCUUGGAAAUAAUAUAAUAAAUGAUACAUUCCCCUUUUGGUUGGAAACUCUUCUAGAGCUACAAGUUUUGAUCUUGUGUUCUAAUAGGUUCCAUGGUCACAUAAGCGGUUCAAAUUUCCAAUUUCCAUUUCCUAAGUUACGAAUAAUGGAUCUUUCAAGCAAUGGUUUCUCUAGCAGUUUACCCGAAAUGUAUUUGAAGAAUUUCAAGGCAAUGAUGAAUGUCACUGAGGAUAAAAUGAAAUUGAAAUAUAUGGGGGAAUACUAUUAUCGAGAUUGUAUAAUGGUAACAAUCAAAGGAUUUUAUUUUGAAUUUGUAAGAAUCAUGUUUACCUUCACAAUGAUUGAUUUGUCAAGCAAUACAUUCCAAGGAGACAUUCCAGAUUUCAUUGGUAGUCUUAGUUCACUUCGAGAACUCAACUUGUCUCAUAACAACAUUAUAGGGCAUAUUCCAUCAUCUUUAGGGAAUCUAAUGGUACUUGAAUCAUUACACCUCUCUUCGAACAAGCUUAGUGGGAGAAUUCCAAGGGAGCUGACAAGUCUAACAUUUCUUGAAGUCCUAAAUCUUUCGAAAAAUCAUCUCACUGGAGUCAUUCCUCGAGGCAACCAAUUUGAUACAUUUGCAAAUAAUUCAUAUAGUGGGAAUAUAGGAUUAUGUGGAUUUCCCUUGUCUAAGAAAUGUGUAGUUGAUGAAGCAUCACAACCUCCCAAAGAAGAAGAGGUGGAAUCCGAUAUUGGAUUUGAUUGGAAAGUCAUAUUGAUGGGGUAUGGUUGUGGACUAGUAGUUGGGUUGUCUAUGGGGUGCCUCAUCUUCUUAACAAGAAAGCCUAAAUGGUUUGUAAGAAUGAUUGAAGGAGAUAGACACAAGAAGGUUAGAAGGUCAACAAGGAGCACUCGCAAGCAGGGAGCAAGAAGAAGUUAGGCCAUUUCUAUGAUAUUGUAUUUUGUGGUGAAUGAUACUAAUUAAUGUUGCAUUCUUAUGUAAACAAAUAACAUGUAUUGCGAUUAAUGAAGUAAGAGUCUUUGAAGUUGUAAAAAUGUUUAUUUUUAUUUUUUCUUUCUCGAAAUGGAAUAAUACGUAGUAACAAUAUUUUCAAAUCAUCACUACCGUUUAACUUAUUUACAUAUCAUGACUAAAAGUAUUUUUAAAUGUUGGGUCAUAUAAUUAGAAAAGGUUGAACUCACAAGGUUUUGCAUAGAAUUAGAUGCAAUCGACUACUUAUCACUAAAAGACUAACGAAUUUUUGUUAGGAACAAAAGGUGAUUUUUUAAAAGAAUGAUAUUAAAAGGGCUAUAAAUUAAUGAAAUCCAAAUUCCAAUUUUAGGUUACAAAUUUUCACUAAACUCUUGUCCACAUAAUACAUUUAUCUUAAUAUGAAACAUUUAAUUGGGGUAGUCAAACACCCUCAGCCUUACUAGGGCUGAAAUUUUGGUGAUGCCAUAUCUUUGGAGUCAUUGCAGAACAACCAGUGUUUUAAUGGCAUUCCAUAAGAAGAAUGAAUGAGUUAUGAUUUUUUUUUUUUCUUUUUCAAACUGACAUGUAAUUUUUUAAGAAAAUUCUUAAUGAACUUAUUGAAUUUCUUGACACAUUAAAAUUUUCUUCAUAUAUCAUUCUUUUGAUCAUUUUUCCUUUUGACAAAAUUUUGUUUAUCAAACUUCAUUAUAGACUUCAAUUCUAUAUGAGUCAGACAGACAAAUUGCAACCCAUGAAAGAAGACUCUUAUCUUACCUUAAGUUUAUUACUAUCUACCCAAUAAAAUGGUGUGCUGGAUUUAGCAUCUUGAGUUGGACUCUAAGCAAUAUUGGUAGCAUUAUUUUAAGGCUAUGUUGCUCGAUAGUGUUAAACAAAGGAGAACAAUUUGCUAAAAAAAAAAAAAUUCAUAUCAUGAAAAAGAAAAUAUAUAUUAUUUUCUCCUAUUUGAAUGUGAAAAUUUGGAGAAAGUGAAUUAAAUUUUUUUGAAUGUCAUGCAAAGAGAUUACAUAUAUAUAUACUCCAAACUUGUAGAUUUUUUGUUGUAGAGAGUGAAUUCCUUAUAGAUUUAUUUUAUUGUCGUAGAGAGUAAAUUCCAUAUAGAUUUUUUUUCCCUCAAAUUUUUUUUUAUGGAAAAAUAAAUUAAAAUAAUUUUUUCAUUUUUUUCUUUUAUAUUUCUUUGUUUUUCUUUCCUCCAAAUUUUUCACAAAUGAAACAAAGUCUUCUCACAAAAUAAAGAAGUGCUUACCAAUAGGAGGAUUUAAAUAAGUUGAAGAAAAAUAUCAAUGAGAUGGAAAUUGAACAAAUCUUAUAGUUUUGUAAAAAAAACUUCAACUAAGAAUAAAAAAAAAAGUAAUAAUAUACAUAUUAAGUUGUUUUAUUGAAAAAAAAAUCAAUAUAUGUAUAAUAAAAUUUAUGAUAAUCCAUAAUAAUUUACAAUAUUUGAACUCAUUUAAUAUUUAGUUUGCAUAUAUUUAUGAUAAUGCAUAUAUAAUAAUAUACAUGUAUUUCUCAAAUAUAGAUUCACAAAAUAUUGAUUGCUUUCUAAUAUUUUUUCGAGAAUCAUUCAAUGAAUUUUUCUACUUUGAUAGUACCUUGGAUUCUUUUUGAAUCAAUCACUUUAUUGUAACUGUUAUCCAAUAGAUCCCCAGAAUCUUGAGAUUUAAACAAGACACAUCUGAAUACACUAGAAGUAUGUUUGAUAAUGAUUUUAACAAGUAUUUCUAAUAUUUUUAAUACUUAAAAAGGUAACAAUUUUCAAGUGUUAGAAAUAUUAGAAACGCUUCAAAAAAUCACUAUCAAACACACUAAAAAUACUAGAAACACUUCCAAUAAUCACUAACAAACACACUCUAGUUAUCAAAAUUUUUACCCAUGAAUUUUAAGAGUUGAGGAUGAUUUAAGUUAUUAUUUGUAGUCAUAAUUUUACCAACAAAAUUACAAUUUUCUUGUGAUUGUGUACUUUCUUGGUAUUCUAGCUUUGAUUUGGUAUUUUAUAUUCCCCAAUCUUCUAACUCUAAUACCAUUUGUUGGAAUACACACAAUUAGAUAUUGAUAAUAUUUUUUCGAAAAUAAUGUUUUAUUGCAUUUUAUUAUAUUAUUUUUCAAUCUAAUAAUAAACUUAUUUCUAAUAAACUAAUCAUACUUAGACUAUAACAUCAAUUCUUAACUACCUACAUUCCUUGGAUGCUACAAAAAUGAGUUUAUUUGAAAAUUAACCAAUAAAUAUAUUUAGAUGGAUGACUCAAAAUUUAAGAAAAAAAAUUGUUCCUCAAUGCUAUUUCAUGUAGGAUAUAUAUGCACAUGUAUAAAAAAAAACAUAAAAAAUCGAAAACUAUACAUGUAUAAAUAUUAAGAUAAGAUUCAUUGGUGCAAGUACAAAAGAAACAAUAUUUCAACAAUAAUGUUUUUUCCCUUGGAAACUUUACAUGGCUUUCCUUGGAAACAACAUUUUGAUACAAGUAUCAUAUACAAUUUUUAAAAAACCGUUCUUCAAAAGAUAAUUCUUAAAUUAAGAUCGUUAAUGAUUUUAUGUGAAAUUUGUAUUUUGAAAAGAUGAGUUCAAUAUAAUAAAAGUAUCUCAUUUUUAUUUUUUUUUCAAAAGACCAAUUGAGUAUAAAAAGUAGAAAUUACUCAUAUUUUGAAAAGAUAAAUUUAAUUUAAAAAAAAAAAUUGUAUUCUUGUAUUUAUUUGUCAAGCAACCAUUUUUAACAAUAUUCUUUUAAAUAACAUUUUUUAAUUUUUUUUCCCAUGUUUUUUUUUUUUUUGCCUCCCAAUUCAGUCUAAUAGACACCUUUGUCUCUGUUUAUUGACAACAUAGAUGAUAUGGUGUCUCCCCCGGAGGAGCUGCUUCAACAUCUUUCCCCUCUCCACAAUUUGAAGUGCUCUGGUUUGGCAACAUCACCACACUGGAUAGGCAGCCUCACCUCACUUGCUGAAUUAGAGAUCAGUGAUUGCCCAGACUUGACAUGCUUAGAACUGCCGUCAUCUCCGUGUCUUUCUAGUUUAAAGGUCAGUGAUUGCCCAAACUUGACAUGCUUAAAACUGUAGCCAUAUCCUUGUCUUUCUAGUUUAAAGAUUGGAAAGUGCCCAAAGUUAGCAUCCUUCGAAGUGGCUUCAUUACCUUGUCUUGAGAAACUAAGCCUGGGUGGACUUGGAGCAAAGUUACCGUCAAAGUUAGUCUCCGUCUUUGCUUCUUCUUCAUUGAAGUCUCUGUAUAUGAUAUCUAUCCCGGAGGAUCUGCUUCAACAUCUUUCCACUCUCUAAACUCUCUACAUUUUGAAAUGCUCUCGUUUGGCAACGUUACCACACUCGAUAGGCAGCCUCAUCUCACUUACAGAGCUUGGAGUUCAUGAAUGCCGUCAAUUGAAAUCACUACCAGAAGAGAUGCGUUCCCUUAAAAACCUGCAGAAAUUCUAUAUCUGGGAUUGUCAACAUCUAGAGAAAAUAUGCCGACAGAAAACAGGGGAAGACUGGCCCAGGAUUGCUCAUAUCCCACAUAUUGAUUUCUACACUGAUCAACGAAUAACAAGGGAGCUCCGAAAUCCCUAACCUUUCUUCUCAUUUUUAUUAUUUUUUCGAUCAAAAUGCAAGGUUUUCUCAUUCUGUCUUGGUAAUUCUUUUAUAUUGGCACUUCAUAUGUUUGUUGAAAUGCUCACAUCAGUAAAUCGAUUUUUUUUUCCAGACCAUAUAUACAGUCGAUGAUGAUAUGCACGAAACUCAUCAUUUUACUUGGAGUUGAGGUGAGAUUUGAUAUGAUAUCUCUCCCAGAGGAGCCGAUUCAACAUGUUUCCAUGAUCUAAAGUCUCAACAUUAGACAUCGCUCUGUUUUUGCAACAUUACAACACUGGAUAGGCAGCCUCCCGUCAGGUACAGAACUUGGAAUUCAUGGCUGCCAGAAGGUACGUUCCCUCGAAAACCUGUAGAAGCUCAAAAUCUACAUUGAAGUCUGAAUGAGGGCUGAGGUGCUGUGUCAGUUAAUGUUUCUCUCCCCUUCAUUGAAGUCUCUGUCUAUUGGAUGCUCAGGUGCUAUGAUGUCUCCCAGAGGAGCUGCCUCAACAUGUUUCCAGGAUCCAAACUCUCAAAAUUGAAUACUGCACUGGUUUUGCAAUAUUCCUGCCCUGGAUUGGUCGCUUCACCUCACUUAUGGACCUUCAUAUUUGUGACUGCGCUGAAUUGGCAUCACUUUCGGAAGAGAUGCAUUCCCUCAAAAACCUUCUGACACUAAAAAAUCUUUCAUUGUCAGCACCUGCUUGAAGAUGCCAAAAAGAAACAUUUCAGGUUCAAGAACACAGAGAGCUAUACUUGGUGGAGAUUUCAUCAAUAUAGAGAGACAUUUUAGGUCUGAAAUCCACCCUUCUCAUUUUCUUAUGGCUUCAUUUUGAUUUAAUUUCCUAAUUACAUGAAUUCUAUAUCUGUAAUCCCAGUAUGAAUUAGCACAUAAAUCAGAAGUGAUUUUGAUUUUUUUAUGUCCACACUAUUCAUUUGAUGAAAUGCUUAAACAAGUAAGUUCGAAAUUUUUUCCCUUCAAAUCAAUUUCUAAUGCACCAUGAAUUGGUAAUUGAAGUUUGGAAAGAUGUUGGGAUGAUUUAAUUAUUAUUUUGUUGCAGAUUUCAACUUGCUUAAGACGCUUGUGAUUAUUUCUUCUUGGCUCAACCUGAAAUCAUUGCCUACGUUCUUCCAUUUGCUACCUCAAAAUCACCUACCAAAAGUUUUGGAUUGCCUAAAAAUUUUCUCAUGGCCCAUAAAUUCGUAUAUAUCAGAUGGCUAUAUAUUUCAGGUCCUGCUUUCCUUAGAAAUCAGGUCUACUCUCUGCCAUAUAUUUCAGGUAAUCUGUUGCCUGCUUUUAAUCUCUACAUCAUCUUUCAUUUUGCUUUCAAUUUUUGUCAGGAGUGUCAUACAAGUUGUAAUUAUAUUUGUGAACUUUCAUAUGCACUAUCAUUUUUUAUUGUUUUUUAAUAUAUAACUCCAACCAAACAUAUCAUAGACCAAAAACUUAUUAUGUCAGUUCGAGUAGUUUAUUUUUUUCCCCCUUUUGGUGAUGUUGUUUUGGGCCUAGAAAUUUUUUUAGAGUAAUUAUUGCAAAUGUAAUGUUGUCUAAUCAAUACAAAAACUAAUAGUUGUGAGGCUUGGAUACAUGGCUUCCUUGAUCAGUAACUAAAUUGAGUGUUUCUGUAGGCUGAUGUCUCUAUAUUUGGAAAUUCAGAGAGUUGCAAAUUCCAAGGACUUACAAGAUUGAGUCGCUGUCUCUACCAUUAGGGCUUCAACAAGUUACCAUUCUUGAAAUUCUAAAAAACAUCAGAUUGCCUCAUCUUUGAAUCGAAAUCACUCCCAGAAGGAUGUGCUUCCCAACACUCUCAUGGGCUCUUUGACUUUGCCAUCUACAAUAUAUCAGAGGUUCAUCAUCCAUCCUCUAUUCCUGCUUUGGGGGGCUCUAAUUUUUUAUAUUAUUUUUCCGUUAAUAUUCUAAAAAUAUUAUAUUCUAUUUUUAAUUCUUUUUACCUGAGUCUCAUGCAUUAGCACAUAAGAGAAAAGUCAUAUAACACUUUCAUAAUGCAAUCAUUUUCCAUUUUAGCCCUAUACUAUUUUUCUUGUAUAUGGCUAAGGCAUCCAAUAAAUAUGCCUUCACUCACCAGAAAAAUACCCAUCACGUCAUCUCCAACCCCCUCUUUCUUCUCCUUCUUUCUGCAACACCCAUGGUGGAUUCUUUUGUGUUCUAACAACAAAUGUACUCUGCUGUUUUGAGUUGCUUCUCAUGGCUCCAAAAUGAUGGGUGUUUUUCCAUUUUGUUUUGGUCUUCAGUGAGUUCAGAAGACGAGAUUUGAAGGACGGUGUUAGUGGGUUUUGGUGGGAAUGUAGAUUUGGUGGACCUAAUGCUACUGCUGUCUGGUUUUAAGAAAAGAGGGUUGCAGUGACGACUGACGAGAAUGAGGUAAUUUUGGGUGGUGAAUGGAGAAAGAGACGAAUUUGAGGUUGAGGGUUUGAUGAAGGAAGCUAUGUUGUGUGAGAUUAUGCUCUAAUACUUGUUUAGAAUUUUGGGUCUCUAUUGCAUUCACGUAUAUUGUUUGCCAUUCCAACCCUCUUAUUGCUUUUGAAGACAAAAUUAUUUUUGUAAAAUCCUUAGAUAGUAAAAUUUGAAGUUCCUACCUUCAAAGAUACCAAUUCCUUGUAUUUUUACUUUAAUGGUUAUAAUCUAUAUGUGAUCUUGUUAUUUUAUAUUUGUAUUUUACAUGUUUGGAAAUUUUAUUGCAGGUGUAAGUGUUGCCAAGUCAAAGCAAUGCCAGAUAGUGAUGUAGUUGUGACACCUUACUUCUCUAAAGCAACUCGAAAGUGGGGAUUGUUGCCUACCACAUCUCAUUUCGGGAAAGUUGUGUUUAUAGGCUAUGAUAUGGGAAAUAUAUGGUUUUGGAAACCCAUAUAAGUGAAAUAUGAGAUAUGCCUGUAAUAAGAAAAAUAUUAUAGGUUUCAUACACUAUUUACUGUUCAAAUUUUUAUUUUCGAAAUUACCCUUUAGGUCUUUUGUCAGCAAGAAAUUUUUUUUUUUUUUGGGUUUUCCUUAGGGGUUUUGCAUGGAUUUUCUCAGCAAUCAAAUGAGAAUGAAUUUUCCUGGAAAUCGAAUAGGGGAUGGAGACCCUUAGAACAGAUCCAAAAAGCACAAGGAGCAAAAACAAAAAGCAAUUUUUUUGGUUUUCCUUGGGGGUUUUGCAUGGAUUUUCUCGGAAAUCAAACAAGGAUGAAUUUUCCCGGAAAUCAAAUGGGGGCGGCGGCGAGAAUAGAUCCAGAAAGCGUAGGGAGCAAAAAAAAAAAGAAAAUUUUUUGGUUUUCCUUGAGGGUUUUGCAUGGCUUUUCUCGGUAAUCAAACGAGGAUGAAUUUCCUCGAAAAUCGAAUGGGGGAUGGAGACCCCUAGAACAUAUGCAUAAAGCAUAGGGAGCAAAAAAAAAAGCAAGUUUUUUGGUUUUCCUUAGGGGUUUUGCAUGGAUUUUCUCGAAAACCAAACGAGGAUGAAUUUUCUAUGAAAUCGAAUGGGGGCAGCGAUGAGAACAGAUCCAAAAAGUGCGGGGACAAAAAAGAAAAAAAAAAACAAUUUUUUUGGUUUUCCUUGGGGGUUUUGCAUGGAUUUUCUCGAAAAUCAAACGAGGAUGAAUUUUCCCGGAAAUUGAAUGGGGAAUGGAGACCCUAUAACAGAUCUAGAAAGCAUAGGGAGCAAAAAAAAAAAGCAAUUUUUUUGGUUUUCCUUAGGAGUUUUGCAUGGAUUUUCUCGGAAAUCAAACGAGGAUGAAUUUUCCUAGAAAUCGAAUGGGGGGUGGAUUUUCUUGGGGAUCAAACAAGGAUUUUUUUUUUUUGCUUUCGCUGCCGCCGCCCCCAUUCAAUUUCUGGGAAAAUUCAUCCUUGUUUGAUUGCCGAGAAAAUCCAUGCAAAACCCUCUAGGAAAACCAAAAAAAUUGUUUUUUUGGCUUGCUGACAGGAAGACCUAAAGGAUAAUUUCAGAAAUAAAAAUUUGAACAGUAAAUAGUGCAUGAAACCUAUAAUAUUUUUCUUAUUACCAGACAUAUUUCAUUUCUCUCAAGUCAUCGAAAAUUCAGUGAUGUGCUAGUAGCCUAAUGUCUUUGUCACAAGUGAUUUAGGGAUUCAGAUUAUUUCUCUGAAUUGACAUAAAUAAUAUGUUCUGGUUUGGUAACAUUAUCACACUCAAUGGACAACCUCCAUUUACUAACAUCUUCAAGUUUAUAGUUGUCCUGAACUGACAUGGCUGUCAGAAAACAUGCAUGUCCUCAACACCCUCUGGACACUUGUAAUUGAGUACUUUUUGGUUUGGCAACAUUAAUAGACUUAGUAGGCUUUCUUACGUCACUUCAAAACUUCAAAUUCAUGAGUGCCUUGAAUUGACAUAACUUCCAGAGAAGAUGGGUCACUCAUGCUCUGUAGACACUUACAACAUUAACGGACCUUAUAUGCAGUCUUACCUCACUUGCAUGCCUUGAAAUUGAUAGCUACCCUGAAUUGACAUCAUCUCCUAAAGAGAUUGUGUUGGAAAUCAAGCCCACGUCGCCUUCCUGCCUAUGCAUGCUCCUUCCCAUAUUUAGCAUCCUCUGUUUACUUCCUUGAAUUAGUGUAAUGUAUAGCCUUUAUUAUAAUUGAUUUAGGAGUAAUUCUAGCAAGGUAGUUUAUUCACUUUCCAUGUAAGAGUAGUUUAUUCACUUCCCAUGUAAGAGUUUAUUCACUUUCCAUGUAAGGGAAAUUCCGUCUGGUGAUAGUGUACCAUUCCGGAAUUGUCUCAUAUCUGUAGGCUAUUUAUUUAUGCUUUCAUUCAUUGUAAAAAAAGGUAUCACAGAAUGAAUUGAGGUGUUCCUCCAUAGUUUGUCUUCAAUUUCUUCAUAUUUUAGUCUUCAAAUUCUUCAUGGUAUCAGAGCAGGUUUAAUCCUAUCUCAUCGUCUUCAUCUUUAGUCAGUUUUUUUUCUACUCAAUUCUAUUCUUCUAAUUUAUGCCUAAAUACGGUCCAGCCUUUGGAAUGGCUACCAACUCAUCAUCCUCUACUUCUGAUAUCAUCAUCUCAUAGUCUUCAUCCUCUCAUCAGAUGGAAACCUCUCAUCUUCCAAUCACAGCCCAUAAACUGAAUGGGCAAAAUUAUUUGCAAUGGUCUCAGUCCAUAUUAAUGUUUAUACGGGGAAAGGAGAAAGAUGACUACAUCACUGGAGCUUCGGCGGCACCAGAAACCACAGCAUCAACCUACAAAAAGUGGAUAGCAGAAAAUAAUAUGGUCAUGUCCUGGCUAGUCAACUCUAUGACCGCUGACAUUGGUGAAAAUUUUCUGUCAUUUGAUACUGCCAAAGAAAUCUGGGACACUGCAAAAGAAACUUUCUCAGACAAGGAAAACACAUCUGAAAUCAUCCAGAUUGAAGGCAUCCUCCACGAUUUGCGUCAAGGAAACCUUACGGUAACUGAAUAUUUCAAUACUCUUACUCGUCUAUGGCGUCAACUUGAUACGUUUGAGGUUCAUAACUGGAAUUGUGUUACAGAUGGUUUUUUGUAUAAAAAGAUUGUCGAAGGGAAACGUGUGUUUAAAUUUUUGUUAGGUUUGAACAAAAAUCUUGAUGAAAUCAGAGGAAGAAUCAUGGGAGUAAAACCCCUACCUAGCCUCAGAGAGGCAUUCUCUGAAGUCCGUCGCGAAGAAAGUCGGAAAAAUCUCAUGAUGGGAUCCCAUCAACAACUGAAUAUGGCAGAAAGCUCGACUCUUAAGACUCAAUUCGCUCCUUUUGACAAUCGUAAAAAAAUUAAAGGAGGUAGACCUUGGUGUGAUCAUUACAGAAAGUCGGGACACUCAAGAGAAACUUGUUGGAAGAUUCAUGGAAAGCCAGUAGAUUGGAAGCCACGUCAACCACUUGAGAAAGAAGGACGAGGUAAUCAUGUGGCUACCGAUGAACAAUCGCCACAAACUGAAGCUAGCCCUUUUAAUAAGGAGCAAAUGGAGAUGCUUCAGAAACUACUGUCUCCUCUUUUGUCAAUACAGUCACAAACUAGCUCAUCUUCCAACUAGGUCAUUGGUUCCGGAACCUUGGCUCACAAAGGUAAUUUUUUGAGUGUCUUCACUGCUGGUAAGAAACGUAAAAAACCUUGGAUAGUGGACUCAGGAGCAUCUGAUCAUAUGACGGGAGAUGCGACAAUUUUUUAUACAUAUAGCUCAUGUCCAAAUAAUUUAACAGUUCGAAUAGUAGAUGGUUCACUAUCAAAGGUUGCCGGAACAGGUUCAGUUGUGCUAUCAAGGGAUCUUACUCUCAACUCUGUUCUCCUUGUUCCUAACUUGGACUGUAAUCUAUUGUCAAUUAGUAAACUCACUAAGGAAAAGAGGUGUAUUACUAAUUUUUCCUCCACUCACUGUGAAUUUCAGGAUUUGGAUUCGGGGAAGACGAUUGGCAAUGCUGAGGAAUGCUCUGGACUCUACAUCCUUAAGGAGCGCCACGAUCCACAAGAACAACCUCAAAUGGCAGUUGGUAGUAAUUCUUUUUCGGUUUCAUGUCAAAAUAACGAUAGUGCAAUUAGGUUGUGGCACUAUCGCUUAGGUCAUCCAAAUGUUAUGUAUCUCAAGCAUUUAUUUCCUUCAUUAUUUAAUAAAAAUCCAAAAUCCUUUGAGUGUGAAAUCUGUCAAUUAUCAAAGCAAGUCCGGUCUCAUUUUCCCAUUCAACCCUAUAAAGAGUCUAGUCCAUUCUCAAUGAUUCAUAGCGAUAUCUGAGGUCCGUCAAGAAUAAAAAAUGUAACUGGUACCAGGUGGUUUGUCUCAUUCAUAGAUGAUCACACUAGAUUAACUUGGGUAUUCCUCAUGAAAGAAAAAUCUGAAACGAGUCAAAUUUUCAAAAAUUUUAAAAAUAUGAUUCAGACCCAAUUCCAGUCAAAAAUACAAAUUCUAAAGUCUGAUAAUGCUAGGGAUUAUUUCAACUCCAUUCUAGGAGAAUUUCUAGCACAAGAAGGGAUAGUUCACUUAAGUUCAUGUGUUGAUACCCCACAACAAAACGGAAUCGCUGAAAGGAAAAAUAGGCAUUUGUUAGAGGUGGCUAGAUCACUAAUGUUCUCCAUGAAUGUUCCAAAAUUAUUCUGGGGGCAAGCUGUCCUUACGGCAGCCUACCUCAUCAAUAGGAUGCCGUUUAGGGUACUAAAAUUCCAAACACCUUGUCAAACACUCCUAAAAUCCUUUCCGACUACUCGUCUCAUCUCCACCGUCCCACCCAAAAUUUCGGGUGCUCUGUCUUUGUUCAUAUCAAUCAACAACAUAGAAGUAAACUUGAUCCUAGGUCACUCAAGUGCAUCUUUCUUGGGUAUUCUUCAAAUCAAAAAGGGUAUAAGUGUUACUCUCCGGUCACAAGAAAAUUCUACAAUUCAAUGGAUGUCACCUUUUUUGAAACCCAUCCUUACUAUCCCAAAAACGAUAUUCAGGGGGAGAAUUCAACUCAGGAAUAUCAAUUUUGGGAUCUUGAGUCAUUCAGUGAGUCACCCAUCACCACUGAAAAUCACAUUCCUCCAGAGUCAUUUAAUCAGCCCGAGUCCAUUGUUGACUUGUGGGAUAAGGAGCACAUCCAAGAGGAAACGGAGGAAGGAGCACUUUCUCAACAAACCCAUGAGGCAGAACCGGGUCCUAAUCCAAGCAAACUUCCAGGUAACAACGCUCCUGAUGGUACUGUUGAUUCCGAGUUAGAAAAUGAUAUUCUUAAUAUGCCCAUAGCUUGGAGGAAAGAAGUUAAAUCAUGCACUCAGCAUCCCAUUGGAAAUUUUAUUUCUUAUGAUAAGCUAUCACCUACGUUUCGUGCAUUCACUUCUAGCAUCACAGAGAUACAAGUUCCUCAGAAUAUUCAGGAAGCUUUCAAGUAUCCUAAGUGGAAGGCGGCAGUCGAUGAGGAAGUUCGGGCGCUGGAAAAGAAUGGUACGUGGGAAAUUACUGACCUCCCAAGAGGUAAGAAACCAGUUGGGUGUAAGUGGAUUUUCACAGUAAAGUACAAGGCAGAUGGUAAUGUGGACAGGUAUAAGGCUCGGUUGGUCGCCAAAGGAUUCACCCAAUCCUAUGGCAUUGACUAUCAAGAAACUUUUGCUCCAGUUGCCAAGCUCAAUACUGUUCGUGUACUUUUAUCCUUGGCAGCUAAUCUCGAUUGGUCGCUUCACCAACUUGAUGUGAAGAAUGCCUUCCUCAAUGGUGACUUAGAGGAAGAAGUUUACAUGGACAUUCCUGCUGGACUCGAGACGACAUCAAAUUUCAACAAGGUUUGCAGACUCCGAAAAUCCUUGUAUGGUCUCAAACAAUCUCCCAGGGCCUGGUUUGAACGGUUCACUAAGGUAGUGAAAGGGUACGGAUUCGUUCAAUGUCAAUCCGAUCACACAUUAUUUGUGAAACACUUCCCAGAAGGGAAACUGGCAAUUAUCAUUGUAUAUGUGGACAACAUAAUUUUGACAGGUGAUCAUGAAGAGAAAAUUGACUUACUUAAAAAAUUACUGACAAAGGAAUUUGAGAUCAAGGAUCUUGGAAACCUCAAGUACUUUCUCGGAAUGGAGAUUGCUAGGUCAAAGAAAGGUAUAGCAGUCUCACAACGCAAAUACGUUCUGGACUUAUUAAAUGAAACAGGAAUGCUAGGAUGCAAGCCAGCAGAAACACCUAUGGAUACAACUGUCAAACUGGAAGAAAGUGAUGGAAGUGCGCCAGAUGAUAAAGGAAGAUAUCAACGUCUUGUGGGGAAACUCAUCUAUCUUUCUCAUACAAGGCCAGACAUCGGCUUCUCCAUUAGUGUGGUAAGUCAAUUCAUGAAUAAUCCAACCGAAAAACACAUGACUACUGUGAUCAGAAUAUUGAGAUACCUCAAGAUGACACUGGGAAAGGGUCUCUUCUUUCAAAGAACAACAAAGAAAGAGAUUGAGAUUUUUUCAGAUGCAGAUUGGGCAGGUUCAGUGACUGAUCGGAGAUCAACUUCAGGCUAUUGUUCAUUUGUCUGGGGGAACUUGGUUACAUGGCGAAGCAAGAAACAGUCAGUGGUAGCCCGUAGCAGUGCUGAGGCAGAAUUUCGUGCUAUGGCACAAGGUAUCUGCGAGGGAAUCUGGUUGAACAAGUUGUUAGAAGAAUUACGGGUUCCAUUGAAGCAUCCCAUGGUGUUAUACUGCGACAAUCAAGCUGCCAUCAAUAUCGCUAAGAAUCCGGUUCAUCAUGAUCGAACUAAGCACGUGGAGAUAGAUCGACACUUUAUCAAGGAAAAGAUUGAAGAAGGAGUUUUCAAAGUCAGCUACACUCCGACAAACUGUCAAACGGCUGACAUUCUCACAAAAGCUCUUGCUCGAGUUAACUUAGAAGAUCUGACAGAAAAACUUGGAAUGAUCAACAUCUACAACGCGGCUUGAGGGGGAGUGUUGGAAAUCAAGCCCACGUCGCCUUCUUGCCUGUGCAUGUUCCUUCCCAUAUUUAGCAUCCUCUGUUUACUUCCCUGAAUUAGUGUAAUGUACAGCCUUUAUUAUAAUUGAUUUAGGAGUAAUUCUAGCAAGGUAGUUUAUUCACUUUCCAUGUAAGAGUAGUUUAUUCACUUCCCAUGUAAGAGUUUAUUCACUUUCCAUGUAAGAGAAAUUUCGUCUGGUGAUAGUGUACCAUUCCGGAAUUGUCUCAUAUCUGUAGGCUAUUUAUUUAUGCUUUCAUUCAUUGUAAAAAAAGGUAUCACAGAAUGAAUUGAGGUGUUCCUCCAUAGUUUGUCUUCAAAUUCUUCAUAUUUUAGUCUUCAAAUUCUUCAGAUUGGUUUCUUCGGAUCCAUACUGCCACAAUCUCUUAUUGUCCAUGGCUAUUGGAAAGAUGUGAAAGUGAAACAAGUGAAGAUUGGUCAAAGAUUGUUCAUGUUAUAGAAAGUUAUUCAGGUUUUAAAUCCCUAUCUUUCUUCUCAUUUGCUAUGGUUUCAGUUUAUCAAUAAGCUUUGUUUACCUUCUUUUUUGACAAUUCUAGUAUGCAUUAGCAUAUAAAGCAAAAAAAAAAGAAAAAAAAAGAUGAGAUACUAUUAAACCUAGUUGUUAUUUGGUUAUUAAAGACCAAACUAUUCAUGUUACUUUAAGUUUUGCACACUAAGAGUUUGGGAAUAAGCUAGUGUUAUGAAAAACGAAAAUAGACCACAAAAAAAAAUAAAAAAAAAAAUAAGAACAUACACAGAUUUACGUGGAAAACCUUAGACGAGAAAAACUACGGGCAGAGGAGAAGAAUAAUCCACUAUGUCAAAAAUUGGUACAAAAUGGGAGAGCAUUAAGCGGUUACAACAGAAAUCCCUUAGAACCUAUACACCAUCCCAUAUAUAUAUAUAUGGGAGAAAAAAAAAAUAAAGCAGGAAAGAAAUCUAUAAUUUUUUCUUCACCAUAUAUAUCGCACCGUAAAGAUUUCGGGUUGGACCAAAAAAGGAAAUUAGGUCACCAAGCUCUAACAAUCUCCACCUUGACACGAAUUCCAAUGUAAGGAAUUAGAAAAACAAACUCUAAUCUUCAACAAAAAAAAAAAAGAAAAACUCUUCACCUCUUCCACAAACCCUAAAGGGUAAUUCAACAACGAAUACUAACCAAGUCCAAGCAAUGCUCAAACUUGGCUAGAGGGAGUAUCUUCAUCAUCAUAUCAGUAGGAUUAUCAUGGGUGCUAACUUUGGCCACAUAAUAUCACCACGAGAAAUGAUAUCACACACAAAAUGAUACCACACAUCAAUGUGUUUUGUCCUCUCAUGAAACAUCUAAUCUUUUGUGAGGAAAAUAGCACUCUGACUAUCACAAAAAACUAUGGUAAUUUGCAAGUUGUCACUAAGUUCUCUAAAUAGUUCUUUUAACCAAAUAGCUUCCUUUCAAGCCUCUGUAAUAGCCAUGUACUCAACCUCAGUAGUAGAUAAAACAACUGUAGUCUACAAAGUAGCUUUCCAACUGAUAACACAACCACCAAUAUUAAAAACAUACUUUGUAAGAGAUCUUCUUUUAUCAAGAUUACCAGCAAAAUCAUAAUCAACAUACCCAGCAACUCCACCUCUAGUUCUCCCAAAAUGGAAAGAAACAUCAGUAGAACCACGCAAGAAUCUAAAAAUCCAUGAAACUGCUUUCCAAUGUUCUUUACUAGGAUUUGCCAUGUAUCUACUGACUGCACUGACUGCAUAUGAUAAACCUAGACAUGAACAAACCAUAGUAUACAUGAGAGACCCCACUACACUAGAAUAUGGAACUCGUGACAUAUAAUCAAUGUCAUCAUCUGAUUGUGGAGCUAAAGCAUAUGAAAGUCGGAAAUGAGCCGCUAAUGGAGUACUAACAUGUUUAGCAUUCUGCAUAUUGAACCUGUAAAGAACUUUCUCAAUGCACCAUUUCUAAUUUAGGUAUAAUUUACCUGCCUUUCUAUCUCUUAGAAUCUCCAUUCCAAGUAUCUUCUUUGUUGCUUCUAAGUCUUUCAUCUCAAACUCCGUACUGAGUUGGACUUUUACCUUUCUUAUAUUUUCCUUAUCCUGGGCUGCUAUUAACAUAUCAUCAACAUAUAAGAGGUUUGACUCAUUCAUGACCACUCAUGAUAUUGAUUAUUGUUUAUACAUAUCCCUAAUGAAGUACAAAAUUUUGAUAUUAUGAAGUGGUGAAAAUCUCAUGAAUCCACUUUUCCUGUACUAUCUAAAAUGACACGUGAUCUACUAACCCCACCGGUGUCUACUGUAGCAUUAGAAUCUUCUUUUUCUAUAGUUGCAAAUAUAACAGGAGACAGGAGGACAACUCUUACAGCAAAGAUGCUAGAAGCUUUGACAUGUUUGAAGGAUUGAGAAGAUGGACGCAUGAGACUUCAAACUUUAGAGGAUGAACUUAAAGAAGCCUUUGAGAAAUUGCAUCUCAAUGCAGACAAUGAUGUUCAAGAGAUUGAUGAUGAUUGAAGAUGAAAAAAAGAAGAAUGAAGAUUGAAUAAGAAGACAAAAGUGAAUAUGAUAAUUGAAGAAUUAUAUGUUAUUCGUUUUUUUUUAAAUCUAUUAAAUGUAGCUAAUUUUUAAAGGUUGAGUAAUGCAUAUGAUUGAUAGUUGGGUGAGUGCCAACCUAGUUGGGAUGUACUCAAACUAUAGUGAUGCAAUUCUCACAUUUUUCUUUCUCCUUAUUUUUUUCAUGUAAUUUGUUGAAAUAUUGAAUAAAAGAAUUAUUUUUUUAUAUUUCAUUUCCUUUUAUAUUCCAUUAUUUUAAAUUUAUUGUUAUUUUGAUCAAAAAUAAAAAAAUUCAAAUAUAAUUUUUUUACUAUUUUUAAAAACAAAAACUAAUAUUUCUAUAAAUUUUACAAUUACAAACUCGAUAAAUAUAAAUGUAAAAAAUAAAAAGUAUAAUUAUUAGAGGUGUAUAAAUAUAUAUAUAUAUAUAUAUAUAUAUAAUUAUUAGAGGUGUUUAAAGUAACAAAAAGAAAUUUUAUUUAAUAAUGAAAAAAACUUAAGAAAAAAUGACUUAAAAAAUUAAAUUAAAUUUUUUAACAAAGUGACUGGCCCAUGGGCCACGACCCGCUAGCAUGGCCCGGCCCGGACCGACGCAACACGUAUGGGUCGUGUUGAGCCACCUAUUUGGCUUGCAUAGGCCAUCGGCCUGACUCGACAAGAUUUUUAAGUGGGUCGUGCCGGCUCGACACGUUGACUCUAAUGGCCUAGUCAAUAUCGGGCCGUACCUAGUCAUAUCCCAUUAUGGCAUUAAGAUAUUAGAAAGCCCCUUGGUGAGCACAAAGAGGGUUAAAAUUAUGUUUAUUGCUUGGAUACAACAAAAUGAAGUUACAAGUAUAUUAAAUAAUAUGCUAGGAGAUAAUAUAUUGACACCAUAUAUAACAGUAGAAUUGAAGCCAAAACAAGAACUUUAGAUGCAUGUUUUGCACCUCUUGUGUGGCUUUGCCUUAUUAUACUAUUCUAUAUGUCAUGUGUAUUUUGUUUUGUGUUGCCUGUAAAAUAUACAUACAUACAUAUAUAUAUACAUACAUACAUAUAUAUAUAUAUAUAUAUAUAUAUAUAUAUAUAUAUAUUUGCACCUUUUUUCUUUAGGGGUCUUUAUAAAUUUAAAGAAAAUAAAAAAUUGUUGGCAAAUAAUGCAUAUAUGAUUGCUCAUCCACGUGUUCUCUUAUCCACUUCCCUUCUUUUAAUUGUGUUAUGAUUCAAUCCCUCUAAAAUCUUCAAGUAGCAAAUAAAACACGUAAAAUAGCAAAAAGAAGUCAAAAUUAAUAAGAAUUCUUACAACAAAGUAGCAUGUAAGAUAUUGAAAAUGGAGUGAAGAUGCAAAUCCGGUUGAAAAGUUCUUUCUUACUUGUCUUUUACAAUACUCUCCCUUGCUUCUCUAUUACAAUUUAUGCAUGUAACUUCCUAUCUUUUGUUUCUUAUCAUUCAUAUAACUUAAUUAUAGUUGACAUCCAAAUAGUACUUAAUCAUAUAAGGAUUCAUUUAUAUAGUAAUAUAGUAAAAGUAAGUUACAAUUAUCAUCUUAAUCAAUGUGGAAGCUACCAUGUUAGGAGUGUUAAAAUAUCCACAAAUCCAUAGUUUUCAUUUAGUAAAAGUACAAUUUCUUGUUUAAUGAAAUACACACUUUAAAGAAAAUGUAAAAAUUUAUAUGAACCACACUUUUCUAUAACUAGACCAAAGUUUCAUAUGCAUGAAACUAUAGAAAGUAUGAUUAAGUUCAACCAAUCAUUAAUCACAUCUAAUAGUUAUGGCCAAAUUAAACCCAAUGUAAAGAUUCUAAUAAAAUACAUUUGGGAUUUAAUAAUUGUUGGUGAGAAGCUCUCAACCAAAAAUAAACUAUUAUAAAAAAGGUUUAAGAAAAAAAAAACCCCAAGAUAUUUUAAUUAAAAUAACUAUAAUUUAAAUAAUUUUUUAUAGGAAAAAGAUCUUAAUUUUUUUAAGAAAAAAAAUUCAUGGUUUUUCUUCAAAUAACUAAAUAUAAGUGGAUUAAAGGUUAUGCAACUCUUUGUUUGAAAAUUAGCAAUAAUUUCAAUACAAUACACCUUUCAAAAUAUAAGUGGUUUUUAAUUGGUAGUUGUUUGAGUCAGAGAUUUAUUUAUUUUUAUUUUUAUUUUAUUUUUAAAAAAAACUUCUUAUCAAAACAUAUUUUAUAUUUUGAUAAAUCCUAGAUUCAACAGUUCUAUUAGAUUAAAAUGACAAUAUUUUUUAUUUGAACUUUAAAUAUAAUAAAUAAAUUCUAAGAACUUUUACUUAAUAUAAUCUUUUGUAUGUUUAUAUUACAUAAAUUGAUAAAUUUUUUCAAUUUAUUCUUACAUUGUAAAUAAGAUUAAUUACAGAUUAAACUUUCCUUCCAAAUAAAAUGGUUGAACAAAACAUUCAUAGAAACCAAAAAAUAAAAAAGUUGAAAUGCAAUGAAAAGAAAAAAAAUAAAUAGAAAAAUAUGAUGCAUUUUACAUUAAGGAUAUAAUUUUCUUAAUGUGGUAAAUCAUUUCUAGCUAGUGGCACCAGGGAUCAUAUUCUUGUUUCAUUGGCUCUUCCAUAUUGCUUUAGUGUUGUUUUUUUGGGACCAAAGCACUUUUGUUGAAACCUUACUUGUAGUGCUAAUGUUCUCUUUUAUACUUGCAUAUCAGCCCAUGGUUAACCUCUUUCCUUGAUUCCAUGUCUUCUAAUAUUCUCUUGUCUAAAUCAAGUGACCUCUCACAAAAGCUAAUAAAGUAAAAGUUUAUGCACUUUAUCAUAAUAAAUACUAAAUCAAAAAAGGUGUGAGUAUUACAUGAUACUAGGAGAUUUUGAAAAAAUUAUAAUAAAUUUAAAAUAGUUUAAAAUUUAUUUUUCAAAUCUAUGAUGGUUUAAAAAAAAUUCAAAUUAAAAGUUGUCUUCUGAAAAAAAAAAAAAAACUUCAAUAUUUUAAUAUCGAAAAUAAAAUGUCCUCACUAAUUUAAGGUCUUUAUGAAUUUAAAGAAAACAAAAAAUUGUUGGCAAAUAAUGCAUAUAUAUAUUGCUCAUCCACGUGUUCUCUUAUCCACUUCCCUUCUUUUAGUUGUGUUAUGAUUCAAUCCCUCUAAAUACUUCAAGUAGCAAAUAAAACACGCUUACAACAUGUAGCAUGUAAGAUAUUGAAAAUGGAGUGAAGAUGCAAAUCCGAUUGAAGAGAAGACCGAUGAAGAGAAGAUGCCAACAGAAAGUUAUGAUUUUAGGAUUUCAUAUUAAAUUUUAAUUUUCUUUCAUUUGUUUAUUAUCCCUUCUACUUUCUCAGUUUACUCAUACAAUGUAAAAGAAAAAAAAAUCAGUUUAAACGCAAUGAAGAAAAAUAAAUUAAUACACCAAUAUGAUGCAUUUUACAUGAAAUAUAGAUAGGUGGCCCCAAGCAUCACAUUCUUGUUUUCCUUGAUGCUGCUUUUUGGACCAAAGCACUUUUGUUGAAACCUUACUUGAAGUACUAAUGUUCUUUUUUGUUAAUCUCAUUGCUUCAUUCCUAUUCUUAUAAUAUUCUUUCCUAUAAUUCAAGUGACUUCUCAUAGAAGUUAGGUAAAGAAAAAAUUAAUUAUACUUAUCUUAAUCAAUACUCAAAAAAAAAUAUUUGAAAAUAGGUGGUAAUGUUUAAAUAAAAUAAAAUAGACAUGCUCUCAUUGUAUCAAUAAUUUUGAGACAAUUCACCUUUUCAAUAUAUAGGUUUAUAACUGGUAUUGGUUUGGGUUAGAGGGUGUUUUUUUUUUUUUUUUUUAACUUCUUAUCAAAACAUAUUUUAUAUUUUGAUGAGUCCUACUUUCAGUAUUUAUAUUAGAUUAAAAUGAUAAUAUUUUUUUUAUUUGAACUUUAAAUAUAAUAAAUCAAUUCUAAGAACUUUUACCUAAUCUAAUCUUUUAUAUGUUUAUAUUAGAUAAAUUGAUAAAUUUUCUCUACUUUCUCAAUUUAUUAUUAAAGAGUAAAUAAGAUUACAAAUUAUACUUCCUUCCAAAUAAAAUGGUCGACCAAGAAACCAAAAAAUAAAAAAGUUGAAAUGCAAUGAAAAAACAAAUAAAUACAAAAAUAUGAUGCAUUUUACAUGAAGAAUAUAAUUUUCUCAGCGUGGUAAAGCAUUUCUAGCUAGGUGGCACUAGGCAUCAUAUUCUUGUUUUCCUUGAUUGUCUCUUCCAUUUUGCUUUAGUGUCUUUUCAUUUUUGGACCAAAGCACUUUUGUUGAAACCAACCUUGUAGUGCUAAUGUUCUUUUUUAUACUUUUAUAUCAAUCCCUUGUUAACCUCAUUGCUUGAUUCCACUUCUUCUAAUAUUCUCUCGUAUGAAUCAAGUGACGUCUCAUAAAAGUUAAUAAAGUAAAAGUUAAUAUGCCUUAUCUUAAUAAAUACUCAAUCAAAAAAGUGCCGAGUAGCACGUGGUAUUAUGAGAAUUCGACAAAAUUACAAUCAUUUUAAAAUAGUUUAAAAAGUAUUUUCAAAUCCAUUAGUUAUCCAAACUUUUCUCAUCAUUUUCUAAAAAAAAAUAAAAUAAUUUUUUAAUGUUUGGUUUUCACAUGGAAGAGAUCAAAUAUAAUUAAAAUUAGUUUAAAAUUUUUAUAUUUUUAAAUUAUUUAAUUUUUAUGUAGAAAAUUUAAAAUAAAUAAAAUGAAUUUAAAGAACAUAUCAAAUAAUUUAUUGAAUUUAAAAUUAUUUUUAAUUUUUAUUCACUUUUUUCCUCACAUUUUCUAUUAAAUUUAUAUGAGAAACAAACACAAUUUUAGUAUUUUCUCUUUUUUUUUUUUGGUUAAUGUUGUUUUCCCUCGUCUUUUUCCAUGGUAUUUAAAAAUAAUAAAUUUGUUCCCUUUAAUUGCAGCUUGUUGACUUGUCCACCUAAUCCAUGAUAUCAGCCAGUACCCAUGUGACCUGGCCCAUCCCAUCCACCCCUAUAAAGAUAUCUCUUACUUUGUUCCCUAUUCUCUCACAAUUCCCUCAGCUUCUCAUCUUCUACGUGCUGUAUUUUCUUGGCUUUCAGCUACUUUGAGUUGUUCCAAAAUGGCUGACCAAAUUCCAUUCGGUGUUGUGGAGCACAUUUUGACCAACUUGGGGUCCUCGGCGUUUCAAGAAAUUGGAUCCAUGUAUGGUGUUCCAAAGGAGAUGACCAAGCUCAAGGGGAAACUGGGCAUCAUCAAGGCUGUGCUUUUGGAUGCUGAGGAGAAGCAGCAGCAGAGCAAUCAUGCAGUCAAAGAUUGGGUCAAAGAUUGGGUCCGGAGUCUCAAAGGCGUUGUGUAUGACGCAGAUGACUUGCUGGAUGACUAUGCAACCCAUUAUCUUCAGCGAGGAGGAUUGGCAAGGCAGGUCAGUGAUUUCUUCUCAUCUGAAAAUCAAGUUGCUUUUCGUUUAAACAUGAGUCAUAGACUCAAGGAUAUCAAAGAAAGGAUAGAUGACAUUGAAAAAGGCAUCCCCAUGUUAAAUCUGACUCCACGGGACAUAGUACAUAGGAGAGACAGCCAUUCAUUCGUGUUGCCGUCUGAAAUGGUAGGAAGAGAAGAAAACAAAGAGGAGAUAAUAGGGAAGUUGUUGUCGUCCAAGGGUGAAGAAAAGCUUUCGGUUGUUGCCAUUGUAGGCAUUGGGGGGUUGGGAAAGACCACCCUUGCUAAAUUGGUAUACAAUGAUGAAAGAGUGGUCAAUCAUUUUGAGUUUAAGAUAUGGGCUUGCAUUUCUGAUGAUUCUGGUGAUAGUUUUGAUGUUAUUAUGUGGAUCAAAAAAAUUUUAAAAUCUCUGAAUGUUGGGGAUGCUGAAAGUCUGGAGACUAUGAAAACUAAGCUUCAUGAAAAAAUAAGUCAAAAGAGGUACUUGCUAGUCCUCGAUGAUGUUUGGAAUCAAAAUCCUCAAAAAUGGGAUGACGUGAGAACUUUAUUAAUGGUUGGGGCUAUUGGUAGUAAAAUUGUAGUGACCACCCGUAAACCAAGAGUUGCAUCAAUCAUGGGAGAUAAUUCUCCCAUUAGUUUGGAAGGUCUGGAACAAAAUCACUCCUGGGAUUUAUUUUCAAAAAUCGCAUUUAGAGAAGGCCAGGAGAAUUUGCAUCCAGAAAUUCUAGAAAUUGGAGAAGAAAUUGCAAAAAUGUGCAAGGGAGUUCCUCUCGUCAUUAAGACUUUAGCAAUGAUAUUGCAGUCUAAAAGAGAACAGGGCGAAUGGUUGUCUAUUAGAAACAAUAAAAAUUUGUUGUCACUUGGCGAUGAAAAUGAGAAUGUUCUAGGGGUGCUGAAAUUAAGUUAUGAUAAUUUGCCAACUCAUUUGAGACAAUGUUUUACAUAUUGUGCUUUAUUUCCAAAAGACUUUGAGAUUGAGAAAAAGUUGGUGGUACAACUAUGGAUAGCACAAGGUUAUAUUCAACCUUAUAAUAAUAAGCAAUUAGAGGAUAUAGGGGAUCAAUAUGUUGAGGAAUUAUUGUCAAGGUCAUUGUUGGAGAAGGCAGGAACCAAUCAUUUUAAAAUGCAUGACCUUAUACAUGAUCUUGCACAAUCAAUUGUAGGAUCUGAGAUCCUUAUUUUAAGAAGUGAUGUAAAUAACAUUCCAGAAGAAGUUCGUCAUGUAUCAUUGUUUGAAAAGGUAAAUCCUAUGAUAAAGGCUCUAAAGGGAAAACCCGUAAGGACCUUUCUAAACCCUUAUGGAUAUUCUUAUGAAGAUAGUACAAUUGUAAAUUCAUUUUUUUCGAGUUUUAUGUGUCUACGUGCAUUGAGUUUAGAUUAUGUGCCAAAGUGUUUAGGCAAAUUGAGUCAUUUAAGGUAUCUUGAUCUUUCCUACAAUAAUUUUGAGGUACUUCCAAAUGCUAUUACAAGGUUAAAGAAUUUGCAAACACUAAAACUCACAGGGUGUGUCAGUUUAAAAAGGAUUCCAGACAAUAUAGGAGAAUUGAUCAAUCUUAGACACUUGGAGAAUAGUAGAUGUCAUGACUUGACUCAUAUGCCACAUGGAAUCGGCAAGUUGACUUUACUUCAAAGUCUACCAUUGUUUGUGGUUGGGAAUGAUAUAGGGCAGUCUAGGAAUCACAAAAUUGGUGGCUUGAGUGAAUUGAAAGGCCUUAACCAACUAAGAGGAGGGUUAUGCAUACGUAAUCUUCAAAACGUGAGGGAUGUUGAACUGGUAUCCAGGGGGGGAAUUUUGAAAGGAAAACAAUGUCUUCAGUCCUUGAGAUUGAAAUGGAUACGGUCGGGCCAAGAUGGGGGGGAUGAGGGUGAUAAGUCAGUGAUGGAAGGCCUUCAACCACACCGACACCUAAAGGAUAUCUUUAUACAAGGUUACGAAGGUACGGAGUUUCCAAGUUGGAUGAUGAAUGAUGAGUUGGGUUCCCUGUUUCCCUACCUAAUUAAAAUUGAAAUUUCAGGAUGUUCAAGAUGCAAAAUUCUGCCACCCUUUUCUCAACUCCCUUCUCUCAAGUCUUUGAAGCUUAAGUUUAUGGAAGAACUGGUGGAGUUAAAGGAGGGUUCAUUAACAACGCCACUCUUCCCAUCUCUUGAAUCGCUCGAACUCCAUGUCAUGCCAAAGUUGAAGGAAUUGUGGAGGAUGGACUUACUAGCAGAGGAAGGUCCUUCAUUUUCUCAUCUUUCGAAGUUAUAUAUUCGUGCAUGCUCUGGUUUGGCAUCACUGCAUCCUUCUCCUUCUCUUUCUCAAUUAGAAAUCAGAGAUUGCCCUAACUUGGCAUCCUUGGAACUGCAUUCGUCUCCUUCUCUUUCUCAAUUAGAGAUCAUCAAUUGCCAUAACUUGGCAUCCUUGGAACUGCAUUCGUCUCCUUCUCUUUCUCAAUUAGAGAUCAGAAAUUGCCAUAACUUGGCAUCCUUGGAACUGCAUUGGUCUCCUUCUCUUUCUCAAUUAGAGAUCAGAUAUUGCCAUAACUUGGCAUCCUUGGAACUGCAUUCGUCUCCUUCUCUUUCUCAAUUAACGAUCAUCGAUUGCCAUAACUUGGCAUCCUUGGAACUGCCGUCAUCUCUUCGUCUUUCUGAUUUAGAUAUCAGAAAAUGCCCUAACUUGGCAUCCUUGGAACUGCAUUCUUCUCCUUCUCUUUCUCAAUUAACGAUCAUCAAUUGCCAUAACUUGGCAUCCUUGGAACUGCAUUCAUCUCCUUGUCUUUCUCGAUCAUGGAUCUAUGAAUGCCCUAACUUGGCAUCCUUCAAAGUGGCUCCAUUACCUUCUCUUGAGACACUAUCUCUGUUCACAGUUAGAUAUGGUGUGAUAUGCCAGAUAAUGUCUGUCUCUGCUUCGUUGAAGUCUCUGUAUAUUGGAAGCAUAGAUGAUAUGAUAUCUCUCCCGAAGGAGCUACUUCAACAUGUUUCUGGCUUGGUAACGUUACGGAUCCGUGAGUGUCCUAACUUGCAAUCCUUGGAACUGCCGUCAUCUCCUUCUCUUUCUGAAUUAAGGAUCAUAAAUUGCCCUAACUUGGCAUCCUUCAAUGUGGCAUCAUUACCUCGUCUUGAGGAACUAAGCCUGCGUGGAGUCAGAGCAGAGGUACUGAGGCAGUUCAUGUUUGUCUCUGCUUCUUCUUCAUUGAAGUCUCUGUGUAUACGGGAGAUUGAUGGUAUGAUAUCUCUCCGAGAGGAGCCGCUUCAAUAUGUUUCCACUCUCGAAACUCUCCACAUUGUUAAGUGCUCUGGUUUGGCAACAUUACUACACUGGAUGGGCAGCCUUUCCUCGCUUACGGAACUUAUUAUUUUUGGCUGCUCGGAAUUGAAAUCACUGCCAGAAGAGAUCUAUUCCCUUAAAAAACUGCAGACAUUUUAUUUCUGUGAUUAUCCAGACCUAGAGGAAAGAUACAAGGAAACAGGUGAAGACCGGGCCAAGAUUGCUCAUAUCCCACAUGUUAGUUUCUACAGUGAUUCGAUUAUGUAUAGUAAGGUAGGUCCGAAAUCCCUAACCUUUCUUCCCAUUUUUAUUAUUUAAGAAUCAAAAUGCUAUGUUUUCAUUUUGUCUCUGGUAAUUCUUUUAUGUUGGCACCUCAUAUGUUUGUUUAAAUGCUCACAUCAAUAACUUUUUGAAAAAUUUUCCAGAUUAACAUCAUUUGCUGAUGCUGUGCACUAAACUAAUCAUUUUACUUGGGAGUUGUACAUUCUAAGAGUUUGAGGAAAUAUUGAGGUCUGGUAUGAUAACUCUCAAUCCUUGGAACUGCAUUCAUCUCCUUCUCUUUCUCGAUUAACAAUCCAUGAUUGCCCAAACUUGGCAUCCUUCAAUGUGGCAUCAUUACCUCGUCUUGAGGAACUAAGCCUGCGUGGAGUCAGAGCAGAGGUACUGAGGCAGUGCAUGUUUGUCUCUGCUUCUUCUUCAUUGAAGUCUCUGUGUAUACGGGAGAUUGAUGGUAUGAUAUCUCCCAGAGGAGUCGCUUCAAUAUGUUUCCACUCUCGAAACUCUCUACAUUGUUAAGUGCUCUGGUUUGGCAACAUUACUACACUGGAUGGGCAGCCUUUCCUCGCUUAAGGAACUUAUGAUUUAUGAAUGCUCUGAAUUGACAUCACUGCCAGAAGAGAUCUGUUCCCUUAAAAAACUGCAGAAAUUUUAUUUCUGUGAUUAUCCACACCUAGAGAAAAGAUACAACAAGGAAACAGGUAAAGACCGGGCCAAGAUUGAUCAUAUCCCACGUAUUAAUUUCCAAAGUGAUCGAGUUAUGGAAUAUAAGGUCCGAAAUCCCUAACCUUUCUUCCCAUUUUUAUUAUUUAAGAAUCAAAAUGCUAUGUUUUCAUUUUAUUAUUAUGUUUUCAUUGUAUCCCUGGCACCUCAUAUGUUUGUUUUUACUGCUCACAUUAAUAAUUUUGAAAUUUUUUUCUAGCUUGGAUGCGCUUUCCGAUGAUGUGCACUAAACUAACCAUUUUACUUGGAGUUGUACAUUCUAAGAGUUUGAGGAAAUACUAAGGUCUGAUAUGAUAACUCUCAAUCUUAAACGUUGUUUUGUGUUUGGAACGUUACUACACUUGAUACAUACCCUCACCUCACCUCACUUACAGACCCAAGAAUACAGAGGGCCACACUUGGUGAAGGUUUCAUCAGUAAGGAGAACCAUUUCAGGUAUGAAAUCCUCCCUUCUCAUUUUCUAAUGACUUCAUUUUUAUUCAAUAUCCAUUUGAAAUUAUUUAAGUUCAUUUUCUUUAGAUAUUAUAUUUUCUUGCUUGCUCAAUAAUUUCAUUUAAGUAAGUUUUUUGGAUAUCACAUUUUCUUUGGGGUUUUUUUUUCUUUUUAGAAUAAUUUCAAAAUGUAAUUUUUAACUAUUCACAAAAUUUGAUCAUAGUUGAGUGAUUAAAAUUCAAGUUUAUUCUUAUUAUCAUUAGUAGUUAUUUGAUAUGUUCGUUUGCUAAUACAAAAAUAAGACUAACAAGUAAUGUGCAUAGAGUUUGUAGAAGAGAAGAAAGAUUUGAUCCAAGAUAUUCCUAAAGAUCGGAAACUUUCAAAGCCACCCAAGAUCGCACAGGUUGAAUUCGGAUUCAUCCAGUUUACAAUCCAUUAAUUCUACUUAUAUCAUCUUUGUUAUGUUACAAUUUGCCUUUACUUGUUAUGCAACCUACCUUAAUAAUUUAGGGAGACCAAGAUAAGGUAUUCCUAGUAGAACUGGCUCACAAAUUGAAAAGGUAAACUUGUAUCACCUGCCUACAUGCCUACAACAAUACAAACACUAGCUCAUGUCUUUCUCACUAUUGAAAUUGUUAUUGCGUGCAGGGAUUUCAGGCGAGGAGGCCCAACUUGUGAUCAUAGAGCAUACUUUUAUCAUAGAGAAGCCCAAGGAAAUAUUUAAGCACUUGAAAUCCUUUCUCAUUGAUUUGCUUCCACCUCCCAAGCAACACCUAGAACCACUCCCACCAUGACGAAGUUAAAAGGUACUAAUGCAACAUUCUCAAUAUAUUAGAAUAUAUCCAAGGAAGGGUGGCCACAUAUGAAGACCCUAUUCCAAGGUCAAAUUUUAGAUUUUUGUGUUUUUCCUAUCACUAUUCCUAUACUAUUACUAGUGCACCUUAUUUGUCAAGAUGAUUAAAAGGGAAUUCCCUAGGAUAAUUAGUGUCUCAAGUGAUCUUAAGGUUCAUAAAUUUUUGGUUUCCACAAGAUAGGUGCCAACUAUUUAUUUAUUUAUUUAUUUUUUUUACACCCAUGCAAUAUUCCAGUCAUCUAUUAACAAAGGCUAAAAUUUCUUGUAGAGAAUAGAAUAAAGAACUAAAUUACAUGAAAAUAGGACAUUAUUAUUCUAUUUACAAGUAAGGGUAAAAAAUUGUUGAGGGCCAUCAAGCACAUUGUUCCUAAAAUAAUAACAUCCAUGUUGUUGAGCAAAAGUUUUUUAUAUUGGCACCUCAUAUGUUUGUUUAAAUGCUCACAUCAAUAACUUUGAAAAUAUUUUCCAGAUUUUUGAAAAAUUGUAAUGUUGUGCACUAAACUAAUCAUUUUACUUGGAGUUCUACAUUAUAAGAGUUUGAGAAAAAACUGUUUGAUAUGACAACUCUCAAUCUUAAAUGUUGUUUUGUGUUUGGAAUAUUACUGCACUUGAUAGAUGCCUCACCUCUCUUACAGAACUUGGAAUUCAUGGCUACCCUGAAUUGACAUCCCUGCCAGAAGAUAUGUUCCCUCAAAAGCCUGCAGACACUAAACAAUUUGCAUAUGUUCACACUUAAAGGAAAGCUGCUGAAAGGAAAAGUGAAGACUAAGCAAAGAUUGCUCAUAUCCCACAAAUUGAUAUCAUACAUCCAUGAAGAUUGAACUGAUACAAAAUGCCUUUCAGGUUCGAAAUCCCUAACUUUUCUUCUUAUUUUCUAUUACUUCAUUUUUAUUAUCUUACAUUAAAAAAUCCUCUGUUUUCAUUUGUUUUGGUAGUUCUUUUUAUUUGCACCUUAUUUGUUUUAUUAAAUGCUUACUCCAGUAAGUUUGAAAAUUUUUACAUCUUCAAAUCAUUUUGCUUGAGUGUUUUGCAUUCUAAGAGUUUGAGGAAAUAUUGAGCUCUAAUAUAAAUAGUAUUGGUCAUAGAGUCUUCCUUUCUUAAGAAGCUUACCAUUAACCUAAUGGCCAAAGGAUCCCAAAAGGAAACAACUUUGGGUUGACUUGAAGAUUUCACAUGGUCCAAACAUUCAUAUUUACUAGAUGCCUGAUACAAAAGAAAUUUUGCUCUCUUUUCAAUUUAGCCAUUGAUGUAGUCUAAAUGUUUUAUUAGAGCAAUAAUUGUCCAGUAAAUGCAAAAUAGAGAAUGGUGUUAAUGAAUUCAGUACUUCAUCUAUGUUGUAGACUUGUAGUUUAGCAGCUUCUGUUGAUAAUGAGUGUGAGGUUGGCUUUAUCAUGUCACUGUUCCAAAUAUUCUUAAAAAAAAAUCAUUUAAGCUCUAUUUGGUUCUUAGAAAAUUUAAGGGAAAAUGUGAGGAAAACAAAAUAGAGAAGAAAAGUGGAAGGAAAAAAAAGUGAAAGUCAAUGAAUUAUUUUUGUAUGCUACUUCAAACUCACUUCACUUUUUUUAACUCUUCAAUAUAAAGAUUAAAUCAUUUGAAAAAUGUGUAAAUUUCUAAUUAAUUUUAAUUAUAUUUGAUUUUCUUUGGUAUUUUCCAAAAGACAACCAAAUAUGAGAAAAUCAUUUUCCUUAACAUUUUUUUUCUUAGUACUUUUAGGGAACCAAACAUAACCUAAAUGUUUUAGUUUAGUAGUUUCAUCAAAUGAGAUAGACAACCUCACAUCUCUUAGUGAGCUGAGGUGCUAUGUCAAUUAAUGCUUUGUCUCUACUCUUCAUUGAAGUCUCUAUCUAUUGGAUGCACAAAUGAUAUGAUCCAAACUCAAAUUGAACACUAUUCUGGUUUUGCAACAUUACUGCACUCGAAAGGCAACUUCAACUCACUUAUAGACCUUCCUAUUGGUGAUUGCACUGAAUCGACAUCACUUUGGAAGAGAUGUGUUCCACACAGAAAAUCUUUCAUUAUAUGCACCUACUCGCGAGAUACCAAAGGGAAACAGGUGAAUACUUGCCCAAGAAUACAAAGGUCAUACUUGGUGAAGGUUCCGUCAAUAAGGAGAACCAUUUCAAGUAUGGAAUUCUCAUUUCUUCUCAUUUUCUUAUGGCUUUAUUUUUAUUCAAUAUCUAUAUGAAAUUAUUUAUGUUCAUUUUCUUUAGAUAUUACAUUUUUUUGCUUUCUCAAUAAUUUCAUUCAAGUUCUUUUGGAUAUCACAUUUUCUUUGGUGUUUUUUUUAGAAUAAUUCAAAAUGUCUUUUUUAACGAUUCACAAAAUUUGAUCAUAGUUGAGUGAUUAAAAUUCAAGUUUAUUAUUAUUAUUAUUAUUGGUUAUUUGAUAUAUUUGUUUUCUUAUACAGAUAAAAGACUGGCAGCUAAUGUGCAUAGAAUUUGUAGAAGAGAAUAAAGAUUUGAUCUAAGUUAUUUCUAAUAGGUUGAGGAAUUCAUUCUUGUAAAAAUUGAGUGUUAAAGCCUUCAAGAGGUUUGAAUCUUGAAGAAAUUAUGUAAGAGCCCAUUGGAGCCAGAAUCCAAGUGUAAAGGAGAUUGGAAGCUUGGUUGAAGCUUCAAGUUAGUGAAACCCUCACUCGGUUAGGAGAUUGAGGAGAGUGGACGUAGGCAAGGAAAUGCCGAACCACUAUAAAAUCCAAGUUUAAAUUCUCUAACUCUAUCUCUUUAUUUUUUUAUUAUAUUGUGCUUGAAUUUGUUGUGUUGAAAAAGUUUUUGAAAAACCCAAUUCACCCUCCUCUUAGGUGUUUUUCUCAUUUAAGCAUAACCUUUAUUUUCUCACACUUGAAAUCCUUUCUCAUUAAUUUGCUUCCACCUCAUAAGCAACCCUCGAAACCACUUACACCAUGACAAGGUGAAAAGAAACUAAUGCAGCAUUCUUAAUAUAUAAGAAGAUAUUAAAGGAAGGUUGGCCACAUAUGAGGACCCUGUUUCUAACGUAGAAUUUUAGAUUUUUGUGUUUUUCCUAUCACUAUUCCUAUACUAUUACCAAUGCACCUUAUUUGUCAAGAUGAUUAAAAGGGAAUUCCCUAGGAUAACUAGUGUCUCAAGUGAUCUUGAGGUUCAUAAAUUUUUGGUUUCCACAAGAUAGGUGCCAACUAUUUUUAUUUUUUUUUACACCCAUGCAAUAUUCCAGUCAUCUAUUAACAAGGGCUAAAAUUUCUUGUAAAGAAUAAAAUAAAGAACUAAAUUACAUGAAAAUAGGACAUUAUUAUUCUAUUUACAAGUAAGGGCCAAAAAUUGUUGAGGGUUAUCAAGCACAUUGUUCCUAAAAUAAUAGCAUCCAUGAAGAUUGAACUGAUACAAAAUGCCUUUCAGGUUCGAAAUCCCUAACUUUUCUUCUUAUUUUCUAUGACUUCAUUUUUAUUAUCUUACAUUAAAAAAUCCUCUGUUUUCAUUUGUUUUGGUAGUUCUUUUUAUUUGCACCUUAUUUGUUUUAUUAAAUGCUUACUCCAGUAAGUUUGAAAAUUUUUACAUCUUCAAAUCAUUUUGCUUGAGUGUUUUGCAUUCUAAGAGUUUGAGGAAAUAUUGAGCUCUAAUAUAAAUAGUAUUGGUCAUAGAGUCUUCCUUUCUUAAGAAGCUUACCAUUGACCUAAUGGCCAAAGGAUCCCAAAAGGAAAUGACUUUGGAUUGGCUUGAAAAUUUCACAUGGUCCAAACAUUCAUAUUUACUAGAUGCCAGAUACAAAAGAAAUUUUGCUAUCUUUUCAAUUUAGCCAUUGAUGUAGUCUAAAUGUUUUAUUAGAGCAAUAAUUGUCCAGUAAAUGCAAAAUAGAGAAUGGUGUUAAUGAAUUCAGUACUUCAUCUAUGUUGCAGACUUGUAGUUUAGCAGCUUCUGUUGAUAAUGAGUGUGGGGUUGGCUCUAUCAUGUUACUGUUCCAAAUAUUCUUAAAAAAAAAAAAAUCAUUUAAGCUUUGUUUGGUUCUUAGAAAUUUGAGGGAAAAUGUGAGGAAAAUAAAAUAGAGAGGAAAAGUGGAAGGAAAAAAAAGUGAAAGUCAAUGAAUUAUUUUUGUAUGCUACUUCAAACUCACUUCACUCUUUUUAACUCUUCAAUAUCAAUUUCUAAUUAAUUUUAAUUAUAUUUGAUUUUCUUUGGUAUUUUCCAAAAGACAACCAAAUAUGAGAAAAUCAUUUUCCUUAACAUUUUUUUUCUUAGUACUUUUAGGGAACCAAACAUAACCUAAAUGUUUUAGUUUAGUAGUUUCAUCAAAUUAGAUAGACAACCUCACAUCUCUUAGUGAGCUAAGGUGUUAUGUCAAUUACUGCUUUGUCUCUACUUCUUCAUUGAAGUCUCUAUUUAUUGGAUGCACAGAUGAUAUGAUCCAAACUCAAAUUGAACACUACUCUUGUUUUGCAACAUUACUGCACUCGAAAGGCAACUUCAACUCACUUAUAGACCUUCUUAUUGGUGAUUGCACUAAAUCGACACCACUUUGGAAGAGAUGUGUUCCACAUAGAAAAUCUUUCAUUAUAUGCACCUACUCGCAAGAUACCAAAGGUAAACAGGUGAAUACUUGCCCAGGAAUACAAAGGCCAUACUUAGUGGAGGUUCCAUCAAUAAGGAGAAUCAUUUCAAGUAUGGAAUUCUCAUUUCUUCUCAUUUUCUUAUGGCUUCAUUUUUAUUCAAUAUCUAUAUGAAAUUAUUUAUGUUCAUUUUCUUUAGAUAUCACAUUUUUUUGUUUUCUCAAUAAUUUCAUUCAAGUUCUUUGGAUAUCACAUUUUCUUUGGUGUUUUUUUUAGUAUAAUUCAAAAUGUCUUUUUUAAUGAUUCACAAAAUUUGAUCACAGUUGAGUGAUUAAAAUUCAAGUUUAUUAUUAUUAUUAUUAUUAUUAUUAUUAUUAUUGGUUAUUUGAUAUAUUUGUUUUCUAAUACAGACAAAAUACUAGUAGCUAAUGUGCAUAGAAUUUGUAGAUAGAAUUUGUAGAAGAGAAUAAAAAUUUGAUCUAAGCUAUUCCUAAAGACCAGAAACUUUUAGAGCUACCCAAGAUCUAACAGGUUGAAUUUUGAUUCACUUAGUUUACAAUCCACUAAUUAUCCUUAUGUCAUUUUUGUUAUGUUACAAAUUGCCUUUACUUGUUAUUCAACCUAUCUUAAUAAUUUGGGAAGACCAAGAUAACGUCUUCCUAGUAGAACUGGCUCAAAAAUUGAAAAGGUAAACUCAUAUCACCUAUCUACAUGCCCACAACAUUAUAAACACUAGCUCAUGUGUUCCUCACUAUUGAGAUUGUUGUUGCAUGUAGGCAUUUUGGGCGAGGAGGCUCGACUUGUGAUCAUCAAUAACAGAAGGCAUGCUUUUAUACAGAGAAGCCCAAAGAAACAUUUAAGCACUUUGUUAGCCCAAGGGUUCUCCUAAUCAGGUUUUGAUGAUAACAAACCAUGGUUAAGUGACUAAUUGGUUUGAAUGGUAAAAAAUCUUAGGUAUAAAUUUGGAAAUUCAUCAAAUGAUCAAAUGAAUACAAGAUCGAGACUUUUGGAAGACUUUUGAUCAUAGGAAACAAAUGUAAGAUGAAUGCAUGGGUGCACUUAGAUUUUACAUAUCUUUUCAUGAAUCUUUGAAAACUCAGUUUAUUCCUUUAAAUUACGAUUUCAUUAAAACCCGAGUUUUAUCAAAUGUACCUUAGGUAAAACGUUUCAAAAUUGGCAUAUUAAUUUACCUAAAGACCUUGCCUAAGUGUUAGAAAGGAAAAGAAUUGAAAAAUAUAGGUUUUCGGGGCCAAAAGGCUAAAUUGAUCGAGGCACAUGCCAGCCGGCUCAACCAACUAGGGAACCGGUCAAUCGGUUGCUCUUGUUCGAUCGAGAUCUGGUCGAGGAGUGUUAAAAACACUUUCUCUCAUCCAGUAGCCUUCUCUUCCCAGUCGAGGUACUCUCCUUACCUUUGGUCGAGGUUCGGUCGAGGCAACGGUAACCUGCCAAAGCAUUAAAUGCUUCAACGGCUAGUGAACCAGUCAACCCCCAGCUCGACCGAUUGAGGCUAUUUUUUGCUUUUUUUGGCUCCCGAGCUUAGAAACCAAUAAAUUGAGAGCUCCACUUCAUUUAUGACAUAGAGAAAACUUGCAAUCAAUUGUCUACCCACUUGUUCUUGCCUUAAAAGCUCUCAUUUAUUUCUUAGUGCAUUAAAUCCUCACUUGCAUAUCCUUUUAGUGCACCCUUGUGAAUCAUCCUAGCUUUGAUUUGUAUUUGAACUAUCAUUGAGCUAGAUUGAGGGAUUCAUUCUUGUAAAAAUUGAGUGUUAAAGCCUUCAAGAGGUUUAAAUCUUGAAGAGAUUAUGUAAGAGCCCAUUGGAGCCAGAAUCCAAGUGUAAAGAAGAUUGGAAGCUUUGUUGAAGCUUCAAGUUAGUGGAACCCUCACUCGGUUAGGAGAUUGAGGAGAGUGGACGUAGGUAAGGAAAUGUUGAACCACUAUAAAAUCCGAGUUUAAAUUCUCUAACUCUAUCUCUUUAUUUUUUAUUAUAUUGUGCUUGAAUUUGUUGUGUUGAAAAAGUUUUUGAAAAACCUAAUUCACCCAUCUCUUAGGUGUUUUUCUCAUUUAAGCUCACUCUUGAAAUCCUUUCUCAUUAAUUUUCUUCCACCUCAUAAGAAACCGUCAGAACCACUUACACCAUGACAAGGUGAAAAGAAACUAAUGCAACAUUCUCAAUAUAUCAGAAGAUAUCAAAGGAAGGUUGGCCACAUAUGAGGACCUUGUUUCUAAGGUAGAAUUUUAGAUUUUUGUGUUUUUCUUGUCACUGUUUCUAUACCAUUACUAGUGCACCUUAUUUUUGAAGGUGAUUAAAAGGGAAUUCCCUAGGAUAACUAAUGUCUCAGAUGAUCUUGAGGUUCAUAAAUUUUUGGUUUCAACAAGAUAGGCGUCAAACCAUUUUUAUUUUUUUCUACACCCAUGCAAUAUUCCAUUCAUUUAUUAAUAAGGGCUAAAAUUUCUUGUAGAGAAUGGAAUAAAUAACUAGAUUAAAUGAAAUAAGACAUUAUUAGUCUAUUUACAAGUAAGGGCAAAAAAUUCUUGAGGGUCAUUAAGCACACUGUUCCUAAAAUAAUAACAUCCAUGUCGUCGAGCAAAAGUUUAUUGCAAUUACAUUAGCAUAUAAAACAAAACUAAUUUUUUUUUAUGGAAAAUUUAACCGCACUUUAGAAGUUUGUGAUUAUUCUUUGGUCCAUCUUAAAACGAGUUCCUGCAUUUUUCCAUUCCUCAAAUUAAAAUCACAAUAAAAAGUUUUAGAUUGACCUAAAAUUUUCUCAUGGCCUAGAAAUUCAUAUCUACCAGAUGGCUAAAGCAAAAAACACUUCUACCUUGUAUUUUAAGUAAUCCCUGCUUGCUAUUUGUUUAUUGAGAGCAUCAUACAAGUUGUGAUUAUAUUUCUUAAUUUUUUUAUAUGAUAAGACGGUAACUGGAUUGAGAAAGAUGCAACUUGUAGAGCAGAAAAUUUCUUAACUACUUUCCUUGUAUUUGCUUUGUGUGUAUCAACUGUUCUGUUAAUUAUUUUUUAAAAAUAUCACUAAAACAAACCUAUUAUGUCAGUGCUCUCUAUUGUUAUGUAUCAUAAUUUAGCUAUUUUUUUUCCCUAGAAAUCAUGCUUGUUAUUGUGUUAAUCAGUAGGUAGCAUAAGAACUAUUUUGUUCAAGUUAUUUUGUAUUGGCAUUCUUCAUGUUUUAAAAUAUUGUCAGACUAGCAAUUUUACUGCAGAUAUAAUGUUCUCAAAUCAAUGCAAAAAGGGACGAUUGUGGGGCUUGGGCACAACCUUCCUUGAAUAGUUGAAUUGAGGAUUUCUAUAAACUAGGUCUCUAUAUCAACAGAUUCUACAUUUCAUCACUAUGGGGACCUUACAAUAAAUAUCGCAAAAAGCUUCAUUUACUACAUAGUAAGGAUAAUCCUAAGGACUUAAAAGCUUGAGUUGUCUUUUCCAUGGCAGCUUCAGAUCUCUUAAUAAGCUCCAAGUCAUUGUCUACCUUGAAUAUAAAUCACUGCUAGAAGUAUGUGCCCUCAACAUUCCCAUGUUCCCGAUAUUGACUAGAUAGUUUUUGCUAAUUCAUGAAGAAUUGAAGGGAUCUUUGAUAAUGACAUCUAUAAUGUACUUCAAGUUCAUGAUCCAAACCCUCUUAUUGCUUUCAAUAACUUCAUUUUUUUUAUAUUACUUUGUGGUCAAUGUUAUAAGGAUGUUGUAUUUUGUUUACCUGAUUCUCAUCCAUUAGCACACAUGAAAGGAAAAGUUUUACAUUGCUUUCCUUCCCUUUGCUCUGUGUUUGUAUAUGUUUAUGCAGCUAAUGCGAACUUCCACCGUAACUUUUUAAGUUUUUUCAUUCUCGAGUUUGGGAAACAACUGGAUUUGAUUGUAAUAUUUUCUUGUAGAUAUCACCUUUCUUAAAAAGCUUGCAUUUAUUCACAUUUUCAAGAUGGCUAAGUCAUCUGAUUAUGCUUAGAACUUUUGGUUUCUAUUAAAUUCAGGUAUGAUGUUUGCAAUUCUAACCCCCUUACUCCUCUUGAAGACUACAUAAGUUUCUAGUGCUUUUACUUUAAUGGUUAUAGUCAAUGUAUCCUCUUGUUACUUCCUGCUUGCAUUCUAUAUGUUCAAGAGCUUUAUUAAAGUAAUUAUUUUAUUGAAGAUAUAAUUGUUUUCAGGUCAAAGCAAAAUUGAAUAAUGACGUGGUUUCAACAACUUCUCAAAAGUAAUUGGAAAGUAAGGAACUUUGUGGUAGUAUUCUGAUAUCACAUUGGGCCUUCAAAUUGUUGUCUUGAAUUGACAUAAAUAACAUAAUUUCUUUCCUAGUUAAGCUGCUUCAACAUGUUAUUAUGCUUCAAACUCUUUCAAUUAUGUGUUGUUUAGGUUUGGCAACAUUAGUACACUGGAUAUGUUGCCUCGAGUUACUUACACGACAUAAAAUUCAUCUUUAUUGUUAACUAGCAUCACUACCACAAGAUGAGUUCCCUCAGCAUUCUACAGACAACUAUAAUUUGGGACAAUUCUGGUUUGGCAACAUUAUCGGAGUUGAUAGGCAACCUAACAAAAACCUUUAAAUUUAUAUUUAUCCCAAACUAGCAUCACUGUUGGAAGACGUGCAUCCUUAGCACCCUAUAACCACUCACAAUUGGAGACUGUUAUGGUUUGUAAACAUUUAACAGACUUGAUAGGUAACCUUGCACCAGUUACAGAGCUUCAAAUUCAUGGCUAUCUUGAAUUGACAUCACUUUCAAACUAGAUGGUUCAUCCAAACCUCAGUUGACACCCAUAAUUCAAGACUUCUCCAUUUUGGCAAUGAUAACAGAUUUGAUAAGCAUCCCUACUUCACUUACAUACACUAAAAUUGAUAGCUACCUCGGAUUCACAUCAUUGUCACAAAAGAUUGGUUCCUUCAUAUCCCUGCAGACACUUGUGAUCUUUUAUCAUCCAUGUAUAUUAGAAAGACUUAAAAGGGAAAUAGGUGAAGAUUGGCCCAAUAAUCUUCAGUCCUAGAUAUUGAUAUUUGGUGAAGAUUGGACUAAUAUAGAGUUAGUUCAGGUUUGAAAUCCCAAUCUUUCUUCUCAUUUUUUAUGGUUUUGUUUUUAUCAAUAUGCUUUGUUUACAUUCUAUAUGGUAACUUUUGUAUGUAUUAGCAUAUAGAUCAAAAAGGACUUAGAUGAUUAAUUUGAAAAGUUUGCAUCCUCAAUUAAUUAGUAAUUAAAGACCAAACUAAUCAUAUUACUUUAAGUCUUGCAUUGUAAGAGUUUGGGAAAAUGUUAGGGUUGACUGAACUACUAUUUUAUAACAGAUUUUGCCUUACUCAAGAAUCUUGUGAUUAUCCCUUGGCACAAUCAUUUCUCGUGUCUAAGAAAUUCAUAUCUACUACAUGGCCAAAGAAUUUAGUAGCAUUCAAAAUUUAUGUUUUCUUUCAAGUCAGGUGUAUUGCUUGCAGUUCUAACAUGUUUCCUAUUUUGAACAUUGUAUUGUUAUUUUACUAUCAAUGUGUUAAGAGCAUUAUACUCUAUUUUCUAUAAUGUUGUUUACUUGUCAUAUGUAUUAAUUAUUUUAUUGCAAAUGUACUUGUUGCCAAGUUAAAGCAAAAGAGGAAAGUGAGGAUUUUUCAUGGACCAAUGCCUCUCUCAGUUGCUGCCACACUUGACUUCUCUCUAAGUUGUUGAAAAUUUAAAAGUGUGGUAGCAUAAAGUAUUCAGCUCAAGUGCUUUAGUGCCUCACUACCCUUGAAGCUUUAGAAGCUGUCAAUACAAUUGGGGUUUCAACAUGUAACCAUUUUGGAAAUUCUAAGAAGUGUAAGUAUUAUGGUUUUACAACUUUAUUAGACUAGAUAGGCAACUUCAAAUUGCUGAAUGCCCUAAAUUAAAAUCACUACUAGAAGGAACCCAUGAGCACUCUAUAGAAACUCAUAAUCUACUACUUUUGCCACUUAUUAAGAAUGCUAAAAGGAAAAAGUGAAGAUUGGCUUGAGCAUGAUUGAUUAAUAAACCACACAUGGUCUCCUUAAUUCAAGUGUGUCAUUUGUUAUAUGUUUCAUGUCAGUAAUCCUACAUUUCUCUUGUUUCUAUUGGCUCUAUUUUUUUGAAUUAUUUUACAAUCAAUCUUCUAACAAUGUUCUACUUUUUUUACAAUUUUAUUUUUUUAUUCUAAAAUGAAUUAAGACAUAUAAAGAAAAAAAUCACCUUGUUUGAUUUUCAUAUACUAUAUGCUUAAAUGUACAUGUGUUAAAAUCUUUUGAUUUUUUAUUGAUUACUUUCUAUUUAAUUUAUUAAAAAUUGUUAGUCUAUUUGGAGAUGAUUUUUUUUUUCAUAUGUAAUAAGAUACCAACAAAUUGAGUGAGGAGCACAUCUUACUAAGUCGCUUAUCAAUCUAUCCACCUUCCUAAUCUCAAGAUUCUUCAUGUUUGAAUUAAAAUACCAUGAAUUACAAAAACAAAAAAUGAUGAAAAUGAGUAUUUCUCGUCAUCUUCAUUUUUAUUAGAAGGCAAUUUGUAGCAUCCUCUUUCCCAUUCCUAAAAAAUACUACAGCUUUGUAGGUUGAGAAAUUAGACAUGUUUUCUUAAAUGAUCUUCUUGGUCCAUGCAUGCUUAUAUUUGGAAGAUUUUUAAACCAAGUAUUUUAUGACAUAUAUGAUAGCUUUCAAGUUAAUGCAUAAAUGGUGAUGGUUAGGAUGCAAAAUAUAGUCUAUGCUGAUUACUACCAAAAAGUGCUAUUUUGUAGAUCUAAUUAUAAUGGUUUUAAGCACCUUUGAGUAGUAAUCAUAUUCAUUUAACCCAAUUAAUUCAUUAAGGUCCUUAGUAAUUGGUUUUAACCAUUUUGUGGCAAGUUUACAUGUUUUUAUCAGCUUAUGAAUCGAUUCAAGCAUGCCAAAUGAUGGAGGAGCUACUUGGACAAGUUAAAGCAAGGAUUUUGGAAGUUUACAGGCUUGAAUUUUAAGUGGAAACACGAGCACAAGCAAUGGAGAAGAGGAAAACAGAGUGAAGAAAACAGAGGACAGCAGCUGCAGUUUUCUUUUGCACUUUUGGAGCACUUUCCGAAGUCCAUUUUCUACAUUCUUUAUACCAUUUCAAAGCUCAGGAAGUCAAUAAUCCAAUGCUUCAAACGGUGCACGAUUCGGAGUUGAAACGAAGGAGUUACAUCCAUUGCAAGCAGAUCACUCCAAGCUGUUUUUGCACGGUUGCGAAAUCAGCCUUUUGUUGCGAGAAUUUCACAGCCAUUUUGCACAGUGCACGGGUGUUCUCCUGAAGCUUCCCGAUAGUUGCGACCGAAACUUUUAGAUCUUUUCUUCAGAUAUUUUUGUAUAAAUUUCCAUUCUUCUCCUUGUAAGCCACCAACCAUAAGAUUUCUUAGUUAGGAAGGUUGGAAAAACGUCUCUAUAUAUAUUCCCUUGCAUCCACUGUAUAUAAAAAAUAUGUAAUAUCAAUCAAUAUAUAAUAUAUCUACAGAGCACUUGCUCUGUUUUUCAUUCAUAUUCUUGUUUUCAUUUUCAUUUUCAUUUUCUAGCCAACCAAACUCUAAGGAUUUUUCCUCAGAGGAUGAGAGGCUAAGCUCUUUGUCUCUUGGAGUGAAGAAAGCCGGGUAAGUUUCCAUAUGCAUAAAUUGGAAGUUUUGUUGUUUUAGUUUUUAAUGAAGAGAAAGUGUGACCCGUUAAUGGUUUUUAUCUUUUUAGUUAACUUAAAACGCCUUUAAAUCACCUGGGCCAACACUUGGUAAGGCAAGUGAUUUCCGUCCAUGGAGAUUCACUAGUUUACCCCUUGCGAGCCUUUGGGAGGUGACUUGAAGGUAGGAUUUUCUAGAAUAGCCAACACUUGGUAAGCUUUUGGACUCCAAGGAGACAUCCAUUAGUUAUCUCUUGCGAGCUUUUGACGGGUAAUCCAAGGUUAAAGAUCACCUUGAAUGGCAAGUGCUAGGUGAGAGGUAUGAGCCAUUGCAUGGUGCAUCAGUGAGAGGGAUUUAGUGUUUGAACCCAUUAAUGGGAAGCAUCUGUACAACACCGGUUGGAGAAGGAACUAUAUGUUAAUUCUCUAAUGCGAGGAAAAGAAACAAGUGACCGGAACUCUCCAUUUUUGUAUGAGGAAUCUGAGCCUAGUGAUCUGAAACUCCAAGAAACAUCUUUUCUUUGUAAGUAAAAUCAGUUACUAUUUUUGGUUAGUUUAAAACCGAACUUUUUCCAUUUAAACAAGUUUAUGUUUUCUUUUAAAGCUAACCUUGAAAUGAAAAGGCACCAAUUCAACUUUGAAUUAAUAUCAUUUGUGAAGUGAAAACUCAUCCUAGUGAACGAUCCUAGAGCCACUAUGCUAUAGUAGCUUUGUCUUUGCUACCCUAGUAUAUGGUGUAAUAGGUUAAAAAUUUUGUUGAUUACUCCCUCAUUCAAGGAGCACCAGCUGGACACAAAUCAGCUGAGACACCAAUUGGGCACAAAUCAAAUGGCGCCGUUGCCGAGGAUGGUGCCACUUUACAAUGAUAUCACCUUUCUAGAGUACUUGUGAUCUUCAUCACAAGUUUGGUGACUUUUCUUUUCCUUUUACUAACUCUUUUUAUUUCUUUAUUGUUCAUAUUUUAGUAUACCUUUUAUUUAGUUUUUAGUUUACCUUAAUUUUCUUUCUUUGAAUUGUUUUUCUUUUGUUUUCUUUUGUGUUCUCUGUUUUUAAUUCACAAAUUGCUAGUUGUGCAUGCCAUAUUGAAUACGAGAUAGUAGAGGAAGCCAUGAACUUCAUGAGUUAUAUGGCUGAAGUCUCAAGAGGAUGGGAUGAACCAAAUGCUAGAGAUAUGGGAAGAAAGACGUCUCAACCUAAUGCUAAGGGUGAGAUGUAUAUUUUGGAUGAUGGCAUAGACAUGAAGGCAAAGAUUGCAGCUAUGGCAAGGAGAUUGGAAAAGCUAGAAAUGAUGAAUAUGCAACCAGUGCAAGCCAUCUCUUAGACACCAUUGCAAGCUAUGCCUUGUGCCAUUUGUCUAUCUUAUGAGCACUUGGUGGAUGAGUGUCCUACCAUUCCAGCCGAAAGGGAAAUGUUUGGUGAUUGCAACACCUACAAUUCCAAUUGGAGGGACCAUCCAAAUUUCUCUUGGAAACCACAGCCACCUCAGUAUCAGCAACCUGCUCAAGCACCACAGCAAGCCUCAAACCUUAAACAAGCUAUAGUGAAUCUUAGCAAGGUUGUGGGAGACUUUGUUGAAGCUCAAGAAGCCAUCAAUGCUCGAGUCGAUCAAAGAAUUGAUAGAAUGGAGAGUAUGUUGAAUAAAAGGAUGGAUGGAAUGCAAAAUGAUAUGGCCCAAAAUUUUGACAACAUCCAAUAUUCAAUUUCAAGGCUCAUAAAUUUGAACACAGUGCAAGAGAUAGAAAACUCCCCUUCUCAACCUUAUCAAAAUUCCAUGAGUAUCCAUGAAAUGGAGGCUCAAGAGGGAGAAUGUUCAAUGGUGAAGGAAAUUGAAGAGGUUAUCACUUUGAGGAGUGGUAAAGAGGUUGAUCUGCCCACAUGCAAGCUAGAACAUAAGGAAGAGAGUGAAACAGAGAAAGAAAAGAGGGAGGAAAUCAAAGGAAAGAAAAAGGGGAAAAGCAUAGAGAAAGAUGGCUAUGAUGUUAAUGUACAAAGAGAACCACAAAGGAUAGUCAUCAAGGAAGAAUUGAUGAAGAAACACAUGCCUCCACCUUUUCUCCAAGCUUUGUAUGGGAAAAUCAUACAAACCAAGUCUCAAGAGAGAGAUGCAAACUUCAUAUGGGAUCCGGGCAAGCUAAAUAAGGAUCAAAUUUUUUGAUGGACUUAGUCUUUUUAAAGACUAGUUAGUCCAUAUCUUUUUGUUUUGUUUUUUUUACUUGUUUUAAUUUUGAUUUCAAUGUUUUAAUUUUGAUUUCAAUACUUUAAUUCUAGUUUGUUUUGAUGUAAUAUAGGUUUUUGGAUGAUCAAAAUCAAGAGGAAUUGCAAAUAAAUUGAAGGAAGUCUUUCGGAGCAAAAUCGGAGUCAAACGGAGCGAAAAUAGGGGAAAAACAGGGGUCUGCGAAAUUUCGCAACCUCUGCGAAAUCGGCACUUUGCUGCGAAACCAGUUCGUAGCCUCAGGACCCUCUCUGCGAAAAUUUUCGCAGCUGCGAAACCACUUUUGGCACACGAGUGCCACUUCGCAGCACAAGAGCCCCCAUUUCGUAGCUGCGAAACGGCUGCGAAGUCCCAAAACGUGAAAAAUCCCAAUUUCGCAGCCAAAGCUCCAUUCCGCAGAGGAUUUCGUGGCUGCGAAACCAACUUUGGCACACGAGUGCCAUUUCGCAGCAUAGUGACUCUCAUUUCGCAGCUGCAAAACGGCUGCGAAGCUCCAAAGCGUAAAAAAUUCCCAAUUUCGCAGCCAAAGCUCCAUUCCGCAGAGGAUUUCACGGCUGUGAAACCAACUUUGGCACACGAGUACCAUUUCGCAGCACAAUGACUCCCAUUUCGCAGCUGCGAAACGGCUGCGAAGUCCCAAAAUGUGAAAAAUCCCAAUUUCAUAGCCGCACCCCCAUUUUGGCAAUUGUUGGACACAUCUCGAUCACUUCCCGAAGUUCAAAUUAUGCAUGCAAUAUCUCGUUUCAAAUAUUAGGAAGUCAGGAGUUCAUAGCUUCAAACGGUGUUCGAUUUGGAUUUGAAACGGAAAAGUUAUGGCCGUUUGAAGAUGACUGUGCAAACCAUGAGCGGAAAUGUCGCACCUCCAUUUUGCUACUGUUGGACACAUUUUUGAAGCACUUACUGGAGCUCAAAUUAUGCAUACCAUAUCUUGUUUCAAAUCUUGGGAAGUCAGGAGUCCAGAACUUCAAACGGUGCACAAUUUGCAGUUGAAACGAAGAAGUUAUGGUUAUUUGAAGACAAGCGCUCAAAGCUGAGCGGGAAUUUCGCAGCCGAGACACCAUUUGGAAGGGUGUUUCGCAGCUGCGAAACCACUUUUGGCACAUGAGUGCCAUUUUGCAGCACAGUUCCCCUCAUUUUGAAGCUGCGAUACACCUGCGAAAUCACUUUUGAGCUACGAAAUGAGUUGCGAAAUCAAUAUUGGGCUGCGAAAUCACUUUUGAGCUUUGAAAUGGCUAUGAAAUGAUUUUCAAACUUCAAAAUGGCUGCGAAAUCACCUCCAAGCAUCGAAAUGGCCUUCAAAUUUCGAAAUUGACUUGCGAGAUGGAGGAAGUUUUGCAAAAACACUUUGCAAAGCCAAUAGAAGUUGCUAAAAUGCCAUCAGAGCCUCACAAUCAUGCAUCUGAAGAGGAGAGCCCCGCACACCCUGGGAUCACACACACCAAGCCUCUCACUCCAUUUUUGACCUCCUUAAACCAUCAAAUCCCAUAGCUACCAGCUGAGAGCUCCAGCUAAGGAGACUAUGCCACCUAAGGAGAUUACCAGAACAGAGUCCAAAGUCCUGAUCCAACCCACUCAAGAGGCCACCAUAGUUGCAUCAGCUCCACAGGAUCCUACCACUACUUGAUCAUCUCUUUACUUUUUGUCUUUACAUAUUAUAUUAGUGUAGAUAAUUCCAUGUUUUGAUGUCUUAUAUUCUGGGAUUGGAUGUAUUACUGAUGAUGCAUCAUACAUAGACAUCAUUUUUGUUUAAACUUGACAUUUUUCUAUUUCCUCUACUCACUAACUCUUAUGUUUUCUUUGAAACAUGUGGUUUCUCCUAUACGACUCAGACUCCAUGUCACUAAGGAGGUACCACUUCCUCCCUAUUUUUUAAUCGCUUUUGUCACAUUGAGGACAAUGUUCAGCUUGGUUGGGGGGAGAGUUGAGGAAGUAAGUAUUGUUAAUAAUGCUAAGUUAUUUUGGUAAUUUAGUUGCUUUUUGCUUAAUUUUUAAAAUUUUUGCUUUAAACUCCAUGGAUAUUAAGGAUUAACUCUCAAAAUUAAAUGAGAGAAGUCGAGUUUCAACUUGAUUACAUGAGUCUUAGAGUUUUUAUUAUGCUCUUCUAAAAGUUGAUGAAUUGUUGAAACUCUCAUUGCAUGCAAACUUAUCUCUUCCACCUUAAGCUAUUCGCACACACAUACAUUAGAUUCCGGUUAUAAGAUGUGAAACUAUCUCACCCUCUAAGCUUGAGAAAUCAUAAUUUGACACCUUUAACCUCUCUUUAAUAGUGUUGGGACACCUCAUAAAGACCAAUGAGUCUUUGAAAAAAUAGAAAAAAGAAAAAGAAAAAGAAAAAAAUAAUAAUAAUAUAGAAUAAACUUCUUUGCUUGCCUUGAAACCUGAGCAUGGUCCGAAGGGGUGGCGAAAGCCUUUAAAGCCUGGUGUCCUAAGCCUUUAUUGGUUGGGAGUCACCGAUCCUCUGCUUGUUACAUGGGUGAAUUGGUUAAGUGUAGUAAGUGAAAAGAAUUGUGAAUAAGAGGUGCGUUCCUAACCUAUCAAGAGAUGGUUAAUUUUGCUAAACUUAAAGAAAGACUUAGGUUGGGGGGAGAUGAUAGUUAUCCAUACUAUACUCGGAAGCUAAUCACAUUAACACUUAGCUUUUAGUGGAAGAAUUUGAUUUGGAUAUUUUGAGAAUGGAAAUUCUUUUGAUACUUAAACUUGCAUAAUAUCCAUUCUUUGUACUCUAUGAUCAAGUGAAUGCUUUGACAACUCUUAUUAUAGGUUGAGUUUCACAUCUUUAUUGAUCCAUGGAUGUCCAUCAUGCCACUCAUAUCAUUUUUUGGAGUGAUAUGCAUGAUCUCUUUUAUGUAUAUUAUUAUAGUUUACUUAGUUUUUAUCUCCUCCAUUGCUAAGGGACUAGCAAUGAGUCGGUUGGGGGGUGUGAUUACUACCAAAAAGUGCUAUUUUGUAGAUCUAAUUAUAAUGGUUUUAAGCACCUUUGAGUAGUAAUCAUAUUCAUUUAACCCAAUCAAUUCAUUAAGGUCCUUAGUAAUUGGUUUUAACCAUUUUGUGGCAAGUUUACAUGUUUUUAUCAGCUUAUGAAUCGAUUCAAGCAUGCCAAAUGAUGGAGGAGCUACUUGGACAAGUUAAAGCAAGGAUUUUGGAAGUUUACAGGCUUGAAUUUUAAGUGGAAACACGAGCACAAGUAAUGGAGAAGAGGAAAACAGAGUGAAGAAAACAGAGGACAGCAUCUGCAGUUUUAUUUUGCACUUUUGGAGCACUUCCCGAAGUCCAUUUUCUACAUUCUUUAUACCAUUUCAAAUCUCAGGAAGUCAAGAAUCCAAUGCUUCAAACGGUGUGCGAUUCGGAGUUGAAACGAAGGAGUUACAGCCAUUGCAAGCAGAUCACUCCAAGCUGUUUUUGCACGGCUGCGAAAUCAGCCUUUUGUUGCGAGAAUUUCGCAGCCAUUUUGCAUAGUGCACGGGUGUUCUCCUGAAGCUUCCUGAUAGUUGCGACCGACACUUUUAGAUCUUUUCUUCAGAUAUUUUUGUAUAAAUUUCCAUUCUUCUCCUUGUAAGCCACCAACCAUAAGAUUUCUUAAUUAGGAAGGUUGGAAAAACGUCUCUAUAUAUAUUCCCUUGCAUCCACUGUAUAUAAAAAAUAUGUAAUAUCGAUCAAUAUAUAAUAUAUCUACAGAGCACUUGCUCUGUUUUUCAUUCAUAUUCUUGUUUUCAUUUUCAUUUUCAUUUUCUAGCCAACCAAACUCUAAGGAUUUUUCCUCAGAGGAUGAGAGGCUAAGCUCUUUAUCUCUUGGAGUGAAGAAAGCCGGGUAAGUUUCCACAUGCAUAAAUUGGAAGUUUUGUUGUUUUAGUUUUUAAUGAAGAGAAAGUGUGACCCGUUAAUGGUUUUUAUCUUUUUAGUUAACUUAAAACGCCUUUAAAUCACCUGGGCCAACACUUGGUAAGGCAAGUGAUUUCCGUCCAUGGAGAUUCACUAGUUUACCCCUUGCGAGCCUUUGGGAGGUGACUUGAAGGUAGGAUUUUCUAGAAUAGCCAACACUUGGUAAGCUUUUGAACUCCAAGGAGACAUCCAUUAGUUAUCUCUUGCGAGCUUUUGACGGGUAAUCCAAGGUUAAAGAUCACCUUGAAUGGCAAGUGCUAGGUGAGAGGUAUGAGCCAUUGCAUGGUGCAUCAGUGAGAGGGAUUUAGUGUUUGAACCCAUUAAUGGGAAGCAUCUGUACAACACCGGUUGGAGAAGGAACUAUAUGUUAAUUCUCUAAUGCGAGGAAAAGAAACAAGUGACCGGAACUCUCCAUUUUUGUAUGAGGAAUCUGAGCCUAGUGAUCUGAAACUCCAAGAAACAUCUUUUCUUUGUAAGUAAAAUCAGUUACUAUUUUUGGUUAGUUUAAAACCGAACUUUUUCCAUUUAAACAAGUUUAUGUUUUCUUUUAAAGCUAACCUUGAAAUGAAAAGGCACCAAUUCAACUUUGAAUUAAUAUCAUUUGUGAAGUGAAAACUCAUCCUAGUGAACGAUCCUAGAGCCACUAUGCUAUAGUAGCUUUGUCUUUGCUACCCUAGUAUAUGGUGUAAUAGGUUAAAAAUUUUGUUGAUUACUCCCUCAUUCAAGGAGCACCAGCUGGACACAAAUCAGCUGAGACACCAAUUGGGCACGAAUCAUAUGCUCAACCUAUUUAUUGACAAACUACCAAGGGCUAGUGCUAAGGUAAACACCCAGCACUUGCAUCAUACUCUCUCUUCUCUGCCCUCUUUAGUUGUUUUCCAAAGUUCAUAUAUAAUGUCUUUAUCAUUCAAGUUUUCAUUUUCAACCACUUUUUAAACUUUUGUCUUUUUAUGGUUUUUACACGACAAUCCAUUUCUAAGAAAUUAUUGUACUAUAUUUAUAAAUCUUAUCUUUUUGUUCUUAUAGACAAUAGAACAACGUGGUAAUUGCAUGACAUACAAUUUGUAAUAGAUGGUCAACUAUAUAUUAAGUAAUCUUUAAUUGCCUUGGAGUUGAAACGUUUGAUGUUGAUAAGGUUUGAUAAUUCUCGCUUUGGUGCUUUGUUGGAUUUCAAUUCAGGUGAUUAAUUGAUCUUGUUAUAAUUCUUUGAUUGUUAUUAUAACUAUCGUGAUAAUCAUUCUUAUUUUAUUGUGGUAAUUGACUUCACUAACUUUUUAACAAUUAUAUCAUGAGUGAAAUGCCCAACCUAUUAUUGUUAGUAUUCCAUUAACAUACCUCUAAUGCCACCACUAAUAAACAUCAUGUAUUUAUAUUUAUAACACGUUUCAUUACUGAAAUAAUUUAAUAUUUUCAAAUUUCUUUUUAGAGUGUGAGAAAUAACCAUUAAUCUUUACAACAACAUAAGUAUCAUUGAUUUGAUAUUGCUUUCUUGAGUAAUUUGGCAAUUUAAUUAUGAAGUUUAGUUGGACAUUACUUGAGAUUCAUGUCUUAUGUAUAUGGUAUAUUUUCCAAACUUCAAUUAUAUUUAGUAGACUUGUAAGUGGUGUUUGUCUAUGAGUUUCAACUCUUGAAAACUAUUAUUGGAGCCUAAGUUCACUUUCAGUAAGGAAAAAAAAAAAAAACAACCUUUUCCUCAAUUGUGUAAUUUUAUUCACUAUUGACAUGCCCUUAAAUGGCAUUGCUAUUAUUUGUAGGGAACAUUGUCAAGUUCCAUAUUUGUCUAGAAAGUUAGAAGAAGUAUUUAAUUUGACAUGGUUUGGACAUCUUGCUACUAUCUUUUUAAAUUAGUUAUCAAUAAUUUUUCAAAGUUGACCUUUUUGUUUAUCUCAUACUCCUUUUAUAUUAAAAGGUACCGCAUGGGUAUUAUGUAGAGGAAUCAUGCCUUCUUUAAUUGAGGUGAGCCUCUUGCAAAAUAUUUCAGGUUUGCUCUCAUUCCAUUUGUUACUUCAUGUCUAUUUUUUUGUAAUCAAUCAAGCAAGAGUUUCUUACUUGUACAAUGGUAAACUUGCUUGCAUGAAUAAUAAUCUUUUUGCUAUUUUUUUCUUUCUUUAUUAUAUUCAUUGAUACGCUUAGAAGUGAAUAGUGAACCAAGUUUUUUGUUAAAAGAAAUCAAAUAUUGGUAAUUAUUUAGUAUCAUGUUUGUAAUAAUCAAUUAUUGAUUGUAAAGAUACUUGGCUUAAUCAAUUAUUAUAUUGAAAUCAAUUUAGUACUAUGACUAAUACCAAAAGGAUAAUAUUUAGUCUUGUUUGACCAUUAGUCACUAUUCUAGAGACAAAUGCUCACAAGUUUUGCAUCUUUGAAGCAUAUGAGAAAAGUUGGUUCAACUAUAUCACCAACUUACAAGCUCCUUAUAGUGUCCAUAUAUAUAACCUUCGUUGUUCAGGUUUAUGAUUCAUAUCUAAUUUUUUUUUUCAUCUUUUUAUUGUUUAUAAUUUUUUAAUUGAUUUGUUUAUAAAUUUUUAAACUUUAUUGGCAAUACUAAUUUUUUUUUAUUCUCAUGUGCAAUAGAAUAAUAAGUUGAAUAAGAAGCAUAAACUACUUAAUUGGUAUAACCGUUUACUCAAUUCUCUUCUCAGAUAUUUUUGUUCAAGGUAAUCAAAGUAUCAUUCUUUUUAUUUUUAAAGGUACUUGAACUCAGUGAGGACCAUUCCCAAAACACGCAAUCACUACAGUUGGAUUACUGAUAUCAUAUCCUUGAUUGACAUCUAUGCCAUUACAUUUGCAUCUAAAGGAUUUAUGAGGAAAAAAAUAUCUUCUUUAUUUCCAUUUUCCUUCCUUCUUUUGACCAUAAUUUGUGUGCUUAUUGGUAGCAUUCAUACCCUAAUAUAUUUGCUAGCAUAUAUAUGCAUAUCAUAAUCUAUUGAAUUUUUUAGCAUAAGGUCUUAGAGUAUUCACAUAUCUCUAGGUUCUAUAUAUUUAUAAUUUUUACAACAUCAAAUGAAGUAUAUGAACCUUAACCUGAAGGUGAAGUCUCUUUAAAGGGAGUUUCAACAUGUUAGCAAUUACCUAACUUAAUAAUCUAACAAUUUGGAACUCUAUAUAAUUUUGCAACUCUUUCAUAAAGUAAUUGUGUUACCUUUAUUCACAUUUUCUAUCUUUAUUUUUAAAAAAAUGAAUUGGUAAUUGUGUGUCAAAUCUUGCUUACAAUCAUUAAUAGGUACUUAUAUGCUAAAUGGAUAAAGUUAUUUUACAAUUGUUUCAAAAUAUUUGGAAUAUAUAUAUAUAUAUAUAUAUAUAUAUAUAUAUAUAUAUAUAUAUUUAUAGAUGUAAUCACUACCAAGCCAAUGCGAAAAGCUAUAACAAUGAGGAUUACAAAGCUUCAAUUAUGUCUUGGAGACUCAUAUUGACAAGUUGUAAAUGGUGGGUGAAGUCUCUUUAAAAGGAGCUUCAACAUGUUAGCAGUUACCAAACUUAAGAAUCUAACAACUUGGCACUAUAUAUCAUUUUGCAACUCUUUCAUAAAGUAAUUGUGUAACCUCUAUUCACAUUUUCUAUCUUUAUUUAAAAAAAAAAAAAUGAAUUGGUAAUUGUGUGUCGAAUCUUGCUUACAAUCAUUAAUAGGUACUUAUAUGCUAAAUGGAUAAAGUUAUUUUACAAUUGUUUCAACAUAUUUGACACACAAGUACCUAUUAAUAAGUAUAUAUUUAUAGAUGUAAUCAUACCUAGCCAAUGCGAAAAGCUAUAACAAUGAGGAUUACAACGCUUCAAUUAUGUCUUAGAGAUUCAUAUUGACAAGUUGUAAAUGGUGGGUGAAGUCUCUUUAAAAGGAGCUUCAACAUGUUAGCAGUUACCAAACUUAAGAAUCUAAUAGCUUGGCACUAUAUAUCAUUUUCCAACUCUUUCAUAAAGUAAUUGUGUAACCUCUAUUCACAUGCUCUAUCUUUAAUUUUUUUUUUAUAAAAAAAAUUUAAUUGGUAAUUGUGUGUUGAAUCAUUCUUACAAUAUUUAAUAGGUACUUAUACACUAAAUUGAUAAAGUUAUUUUACAAUUGUUUCAACAUGUUCUGAAAACAAAAAAGAUUAAUAAGUAUAUUUUUUCUAGAUGUAAUCACUACCAAGCCAAUGUGAAAAGCUAUAACAAUGAGGCUUACAAAACUUCAAUUAUGUUUUGGAGAUUCAUAUUGAAAGUUGUAGAUUAUGGAUGUAUAGUAUAGGAGUUAGAUUGAGUUUAUCAUUCUAUCUUUGACAUCUUAGUUUUCUAUUUAUUGUCCCUCAUAUAUAUUUGUCAUCUAUUCUUUACAACCAAUUUUUUAAGGACUUCUAUAUUUGUUUAAAUUUAUAUAUAUAUUUUUAUUUGUACUAGAACUUCACCAAGCUACAAAAGCAUCACAAGUUUUGCAAUUGGAGUUCAUGGAUCGGGUAUUUUAGUAGUUUUUGAACUUGAAAUUUUUUAAUGAUACUAAUGAGGAUGUUUACCUUGAUUAAUUUAACACUUAUAUUGCAAAUAUCUAUAUAGGAGUUCUAUACAUUUAUUUAAACAUUUAUAGACAUAUUUAUCCUCUUUCUAGCACAUUCUAAUGAUAUUUUUAACAUUGAUAUAAAUUGUUUGCUUGAAGGUUUCAACUAUUGAAAAUUAUUAUUCAAGCCUAAUGUUAAUCUUUUUCUAUAGUGGAUUUCAAAUAAUAAAUUAUUAUUUGAUUAUUUGUAGGGAAAAUAAACAACUUCUAUGUUUGAUAAGAAAGAAGAUAGAGUAGAUCAAUUUCACAAUAUACGAAUGCUACGCUUUCUAUACUUUUAAAGAUGGUUACAAUUGGCUUUCUAUACUUAACAAGUACAUCUUAGCUAAAAGUGAAAAAAUGUUUCUCUUUGCACAUGCCUUCACUACUAUUUUAAUUGCUAUCUUAAUAUGUUAUGGAAAAACCACGCAAAUAACAAUAAUAAGGAGAAGAAAUAAAAGAACAAAAAUAGAAAACUUAUAAAGUAGGACGAUUUAUGUGGUGUGGCCUAAAACCUACAUUUAUCUGUGAAAAUGAAGAUGAGCUUCCACUAUUAUUAAAGAAGAUUACAAUCCUAAAGCUCUCAAAUCUCAUGAUUACACUAAAAAUGGACUUUUUUUUUUAAAUCAAAAUCUCUUCCUUUAUUUUCUUGAUUAUAUAAGAAUAUUCCAUAGAGAAUUAAUUGUGUAAUUAUCAAAGAUAACUAUUCCUAAAAGAAAAAUCUUAUAAUAUGAUAUUUCCUUUAGAAUAAAAGAAAAAUAUCUUAUAUAAAUAUAUCAUAAUAGGAAAAUAUUAAAGACUUAUAAAUUGACUCAAAACAAUUUGAAAUAUUUUUCAACAAUCUCCACAUUGGCUCAAAUUCUCAAUAUUCAAAUAAACUCAAAAGUCUUCUAUGUUACUUUGCUCUUAUACACCCUUAAGGGAACUUCAAGUAAUAUCAAUACCAAUUAAGUCUAAGCAAUGCAUAAACUUAAUCAUAGAAAUAAGUUUAGCCAUCAUAUCUAUAAAAUUAUCAACUAUAGGGAUCUUUUUCAUUACAUUAGUACCUUGUUCAAUCACAUCUCUAAUAAAAUGCAUUCUAACAUCAAUAUGUUUGGUUCUCUCAUGUAACAUAUGAUUUUUAGUCAAAAGUAUGACACUUGGCUACCAUGAUAACAAUAAUCAAUGAUUGGAACCAAAUAAUUACAUUUUGUGUGCCUAAAAUUAGGCAUUCAUAUUUAAUAUCCAAUUCUAGUUUCAUCCCUUUACUCAAUUUUAUUCCUAAGUCCUUAAUUUUGGGUUUAAUGUAUUUUUUAAAUAUUUUNNNNNNNNNNNNNNNNNNNNNNNNNNNNNNNNNNNNNNNNNNNNNNNNNNNNNNNNNNNNNNNNNNNNNNNNNNNNNNNNNNNNNNNNNNNNNNNNNNNNNNNNNNNNNNNNNNNNNNNNNNNNNNNNNNNNNNNNNNNNNNNNNNNNNNNNNNNNNNNNNNNNNNNNNNNNNNNNNNNNNNNNNNNNNNNNNNNNNNNNNNNNNNNNNNNNNNNNNNNNNNNNNNNNNNNNNNNNNNNNNNNNNNNNNNNNNNNNNNNNNNNNNNNNNNNNNNNNNNNNNNNNNNNNNNNNNNNNNNNNNNNNNNNNNNNNNNNNNNNNNNNNNNNNNNNNNNNNNNNNNNNNNNNNNNNNNNNNNNNNNNNNNNNNNNNNNNNNNNNNNNNNNNNNNNNNNNNNNNNNNNNNNNNNNNNNNNNNNNNNNNNNNNNNNNNNNNNNNNNNNNNNNNNNNNNNNNNNNNNNNNNNNNNNNNNNNNNNNNNNNNNNNNNNNNNNNNNNNNNNNNNNNNNNNNNNNNNNNNNNNNNNNNNNNNNNNNNNNNNNNNNNNNNNNNNNNNNNNNNNNNNNNNNNNNNNNNNNNNNNNNNNNNNNNNNNNNNNNNNNNNNNNNNNNNNNNNNNNNNNNNNNNNNNNNNNNNNNNNNNNNNNNNNNNNNNNNNNNNNNNNNNNNNNNNNNNNNNNNNNNNNNNNNNNNNNNNNNNNNNNNNNNNNNNNNNNNNNNNNNNNNNNNNNNNNNNNNNNNNNNNNNNNNNNNNNNNNNNNNNNNNNNNNNNNNNNNNNNNNNNNNNNNNNNNNNNNNNNNNNNNNNNNNNNNNNNNNNNNNNNNNNNNNNNNNNNNNNNNNNNNNNNNNNNNNNNNNNNNNNNNNNNNNNNNNNNNNNNNNNNNNNNNNNNNNNNNNNNNNNNNNNNNNNNNNNNNNNNNNNNNNNNNNNNNNNNNNNNNNNNNNNNNNNNNNNNNNNNNNNNNNNNNNNNNNNNNNNNNNNNNNNNNNNNNNNNNNNNNNNNNNNNNNNNNNNNNNNNNNNNNNNNNNNNNNNNNNNNNNNNNNNNNNNNNNNNNNNNNNNNNNNNNNNNNNNNNNNNNNNNNNNNNNNNNNNNNNNNNNNNNNNNNNNNNNNNNNNNNNNNNNNNNNNNNNNNNNNNNNNNNNNNNNNNNNNNNNNNNNNNNNNNNNNNNNNNNNNNNNNNNNNNNNNNNNNNNNNNNNNNNNNNNNNNNNNNNNNNNNNNNNNNNNNNNNNNNNNNNNNNNNNNNNNNNNNNNNNNNNNNNNNNNNNNNNNNNNNNNNNNNNNNNNNNNNNNNNNNNNNNNNNNNNNNNNNNNNNNNNNNNNNNNNNNNNNNNNNNNNNNNNNNNNNNNNNNNNNNNNNNNNNNNNNNNNNNNNNNNNNNNNNNNNNNNNNNNNNNNNNNNNNNNNNNNNNNNNNNNNNNNNNNNNNNNNNNNNNNNNNNNNNNNNNNNNNNNNNNNNNNNNNNNNNNNNNNNNNNNNNNNNNNNNNNNNNNNNNNNNNNNNNNNNNNNNNNNNNNNNNNNNNNNNNNNNNNNNNNNNNNNNNNNNNNNNNNNNNNNNNNNNNNNNNNNNNNNNNNNNNNNNNNNNNNNNNNNNNNNNNNNNNNNNNNNNNNNNNNNNNNNNNNNNNNNNNNNNNNNNNNNNNNNNNNNNNNNNNNNNNNNNNNNNNNNNNNNNNNNNNNNNNNNNNNNNNNNNNNNNNNNNNNNNNNNNNNNNNNNNNNNNNNNNNNNNNNNNNNNNNNNNNNNNNNNNNNNNNNNNNNNNNNNNNNNNNNNNNNNNNNNNNNNNNNNNNNNNNNNNNNNNNNNNNNNNNNNNNNNNNNNNNNNNNNNNNNNNNNNNNNNNNNNNNNNNNNNNNNNNNNNNNNNNNNNNNNNNNNNNNNNNNNNNNNNNNNNNNNNNNNNNNNNNNNNNNNNNNNNNNNNNNNNNNNNNNNNNNNNNNNNNNNNNNNNNNNNNNNNNNNNNNNNNNNNNNNNNNNNNNNNNNNNNNNNNNNNNNNNNNNNNNNNNNNNNNNNNNNNNNNNNNNNNNNNNNNNNNNNNNNNNNNNNNNNNNNNNNNNNNNNNNNNNNNNNNNNNNNNNNNNNNNNNNNNNNNNNNNNNNNNNNNNNNNNNNNNNNNNNNNNNNNNNNNNNNNNNNNNNNNNNNNNNNNNNNNNNNNNNNNNNNNNNNNNNNNNNNNNNNNNNNNNNNNNNNNNNNNNNNNNNNNNNNNNNNNNNNNNNNNNNNNNNNNNNNNNNNNNNNNNNNNNNNNNNNNNNNNNNNNNNNNNNNNNNNNNNNNNNNNNNNNNNNNNNNNNNNNNNNNNNNNNNNNNNNNNNNNNNNNNNNNNNNNNNNNNNNNNNNNNNNNNNNNNNNNNNNNNNNNNNNNNNNNNNNNNNNNNNNNNNNNNNNNNNNNNNNNNNNNNNNNNNNNNNNNNNNNNNNNNNNNNNNNNNNNNNNNNNNNNNNNNNNNNNNNNNNNNNNNNNNNNNNNNNNNNNNNNNNNNNNNNNNNNNNNNNNNNNNNNNNNNNNNNNNNNNNNNNNNNNNNNNNNNNNNNNNNNNNNNNNNNNNNNNNNNNNNNNNNNNNNNNNNNNNNNNNNNNNNNNNNNNNNNNNNNNNNNNNNUCAAGCAAGUACCCACAUAUGCAAAGUUUUUGAAGGACUUGUGCACUGUGAAAAGAUGACUCAAUGUUACAAAGCAAGCCUUCCUAUCCGAGCAAGUGAGUGCUAUAAUCCAAUGCAAGUCUCCAAUCAAAUACAAAGAUCCGGGGUGUCCUACAAUCUCAGUCAAUAUUGGAGGAACCCAAGUGGAGAAGGCAUUGCUUGAUUUGGGGGCAAGUGUUAACUUACUUCCAUACUCUGUAUACAAGGAGCUGGGGUUGGGAGAACUCAAGCCAACAUCGAUCACCCUAUCCUUAGUUGACCGAUCAGUGAAAAUCCCCAAGGGGGUAAUAGAGGAUGUAUUGGUUUAAGUUGACAAAUUCUACUAUCCAGUAGAUUUUAUGGUGCUUGAUACGGAUCCCAUUGUCAAAGGGAUCAACUAUGUUCCAAUCAUCCUUGGAAGACCAUUCCUUGCAACAUCCAAUGCAAUAAUCAAUUGUAGGAAUGGGGUCAUGCAACUCACUUUUGGGAAUAUGACAUUGGAACUCAACAUCUUCCAUCUAUGUCAAAAGCACAUCCAUCCUGAAGAAGAUGAGGGCCCAGAAGAAGUGUGUAUGAUAGAUACCCUGGUGGAGGAGCAUUGUAAUCAGAGUAUGCUUGAUCAGUUUGAAGAGAAUCCAAAUGAAAGACAUGAAGAUCUUGAUGAUGGGUUAGCUGAACCCAUGGGAAUGAAUGCCGUUAUGUCAAACUGGAGACAAAAGCCAGUGAUCCUCCCUUUGUUCAAGGAUGAGGAAGAGAUGAAAGAAGCUAAGGAUGCAAUCCUUAAGCUUGAAUUGAAGACCCUUCCUGCCGAGUUGAAGUAUGCUUACUUGGAGGAAGGCAAUAAAGCCCCGGUGGUAAUUUCUUCUUCUUUAACCAUUUCACAAGAGGACAAUCUUCUAAGAAUCCUUAGAAAGCACAAGAAGGCCAUCGGAUGGCAAAUUUCUGAUUUGAAGGGGAUAAGCCCAUUGAUUUGCACGCACCAUAUUUAUAUGGAAGAGGGAGCUAAGCCAACUCGUCAGCCACAGAGGAGAUUGAAUCCUCAUAUGCAAGAGGUAGUAAGGGCUGAAGUGUUGAAGCUUCUUCAAGCGGGCAUCAUUUACCCCAUUUCAGAUAGCACUUGGGUGAGUCCAACCCAAGUUGUUCCAAAGAAGUCUGUGAUAACCAUAGUCAAGGGGAAAAAUGGAGAUGAAGUGUCCACACGCCUCACAACUGGUUGGAGGGUGUGCAUUGACUACAGGAAGCUGAACAUAGUAACGAGAAAGGAUCACUUCCCUUUACCUUUCAUGGAUCAAGUCCUUGAGAGAGUAUCUGGGCAUCCUUUUUAUUGCUUCUUGGAUGGGUAUUCCGGGUAUUUUCAAAUAGAGAUUGAUGUGGAGGACCAGGAGAAGACUACCUUCACUUGUCCAUUCGGCACCUAUGCUUAUAGGCGGAUGCCUUUUGGAUUAUGCAACGCUCCUGCUACCUUCCAAAGAUGCAUGCUUAGCAUCUUCAGUGACAUGGUUGAACGAAUCAUGGAAGUCUUCAUGGAUGACAUCACUGUGUAUGGGACUUCUUUUGAGGAUUGUUUGUCACAUCUUGAAGAUGUUUUGAAAAGAUGCAUAGAGAAAGACCUCGUACUCAAUUAGGAGAAGUGCCAUUUUAUGGUAAAUCAAGGUAUUGUUCUUGGGCACGUAAUCUCAAAGAAGGGUAUAGAGGUAGAUAGAGCUAAGGUGGAACUAAUUGUGAAGUUGCCACCUCCCACCAAUGUAAAAGGAAUAAGGCAAUUCCUUGGGCAUGCCGGGUUCUAUAGGAGGUUUAUAAAGGAUUUUUCCAAGAUUGCCAAACCUCUUUGUGAAUUAUUGGUGAAGGAUGCCAAGUUUGAGUGGGAUGAUAAAUGUCAAAGGAGUUUUGAGCUUCUUAAGCAAUUCUUGACAUCAGCGCCCAUUGUGAGAGCACCAAAUUGGGAGUUGCCAUUUGAAGUGAUGUGUGACUCAAGUGAUUAUGCCAUUGGGGCUGUUUUGGGACAAAGAGAAGAUGGUAAACCUUAUGUGAUCUACUAUGCAAGCAAGUCUUUGAACGAUGCUCAAAGGAAUUACACCACCACUGAGAAGGAAUUACUUGCUGUGGUGUAUGCUUUGGAUAAGUUCAGAGCUUAUUUGAUAGGGUCUUCCAUUGUGGUAUUCACGGAUCAUUCAGCUUUAAAGUAUUUGCUAACCAAGCAAGAUGCCAAGGCUAGGUUGAUUAGGUGGAUACUUUUGCUUCAAGAGUUCAACCUUCAGAUCAGAGAUAAGAAAGGUGUUGAGAAUGUGGUAGCUGACCACUUGUCAAGGCUCAACAUCGCUCAUGACACCCAUGGACUUCCCAUAAAUGAUGAUUUCCCUGAGGAAUCCUUGAUGCUUGUGGAGGAAGUGCCAUGGUUUGCACACAUUGGCAAUUACUUGGUCACGGGAGAAAUACCAAGUGAAUGGAGCUCUCAGGACAAGAAGAAUUUCUUUGCCAAGGUCCAUGCAUAUUAUUGGGAGGAGCCUUUUCUCUUCAAGUAUUGUGCGGACCAAAUUAUAAGGAAGUGUAUGCCUGAACAAGAGAAGCAUGGGAUCCUAUCUCAUUGCCAUGGGAAUGCAUGUGGAGGCCACUUUGCCUCUCAAAAGACGGCAAUGAGAGUUCUUCAAUCGGGCUUUUGGUGGCCCUCACUUUUUAAGGAUGCCCAUGAGGUAAGUAAGGGAUGUGAUAAGUGCCAAAGACUAGGCAAGCUUUCAAGGAGAAACAUGAUGCCUUUGAACCCCAUCUUGAUAGUGGAUCUUUUUUAUGUUUGGGGCAUAGACUUCAUGAGACCUUUCCCUAUGUUUUUUGGCCACUCCUACAUCUUGGUAGGAGUUGAUUAUGUUUCAAAGUGGGUUGAAGCUAUACCCUGUAGAACCAAUGAUCACAAAGUGGUUCUCAAGUUCCUAAAAGAAAACAUCUUCUCGAGGUUUGGAGUGCCUAAAGCAAUCAUCAGUGAUGGAGGCACUCACUUUUUCAACAAGCCCUUUGAAGCUCUUUUGGCCAAGUACGGAAUUAAGCAUAAGGUAGCUAGCUACACCUUAUCAUCCUCAGACGAGUGGCCAAGUAGAGUUAGCCAACCGGGAAAUUAAGAACAUCUUGAUGAAGGUGGUGAACACCAAUAGGAAAGAUUGGUCUGUUAAGCUCCUUGAUUCCCUAUGGGGGUAUAGGACGGCUUAUAAGACAAUCCUUGGGAUGUCACCGUACCAUCUUGUUUAUGGCAAAGCUUGCCAUCUUCCCGUUGAGAUUGAGUUCAAGGCAUGGUGGGCCAUUAAAAAGCUCAACAUGGAUUUAACUAAGGUUGGGCUAAAGAGGAGUUUGGAUUUGAAUGAGCUUGAGGAAUUGAGAAAUGAUGCCUAUUUCAACUCAAAAAUAGCUAAGGAAAAGCUAAAGAGAUGGCAUGAUCAGUUGGUGACCAAGAAAGAAUUUUUCAAGGGACAAAGAGUCUUGCUAUAUGACUUUAAGCUUCACCUAUUUCCGGGAAAGCUCAAAUCAAGGUGGGUAGGGCCUUUUUUCAUCCACCAAGUACACUCACAUGGAGUAAUUGAGUUACUCAACUCAAAAAGUGCAAAGAUCUUCAAGGUAAAUGGGCAAAGACUCAAGCCCUACAUCGAGCCAUUUUCCCGUGACAAGGAGGUACUCAUCCUCCAUGACCCAUCACAUCCUUGAGAAAGUGUGGUAAGUUGAUGAGCUUAGCAUGAAAAGCUAAGUGCUCAUCUCUUUUUGUUUUAAUUUUAGUAUUACAUUCUUGUUUACUUUGCAUUUUUAAUACUUUUGCACAUAUUUUGUUUAGGUUUCUUAGUUUUGAUUUUGAUUUUUUAUGUUUUUAAUGGAGCUUUGAUGUCCAAUAGCAGGUACGAAAGCUCACAAGCUCACAAAUGUGGAGAGAAAGGUGAAAUAGGGGAGAAAUAUAUCUAAGUCCAAGCUUAAAAGCCCAUUUCGCAACUCAAAAAGUGAGUUGCGAAAAUUUGGCAAGGUGAAUUUCACCUUACGAAAUGCACAUUUUGGCAAGAUGCAAUUUACAACCUCUCGGGAUUGCACUUUUGCAAGGAGUAACCAGUGCGAAAAUUUUCGCAAGUCAUUUUUCACCUUGCAAAAUUGUUUUCAAAGCAAAUAUCAAAAUGCAACCUCUCGGGAUUGGUUUUUAAGGGGAGUAGCUAGUGCGAAAAUUUGGCAAGGUGAAUUUUCACCUUGCGAAAUUUUUUCUUCAUGCUUACCAAAGAUUUGAUUCUUUUUAAAUUCAUUUUCAAACUUCAAUUUUAUAGUUUUAACACUCCUCAGUUCAUCCCCGUACUUAGACAAAUUUUCAAAAAAAAAUUUCAUGGCCAAAAACCCUUUUUAAAGCCUUCUCAACUUCAUUUUUCAUGCAUAAAACGCUAUUCCCCUUGCAUUUCCUCUCUAGGCCGCGUGCUUCAUUGUUCCAAGGUGAGUAAUUUUUCAUUUUUCUCCAUUUUUGGCUCUUUAAAUUGCUUGUUUAUAUCAUUUCUAUGUUUUAGGAACCAUAAACAUGCAUUUUCAUCCAUUAAAACCAUUUCAAAAAUCCAUUUUUUCAAAUCAAAGACCCACAUGGCCGGCCACCAUUUUUGCAAAAAUCUCUAUCUUGCAAUGUGUUUUAGGCUCCCAAACUUACUCCAUUGCAUUUAGAAUCAUGUUUCCAUUAAAACCAUACCCUUUUUCUGAAUUUUAAACCGUUAAAAAUGAAAACUCAAAUUCAAAGUAAGCAUUGGAGAAGAAGAUGAAUAGUGCCUGUGAAUAGUGCUGCGUGAAUAGUGCCCGUUGCCAAAUUUAGCAACCACUAUUCAUGCCUUGCAAAUUUUGCACUGGUUACCAUUUCAACUGUAUUUUUGACACUUUACCCCUAGGAUGCUCUAUUUUUCGUGCUUUUCAGUCUUAUUUCAGUAUUUAUACCAUGGCACGGACAUGGGGGGCAUCCUCUUCAGCUAGUCAACGUGGGGCCCACUCACAGAGAGGUGGUCAUUCUACACCAUCUCAGCCUGCCCAAACCCUAGUUCCCUCUACUCAGCAUGGGUACGGGACCAGACGAUCAUCUGGGUCUUCCAGGGCACUAGUGCCACCCCCUAUGAGCAGUCCUCCACCUAAGAGGACUAGGAUUUCAAGACCAGGCGAGUCCUCCAGAGCCCCUCCAUCACCUCCAACAUCUACUAUCCCAGGCUCUUCACACCUAGCAAAGGUCCUCAAGCGGCCUAUGAUAGUAGGGCCACCCCUCCCAGGCAACACGGAGAUUAGAGAUAGGUCAUUUCACGAUGAGAUCUGUAUGGAGCAUAAGACUCUCCGCCUAUUACCAGAGCUAGAGGAGUCAUACCGCCUUCUGCAGAGGUACCACAUCGAGCCAUUUAUGACUCCUAGGUCCUUCUAUUACCCUAGGGUAGUCUUAGAUUUCUACCAGACUAUGACUACUAGAGGCGUCCAGGACCCCAUAGCCAUUCAUUUUUUGAUUGAUGGCCAGCAUGGUAUUUUAGAGGCCCGAGAUAUAGCCGCCACUAUGCAUUUUCCGCCUAUCCCUGAGGACCUUGGUUCCUUCCGGCAUUGGUCUCAGUAUUCAGAGCCCGACAUGGUGUCUACCUUAUUAGGAGGUAGAGUCACUGGUAGGACCAUUUUGAGGAGGGAGCUUCCUCCACGGAUGUUACUUAUCGAUUUGGUGCUCCGCACCAAUCUUUUUCCACUCCAGCAUGUCGUCCAGAGGAGAGGUGCUAUCCUAGAUGCGCUUUACCGCAUCUUUGAGGGAUUCUACUUUGGACCCCACCAUCUAGUUAUGGCUGCUCUUACCUAUUUUGAGGAGAAGGUGCAUAGGAAGCGCCUACGCAGAGCUGGUACUAUUCCACUCUUAUUUCCGAGGCUGAUCUCUCAGGUCUUAGAGGAUAUGGGAUACCCUUCUCAGCCCCACCUAGAGCGUCGUCAUCAUUGUCGAGAGCUCUUUACCAGUGAGAGUUGGACCCAUUUCUUAGACCGCUCACCCAUGGACCAGGGUAUCCCUAGACCAUUAGCUCCCGCGCCUCCAGCUUCUCCAGCGCCUCCCGAUUCUCCAGCAACCUCAGCACCUACAGUACAAACAUCACCAGAGCAAGACCCACAUACCACAGAGCCUUCUUCUUCAGUACCUGCUCCAGUGACUUGUACUACUGAUACUCCCACACCACCAGUCACUCCUGCUCCAGCCUAUGCUGAGUCUUCAGCCGGGCAAUCCAUCACUGUCCCCCACUACAGAGUUCAGAGCUCUCAUGUCGUCCUUUCACUCAUUGAGCGCCUCUCAGGCCACCUUAGUCUGUGAGAUGCAGGCCAUCAGACGACAGAUGGAUACCAUACAGACACAUCAAGCUCAGCAUACAACUAUUCAGGCUCAGCAUACAGCUAUCCUGGACCAGCACUUUGCCAUGCUCUCUCAGAUCCACCAUCACCUGGGCAUAUCACCUCCUCCACCUCAGGAGCCACAUCCAUGAUUGGAUAUUUCUAUCUCCAUUUUGUAUAUGUUUUUUGUAUAUGAUACAUGUUUUAUAUUCUGAGGUUGUAUGUACCUCAUGCUUAUAUCUUGUACUCAACUCUCUCAGUUUAUAUAAGCAUCAUUUUUUGUAUCUUAUUUCCUCUCUCACGUUUCUUAUGGUUUUUGAAUCAUGUGGAUGCACUCACACGCCUUGAAUACCACAUCACCAUAAGGUAUAUCAUUCCUUCCUCGUCUUUUUCGAUAGAAACAUUGGGGACAAUGUUCAUCUCGGUUGGGGGGAGAGUUGAGGAAGUAAGUAUUUCCUAUUUUAGUUAGUUAUUUUGUUGAUUUAGUAGUUUUUGACCUUUUUCAAAUUUUUUUGUUUCAUUCUCUAUGGUUGUUAAAGAUAAUUUCUCAAAAUAAAAUAGGAUAAGUCGAGUUUUAACUUAAUUACUUAAGUCUUAGAGUUUGUUUUAUGCUUUCAAAGUUGAUAAUCUAUUGAAGCCCUCUUUGAUUUCGAACUUAUUUCUUUCAUUUCAAGCUUUACACACACCGUGCACAUUAGAUCCCGGAUAUAUGAUGUAAAACUUUCUCACCCUCUAAGCUUAGGAAAAUUUUGACUUGGUUCAUUACUUAACCUCUUUUUAAUAGUGUUGGGACACCUCAAAAAUACCAAUGAGUUUUAAAAAAAAAAAAAAAAAAAAAAAAAAAAAAAAAAAAAAAAAAAAAAAAAGAAUAAGCUUCUAUUCUUUCCUUGAAACCUAAGCAUGAUCCGAAGGGGUGGCGAAAGCCUUUAAAACCCGAUGCCCUAAACCUUGAUUGGUUGGGAGUCAUUGAUCCUCUGCUUGCUACAUAGGUGAAUUGGUUAAGUUUAGUGAGUAAAAAGAAUUGUGAAUAAGAAGGUGCAUUCCUAACCUAUUAAGAGUUGGUUAAUUUUGCCAAAGUUCGAAAAAAGCUUAGGUUGGGGGGAGAGGAUAGUUGUACAUACUAUAUCCGAAAGCUAAUCUCAUUAAUACUUAGCUCAUUAUGGAAGAGUUUGAUCCGGAACCUUGAGAGUAGAGAUUCUUUUGAUACUUAAUUGCAUAAUCUCCACUCUUUGUACUUUUUGUUUAAGUUUUAGCUUUGACAACUCCUAUUGCAUUUUGAAUCUUCAUAUCUUUANNNNNNNNNNNNNNNNNNNNNNNNNNNNNNNNNNNNNNNNNNNNNNNNNNNNNNNNNNNNNNNNNNNNNNNNNNNNNNNNNNNNNNNNNNNNNNNNNNNNACUAUUUCAAUUGGUUGGUAAAGUUGAGAAAAGCUUCCACCAACCUCGCCAUUAAGUUGUGCUCCUUGCUCCAAUUUCUAAUUUUGCUUCCUACCCUCUUCUGGAGUUAGUGUGGAAAUGACUUUAUACAAGGGAGACGAAGGUUGGUUUUAAGUAAGGUAGCUUAUUUGUAAACUUGUAUUUUCUUUAUUCAGGCGGUAGUUCUCAUUUCUUAGCCUUGAUUUUCAAUUUUGAUCCUCUUGUCUUGUGAUUACUACCGAAAAGUGCUAUUUUGUAGACCUAAUUAUAAGGGUUUUAAGCACCUUUGAGUAGUAAUCAUAUUCAUUUAACCUAAUUAAUUCAUUAAGCUCCUUAGUAAUUAGUUCUAACCAUUUUUAGUGGCAAGUUUACAUGUUUUUCAUCAGCUUAUGAACCAAUUCAAGCAUGCCAAUUGAUGGAGGAGCUACUUGGGCGAGUUAAGCAAGGAUUUUGGACGUUUACAGGCUUGAAUUUCAAGUGGAAACACGAGCACAAGCAAUGGGAACACCAUUUCGCAAGGGGAGGCAAUUCACUUGCCAAAUGACCAAUUUCGCAAGGGGAUUUUCCUCAUGGUGCGAAAUUUGGCCAUUUCGCACCAUGAAGAAACCACCUUGCGAAAUUUGGACCUUUCAUCUUCCCCUUGCAAAAUGCCUUUGAAAUCCUCUGUUUUGAGACGCUGUUGAUGAUAUUCCACUGCCGGUUCUCCAAGAUAUUUUGCUUGACUUUUAGCUUUGUAAAUACCUAUUUUACCCUUGUAAUCAACCAAUGAAAAGGUUGCUUUUGUAAUAGCUCUUGUAAUUUAGCUUUUUAUUGUCUUUAAAUAGAGGUGAAGAGCCUCAGACACGAUCAUCUUGUAACCUGUAACUUUAUAAGUUAUAAGAGCACUUUUGUUCAUACGCUUCUUUUCUCUUUUCUUUCUCAUUUUCUUAGUAGCCAAACAUCCUUGGAGGAUGAAAUCCCCAAGGAUGAGAGGCUAAAACCUUUUAUUUUCUUGAAGUAAUGGAUGCCAUGUGAAGCUCCCGUGUUAGGAUGGAGAUUUCCAAGCCAUAAAUGUAAGUAGCUAAGCGUCAUAAAUGUUUUUAUUCAAAGUAAAGCUUUUAAUCCCUCUGACUUGCUUUGAAUGGCCAAUACUUGAUAACCUUUUGGUCUCAGUGGAUUUUAUUGUUAGAUCCAUUGACGUUCAUUAAUUAUCUCCUACGAGCCAUUGUAUUGCAAGUCAAGGAGAUGACCUAUACCAAUAAAAGAGCAUUUAUGAGGUUCAGCUACCCUUUUUGCAAGUUUUCAAGGACUAAAACUCAGUUGUUAAACUCGUACCGGUUCGGGAAGUAAGCAUCACCUUAGUUACUUCCCCAACUCGAGGUGAAAAGUCCCAAAAUCUCCAUUUUUACACAGUGAGUUAAGCAUGGCAAUCCAAAGCUUUGAGAAACUUCUUUUUCCAUCUUUUAACCUAUUUUCAUGUUAGUUUAGUUUACAACACCUUCAUCUUUUUAUGUUUUCAUCUUAACCUAAUUUUUAUUAAGAAAAGUUCACUCCAUCCUCCGAACUUCACCAGUUAAAGUAAAAACCCUUCCGAAUGUUCGAUCCUAGAGCCACUAUGCUAUAGUAGCUUUGCUACUUUAGUGUAAGGACCUUAGGUAUAAAUUUUGUUGAUACCCUUACAUGCCAAGCUACCAAGAAUCGGGUUAUCAAAUGGUGUCGUUGUCGGGGAAGGUGCUACUUCACUGUGAAUACAUCAGCCGGAGGUAACUUGUGAGACUUCUCAUGAGUGAGGUGAAUUCUAUCUCAUUUUUCAUUUACUAACUUUUUAUUUUAGUUUUAGAACAUUUUUAACUUAGUUUAGAUAAGUUUCUUUUAGCUUUUAACUUUCAUUUUUAGUUUAUUUUUCAUACUCUGUUUUUCUUUCCGCAUGCUCUGUUUUUUUUCUUUUUCUUUGUUUUGUUUAUUUGUUUUGUUCCAGCUGAAUCCGUGCAUGCCCUAUUGGAUUAGAGACCAAGAGGAAAGGUUAAUGUGGAUAGAGACUCCACGAGCUACUGAAUUAGAGAUUAUUUUGGAAGUCAUGGAGAAUCAUCCAGAGGAUCAGCAUUCACAACACGGGCAGGAGAAUGAUCCGAACUUGUAUAGGUCCAUGAGGGACAGGAUGCACCCUCCGAGGAUGAGUACACCAUCUUGCAUCAUUCCUCCUACAGAGCAAUUGAUUAUCAGGCCACACAUCGUGCCUCUACUUCCUCCUUUCCAUGGGAUGGAAAGUGAAAAUCCAUAUGCGCACAUAAAGGAAUUCGAAGAUGUGUGCAAUACUUUUCAAUAAGGGGGAACAACUAUUGAGCUUAUGAGGUUGAAGCUCUUUCCAUUCACAUUAAAGGACCAAGAUAUGGCUCAAUUCCUUGAGGCCGAGAAGCAUAAGAACAUGGACAAAACUUCAAGCUGAUUUUUUGAAGAAGUUUUUCCCUACUCACAGAACAAAUGGAUUGAAGAGACAAAUCUCCAACUUCUCAGCAAGUGAGAAUGAAAAAUUUUAUGAAUGUUGGGAGAGGUAUAUGGAGGUCAUCAAUGCAUGUCCUCACCAUGGCUUUGAUACAUGGCUUUUGGUGAGCUAUUUUUAUGAUGGCAUGUCAACUACAAUGAAGCAGAUAUUGGAGACAAUGUGUGGGGGUGAUUUCAUGAGCAAGAACCCUGAGGAGGCUAUGGAUUUCCUAAGUUAUGUCUCAGAGGUUUCCCGUGGAUGGGAUGAGCCCAAUAACAGAGAAAUGGGGAAGAGACCAGUUCAGCAAAUGUCAAGAGGGGGGAUGUACAAUCUGAGUGAAGACAUGGAGAUGAAAGCCAAGGUAGCUGCCAUGGCUAGAAAAAUAGAGGAAAUGGAGUUGAGAAAAGUUCACGAAGUCCAAGCUAUUUCAGAACCUCAACAACAAGCCAAUCCUUGCUCCAUCUGUCAGUCAUUUGAACAUAUGGUGGAAGAAUGUCCACCAUUCCAGCAGCAAGAGAAAUGUUCGGGGAACAAGCUAACCUGAUUGGCCAAUGGAAGCCAAAUUCAAAUGCUCCCUAUGGCAACACGUACAACUCUAGCUGGAGGAACCACCCAAACAUUUCAUGGAAGCCAAGGCCAAACCCAUAUCAGUCACCAGCCUAAUCAAGCCAACAGAGUCAAGGUCAAUCCUCAGUUGAGCAAGCACUCAUAAACCUUAGCAAGGUUAUGGGUGACUUUGUGAGUGAGCAAAAAUCCAUCAACUCUCAACUAAAUCAGAAGAUUGACAACGUAGAGAGUACAUUGAACAAGAAGAUAGAUGGGAUGCAUGAUGAGUUGUCUCAAAAAAUUGACAACAUCCAAUAUUCCAUCUCAAGGCUCACAAAUUUGAACACUGUCAAUGAGAAAGGGAAGUUUCCCUUUCAGCCUCACCAAAAUCCUAAGGGAAUACAUGAAGUGGAAUCCAAAGAUGAGGAUUCUUCAAAGGUGAGGGACGUGCAAGCUAUUAUCACUUUGAGAAGUGGAAAGGAAGUGCAUCAGCCGGAGCAUGAUCAGAGGAAAGCCAAAGAAGACAAGGCUGAUAGAAAAGAAGAAAAGAAGAAAGAACAAAAGGGAAAGGAAGUUCAGAUGAAAUAAAGCAUGGAUGAGGAACCUCAAAUUCUUUUAAAGGAAGGCAUGAUGAAGAAGCACAUGCCUCCUCCAUUUCCUCAAGCCUUGCAUGGGAAGAAACCGAUCAAGAAUGCUUCUGAGAUUCUUGAUGUGCUAAGACAAGUGAAGGUGAAUAUUCCUUUACUUGAUAUGAUCAAGCAAGUACCCACAUAUGCAAAGUUUUUGAAGGACUUGUGCACUGUGAAAAGAUGACUCAAUGUUACAAAGCAAGCCUUCCUAUCCGAGCAAGUGAGUGCUAUAAUCCAAUGCAAGUCUCCAAUCAAAUACAAAGAUCCGGGGUGUCCUACAAUCUCAGUCAAUAUUGGAGGAACCCAAGUGGAGAAGGCAUUGCUUGAUUUGGGGGCAAGUGUUAACUUACUUCCAUACUCUGUAUACAAGGAGCUGGGGUUGGGAGAACUCAAGCCAACAUCGAUCACCCUAUCCUUNNNNNNNNNNNNNNNNNNNNNNNNNNNNNNNNNNNNNNNNNNNNNNNNNNNNNNNNNNNNNNNNNNNNNNNNNNNNNNNNNNNNNNNNNNNNNNNNNNNNNNNNNNNNNNNNNNNNNNNNNNNNNNNNNNNNNNNNNNNNNNNNNNNNNNNNNNNNNNNNNNNNNNNNNNNNNNNNNNNNNNNNNNNNNNNNNNNNNNNNNNNNNNNNNNNNNNNNNNNNNNNNNNNNNNNNNNNNNNNNNNNNNNNNNNNNNNNNNNNNNNNNNNNNNNNNNNNNNNNNNNNNNNNNNNNNNNNNNNNNNNNNNNNNNNNNNNNNNNNNNNNNNNNNNNNNNNNNNNNNNNNNNNNNNNNNNNNNNNNNNNNNNNNNNNNNNNNNNNNNNNNNNNNNNNNNNNNNNNNNNNNNNNNNNNNNNNNNNNNNNNNNNNNNNNNNNNNNNNNNNNNNNNNNNNNNNNNNNNNNNNNNNNNNNNNNNNNNNNNNNNNNNNNNNNNNNNNNNNNNNNNNNNNNNNNNNNNNNNNNNNNNNNNNNNNNNNNNNNNNNNNNNNNNNNNNNNNNNNNNNNNNNNNNNNNNNNNNNNNNNNNNNNNNNNNNNNNNNNNNNNNNNNNNNNNNNNNNNNNNNNNNNNNNNNNNNNNNNNNNNNNNNNNNNNNNNNNNNNNNNNNNNNNNNNNNNNNNNNNNNNNNNNNNNNNNNNNNNNNNNNNNNNNNNNNNNNNNNNNNNNNNNNNNNNNNNNNNNNNNNNNNNNNNNNNNNNNNNNNNNNNNNNNNNNNNNNNNNNNNNNNNNNNNNNNNNNNNNNNNNNNNNNNNNNNNNNNNNNNNNNNNNNNNNNNNNNNNNNNNNNNNNNNNNNNNNNNNNNNNNNNNNNNNNNNNNNNNNNNNNNNNNNNNNNNNNNNNNNNNNNNNNNNNNNNNNNNNNNNNNNNNNNNNNNNNNNNNNNNNNNNNNNNNNNNNNNNNNNNNNNNNNNNNNNNNNNNNNNNNNNNNNNNNNNNNNNNNNNNNNNNNNNNNNNNNNNNNNNNNNNNNNNNNNNNNNNNNNNNNNNNNNNNNNNNNNNNNNNNNNNNNNNNNNNNNNNNNNNNNNNNNNNNNNNNNNNNNNNNNNNNNNNNNNNNNNNNNNNNNNNNNNNNNNNNNNNNNNNNNNNNNNNNNNNNNNNNNNNNNNNNNNNNNNNNNNNNNNNNNNNNNNNNNNNNNNNNNNNNNNNNNNNNNNNNNNNNNNNNNNNNNNNNNNNNNNNNNNNNNNNNNNNNNNNNNNNNNNNNNNNNNNNNNNNNNNNNNNNNNNNNNNNNNNNNNNNNNNNNNNNNNNNNNNNNNNNNNNNNNNNNNNNNNNNNNNNNNNNNNNNNNNNNNNNNNNNNNNNNNNNNNNNNNNNNNNNNNNNNNNNNNNNNNNNNNNNNNNNNNNNNNNNNNNNNNNNNNNNNNNNNNNNNNNNNNNNNNNNNNNNNNNNNNNNNNNNNNNNNNNNNNNNNNNNNNNNNNNNNNNNNNNNNNNNNNNNNNNNNNNNNNNNNNNNNNNNNNNNNNNNNNNNNNNNNNNNNNNNNNNNNNNNNNNNNNNNNNNNNNNNNNNNNNNNNNNNNNNNNNNNNNNNNNNNNNNNNNNNNNNNNNNNNNNNNNNNNNNNNNNNNNNNNNNNNNNNNNNNNNNNNNNNNNNNNNNNNNNNNNNNNNNNNNNNNNNNNNNNNNNNNNNNNNNNNNNNNNNNNNNNNNNNNNNNNNNNNNNNNNNNNNNNNNNNNNNNNNNNNNNNNNNNNNNNNNNNNNNNNNNNNNNNNNNNNNNNNNNNNNNNNNNNNNNNNNNNNNNNNNNNNNNNNNNNNNNNNNNNNNNNNNNNNNNNNNNNNNNNNNNNNNNNNNNNNNNNNNNNNNNNNNNNNNNNNNNNNNNNNNNNNNNNNNNNNNNNNNNNNNNNNNNNNNNNNNNNNNNNNNNNNNNNNNNNNNNNNNNNNNNNNNNNNNNNNNNNNNNNNNNNNNNNNNNNNNNNNNNNNNNNNNNNNNNNNNNNNNNNNNNNNNNNNNNNNNNNNNNNNNNNNNNNNNNNNNNNNNNNNNNNNNNNNNNNNNNNNNNNNNNNNNNNNNNNNNNNNNNNNNNNNNNNNNNNNNNNNNNNNNNNNNNNNNNNNNNNNNNNNNNNNNNNNNNNNNNNNNNNNNNNNNNNNNNNNNNNNNNNNNNNNNNNNNNNNNNNNNNNNNNNNNNNNNNNNNNNNNNNNNNNNNNNNNNNNNNNNNNNNNNNNNNNNNNNNNNNNNNNNNNNNNNNNNNNNNNNNNNNNNNNNNNNNNNNNNNNNNNNNNNNNNNNNNNNNNNNNNNNNNNNNNNNNNNNNNNNNNNNNNNNNNNNNNNNNNNNNNNNNNNNNNNNNNNNNNNNNNNNNNNNNNNNNNNNNNNNNNNNNNNNNNNNNNNNNNNNNNNNNNNNNNNNNNNNNNNNNNNNNNNNNNNNNNNNNNNNNNNNNNNNNNNNNNNNNNNNNNNNNNNNNNNNNNNNNNNNNNNNNNNNNNNNNNNNNNNNNNNNNNNNNNNNNNNNNNNNNNNNNNNNNNNNNNNNNNNNNNNNNNNNNNNNNNNNNNNNNNNNNNNNNNNNNNNNNNNNNNNNNNNNNNNNNNNNNNNNNNNNNNNNNNNNNNNNNNNNNNNNNNNNNNNNNNNNNNNNNNNNNNNNNNNNNNNNNNNNNNNNNNNNNNNNNNNNNNNNNNNNNNNNNNNNNNNNNNNNNNNNNNNNNNNNNNNNNNNNNNNNNNNNNNNNNNNNNNNNNNNNNNNNNNNNNNNNNNNNNNNNNNNNNNNNNNNNNNNNNNNNNNNNNNNNNNNNNNNNNNNNNNNNNNNNNNNNNNNNNNNNNNNNNNNNNNNNNNNNNNNNNNNNNNNNNNNNNNNNNNNNNNNNNNNNNNNNNNNNNNNNNNNNNNNNNNNNNNNNNNNNNNNNNNNNNNNNNNNNNNNNNNNNNNNNNNNNNNNNNNNNNNNNNNNNNNNNNNNNNNNNNNNNNNNNNNNNNNNNNNNNNNNNNNNNNNNNNNNNNNNNNNNNNNNNNNNNNNNNNNNNNNNNNNNNNNNNNNNNNNNNNNNNNNNNNNNNNNNNNNNNNNNNNNNNNNNNNNNNNNNNNNNNNNNNNNNNNNNNNNNNNNNNNNNNNNNNNNNNNNNNNNNNNNNNNNNNNNNNNNNNNNNNNNNNNNNNNNNNNNNNNNNNNNNNNNNNNNNNNNNNNNNNNNNNNNNNNNNNNNNNNNNNNNNNNNNNNNNNNNNNNNNNNNNNNNNNNNNNNNNNNNNNNNNNNNNNNNNNNNNNNNNNNNNNNNNNNNNNNNNNNNNNNNNNNNNNNNNNNNNNNNNNNNNNNNNNNNNNNNNNNNNNNNNNNNNNNNNNNNNNNNNNNNNNNNNNNNNNNNNNNNNNNNNNNNNNNNNNNNNNNNNNNNNNNNNNNNNNNNNNNNNNNNNNNNNNNNNNNNNNNNNNNNNNNNNNNNNNNNNNNNNNNNNNNNNNNNNNNNNNNNNNNNNNNNNNNNNNNNNNNNNNNNNNNNNNNNNNNNNNNNNNNNNNNNNNNNNNNNNNNNNNNNNNNNNNNNNNNNNNNNNNNNNNNNNNNNNNNNNNNNNNNNNNNNNNNNNNNNNNNNNNNNNNNNNNNNNNNNNNNNNNNNNNNNNNNNNNNNNNNNNNNNNNNNNNNNNNNNNNNNNNNNNNNNNNNNNNNNNNNNNNNNNNNNNNNNNNNNNNNNNNNNNNNNNNNNNNNNNNNNNNNNNNNNNNNNNNNNNNNNNNNNNNNNNNNNNNNNNNNNNNNNNNNNNNNNNNNNNNNNNNNNNNNNNNNNNNNNNNNNNNNNNNNNNNNNNNNNNNNNNNNNNNNNNNNNNNNNNNNNNNNNNNNNNNNNNNNNNNNNNNNNNNNNNNNNNNNNNNNNNNNNNNNNNNNNNNNNNNNNNNNNNNNNNNNNNNNNNNNNNNNNNNNNNNNNNNNNNNNNNNNNNNNNNNNNNNNNNNNNNNNNNNNNNNNNNNNNNNNNNNNNNNNNNNNNNNNNNNNNNNNNNNNNNNNNNNNNNNNNNNNNNNNNNNNNNNNNNNNNNNNNNNNNNNNNNNNNNNNNNNNNNNNNNNNNNNNNNNNNNNNNNNNNNNNNNNNNNNNNNNNNNNNNNNNNNNNNNNNNNNNNNNNNNNNNNNNNNNNNNNNNNNNNNNNNNNNNNNNNNNNNNNNNNNNNNNNNNNNNNNNNNNNNNNNNNNNNNNNNNNNNNNNNNNNNNNNNNNNNNNNNNNNNNNNNNNNNNNNNNNNNNNNNNNNNNNNNNNNNNNNNNNNNNNNNNNNNNNNNNNNNNNNNNNNNNNNNNNNNNNNNNNNNNNNNNNNNNNNNNNNNNNNNNNNNNNNNNNNNNNNNNNNNNNNNNNNNNNNNNNNNNNNNNNNNNNNNNNNNNNNNNNNNNNNNNNNNNNNNNNNNNNNNNNNNNNNNNNNNNNNNNNNNNNNNNNNNNNNNNNNNNNNNNNNNNNNNNNNNNNNNNNNNNNNNNNNNNNNNNNNNNNNNNNNNNNNNNNNNNNNNNNNNNNNNNNNNNNNNNNNNNNNNNNNNNNNNNNNNNNNNNNNNNNNNNNNNNNNNNNNNNNNNNNNNNNNNNNNNNNNNNNNNNNNNNNNNNNNNNNNNNNNNNNNNNNNNNNNNNNNNNNNNNNNNNNNNNNNNNNNNNNNNNNNNNNNNNNNNNNNNNNNNNNNNNNNNNNNNNNNNNNNNNNNNNNNNNNNNNNNNNNNNNNNNNNNNNNNNNNNNNNNNNNNNNNNNNNNNNNNNNNNNNNNNNNNNNNNNNNNNNNNNNNNNNNNNNNNNNNNNNNNNNNNNNNNNNNNNNNNNNNNNNNNNNNNNNNNNNNNNNNNNNNNNNNNNNNNNNNNNNNNNNNNNNNNNNNNNNNNNNNNNNNNNNNNNNNNNNNNNNNNNNNNNNNNNNNNNNNNNNNNNNNNNNNNNNNNNNNNNNNNNNNNNNNNNNNNNNNNNNNNNNNNNNNNNNNNNNNNNNNNNNNNNNNNNNNNNNNNNNNNNNNNNNNNNNNNNNNNNNNNNNNNNNNNNNNNNNNNNNNNNNNNNNNNNNNNNNNNNNNNNNNNNNNNNNNNNNNNNNNNNNNNNNNNNNNNNNNNNNNNNNNNNNNNNNNNNNNNNNNNNNNNNNNNNNNNNNNNNNNNNNNNNNNNNNNNNNNNNNNNNNNNNNNNNNNNNNNNNNNNNNNNNNNNNNNNNNNNNNNNNNNNNNNNNNNNNNNNNNNNNNNNNNNNNNNNNNNNNNNNNNNNNNNNNNNNNNNNNNNNNNNNNNNNNNNNNNNNNNNNNNNNNNNNNNNNNNNNNNNNNNNNNNNNNNNNNNNNNNNNNNNNNNNNNNNNNNNNNNNNNNNNNNNNNNNNNNNNNNNNNNNNNNNNNNNNNNNNNNNNNNNNNNNNNNNNNNNNNNNNNNNNNNNNNNNNNNNNNNNNNNNNNNNNNNNNNNNNNNNNNNNNNNNNNNNNNNNNNNNNNNNNNNNNNNNNNNNNNNNNNNNNNNNNNNNNNNNNNNNNNNNNNNNNNNNNNNNNNNNNNNNNNNNNNNNNNNNNNNNNNNNNNNNNNNNNNNNNNNNNNNNNNNNNNNNNNNNNNNNNNNNNNNNNNNNNNNNNNNNNNNNNNNNNNNNNNNNNNNNNNNNNNNNNNNNNNNNNNNNNNNNNNNNNNNNNNNNNNNNNNNNNNNNNNNNNNNNNNNNNNNNNNNNNNNNNNNNNNNNNNNNNNNNNNNNNNNNNNNNNNNNNNNNNNNNNNNNNNNNNNNNNNNNNNNNNNNNNNNNNNNNNNNNNNNNNNNNNNNNNNNNNNNNNNNNNNNNNNNNNNNNNNNNNNNNNNNNNNNNNNNNNNNNNNNNNNNNNNNNNNNNNNNNNNNNNNNNNNNNNNNNNNNNNNNNNNNNNNNNNNNNNNNNNNNNNNNNNNNNNNNNNNNNNNNNNNNNNNNNNNNNNNNNNNNNNNNNNNNNNNNNNNNNNNNNNNNNNNNNNNNNNNNNNNNNNNNNNNNNNNNNNNNNNNNNNNNNNNNNNNNNNNNNNNNNNNNNNNNNNNNNNNNNNNNNNNNNNNNNNNNNNNNNNNNNNNNNNNNNNNNNNNNNNNNNNNNNNNNNNNNNNNNNNNNNNNNNNNNNNNNNNNNNNNNNNNNNNNNNNNNNNNNNNNNNNNNNNNNNNNNNNNNNNNNNNNNNNNNNNNNNNNNNNNNNNNNNNNNNNNNNNNNNNNNNNNNNNNNNNNNNNNNNNNNNNNNNNNNNNNNNNNNNNNNNNNNNNNNNNNNNNNNNNNNNNNNNNNNNNNNNNNNNNNNNNNNNNNNNNNNNNNNNNNNNNNNNNNNNNNNNNNNNNNNNNNNNNNNNNNNNNNNNNNNNNNNNNNNNNNNNNNNNNNNNNNNNNNNNNNNNNNNNNNNNNNNNNNNNNNNNNNNNNNNNNNNNNNNNNNNNNNNNNNNNNNNNNNNNNNNNNNNNNNNNNNNNNNNNNNNNNNNNNNNNNNNNNNNNNNNNNNNNNNNNNNNNNNNNNNNNNNNNNNNNNNNNNNNNNNNNNNNNNNNNNNNNNNNNNNNNNNNNNNNNNNNNNNNNNNNNNNNNNNNNNNNNNNNNNNNNNNNNNNNNNNNNNNNNNNNNNNNNNNNNNNNNNNNNNNNNNNNNNNNNNNNNNNNNNNNNNNNNNNNNNNNNNNNNNNNNNNNNNNNNNNNNNNNNNNNNNNNNNNNNNNNNNNNNNNNNNNNNNNNNNNNNNNNNNNNNNNNNNNNNNNNNNNNNNNNNNNNNNNNNNNNNNNNNNNNNNNNNNNNNNNNNNNNNNNNNNNNNNNNNNNNNNNNNNNNNNNNNNNNNNNNNNNNNNNNNNNNNNNNNNNNNNNNNNNNNNNNNNNNNNNNNNNNNNNNNNNNNNNNNNNNNNNNNNNNNNNNNNNNNNNNNNNNNNNNNNNNNNNNNNNNNNNNNNNNNNNNNNNNNNNNNNNNNNNNNNNNNNNNNNNNNNNNNNNNNNNNNNNNNNNNNNNNNNNNNNNNNNNNNNNNNNNNNNNNNNNNNNNNNNNNNNNNNNNNNNNNNNNNNNNNNNNNNNNNNNNNNNNNNNNNNNNNNNNNNNNNNNNNNNNNNNNNNNNNNNNNNNNNNNNNNNNNNNNNNNNNNNNNNNNNNNNNNAAAAAAAAAAAAAAAAAAAAAAAAAAAAAAAAAAAAAAAAAGGAAUAAGCUUCUAUUCUUUCCUUGAAACCUAAGCAUGAUCCGAAGGGGUGGCGAAAGCCUUUAAAACCCGAUGCCCUAAACCUUGAUUGGUUGGGAGUCAUUGAUCCUCUGCUUGCUACAUAGGUGAAUUGGUUAAGUUUAGUGAGUAAAAAGAAUUGUGAAUAAGAAGGUGCAUUCCUAACCUAUUAAGAGUUGGUUAAUUUUGCCAAAGUUCGAAAAAAGCUUAGGUUGGGGGGAGAGGAUAGUUGUACAUACUAUAUCCGAAAGCUAAUCUCAUUAAUACUUAGCUCAUUAUGGAAGAGUUUGAUCCGGAACCUUGAGAGUAGAGAUUCUUUUGAUACUUAAUUGCAUAAUCUCCACUCUUUGUACUUUUUGUUUAAGUUUUAGCUUUGACAACUCCUAUUGCAUUUUGAAUCUUCAUAUCUUUAGUUUGCCAUGUGAGAUGUGUUUUGAUAUCAGUCAUGCCACUCAAUUAUUUUUUGGAGUGAUUUGCAUGACCUCUUUUAUGUAUAUUAUUAUGUUUGCUUAGUUUUUAUCUCCUCCAUUGCUAAGGGACUAGCAAUGAGUCGGUUAGGGGGUGUGAUUACUACCGAAAAGUGAUAUUUUGUAGACCUAAUUAUAAGGGUUUUAAGCACCUUUGAGUAGUAAUCAUAUUCAUUUAACCUAAUUAAUUCAUUAAGCUCCUUAGUAAUUAGUUCUAACCAUUUUUAGUGGCAAGUUUACAUGUUUUUCAUCAGCUUAUGAACCAAUUCAAGCAUGCCAAUUGAUGGAGGAGCUACUUGGGCGAGUUAAGCAAGGAUUUUGGACAUUUACAUGCUUGAAUUUCAAGUGGAAACACGAGCACAAGCAAUGGGAACACCAUUUCGCAAGGGGAGGCAAUUCACUUGCCAAAUGACCAAUUUCGCAAGGUGAAUUUCAUCUUGCCAAAAUUUCGCAAGGGGAUUUUCCUCAUGGUGCGAAAUUUGGCCAUUUUGCACCAUGAAGAAACCACCUUGCGAAAUUUGGACCUUUCAUCUUCCCCUUGCGAAAUGCCUUUGAAAUCCCCUGUUUUGAGACGCUGUUGAUGAUAUUCCACUACCGGUUCUCCAAGAUAUUUUGCUUGACUUUUAGCUUUGUAAAUACCUAUUUUACCCUUGUAAUCAACCAAUGAAAAGGUUGCUUUUGUAAUAGCUCUUGUAAUUUAGCUUUUUAUUGUCUUUAAAUAGAGGUGAAGAGCCUCAGACACGAUCAUCUUGUAACCUGUAACUUUAUAAGUUAUAAGAGCACUUUUGUUCAUACGCUUUUUUUCUCUUUUCUUUCUCAUUUUCUUAGUAACCAAACAUCCUUGGAGGAUGAAAUCCCCAAGGAUGAGAGGCUAAAACCUUUUAGUUUCUUGAAGUAAUGGAUGCCAUGUGAAGCUCCCGGGUCAGGAUGGAGAUUUCCAAGCCAUAAAUGUAAGUAAUUGAGCGUCAUAAAUGUUUUCAUUCAAAGUAAAGCUUUUAAUCCCUUUGACUUGCUUUGAAUGGCCAAUACUUGAUAACCUUUUGGUCUCAGUGGAUUCUUAUUGUUAGAUCCACUGACGUUCAUUAGUUAUCUCCUACGAGCCAUUGUAUUGCAAGUCGAGGAGAUGACCUAUACCAAUAAAAGAGCAUUUAUGAGGUUCAGCUACCCUUUUUGCAAGUUUUCAAGGACUAAAACUCAGUUGUUAAACUCAUACCGGUUCGGGAAGUAAGCAUCACCUUAGUUACUUCCCCAACUCGAGGUGAAAAGUCCCAAAAUCUCCAUUUUUACACAGUGAGUUAAGCAUGGCUAUCCAAAGCUUUGAGAAACUUCUUUUUCCAUCUUUUAACCUAUUUUCAUGUUAGUUUAGUUUACAACACCUUCAUCUUUUUAUGUUUUCAUCUUAACCUAAUUUUUAUUAAGAAAAGUUCACUCCAUCCUCCGAACUUCACGAGUUAAAGUAAAAACCCUUUCCAGUAUUCGAUCCUAGAGCCACUAUGCUAUAGUAGCUUUGCUACUUUAGUGUAAGGACCUUAGGUAUAAAUUUUGUUGAUACCCUUACAUGCCAAGCUACCAAGAGUCGGGUUAUCAUCUUGCCACUAUGAGUGUCCAACAUCCAAACCAAGGAAUAAUUUUUAAUAAAAUAUUAAUAUUAAUGUUAAAAUAAAAUCAUAUAUUUAUAUUCCUUAUCACAUUUAUAGGAAGAGAAAUAUUUGGGACUAGGCCCAGUUCACUUUUUAUAAUUAUAAAUAUCAUAAAAAUAUGAAUAUUAAUAUCCUUAUCCUCAUAAAAGCAUAAUUAAUUUAUUUUAUAAAAAAUUAAUAAUAAUAAUAAUAAUUACUAGUACGAUUUUAUUUUAAAUGGAUUUAAAAAUAAAUAAAGUUUAAUUUUUAAGGUAUACAUGCAUAAGUUUUUCAUUACAUAUACACAUUUAAUACUUAAUUAGUAAUAGUGUAUUCUAAAAUUUUUUUAUCUAGUCUAUAACUAAUUAAUCCAUUUUUUGGAAUUCUAAAUUGUUCUUAAAAAUUAAAAUAUUCAUUAAAGAAUUGAAGUGUUUAUUAUGUUUAACUUAAUUUAAAUUUAUUUAUUUAGUGAGAAAAUUCAUAAAAUAUAGUUUUAUGUAUAAAGGAAAUAGUAACGACUUUACAUUUAACGAAUCUUUUAUUUUAUAUUGAUUCAUUUAAUAGUCUAUUAUAUAUAUUUAAAAUUUAUUAAACUCAUUAAUAAAUUCAAUACAAAGUUUUACUUAAUUUGAAAUUCAUCUCUCUAGUGAAAAAAUUGAAAAAAUAUUAUUUUGUGAAAAAAAAAUACAAUAAAAUCAUUCUAAACUAAUUUUUAUCCAUAGAUUUUUUGUAUUUAUUAGUUUAUUAUUUGAUUUUUAAAUUAAUUUAAAAAAUUAUUGGACUUAUUAAUGAAUCCAAUACAUUAUUUUUUUGUUUAAUUUAUUUAUCACACUAUCAAACAAACUUUUAUUAUUUAGUAAAAGACCUCUCAAAAGAUGUUUUUUUUUCUAAAUAAAAAAAAAUAAUAUUCUAAACGAUGUUUGAUUCGAGAGUUUUUUAAAAAUAAAAAUUAUUUUAAAUUAUGUGUACAUAAUUGUUUCAAAUUUAUUUCUUUUUUCCAUUACCAUUUUCAUUCCUACCUAACAUUGAAAUGGAAACAAAUAAUCAAUCAAACCUUACAUUUAUUCCUAAUCCAAUGACAAGAAUUGGUAUCACCAAAUUCAUUCCAUUCUCUAGUCUCAUGUAUCAAAAAUAGUCAUAUAGUACCAAAAACUUCUUCUAAGUAAUGUGGGAUAUCACAUUCACUUUCAUACAGAUACAAUUUUUAUUGUAUCACAUGGAAUUGUGAGGCCUUUUAGUACCAUUUGUAAUGACUCACCUCCAAUUAUAUAAAUAUUAUUUGGUCUAAGUCCAAUGGACUCUAAUCGGUUUUAAAACUUGGCUAUACUGUUAAGAGAAGUCUACUAUGUAUACAAUCUUCUCCUAAUAAACAUGUGACAUAACAAAUGGUGGGACUCAAACUAAAGCAAGGCCGUUUCAAACUGUCUACCAUCUUAGUUUCAGCAUGAAUUCAGUUUGUUCCAAACAACAUAACUCUGGAGUAUUUUAAACAAACGAUUUCCAUUGAAAACACAUUAUUAAAGUAUAAGGAAAACAAACCCGAUCUUCAAGCGGUUCUGGGGAUUGCUUGUGGAAGAGUAGUGAAAUAAAAAUAUCCACUAAGUGUAUAAGGACCCAAGAUCAACACAUGCAACAGGAUAUCUAAUUCCUCCUAAUAUCAUCAGCAUGAAGAAAAUUGGCAUCAUUUCCAUUGAGUUCUGAUGCCCUCUCUGAAAAAAAAAUAAAUGCAAAACAUUUGUUUUUUCUAAUCAUCGGUCAUUGACUCAUGCCCAAUUGGUGUCUCAGCUGAUUUGUGUUCAGCUGGUGCUCCUUGAUUGAGGAAGUGAUCAACAAAAUUUAUACCUAUAACACCAUACACUAGGGUAGCAAAUAAAAAGCUACUAUAGUAUAGUGGCUCUAGGAUCGUUCACUGGGAAUGAUUAAAUUAACAAGCAGUCAAGGAUACCAAUUCCAAGUGAAUUGGUCUCGUUUCAUUUCACGGUUAGCUUAAGAAAUAAAACACAAACUUUGAUUGGUAAAGGUUGAGACUUAAACUAACUAACUUAACAGAAGUCUGGAAUAAUUUAGGAAGAAAAACAUUCCUUGGAGAUUUAGGUUCACUGGGGUGGUUCCUCAUGCAAAAGACAUAGCUCCGGUCAGAUGGUUCAUUUCCUCGCAUUAGAGAUUCAACUUAGAGUCAAUUCUCUAAUCGGUGAUGUACAGAGACUCCUUCAAUUAGAUUUCACUUUAAUUCUCUCACUGAUACAACUUGCAAUGGUUCAUGCCUCUCACGAGCACUUACCAUUCAAGGUGAUCUUUAACCUUGGACUUCCCUUCACAAACUCGCAAGAGAUAACUAAUGGAUGUCUCCUAAGAGUCCAAAAGCUUACCAAGUGUUGGUAAUUCCAGAAAAUCCUACCUUGAAGUCACCUACCAGAGGCUCGCAAGGGGUAAACUAGUGCAUUUCCAUGGUUGGAAAUCACUUGCCUUACCAAGUGUUGGCCUAGGUGACUCUAAGGUGUUUUAAGUUAACUAAAAAUAUUGAAAUCACUAAAGGAUUUCACUUCCUCUUCAUUACUAGCUAAAACCACAGAGCUUAGCAUUCUUGCACUUGGAACCUUCCCCGGCAACCUUAGCUCCAAGGAAUUGGAGGUUUAGUUACUCAUUCUCUGGGGAAAACUCCUCAGAGAAUUCAUAACUUAGAAAUAAAAUGAAAAUACAAAGUGAGAAGGUAAGGUAGUAGAAAGAAAAUAGACUUUACUUGCUUACCAAACGGUUAUAGAAGGAAUUCCUCCCUGAGAACAGGCUCCCGAGAGGUAUAUAUAUCAAAACAAUAUAAAACUAAUUGUUACAGAGAUAUUUGGUCUUUUUUACUAACUUAAAAACUAAGGAAUCAUGUAAUUGGUGGUUUACAAGGAGUAUUUUGGGAUUUAGACAACAAAAAUCUAAUGGAAAAUAUCUCCCAAUGUCGGUAGCAAGCUUCGGGAGGCUUCAGGAACCAUUUCGCAGGAGUAAAAUGGUGUCUGCGAAAUUUCGCAGACACCCAAGAGGGCUGCGAAAUUAUUUCGCAACACCGAGCUAUCUUCAUAGGGCUGCGAAGUUGGCUUCCACCUUGAGGUUCCCAGCUCCCUUCUCGCGGCAUGGUUCGUGAAUCGUCAGAAGGAGAAACACCUUACUGUACAAAAGUGCUGCGAAAUUCUCGCAACAAAAGGUUGAUUCCGCAACACUUUAGAGUGAUUGACUUGUAAUGGCUGCAACUUCUUCGUUUCAAAUCCGAAUUGCGCACCGUUUCAAGCAUUGGAUUGUUGACUUCCUGAGCUUUGAAAUGGUAUAAAGCAUGCAUCAUUUGGACUUCAGAAAGUGCUCUAAAAGUGGCUGCUACGACUGUCAUCAAGAAUAGGCUUCAUGGCAGAUUCUCUUUGCUUUUUCUCCUUGCAAUCCGGAUUCACUCUUGGCAAAUGAAUUCUAAGCUUUGCCCAAGAUUCCUCAUAGCUCUCCUCAGACUUGACUUGCUUUGGUGAUCAAAAUACUAGCAAAAACACCAAAACUUACACAAAGUGAUCAAAAUUGCUUUAAAGGAUCCUUAACAUGCCAAUUGAGUUAAAAUGCCUAAACUACUACUCAAAAGUGUUUAAAAGGAUUAAUUAUAGGCUAUCAAAUAGUACUUUUUGAGUAGUAAUCACUCCCCCCAACCGACAUAUUGCUAGUCCCUUAGCAAUAUAGGAGAGAAAAAUGAAAAUAAAUAGCUAAUUAUACUAAAAUUUACAACAUCAUGCUAAAGGAAAAUAAUUCUCAAGUGGCAUGAUGAUCUAUUUCUCACAUGAAGCAUUGAAGAAAUACAAACCCAAAUCUCAACAAGAGUCAUAACAACUAUGCUAAACACUGUCAAUCAAGGGAGUGCAUUAUGCAAACUGAAGUUUUAAAAUCAUUUCCCCUUUCAAAGAACUAAACUUCAAUCUUCCACAAAAAUCUAUGUGUAUUGGCUCCUUAGGUUCCGAGAAUAAUAUGCUAAACUAGCCUUUCCCCCCAACCUAUCUCUUUUCAACACUUUAGCAAACUGACCAAAAUCAAUAAGAAAAUAACACACUUUCAUCAUUCUUUUUUUUUUUUUUUUUUUUUUUUUUUUUCAGGGCAGCUUUAUGGGGUACUCUUUCUGACUUGUCCAUGUAAUGGGGGUCCAUCGAUGACUCCCAACCAAUUAAGGUUUAGGGCACCAAGUUUUAAGGAUCUUUCAACCACUAACUACUCGGAUUUUUCCCCGGACUUUUAAGAAUGAGUUUCUAAUACCCAAGCAUCUACCAUAUGCUAACUCUACCUAUUCACCCAUAUAACGAGCAUUGAGGUCGGUGACUCCCAACCAAUUAAGGCUUAGGGCACCAGGCUUUAAAGGCUUUCACCAUAUGCCCCUCAGACCUUGCUCGGGUUUCAAGGCAAGCAAACAACUUUCUUUAUUUCAAAGGCUCAUUGGCCUUUUGCAGGGUGUUUCAAUUUUUAUCAAAUGAGGUCAAAUAUACCAAGUCCCAAAAUUAUCCUAAGUCAAGAGGGAAAUAGCUUUUCAUCUUAUAAUCGGAAUCUAAUGUGCACAGUGUGUGGAUAGCUUAAAGUGGAAGAACUCAAUUCAAUUUCAGUAGAAGUUUCAACAAUUGGACCACUUUAGGAAGCAUAAUCCAUACUCUAAGUCAAGUGAAAAACAACAGUUCAAUUUCUCUUGGUUUAAUUUGAAAAUUUUUCUCAAAAUUCAUGGAGAAUAGAGUAACACUAGUAAAAAGUAAAAACUACAACUAAUUAACCAAUAUAAUUGCAAUACCAAAAAGGUUUAGACUACUUCCUUCCUCAUACCCCCCAACCGAACUGAGCAUUGUCCUCAAUGUGAUUUGAGUGACUGUAAUAAAAGGGAGGAAGUGGUACCUCCAUGCUGAUAUCAAAUUCGAAUAUUGAUUGGGGAAAACCACAUGUUUCAAAAGGAAUAGAAUAUGUGAGAAAAGGAAAUAAGGAAACUUUAAUGCUAACUUUUAACAAGAAAAAUUCAACUUGUAUUACUUUGAGUUCAUUUGAUUACAAUGCUAAAGACAAGUAACACAAGGAAUCCCAUAUAUAGUACCAAAAUACUGGGAUUUCAUUUCAACUAAAACAAAACAAACAUAAAAACAUAAAUAGCAAAUAUAUAUAAUGUCUGAUGAGUAGGGUGAUGGUGCUAAGCAGAAGGAUCUGCCUCUUCAGUAGGUGGAUCAGCUGGUGCUUCAGGCUCUGGAGGAUGAGACUCUGAAGGCUGAGAGUGUGGCUCUGGUGGAGUAGGAAUGGAGGGCUCUACAGCUUGUGGCAGAUCGAAAUGGACUUGGAGCUGCCUUAGGAUGGCAGCUUGUUGAGCCUGAGAGGCUAACAUCUGCUCCUGGCAUGCUUUAAUGGCUGCCAACUCCUGAGCAAGAUUGCUCUGAGAAGCUGUAAGAGUCUCCAAUGCACGGCACAGCUCUCGAUAUUCGGAUAUAGGGAUGGCCAUCCUCGGCUCAGCUGAUGUGGAUGGCUGUGAUGGAGUAGGUGCAGCUGGUGAAGCUCGAGGGAUGGCAGGAGUAGCAAGUGUUAUACCUUCAGGUAUAUGUCUUGGGGAGGCUCUCCUUGCUGCUGGUUGAGGCUGCCCAGGCUGAUCAACUUUGUAGGCCGUCAUAUUAUUCCAUUUAUCAAGGGUAAAUGGCUCACGGCAUAUUCUCUUUCUUUCCUGCUGAGGCUCAGAGGGGUAUCCGAGAUGCUCCAAAACUUGGCAUAGCAACCUUGGGAAGAGGAGUGGAAUGCAAUCUGCUCUUUGAAGCUUCUUCUUGUGAACCUUCUCCUCAAAGUAUAGAAGGGCUGCCAUGAUAAGAUGAUGAGGCCCAAAAAAGAAUCCUUCUGACAUCUUGUACAAGGCUUCCAGGAGAAUUCCCCUUCUUUGGGUCCAAUGCUGCAGGGGAUAGAUAUUAUGCCUCAAAAAGGCAUCAAUAAAAAACAUCACUGGAGGUAGCUCCCCCCUCAACAGGUGUGACCGAUUUGCAGCUCCUCUAGUUAGGGUGCGAACCAUCUCUAACUCAAUAGGAUUUGCCCAAGCUUUAAAAUUGUCGAAUUGGGUUGGCUCAAAAGGAAUUUGCAGGGCUUCAGCAAUAUGUCUUGCUCCCAAAAUUCCAUGUCUUCCAUCAAUUGUGAAAUGGAUCAGAGUUGGAUUUCUUACCUCUUUGGUUGUCAUGGACUGGUAGAAAUCAGUGACUACCCGGGGAUAGAAAAAAUCCCUUGGAGCUAGCAGAUGCUCCAUAUGAUAUCUCCUCAGCAGCUGGAAGGAUUGGGCAAGCUCUGGCCUCACUCUAAAUGCUGUUAAAUCGAAACAAAGCUCAAAAUGGAAUGCCCGAGUUCGACAAUCCAAGUUUCCUUCGAUUGGGGGCUGAGGCAGCAUUGGCCUCCUAAUCACUUCUUCCAGAGGUGCUUCAGCUGCAAUUUGGGGCUCUGGAAUUGGCGCUUGAGGCUCCUGAGCUUUUUCUUGGGGUUCCGGAGAUGGUACCGGCGAUGGAAUUGGCAGGGGACUCAGCGAGGGAAUUGGCGAGGGAACCGGUGACGGCACUGGAAUUUGUACCGGUGAAGGAUUUGGUGAAGAUACCGGAGAUUGAACCGGUGUUAGCUUUGGGGAUUUCUCAGGGGAUUGCUCAGUCAAAUCAAUUGGUUCAGAGCUCUCAACCCUGGGCUUCUUCUUCAAUGGCCGACCGCCUGACCUUGUUAAAUAUCGCCUUGCCGGCGGCUUUGGUGGCGCCGGCUUCACUAGAGAAGGUUUUGGUCUCGAGGGCGAAGGCUUUGGAGCAGGUUCUGGAACAGAACCUGGGCUUGGCUCCUUUCGCAGACUCCUUUUGCGGUUCGAAGGGGAUGAAGACUUUGCCCCUCGCGUUCGUGCCAUUUUGGGCUAUCGAUCUUUGGCCGGCGCUGCUGAACGGAGAAGACGACCGGAGGCUUGGACGGCGAAGCUUGGUGAAGAAGACGAAGGGGCUGCGAGAAUGGUGCUCUGAUUUUUGAAACCCUUUUCGCAGCACUUUUGAUCGGUAUAAAUAGGAAAAACGGAAGCCCAAGGAUCAGUUUAAGUUUCGCAACAAAACGCCAAUUUCGCAGCAACUUGCCAUUUUCGCAGCAACUUCGCAGAGAGUUUCGCAGCUGCGAAAUUGAUGUUACUGUGCUGCGGAGUGGCACUUGUGUGCCAAAUCCACUUUCGCAAUUGCGAAAUACCCUGCGGAAUGGGACUUUUGGUGCGAAAUCACGCAUUUCCACUUCGCAAUGGGUUUCGCAGCUGCCAAAUGGAUGCUACUGUACUGCGAAGUGGCACUCGUGUGCCAAAUUCACUUUCGCAGCUGCGAAAUACACUCACAGAGGCUUCUACAGUGCUGCGGAGUGGUUUGGCAACAAAAAUCACAUUUCGCAGAAGUUUCCUUCUCUCUGCGAAAUUUCGCAGAGCUCUGUUUUUCCCCUGUUUUUGCUCUGUUUCGGCUCCAAUUUCGGCCCGAUUUUUUUUCUUUUCAAUCCCCUUGAAAUUUCUUCCACCUGGGAUCAUUUAAAACAAUUAAAACACAUCUAAAAACAUGAUUUAAGAUCAAAAACUAAGAUCAAAAGUAUGGAAACAACUUGAAAAUUUACAAAAUUUACAAAAAUUUUGGACUGUGGUUAAACCACGUCCAGCAAACCCUUUUUCACUUGGUUUUUUGAGGCUCAAGGAGGUUGAUUGCCUCCUUUUUUGAUUUGAAUGACUCCAUGAACGGCUUAAGACGAUAUCCAUUGACUCUAAAGCUGUCCUUGCCAUUGGAAUUCAAUAAGUCCACCACUCCAUUGGAAUAUACUCGGUGAAUAACAAAUGGACCAAUCCACCUUGAUUUGAGCUUCCCAGGAAAGAUAUGGAGUCUUGUGUCAUACAUCAAAACUUUUUGCCCUUCCUGAAAUUCCUUAUUGGAAAUGAGUUGAUCAUGCCACUUCUUCAUCCUCUGUUUUGCAACUUUGGAGUUGAUAUAAGCAUUAUUUCUUAAUUCCUCCAUCUCAUUAAGGUCUAGAAAUCUCUUUUCUCCGGCCUUGAUCAAGUCCAUAUUCAGCUUCUUUAUUGCCCACCAAGCCUUGUAUUCAACUUCCACAGGGAGGUGGCAUGCUUUACCAUAGACAAGACGAUAGGGAGACAUCCCAAGAAUAGUCUUAUAAGUUGUUCUAUAUGCCCACAAUGAAUCAUGAAGCCUAAUAGACCAAUCUUUUCUGUUGGAAUUCACCACUUUCAUCAAGAUGUUCUUUAUUUCCCUGUUAGCUAGCUCAACUUGCCCGGAAGUCUGAGGAUGAUAAGGUGUGGCCACCUUAUGCUUCACUCCAUACUUGGAUAACAGAGCUUCAAAAGGUUUGUUGCAAAAAUGAGCACCUCCAUCACUGAUUAUGGCCUUGGGCACCCCAAAUCUUGAGAAAAUGUUCUCUUUAAGAAACUUGAGAACCACCCUGUGAUCAUUUUGUUUACAGGGGAUUGCCUCAACCCAUUUAGAAACAUAAUCUACCCCCACCAAAAUGUAAGAAUUACCAAAAGACAUUGGGAAAGGUCCCAUGAAUUCAAUGCCCCAUACAUCAAAUAUCUCAACUAUCAGAAUGGGGUUCAUAGGCAUUUGAUUUCUUUUUGUUAGCUUUCCAAGCCUUUGGCAUCUAUCACAAUUUUUACACAUGAUGUGGGCAUCUUUGAAAAGAGAGGGCCAAGUAAACCCUGACUGCAAUACCUUCAUGGCUGUUUUCUGAGAGGCAAAGUGGCCUCCACAUGCAUUCUCAUGACAAUGAGAUAGAAUCCCUUGCUGCUCAUCUUCAGGGACACAUUUUCUAAUAAUCUGAUCUGCACAAUACUUAAAAAGAAAGGGCUCUUCCCAAUAAUAAGAAUGAAUUUUGGCGAAGAAGUGCUUCCUGUCCUGUGCAUUCCACUCACUUGGAAUUUCACCAGUUACUAAAUAAUUAGCAAUAUGAGCAUACCAAGGAGUUUUCACUAGGAACAUGAGUGAUUCUUCAGGAAAAUCAUCAUUGAUAGGCAAGGGAUGGGAAUUAUGUGCUAUAACUAACCUUGACAAGUGGUCAGCUACUACAUUUUCCACACCUUUCUUAUCUUUGAUUUGAAGAUCGAAUUCUUGUAACAAAAGAAUCCAUCUAAUCAACCUUGCUUUUGCAUCUUGCUUUGUCAAUAAAUACUUCAAGGCUGAAUGGUCAGUAAACACAAUGAUGAAAGACCCCACUAAAUAAGCUCGAAAUUUGUCCAAAGCAAAUACCACAGCUAACAAUUCUUUCUCUGUAGUUGUGUAGUUCCUCUGAGCUUCAUUUAGUGUUUUACUUGCAUAGUAAAUCACAUAGGGCUUCCCAUCUUCUCUUUGGCCAAGCACAGCUCCUAUAGCAAAGUCACUGGCAUCACACAUUAGUUCAAAAGGUAAUUGCCAGUUAGGGGCUCUUACUAUUGGAGUUGUUGUUAGAAACUUCUUCAGUUGAUCAAAGCUAUGCUGACACCUUUCAUCCCAUAUAAACUUAGUAUCCUUAGCUAACAAAUCACAAAGAGGUUUUGAAAGACUUGAAAAACCUUUUAUAAACCUCCUAUAGAAUCCUGCAUGGCCAAGGAACUGCCUUACUCCUUUCACAGUUGUUGGAGAUGGUAAUUUGGCAAUAAGCUCCACCUUUGCUUUAUCAACUUCAAUGCCUCUUUCAGAGAUGAUAUGGCCAAGGACAAUUCCUUGACGUACCAUAAAAUGGCAUUUCUCCCAAUUCAGCACCAAAUCUUUUUCAAUGCAUCUAUGAAGAACUGCUUCCAAAUUAACCAAGCAUUCCUCAAAUGUACCUCCAUAUACGGUGAUGUCAUCCAUGAAAACUUCCAUAAUUCUCUCCACCAUAUCACUGAAAAUACUCAACAUGCAUCUUUGAAAAGUAGCAGGUGCAUUGCAUAACCCAAAAGGCAUUCUUCUAUAAGCAAAUGUUCCAAAUGGACAUGUAAAAGUGGUCUUUUCUUGAUCUGCCAAAUCAAUUUCAAUCUGAAAAUACCCUGAAUACCCAUCCAAGAAACAAUAGAAUGGAUGUCCAGAGACUCUCUCCAGCACUUGGUCAAUAAAUGGCAAUGGAAAAUGAUCCUUCCUGGUGACAGCAUUCAGCUUUCUAUAAUCAAUACACACCCUCCAACCUGAAGUGAGGCGUGUAGUAAUUUCUUCCCCUUUUUCAUUCUGAAUCACUAUGAUCCCUGACUUCUUUGGUACCACUUGAGUAGGACUCACCCAAGGGCUAUCAGAAAUAGGGUAAAUGAUUCCUGCUUGAAGUAGCUUCAGCACCUCAGCUCGCACCACCUCUUGUAGAUGAGGAUUCAACCUUCUUUGAAAUUGACGAAUUGGCUUUGCUUCCUCCUCCAUAUAUAUAUGAUGAGUACAAACUAAAGGACUAAUGCCUUUCAAAUCAGAUAUUUGCCAUCCUAUUGCCUUCUUACACCUCUUAAGAACUUCCAUUAAACCAUCCUCUUGAUGACUGGUCAGAGAUGAGGAUAUCACAACAGGACAUUGAUUAUUUGCUUCAAGAUAUGUAUAUUUCAGCUCCAUAGGUAAAGGCUUCAGAUUGAGUUUUGGAAUUUCUUUUUCAACAGCUGCCUCCUCUUCUUCAUUGAACAGAGGUAGAAUUCCUUCUAUCUUUCUCCAACUUUGUAGAGUAGCAAGCCCAAUAGGAGAUUCAGAAAAACCUUCCUCAAUAUCCUCAAGACUUUCAUUCAACUUGUCUUGCAUAUUUUGAUUGCAGUGCUCCUCUACCAAAGUAUCAAUUAUACAUAACUCUUCUGGACCUUCUUCUUCUUCCGGAGUGAUUUGCUUUUUAGACAUAUAGAAAAUAUUGAGAUCCAAUGUCAUAUUACCAAAAGUGAGUUGCAUAAGCCCAUUUCUACAGUUGAUGAUUGCAUUUGAAGUUGCAAGAAAUGGCCUUCCAAGGAUGAUAGGAACUAAAUUAGCUUCCUUUACAGUAGGAUCUGUAUCAAGAACAAUAAAAUCUACUGGAUAGUAGAAAUUAUCCACUUGAACCAAUACAUCCUCAAUUACCCCUCUUGGAAUUUUCACUGAUCUAUCUGCCAGAGAUAAAGUGAUUGCUGUUGGCUUCAACUCUCCAAGGCCCAAUUGCUUGUAGACAGAAUAUGGACGCAAAUUCACACUUGCUCCCAAGUCUAACAAGGCUUUCUCCACUACCUUUCCUCCAAUCAUGACUGAAAUGGUAGGACUUCCAGGGUCUUUGUACUUCAAAGGAGACUUGCAUUGUAAGAUUGCACUUACUUGCUCAGUCAAGAAGGCUUUCUUGUUUACAAUCAACCCUCUUUUGAUAGUACACAAGUCCUUAAGGAAUUUUGCAUAUGUUGGAACUUGUUUGAUCAUAUCCAGCAGUGGAAUAUUAACUUUCACUUGCCUCAAGACUUCAAGGAUUUCAGCUGCAUUUCUAACCCCCUUUUUCCCCUAUAAUGCUUGAGGAAAAGGUGGAGAAGUUGAUUUCUUCAGCAUUUCUUCCUUCAGAAGCUCCUUCUCUGGAAUUACUUUCAUUGUUGCAUCAGAGUCCUUCUUUUCGUCACUGAUCUCACUGCCUUUAUCUUCCAUUUCCUUCCCUUUCUUCAUCUCUUCUUCUUUCUCAACAUGUGGCUUGGGUGUUGGCUGCUCAAUUUUCUUACCACUCCUUAGAGUGAUCAAGGCCUUCACAUCUUUCACCUGUGAUGAUUCUCCCUCAUGGCUUUCCACUUCAUGGACACCUUUGGGAUUUUGGUGAGGUUGAGAAGGAAAUCUUCCCUUUUCUUGCAGUGUAUUCAAAUUUGUAAGCCUUGAAAUUGAAUAUUGGAUGUUAUCAAAUUUUUGGUUCAUAUCAUUUUGCAUUCCAUCCAUCCUUUUAUUCAUCAUACUCUCCACUCUAUCAAUCCUUUGAUCGAGUCGAGCAUUAGUGGCUUCUUGCUUUUCAAUAAAAUCUCCCAUUACCUUGCUGAGAUUGGCUAUUGCUUGUUCAAUACUUGAAGAUUGCUGAGAUGGUGGAUCCGGCUGUUGGUAUUGAGUUGCUCUAGCCUUCCAUGAGAAAUUUGGAUGAUUCCUCCAACUUGAAUUGUAGGUAUUUCCAUAUGGCGCAUUGUUAUUGGGCCUGAAUUGUCCAACAACAUUUGCUUGAUCUCUAUACAUUUCUCUUUCAGCUGAAAUUGCAGGGCAUUCCUCCACCAAAUGUUCAAAUGAUUGACAAUUGGGACACAGCUUCACUUGCACUGGUGCUUCAGCAACAGCUUGCACUUCAUGUAUUUUUUUCAGCUCCAGCUCCUCCAAUCUUCUUGUCAUAGCUGCCAACUUUGCCUUCAUAUCAUCAUCUUCUUUCAAAGUGUACAUCCCAGCCUUUGCAUUGUAAGCAUUCAACUGAGACUUCAUCUUUCCCACUUCUCCUUUAGUUGGUUCAUCCCAUCCCCUUGAAACAUCAGCUACAUAGCUCAAGAAAUCCAUAGCUUCCUCUGGAUUUUUGCUCAUGAAAUCUCCUCCACACAUUGUCUCGAGGAGUUGCUUCAUUGAGGAGGACAUACCAUCAUAAAAAUAGCUCACCAAUAGCCAAGUAUCAAAACCAUGGUGAGGACAAGCAUUUAUAGCUUCCAUGUAUCUCUCCCAACACUCAUAGAAUUUCUCAUUCUCUUUAGCUGAGAAAUUUGAAAUUUGCCUUUUCAAGCCAUUUGUUCUAUGAGUAGGAAAAAAUUUCUUGAGGAAUUCAGCUUGUAAAUCAGUCCAAGAGCGGAUACUCCUUGGCCUUAAAGAAUUAAGCCAAAUUUUGGCCUUAUCCUUUAAAGUAAAAGGAAAUAACUUAAGCCUCAUCAAAUCAAUUGAAGCUCCUCCCUCUUGGAAUGUAUUACAAACAUCUUCAAAUUCCUUGAUGUGUGCAUACGGAUUCUCACUUUCCAUCCCAUGGAAAGUUGGUAGAAGUGGAACAAGAUAUGGUCUGAUCACUAGCUGCUCUGUAGGGGGCACUAUACAUGAUGGUGCACUCAUACGAGGUGGAUGCAUACGGUCCCUCAUUGAUCUGAAUUCAUUGAGAUUGUCUUGACGACCUUGGUGACUAUGCUGAUCUUCAGGUGCAGCCUCCAUGAUAUUCAAGAUUACUUCCAAUUCUCUUCUCUGAGGUGUAUCACACUUAACAAGCCUACCUCCAAUGUCUCGUAUCCACUUUGGCAUACACAACUAGUAUUCAGCUGCAACUUAAAUAAAAACAGAGGACACAAAGAAAAACAGGGCUACAACAACAAAAUUAAACUAGACUAAAUUUUAAAAGAUAAACUUAGAUUAUGAAUUAACUAAGAAAGAAUGAAAAUUAGUAAAGUGAAAGAAACUUUACCAACUUGUGAUGAAAAUCACAAGUGCUCAAAAAUGGUAUCACAAUGAACUUGACACUCAUUCCCCGGCAACGGCGCCAUUUGACUCAUGCCCAAUUGGUGUCUCAGCUGAUUUGUGUUCAGCUGGUGCUCCUUGAUUGAGGAAGUGAUCAACAAAAUUUAUACCUAUAACACCAUACACUAGGGUAGCAAAUAAAAAGCUACUAUAGUAUAGUGGCUCUAGGAUCGUUCACUGGGAAUGAUUAAAUUAACAAGCAGUCAAGGAUACCAAUUCCAAGUGAAUUGGUCUCGUUUCAUUUCACGGUUAGCUUAAGAAAUAAAACACAAACUUUGAUUGGUAAAGGUUGAGACUUAAACUAACUAACUUAACAGAAGUUUGGAAUAAUUUAGGAAGAAAAGCAUUCCUUGGAGAUUUAGGUUCACUGGGGUGGUUCCUCAUGCAAAAGACAUAGCUCCGGUCAGAUGGUUCAUUUCCUCGCAUUAGAGAUUCAACUUAGAGUCAAUUCUCUAAUCGGUGAUGUACAGAGACUCCUUCAAUUAGAUUUCACUUUAAUUCUCUCACUGAUACAACUUGCAAUGGUUCAUGCCUCUCACGAGCACUUACCAUUCAAGGUGAUCUUUAACCUUGGACUUCCCUUCACAAACUCGCAAGAGAUAACUAAUGGAUGUCUCCUAAGAGUCCAAAAGCUUACCAAGUGUUGGUAAUUCCAGAAAAUCCUACCUUGAAGUCACCUACCAGAGGCUCGCAAGGGGUAAACUAGUGCAUUUCCAUGGUUGGAAAUUACUUGCCUUACCAAGUGUUGGCCUAGGUGACUCUAAGGUGUUUUAAGUUAACUAAAAAUAUUGAAAUCACUAAAGGAUUUCACUUCCUCUUCAUUACUAGCUAAAACCACAGAGCUUAGCAUUCUUGCACUUGGAACCUUCCCCGGCAACCUUAGCUCCAAGGAAUUGGAGGUUUAGUUACUCAUUCUCUGGGGAAAACUCCUCAGAGAAUUCAUAACUUAGAAAUAAAAUGAAAAUACAAAGUGAGAAGGUAAGGUAGUAGAAAGAAAAUAGACUUUACUUGCUUACCAAACGGUUACAGAAGGAAUUCCUCCCUGAGAACAGGCUCCCGAGAGGUAUAUAUAUCAAAACAAUAUAAAACUAAUUGUUACAGAGAUAUUUGGUCUUUUUUACUAACUUAAAAACUAAGGAAUCAUGUAAUUGGUGGUUUACAAGGAGUAUUUUGGGAUUUAGACAACAAAAAUCUAAUGGAAAAUAUCUCCCAAUGUCGGUAGCAAGCUUCGGGAGGCUUCAGGAACCAUUUCGCAGGAGUAAAAUGGUGUCUGCGAAAUUUCGCAAACACCCAAGAGGGCUGCGAAAUUAUUUCGCAACACCGAGCUAUCUUCAUAGGGCUGCGAAGUUGGCUUCCACCUUGAGGUUCCCAGCUCCCUUCUCGCGGCAUGGUUCGUGAAUCGUCAGAAGGAGAAACACCUUACUGUACAAAAGUGCUGCGAAAUUCUCGCAACAAAAGGCUGAUUCCGCAACACUUUAGAGUGAUUGACUUGUAAUGGCUGCAACUUCUUCGUUUCAACUCCGAAUUGCGCACCGUUUGAAGCAUUGGAUUGUUGACUUCCUGAGCUUUGAAAUGGUAUAAAGCAUGCAUCAUUUGGACUUCAGAAAGUGCUCUAAAAGUGGCUGCUACGACUGUCAUCAAGAAUAGGCUUCAUGGCAGAUUCUCUUUGCUUUUUCUCCUUGCAAUCCGGAUUCACUCUUGGCAAAUGAAUUCUAAGCUUUGCCCAAGAUUCCUCAUAGCUCUCCUCAGACUUGACUUGCUUUGGUGAUCAAAAUACUAACAAAAACACCAAAACUUACACAAAGUGAUCAAAAUUGCUUUAAAGGAUCCUUAACAUGCCAAUUGAGUUAAAAGGCCUAAACUACUACUCAAAAGUGUUUAAAAGGAUUAAUUAUAGGCUAUCAAAUAGCACUUUUUGAGUAGUAAUCAGUCAUCCAUACAUAGAAAAAUCUGUGUGAUCUUAAGCCAGAAAAGAUGUUGCAUCUAAUCAAAUUCACUAGAUAUGAUGAUAUCUAUACUUUUUUUUAAAAUUAUAUUCAUAUUUAUGUCAGAAAAUAAAUUUUUUAUUUUUUAUUUUUAGAACAUUAAACUUUUUAAAAGUCCUUUCUGGGAUAUUUUCUAGCUUUUUCCUUUUGCUAAUUUUUGCUAUUCAAACAAAUCUUAAGAAAUGAAUCAAACUUGGACACAAUUGAAGAGCUUGGCAUCCUUGUUUUUAGAUUCCAAAGCAUAUAUAGAGAUUGGGGUAAAACACCUUGUACCUAAGAAAAAAAAAGGAAAAAAAAAACACCACAACAAAAAAUUAACCAAAAAUAAAAAAAUUAACUGGAAUAAAAAAUCAAGAAAAUAUUUUUCUGGGUUAAUAAUUAAUUAUAAUGAAAUCAAAAGAAAAAGAAAAAAUACAUACUUCUUCCUGGCUUUGCCUACACUGAAAGCCAUGAAAGAAUUGGGAAAGCAGUAAAGAACAAGAACAAGAACCACAUCCAUAUUCUGGGGAAAGCAAAUCCUCUGCUGCCUUCUUCAGAUUGAAGGCAACUAAUAAACGUGUUAAGGGGUUAUGAGUUUGACUUGGUUGAGUUUGAAGCUACAAAAGUAAGAAAAAUGGUAGUAAUUUUGGAAGCAUUUCUAACUCUUCUAUAACUUGAGAGAUAAAAAAUUUUAAAAGUUAAAAAUGUUAAAAGAGCUUUUUAGAAUCACCCCAAAUGUACUCUAAAUUAUUUAUGACUUGAUGUCACCUUCACACUCAUUUUUCAGUGUCAUUUAUUUUUGGUGUUCCCAUAUUGAAGAUUUAGGGUAAUGUAAUAUUCAAGCCUUCACAUUUUGCCUUCACUAACCUUUGAAUUUUAAUUAAAUUCUUUGAAGGAUAUUUGACCACUUCAUUGUCCAAAAAUGCUUAUAUUGCCAUUUUUUUUUUGGUCUUUUUCUACAAUUCCAAUUUUACUAUUUUUCUUUUAUUUAUUCCUAUUAUUAUUUAGGCUAUUAUUUAUAAUAUUCUUAAUAUUAUAUUUAUAAUUGUUAAUAGUAUAAUUACUUUUCAUUUAUUUGUCAUUUAUAUUGCUUAUCUUAUCUUUAAUCAUGUAUAAGACUCAAAAAUUGCAGAAAACAUUAAUAAGUAACUACUAAACUUCAAAGAGAUAAUAAAAUUCAACUACAUUGAUAUUACAACAAUACAAAUAAAAUAUAUAGCAACCAGCCCUUAAAGGGGCUUUUAAGAGAUAAUGAGUCUACUUCAGAUUGACAUUUAAAGUAGAAUCACCAUCUCUAUAGAUAAAUAUGAAGCCUAAAAAGAAUAGAACAUCACUAAAUAAUAUUAAUAAAGCAACAACUAGAUCAAUUGAUAGUGAAAAUAAAGGUUUACAAGAUGAAUCACAUAAAUAAGAACAACUAAAUUGAGAAACAAAUUACAUGUCUGACAAAUCUAAUGAGGGAAAACAUUAGAGCUAGGUGCCCAAUGAUUGGCUCCGUGAAGUUGACCUACCUCCUCAAUAGGUACAUAGGAGUCCUUACCUAAAAAAACAUUAAAAUCAAUAGGGUGAACAUAAGAUCUAAUAAAUAGGCACGAUAUGCAGAUGUUAGGAUGGUUAGUCCAAGGUAAAAAAAAAUAGUUCUAAAAUGUAUCACGUAAUAAUUUUGGUGUAUUAUGAGAGGAAAAUGGACUUGUGAGGACUAUACUUUGUGGAUAGAAAUGCGAGGAAGAGUGAAAGACACUCAGUGGAGUAAGAGAGCGGUGGAGUAAGAGAGCUAACAGUUUAGGGUAGUCAUACAAAGUGUGGGUAAAUAGAUGUAUCUAUUUUUGUUCCUAACAAUAUUUUUUUUAUUGUAUAGUGAAAUAUUAUCUCUCAAAUAUGGAAGUAAGAAUGGUUAGGUGUACCAUGUUAAAAUCUUAAGUGAAUAUAUUUUUAUAUUAGAAUAAACCAUUUUCUUAAUUAUAAGUAUAUUUGAAUAUUUUACUAAACUAUUUUAAAAUAAAAUAUAGUAAAAAAAAUUAAUAUAUAUAUAAUAAUAACAUGAUAAAUAACAUAUCCCAAACCAAAUGCAACAUAAAUUUCUAAAUUGUCUCUCCUUUCUUAGUUCUCUAUAAUAAUAUUGCCAUACCCAUUGUUUAAGCUAUAAAUUAACAUUUUAUGUUCUUUGAAACAUAUGUAUUACCAACUCAAUAUAUACAUAGCUACGAAGACAUAUUUCUCAUUUUCCCAAUCAGAAAGCAUUGUGAGUUGAAACCUUUUUGUUUAGAAAGUUAACUUGCAAUGUUAAUAUUCUUUUUUUAUAUUAGCCCCCUAGGAAUAUCAUUGCCUUUCACCACACUUUAAGUUUUUUUUUUCAAUAUUCUUUUUUACUUCUACACUAGAAUUUAUGUAACUUCUUGUUCUUUAUUUAUUAUUAUUAUUAUUUUCAAUAUUUUCUCUUAAGUCUACCUUACACUUCUUAUUACCUCUCAUAUAUUUUUUUUUUUUGUCUUUUUCAAAUACUUGGUUGCUUCUCUAUUACAAUUCAUUAACUUCCUAUCCUUUUAUUUAUUUUUAUUUUUUGCAAAAUUCUUUCUUAAACUACAUAAAUCCAUAGUUUUUAUUUUAAAAGCAUCAAGUAAAGAACAUAGACCUACUCAAACACCAUUGUAUAAUACCCCUAAAAUUUCCAAAAAUCCCUAAAAUUUCAUAAAUUCUCUGCAAACUUAUCCCUAAUUAGAUGCUAUUAUAUUAAAUAUAUCUAAUUCACUCUAAACACAUGAUUGAUAAUAAUAUAAAAAACUAAAACAAUAUUAAUAUGCAAUUUAUUAUUUUUCAACACACUGUAAUAGUUCCCAAAUAUUUUCAAACAUCAGCUAACAAACCUAAAUUUAUUAACUCAAAAUACAUAACUGAUAACAAUGGAGAACUAAAAAAAAAAAAAUUAUAAAUAUAACAAUUUUAUACUUUGAAUACAAUUCAAUAAAUCCUAAAUUUUUAAAAACAUUUAACUAAUAAACUUAACCAUACUCAAAUAUUAUUGUAUAACAUCUCUAAAAAUUUCAAUAAUUUAUCAAAUGUGAAGACUACACUCACCGAUUUAGUAGAAUCAUUUGCCUCUUUUGUUGGUAAUUGGGAUUUUUGCUCAGUAGCUUCGCUUUCCUUUGCUUCACUUUCUUCUGCUUCAUUUUUUUAUUCUGUUCGCAAUUGGCAUUUUUGUUUUUUCGUCACUUUUUUUAAUCUUUUUAUCAAAUCACUCUUCAAUGAACUCAUUGUUUCCUUCGUGCUUGAAGAUACAAUAUGAGAUAACUUGAAAAAAAUAGAAUAACAAUUUUUCUAAGGAUUCAGAAUGAAACAAAGGAUGAAAUGAUAGACGAUAAAAUUUCUAGGGUUUUUGAAGGAAAAAUGAGAUUUUCGUUUUGUGCAUCAAAGGAAGAUAAUGAAAUAGAAGAAGAUGAUGAAAGAUGAAGACUCGUUCUGUAAAUGAAGCGAAAGAGGAUAUGAGUUUUCCUUUUUGUGCACCAAAUGAAGAUAAUGAAGUAGAAGAAAAUGAUGAGAAAGUUUUUUUGGAAAAUAUGAGGAGUUGUUCUGUAAAUGAAGCAGAAGAGGAGAAGUUGUAAGUGUUGGAGAGAAAAAAGAAGAAGGACAUUUUUGUCUCAAUCAACAAUUUUGUUUUGUUUUUUAACCGAUGGGUUAUAUUUGCAAAUAUGGGGGUUAUUUUGACCCCUUUAACCAAAUAACCCUAUUUUUUAUCGAGUUACAUCUUUAAAUUAGGUGUAAAAAGAAAUUUUGAUAUGGUAGAGACUGUAUAGUUAUAUAUUGAAAUUCCAUGGUUCAUUAGAUAAACCAUCCUUGAAUUUCUUUGGUUUCAAUCAAGAUGAUAGAUCAUCCUUCCACAGAGUGACCUGAUAUGACAUUGAUUUCUAGGGCUUCAAACACGAAGGGUGUCAAUGACUAAGAACUCCGUUUGAUUGUCAAAAAAAUGAGGAAAAAAACCCUAAAAUAAAAUAUAAAUACAAUUCAGAAUUUCAAUUUUACAUUGUUAGGGACCCCAAAAAUGGGAACAUUCACUUAAUUGAGCGUAAUCCAACCACCUGCCUUAGUUCAAUUCAGUCCCCACUUUCUAGAAACCAAAACAAUAUAAAAAUUCCUGUGUUUGACUGCUCAGAAAGCAUAGGACAAGCAAAGAAAACGACGGUGCCUCCUUGAUCAAACAGUUUUUUUUUUUUACCUUUUCUUUUCUUGCAUUUUCUUUUUUCGGCAACCAAACAUAACUUUUUAAUUGAGCAUUGUUGUAUACAAUUUAGAUUUCUUUCCCUCGGUUUCUCCGCAACCAAACAGAAUUUUUCUCAAUUGAGCGAGGGUAUAGUAUAUCCUUCGUUUUCCUAUAACCAAAUAGAACUUCCCUUGUUAUUUUUUUAAUCUUUUCUUUGAAUUUCUCGGAAACCCAACGGAGUUUACUUCUGGUGCAACCGUGCAAGAAAAUGGUUUUACCUGAUCGCAAUUCACCGGACUAGCUGAAGCAAUAGAGGCUUAAGAAAAAGAGACUGAGCUUUGUUUGUUAGACCCCCUAUGUGAGUACGCAAAGUAAGAAGAAUUGAAGCUGAAAUUAGGCAGCUUCCAAACACGUCUUAGGAGUUGGUUUUAAAACCCAUUUUUUCCCCUUUUUGGUUGCAAUUGGUCUGCAAAGAUGCCAUUAAAAGGUAACCGCGGUUGGUUGCAUGAACAAGAAAAUGAAAAAAAAAGAGUUAAAACUAAUUAAAAUUAUUUAAUAUUUACAUUGAAGAGUAAAAAUAAUUACAAUAUAUUUAAAUAAACACAUAAAAAUAAUAAUUUAUUAAUUUUAAAUCUAUUUUUAAAAUUUUCAAUUUUUCAUUUAUUUUAUUCCCUCUAAGCUUUCUAACUAAGGUCAUAAUUUGGACAAAUUGUUGGAUUCAUAGCUAAUCUAAAUAAUCUAAUAGAGAUAAAUAAAUAAUUAAUUUAAGUUCAACCCAACUUCUAAGCUUUCUAACUAGGGUCAUAACUUGAACAAAUUGGAUGGUUAACAUACAACUUGGACAAAUUGGUGGGUUCAUAGCUAAUCUGAAUAAUUUAAUAGGGAUUAAUAAAUAAUUAAUUUAAGUUUAGCCCCACCUCUAAACAGAGGUAUUUAAUUCAAGCUCAACCAACUUCAUUUCUUCGAGCUCUGGUUGAUGAGGUUAAACUUGGGUUAGCCCUUGAUUGUAUAAUUCAAAAUACAUGUAUAAUGUUUUUUAAUAAAAAAAAUUUAUAUACUUAUAUCAAAUUUUAAAUAGUAAGUAGGACAAAAUUUUAAAAUAACAAAAAAAAUAAAAACAAAGUUAUAUAUCUUUUUUAAAAAGUAAAAAAAUAUAUUAUAUAAUAUAAUUUGAUUUUUUUUUAUAAAAAUUUAGAAAGAAUAAAAUUAUUAUAUAAAAUAACAUAUAUUGGAAAUAUUAUAAAAGCAUUAAAAGUUUGUUCAGUAGUUAUUCAAAUAAGUGUUUCUAUCCCUAAUUUAAACUUUGGUUUCAAUCUAACUCGAAUUGAAUUUGAGUUGAAAAAGUUUAACUUGAAUAUUAAAAAUAAUUGUCUAAACCAAAUCAAAUAUCAGAUUGGAUUCGACUAAUCUGCCAAAGUUACACUCCUACCAAGAACCAUACACAAUAAAAAAAUUUUAAGAUAUUUUUUGUUCUAGGAAAGUACUCAAAAAGGAGAAAUAAAGAAAAAAAAUGAUUUUAUAUGUAUAAUUAAAAUUAGUUAAAUUUUAUAUAUUUUAAAAUUAUUUAAUUUUUUUUAUAUGGAAAAGAAAAAAAAAAAGAGUGAAAUAAGUUUGAAAAAACAAGUAAAAAUGAUUUGUUAACUUUAGUAUUUUUUUCUUUUCUUUUCUUCUAUUUUUUUCUUUUUAGUUUAUUUUUCUCAAAUUUUUCAAAAAAUAAACAUAGAAUUAAAAAAUAAGAAAUAAUUACAGAAUUGGAAAAUCAAUUUUAGAAAUUGCUUAUAUGAUUGCAUUAGUUUGUGUAAAUAAUAAUUUUAUUGAAUGUUAAAAGAGUGGUAUUAAAUGCACAUUAUUUAAUAUUUUUAUAUGGAUAUUUUUAUUUCUAAAGAAAGUAAUCUUUACAUGGAUUGGACCACUGUUUAUUUAUCCAUGUGGGCCAGCCUAUUAAAAACAUCAAACCAACAACUCAAGGGACGACCCUGGUCAUUCUCGGGGGCCCACAACCUUCAUCUCAAACAAAAGCCCAUGGGCAGGAUCACCUUCCACACACAUCUUCAUACCAACCACCACACUACCAACAAUCCUCCUCCAUGAAAGCCCACCUCCAUCACAGCAAGCAGAAAAUCCAACACGCCAACUAUAAGGAUUGCACAGACAAUUUGGCAAGAAAGAAAAGCAUCUGUAUUCUUAUUAUAACUGGACUAUAUACAAUACAAUGCUGUGACUAAUUAAGGAAUAUACAUAUAUAAACAGAAGAUAGAAAGAGUGAUUACAAAUCAAUUUACAAAGAUAAUUCUAGAAUGAACGUAAAUCAUGGAAUUGCCGUUGUUAUGCAGAUUCCCUUAUACGGCCCCUCAAAAUUAAGGUGCCAUCAGCAACAUUGAUUUUGCUACGCAGUUGUUGAAAGCGAGAUCGUGCAAGGGGCUUGGUAAGUAAAUCGGCAAGCUGAUCAUCUGUAUGUACAUGUGCUACACGCAACUGGCCUCUUUGAACAAAGUCUCGUACAAAAUGAAGAUCAAUGGCUAUGUGUUUCAUCCUGGAAUGCAUGACGGGAUUGAGACUGAGUUGUGUGGCACCAACAUUAUCACUUAGCAGUAGUGGAGUGUCACGAAGCUUGACACCAAGUUCAUUGAGAAGAGAUUGAAUCCAGGCCAUGUUAGAGGCAGCAAUUGCGAGGGCUCGAUACUCUGCUUCGGUGGAUGAACCAGCAACGACCUUUUGCUUACGGGUGUGCCAACUGAUGGGGUUGUUACCAAGAAAUAUAAUGUAAGCAGUUGUAGACUUGCGAUCAUCAAGAUUAACCCCCUAGUCAGCAUCGGAGAAGCCACGAAGAACUGGAUUGAGUUGCCGUCAUAAUAGAAUACCAAAAUGAAUGGUAUGUUUGAGAUAUCGUAGGAGUCUUUUAACUUGCUACCAAUGGAAGACUGUAGGUUGAUGCAUAAACUGAGCAAGUCGGUUGAUAGCAAAGCCAAUAUCUGGGCGUGUAAGGGAUAGAUAUUGAAGAGAACCAAUGGUGCUGCGAUAUUCAGUGGCAUUAUAGCUCGUAGUGCCAUCAUUAAGGAGAAGUUUGGUAGACACGGACAUAGGUGUUUGAACUUCUUUGGCACCUAUCACCUUCAGUCGACGGAGGAUAUCAUGAACAUAUCGAUUUUGGGAGAGAAACAUACCUUACUUUACUAGUAUGACUUCGACUAUUAGGAAGUAAUGCAGAUCACUUAGUUCCUUUAAAGAGAACUUAUCACCCAAGGUUGAGACUUUGGUUGGAGCUUGUUUGUUCGGUAAGGAACAAGCCAAGGGUAACAUUGGCAACCAAAGGUCCGCAAUUUGUGAUAGUUAGGGGUACGACCAGAGAGCACUUCAAAGGGACUUUUGUACGAGAGCAAAGGAGUGGGGAGAUGAUUGAUGAGAUAGACCGCAGUGGCUAGAGCAUAAGUCCAAUAAGUGGAAGGGACUGAGGCAUGAUGGAGCAAGGUCAUCCCUGUUUCAACAACAUGACGAUGGUGACGCUCAAUCGUGUCGUUUUGUUGAGGGGUGUGUGGAGCAGUAGUGUAAUGGCUAAUACCGCGAGUAGUAAGAAAGGAUCGUAGUUUGAUGAAUUCGCCACCGUUAUCUGAGUACAAGUUUUUAAGCUUGCAUGAAAAUUGAUUUUCGACCAUGGUAGUGAAUUGCACAAAUGUGGAGUGAACAUCAGAUUUAUGCCGUAAAGGAUAAAACCAAUAGUACUUAGUGAAAUGAUCAACAAGCAGUAGAUAAUAGUGAUAGCCAUCAAUAGAAGAAACCGGUGAAGGUCCCCACACAUCAACAUACAAAAAUUCAAGAGUGAUAAUACUCUUGAGAGAAGUUGAACUAAAGGGAAGUUUGUGUGACUUAUUCCAUUGACAGGAAAUACAAGACAACGUAGACUUAGAAGAGGCAACGGGUAAAUCAUGACUUCGAAGUAACGAUGACAAAAUCUUUGGAGUUGGAUGCCCCAACCGAUGAUGCCAGCAAUCAAAGGUGACCCGAGUUCCAGCUAAGCGAAUUUGAUUUGCUUGAGGUGAGGAAGAUUGCAAUGCCACAGGAUACACACCAUUUUCACACCUUCUGCGCAUGAGCACUGCCCCUAUCAUCCGAUCCUUCACAAGGUAAAAGAAAGGGUGAAACUCAAUGGUAACAUUGUUGUCAUGAGUGAAUUUAUGAACAGAUAUUAAGUUUUUGUUAAUAAGAGGCACAUGUAAUGUUUCUUUUAACAUAAGAGAGUGGGACGGAGAAGAAAGGGUUGUGGAACCAAUGUGGGCAAUUUGCAAACCUGUACCAUCUCCAAGAACUACCUCAUCUUGUCCCUCAUAUUCGGAAUGAAUAGAGAGAUUGGCCAAGUCGGAGGUGAUAUUGUGGGAGGCUGCGGAGUCAAGAAGCCAUUUUUUGUUUGUCGAAGUGGCACAGUUCGCAGUAGGGCGUGACUGCAAUUUGGCACAUGUUUUGGCAGUGUGUCCAGACUGAUCACAGAUUUGGCAAACAACAUGGGACUUUUGUGAUCCAGACUUGUUGUUAUUAGAGUUUUGCUUGGAUCGGGAUAUGUUGUUUUUGAACCAACCAUUGGAUGACUUUCUUUGAGAGGAAUUUGCUGUGACGACUAGAGCGGAAGCAUUGUUAUCCAUACAUUUGAUGUAAUGCUCAUGACCAAUGAGCAAAUCAUGUAACUCAGCAAAAGAGAGAGCAGUUUCUCUAGUGCGAAUGGGCGCAACCAUAUCUCUGAAUUCCGAACCAAGACCAUUAAGCACGUAGAGCAUCAAAUCAUCAUUCGAAACUGGUGCAUCAAUAAGGGAGAGCUCAUCGGCAAUCACCGUGACCGCAUGAAGAAACUUAGACACCGUGCGAGAACCUCGUUGGAUAAGGGUUAAAUCCUCCUUCAACUGCAUAAUCCUAGCUCGAGAUUUGUUUGCAAACAAACGGGCUAGAUGCUGCCAAGCAUCACGACUCGUAGUGGUCAUUGCGAUGAGAGGCAUCACGGUUUCAGAAACCAAGGAGAAGAUCGCGUUGAGCAGCAACUGGUCCUGUCGAUACCAGUGUGCAUAGUGAGCCAAAGCAGAGGGAGAAGACUUCUCAGUGAAUGUGGGAGGACACGGGAGGGUGCCAUCCAAGUAUCCCAUUAAAUCAUAACCAAACAAGAUGGUUAUGAACUUUGCACGCUAGGAAGGGUAAUUUGAUGCGGUAAGCUUGUAAGGAAUUUGGCUGGAGGUGUUGAUGGUGACUAGGGGUAAGUAAGAGGAAGGACUGGAGUCACCCGAAACAGAGUGGGGAGUGGAGUGGACGCUGGACGACAUAGUGCAAAGGAGGAUCGCUAUGGUCGUGAGAGAAGAAGACCUUCUAAUACCAUAUAAGGAUUGCACAGACAAUUUGGCAAGAAAGAAAAGCAUCUGUAUUCUUAUUAUAACUGGACUAUAUACAAUACAAUGCUGUGACUAAUUAAGGAAUAUACAUAUAUAAACAGAAGAUAGAAAGAGUGAUUACAAAUCAAUUUACAAAGAUAAUUCUGGAAUGAAUGUAAAUCAUGGAAUUGCCAUUGUUAUGUAGAUUCCCUUAUACCAACCAUCAACCUCCGCACAGACCUAACACUGCAUAGCCGUGUUUUAGGAGUGUUAGGACGUGAUUAGAGAGGAUCUACUUUGAGUGUUCAUGGAGUUUCGCUAUAAGAGGAAUCAGUUUACCAAAAAUUCUUCAUGAAACCAUCCAUUUAUCUCAGGGAACAUUUAUUAAGUAGAGUCAAAUAGAUUUACAAAUAAGAGAUGAUUUAUUCAUUUGAAAGAAAUAACCUUAUUUCAAAUUGCCCUAAUGUGGCCUAAUAAGCAAAAUUACUGGUUAUAUUUUGGACACAUCUCAGUAGAGGUUCGGGGGAGAAAAUAGAAGAAGCAGAGAUGCUUACUUACUUCAGAGGGGCCACUGCUCGCCACCACCACUUCAUGGCUGUGCCCAUUUCACUUGCCCAAGCCACUCUCUUCUCCAAACCCUCCAUUUUACUCCACAGAAAUGCCAUCAAUGGCUUCUCCUUUUUCAUUCCUUUCUCCUCUUCUUCUGCUCAGAAGAUUCAGACUCACAAGUGGAGGCAACCGGUGGUCUCGGUUCUGGAGCUUGGUGGAGUCAAGAUUGGUAGAGAUGGUAACAUACACACAUCCCAAAAUUGCGUUUAAAAAGGAUCUUUAGCUUGAAUUUUGUGUGCCCAAUUUGCGUUUUUGCAGGCAUUUGCACUCGAGUCGUGUCGUUUGUUUGCAAUUUCACAAUCUGAUUUCUUUUCUAUUGUGCGUUUUUUUUUCCUGCUAGGUUCGAAUUCAAGCAUCCAAUUUGCGUUUUUCUGGGUAUUCUUAUGCCCAACUUGUGUCAUUCAAUUUGCAAUUGUCGUUAUCAGACUUCCUUCUCUCUUUUGAGACUUACAUAGUUAGAGACGUCAUUUCAGUGAAAUUAAGAAUGCAUGUUCCAACUUUCACUUCUUUCUCUCUUUCCUUUUUUUUAGCAUUUAAGAAUCCAUGAAUGUUAAAUAAUCUGCAUUAGCAGCUUGGCUUUCAAGGGAAGCAAGGUCCCACAUGCCCAUACCAACUGAAUAUUAAUAUUUAAGUUUAUCUGGCUUGUUCCAAUUCAUUUUAAUGCCAUUGAGAUUAGUAGUUUCAAGGGAAGCAAGGUCCCACAUGCUACUACUUCUUCAUGAUUUUUUUUUUAAAAAAACAAGUAGAACUAUAAAUCAAUACCCUAAAUACAGUUCCAUUUAUAAAAAAUCUUGAGAGUGGGUUGCUCCGUGGCCUGUAACGAGUCUAGUAAUAAUGUCACACCUCUUUUAAAUCUUAUUUUCCUAUAUUUAAUCCACAUAUUUUUUUAAAAGAAGCCAACACAAUCCACAUACUUGUGAAAGAUGACAAUAACUUAGUUGCAACUGCAAUAUUUUACUUAGAUAUUCUCCCAAUAUUGCCAUUUUUAUCAUUUGCUCUCCCUUAACAAAGUUUCAUCACCAUCCACCAACACAGCAUUUUAAGAUUGCAAAACCAAGUAAUAAAUCAUCACCUAUCAAGAAAUUAAAUAAAAUAAUAAACCAUCACAGAGAGCCACAAAAUAUAUUUAGGAUAGAAGAGAAAAAUUCUAGCAAGGUGGACUUGAGACCAUAACUCAAUCAGUUGACUGUCUUGGCAUUUGAGUUUGGUUGUAAGGUGGGUGUCCUUCCUUUCUUUUACUUAGCUCUUCCUUUGAGUGCCCCAUUGAAAUCUAUGAUGGCUUGGUAUGGGGUGGAAAAGAGGCUCUGUAAAAGGUUGACCAUAUGGAAAAAACAAUAUAUCUCUAAAGGAGUGAGAAUUACUUUGAUUCGAAACACUUUUUUUAGUAUGCUUAUAUACUUUUAUGUCUUUGUUUUGCAUGCCAAAGUCAGUCAAAUUCAGGUUAGAGCAUAUUCAAAGGAAUUUUCUUUGGGGCGACGAGGCUCUCAUUUGGAAGCCACACUUGGUAAGGUGGGCAAUUGCUUAUUUAGAUAAAGGAGGGGCUUGGGAGUUAGGUGUCUAAUCAACACUAAACAAGGCUCCCCAAUGCAAAUGGAGUUGGCGUUUUACUUAUGAAAGGGGGGCCCUUUGGAAGCAAGUUACAAAAUCUAAGUAGGGAACCUAGUAUCCAAACUUCCAUCCAAACUUACAUAUAAAAAAAAAGUCCAGAACAGGCAUUCAGUUUACCAGGUUUAUCAGUUCUCUCCACUGUUUAUUCAACUCUUAAAUGCAGUAUUCUGGACGUACUCCAAAUUUGAAAUUCCUUUGGUAAAAUAAAGGCAUGGUACUUACAGUGGUCUAUUAAGGAAAAGGUUUGUUUGACCUAGCUUUUGUACAAAAAAUUCAAGGAUAGUCUUGCAAAUAUGUAUUGUAUGGGUGUAUAUUUCUCUAUCAUGAUACAAGUGAGAAAAAAUUCAGGAAAGUUGUUUUGUUUAAAAAAAAAUUGAAAGUUAAUUUAUGUUUUGAGAGGGAUAUUAGACAACCUAGGAUUCAAAGGGACAUGUUGUCUCUUAGGAAAAUAUAAUUCAUAGCAUUCUCAAUCACUUACAGGUUAUUUUAGUCCUUUUAAAUUGAUUUAUUUAAUUUUUUUCUUUGUUGUAGGCAACCAACGAAUAUAUUUACAACACCUACUAUUAUCAUUAUUUUGGUAAUUAGCAUUGAUGGAGAUUGUAAAAAUUCUCUAAUGGUAUGCAGGAGAAAAAUAAUAUUUAUGAAUUUUUGUUAAACACAAUUGUCAUAAUGAUAAUAAUUAAUUAGAAUAAUAUAAGUUUGCAAUUGGAAAAUUUUUAAAAAAUAAAAGCUUUUGGAAAUAGUUUGAAUAGGAGUAGAAAUUCUUGGAUUUCAUGGAGAGCUUAGGUGGGAUCUAAAGCAUGGGGCUGUUUGCUAUCUAUUUUAGUAUUUGCUGCUCUUCUCUCUUAUAGGUGUUCAGUUGCAACUUGUAUUCUCUGAGCGUACUUGGGUUGUGCCCCCUUUUGUGUUCUUCAAUAUAAUCUUCAGGCUCAUGAUUAGUGCAAUUUCUACUAAUUGAACACUUUUCACUUCAAAUAAUAUUCAGUAAUCUAAAUAGCAUUCAUCAAAUUAUUUUUAACUCGCCUUUAGAUUUAUAAAGAACCCAAAUAUGAAAUUUUCUUCUUAGGCAUGAGAAAUUGUCAUUGUUAUAAACCCCAUGUUUGUCUUGUACUUACAAGCAUAAUUAUAAAGCAUGAUCUGCAUGUCUUAUCAUGAAAUAUAAUAAUGUCAUAAAAUAGAUGAUUGAUAAAAUAUUAGAAGUCCAUUGCAAAUGCUUAAUGGAACUGAAAAUUAUUACAAAGAAAGUGUGUAUUUCACUCAAACUUUUAUGCAGUAGUGGUAGCUUAUAAACUCACAACUUUGUAAUCAUGUGCUUGAAUCAAGCAAACGUAAUGGAUCUCAGCUACAACUGCUCUACAUUUUAACCAUUGUUUUAUGUUAUGGGAAUAGUGACUGAAUUACAUUUGUGGGACUUAGUUUUCACAUGUGUUCACAUGUCAUAACUGUAAUUUCCCUAAUUUUAUGAGUAAGAAAAACUCUUUCAUUUUCCCUAUUUUGACUGAAACUUUUGGAACUUGGACUUUAUACGGUGCAAAUGUAUGUUAUCAGCUAUUGCUUUUGACUAGUCAUGAGUAGAUAUUAUUUAUAAAAGGACACCAAAGAGGAUAUAAUCCAAGUGCAUUUGUAGUCAACAAGUUACUCUUGGCAUCAAAAUUGAAAGAAACAACAAUGAAGAAAAGCAGCAAGAAAGUGCCCCUACCUCCCAAACUCUCAAUGAACUACUGGAAGGAUCUACUACUAUUCAAGAUAACUUCUUCUAAGCACAACUACAUGUAACAGUACUUAGCCCAAUUUGCGUUUUUCUGGGUAUUCUUAUGCCCAACUUUUGUCAUUCAAUUUGCAAUUGUCGUUAUCAGACUUCCUUCUCUCUUUUGAGACUUACAUGGUUAGAGACGUCAUUUCUGUGAAAUUAAGAAUGCAUGUUUUAACUUUCACUUCUUUCUCUCUUUCCUUUUUUUUUCCCUGUUAUACUCCUCGUUCUGUUUGGCGAUAGUAGAAUUCAGGAAUGGUUUCCCUUUUCUUUUUUCUUUUAUUUAUUUAUUUUUUAAUUUUUGGGUUUCUUUUGGUUAUAUGAAUUCUACAUUUUUCCUUUCUUUUUUUUUUUUUUUUUUUGUGAAAUUGGAAUUGAAGAACUUAUUUUGCGUUUUACAAGCUUAGCGGGUUACGUUUCUGUUCUAUUUGUUGUACUGUUGGAGGUGUUUGGUGCAUUUAUAUAACUAGGUUUGCAAUUUCGCCUUCUAAUAAAGGUUAAAUUUUCUCCCUUUUUAUUUUUUAUUUUUUUAAUGGUGUAUUUGUGUUGGGUAUUUGGUGAAAUGGGGAUUCUGUACUGGGUUUAUGGCAUUUUUUCAUUUGGUUUGAUAUUUGUGAAUGCGGGUUUUGUAGGGAAGAUGUGCAAACUUUUUGAAAGUAAGAAUGCAAUUACAACUUUGAUUUCCUUUAUAUUUAUAUUUAAAUUUUUUAUGCUUAUUUGCGUAUUGGUUGAUGUCAAAAUUCAUCUAAUGGGUUGUUUUUUAUUGCUUUGGAUUGGUUUAAUGUAGUUGAAUGGUGGAUUUUGUUUCUAAAACUUGGGGUCAAUUUCAAUUUUUUUAUUUAUUCAACUUGAAGACCUGGGAGUCUAUGUGAUUGGAAUUGAUCUAUCGGAGUGCGACUCUAGGCUGUUUUUGUAUGCUCCUUGUAUACUUUGAGGGCACUGUUUUUGGUGCUUCCUCAUUCUCGUUUAAUAUACUUACUUUUAUCUAUCAAAAAAAAAAAAAUUUGAUUUACUCGAGUUUUUGGAUUUUUCUGAUUGCUUUGAUAAACUUGGCUUGCAGAGCCUUAAAAAAUAAACUAUACUCACUAAGCUAUAUCUCAAAUAAUACUUCGUCAGGGCGUGUAAUGCAACUUGGAGUCUUUUUAUUUUUAAAAUUUUUUGGGUUAUUCUAUUCUGAAUAUUUGGUAAAAUUAGAAUUCAUGUACUCAACCUUUUUCAAGUUCUUUUGGUUGGCUUGAUAUAUUUGGUUGUGGGGUUUGUAGAUGUGGUGAGGGAUGAUCCUACAAACAAUGUCCCGGAUGCAAUUUUUUUGAAACUUGGAAUGCAGCUUCACAGGAGGGAUUAACACCCAAUUGGAAUUCUGAAGAAUGCAAUAUAUGAUUAUUUCAAUGCCAAUUACUCAAACAAAUUUGAUAAGUUUGACAACCUUUGCCCAAUAGUCUCCACAAAAGAGGUUUGACCAUUAAGAAAUAAAAUAGAAAUUGUAUGCAUGUUUUUUUUCACUGUUUUGAGCUAUACAUUGCACUAUUUGGAACUUGUAUUAUCUUGCUAGGACUGGUGCUUGACAUUUUGUUGUUGUUUAUAUUUAUUUUGCUACCCAUUUCCUGUUGGUUUCUGUCCUGCCCUUGGUGUUUUAACAUUUAAGAAUCCAUGAAAGUGGUAUUUGCAUUUGUUACCAAUUAUUCCAUCGACGAUGUUCUAAGUACAUAUUAAAAAAGUCCAGAACAGGCAUUCAGUUUACCAGGUUUAUUGGUUCUCUCCAGUGUUUAUUCAACUCUUAAAUGCAGUAUUUUGGACGUACUCCAAAUUUGAAAUUCCUUUGGUAAAAUAAAGGCAUGGUACUUAUAGUGGUCUAUUAAGGAAAAGGUUUGUUUGACCUAGCUUUUGUACAAAAAAUUCAAGGAUAGUCUUGCAGAUAUUUUUUGAUAGAUAAUCAUAAAUAUAUUAAAGGGCAAAGGCUACAAAGUAUACAGGGAGUAUACAAAUUAGCCUAAAACAAGAACACAAAAAACAAGCACCCUCACCCACCCUUAAGUGGCCGCUAGCCACUCCAAAAAGCCUAAGAGCGAAGAGGACUCCUCUUUAAUAUACACCCUAGCCCAACUCCACAAGGUACAUACAAAAGAAUUUUUGAGUUUCCGUAUAUCUAAAAAACCACCCCUAAAAGCUAAUCUAUUCCUCUCCUUCCAAACCGUCUAAAAAAUACACAAUGGGAUGGAAUUCCAAAUCUUUUUCCUUUUUUUCCCCACAAAAGAGCCUCUCUAACUAAAUAACGCCUCUUUAACUAAUUUCGGGAACACCCAUUGAACCCCAACAAGGGCAAGGACGAUCUCCCAUAGGCCCCUUACCACUAUACAAUGUACAAGAAUGUAAUUUACAUUUUCCUCUUCACAACUGCACAAAAAACAGCUAUUAGGGAGCUGUCAUCCCCGUUUUUGAAGCCUAUCCAAGGUGAGAAUCUUCCCCCACGACGCUUCCCAAGCAAAAAAGGCCGCUUUGGUUGGGACCUUGUCCACCCAAAUGCAUUUAGUCGGAAAGGCGCAUGCAUUAGGAACAGCCAGCAAAUUGUAGGCAUCCUUAACCCCAUAUUUUCCAUGACCCCCACCUUUCCAUAGCACUGAGUCCUCCUCUGAAGAUAUCCUGAAGUCCCUGAGCGUAUUAAGCAAUCCUCUAAUCAAGUCCAGCUCCCAAUCAUUAAAAUCUCUAUGAAAUCUAAGAUCCCAACCUCCUUGAUCAAUGCUUGGGUCCAACAUCUCAUUAACCGUUGCAUUCUUGUGAACCGCCAAAUAAAAAAGCUGGGGGAAAGUUUGGGACAGCGCUGCAUUGCCACACCACUGGUCAGUCCAGAAUUUAACUCUAGUCCCCUUCCCCACCUUAAACUUUAUGUUAUCCCAGCACCACUUUGCCUCCUUCAUAAUCUCCUUCCAAACCCCCACUCCAUAAGUCCUACGGGCUUCUUUAGCUCUCCACCCAAAAUCUUCCUGACCAUAUUUCACCCCAAUCACCAUCUUCUAGAGAUUAUCCUUUUCAACGGCAAAUCUCCAUAACCAAUUACCCAACAACGCUUUGUUCAAGGGAUCAAUCUUCCGAAUGCCAAAGUCACCCUUCUCCUUUUGAGUGCAUACCACCUCCCAAUUAAUUAAGUGGACUUUCCUCUCCAAGCUUCCCCCUCCCUAAAGAAAGUCCCUUUGUAAUUUUUAGAGUCUAUUUGCAACACUCUUUGGCAUUUGAAAGAGGGACAUAUUGUAAAUAGGCAAGCUGGUCAGAGUGCUCUUGAUUAAGGUGAUACGCCCACCCUUCGAUAUAUAUUGUCUUUUCCACUAGGCUAAUCUUCUCCUCAUUCUCUCUUCCACCCCAUCCCAUAUAGAGAUAGCUUUGUGAUGUGCUCCAAGGGGCAACCCCAAGUAAACAGUGGGCAGAAACCUCACUUUGCACCCAAUUUCCACAACCAUUUCCUCAAUUUCUUCCACCUCACCAACCGGAAUUAAGACGCUCUUAUCUAGAUUAAUUCUGAGACCGGAAGACACCUCAAACCAAGCCAAAAUCCAGCUUAGAGCAAAUAGUUGCUCUUUCCUAGCUUCACAAAAGAUGAUUGUAUCAUCAGCAAAAAGAAAAUGUGAAACUAUUAUCUCCGCUUCCCCUUUCCCCCGAAUUCUACAGCUUGACAAGAAGCCCCCAUCAACCGCCCUUCUUAUCAGAUUGCUUAGCACUUCCAUGCCCAACACAGAGAUAUAGAGAGAAAGGAUCUCAUUGCCUUAGCCCCUUGGAAUUCAAGAAGAAGCUAGCUGGCACCCCAUUGAUCAUGACUGAAAAUUUGGCGGUUGAGAUGCACCACCAAAUCCAUUCCAUUGACCCAAAGCCCAUUUUAAACAAAACUUUCAUGAGAAAAUUCCAGUUGAUGUUGUCAUAUGCUUUUUUAAUGUCCAAUUUACAGAUAAGCCCUUUCUCGUUCCUUUUGUGCCAGAAAUCAAUCACCGCAUUGGAAAUAAGUGAUGCAUCCAAAAUUUGUUUGCCUCUCACAAAGGCAUUUUGAUUCUCAUAAACCACCUUGUCUAACACCUUCUUCAGCUUAUUCACCAACACCUUAGCCAAAAGCUUGUACAAACUCCCUAACAAACUGAUUGGCCGAAAAUCUCCCAGGUCUUUAGCCUCUCAUUUCUUAGGGAUAAGGACUAAGAAAGUGGAAUUGAGGCUUUUGGCAAAAGAUCUCUGGUCAUAGAAUUCUUUAAACAGGUCCACAAUCUCCUCCUUCACAAGCUCCUAGCUUGAUUGCCAAAAAGCAACUGUGAAGCCAUCUGGGCCUCGAGCUUUAUCACCCUUCAUUUCCAUUAAGGCAGAGUAAAUUUCCUCUUUAGUAAAAGACAUCUCCAAGACUUCAGCUUCACAGGAAUUGAGGCGAUUAAGGUGCAGCCCCUCAAUAUUCGUUCUCUAGCCUGACUCUUUUGAGAGCAAAUGCUGAAAAGCAUUCACUAUCCCCUUCCUCACCUCCUGGUCCUCAGUCAUCCACUCCCCAUUAAUUUUAAUUCUAUCCAGGGAAUUAUUCCUUCAGUGGGCAUUUGCCAUCCUAUGGAAAAAGCCAGUGUUCCUAUCCCCUUCCUUAAGCCAUAGCUCCCUUGACAAUUGUCUCUAGUGGGUCUCUUCCAUUAGCACCCAUUUUUUAAAGGAGUCUUUGGCUUCUUUUUUCAGCUCAGUUUCUCCUUCAGACAGGCUUCUCUCACUUUCCACCCCAUCCUAGAACUCCACUUGUUGAAGAGCUGAGUUCUUAUUGGCUUCCAGCCUACCAAACACCUCCCUGUUCCACACUUUGAUUUUUUGCUUCAGCUCCUUCAUUUUAGUGGCUAACCUGACACUGGCCCUCCCUCUCACCUUAAACCCUUGCCACCAACCCCGAAGAAGGUCCGUAAAACCAUCAGCUUUAAGCCACAUAUUUUCAAACCUAAACGGGAAAGGACCCCUCCUUAACCCACCCUCCCAUCAACAAGAUAGGAAAAUGAUCUGAGGUAGGUUUGGGCAGCCUGCUUUGCAUGACCUCAUUGAAAUGAUCAAGCCAAUUUUGGGUCACCAGGAACCUAUCGAAUCUGGCCCAAGCCUGAUUAAUCCUCCCCCCACUCCAGGUAAGCACACCCCCUUGCAAUGGAAGGUCAAUGAGCUCUAACUCAUCAACAACCUGGGCAAACCUUCUCAUUGCACUCGUUAGCCUUCCCUGAUUACUUUUUUCCCUCUAGGACAGGAUGACAUUGAAGUCACCCCCUAGACACCAAGGAUCAUCCCAAAUGCCUCUAAUUGUUCCUAUCUCCUCCCACAUCCACUCUCUUUCCUCUCUAGAGAAAGGCCCAUACACACUAGUAAACAUCCAAACUAGCCUAUCUUCCACGUUCCUCAGCCUACAAGAGAUUGAGAAGUUUCCUACUUCCAUUUCAAUCACUUCUAGGGUCCUCUUAUCCUAGCAGAUCAAUAAACCUCCCGUAGAACCAUGGGCAUCCAGGGUACCCCAAUCGAGAAAUCUACCAAUGCCCAAGCUUCUCACCAACCCCUCUGUCAUUGCUUGAAUUUUGGUCUCCUGAAGACCAAACAAAUCCACCCUUUGAAUCCUGAUCAUGGCCUUAAUCACCUUUCUUUUAGAGCUGUCGUUAGUUCCACGAGCAUUCCAACUCAAGAGUCUUAGCUUCAUUUAACCACCAUGAUUUGACAUCAUCUUCCUUGCAUUUCACACUUCUGUUUCUUCUCCCCCUCGUAAUUAAUUGAGCACUCUAGUCUUUUCAAUUCCCUUUCGAACUUAGAUUUUUCUAGAAGGUUUUUAUUAUGGACUCUUUCCUUUCUAUUUCAGAUUUUAACCAAAAAAUCCAAAAUUUCUUUCUCCAGACCUUUUGUCGAAAACCCCAAAAACUCACUAAAUUUGGCCAAAUCACUCUCCUCCAAACUAUCCUCCUCCCAUCUCUUUCCUUCUCGUGGCAUAGAUUGAACUAAACACAACUCCUUUCCACAGUUAUCUUUGUAGCCAUUAAUAACCUCCGUCAAUUCCCAAUGCUAACAUUCUCCUCUUCUAGGGGUCCCGGAGUGAGAAGCAUGCGUAAAGGGGUUUCCCUCUAGGAAGUCUCCCUAUCAUCCCUAGAAAGGUUGCAAUACUCCCCCAAUGGAGUCCGACCGAAAAAGAAAGAAGGAGAAGAUGAGGACCCAGAUGCCAACAAACCACUAGGGUUAGGAGCACACCCAUACCUCGAUGCUUCCUCAAUUAGGGCGCUGUCAGUCCUUGAUCUCUCCAUGGAAUAGAACUCCUCCUCAAUUUGCUUCCGCCGGCCAUCAUUUUCCCAGAAGGAAAAGCUUUCAGCAUCUGGAUCCCUCAGAGGACUUGGGCCAGCCCACACUAGUGGCAAGGCCACCCUAGAGCAACCCACCAAAGAUUGGGGUGGGCCUCGACAUAUUUCCAUCCUAUCCGGCCCAGGCGCCCCAAUGGUCUCCAAGGUAUUUAACUUCCUAGAGCCCUUUAAGGACGAAAGCCCAAUAGGAGACGACCCAACCUUAGGAGAUGAAACUGGAUCAAGCCCAAUGGGCCCAGAGCCCAAAUCGGAGCGUCGAGAAGCCCCAGUAGGGCCAAGCUUAAUGGGCUCCCCUUGCAAGCCUUCCUGGUCCCCCACUGAUGGCCUAACGAGGCCCCAAGACCGAGCCCAAAGGAGCCCCGACCCACCUGUUUGCCCCCGUGUCCCAUCAGCAGACUGCAGAUGGGUCUCGAUCCUUGCAUCGUCCACCUCUUCCAGCACGCGCUUGCCCGCACGUGUAGAGACGUCACCCUCAACCUUUCCUUCUGCUCCGCUGUUCUUCCCCUUUCUCGCUGCCGACAACACUCUCAUUAUCGGUCUUACCUCCUACCACAAGGUUAGCAAAUAACACACCCCUUCGACCCCAAUUUCUACCAUGCUAGGGAUCUCCUCGCCGUUUAGCUUCACCAGGAUUCUUGCCCAUUGCAGCUCCUCCAGGUUCUUCUUCUGAGAUUCAAUGGCUAAAAAUCUCCCACACUUCUUCCCUACCUUUCUAAGGGUGGCCCGAUCUCAUAACGAGAUGGGUAGCCUCACGAUUCUCACCCAUGCCUCAUUCUUCUUCUCUCCUUCCAACAGACACCCCGUCCUAGGGCUCCAUUUCUCUAGUCGCAGAAGUGUCUUCCCUACCAAAAUUCCUCCUAGAUUUAGAGUUUUUUCGGCUUCCACUACCAUCUCAAACUCUAGUAGCACCUUUCCCCAUUCCAACUUAGCCAAACCUAAGUUGCCCUUCAACCCCCAACUUCGUGCCAUUUGGGUCCCCCAACUUCUCAAGUCAUCCCCCUUCACUGACUUUGGAUCCCACGAGGCAACAAGGCAGUGAUCCAACCUCUUUAGAUUUCGACUGAGGUCCUUGUGGCUUACUUCCACCCUAGCCACUAACCUACCAUUGCGAUUUUGCAGCUUAACCACUUUCGUAAAACUUUUCCCUAAACUGGGCACAGACGACAUCAUCUCGUCCUUCUGACUCUCCUUCCUCUCCGUAGCAACACCCAAAGCCCUAAGCGUCUCCACCAUAGAAACCCAACCCUCUUUUCCUCUUCUUCCUUUGGGGAUAAAGAUGUUGAACAUUUUCUUCUCUAGGUCCUCGACACCUAAACGGAUGAAGAAUCCCCCCUUAUUUUCAUCAUGCAACAGUGAGUAGAUCUUCCAUCUUUCCCUCCAAUUUCUUACCCAUUUGCCUGUUCGUGUGUCCUUAAUGCAAAGAGCCAAACUUUCCACAAAAAUCCCUAGACUAUCUGGACCCAUUUUAAUCCACGAAGACACCCCUCUUUUUCUUUCCACAAUAAUGACUUGCACUUUGCCCUUCUUCUUUUCUACAUCGAUCUCGAAGGUCUUCGACUCCACCUCAAAGCUGCUCUUCCCCCGGCUGUUCCGAGGCUCCAAGCAGACGAUGUUUUCUGCACCAUCGCUCGCACACAGAACCACUCGCUCUCUCUCUCUCUCUCUCUCUCUCUCUUUCUCUAGCCCUCUCUACAUUGUAUAGGAUUACCAUUUGGUCCUUGGACAAAACCCUAGUCUUGCAGAUAUGUAUGUAUGGGUGUAUAUUUCUCUAUCAUGAUACAAAUGAGAAAAAAUUCAAGAAAGUUGUUUUGUUUUAAAAAAAAUUGAAAGUUAAUUUGUGUUUUGAGAGGGACAUUAGACAACCUAGGAUUCAAAGGAAUAUGUUGUCUCUUAGGAAAAUAUAAUUCAUAGCAUUCUCAAUCACUUACAGGUUAUUUUAGUCCUUUUAAAUUGAUUUAUUUAAUUUUUUUCAUUUUUGUAAGCAAGCAAAAAAUAUAUUUACAACACUUACUAUUAUCAUUAUUUUGGUAAUUAGCAUUGAUGGAGAUUGUAAAAAUUCUCUAAUGGUUUUGCAGGAGAAAAAAAUAAUAUUUAUGAAUUUUUGUUAAACACAAUUGUCAUAAUGAUAAUAAUUAAUUAGAAUAAGUUUGUAGUUGGAAAAAUUUUAAAAAAUAAAAGCUUUUGGAAAUAGUUUGAAUAUGAGUAGAAAAUUCUUGGAUUUCAUGGAGAGCUUAGGUGGGAUCUAAAGCAUGGGGCUAUUUGCUAUCUAUUUUAGUAUUUGCUGCUCUUCUCUCUUAUAGGUGUUCAGUUGCAGCUUGUAUUCGCUGAGCGUACUUGGGUUGUUCCCCCUUUUGUGUUCUUCAAUAUAAUCUUCAAGCUCAUGACUAGUGCAAUUUCUACUAAUUGAACACUUUUCACUUCAAAUAAUAUUCAGUAAUCUAAAUAGCAUUUAUCUAAUUAUUUCUAACUAGCCAUUAGAUUUAUUAAGAACCCAAAAUAUGAAAUUUUCUUCUUAGGCAUGAGAAAUUAUCAUUGUUAUAAACCCCAUGUUUGUCUUGUACUUACAAGCAUAAUUAUAAAGCAUGAUCUGCAUGUCUUAUCAUGAAAUAUAACAAUGUCAUAAAAUAGAUGAUUGAUAAAAUAUUAGAAGUCCAUUGCAAAUGCUUAAUGGAACUGAAAAUUAUUACAGAGCAAUUGCAUAUUUCACUCAAAACUUUUAUGCAGUAAGGGUAAUCAUGUGCUUGAAUCAAGUAAACUUAAUGGAUCUCAGCUACAACUGCUCUACAUUUUAACCAUUGUUUUAUGUUAUGGGAAUAGUGAUUGAAUUUCACAAUCCCAUCAUUAUAAUUUAUGCAUUGUAAUUUCAUUUGUGGGACUUAGUUUUCAUAUGUGUUCACAUGUCAUAACUGUAAUUUCCCUAAUUUUAUGAGUAAGAAAAACUCUUUAAUUUUCCCUAUUUUGAUUGAAACUUUAGGAACUAGGACUUUAUAUGGUGCAAAUGUAUGUUAUCAGCUAUUCCUUUUGACCAGCCAUGAGUAGAUACUAUUUAUAAAAGGACAUAAAUGAGGAUAUAAUCCAAGUGCACUUGUAGUCGACAAGUUACUCUGGGCAUCAAAAUUGAAAGAAACAACAAUGAAGAAAAGCAGCAAGAAAGUGCCCCUACCUCCCAAACUCUCAAUAAACUACUGGAAGGAUCUACUGCUAUUCAAGAUAACUUCUUCUAAGCACAACUACAUGUAACAGUACUUAGCCUGCGCUAUGGUGUCAAGAGGUAGGCUCAUUGGAACAUGCCUAUUUUGAUGGAUUUUAGUUUGUGGGGAUAGUUAAAGUGUAAAGUGUUUGAUAAAAUAAAUUUGCUAGUUUUAAUAAAUUGGAAUUACUACUGAAUGAAAUGUGAAGCUAGAUAUUAGGAGAAAGAAAGAUAAUUAAUUUAUUUGUAUGACACUAUGACUUACACAUUGUGAAGCUUACUGGUUGGGAAUUGUUGAACGGGGGAACUUACUUAAUAGGGGAGAAAGAACCACACAUAUUUCUUAAUGAGAAAAUAUAAUUACAUUAGCAAAAGGCCAAAAAUACAUGAGUAGUUCACUAAUUGCAUAUUAUUGGAAAGAAAGCUGAGCAACAUAUGAUUCAUAAACUUUUUACAAUUUAAAGGCCUGGGUCCAAUGAGAUAUGUUGCAUCAUAUUACCUAAUGAACCAAUGAAGUUUAUGGAUUUCCAAAACUUCUUGGAGAGGUUCAUUAUUUUAUGGUUCUUUUUUUCUUUUUUAGGGUUCUUUAUUUUCUUUUUGCCGAGAUAUCUAGAAUAUGGCAUGGUAGGUAUUUUUGCUCCAUACCUCUUUGGAGCUCAAUUAUUUGGCAAAGUAGGAAGAAAACAAAUUAGCAUCAACUUUGGCUUGACUUGAGAUCACAAAUCUGACUAGAGAUUUUGCAGUAGUGUGUUGAGGUCUAAUUCGAAUCCAGGUUGUGAUGUGUGCAUCAAAGAGUCUUUCCAUAAGCCAUUAAGCUUUGAGGUGUUUUGUGAUGGCAUGACUGGAUAAUGAGCUGCAUUUUGGUCUGGAAUUUGGAGUUCGGUUAUGCAUUUCUGUAUCUAUAUCUCCAAAAUUAUUAACUAAUUUUAAUUAUUUUAUCUAUUUUUCAAAAUAAACAUUCAAAAUUGAAAGUUUGUGUCACGAGUCUUCAGGCUUAUCCGUAAUAGAAUGCCCUACAUUAACUCUUACUGUUAAUGCAUAUAAUACCAGGUCAGUCAUCACAACCAUUUGCUUGCUUAUGUUGACUUUCAAUGGCUUAAAAUUCAUGGCUUCAAUGGUUAUUACCAUGCUAACACUCAAACUAAUUCUUUUUUUUUUAGGUAAAUAAGAGCUUGUAUUAGAAGCGCCUAAAAGUGGCAAAAACAGUUCACAUGAAGUAUGCAAACAGAUUGCCCAAGAAACUAGGCAAAGAAAACAAAAAACCUUUCCCUUAAUUAGACAUAUGACCACUCUAUAAAAUCAAUCAUAGACGAAGUAUGAUCCUCUAUAAACACCCUAGCCCAAUUUACAAGAGUAUACAAAAAGGAAUGUUUUAAAGCUUGGUGGGACUAUUGAUAUCAUUAAAUGCUCUUUCAUUUAUUUCCUUCCAUAAAGUCUACAUUAAGCAUAAAGGGGCAACCCUCCAAGACUUCUCCCUUCUCUUACCCACAAAGGCACCAUACCAACCACCAAAUUCCUUUUAAUCAAAGAAUGCAAAACCCACUGCACACCAAAAAGGGAGAAAAUCAAACUCCAAAGCAUUGUAGCCUUUCUGCAAAACAAGAUUAAAUGGUCACUGGUUUCCUCUUUCUCUUUACACAAGCAUAUUCAAACUAAUAACUAAUAUUUGCUGGAUUUAAAGCUUGUUUGUUAGUGUUCUUCAUGGUUGUGCUUCUAUUUUUAAUUGAUUCUCUUGGCCAUCACCGUUUCCCCCUUAUUAAGAUUGGAUAUUUAAGUUUCAACGAAACAGCCUACUAAAUCCUCAAGAUAGAUCCUAUUUAUAAGGCAUGGGAGUUUUGGUCAAUGUCUGCUUCCAAGAUUCUUAUCCAUAUUUCUAUGAAUUCUUAUGCCAGAAAGUCUACUUCUUGCAGAAUUUUGAUGAUGUCUUGGUUCCUCCUGAUCACGUCGGUAGGAGUUACAAUGAUACAUACUACAUUGACUCUCAAACUGUCUUGAGGUGCCACACUAGUGCUCAUCAAGCAGAGCUGUUGAGGAGGGGACACACUCAUUUCCUUGUGACUGGAGAUGUUUAUCGUAGAGAUUCCAUUGAUUCAACUCACUACCCUGUUUUUCAUUAGGUUUCUUAUCUCUGAUUUUAUCAAUGAUUGUUUUCUAUUAACAAGUUUCUUAAUGUUUUCUUCAGUUCAAUAACUUAUCAUGCAGAUGGAAGGUGUUCGUGUCUUCUUUCCAGGUGAUUGGGAGCAUGGUUCAAAGUCGCGGUAUCGGUCAUUGACUCGGAGGGUCAUGAAGCAUAUCGGUCUCAAUUCGGUAUCGGACGAUACGUAAAAUAAGAUAAUUAGAAAUUUCAAAAAAUUAUAAAAAUAUUAUAUAAAUUAAAAAAUAGAUAUAAUUGAAUAAGUUGAAAAUUUUAAGAAAACAAUUUUUUUUUUUUCACAUGUAGCUCAAAAUUAUUUGUGAUAAUAUUCAAAAUUGAGGAUUUAAUUCUUACCUUGCCAUAUAAACACUUUAAUUUAUCAUUAAACCUCAUUCAUACCUUUCAUAUCAUUUUACUUUAGCAAAUCGGGACCCAAUUCUCCUAAUAUGUUACUAUUAAAUCAUAUCUCAUAAAUCCAUAUAAAAUGCAUUUUUUACUUUACUAAUUUUAGCUUCUCCCACCCUCGCACGCCACCAUUGCUAUCAAGAGUCAAGACCCACAACACCACAUGCAAUUGCAAAUUUGCAACCGUGCAAGACCCAACACAGGAGGGGGAGCAAUUUGAUUGUGAGGGGGUUGUCUUGUCGAUGUCGCUGGUGAAAGAUUCAAUCCACUUUAUGAGUCACCACCGUUGACACCAAAGCUCCACCCUCCGGUAAUGCUCGAUUUUGAGGAAAAUCAGGUAAGUAAAUCCUAAAUCAUGCCCUCAUCCUUCAAUGGUUUCUCUGCUUAUUUCCGAACGGGUCACGGGUUGGUUUUUUCUUCUUCGUCUUCUUUGAUCUUCUCAUUGAUGGUUUAAAAUUUCAUAAUAGGUGUUUGCUUUUGAAAGGGCAAUCUUUGAUUUUUUUAUUCUCUAUAACCUAACUGAGUCAACCGAGUUAACUCGGAAAAUCAGAUUAGUCAAUCGAGUCUUACCGAUUCCCAGUCGAGUUCAUGCAUAAUACCGUAUCUGGUAUCGGUCUCGUCGUGGCAGGUGUCGAGGCCGAUACGACUUGGCUGAGUUGUAUCAGACUCGGCCGAUACUUUGAACCCUGAUUGGGAGACAUCUGGAAUGGAUGACAUGUCUUAUGCGGCUGAGGAUUUAAAGAAAUGUCUUGAGGGUUUGGUGCAGCACUUGUUUGGUAAACUUAGAUCAGGAGAUUGUCUUAAUCAGAUGCGAACUUAAUACUAUCAGUUGAUGCUACAGUGAGAAAUAUGGGUUAAGGAAUUAUUUACCAGGUCUAAUAAUUCAAAAUCUGGGAAAUACUUCAAGUAAAAGGGGGAAAAAUAAUGAAAUAAUAAAAUAAUAAAUUUAAGUGGGGAAAGCAAUUCAUGUUAUGCAAAAGCAGUACAGGUUGGUCAUUUAGAAGUCAAAUCAAGAUAGUCCAGAAUAAUAUAGGGAAUUAUUUGCGAUUCUCAAGGUACUUGUUAAAAAUCAUUGACAAAUUACCUAAAGAAACAUUUAAGAGUGCUAUUAUUCUUGAAAUUUCUGAAAUCUAUCAGAAAGGUAGUUUUCAUCUUGGGGUUUACAAUAUACUGUAUAGAAUCUGCGUGGGCUAAAUCUGUUGAAAUUUGCAGGUAAUCUGGAAAUGCGCUGGAUUGAUACAUAUUUCCCUUUCACCAACCCAUAAUUUGAACUUGAGAUAUGUUUUCAGGUAUGCUUUUGAUCUGGCUGGUGGUUACAUUUUAGCACUAUAUAUUUUGAAUUUCUUUAAAACUUUGUUUUUGAACUAAUUUUAGUAGAAACAGGCUCCAUUUCAUUUUUCUGUUUUCAUCUUUUGCAAGAAAGGGUAAAAAUCAUUUCAAAAAUGUGAACUUCAGUUUAUUCCAUUGCUGGCAUGUGUGGCUUUCAUCUGUUAUUGAAGACACUAAGAUUCAUAGACUGAUAAUAUUCCAAUGCUUAUAAUAACAGUAAUGUUGAUGAUAAAAUAAUAUAAAAGUAGAAACAAAAUUAGUUGUCUCCCUUUUUUUUCUUUUAGUUUCUUUGUUCUUCUUACCCCUCUGAUGUGGGGAAGGGGUGUGGGGCUCUUUGUUGUCGCCAAAUGUGAAAAAAAGAUGCAUUAUGUCCUUUUAUUUUGGACUUACAGGACCUAUUAUGAAGGCAUUGCUUUCUUCAAUGUAUAUUUAUGACUUCAAGACAUUUUUGUAUUUUAUUUUAUGGCAGCAUUUUUAUAUUGAAGGAGAAAUUCAUAAACAUAUAUACACACAUGCUAGUGAGCAUACACAAACACUGAUGUUCCACACAGUAAUUAAAAAAUUCUUGCUUUGAGGAGUAUUUUUUUCCAAAACUCAUUUCCAUGUCAGAUGGCAACAUGCCAAUGACUAUUUGCCAGCAAAUGGAAUGCUGGCAACACUUUUAUGGAUUGAAUGUUUUCCUUUCCCUUUUCCUUGUAGUGAAUGAUGUGUACACUUUAGUUGCUCUUACAUAUUUGAUGCAUUGUGCUUCAUGCCCUAACUGAUGCAGAACAGAAAAGUACCAGAAAAAAUGAUGGGAGUCUAGGAAUUACUUCCAAAAACCUUAGGCUUCACAUAUAGGUUUGGUUUUCAUCACACAAAAAAGAAAACAUUGAAAGUUGGAAGGUUUUGUGUUUUCAUUCAUUAAUCCUUUUAGAAGAUAGAGUGAUCAGCUUUGUUAACUACAACCCUAAGACUCUUAAGACCCCUAACACUCUUUGGAACCAAUCACAGUAAUGAUUAGGCUGAGAAAUCAGAAACUUGAACUGAUAAAUAAAAAUUAAAAGGCACUUGCAAAUAUAAAGCAAUACCCCCCACGCCCUUCGGAAAACUCAACCUUGACAAGUUAAAGGCAUGAAAUUUCUCAUAAAGAUCACAAUUCAACUGCUGAAAUUCAUUGCUUGUGAUCCACAUACAAUCUCAAAGUGGCCUUUCUCUCCAUUCCACAUGAUACUUUUGAUAACCUCCUCUUUUGGUUGAAACAAUUUAGUGACCAACAACUUUUCAAUCUUCUCUUUCAAUCAAGGGGCUGGUAGAAGAUGACCAUUUGGACCAUUAAUUGAUGUAGCAGCUUUAGGAUUAGGAUAAAGGGUGUGGUCUUCAAUAUUAGAGAUCUUAUUAAUGCCCAUAUUUUCUGGCAAGUCAAGCACAUAAGCGUUGGGACUUGUUUUCCUGAGAAUUUUAUAGGGACCAACAUUCUUUGAGUGGAGUUUCUUAUUGGCACCUCUAGGAUAUUGUUCAGGCCUUAUUCACACAAUAACCAUGUCACCUUCAAUAAGUUCAGCAAAUUUUCUUUUCACAUAAUCGUAUGACUUGUUUAUUUAUUUGAUAGGCAAGCGGGAAAAACAUGUAAUCCAUAUGACUUAUAAUUUCAUUGAUGAAAACAAUUUUCAUUGAACAUGAUAAUGUAUGUCAUCUAUAUGCGCACUAAAAGCAUCAGCUUCAAUGCUAGGUCAUGCAUCCAUUGGUAAAGGAGCCAAAUCCAUAGGCUUUCUAGGAAGCGAUUCAGUCACAAUCUCAAAAGGACUGUGACCAAUAGACCUGUUCAGUAGGCAAUUGAGGCCUUGCCAUAAAAUCUAUAAGCUUGCUGAAUGUUGCACAGAGAGGAAAGUUUUUGAGCAACAUCUAUGGUAGGUCUUUUCGAGCAACAUCUAUGGUAGGUCUUUUCGAGCAACAUCUAUAGUCAUCAGGAUCAUAGGCUCUAUAAUCAAAUGAAUUUCGGUUUCUUCAUCUUUUUGUUGUUCUUGUUCUUCUUCAGGCUCCAUUCCGAUGUACAAAUUGUUCUUUGGACAAUUUAGGUUAUUUGGCCGGGUUGUUGACACUUAAAACACCUAUUAACCUUACCCUUAGGAUCAACAGCAUUAAAAGAAUACAACUUAGAUCCUAUAGGUUGGAUAAAUGGCUUGAAUUGGCCUAUUCUUGCACUGCAACCUACAUCAGUGAACCUUCUCUGCACUGGUUCUAUGGAUGAAACUCACAUCCCAAGUACUCCUCCAUAUCUAAUGCAAAUUGAAAAGCAUGUUCUAGGAUGUAUAAUGGCUGAUUCAUCAACUCUCUUCUCAUUUUAGGUCUCAAUCCAGCUUUGAAUCAUGCAAGAGUUUGCCCUUGGGUCUUCUACUAUUUGACUCCAAGUCUUUAGCUCAUGAAAUCUUUGCAUGUACUUUGGUCUCUGCAACAGACAUGUUGUUCUGAUUCAUAGUAAUGAGGUGAUUACAUAACCUAUUACAAUAAUUGGUCCUGCAUGUAUUUUUCACAUAGCUUAUCCUUCAUCUCCUGUCAUGUGCUGACAGGUGGUAGCCUCAUCUUCCCAUCUUCCUAGUAUCUCUUUCAAUUUCUGUCCACUAAUCUUUUGCUAAGCCUACUAGUUUCAUUUUAGUAAACCACCCUCUUUGUUCAUCAUUCAUGCAUACCAAUCAAAACGGUCCUCAAUUGUAGCUAGCCAAUCAACAAAUUGAGUAGCAUCACCCCUCCUUCAAAUUAGGAACUUCUCCUUUUACUUUCCUUGUGAUAUCUUCAGCAGUUUCACAAGGUUUACACCUUGUUUCAGGUAGUUCUCUAGCCCAUUCAGAUAUAGGAUAUUGUGGUGCAUGUCCGAUGUUCCUCCAAGUUUUUGUUAUUAAUUUGAGAUAAUUCUCCUUGCACAACACGUGCUAAAUCAUUAGUGGGCUGAGAUAUUUGUGUCUCAAUGUUGCUUAGUCGAAUAUGCAGGCUAUCAAGCUGUUCCAUCACCAAAAUAGUAUCUCGUCAUUUUGACUAUUAGAUAAAUCUAUUUUGAAACUCCUAGGUCUUGUAAUCAUGCUCUCAGCUUGCUCUGAUGCCAAAAUUGAUGCCGAACAGAAAGGUAAAAGAAAACAUGUUGGGACUUUAGGAAUCACUUCCAAAUUUUAGGCUUCACACUUAAGUUCAGUUUGCAUCACGCAAACAAGUUGAACUAUCACAGUACGAUUGGUUCAUAAUAAGGUGUCAUCUGAUUGGUUCUCGUGGAGACAACCUGUGAUCGUUCAAACUAGGGGCUGCGCCUGAUUGAUUGCAUUGAAAGUUGGAAGGUUUUGUAUGAGAUAAAUGAACCAACUUUAUACACUAUAACUCUAGACCUUAGACUCUUUUGGAGCUAGUGGCAAUACUAAUGAAGUUGGAAAAUCAACAAUGUGAACUGAUAAAAAAAAAUGAAAGACUCUUGAAAAUGUGAAGCAUUAAUGAUUUUGGAAAUAAGAACACUUGUGAUCCUUUGACUAGACUCAUAAACAAAACUUAGACUGAAAUCCACAUUGAAGUAUAUAAAAUCCCGAUUAGGCCUAUUAUCAUCCAAAGUAUGCCAAAUCAUAAUUUGGGCCUUAAGAGUCCAAUCUCUAUGCAUUUGUUAACCUUUCAUAGGUGAUUGCCACUUGUCUUCAUCGCUAACAAACACGAUUAUAGCAUCAAAGAAGGGCCAUGUCCCCAAAUCUGGCAAUAAAAGUUCUUUUUACAAGCUAACCUUAGGGGUCCAAUUACUACAUUAUUGUGUUAACCAUGAACAUUGGUGCUCCUGUUCUGCUUGCAUGGUUACACUGAACCUGCUAUCCAAAUAUGUUGGUUGACCAAAUAAGAAACUCUAGGAAAAUGAAUGAAUUCAUAGCGACAUAGCUACAUUGAAUGCAACUUGUGUGUUUGUGUGAACAGGAUUGGGUGAGUUAAAGAGAGUUUUUAGAAGGGAGAAUACCUUUUUAAUUGGUCUUAGUGUUCAGUAUGCAGCUGGUUCAGUGAUCAUGAGGCCAGUUUAUAAUACAAUUUUCUUGAGAUUUUUAUUGAAGUGAUCCCUUGAAAAGUCAGGCUACUUUUUCAAGAAGUAAAUGUUUUAUCUGUUGGGCUUUGUGGAGCCUAGUUUUGUUUGAUCCGGUCUGACGACUCAACCCCGAAUAAUAUUGCAUGGUUUUUUAAUGGGAGAUUUACUGAGGCCUGUUAGACCCGUUUAGCCCAUUGUGGAACCACCUUUUGUAAUUAGGGUUUUUUUUAGUGUGAGUGUGGUUGCCGUGUUAUAUAUAGAGAGAAAAUACUGUAACCGCCGAGGUUGUACUUUGUAUUCUUCCCUGAUAAUAGUGAUAUCCCUGCAACUCCGUGGACGUAGGCAAAUUGUCGAACCACGUAAAUACUAUCUUGUGCGUGUGAUUGUUUUUCUUUGACGUGUGUUUUUCUCUAUUUUUCGUUUCUCACAGGUUGGGAAUUUGGUUUAAUUCCCUACAACUGGUAUCAGAGCCUAGGGUUAGGUUUGAGUGGGAGCAAUGACAGAGGAAGCAGGAAAGGCGUCUGGAAUAGAAAAGUUUGAUGGCACAGACUUUGCGUGUUGGAGGAUGCAGAUUGAAGACUAUCUCUAUGGGAGGAAAUUUCAUUUGCCUCUUUUGGGGACAAAACCUGAGAGUAUGAAGGCUGAGGAAUGGGCGCUUCUUGACAGAUAGGUUCUAGGAGUUAUUAGGUUAACUCUAUCUAGGUCUGUUGCACAUAAUGUUACAAAGAAGAAGACCACAGCAGAUUUGAUGAAGGCUUUGUCCGGUAUGUAUGAAAAGCCGUCAGUAAACAAUAAGGUGCAUCUGAUGAAGAAAUUGUUCACUUUGAAGAUGGUAGAGAAUGCAUCAGUAGCACAACAUCUUAAUGAAUUUAAUACAAUCACAAAUCAAUUGUCGUCUGUAGAAAUUGAUUUUGAUGAUGAGAUUCAUGCUCUGAUCAUCUUGUCUUCUUUGCCAAACAGUUGGGAGGCAAUGAGGAUGGCAGUAAGCAAUUCUACGGGAAAGGAAAAGCUCAAGUACAAUGAUAUACGAGAUUUAAUUCUGGCUGAGGAGAUUCGCCGAAGAGAUGCAGGUGAAACCUCAGGAUCUGGUUCUGCCCUAAACCUUGAAACAAGAGGCAAAGGUAAUGACAAAAAUUCAAAUAAGGGUAGAUCAAAUUCCAAAAAUUCUAAUCGGAACAGAAGCAAAUCUAGAUCAGGCCAACAAGUACAAUACUGGAAUUGUGGGAAAACAGGUCACUUUAAAAGGCAAUGCAAAAGUCCUAAGAAGAAGAAUGAAGAUGAUUCUGCUAAUGCUGUAACAGAAGAGGUACAGGAUGCAUUACUUCUUACAAUAGAUAGUCCACUUGAUGAUUGGGUUUUGGAUUCAGGAGCUUCAUUUCAUACCACUCCACACCGAGAAAUCAUACAGAAUUAUGUUGCAGAUGAUUUUGGUAAUGUGUAUUUGGCUGAUGGUUUAGCCUUGGAUGUUGUGGGUUUGGGAGACGUCCGGAUAUCAUUGCCCAAUGGGUCUGUUUGGUUACUGGAGAAGGUUCGACAUAUUCCUGACCUGAGGAGGAAUCUGAUUUCUGUUGGACAACUUGAUGAAGAAGGACAUGCAAUACUAUUUGUUAGUGGUACUUGGAAGGUUACAAAGGGAGCUAGGGUAUUGGCUCGUGGAAAGAAGACUGGUACUUUGUAUAUGACCUCAUGUCCAAGAGACACAAUUGCAGUUGCUAAUGCAAGUACUGAUACAAGCCUAUGGCACCGCAAACUUGGUCACAUGAGUGAGAAAGGGAUGAAGAUGUUGUUGUCAAAAGGAAAACUACCAGAAUUGAAGUCCAUUGAUUUUGACAUGUGUGAAAGUUGCAUCUUAGGAAAGCAAAAAAAGGUGAGCUUCUUGAAAACUGACAGGACACCGAAGGCUGAAAAAUUGGAAUUAGUACACACUGAUUUGUGGGGGUCUUCUCCGGUUGCAUCCCUAGGAGGUUCAAGGUACUACAUCACUUUUAUUGAUGACUUAAGUAGAAAGGUAUGAGUUUAUUUUCUGAAAAAUAAAUCCAAUGUAUUUGAAACUUUUAAGAAGUGGAAGGCCAUGGUUGAGACAAAAACAGGUUUGAAAGUAAAAUGUUUGAGGUCAGAUAAUGGAGGAGAGUACACAAAUGGAGGGUUCAGUGAGUAUUGUGCUGCACAGGGAAUUAGGAUGGAGAAGACUAUUCCUGGGACACCACAGCAGAAUGGUGUGGCUAAGCGCAUGAACAGAACUCUCAAUGAGCGUGCUAGAAGUAUGAGGUUGCAUGUUGUUAGCACUGCAGCUUACUUGAUAAACCGAGGACCAUCAGUUCCCAUGGAGUUCAGACUUCCUGAGGAGGUUUGGAGCAGUAAAGAGGUGAAGUUUUCACAUUUAAAAGUUUUUUGUUGUGGUUCUUAUAUUCAUAUUGAUUCUGAUGCUCGUAGUAAACUUGAUGCAAAGUCAAAAAUAUGUUUUUUCAUUGGCUAUGGUGAUGAGAAAUUUGGCUAUAGGUUUUGGGAUGAACAAAACAGAAAAAUCAUCAGAAGUAGAAAUGUGAUAUUUAAUGAACAGAUUAUGUACAAGGACAGGUCAACUGUAGUGUCAGAUGUUACAGAGAUGGAUCAAAAGAAAUCUGAGUUUGUCAACUUAGAUAAAUUGACUGAAAGUACUGUCCAAAAGGGGGGGUGAAGAAGAUAAGGAGAAUGUAAAUUCACAGGUAGAUCUUACUACACCUGUAGCUGAAGUUCGCAGAUCUUCCAGGAACAUUAGACCUCCACAACGUCAUUCACCUGUUUUAAAUUAUCUCCUAUUGACUGAUGGUGGUGAGCCAGAGUGUUGUGAUGAAGCCUUGCAAGAUGAGAAUUCAAACAAGUGGGAGUUAGCCAUGAAUGGUGAGAUGGAUUCUUUGUUGGUGAAUGAGACAUGGGAACUGACUGAAUUGCCAAUAGGAAAGAAGGCUUUGCACAACAAGUGGGUAUACAGAAUAAAGAAUGAGCAUGAUGGUAGCAAACGUUACAAGGCCAGAUUAGUUGUUAAAGGGUUCCAGCAGAAGGAGGGCAUUGACUACACAGAGAUAUUUUCUCCAGUAGUGAAGAUGUCAACAAUCAGACUUGUACUGGGAAUGGUGGCUACAGAAAACUUACAUCUUGAGCAGUUAGAUGUGAAAACAACAUUCCUUCAUGGUGACUUGGAGGAAGACCUUUACAUGAUUCAGCCAGAAGGGUUCAUUGUUCAGGGACAAGAAAAUCUAGUCUACAAACUGAGAAAGAGCUUGUAUGGCCUUAAACAAGCUCCUAGACAGUGGUACAAAAAGUUUGACAGUUUUAUGCAUAGAAUUGGGUUCAAGAGAUGUGAAGCUGAUCACUAUUGCUAUGUUAAGUCUUUUGACAAUUCUUACAUCAUAUUACUGUUGUAUGUGGAUGAUAUGCUUAUUGCAGGGUCUGGCAUUGAGAAGAUUAAUAAUCUGAAGAAGCAAUUGUCCAAACAGUUUGCAAUGAAGGAUUUGGGAGUUGCAAAGCAAAUCCUUGGUAUGAGAAUCAUUAGAGACAAGGCUAAUGGUACAUUGAAGCUUUCACAGUCAGAGUAUGUGAAGAAAGUUCUCAGCAGGUUCAACAUGAAUGAAGCUAAACUAGUGAGCACACCCUUAGGGAGUCAUUUCAAACUAAGCAAAGAACAGUCACCAAAGAUAGAAGAAGAAAGGGACCAUAUGAGCAAGGUGCCCUAUGCCUCAGUUAUUGGCAACUUGAUGUAUGCUAUGGUGUGUACAAGGCCAGACAUUGCACAUGCAGUGGGAGUUGUGAGCAGAUUCAUGAGUAUGCCUGGAAAGCAGCAUUGGGAGGCAGUCAAGUGGAUUCUAAGAUAUCUGAAGGGUUCAUUAGAUACAUGUCUUUGCUUCACAGGUGCAAGUUUGAAAUUGCAUGGUUAUGUAGAUGUUGAUUUUGCUAAUGAUAUUGAUAGUAGAAAGAGUACUACUGGGUUUGUUUUUACUCUAAGUGGUACAACUAUAUCAUGGGCUUCAAAUCUACAGAAGAUUAUUACUUUGUAUACUACAGAAGCUGAGUAUGUUGCAGCAACUGAAGUUGGAAAGGAGAUGAUUUGGAUACAUGGUUUCUUAGAUGAAUUGGGUAAGAAGCAGGAGAUGGGCAUUCUACAUAGUGACAGUCAGAGUGCAAUUUUUCUUGCCAAAAAUUCGUCUUUUCAUUCAAAGUCGAAGCAUAUACAAACAAAAUACCACUUUAUCUGUUAUCUUGUUGAAGAUAAACUGGUAAUACUUGAGAAGAUUUGUGGAUCUAAGAACCCGGCAGACAUGUUGACUAAGGGUGUCACUAUUGAGAAGUUGAAGCUAUGCGCAGCUUCAAUUGGUCUUCUAGCUUGAGGACAGGAGGAUGAGUUGCAGGAAUGAGGGAUUGUUUCUUGGAUGAUAGCGGUUUGAUGUUGGUGAUUGAACUAGUCUCCAAGUGGGAGAUUUGUUGGGCUUUGUGGAGCCUAGUUUUGUUUGAUCCAGUUUGACGAUCCGACCCGAAUAAUAUUGCAUGGUUUUUUAAUGGGAGAUUUACUGAGGCCUGUUGGACCCGGUUAGCCCAUUGUGGAACCACAUUUUGUAAUUAAGGUUUUUUAGUGUGGGUGUGGUUGUCGUGUUAUAUAUGGAGAGAAAAUACUGUAACCGCCGAGGUUGUACUUUGUAUUCUUCCCUGAUAAUAGUGAUAUCCCUACAACUCCGUGGACGUAGGCAAAUUGCCGAACCACGUAAAUACUGUCUUGUACGUGUGAUUGUUUUUCUUUGGCGUGUGUUUUUCUCUAUUUUUCGUUUCUCACAGGUUAGGAAUUUGGUUUAAUUCCCUACAUUAUCUUGGAGGUUGUAAAAGAUGCAUUCUCAUAAUAGAUGCCUUGAUUAUGUUUCUUCAGUAGAAGAACCUACAAUUAGGGUCCUGUGUAUAUCCUUUCUUGGAAUUUUCAUAAAUUUACCAUUAUUAACUUUCUAUUUUAGGACUAACUGUUCAGCAAAUCUAUGGAAAAGACUAAAUAGUAAAUACUAAGUAGUUCCUCCAAGGGCUGCUAAAAAGCACUUCCCAGGGCCAUGAGCCAAAACUAGGCCACAUGGAAAGGGGUUGUAACAAGUCACUUGACUUGGGGUUGUUAGAGGCCAUCAUUAGUCAAGAUUGGUUUUAGAUUCAACUUUAGGAAUUUAUUUAUUUUCCUGAUUUCUAUUUUAUUUUUAGUUACAUAAUCAUAUUUGACUCUUGUUUUCCACUCUAAAUUCACAAUAUGUGAACCUUAUGAUAGAAAUUUUUAACUUCAGAACAUGAGUUGGGAUGUAUCAUAGAAGAAAGAUUCAAAUCCUUGGACUAGCAUUUCUGUAAUGCCUCAAUGAAAUUUUAUUGUAUGAUUAUCUACUUGAAGUAGCGAACCAUCAUCCUUUUAUUUAUUUAUUUAUUUUUGAUGGGAAACGACAAAGAGAUAUAUUGAUAGAAAAAAGAAGUACAAGAAAAGGAUGAGAAAUCCUCCCACCAAAGAAAAUCUAAACUACAAUAAUACAAAAACAAGAAUAUACAAUGUAAAAACAAACAAACUCUCUAGAUUAGACCAACCCAUUGGAAUUACACACUGCUAGUCAAUCAAGUUGUAACAUAUUAAGGGGAAUCCGCUUAAAAACCAUUAUCUUUUUAUUGGCAUUGAAUUGUGAAACCAUUAUGCCAUUACAUUGACAUCUCCAAAUGAAUGGUUUUAAUUUGAAUAGUUUUGUAUUAACUUAUUAUUUGACAAUUAUUGCCUAUAGUUUUUUGGCAGAACUGCUACGAUCUCACUAAGCAACAUCCAUUGAUAAUUUAUCAGGAGAACUGGUUGGAAGUUUUAGGUUGUGGGGUGACAGAGCAAGAAAUAUUAAAGAAAAGUGGUAAAACAGGUAAUGUUGCUUUGGCUUUUGGGCUUGGAUUGGAACGGCUAGCAAUGGUUCUGUUUGGGAUACCUGAUAUUUGGCUUUUCUGGUCAACUGAUGAGCGGUUCACCUCUCAAGUAAUUCCCCAAUUCAGUAAAUGAUAUUCUAUUUUAUUUUAUUCUCCUUUUCUUUGUCUUUGUGGUUAAGUAAUCAUUUCCAAAAUUGAUAUCCUUAGGAAAAUAAAGCAUGCUGAAAAUUGACCUUGUUGACAUUCUUAAUGUCUGAUUUGGGUUCCCUGAAUGUUUAAUUUAAACACUUUGUAUGCAGUUCUCAAAGGGCCAGCUUGGGGUCAAGUUCAAGCCAUUUUCAAAGGUAUUGCUUAUAAUUUUCUCAGUUUGAUAGUAGUAGUAUCUUCUUCUGAUGUUGUGUAAAUUGAAACUCUUGCAUAAUUUUCAUGCAAAAGGAUCCAAGACAUUUUGGGGGCCUGCAUUUUUAAGUAUAACCAGAAAAAGUCCUUUAUGCAAAUUUGUCUUUUACAUUCUGAAAUCGAAAAGAUUAAUUACACACAACAUAAUAACUAAAUAUUUAUACCUGUUAGAGCCCAAUGUAACCUUCUCUAUUGGCUGCUAGAAACUGACUAUCGUCUUUUUGCAGUAUCCUCCUUGUUACAAGGACAAGAGUUUUUGGAUUAAUGAGUUGUUCACAGAAAACAAUUUAUGUGAUGUUGUAAGAGGAGUUGCUGGAGAUCUUGUCGAGGGGGUAUUGCCUUUUUAUGUUUCUUAUUGUAAAUUGUUCAUUAGCUAUAGAUCUCUUCAUGGUUCACUUGGUAGAAUUUUCCUAAUCAUUUGUAUAGUUACACUGAAAGCACCGUACCAAUUUGUGUUUUAAUUAGGGGUGUUCAGGGUUUGGUUUGUUUAGUUUUGAACUUUAAAAUAAAACCAAACCAGUCUAAUUGGUUUUAUGUAUUAGGAACCCAAACCGGCCUAAUCGGUUUUAUGUAUUAGGAACCAGACUAAUUGAACUUAAAGAGGGAACUGAUCAGUUCAGUUCAGUUCAGUUAAUUUACUAUAUUUCGGUCAACAAAUAAAACUGAUUUUUUUUUUUUUUUUUUAUAAUCAAUUUGGGCCAAAACCAAAAAGCUCAUAAUAGGACAUUGUUGGUCAAAAAGCUUAAAAUAGUUUAUUACAACAAGUUGCUUUAGAGUGCUCAAAUUACAUCAUUGUAACUCAUUUCAAAUCAUAUUAUUGUAACACAGCCGCAUGAAUAACUAUUGUUGUAGUCUAUGCUUAUCAUACUAAGUAGUUCAAAAAUACGAAAAACUAUGUUUGGUUUGGGAUUCUAUCGAGUGUGAAAGAAGUGUGCCAAAUUAAAAAUGUAACUAAUGGUUAUUGUGUAUGUAUAUAAUUUUUGGUUUGGUUUGGUUUAUUAUUUGUUUUCUAAAUGGCAUAAUUCGGUUUUUUUUAGAAAACCCAAAUUGUUGAAAAAUCUUUAAAAAUUGAUUGGUUCAGGCCAGUGUGGCUCAGUUCUAUCAUUUUUGUCCAUUUAAUCGGUUUUUUACACAACCCUAGUUUUAUUUCACUUUUCAGUUCUUGGACUUUCCAUGAAAAUAAUAUUGUUGUCAUGAAGCUACUGAGGCAGUUAUUGGACCAAUUCCAUCCUCUGAAGCUGCUCAUAAAAGAGAUCCUCUCUCUUCUUUUCUAUCUACCAUCAGUUGCAAUAAUAGAUCCAGUUUGCACAAAGCCAAGCUUAGAAAAUCUGUUCAUUGACAACCUGAAUAGUCUCUGGAAGCAUCCAGUAUCUUUUCUCCUUUGUGAGGGUGGAUAACCGGUCUGGGUCCCCUGCAUCAUUUUUCAUAGGCUGCAGAGCUGCUGUGUCCGUAUAGGAAGUAACAUGUUCUUCCUUCAUAGCUUUAAGUGCCAUCAGGAAUUGGAUAUGCUAAUAUGAGUGGGAGGACUCCAGAUGGUGGACUUUCGAAGACCUCCACUCUGAUUCAUUGAUGCCAAACAUAUAAUUGUGAUAAAGCGAGGCUUUGGAAGUUAAUAUUCUUUUAAGGUGUUUCAUAUAUUGAAGGUUUAUAAAGAGGUCAAAAUUGAGAAAUUACUAUUCUCUAAAUAAUAGGAUAGUAGUCAAUUUUUCGUUCAAAAUUUGUCAUAUAUUCCAAGAGGAUUGUUAACAAUCUGAUCUAUAUUGAAACAGUGGCCAUAAUAAGUCCCUAUUUUCCUAGUGCCUGAAAGUGAAGCUCCAUUCUGAAGUUUUCUGAACUAUAAGAUACAUUUUUGACUUCCAGGUGCAAUUGAUCGACAAUUUCACCAACAAGAAAGGAAUGACCAGUCAAUGUUAUCGGAUAGCAUACCGGUCCAUGGAGCGUUCACUUACAGAUGAGGAGAUAAACGAGUUGCAGGUAUUUCAUGUUUAGGGGAUUUGUACAAGUGAUUAGUAUUUCGUCUUGAUUACGGGUAAUGACUAAUAACCUGAAAUUUGGCUUUGAUUCUGGGUGCAGUGGAAUGUUAGGGAGCAAGUGCAGAGCAAGUUGAAGGUUGUUCUUAGAUGAGAUUUCUGAUGCUGACAACCUAAUUUUACUAUCUCACUCUUGUAAGUCUCCUUAUGGACAUUUUCUAUUAUUAUUCUUUUUGUUCCUACCUUGUACAUUUUACAAUUAUCAACAAGAGUUUGAACUAGUUACAGUGGGGAAAUUAGGCAUUCAAAACCAGCUUUAAUGGGAGAAACACUUCAAGGAAAAUAAGGA